GUUUAUCAAACUCAAUCAAUUUUCUUUCUUAACAAAAUUCCAAAGAUGUGUAGCAUUUUUCAGAUCACAUGCGAUGGUGCUUUUUUCAAUCGUUGCUUGGAUUGCUUUCUUGGAAAAGCAGCAUACAUACGUAACCUCCAAGAUAAUCUUGAUGCCUUGGACACUGAAUUGGAAAAUCUAAUCGCUAAAAAGAACGAUGUGAUGAGGAGGGUUGUCGAUGCUGAACGGCAACAAAUGAGAAGGCUGGACGGAGUGCAACGAUGGGUUUCGAGGGUGGAAGUUGUUAAAACUGGAGCCGAUGAAUUGAUGAGGCACAGCUCUCAAGAAAUUGACAAAUUAUGUGUUGGAGGCUACUGUUCCAAGAACUGCAGGUCAAUCUACAAGUUCGGAAAACAAGUGGCUAAAAAGCUACAAGAUGUGAAGACUUUAAUCGGCGAGGGAGUUUUUGAGGCGGUGGCUACUGAGGUGGUGGCUGAGAGAGCCCCAGAACCUGUAGCAGAUAAAAGACCCACUGAGCCAACAAUAGUAGGCUUGCAAUCACAGCUUGAACAAGUUUGGAGAUGUCUUGUAGAAGAAUCAGUGGGAAUCAUUGGCCUAUAUGGUAUGGGCGGUGUUGGUAAAACCACACUAUUGACCCAUAUCAACAAUAAAUUUCUUGAGAGUCCCACAAACUUUGAUUGUGUGAUUUGGGUCGUAGUUUCAAAAGACCUGCGACUUGAAAAAAUUCAAGAAGAUAUUGGGAAGAAGAUAGGUCUAUCUGAUGAUUCAUGGAAGAAUAAAAGUUUUGACGAGAAAGCUGUGGACAUCCAGCGGAGAUUAGGAGAGAAGAGAUUUGUAUUGUUGUUAGAUGAUUUAUGGGAGCGGGUUGAUUUAACAGAAGUGGGCGUUCCACUUCCCAGCGCACAAAAUACUACCUCAAAAGUCGUAUUCACAACCCGUUCCAUUGGUGUUUGUGGUAGCAUGAGAGCUAGGCCGGUUAAAGUGGCAUGCCUAUCAGAAAAGCAAGCUUGGGAACUGUUCCGCGAAAAUGUUGGGGAAGAAACUCUUGAGAGUGAUCAUGAGAUCGUUGAGCUAGCCCAAACUGUGGCCAAAGAGUGUGGUGGUUUGCCACUCGCACUUAUUACUAUUGGUCGAGCUAUGGCCUACAGAAAGAAAGCGGAGCAGUGGAGACGUGCAAUUGAAGAGUUAAGAAGAUCAACUUCAGAGUUUGCAGGUUUGGGAAAAGAGGUGUAUCCUCUUUUAAAGUUUAGCUAUGAUAGUUUGCAGAAUGAUACAAUUAGAUCUUGUUUCUUGUAUUGUUGUUUAUAUUCUGAAGAUUAUGGCAUUCUUAAAUGGGACUUGAUUGAUUGUUGGAUUGGUGAGGGAUUUUUGGGGGAAUCUGACAGGUUUGGUGCAGAAAACCAAGGAUAUGACAUUUUGGACACUCUUGUUCGUGCAUGUUUAUUGGAAGAGGUGGAAGAUGAUAAAGUAAAAAUGCAUGACGUUAUUCGUGAUAUGGCUCUAUGGAUAACUUGUGAAAUUGAGAAGGAGAAGAGAAACUUUUUGGUUUGUGCAGGUGCGGGACUAAAGGAGGCACCGGAUGUUAAAAGAUGGGAAAAUGUGAGAAGAUUGUCAUUGAUGCAAAACCAAAUUGAACUCUGUCAGAGGGUUCCUAAAUGCCCUCAUCUCNNNNNNNNNNNNNNNNNNNNNNNNNNNNNNNNNNNNNNNNNNNNNNNNNNNNNNNNNNNNNNNNNNNNNNNNNNNNNNNNNNNNNNNNNNNNNNNNNNNNUGACGUUUUGAUUUUUGCAAGUCUACCCAAGUUAUCAUGCUCUCCAAAUUCUUUUGAGCUCAAAUAGGUUAAAAAGUUGUAUUCGAUCUCUUUUCCUCCCGUUGGCCGGAGAUGCAACGUCGAUUAUUGAUGCUACGGCUUUCGCAGAUCUAAACCACCUCAAUGAAUUAGGGAUUGAUAGGGCUGAGGAGUUGGAAGAAUUGAAGAUUGAUUAUGCGGAGAUAGUACGAAAAAGGCGGGAACCUUUUGUUUUCCGCAGCCUUCACCUUGUUGCUAUAUAUGAAUGCCACAAAUUGAAAGAUUUGACAUUCCUCGUUUUUGCUCCAAGCCUUAAGUCUCUUUCGCUAUACGGUUGCAAUGCUAUGGAAGAAAUAAUCAGCGUUGGAAAAUUUGAUGAGACUCCUGAGGUGAUGGGACAUAUAAGCCCUUUUGGAAAUCUCCAAACGCUUGAUCUAUCAAGAUUGCCAAUUUUGAAGAGCAUCUACUGGAAGCCAUUGCCUUUCACUCAUCUCAAAGAAAUGGCGGUGACACAUGGGUGUAAUCAGCUUAGAAAGCUUCCACUCGAUUCCAACAGUGCAAAAGAGCGUAAAUUUGUUAUUCGUGGAAGAGAAGACUGGUGGAACCGACUUCAAUGGGAGGAUGAAGCCACUCAAAUUGCUUUUCGUUCCUGUUUCCAACCUCAUUCCUGGUGAGUGCGUUUGUCUUUUAAAAGAAGAAUUUAAAAGAAAUUUAUUCUUGUCAUUUUCUUCUCUGUAUUUAUUUCAGUUUCUUUCUCUCUCUCUCUCUCUCUCUCUGUCUUCUGCAAAUCACAGUUAAAUGUUGAAUUAAUCGAAUUAAUGCUUCAUAAAAUUUGCCGGCACUGCCAUUACUUUUUUAAUUUCCUGUCAAAAGACGAGCGAGAAGAACAUAUAUAUGACUUAAACCAAUUGAUACUUUAUUUAUGUGCAUCGUAUGUAAUAAAUAUUAAGUAUACUUUAUUUUGCCCUGUUCUCUGUUUUUAUUUCAGUCUCUCUCUCUCUCUCUCUAAAACAUUAGAGUCAAACUAAUGCUCACAUAAAUUUCCCGUAAGAAUAUAUAUAUUAUUAGACUGGAAUGCACACCUCUAGAUUGAACAGAAUUAAAGCUGAGGAAUAAAUGACGCGAAAAAAUAUAAACAUAUAUACAAAAUCAUAGAUUAUAAAUCUUUUUUUUUUUGGUUUUAAGAUCAACAAUACUACAUAUCAUAAAUGGUAUCUUUAAAUACUCUUCCCUCAUGAAGAGAUUAAUUGAAAUACAACAUUGAUUUUAUGAUAAAAAAAAAUUUCUUAUAUUUUUUAGACAAGUUUGAGAAGUACAUUUAAAACUUUAUUGCAAUGCACACCUCUAUAUUUUUCUGUAUAGUAGCCCUCUUUACAGAAAAAGACGCGAAAGUUAAUUUAGAAAGAUAUAUUCUUGAUUAAUCCAUUUUCUGAAGUUUUUUUAUUUUGUAUGGUCAAUUAUACCUUCAUACUAGAAAUUUCUGAAGUUAUAAAUUAGUGCAACUUGACAAUUUUUACUGAUGAUAUCUUCUAUUUUUCCUUUUUUUUUUUUAACUCUCAUAGAAUGUUACUGUCAUUUUACUUACAAAUAGGUUUGAAUUUGAGCCCAUGAAACGAUAAUGAGGAAUAAAUGAGACUGAGGAUCUGCAAUAUGAUCUGCAAUAGUAGUUAAAAUAUCAUUGAUGACUUUUCUGNNNNNNNNNNNNNNNNNNNNNNNNNNNNNNNNNNNNNNNNNNNNNNNNNNNNNNNNNNNNNNNNNNNNNNNNNNNNNNNNNNNNNNNNNNNNNNNNNNNNAGUAUGUUAAGUAAAACAUAAUCAAUUAUUUGUGUUUUAUCUCUAAUUAGAACAUCAAUCAGUUCAGUACCUCACAAAUAAUUCGUAAUAUCUACAAAAUACUAUAAUGGCUACAAAAUAAAUCCUGCUUGCAAAUUGUCAAGGAUACCUAUCCGUUCGCUUCACAAGUCAUUUGAAUAAAUAUUGUUCACAUUCCUUACUAAAACAAUAAAACUCUGGAGGACGAUUUGUUAGCCUCAGUUUUCUGUCAGGUUCAUAUCACAUAUAUUUCACUUAUAUACAAGCUAAGAAUACAUAUGAUAAACAUUAGCUUACAAGAUAACUACAAGGAUAAUUACAAGACUAACGAUAACUACAAGGAUAAUUACAAGACUAACGAUAAGAAUAUUUUAAGUUUUAUCUUUAUCGUUAUCACUUACUCUGUCAAUUAUCCAAUGGUCCUCAACUUUAGUUUGAACAGUAUACAUGCCAUCACCAUUACCAAGAAUCAAGCAUGGAAGAGUCAUUCUAUAGAGUUAAUCGAAGCAAGGAAUGAUGUAUCAGAAAAUAUUUGGUGGAGAAUUCAGCACAAACAUAUUUCGGAUGAUCAGAAUCAAUAAAACCUGGUGGUUGCGCCAUAUAAACAUCUUCGGAAAGCUGGCCUUGAAGAAAGGCGUUAUUGAUAUCCAAUUGAUGAAGAGGCCAGCCAUGACUAACAUCAAUACUUAGAACAAGCCGUACUGUGGUGGGCUUAACAACUGGACUGAAAGUGUCAUAAUAGUCCACACCACGCCGUUGAUUGAACCCUUUGACAACAAGACGAGCUUUAAACCUGUCAACAGAACAGUUAGAAUGUCUUUUAAUACAAAAAUCCAUUUGCAGCCAACAAUAUUGGAAGGGAUGGGAGGUGGAACAAGCUUCCAUGUCCCGUUACGAACAAGAGCAUCAUACUCUUCUAACAUAGCUUGACGGUAGUGAGGAUUUUUGAUAACUUGCGUCACAAUUGUAGGUUCACAAUCAGAAGAAAGGCUGAAAUGAGCACGGAGGUUAAGUUUUUGUAACGGCUUGUGAAUCUUAUAUUUAGCUCCGGUAGUCAUAUCAUGAUGAUUUGUGUGGAGGUAGAAGUAGGUUGGGAGGAUUGCUGCGGAGAUGUUACCGGUAGAGAAGAAGGAGCAGUACACGGUGGCAACUCCAGAGGGCCCACAAUAGAUGGAGUAGGUGCCGACGAUGGAGUACUAGGAAAUGAAACAGAAGAAUUGGUGGAACACUUGCGUAAUUAGGAGUGGUAGAUGAGCUUGUAAUGAUUUGUAUGGAAAAACAAACUCUACAAAUUUAACGUGACGUGAAAUAAAAAUUUGAAAGGUGGAUGGGUCAAAACAUAAAUAAGCACUUUGAGAUAAAGGAAUAUCCUAGAAAAACACAAGGCUUAGAGGGUGGUUCGAGUUUAUGUGAUGAAACACAAACAUUCAAAAAUUUUAAGUUUAUAUUAAGAGUAAUGAUACAGCCACAAACUCUUGUACAAACUUAUUUUGUACAAACUGAUGUGGCAUGAUAAGAUUAGUUGAAUUGAAUAUCACUUGGCCCACAUGAUUUGUUUUUAUUAAUUUAUAUUUUCAUUCAACCAAUGAAAUCAUGCCACGUCAGUUUGUACAAAAUAAGUUUGUACAAGAGUUUGUGGCUGUAUCAUUACUCUUAUUAAUUAGGAGUGGUCCGCGGGACAUGUAGCUAUGGGGUUGUUGGAUGUGUUUUGGAUAUUUACAGUUAAGUUUGAGUUUAUAUCUCAACUUAAAAUUUGUAGUUUUCACUUGAAAAAAUUCAGUUAAAAAUUGAUUGGUAGAGUUGUGAAAAAGUUUAAAUUUUUAGUUCAACCCGAUUGCAUAUUUAAGAACAUCUCAAAUGAAUUGCUUACUGCUAUCAUCAUCGUUAUUGUAAGAGAUGGUUAAUUGAUAGACUAUGUGCCUGGGUCGAGCACUGNNNNNNNNNNNNNNNNNNNNNNNNNNNNNNNNNNNNNNNNNNNNNNNNNNNNNNNNNNNNNNNNNNNNNNNNNNNNNNNNNNNNNNNNNNNNNNNNNNNNNNNNNNNNNNNNNNNNNNNNNNNNNNNNNNNNNNNNNNNNNNNNNNNNNNNNNNNNNNNNNNNNNNNNNNNNNNNNNNNNNNNNNNNNNNNNNNNNNNNNNNNNNNNNNNNNNNNNNNNNNNNNNNNNNNNNNNNNNNNNNNNNNNNNNNNNNNNNNNNNNNNNNNNNNNNNNNNNNNNNNNNNNNNNNNNNNNNNNNNNNNNNNNNNNNNNNNNNNNNNNNNNNNNNNNNNNNNNNNNNNNNNNNNNNNNNNNNNNNNNNNNNNNNNNNNNNNNNNNNNNNNNNNNNNNNNNNNNNNNNNNNNNNNNNNNNNNNNNNNNNNNNNNNNNNNNNNNNNNNNNNNNNNNNNNNNNNNNNNNNNNNNNNNNNNNNNNNNNNNNNNNNNNNNNNNNNNNNNNNNNNNNNNNNNNNNNNNNNNNNNNNNNNNNNNNNNNNNNNNNNNNNNNNNNNNNNNNNNNNNNNNNNNNNNNNNNNNNNNNNNNNNNNNNNNNNNNNNNNNNNNNNNNNNNNNNNNNNNNNNNNNNNNNNNNNNNNNNNNNNNNNNNNNNNNNNNNNNNNNNNNNNNNNNNNNNNNNNNNNNNNNNNNNNNNNNNNNNNNNNNNNNNNNNNNNNNNNNNNNNNNNNNNNNNNNNNNNNNNNNNNNNNNNNNNNNNNNNNNNNNNNNNNNNNNNNNNNNNNNNNNNNNNNNNNNNNNNNNNNNNNNNNNNNNNNNNNNNNNNNNNNNNNNNNNNNNNNNNNNNNNNNNNNNNNNNNNNNNNNNNNNNNNNNNNNNNNNNNNNNNNNNNNNNNNNNNNNNNNNNNNNNNNNNNNNNNNNNNNNNNNNNNNNNNNNNNNNNNNNNNNNNNNNNNNNNNNNNNNNNNNNNNNNNNNNNNNNNNNNNNNNNNNNNNNNNNNNNNNNNNNNNNNNNNNNNNNNNNNNNNNNNNNNNNNNNNNNNNNNNNNNNNNNNNNNNNNNNNNNNNNNNNNNNNNNNNNNNNNNNNNNNNNNNNNNNNNNNNNNNNNNNNNNNNNNNNNNNNNNNNNNNNNNNNNNNNNNNNNNNNNNNNNNNNNNNNNNNNNNNNNNNNNNNNNNNNNNNNNNNNNNNNNNNNNNNNNNNNNNNNNNNNNNNNNNNNNNNNNNNNNNNNNNNNNNNNNNNNNNNNNNNNNNNNNNNNNNNNNNNNNNNNNNNNNNNNNNNNNNNNNNNNNNNNNNNNNNNNNNNNNNNNNNNNNNNNNNNNNNNNNNNNNNNNNNNNNNNNNNNNNNNNNNNNNNNNNNNNNNNNNNNNNNNNNNNNNNNNNNNNNNNNNNNNNNNNNNNNNNNNNNNNNNNNNNNNNNNNNNNNNNNNNNNNNNNNNNNNNNNNNNNNNNNNNNNNNNNNNNNNNNNNNNNNNNNNNNNNNNNNNNNNNNNNNNNNNNNNNNNNNNNNNNNNNNNNNNNNNNNNNNNNNNNNNNNNNNNNNNNNNNNNNNNNNNNNNNNNNNNNNNNNNNNNNNNNNNNNNNNNNNNNNNNNNNNNNNNNNNNNNNNNNNNNNNNNNNNNNNNNNNNNNNNNNNNNNNNNNNNNNNNNNNNNNNNNNNNNNNNNNNNNNNNNNNNNNNNNNNNNNNNNNNNNNNNNNNNNNNNNNNNNNNNNNNNNNNNNNNNNNNNNNNNNNNNNNNNNNNNNNNNNNNNNNNNNNNNNNNNNNNNNNNNNNNNNNNNNNNNNNNNNNNNNNNNNNNNNNNNNNNNNNNNNNNNNNNNNNNNNNNNNNNNNNNNNNNNNNNNNNNNNNNNNNNNNNNNNNNNNNNNNNNNNNNNNNNNNNNNNNNNNNNNNNNNNNNNNNNNNNNNNNNNNNNNNNNNNNNNNNNNNNNNNNNNNNNNNNNNNNNNNNNNNNNNNNNNNNNNNNNNNNNNNNNNNNNNNNNNNNNNNNNNNNNNNNNNNNNNNNNNNNNNNNNNNNNNNNNNNNNNNNNNNNNNNNNNNNNNNNNNNNNNNNNNNNNNNNNNNNNNNNNNNNNNNNNNNNNNNNNNNNNNNNNNNNNNNNNNNNNNNNNNNNNNNNNNNNNNNNNNNNNNNNNNNNNNNNNNNNNNNNNNNNNNNNNNNNNNNNNNNNNNNNNNNNNNNNNNNNNNNNNNNNNNNNNNNNNNNNNNNNNNNNNNNNNNNNNNNNNNNNNNNNNNNNNNNNNNNNNNNNNNNNNNNNNNNNNNNNNNNNNNNNNNNNNNNNNNNNNNNNNNNNNNNNNNNNNNNNNNNNNNNNNNNNNNNNNNNNNNNNNNNNNNNNNNNNNNNNNNNNNNNNNNNNNNNNNNNNNNNNNNNNNNNNNNNNNNNNNNNNNNNNNNNNNNNNNNNNNNNNNNNNNNNNNNNNNNNNNNNNNNNNNNNNNNNNNNNNNNNNNNNNNNNNNNNNNNNNNNNNNNNNNNNNNNNNNNNNNNNNNNNNNNNNNNNNNNNNNNNNNNNNNNNNNNNNNNNNNNNNNNNNNNNNNNNNNNNNNNNNNNNNNNNNNNNNNNNNNNNNNNNNNNNNNNNNNNNNNNNNNNNNNNNNNNNNNNNNNNNNNNNNNNNNNNNNNNNNNNNNNNNNNNNNNNNNNNNNNNNNNNNNNNNNNNNNNNNNNNNNNNNNNNNNNNNNNNNNNNNNNNNNNNNNNNNNNNNNNNNNNNNNNNNNNNNNNNNNNNNNNNNNNNNNNNNNNNNNNNNNNNNNNNNNNNNNNNNNNNNNNNNNNNNNNNNNNNNNNNNNNNNNNNNNNNNNNNNNNNNNNNNNNNNNNNNNNNNNNNNNNNNNNNNNNNNNNNNNNNNNNNNNNNNNNNNNNNNNNNNNNNNNNNNNNNNNNNNNNNNNNNNNNNNNNNNNNNNNNNNNNNNNNNNNNNNNNNNNNNNNNNNNNNNAUCAUCAUACCUGUGCACUGGAUUUUUAAUAUCAAUGCCACUGCAGCUGUGAUCAAGAAUAUAAGAGCGUUUAACAUCUUUUCUCCAUCGAGAAAGAAUGUACUGAGAUGGGAUCUCCUGCAUGCCACUCUGGCUUAGAACACAAAGAAUGUGUCUGCAUAAAUAUCCUCUGAAAUUGAACAACCCACAAACACAAAGCACCUCUAAGUCGGAGGCAUUGUACAAAACAAUGAAAGCCCUUGAAUCUUUCUCAUUGCUACCAACCUCGAAUUCUUCCUUCACUAUGUAUGUUAUAGGUCCAUCAGCACUAACAUGUUUUGUGCUAUAGCAAGAGUACAUAGCCUCCACCUCCGUCUGAAACUUCCUUAACAUUUCAUUUGUGUACAGUUUUGAGAGUUGAAAUUCAUAGUAGCAUCUUGGUUUCUGGAUACAACUUGAAUUUCUUGAAUCCAUAUCUGCCAAGGCUUCCAGUUGAUAAUUCGCCCGCAGUGCUUGAUCAUACUUGUCUAAGAAUUCUUUCAAAGGAGUAUUCGUAUCAAGAUAUCCUUCAAAGUAUAAAGUAGAAACCUCAUUCUGCAGGAACGAAAACACUCCUGAUAAAUAAGCUUCCUUCAAAUAAACAGGAGCCCACCCUUUACGAUCUUCAUAUAACGUUUGAAUCCAUCCGUGAUCCUUUAUUCCAUGACGUUGAAUCAUGUCUUCCCAAGCUGCUUCAAAUUCCUCAGGCCUGAGACAGUGAUAAAUUGCUCUAUGUAAUGCAGCUCUAAUAGCUUCUUAUUCAAACAAUCCUUCGAGUUUCUCUGGAAUUUUUUGCAUGAUGCAUGACAAUGAAAAGCAAUGAUAAGCUCUUGGGAAAACAUUGCCAACAGCAAUUUGCAAGAUUCUACAUUGGUCAGUGAUGAUUGUUUGUAGAGAGCGUCCUAACAUACAUGUAAGCCACGCCCUAAACAGCCAUGUAUAUGAUUCUAUAGUCUCACUGGCAAGUAAACCACAACCCAACAACACUGAUUGUCCAUGAUGAUUCACCCCAAUGAACGAAACCAGUGGCACAUUAUAUCUUUCUGUCAAGCACGUAGUAUCAAUUAAGACUACAUCACCAAAGUACCUAUACGCAACUCUUGACCUGGUAUCAGUCCAGAGCAGGUUUCUCAGGCAUCCCUUUUCAUUUAGAUCCACCACAUUAAAAAAGUUUGGAUCUGUCAACUGCCAACGACAAAAGAAACUCUGGAUAGCUUGUGCAUCUCCUGGUUUAAGCUUCAAUUGAUUUGAGCUAUUAACAUUAUUUUCAAAUACUCCACUAACAUCUACAUUACCAUUUCCCUUGGUAUCAAUGAUAAGAGUUCGAAACAGUCUAACUUUUUGAACUUCUUCAGCACCAUCUAAGUGCAACAUUCUUUUGGUUCCAAUACCUAUGUGCUUAUGUGACUUGUAAAACUUUCCGCUUCUUGGGCUUAACAAGUGGUUAUGGUCAAGCUCAACUUCAAUGAUUCUCCACCUUUUGGUUUCCAUCAACCUAAACUUUAUCAUUGCUGGACAGCCAGUUCUUGUUUCUGGUCUUGGGCGGUUUGCCUCGCUUUUCUUCUUGAAGCCUGCACUACUACAGCUCAGCUUUCCUCUAUACUUUUCUCUACUCUUUCGGUACCAUGUAUUGCUAACUCUAACACCAAAACCCUGUUCCUUGGCAUAGCAAUUGUAAAAGUAAUAAACGUCAUCAUAUGUCUCAAACUCCAUUCCAACAGCAGGAGGCAAUGGAUUUUGGAUUAUCCCAGUUUGUCCAACAUAUUCAGUAAUUGCACAAUCUCCUACGACCUCAAAAUCAUCAGCAUCAUCAUCACCUACUGGUUCAGUAUUCAGAGAAACUUCAUCCAUCUACAAUAGAUGUUUAAUGAAGUGAGCUUUAAGGAGAAAAAGCAAAAUCAGUAAGGAACGAUAAUAUAACCAUACAGUUACUUUCACAAAGCGUCGUAUUUCAUCACUGCUUUACCAACAUGCAACUGCCAGAGAACAAACAGACAUGUCAUAGACGCUUGAAUUAAGUAUUGGUACAAAUGAGCACACAUCAUGUGGGACAAAAUUUCAGUCACCAAACCCAAUACGACUUUUUACAUCAUACCAAGGAACAGAUUAAACCCGACACCUUCUUUUAAACCAUACCAAGGAACAGAUUAAAUCAUCAAUGAAAACUUAAUCACAUAAUAACUUAACCAGACAAAUGAAGGGCCUGAAACAGCAUAAAACUUGAAUCUGAUUAUGAUAAUUGUUGAGUCCUUGUAUCUACAGCUUUCCUUCAAUGAUAAGACAAUGAACAUAAACGAGACACAAAAAAUUUAUUUUAAACUGACAGCCCAUGAUAUAAAUCAAACAAAAUCAACUCCUUUUUUUACACAUCACAUCUCAUAUUCAUUUACAUUGAAACAAAAAAAGGAAGCGGGAGUGGGAAAAAAACAACAGCAGAGGAACUUAUUUCUAUAAGGUUUACGAAAUAAGGAAUCUAUUAAAACCCAAAACUUGAGGUCACCCCAAAGAAUUUGGUUCUCAUUAUUUUUUUCUUCAUUUUUCACCAAUUGAUGAACUUAAAAUACAAUCAUAAAUGAUAAAACCCCAUCUCAAUCUUUUUGAACUAGAGCUAAAGCAAAGCAUUUUAAGAUGUUUCAUCAUUUUUUUUUAAAAAAAAACCUCAAUAGUACAAUGUUUUUCAAUGUUAAAUGCACAAUUCAAUCUUCUCCUAAUUUACUCUAAUAAUCUCUUAAUUAAGGAAGAUUAAGCUUUAGUUGUAAGCUAAAACAAAUUUCUUAAAUCAAGCCCCAAUGCUUUAUGCUCUUCAACAAGGGCUCAUAAAUGAUAAAACUACUUCUACAAAGAUACCCAUUUUCUAAAUUAAUUUCAAAAACUGAAAUCAAACUCCUGAAACGUAACGAGCAUUAAUAUAAUCAAACCCGAACAAGAAUUGAAAAAUGACACAUAAACUCGUUUACACAUUUCGACAGACACUUUGCAAUCAAUGGGCAAAAAAUUAAUGGAGAAGAUAAAAUUCAAACGAAACAUGCCUUACAUUGAUAAAUUAGAAGGGCCAAAGAAAUUUUAGUACGAUAUGGGAUCAGGGUCUUGCCACGGUGAUGUUAUUUGUGAUGUUCGAGCGACUCAGCAACCUUCGAGGUUGAAAAUUUGAUUGACCAAAAGCUUCCCGUUCGUUGAUUCUCUAAUAGCAGAAACAAGACUGGCAGUAUACACAAGAAUGUGUUCGAUGAAUAUCAAAAUCUCAAAAACCUUUUGUUUUUCAUUUUUUUGGAAAAAACCAUUGAGAUCCUUACUAUUCUUUCUUAUAUAUUAAACAUGCAAAUAUACACACUAAUUUAGAUGUGUGAAUAACAAAUAUGGAACAACACAUGCAAAGUCAUCUGUAUAAUUGAAGUUGCUCCAAUGGUUACUGUUCAUUUAUUUUUAUUUAUGAAUUUUUUUGUAAAAUUUAAGAAAUAUGUAGAAAUGUUGCCAGCAAUGAUUUUGGAACUUUGCAUAAUAUUUUUAUCAUUAUUGUUUUUUGUAUUAAGAAAUCCGAGGCGGUGAUUAGACGUAUGUUGCAACAAUUAAGAAAUUUCUUAUUGGAAAUAAUUUGGUAGGUUGCAACAAUCAGAGAAUCAUUUUCCUGUCAGUUAAUCAAUCAAUAAUAAAUUUCAAAUUGCAGAAAAUAAAAUAAUACUGUAGCACUUAGAAUCAUCUUUUCUAUCUCUUUCAAUUGUGGCAAUCAUUUGUAACAAAUAAAUCAAUUUGAUGCACAUCAUUUCCCCAAUUCAAAGUUCAAGUCACUGCCCAAUUCAAAGUUCAAGAACUGCAAAUGAAGCCACAGCCGUGGGAUAGAAGCUGCUACAAUGCUGCGAGUUGUGGAGACUUUAAUGGGUGAAGGAUCAUUUGAAUUGGUGGGUGAGAGGGUGCCAGAAGAUGCAGCAGAGGAGAUAAAUUGUGAGCCAACAAUAAUGGGCAUGUUGUCGACUUUUGAGAAAGCCUGGAGAUGCCUUGAAGAAGAAUCGGUUGGAAUUAUUGGCCUAUAUGUCAAUGGGGGAGUUGGAAAAUAUUUACUCAAAUCAACAAGUUCCUUGAUAGUCCAAAUAAUUUUGAUGUUGCGAUCUGGGUGGUUGUCUGCCAAGAUUUGCAACCCCAGAAGUUUCGGGGAAAAGUUUGGGAAAAAAAAAGGCUUGUUCGAUGAGUCAUGGAAGAACUGAAGUUUUCAAGAGAGAGCACACGAAGUUUGUAUUACUGAUGGAUGAUAUAUGGGAGCAGGUUGAUUUAAUUAAAAUUGGUGUCCCUCUUCCAAGCACAAAAAUUACUUUCAAGAUAAUCUUCACAACUCCUUCUAUUGACAUUUGUGGCCUCAUGGAAGCUCACAACAAGAUUAAAGUGGAGUGUUUAAAUGACGAAGAAGCAUGGGAAUUAUUCUGCAAGAAGGUUAGAGAAGAUGUGGCGACUCUGUCCAAGUGCUAAGGAGCUCAACCUCAGAAUUUCUAGGUACGGAAAAAUAAGUAUAUCCUCUUUUGAAAUUCAGUUAUGAUAAUUUACGUAGCGAUAAAAUUAGAUCGAGUCUGUUAUACUGUAGUUUGUUUCCGGAAGACUUUCCAAUUAGCAAAAUGGAAUUGAUACAUUGUUGGAUAAGCGAGGGCCUUUUGGAUGAAACUAAUAGUUCUGAGAUAUGAAAUCAAGGAUACUACAUUAUUGGUGUUCUUGUUCCUUUAUGUUUAUUGGAAGAAGAGGCUCCACUUUAUGUAAAAGUGCAUGAUGUGAUACGCGAUAUGCUUCUGUGGAUAGCAUGUGAAGUUUUUUUUUGAUAGGGAUAGCAUGUGAAGUUGAGAAGGAGAAAGAGAAUUUUUUGGUUCGUGCAGGUGCAAGGAUUAACUGAAGUACCAGACAUUUGGAAAUGGGAAGGGUUGAGAAGGGUGUCUUUGAUGAGCAACAAAACUGAGAAGGUAUCAGAAAUUCCUUCAUCUCACGAUCCACUAACUUUGUUGCUUCAACAUAAUUAUUUAGAGAUGAUCAAUAAUGACUUCUUUCAAUCUAUGCAUUCCCUAAGAGUUUUGAACUUGUCAUGUAAUCAUUCUCUAACUGAUAAUUUCAAAGUUAGUUUCCCUACAACAUCUUAAUUUAUCAAUGACUAACAUACGAGAGUUGCCGAAUGAGUUAAAGUUUGUAGUGAAUCUAAAGUUUUUGAAAUUGGAGUAUGCACGGUUUCUUCAUUCAAUUCCAGGGCAAGUGAUAUCCAGUUUUACGAUGUUACAAGUUUUGAAGAUGUUUGGUUGUGGGAGGUCAUCUUCUGAUCAUGAGCCACACCAGAAGAUAGAGUUUUAUUUGAAGGCUGUAAACUUUUGAUUGUGGAGUUGUUUGGUUUGAGAGACAUUUAGAUGUGUCGACCAUCAUCCUAACAAGUUCCCAUGCUCUGAAAAGAUUUUUGAGCUCCAACAAACUUCAAAGUCGUACUCAAUCUCUCUAUCCUAAAUGCUUUGAUAAAAAUUUAAUUUAAUUCAAUCCAACUAAACUUAUCAAACAUGAGAAAAAAAUUUAAUUCUAAAAUUAGUCCAAUUCCAUAUUUAAUCCUAGCAUUCAAAUAUAGCCCAAGUUGUUUGCUUAAAGAAGCUACCAAAUUUGAAGAGCGUUUACGGGAAGGCCUUGCGUUUCCCAGAUGUAUGUAGAUUUUUUGUAUCUAAAUGCCCAGAACUUAAGAAGCUGACGCUGGAUUUUGAAAGGGCGGGCCAAGGUAAAAUUCUUAUCAAGGGAAAGGAAAAUCGGUGGGAACAACUUCAAUGGGAGGAUCAAGCAACUCAGGAUGCAUUGCUUCUGUUUUUCAAAUCAACUGACAAGUGAUUGAAGGGGGCAUCAUCAACAUCAUCAGCCUGGAUGGGGAGAUUCUGGAGCAGAUCUGUAGGGUUUGAAUCUGCAUCAUCAACAUCAUCAGGGUCUGUAUUUCUAUUGCUGGUCUUAAUGCUUGCUUACUGUUGCUUGACAAAGUGAGCCAGUUUUUUGUUUAUUAAAUUUUGUCUUGAAGAGACAGUCACAAAGUAUUUUUCUUAGUUGUUCUAUAUGAGAGUGAUGUGAAUCAAUGUUUCAAUUAUAUAUUCUGUGGUCAUUUUGAAUUUUGUUUAGAGAUGCAAACUUAGAAUAUGGAAAAGUUCACCGGCAAACAUUUUGUAAAAGGUUCCAACUGAAAUAGGGAAUGCACUUACUGCUAAGGACAUUUGGUGGCCAGCUAAUGCAUUCAUUUUAUAUCCAUUCAUCAUUUUAAUUAUUGAAAACAAGUGGCUCAUCGCUUUUACUUUAGGUAAAAUUCAGAUAAUCUCUAUUAUGAAAUGAUAAUAUUCUAUUAAAUUAUUAUAAACCUCAGCCAAUCUUAAUUUUAUUUAAAAGAUAAAAGAAAUAUAGGUUAUGUUGGUGACUUUUUUCUUAUCUUUUUAAUAAAAAUAAAAUAAAAUGAUGUUUAUAAUUGUUUAAAAUACUUUAAAGAUUGUUAUUUUAUGAGAGAGUAAUAUUUUACUUUUUUAUUGUGAAAGGCUAAAAAGGACAAAGCAAGUGUCCCUGGUUUUUAUUUUAUUUGAAAUUGGUCAUCUCGUAUACUUUACAUUUCAACACUACAAUUUUUUUUGUUAUAUUUUUAUUAUUUUUUUCUUUUUUACACAUGCACGUGAAUUUCUUUUCUUUAAGCUCCUGAAUAUUUAAGACAAAUCAUGGAAGAGAUGAAAAUAUAACAAGAUGAUCAAAAUACGUAACAAAAAAUUUACAAGUGAAACAUACGUUAGAGUCGAAGUAAAACUCUGAAAAUAGAGAUAUUGAUUAAUUUAGAAGAGAUGCAAGCAAAAGAUAUUCUAAAAAAGAAGAAAAGCAAUCUGUCACUUUCGAGGGCAAACUUGUUAGUCUCAAAAAGGUACAUUUUGUUGUUGUGCAUUAGUUGGAGAAGUCAAGCCUAGUGAAAAAUGUUAUGAAAGAGCAAAUGAUAUUUCUGACAGCUUUAUUUGAUUAUGUAUUCAUUUAAUGGAUGUAUUGUUAGAAGAUAUCUAAGUGCAUUAGUUUAUCGGUGUCUGUCGAUGUGCUUUUAGUGAUUUUUCCAGCUGUUUGCUGUAAAAGAUGAUUGUAAAUUGAAAUGAACUUGAUGUUGUAAUAUUUUCUCUUUAGUGGAAUCUCCAUUGUGUUGUCAAUAAUUUUGGUCAAAAUUAUUGUUAUUAUUUCUUACUAGAGGUAAAUUUUUUUGUUAAACCUCAUUAACACAAUUCUUAAUUAGAAGUAUAGGUUAGUGUCGGUGCAGGAUUUGCAGCACCAAAUCCUGCCUAGCUACGUGUCAAAAGUGCAAAAUAAAUGAAGAGAAAGCACAAAUACAUGACUUGGAUUAGGAUAGAAGGAAAUUUAAAUCUUAGAGAAAAGGACAGCUAUAUCCCAAUAUUUGAAAAAAUUGUCAUAUAGAUUUUUAAGAUUUCAAUAAGGGACGGAGAUCUUCUUUUGAUAAAUAAUAUCUUUUAGCUCUCUCAAGUAAAAAAAAAUUAAAUUAAAUAUUUUAUAAUAAAUAAAAAUAUAAUAUUAAAAUAUACGUGAUAAUAUAUACAUUUUAAAUAAUUUCAAUCUAAAAAAAUAGUUAUGUUUUACAGGAUCCACCUAUGUUACAAUAGUGGUAUAGUACCACAGUUUUUGUUCUUAUCCAAUGUAAUAAUUGGAUGAUUUAGAGCUUAAUCUAUCGGCUUAAAUUAUUUUUCUGAAUAUUUGAAGCAACAACUUGCAACCGUUGGAGCCGGUUGCAUAUUAAUUUAAUAUCAUUUGGGGAAGCGUACGGUCAGGAAGUUUCUUAGUAUGCCAACAAUGGAAUUUGAUUUCAUCUCAAAUCGAUCUGCAGGCAGCAAUUGGGAAAUUACACUCACGAUCUUCCUCUUCUUCACUUCCUCUCUACUCUUCACUUUUCUCACUCUCGCGAUGUUUACAGCAUGACAAAUACAAUUACAAACCAGGAAAUGCCAUUAACAAUUUUCAUUUGUCUUAGUCCGUUUUUUUUUUUUUUUUUUCUAGUAGAAAGCCAAAAAAACAAAAAAGAAAACGGGUGGGAGGUUGGGGCGCCGUGAUGAGAUGGUUUUGAGUUUUUGACGGAAUGUUUGUUUUUGUGAUUCAUUUAGGGUUUGAAUUCAGGCUUGUACGAACUCGGAUCUAUUCGAGAUCCGUAUUGGCGCUGAAAUCAGAUCCUUUGAAGCCUUGGUUUGAAUUCAACCUUGAGAACUCGAAGCUUGUUAGAAUCUUCAUUGAUCUCUCCAGAAAUUACACGGAUCUUAUUACUAAACCCUACAUAUCGGGCUGCAAUGGAGUCCGAUUCUCUCACAAUUAAUGAAUCAAUAUUGAGACAGUUCGAAAAGGAAGUAAAAAAGAGAAUCAACUUGACUGGCUAUAUAAUUGCGGAGGCCAAAGAGUCUUUUGAUAAUCAAUUGAAGAUUUAGAAGUUAAAAGACACUAUUUUUACUAUGAAUGAACAAUUGACUAAGGCGAAAAAGCAAGGAGCAUUUUUGAGUUUGAUUGCUGCGAAAUCGAUGCCUUAGAGUUUGCAUUGUUUGGCCAUGAGGUUGAUGAAAGAGCGAAUUGUUCAUCCGGAGAACUAUAAUGAAGAAGGGAAGCCCACACAUGCAGAAUUCGAGGAUCCCAAACUUUAUCAUAAUGCUAUUUUUUCUAGGUAAUAUGCUUGCAGCUUCGGUGGUGGUGAUUGGUGAAUUUAGCUGUUAAGAACUCGAAGGAGCCUUGGAAACAUGUGUUUCUUGUUGUGAUGGAUCAAAUGAAUCUCGGGGCAAUACAGGUUAUGUUGAAAUUUAAGGAUUAUAAUGGAGCACAUUUAGGCACGAAGGCUGUUGGGGAUUAUAAGUUUUUGAAUUCUCACAUGUCCCUGUGUUAAGGCAGCCGGCGUUUGCUAAUUUGCAAAGGUUUUAGUUCGGGAAGUAGCUUGAGAAUGCUACCAAAGAUGCUACUAACCUGAAGUUUAGGAAUCCCAAUUACUUGUUGAUACUGUAUCAUUUGAGGUUCUGGAUAAGAUUUCAAUGAUGGCCGCUUAAAACAAAUAAAAAAAAGAACUUGUACUGUAUUGGAUCUUUACUUAUUUGAUAUAGUUUUCCGCAAUCUCUCUAUGCAACCGGUUACUUUAAUUAUCCACUAACUCAUCUCAACCGUUUGAUGAACUCACUUUAUAUCCAACGAAAGUUUUAAAUGAAGACAAAAAGUGUGGUAUGUUGCAAUUGUUGCAACAUAUGUGAGUCCUGUUUUACAAUCUAUUUAACAUAUUUUAUUAAAUUAAUAUAUUUCUAUGAUAUAGGAACAUAAUAUUAAAAUAAAUUUACAAAAAUUUAAAGAAUUUUGAAUGUAAAACAAUUUCAAUAUAUUAAUAGUGAGAUUUUUUUAUUAUUAUAAAAAUUAUUUAACCCAUAGAUUUUUUAAAAUCUUUACAAUAAGUAUAAAUAUAUUAUCUUCAUUUUAAAAUAUUUAAAUAUUAUUAACCUAUAAUUAGGUUUGCAUUUAUUAGAAAAUUUUAAAGUCAAAUAUAUUGCACUUUUGCAUUAUUAGAAUCAUCACAGAGAAAGGAACAUAUAUAUUGUAUAGCUUUAGAAAUUGGUUUCUUUUACGUCUGGAAACAGAGAUGAUGAUUAUUAUAAGGAUGAAAAAAAAAGAUAAAGAAUAUUAAUGAUUAAUGAAACCUUUAUGCAAAUUGAUUUUAGUAGGGAAAGAGUCAGAUGAAUGGCUUCUUUUACAGCUAAAAACAUAGAUGAUGAUUAUUAUAAGGUUGAAAAAAAAAGAUAAAGAAUAUUAAUUAUUAAUGGAAUCUCUAUGCAAAUUGAUUUUAUAGGAAAAAAGCGAGCUAAAUGAUUUAGACAUUCAUAGUGUAUUUAUUUUUUGAAUUGGUGAAUAAGAAUUAUUGACAACGCUAACUUCAUCUUCACCGUUGGCUAUCCAAUAGCGGCAAUUGUCGCCGAUAAUGAUAUCUCCAAUGAUGAUGACAAUUUUUUUUAUUAUUAUUAUUGGUGGCCCCUUGGAAAGUUAACUGCAAGUGCCAAUCAGAGAAAAGUCGUCAUGCACAAUCCUCAAUCGGACCAAUCUACAUUACAGAUUCUGUAACGUACACACCAAAUGGGAAGCAGCACACGUGUUCUGAGGAGAGAGAAAAACCGUGCAAAUGCAGGCAAUAGGAGUUGGCUACAGUUGGAUCUGUAAGUUACAGAAUCUGUAACUUAGCCAACUCCCUCAAUGAUCACUAUUGUUUCCGAUAUUUAUAAAUUGGUGGCCCCUUGGAAAUUUAACUGGAAGUUUGCAAGUGCCAAUCAGGAAAAAAUCGUCAUUCGUUGUUUUUUUUUUUUCUGCAUUCCCUUUCAUGUUCUUAAUAAUUGAAGACAGGUUGUUCAUAACAUGUAUACUUUUCAAAUGUGGAGCCGCAGUUAAUGUUGCUAUUUUAAUUUGGGAUUAAAUUAGGGGAACACUAACUUUUAUAUUUAUCUAAACUCCUUAAAUUUAAGACAGAUUAUGGCGUAAAUAAGAAUAUAAUAAUAACAAAGGAAUUAAAAAGUAUAGUGAAGAUCUUGCAGAAAUAUAAAUAUUAGCGUUGAAUUAAAUAACACAGAACACAUGAAUUGAAUAGUGAUUAUCAAGACGGUGUUACUUGCACUCCUAUUUAUAGAAAAUCUUGGUUCUGUUCCAUUAGAUUUUUUAUCUUCAAAAUCUUGCAAAGUUUUGACAACCCAAAGGCUCAGUUUGCUUGUUCUAUAUUUGUAUGAUAUGAAUUCAAAUUUUUGUGUUUUGUUUUUCUUAAUUCUGAACACGGAUUCUUCUCUUCUCGUGCAAACCAGAAAGAAAUGUUGUCUUACAAAAAAAGGGGAAUAACUUCAUGAGAACAAAAAUUCAGAAAAAUAAUAUAAAGUUUAUAUUUAGACUUUUGAGGUAUAUUUUAACUUUCAACAAUGAGUUAAAGAAAAUAAAUAUUUUAAAAGAAAAUAAUAAAUAAAGUAAAUAAAAGUUGGAAAAAUGACACAUACACCCCCAACGUAUAAUAAAGGGACACAAAACUCCCUAAUAUUUGAAAAAAGACAUACAGACCCCAUUUAAUAACCGAAACAAUUUCGUUAAAUCAGUCAAAUGUUAAUAUCGUAAUUGCAUAUUAAUAACAAAUGAAUUGACCAAAAACCCACACACGAACAAAACGCUUAACACACAUGCACUGACACUGCUCCUCCCAGAUCUUGACAUAACGGACACACUCACACGAUUCGCCGGAAACUGCUGGAAUUGCUGGGGUUGCCGGAAGUCGCUGGAACUGUGGGGCCUGCCGGAAGUCCAGCCGCUGGAACUGCUCGCGCUGCCGCAAGCCGCUGGAUCUGCUCGCGCUGCCGCAAGUCGCUGGAUCUGCUCGCGCUGCCGCUGCUGCGUCGAUCGAGACCGCGUCUGGCUGCUGCUCGUUCGUGUGGCUGCUGCUCGUGCGUCGUUGCUGCUCGUUCGCGUGGAUGCUGCUCGUUCAUCUUCAAUCCACGGUUCACUUCUCUUAAACUAGUUUUUCCCUCUUUAAUUUUCAUUUUUUUACUAAAUUAACAAAUUAACAACUUGAGCGGGGAAGUUCCUCCUUCCCAAGGUCAAUUUGCUACCUUUGAUUCAGACUCUUAUAUCGGCAACGAAUAUCUGUGUGGACUUCCACUUCGAAAAUUGUGUGCGGGGAAUGUUUCAACACAUGUAUACGAACGUGGAUCAGGUGGAAAACAUGAACUGAGCUGGCUUAAUGUUAGCUUGUCACUAGGAGUUAUAUUGCUGAUUUUUGGAGUGUAAUUGCUCUUUUUUCUCAAUAAAAGAUGGUCAACAAUGUUGUGAAACUUAAUAACUAAUUUUAUUUAUUUUUAUUCUUGAAUAAUGGAUUAAAAUUAUUUGGCUUGAAGAGAAUUUGAUAAAAAAUUAUUAAUAAUUUUAUUAUAUGGACAAAAAAUUUAAUAGAGAAAUUGGAUAAUGAGGAUAUAUUCGUAAUUUUAUUAAUAAUAUAUGGGUAAAAUAGAUAAUGAAUAAUUUUUUUUAUAUGCUAGAAGGAUAUAACAAUAAUUACACGUUAAAAUUAUAAUUUCCGUUAAAACUAACGGUUUCGUUAAGAAAUUGGGGUCUGUAUGUCUUUUUUCAAACAUUAGGGGGUUUUAUGUUCCUUUAUUAAACGUUGGGGGUGUCUGUGUCCUUUUCCCAUAAAAGUUUAGAGAUUCAAAUUUUUUGUAUUGGAUUCUUUAAUUCAAAUACCUCUUAAUUAAUUAACACUUAAAAGAGAGUUCACUAUUAUAAUUUUAAGCUUUUUGAUUUAUUAUUGAUAUACAAAUUAGGAGUUUAAGCUUACUUUUUUAUUUUUCCAUUUUUUUUCAAAUUUGAAAUUAUUAUUUAAAUUUAUAAUUUUUUUUAAAAAAUAAAGGGCUUGAACCUGGCUUGGUAUUGUUUCCUAAACCCUUAUCCGGCCCGGCUUUUUUGCCAACCCCAAUGAUGAUGAUGAUGAUUAUUUUAUUAUUAUUAUUAAUGAUGAAAAAUAUUAUAAUUAAUUAAUAUAUUAUUGUAUUGUUAUUAAGAUUAACAAUAAUUAUUAAUAAUAACAAUUUUUUGAAUAAAAAUAAUCACAAUAAUUAAAAUAUAAAUUAAUAAUUAUAACAAUAGUUAAUUAAUGUCUUUUUAGCAAUUUGUAAUAAUUUAACUCAUUUUGAUUUCGAUUAUUAUAGUUAAGUAAACAACUUAUUAUAAUUCUCAUUCUCCAUUUUGAUUUCAGCUUAUUUCGAUUUCAGUCCAUUCCGAUUUUCAUUUAAUAAACGUUCCAUUAAUGCUAUAGUAAUAUUUCAUAUAGAAAAAAAUAAAAACUACAACUAAGGUUAAGGGAAAGGACUUAAAAAUUCUCUUUGGUCAUAAUACAUUUUUUCCUAAUUAACUUAAAGAGUUUGAAUCUAAUAUUUUAUAAUAAAUAAAAAUAUAUUUCAAAAGUAAAUAUAAUAUAUCUAUUUUAAACUAAUCUCAAUAUUUAAAAUAUAUUUAAUAUUUUACAAUCUAUUAGACAUAUUUUAUUAUAUUAAAAUAAAUUUUACAAUAAAUAUGAACGUACUGUUAAAAUGAAUAUAUAAAAAACUUAGAGUAUUUUGAAUAUUAUAUAAAAUAAUUUUAGUAUAAUACGUGAGAUAUAUUUUAUUAAUGUAAACUGCUAUUUAAUCUAAAGAUUCAUUUAUGAUAAAUUAAUAAUUAUAUUUUUAAAAUUAUUUUAAAUAUUAAUUUUUAAUAUUUUUAAUUUAUUAGACAGAUAAAAUUAUUUAUAUUAUUUUGUAUUUGUUAAAAAAAUUUAAAGUCAAUUUUUUUAAUUACUAUUCAAAGGAUAUAAUAAUUAAAAAAAUCUUAGCGUUUUUAUUAAAAAUUUAAAAAUUUACAUGCUAUUUCUAUAAAUAUUUAAGGUAUAUAUGAACUUCGGUGGAGAAGCUUCAUUUAAUAUUAUUGAUUUAAAUAAUAUCUCAAUUAAAAAUGUACAGAGAACAAAUUUCGGUGGGUAUUUCAGUCUUUUUAGCAAUUAUCAUGGUUAGCCCUUGGCCUUGAAACGUCUGUCAGAAAGGUUUCAAAUGCUUUAAUUGUUCUUAUAAAAAAAAAAAAAAAAAUGCAUUAAUUGUUUUUUCAUUUUAACGUCAGCGGCCUUGAAAGUGCUUUAUCUUAUAACAAAUUAAUUAAUGCUGACGAGAAAAUAUCUCUUCCACAGCCCACAGCAGCUUCUGUUAAUCAAACUCAACCAAUUUUCUCUCUUAACAAAAUUCCAAAGAUGGGUAGCGUUUUUCAGAUCACAUGCGACGGCGCUUUUUUCAAUCGUUGCUUGGAUUGCUUUCUUGGAAAAGCAGCAUACAUAAGCAACAUCCAAGAUAAUCUUGCAGCCUUGGAGACUGAACUGGGAAGACUAAUCGCAGCAAAGAACGAUGUGAUGAUGAUGGUUGUCAAUGCUGAACGGCAACAAAUGAAAAGGCUAGGCCAAGUGGAAUGGUGGGUGUCGAGGGUGGAUGCUGUUAAAAUUGAAGCUGAUGAGCUUAUCAGAGACGGCUCUCAAGAAAUUGACAAAUUAUGUGUUGGAGGCUACUGUUCUAAGAACUGCACGUCAAGCUACAAGUUCGGGAAACAAGUGGCUAAAAAGCUACGAGAUGUGGAGACUUUAAUCGCCGAAGGAGUUUUUGAGGCGGUGGCUAUCGAGGUGGUGCCUGAGAGAGCUCCGGAGCCUGUAGCAGAUGAAAGACCUACCGAGCGAACAGUAGUAGGCUUGCAAUCACAACUUGAACAAGUCUGGAGAUGUCUUGCAGAAGAAUCAGCGGGAAUCAUUGGCCUAUAUGGUAUGGGCGGUGUUGGUAAAACUACACUAUUGACCCAUAUCAACAAUAAAUUUCUCGAGAGUCCAACCAACUUUGAUUGUGUGAUUUGGGUAGUAGUUUCAAAAGACCUGCGACUUGAAAAAAUUCAAGAAAAUAUUGGGAAAAAGAUCGGUUUGGUUGAUGAUUCAUGGAAGAGUAAAAGUGUAGAGGAGAAAGCUCUCGACAUCUUCCGGAGUUUAAGAGAGAAGAGAAUUGUAUUGCUGUUAGAUGAUAUAUGGGAGCGGGUUGAUUUAACAAAAGUGGGCGUUCCACUUCCAGGACCACAAAAUACUACCUCAAAAGUCGUAUUCACAACCCGUUUGAUCGAUGUUUGUGGUAGCAUGGAAGCUGACAGGAAGUUCAAAGUAGCAUGCUUAUCAGAAAAGGAUGCUUGGGAACUGUUUCGAAAAAAAGUUGGGGAAGAAACUCUUGGAAGUCAUCAUGAUAUCGUUGAGCUAGCCCAGACUGUGGCCAAAGAGUGUGGUGGUUUGCCACUCGCACUUAUUACUAUUGGUCGAGCUAUGGCCUUCAAAAAGACAGCCGAGGAGUGGAGUCAUGCAAUUGAUGUGCUAAGAACAUCAGCUUCUGAGUUUGCAGGUUUGGGAAAAGAGGUGUAUCCUCUUUUAAAGUUUAGCUAUGAUAGUUUGCAGAAUGAGACUAUUAGAUCUUGUUUCUUAUAUUGUUGUUUAUAUCCCGAAGAUUAUGGAAUUCUUAAAUGGGAUUUGAUUGAUUGUUGGAUUGGUGAGGGAUUCUUAGAGGAAUCUGACAGGUUUAGUGCAGAAAACCAAGGAUACUACAUUGUGGGCACUCUUGUUCAUGCAUGUUUAUUAGAAGAGUUAGAAGAUGAUAAAGUAAAAAUGCAUGACGUUAUUCGUGAUAUGGCUCUAUGGAUAACCAGUGAAAUUGAGAAGGAGAAGAGAAACUUUUUGGUUCGUGCAGGUGCUGGAUUAAAAGAGGAACCGGCUGUUAAAGAAUGGGAAAAUGUGAGAAGAUUGUCAUUGAUGCAAAACCAUUUUAAAACUCUGUCAGAGGUUCCUUCAUGCCCUCAUCUCCAUACUCUAUUUCUUGCCUCUAAUGAUAAUUUGAGGAUGAUCACGGAUGGCUUCUUUCAAUUUAUGCCUUCUCUCAAAGUUUUGAAGAUGUCAAACUGUGUGGAUUGGCCAGUUUCGAAAUUACCUUUGGCGAUGUCAAAGUUGGGUUCACUACAACUUCUUGAUAUUUCACAUACCAGCAUAGAAGAGUUACCAGAAGAGUUGAAGUUGUUGGUAAAUCUGAAAUGUUUGAAUUUGAGGUGGACAUUUGAGUUAAAUAAAAUUCCAUGGCAACUAAUAUCAAAAUUUUCAAGGUUACGUGUGCUGAGAAUGUUCGCUACUGGCUUUGCACGUUUUGAUGAAGCAUCAGAAGACAGCGUUUUAUUUGGUGGGGGUGAAGUUUUAGUACAGGAAUUGGUCGGUCUGAAAUAUUUAGAGGUAUUGGAGUUGACCUUGGGAUGUCAUCAUGCUCUCCAAAUUUUUUUGAGCUCAAAUAAGUUAAAAAGUUGUAUUCGAUCUCUUCUCCUCCAAUUGGCCGGAGAUACAAUGUCGAUUAUUGAUGCUACGGCUUUUGCAGAUCUAAAGCACCUCAAUGAAUUAUGGAGUGAUAGGGCUAAGGAGUUGGAAGAAUUGAAGAUUGAUUGUAAAGAAAUAGUACAAAAAAGGCGGGAACCUUUUGUUUUCCGCAGCCUUCACCGUGUUACUAUACAUAGCUGCCAGAAGUUGAAAGAUUUGACAUUCCUCGUUUUUGCUCCAAACCUCAAGUCUCUCGAUCUAGACCGUUGCGAUGCUAUGGAAGAAAUAAUCAGCGUCGGAAAAUUUGCUGAGACUCCUGAGAUGAUGGGACAUAUAAGCCCUUUUGAAAAUCUCCAAAUGCUUGAUUUAGAAGAUUUGCCACAUUUGAAGAGCAUCUUCUGGAAGCCAUUGCCUUUCACUCAUCUGAAAGAAAUAUCUGUGGGUUAUUGCCGUAAUCUUAAAAAGCUUCCACUCGAUUCCAACAGUGCAAAGGAGCGUAAAUUUGUUAUUCGUGGAGAAGAAGACUGGUGGAACCGACUUCAAUGGGAGGAUGAAGCCACUCAAAUUGCUUUUCGUUCCUGUUUCCAAUCUCUUUUUGAUUAACUCUUAUACAUUUUCUCGUCGUUUGCUUCGUGCAAAAGACUACGUCUUUUGUUCUCCGUUUUUAUUUCAGUUUCGUUUUUUGUCUCCUGCAAAUCACAAUUAAAUGUUGAAUUAUAUGGAAGUAACGCUUUAUAAAUUUGCCGGCACUGCCAUUUCUUUUUCCUCUUUUUUUUUUUUUUUGGGUCGAAUUGAUGCUCUGGCUUUUUUACUUUUUGUCAUCGAAUUUUGCUCUGUUUUUCAAAUUGAUGCUUGAAUAUGUGAAUUCAAUUAAUGCUCACAUAAUUUUGUUUAGUUGCCGUAAAAGAAUAUAAUUAGACUGAAAUUCGCACUCCCAGAAUGAAUAGAAUCACAACAGAGAAAAUAUUAAGUAUGCUAGCCCUCUUUACAGAAAAUCAAAUGAAAAUAAAAUUUUUUUGGAUAUUUGAUUUUCUAUGGUGUACUAAAUACACUUUAUAAAUUCUUCUGUUCUAAGGAUAACCAAAUCCUUUGUUCAAGGAUUUUUAUUUGGGGUAUUGAUAAUAGUCCACCAAAAUAGUGAAUGCUUGGAUGCUGAUUAAGGAUCUGUAAUCAAUAAGCUGGAAGCAAACGAGAAGGCGGUCGCUACUCUGUACAAAGCCAUGCAGCAAUUGCUAUUCAUCUUAAAUUCUUAAUAAUUACGAAGCUUUGGUAAAAUUUUCAAACAAAGUUGACAUGUUAUUUUGAGAUUUGGUUCCUGAUUUUGGUUGAAUUUCGCUGUUUCGUUUGAGUUGGAUGUGAAUUCAAAUCCAAAUAUUCUUUGUUUUUCAAUUCUGAACUCAAUUUCUUUUUCUCAAGAAUGUUAUGCAGAAAUGAUUUUUACUAAAUCAUUUUUGAUGAAUUGUUUAAAUUAAACAAUUGGGAUAAGAAUUGUAACGAUUUAUCAUAAGCGUGCUAAUAUGAUAACUUGUUUUACAAAUGAUUAAUUAAUCAAUUAAUAUUAAAUUAUAUAUUAGUCAAUUAGAUAUGUGUUACAUUUGUCAUGUUUUGUAGGAGCGAUACUACAUAAUUUCUAAAAGAAUAUAAUAAAAACACAUUAAAAUGUUAUUUUAAUGAAGAAAAAAUUAUAAUUUUAUUAAAUAGGUGACACAAUAAUAAAUGGAUUUCUGUAAGAAUUGAGAUUCUUGAGAUAAUUUUGACAUGAUAAGAAGACAACACAGCACAGAAAACCCAAAUUGCCACUUCUACUAAUAAAAGAUAACCUGUUUGAAAAGUAAUUAUAAACUACCUUCUUUGCGUUAUUUCUCAAAACUUUUGUGGCACAAAUGUUAUUUCCAUUGACAACAGUACGAAAUACCGCCCCUUUCACUUGAGCAGGAGCAAAGCAAAGGUAUGAUGAGCUAUCUCUGUAUAAUUGAAACGCCAUUACUAAACGAUUCUUGAUGAUGGGAGCCACCGUGCCAGCUUUGUCGCUGAUUUGCAUGAUUUAUUAGUUGUCCAGAUGGCGGAUUUUGUACUGUUACCUUCUUUUCAUUCUUCAGAGCCAUGUACAGUUCUAGGAUACCAGAGAAACCAAGGUGGCAUUGAAGUUGCCCCGGUGGUUAGUUUUCAGAUCAUUUUUUUUUAAUUCAAUUAUUUAUGUUUUUAGAAAAAUGUAGGAAAUAUGUAGAAAUGUUGACAGCUAUGAUUUUGAAACUUUUGCCUAAAAUUAUUAUCAUUACUUAUUGUUUCUUAUUUAAAGAGAAAUCCUAGAAACAUGAAAUGAUUAUUCUACGCUUGUUUUAAUAUUAUACUAUGAAGAUUAUGAAGGUUUGAUUAUAUGUCACUAUCAAUUGCCUUAAUCGUUUGUCGUAAAUCAAUUAAGCAUUUUGAUGCGAAUGAUUCCCUAUUAAAAAAUUCAAGUCAGAGCUGAAUUGCAAAGUAGUUAGUCGUGCUUGCAAUUCAAAUUAAGUAUUGUAUUUUCUCCCUGAUUUGGUUGAUUCAACUAUGUGCAUUUGCUUAUGAAUGUUGUAGUAUAGAAAUCGAAACAUCUUGUCUUUUGCUAAGCCCAGAAGCAAAUUCUUUGUAUUCUACUCAUCAGUUUUCUUCAUUCUCUUCGUUGAAAUUUUAUCCAAACAGCGGUUUCGAAAUUGUUUUCACUACAAUACCUUAGUCUUUCAGAUGCUCCCGUCACUGAGUUGCCAGAAGAGCUAAAAGCCUUGGUAAAUCUUAAGUGUUUGAACCGGAGUACACAAAUUAUCUCUCUACAAUUCCGAAGCAACUGAUUUGUUACUUUUUGAUGCUACAUGUUCUGCGAAUAUUCAGUUGUGGUUAUCUUGUUCAAAUACCAGAAAAUAGCGUUCUAUUUAGUGGUAAUGAAUUCUUGGUUUGGGAGUUGCUUAGUUUAAAACGUUUAAAUGUAUUAAGCAUCAUCUUGAAAAGUUUUUCUGCCGUCCAAAAACUUAUGAGCUCCCAAAAGUUUCAAAGCCGUACACAAUGCUUGGAGCUUCUAGACUGUGAUGAUCCAAAGUCAUUUGCCUUGGCAGAGUUGAAGCAUCUUGAAAAACUAGGUUUUUCGAGUUGUGGAAAUUUGGAAGAGUUAAAGUUCUGCUGUGUCGAAGUUGCAAAGGCUCGAGAAUGUUUUCGUUUGAACGGCCCUCACUGAGUUAAGAUGAAGGCUUGUCAUAAAUUGUGGGUCUUGAAUCAAAUUUCAAUGCAUGAAUUAAUAUUUUUUAAAAAAAUUACUACACGCAGUUUAGGUUACAAACUAUUUUUUGCAAAGUUGACUAUGAAAUUGGAGAAAUUAAGUAAUUUAUAAUGUUUGCAAAGAAAGAGACUAACAUACUUCCAAUUACACUAUAUCUCUAUUAUCAUAAUGUUAAGACUAAACUAACUUAAAAUAAAUUUUAUUUGAAAAGUUAUAUCAAACGCAAUCUAAUUUUAUUAACUUGAAGAGAUAAUAGUUAUAGAAAUUAUUGUUCUAACUUAAUUAGUAUAAGUGGUAUAAAGGUUAAGUGUGCACUAAAUUCGUUUAAAUUUUUUCCACUAUAACUAACAGAGGUCAUUACUAGAAUUAUAUUACUAGUCUAUUAGAUAGAAAAAAUUAUUUAUAUUGUUUUAUAUUUAUUAAAAAAAUGUAAAGUCAAUCUUUUUAAUUACUAUUUAAAGGAUAUUAUAAUUAGAAAACAUUUAAUGUCUUUAUUAAAAAUUUAAAAAUUUACAUGACCGUUCUAUAAAUAUUUAAAGUGUAACUGUCAUUUUCUCAUAUAUAUAUAUAUAUAUAAACCAUGGUGGUGAAGCUUUAUUUAAUAUUAAUGAUUUAAAUAAUAAUAUCUCAAUUAAAAAUGUAGAGAGAAGAAAUUUCGGUGGGUAUAUUAGUCUUUUACAAUUAUCAUGAUUAGCCCUUCCUCUUGUAAUGUUGGUAAGAAAAGUUUUAAAAUGCCUUGAUUUCUUUUACUUUUAACGUUAGCGGCCUUAUAUUUUAUUACAAAUUAGUCCUAACAAGAAAAAGCAAGAUCAUAUUCCACAAAAGCAAAAGUGACAAAACAACCAACUGGAUUAUUUUUUUAAACUACAAAUUGUAUAGUCUUUUUCAAAUUGUUAUAAAUUGGUGGCCCCUACAAUUAUCAACUGUGCAAGUGCUCAUUCACAAUCUUCCAGGUCAUGCUCUUAAUAAUUGUUUUUUUUUUUUUCUGCAUUCCCUUUCAUGCUCUUAAUAAUUGAAGAGCAUACUUUUCAUUUUCAAAUGUGGAGCCGCAGCUAAUGUCGCUAAUUUAAUUUGGGAUUAAAUUAGGGGACCAUUAUAUUGCAGUGUGCACUAAUUUUUGUGUUUAUCUAAACUCCUUAAAUUUAAGACAUAUUAUGGCAUAAAUAAGAAUAUAAUAAUAACAAAAGAGUUAGAAAGUGUAGAGAAGAUCUUGCAGAAAUAUAAAUAAUAUCUAUUUUAAAAUAAUAUCAAUAUUUAAAAUAAUUUUUAGUAUUUUAUGAUCCAUUAGAUAUAUUUUAUUAUAUUAAAGUAAAUUUUAUAAUAAAUAAAAACGUACUAUUAAAAUGAAUAUAUAGAAAAUUUAGAGUAUUUUAAGUAUUAUAUAAAAUAAAUUUAAUAAAAUAUGUGAGAUAUUCAUAGUUUAUUAAUUUAAAAUACCAUUUUAAAAUUAAAGAUUUAUUUAUGAUAAAUUAAUAAUUAUAUUUUUGAAAUUACUUCAAAUAUUAAAAAAUUAAUAUUACUAAUCUAUUAGAUAGAUUAAAUUAUAUAUAUUAUUUUCUAUUUAUUAAAAAAUUAAAAUUAUUUUUAAUUACUAUUCAAAAAAUAUAAUGAUAAAAAAAUCUUAACAUCUUUAUUAAAAAUUUAAAAAUUUACAUGAUCAAUUCUCUAAAUAUUUAGGGUAGAUGUGAACCACGGUGGAGAAGCUUUAUUUAAUAUUAUUGAUUUAAAUAAUAUGUCAAUUAAAAAUGUACAGAGAAGAAAUUUCGAUGGGUAUUUUAGUCUUUUCAGCAAUUAUCAUGAUCAGAUCAGCCUUUAACCUUGAAACGUCGGUCAGAAAAGUUUUAAAAUGCUUAAUUGUUUUUCACUUUUAACGUUGAUGGCCUUGAAAUUGCUUAUAUUUUAUUAAAAAUUAAUGCUAACAAGAAAAAACUAGGUCAUAUUCCACAAAAUCAAAAGUGACAAAACAACCAGCUGGUUUCUUUUACUAAACUACAAAUUAAAAUAGAUUUUUUCGAUAAAUUACAAAUUAAAGUGGAUUCUUUUUUUUUUUUGAAAGGUAAAGUGGAUUCUUUUGAAUACAAGUGAGACAGAUUAGGCUCUUUUUAUUAAAGACAAGUAAAAACUAGUCAAGAAUCGAAUAAUCCUUUUCAAAAUCUUGUUUUAUUAUUUUUCAAAACUAGUUUUUGGUAAUUACAAUCGGGUCAUUAAUCAUUAUUCAAAGUUAGCGGCUCAUGUUUGCAAGUGUGAAUGUGCGAUGCUGCAAUUACAGUGGGGCCCGAAUCAGACGUGCCGAAUAAAUCUUUUUAAAAUUUUUGCCGUAUAACGAACAGAGGUCAUUACUAAAAUUUCUCUUCCAAAGCCCACAGCAGCUUCAGUUUAUCAAACUCAAUCAAUUUUCUUUCUUAACAAAAUUCCAAAGAUGUGUAGCAUUUUUCAGAUCACAUGCGAUGGUGCUCUUUUCAAUCGUUGCUUGGAUUGCUUUCUUGGAGAAGCAGCAUACAUAAGCAAACUCCAAGAUAAUCUUGAUGCCUUGGAGACUGAACUGGGAAGACUAAUCGCAGCAAAGAACGAUGUGAUGAUGAGGGUUGUCAAUGCUGAACGGCAACAAAUGAGAAGGCGGGAAGGAGUGCAACAAUGGGUUUCGAGGGUGGAUGCUGUUAAAACUGGAGCCGAUGAACUUAUCACAGACGGCUCUGAAGAAAUUGGCAAAUUAUGUGUUGGAGGCUACUGUUCCAAGAACUGCAGGUCAAGCUACAAGUUCGGAAAACAAGUGGCUAAAAAGCUACAAGAUGUGAAGACUUUAAUCGCCGAGGGAGUUUUUGAGGCGGUGGCUACUGAGGUGGUGCCCGAGAGAGCUCCGGAACCUGUAGCAGAUAAAAGACCCAUUGAGCCAACAAUAGUAGGCUUGCAAUCACAGCUUGAACAAGUUUGGAGAUGUCUUGUAGUAGAAGAAUCAGUGGGAAUCAUUGGCCUAUAUGGUAUGGGCGGUGUUGGUAAAACCACACUAUUGACCCGUAUCAACAAUAAAUUUCUUGAGAGUCAAAACAACUUUGAUUGUGUGAUUUGGGUCGUAGUUUCAAAAGACCUGCGGCUUGAAAAAAUUCAAGACGAUAUUGGGAAGAAGAUAGGUCUGUCUGAUGAUUCAUGGAAGAAUAAAAGUGUUGAGGAGAAAGCUGUAGACAUCUUGCGGAGAUUACGAGAGAAGAGAUUUGUAUUGUUGCUAGAUGAUAUAUGGGAGCGGGUUGAUUUAACAGAAGUGGGCAUUCCACUUCCCAGCCCACAAAAUACUACAUCAAAAGUCGUAUUCACGACCCGUUUCAUUGAUGUGUGUGGUAGCAUGGAAAGUCACAGGAAGUUUGAAGUGGCAUGCUUAUCAGAAGAGGAUGCUUGGGAGCUGUUUCGAGAAAAAGUAGGGCAAGAAACUCUUGAGAGUGAUCAUGAGAUCGUUGAGCUAGCCCAAACUGUGGCCAAAGAGUGUGGUGGUUUGCCACUNNNNNNNNNNNNNNNNNNNNNNNNNNNNNNNNNNNNNNNNNNNNNNNNNNNNNNNNNNNNNNNNNNNNNNNNNNNNNNNNNNNNNNNNNNNNNNNNNNNNNNNNNNNNNNNNNNNNNNNNNNNNNNNNNNNNNNNNNNNNNNNNNNNNNNNNNNNAUUGAUUGUUGGAUUGGUGAGGGAUUUUUGGGGGAAUCUGACAGGUUUGGUGCAGAAAACCAAGGAUAUGACAUUUUGGACACUCUUGUUCGUGCAUGUUUAUUGGAAGAGGUGGAAGAUGAUAAAGUAAAAAUGCAUGACGUUAUUCGUGAUAUGGCUCUAUGGAUAACUGGUGAAAUUGAGAAGGAGAAGCGAAACUUUUUGGUUUGUGCAGGUGCUGGAUUAAAUGAGGCACCGGAUGUUAAAGGAUGGGAAAACGUGAGAAGAUUGUCAUUGAUGCAAAACCAAAUUGAAACUCUGUCAGAGGUUCCUACAUGCCCUCAUCUCCUCACUUUAUUUCUUGACUUUAAUGAGGAUGUGGAGAUGAUCGCGGAUGGCUUCUUCCAAUUUAUGCCUUCUCUCAAAGUUUUGAAGAUGUCAAACUGUGGAAAGAGUUGGAGCAAUUUUCAAUUACCUGUUGGGAUGUCAGAGUUGGGUUCAUCACUAGAACUUCUUGAUAUUUCACAUACCAGCAUAAGAGAGUUACCAGAGGAGUUAAAGAAGUUGGUAAAUCUGAAAUGUUUGAAUUUGAGGCGGACAGAAUUGUUAAAUAAAAUUCCACGGCAACUAAUAUCAAAUUCUUCAAGGUUACGUGUGUUNNNNNNNNNNNNNNNNNNNNNNNNNNNNNNNNNNNNNNNNNNNNNNNNNNNNNNNNNNNNNNNNNNNNNNNNNNNNNNNNNNNNNNNNNNNNNNNNNNNNGCGUUUUAUUUGGUGGGGGUGAAGUUUUGAUACAGGAAUUGCUCGGUUUGAAAUAUUUAGAGGUAUUGGAGUUGACCUUGGGAAGUUAUCAUGCUCUCCAAAUUCUUUUGAGCUCAAAUAAGUUAAAAAGUUGUAUUCGAUCUCUUCUCCUCCACUUGGCCAGAGAUACAACGUCGGUUAUCGAUGCUACGGCUUUCGCAGAUCUAAACCACCUCAAUGAAUUAUGGAUUGAUAGGGCUAAGGAGUUGGAAUUAUUGAAGAUUGAUUAUACGGAGAUAGUUCGAAAAAGGCGGGAACCUUUUGUUUUCCGCAGCCUUCACUGUGUUACUAUACAUAUCUGCCAGAAGUUGAAAGAUACGACAUUCCUCGUUUUUGCUCCAAACCUCAAGUCUCUUUCGCUAUUCCAUUGCGGUGCUAUGGAAGAAAUAAUCAGCGUCGGAAAAUUUGCUGAGGUUCCUGAGAUGAUGGGACAUAUAAGCCCUUUUGAAAAUCUCCGACUUCUUCGUUUGUCACAUUUGCCAAAUUUGAAGAGCAUCUACUGGAAGCCAUUGCCUUUCACUCAUCUGAAAGAAAUGGUGGUACGUGGGUGUGAUCAGCUUGAAAAGCUUCCACUCGAUUCCAACAGUGCAAAAGAGCGUAAAUUUGUAAUUCGUGGAGAAGAAGACUGGUGGAACCUACUUCAAUGGGAGGAUGAAUCCACUCAAAUUGCUUUUCGUUCCUGUUUCCAGCCUCGUUCUUGAGCAGUGGCCGCAAAAUUUGAUUUCUGGUGAGUGCGUUUGUCUUUUAAAAAGAAUAAUUUAAAAGAAAUUUAUUCUUGUCGUUUUCUUCACUGUUUUUAUUUCAGUUUCUCUCUCUCUGUCUCUCUCUUUUUGUCUUCUACAAAUCACAAUUAAAUGUUGAAUUAAUGGAAUUAAUGCUUCAUAAAUUUGCCGGCACUGCCAUUACUUUUUUUUUUAAUACAAAUUGAUACUUUAUUUAUAUCUUCUUAGCGAUAUAAUUUCCUGUCAAUUGACGAACGAGAAGAACAUAUGACUUAAACCAAUUCUCGCAUAAACUUGCUGUAAAAAGAUAUAAUCUCACUGAAAUGCACACGUCUAGAAAGAAUAGAAUUAAAACAGGGAAAAUCUUUACCGAAAAUCAAAUGACAAUAAAUUUUUUGAAGUUUUGAUUUUCUAUGGUCAAUUCCACCUUUUGCAAUUUCUUCUGUUCUAACAAAAACCAAUUUCUUUGUUCAAGUAUUUUCGUUUGGGUAUUAAUAAUUCUCCACCGAAAGAGUGAACUCUUGCUCAAGGGAUCUCUAAUCAAUAGCCGGAAGGGCGCCGAGACCUGAUCGGACCUAGGCCCAAGUUUGGUCUUAAAGCCUGGGCUUGAGCCUGGCAAUUAAAUUAAAACAUUAAUUUAUUUCUUGAUUGAAUUGUCGUGUAAUUGAUUUAUGGGGGAUGACACAUCAACAUACUUGAAAAUACACUAAUCUCAGCAUCAUCGGUUAAUAACUUUUAGAUUUAUGGGUAAUCAAUAGUUAAGAUUAGUUGUCAUUAAUACUAAAUAAUUUUUACUUUUUUUUGUCUCUUCUAGAGGAUCUUCUAGAAAAAUGCAUCUGCAAUUAAAUUUAAUACUUUACAUAAUAAACAAAGCAUAAAUGUUAAAUUUAAGAAACUGCAUUGUAUUUCAGCUGAAGUUGACUUUAAUAUUUAGGGUAGAAAAAAAUUAAAUCCUUAAUGUGUUUAAUUUGUAUCACUUGUGUCAUUAAAAUUUUCUAGUCACCCUAACCAAUUACAUCUCAACCCACUUUUUUUUGGAUGAUUUUAUUUUUACACUAUUAUUUUCAACAUUUUUUUCCUUUUAACACCAACAUUAGUGUAUGUUACGUAACAUAAUUCAUAUUUGGAUAAUUUGAAAUUUGUUUGUGUUUUAUCUCAAAAUAGAGCUUCAAUCAAUUUGUACCUCAUAAAUUCACAAUAUCUAUGAAGGCUAAUAAGACCAAACUCUGGCAUAUUGUCAAAUGUGCUUAUCCUUUUGCUUGACAUGUCAUUUUAAAAUUGUCAUUCAAUGCCAAAAAAUCACAUCAACUAAUGGCCGAUAAUUAUAACUUAAUUGUUAUAUUGAAAUUUUUUUCUUUAUAAUUUUUAAGUUUAAUACUGCUACAUGUGUAGCACAUAAGUUGGAAAAUAUAACAAAAAUUGAAAAAUGUGUAGUUUUCGUUCCUUUUUUUCCCCUUAAAAAUGAAAAAAAAACAACAGUAAUUUUGUUUAAAUUACUGUUGUGAUAACAAGUAUUAUUUUAUUGAUUAAUUGGCAGAUAAUCAUUAUGGUUUCGUAUGGUUGUUAAAAGAUUGGAAAGUCCACUACAUCAUCCGUUAAUAACUUUCAGAUUUAUGGUUAAUCAAUAGCUGAGAUUUAUUAUCAUUAAUGCUAAAUAUUUUUUUCUCUCUCCUAGAGAAUCAUCCACAGCAAAAAUUUAAUAUUGUAAAUAGUAAACAAAAUAUAAACGUUAAAUUUAAGAAACUGCAUUGCAUUUCAGCCGAAGCUAACUUUAAUAUUUAAUGGAGAAAAAUAAUUAAGUCCUUAAUGUAUUUUAUUUACCCAUACAUGUGGCUAAUUAUUUAAGAUAAAGGGGAAGGAUGAUGCUCAAAAAUAUAAAUUAUAGAAUUAAUUGAACUCUCAAGUAAGUUUAAAGUUCAUUAUUUUUAAUUACAUGUUUAUAAUUUAUUUUUAUUUCGUAUUAAUCUAUAGAUCUAAAUCCACUUUGGAUUCAUAUACAUAUAUAGACAUAAUGUGUAUGUUAAUCUAUAGGUCUAAAUUCAUUUUAGGUCUAAAUCCACUUUGAAAAAGAUAAACUUUAAAUUUACUUAAGAGAGUAAUUAAUUUCAUAGUUAAAAUCUUUAAAUUUUACCCCUCAUCUUAACUUAAGAAAAUUAAUCACUUAUUUUAUUUAACAAAGAAGAGAUUUUUUUUCCCCCUAUAUUUUCCAAUUAUUUCUCUCCCUCUCGCUCCCUCAAGUUAUACAACUUGACGUGAAAUAUGAGUGGUCUGAUUCUAGCUUAAAUAAUUUAUUGUGACAUGCUAUCGAAGGACAAUACAAUACCUAGCUCUACAUAUUUUAUUUAACCUCCGGCUCACCCUGUGCAAACUUGCCUUUCCCCUGCAAGACAAGAUUAAUCAAUGUAUCAAGUCUCAAAUUCAAUUUGGAAUAUGACCAUCGUACGCUCUUGUUCUUCCCUCUUUACGAGUGCAUUCCCCCCAACCUCAAGCUCCCUCUCUCGUCUUCAAUGUCACUGCUUAUAUCCUUAUGUUGUUCUCAAAUUCUGAUUUCACCAUAUUUUAAUUACUGAUUAGCAUAUAUUCAAGUGCUCUCCAUUAUAAUAGAAGCCGCCGCCUCACUCGUGAUUCCAAACUUUAUCUUUUUUCCUUUUUUAAAUUAAUGCAAGUAGCCGCUGUCCUUUUUAUUAAUUAAUUAAUUCGGCCGCCCACAUUUCUUUUCCUAAUGUCUUCUACUGUCGAUUUUCUUUUAUUUUUUCUUUAUUCUUAAAAUAUGCUUUUAAUAAUAAAAUAUAAAAAUAUAAAUUAAAAUAAAAAUAUCAAAAUAUAAUUUAACAGAAAAUUAAGAUAAAAAAUGAAAAAAAAUUAUGAGCAUAUCAAUUAAUAAAUAAAAAUAAUAAUUUUUAUUUUUAUUAAAUAUAUAUUUUUCAGUAUUAAUCAAUUAUCUGAAUAACUAAAAUCAUUUAAAAAUAAAUAAAUAAAUUAUUCUUUAAAAACAAAAAGAAAAGAAACUUUUUAUAACACUCACCAUGCUGUUUGUAGGGUAGACGGUUUGGGGACUGAAGUUGGUAACUUCUACAAGUAGUCUUAAGUUGACUGGCAACAACUAUAUUGGCAUUUUGACAUACUGUACUGCAACCAUAUUGGUAUGUUCAAAUGUUCUUACUAUUGUAUUGGUGUGUCAAUAUUAUCUCUAACUGUCCUAUAGAUAAAAAAAUAAUCUAAAUUUAUAAUUUAACAUAAAAUAAAAUAAUUAGUUAUAGAUAAAAAAAUAAUUUAAAUUUAUAAUUUAACAUAAAAUAAAAUAAUUGGUAGAAAAACAAUUAUGGUUCAUUUACUUAUCAGUAAUCAGAAUAGACUGAAAUCGAAAUAAGUUGUAUUGCCGUUGAUGUGUUUAUGUUGUCCUCGAAUCGGAAUGAAUUAUUUUAAGUUACUAAAAUACCCUUGGUUUGUUAUUCUAAUAAUUAUUAUUUAAUAUUUAUUAUAAUAUUUUUCAUAUUAUUAAAAAGAAAUAAUAAUGAUGAUAAUAUUAUCAUUAUUGUUUGUUACAUUAUUAUUAUUCAAAAAAAUUAUUGUUAAUAACAAUAAUUACUUUAUUUCAAUAAUAAUAAUGAUAAAAUUAAUAAUAACAAACAUGACAACAACAAUAAUUAUUUAUUAUGCCAAAAAUAACAAUAAUAAUAAGAAUAAUAGUCAUCAUCAUUUUUUUUCCCAAAGAAGCAUUAUCAUCAUCAUUUCAAAAAAAAAAAAAAUCAUCAUUAUCAUCAUCGUUUUUGUAGUGGCUGCCUAUCGACUGCUGCUUUCAUGUGAGAUUGACUUGCGACGCUUCAACGGCUAUUAUUUCUGGCAAUGUCAGGUGUUACUGUUUCAAUUUAGGAAGAAGUUGUUUCGUUGUACUAACGAUGGGAGAUGUUGUGGCUGCGAUUCGGGGAGCUACUAGUUUAUUGCACUAAUGACGGCAGGUGCUGCUGCUUGAUGCGAGGUCCAUGGCCAGUUGUCAGCAGUUUGACUUUGGUAUGGGUGCUACUGGUUUGAUUUUAGGUGUUGUCCAAUUUCAUUUUCAGGAUUUUAAUUUUAUUUUUUCUUUAAUGUUUUCAUUAAUUAAUCAGGGCAAAGUUGGAUUUUAGAAUUUAGAAUGAAGGUAAUUUUGUUAAUCAUGGAAAUGAGAUUCUGAUUGUCGAGAAUGAGCUUAUACAAGCAACUGCAAAUUAAGUGAAAACAAAACGCUUUUUCUCUUUGUGUGAUUAAAACAUGAUAUGUAUCAUAAAUAAAUAAGUAAAAAAUAAAUCAAUACAAUCCAAAACAGUAAACAAAUUACAAGAGGUACAGAUUUUUAUGUGAAACACCGAAAAUAGAAAAAAACCACAGUAUCUUAGUCUGAUAUAAUCUUCUACUGUAUUAAUGGGAUUACAGCACAAAUUCUUCCCUAUAUACCACUAGAGGUUAACAACAUCUAGAUUCUCAAUAAUAUUGACUUACAAUACAGCUUAAUAUAUGUCUCUCUAAUAAGUAGAUAUCUAAAAUAACAAUCUCUAAUAAAUAAGUAUCUCAAAUAACCGUCUCUAAUAAGUAGGUAUCUUAAAUAAUAGUCAACAAGAGGAUAAAACAAAAAAUUAAGAUUAGUAGGAUGUGUAUCAGGCAAUGCUAUCAACUUAUUAUCUAAAUUUGAGAAAAAUAGUUAAAUUCACUUUUUCGAUUGUCCGACCAAAGAUGGAAACCCUUGCCCCAAAACCAAAGGAAUCAACAUUGUGUCUCUCUCUCUCUCUCUCUCUCUCGUUAUUUUCUUCUACUUUUCUUAAUGUUAGCCGCCACUUGCUUUUAUUCUUUAUAGCAUUUAAAAAGCUACUUUUAAUGGUAAAUUUAUAAGUCCAAACUUGGUGAUAAUUGCACACCAAACAAUCCUUACAUAGUCUUUUAGACCUCUAAAUGAGAUGAAUACAGUAAAUUUCCCCUUUUAGAUCAUGUGGGGGGCACCACAAGGCCACUCUCUGCAUAUAGCUUUUCAACUUCUCCUUGAAUAAUGUCUUUGUCAUCAUACAUAACCCAUUCUCCGUUGUGUAAAUCUUCUCAAGCUGUAAAUGUUCCUUCUCAAGCACAUCUCGUAUCUAACGAUACCUCACAUCAAUAUGCUUAAAUUUCGAAUGGUAUAUCAAAUUCUUUGAACGACACUCUGACUGUCGUAGUACAUAACAUAGUUGUCUCGUUUUACACCGAGCUCUUAUAGGAAAUUCUUCGUCCACAAUAUUUUUUUGCAACCUUCAAUAAUUGUAAUAUCAUUUGCUUUAGUGGUAGAAAAGGCAACUUAUUACUAAAGUUUAGAUUGCGAUGAGACUGCUCCCCUUGCAAAAGUGAGCAAACAUCCUAGUAGGAGUUUUUCGGAAUCAACAUCUCCUGCCAUAUCUACACAAUUGUAAAACAUGUUUGUCACUACCAAAAUAUAAACGUGCUCUGGAAAUGCCUCUAAGAUAUUUGAGAAUUUUUCACUGUUGUCCAGUGCUGAAGCAUAAGGAACUCCUCUCAUGGAGAAAUGGAUUUUGCUCUUAGAGAUUUUUGGNNNNNNNNNNNNNNNNNNNNNNNNNNNNNNNNNNNNNNNNNNNNNNNNNNNNNNNNNNNNNNNNNNNNNNNNNNNNNNNNNNNNNNNNNNNNNNNNNNNNGACACUUUUUCAGGAGAUGCAAACUUCAAAUAUAAUGGGAGACGAGUUUACCAUUGUUAGCAUUCUUACAGCUCGUGCGAAUCUGGGGGCACUAGAACUGGGAGAAUGGAUAAAGACUUAUACUGACAAAAACAAAGUCAAGAAUGAUAUAUUUGCGGGGAACGUUUUGAUAGACGUGUACUGUAAAUGCGGAGAUGUUGAGAAAGCUCAAAAGGUAUUCAGGAAGAUGCUUUGAAAGGACAAAUUCACAUGGACGACCAUGAUUGUUGGCCUUGCCAUCAGUGGCAAUGGUGAUAAAGCUCUUGAUAUGUUUUCCCAAAUGCUUAGGGCUUCGAUCAAACCGAAUGAGGUAGCUUAUGUUGGUGUUCUGUCUGCCUGUACUCACAAUGGUAAUGAAACUUUUGUGAUAAAUAGUUGCAACUAAAGGUGAGAAUUGGAGGAAAGGAAAUAGACUGAAGUUGUUCAAUCAUCAGUGGUUGCUAUUUGGUUUUAAGUUGUUCAAUCAUCGGUCGUCUCUAUUUGGUUUUCUCCAAUAUCUCAUCUUCAGUUUUGACUCAGAUUCUAUCUUACCACUAGUAAUUACAUAGACUUGCUGCCAAAGGUAAGAAUGGGAAUAAAUUAAAUAGAUUAUGUCGAAAACGAAAUAAAUUUACUAUUGUUCUGUUCAUUCUAUUUGUUUCCUACAAAAUAUUUCUCCUGCCUAAAAUUUUUUGAAUCAGUAAGUUUUUACCUUAUGCAAGAAUUGUGCUGAGAGUAAUUCCAUUUCUCAGUCUCUUUAUGUUUCAAUGAAGACGUAAAACUUGUGUUCUAGUGCACCAAUGUUUAUGCUUCUUACAAUUUGACUUUAAUUUACUUUGUAAAACUUUUGUCAAAAAGUACUAAAAAGUAGUGCACCAAACACCAACUUUAUUACACUUUAGUUUAAUUUUAAGAGAACACUCAAAAGAAAGAGUUAUAAAUUAGUAUAGAAAUAUUUCACAUAAAUAAAAGCCAUCCCAUGCUACAAAGAUCUUGCUAUCAUCACCAAAAACUAUCGGGAGCUUUUAGGGUUUCCAAAAAAAUGUCAUUUCGUUCCAAAAGUCAAUGGUGGGUAGAAAGUGGUGCAAAUGAGACUCAUUGUUAAUGGUAUAAGUUUUUGCUUAAUUAUGUCUUCCCCAAGAUGAUGAUUUAAUUUCCAUUCUCAAUUAAUUUUCAAGUUUCAACACUUUUCUAUCUAGCAUGACAUUGGAAAGAUCUUGUACAGUUGUACUACUAAAAGCUAGCACCACACGUUAGUUAUUGUUAAGUUCUUUUUCAACGUGAAAUAAAGGAAGUAGUCCCUCGUUAAAACCAUUAUAGCCAAAUUUCACCUAAUUGGACACUUACAGACUUUCAUUUCAAGUUGGAUUUUGGUCCAACGUUUCAAAGUUGGCCCAAUUAUUUUUGUCUGGUCAAGUCCUACGCAGCUAAGCCCCUCAAUGAAUGAGGGUGAGAUUGCUAAAAAUUACGACAGGUGAUAUUUUAUUGUUAUUAUUAUUAUUUUUGGGGGAUAAAUCCUCACCAAAGUGAGGAGAUUUUAUCAAAAUCAAAAUAAAAAUAUAACAAGAACUGAAAGUCGGGCAGCCUAAAAGCUAGAUGAACUAAAAGUCAGGCGCCUAAAAACAACCUUAUGCAAAAGAAAAGCAACAUGAGACCGAUCAAGUAAAAGAAUCCACCGCAACACCUAAAUUGGCCAAAUUAUCUGUUGGUAUUACAAGUUUCUUGUUAUAAAAGUGUAGAAUGAAGUAGGUGACGUAGUUUUAAGUUACAGCUGCAUGCCCAAUCGCAAUAUCAAAUAAUGCUUAAAGUAGUUGCCUAGGCGCCACAAUUUAUAUUAACUCUUAAAUUUAUAAAUAAUUAAAUUUUUAAAAGUUUGGAUUUAUAUUAAAAAAUCUUCAUAUAAAUAAAUCAUAUAUGCACUUUUACAACACAGUCUUUAAAUUUAAAUUUUUCUAGAAAAAUCUUCUGUAUAUCUUUUCUAUUAAAAAAUUUCCAUAUAAAUAAAUAAUAUACCUAAUUUAAUUGGACCCAGCACAACGUACAUGCAUAGAACACAUUCCGAAAAGCCAUGCUAUUCGGAAAUUGACGAAUGAAAAGUGAGGAGGCAGCAGUCAAUGCUACUUCGGCUUGGCCCAAAAUUGAUUUAUCAGUUUCACGUAUGCCAGGAAUGAAGAACUGGAAUAUCCCCGUCAAGCAAGCAACCUGUGGAGCAAUACCAUAGAAUGCACAAUCCGGCUUUGCAAAGUGACACUGGAGGCUUUUUGAAAAGUGCUUCAUGCUCACUUGCACAGAUUGAGCAUCCCCUCUGGAUAUUGCCCUCUCUGAUCGAGUCUGAGCACUCAAAUUUCGGUCCUCAGAUGGAGCUACAGCUUUCUCUCCCAAUAACCAACAAUUUUCUAAACUCAGCACCCUCGUGUGAUCAGAGUUGUUGAUAUUUGCAAAUGGAGAUCCCCCAUAUUUGCAAAUGGAGACAUUUAACAAAUCACCAACAUGUUUCAUUCAGUCUACGAAAUUCUGCAGCUUAUUCAAAUCCGGAACCUGAACCAGAGUCGGAGGUAAAUCUUGAGCCAUAUCUAAAGCAGCCUGAAGUUCAAGUACUUGAGCCCUUGACAAUGGUUUUGAAAUUGGAACAUCUUGGAUUACUGCAGAUUUGUACCCCUUGGUUUCAAAAGUGUGAGAGGCAUUGCUCGAGUACAAUUUGGAGGCAGCUUCUUCACCAAUUUUAUUUGGAGGCGAUUGGCAGCGGAUCCAGCUGCACCAAUUUCAGAGCAAAUACUGACACUACUUCGAACAGCACGCUGAAGAAGAGAUAUGUCUAUGGCAAAGGCAAUGCAGUCCUUAUUUUGACUUGAGAUGCAGUAAUCAUCAAAGAGAGUUUCCUUGUGAAACUGGGCAAAGCAUCGAAUCCCUUCACCACUGAGAAGGUUGUGGAGGAAGUGAGCUUUCUCUCUUGUGAGGAAGAGGUGGCGUGCCUUCCCCAUUUUGUCUAGGGCAGGUAUAAAUCUCUUUUCUAAGAGAUUUACUCCAUUCUCUGUGAGAAAUGCUUUGAACUUCAUCCCUCUGUCUGUAUCCUCACUUAUCAGGAAAAUAGUUGAAAGCGCUACAAGGAUAGAGAAGGAAAGUAUUAAGAUAAAUAGACAAGAAAAAUAUUAGAUGCCGAUCUUACAAACUAAUACUCCAAACACUAUCCUAGAAAGCUAAAAACUGAAGGAUGGCUUGAAAUUUUGAAAAGAACACAUGCUUUUCCUCCUUAACUUGGGAAAAUGUUUAAUAUAGUGCAACUUACAGAAGCAUUUAAGCAAUUAGAAAUUAGCACAAAAACAUCAAGAAGACUAAACAAAUCAGAUGCAGUGUAUUUGUCCAAGCACAAAUUGCAUUUUGUCCUCAACUUUAAUAUUUAUUGAUGAGAAUCAAUACAGGUCCCUCAUUUGUUAUAGAAAGCUUUCUUGUAGUCUCACCAGUUAAUUCACAGGUCUAUAAUCAUCUUGCAAAGUUAAGGGCAUUCUUCCGAUCUAAAGUCUUGCAUCACCACCUNNNNNNNNNNNNNNNNNNNNNNNNNNNNNNNNNNNNNNNNNNNNNNNNNNNNNNNNNNNNNNNNNNNNNNNNNNNNNNNNNNNNNNNNNNNNNNNNNNNNNNNNNNNNNNNNNNNNNNNNNNNNNNNNNNNNNNNNNNNNNNNNNNNNNNNNNNNNNNNNNNNNNNNNNNNNNNNNNNNNNNNNNNNNNNNNNNNNNNNNNNNNNNNNNNNNNNNNNNNNNNNNNNNNNNNNNNNNNNNNNNNNNNNNNNNNNNNNNNNNNNNNNNNNNNNNNNNNNNNNNNNNNNNNNNNNNNNNNNNNNNNNNNNNNNNNNNNNNNNNNNNNNNNNNNNNNNNNNNNNNNNNNNNNNNNNNNNNNNNNNNNNNNNNNNNNNNNNNNNNNNNNNNNNNNNNNNNNNNNNNNNNNNNNNNNNNNNNNNNNNNNNNNNNNNNNNNNNNNNNNNNNNNNNNNNNNNNNNNNNNNNNNNNNNNNNNNNNNNNNNNNNNNNNNNNNNNNNNNNNNNNNNNNNNNNNNNNNNNNNNNNNNNNNNNNNNNNNNNNNNNNNNNNNNNNNNNNNNNNNNNNNNNNNNNNNNNNNNNNNNNNNNNNNNNNNNNNNNNNNNNNNNNNNNNNNNNNNNNNNNNNNNNNNNNNNNNNNNNNNNNNNNNNNNNNNNNNNNNNNNNNNNNNNNNNNNNNNNNNNNNNNNNNNNNNNNNNNNNNNNNNNNNNNNNNNNNNNNNNNNNNNNNNNNNNNNNNNNNNNNNNNNNNNNNNNNNNNNNNNNNNNNNNNNNNNNNNNNNNNNNNNNNNNNNNNNNNNNNNNNNNNNNNNNNNNNNNNNNNNNNNNNNNNNNNNNNNNNNNNNNNNNNNNNNNNNNNNNNNNNNNNNNNNNNNNNNNNNNNNNNNNNNNNNNNNNNNNNNNNNNNNNNNNNNNNNNNNNNNNNNNNNNNNNNNNNNNNNNNNNNNNNNNNNNNNNNNNNNNNNNNNNNNNNNNNNNNNNNNNNNNNNNNNNNNNNNNNNNNNNNNNNNNNNNNNNNNNNNNNNNNNNNNNNNNNNNNNNNNNNNNNNNNNNNNNNNNNNNNNNNNNNNNNNNNNNNNNNNNNNNNNNNNNNNNNNNNNNNNNNNNNNNNNNNNNNNNNNNNNNNNNNNNNNNNNNNNNNNNNNNNNNNNNNNNNNNNNNNNNNNNNNNNNNNNNNNNNNNNNNNNNNNNNNNNNNNNNNNNNNNNNNNNNNNNNNNNNNNNNNNNNNNNNNNNNNNNNNNNNNNNNNNNNNNNNNNNNNNNNNNNNNNNNNNNNNNNNNNNNNNNNNNNNNNNNNNNNNNNNNNNNNNNNNNNNNNNNNNNNNNNNNNNNNNNNNNNNNNNNNNNNNNNNNNNNNNNNNNNNNNNNNNNNNNNNNNNNNNNNNNNNNNNNNNNNNNNNNNNNNNNNNNNNNNNNNNNNNNNNNNNNNNNNNNNNNNNNNNNNNNNNNNNNNNNNNNNNNNNNNNNNNNNNNNNNNNNNNNNNNNNNNNNNNNNNNNNNNNNNNNNNNNNNNNNNNNNNNNNNNNNNNNNNNNNNNNNNNNNNNNNNNNNNNNNNNNNNNNNNNNNNNNNNNNNNNNNNNNNNNNNNNNNNNNNNNNNNNNNNNNNNNNNNNNNNNNNNNNNNNNNNNNNNNNNNNNNNNNNNNNNNNNNNNNNNNNNNNNNNNNNNNNNNNNNNNNNNNNNNNNNNNNNNNNNNNNNNNNNNNNNNNNNNNNNNNNNNNNNNNNNNNNNNNNNNNNNNNNNNNNNNNNNNNNNNNNNNNNNNNNNNNNNNNNNNNNNNNNNNNNNNNNNNNNNNNNNNNNNNNNNNNNNNNNNNNNNNNNNNNNNNNNNNNNNNNNNNNNNNNNNNNNNNNNNNNNNNNNNNNNNNNNNNNNNNNNNNNNNNNNNNNNNNNNNNNNNNNNNNNNNNNNNNNNNNNNNNNNNNNNNNNNNNNNNNNNNNNNNNNNNNNNNNNNNNNNNNNNNNNNNNNNNNNNNNNNNNNNNNNNNNNNNNNNNNNNNNNNNNNNNNNNNNNNNNNNNNNNNNNNNNNNNNNNNNNNNNNNNNNNNNNNNNNNNNNNNNNNNNNNNNNNNNNNNNNNNNNNNNNNNNNNNNNNNNNNNNNNNNNNNNNNNNNNNNNNNNNNNNNNNNNNNNNNNNNNNNNNNNNNNNNNNNNNNNNNNNNNNNNNNNNNNNNNNNNNNNNNNNNNNNNNNNNNNNNNNNNNNNNNNNNNNNNNNNNNNNNNNNNNNNNNNNNNNNNNNNNNNNNNNNNNNNNNNNNNNNNNNNNNNNNNNNNNNNNNNNNNNNNNNNNNNNNNNNNNNNNNNNNNNNNNNNNNNNNNNNNNNNNNNNNNNNNNNNNNNNNNNNNNNNNNNNNNNNNNNNNNNNNNNNNNNNNNNNNNNNNNNNNNNNNNNNNNNNNNNNNNNNNNNNNNNNNNNNNNNNNNNNNNNNNNNNNNNNNNNNNNNNNNNNNNNNNNNNNNNNNNNNNNNNNNNNNNNNNNNNNNNNNNNNNNNNNNNNNNNNNNNNNNNNNNNNNNNNNNNNNNNNNNNNNNNNNNNNNNNNNNNNNNNNNNNNNNNNNNNNNNNNNNNNNNNNNNNNNNNNNNNNNNNNNNNNNNNNNNNNNNNNNNNNNNNNNNNNNNNNNNNNNNNNNNNNNNNNNNNNNNNNNNNNNNNNNNNNNNNNNNNNNNNNNNNNNNNNNNNNNNNNNNNNNNNNNNNNNNNNNNNNNNNNNNNNNNNNNNNNNNNNNNNNNNNNNNNNNNNNNNNNNNNNNNNNNNNNNNNNNNNNNNNNNNNNNNNNNNNNNNNNNNNNNNNNNNNNNNNNNNNNNNNNNNNNNNNNNNNNNNNNNNNNNNNNNNNNNNNNNNNNNNNNNNNNNNNNNNNNNNNNNNNNNNNNNNNNNNNNNNNNNNNNNNNNNNNNNNNNNNNNNNNNNNNNNNNNNNNNNNNNNNNNNNNNNNNNNNNNNNNNNNNNNNNNNNNNNNNNNNNNNNNNNNNNNNNNNNNNNNNNNNNNNNNNNNNNNNNNNNNNNNNNNNNNNNNNNNNNNNNNNNNNNNNNNNNNNNNNNNNNNNNNNNNNNNNNNNNNNNNNNNNNNNNNNNNNNNNNNNNNNNNNNNNNNNNNNNNNNNNNNNNNNNNNNNNNNNNNNNNNNNNNNNNNNNNNNNNNNNNNNNNNNNNNNNNNNNNNNNNNNNNNNNNNNNNNNNNNNNNNNNNNNNNNNNNNNNNNNNNNNNNNNNNNNNNNNNNNNNNNNNNNNNNNNNNNNNNNNNNNNNNNNNNNNNNNNNNNNNNNNNNNNNNNNNNNNNNNNNNNNNNNNNNNNNNNNNNNNNNNNNNNNNNNNNNNNNNNNNNNNNNNNNNNNNNNNNNNNNNNNNNNNNNNNNNNNNNNNNNNNNNNNNNNNNNNNNNNNNNNNNNNNNNNNNNNNNNNNNNNNNNNNNNNNNNNNNNNNNNNNNNNNNNNNNNNNNNNNNNNNNNNNNNNNNNNNNNNNNNNNNNNNNNNNNNNNNNNNNNNNNNNNNNNNNNNNNNNNNNNNNNNNNNNNNNNNNNNNNNNNNNNNNNNNNNNNNNNNNNNNNNNNNNNNNNNNNNNNNNNNNNNNNNNNNNNNNNNNNNNNNNNNNNNNNNNNNNNNNNNNNNNNNNNNNNNNNNNNNNNNNNNNNNNNNNNNNNNNNNNNNNNNNNNNNNNNNNNNNNNNNNNNNNNNNNNNNNNNNNNNNNNNNNNNNNNNNNNNNNNNNNNNNNNNNNNNNNNNNNNNNNNNNNNNNNNNNNNNNNNNNNNNNNNNNNNNNNNNNNNNNNNNNNNNNNNNNNNNNNNNNNNNNNNNNNNNNNNNNNNNNNNNNNNNNNNNNNNNNNNNNNNNNNNNNNNNNNNNNNNNNNNNNNNNNNNNNNNNNNNNNNNNNNNNNNNNNNNNNNNNNNNNNNNNNNNNNNNNNNNNNNNNNNNNNNNNNNNNNNNNNNNNNNNNNNNNNNNNNNNNNNNNNNNNNNNNNNNNNNNNNNNNNNNNNNNNNNNNNNNNNNNNNNNNNNNNNNNNNNNNNNNNNNNNNNNNNNNNNNNNNNNNNNNNNNNNNNNNNNNNNNNNNNNNNNNNNNNNNNNNNNNNNNNNNNNNNNNNNNNNNNNNNNNNNNNNNNNNNNNNNNNNNNNNNNNNNNNNNNNNNNNNNNNNNNNNNNNNNNNNNNNNNNNNNNNNNNNNNNNNNNNNNNNNNNNNNNNNNNNNNNNNNNNNNNNNNNNNNNNNNNNNNNNNNNNNNNNNNNNNNNNNNNNNNNNNNNNNNNNNNNNNNNNNNNNNNNNNNNNNNNNNNNNNNNNNNNNNNNNNNNNNNNNNNNNNNNNNNNNNNNNNNNNNNNNNNNNNNNNNNNNNNNNNNNNNNNNNNNNNNNNNNNNNNNNNNNNNNNNNNNNNNNNNNNNNNNNNNNNNNNNNNNNNNNNNNNNNNNNNNNNNNNNNNNNNNNNNNNNNNNNNNNNNNNNNNNNNNNNNNNNNNNNNNNNNNNNNNNNNNNNNNNNNNNNNNNNNNNNNNNNNNNNNNNNNNNNNNNNNNNNNNNNNNNNNNNNNNNNNNNNNNNNNNNNNNNNNNNNNNNNNNNNNNNNNNNNNNNNNNNNNNNNNNNNNNNNNNNNNNNNNNNNNNNNNNNNNNNNNNNNNNNNNNNNNNNNNNNNNNNNNNNNNNNNNNNNNNNNNNNNNNNNNNNNNNNNNNNNNNNNNNNNGUACAAAUUAAUAAGUUAUGCUCUUUGGAAGCAAACCUAAAUUCCAAGAGAAACAGAACUCAAAAAAUUUGCAAUUAUACGCAAAGGAAGUGAAGCACAGCAUUCUAUCACACAAACGAAUUGUAUAACAAGAGAUCGACAUAUCGAAUCAGAAGAACUCAAUUCAAAUUUGUCUCAAAAAUCAAAAUUAGAAGAUUUCACAUUUCGAGAGGAACAAGCGACAGGUCAGAUGCAAAAUUUUCAGCCACAACAUGCCACAAUUAACGGUUUAUUUCCAUGGAUUUAGAGAGCUGACUGACCUUUUGGCUUUUGGAAUUGAGAAGAUCGCGCGCCAAAAUGGAAGAGGGAAAGCGAAAGUGCGGGUUUUAAUAGGGUAUUGCAUUAGCAAAUUUAAUUAGUUUGCGAGGGUAAAAUAGGAAAGAGAUAUCACUAUUAACCUUUUUUUUAUAAGAAAAAAGAAUAAUAAAGAAUAUUUUAUUGUCAUUUGCAGCCUUUAAUUUUUUUUAAAUGCUAUUAGAAAAAUACGACGACAAAGAAAUGCUCUUUUUUUUAUUUUUUUCUUGAAGGUAAAAUCAAUUAUUUAGCUCCUUAUAUGUAAUCAAACUCCAUUUCUUACUUUAAGUCAUAUCCAACAGAACAACAAAGUAAUUAUUUUUUUUUUCAUUUAUUUUUGCAGAAAAUUAAUAACUUAAAAAUAUUGAAAGCUAUUGUAAAAUUUUUUAUUAUCAACCUCAUAAUUUAAUUUUUUUGGGGAAGAAUUGAUUUUUUUUUUUAUUUCCAAGAAUUUCAUUCUCUAGUUUUUCCAUUAAUAUUACUUAUCUUCAUACCCAUCUUAAUUAAAAUCUGUAGUUUUAUUCAAGAGUCAUGCUAUCCAUUCACUCGGACCAAAGGCUUUCCGCAGCAAUAUUAUUAUUUAAAGAGUAAUGAUAUAGCCACAGACUCUUGUACAAACUUAUUUUGUACAAACUGACGUGGCAUUAAUUCAUUGGUUGAAUGAAAAUAUAAAUUAAUAAAAACAAAUCAUGUGGGCCAAGUGAUAUUUAAUUCAACCAAUCUUAUCAUGCCACAUCAAUUUGUACAAAAUAAGUUUGUACAAGAGUUUGUGGCUGUAUCAUUACUCUUAUUUAAAUUACAACAAAGGGGAAAUCAAAUACGUCAUACAGAGGCUUAAAGCUCAAUCUACAAAAUCUAGAGCUCUCAACUACAUAAAUUACACUUGAUGAUCCUCUACAAGAUGAAGCUUGUUCAAUAUCUCAUCCAAAGCUUGUAAAGUAACCUUGUAACGAUCUUGAGAUUGCCUGCCUUCCUCGACGACCUGCACCAUGCGUUUGUACAAAUCAUCAUACCUGUGCACCGGAUUUUUAAUAUCAACGCCACUGCAGCUGUGAUCAAGAACAUAAGAGCGUUUAACAUCUUUUCUCCAUCGAGAAAGAAUGUAGUGAGAUGGGAUCUCCUCCAUACCACUCUGGUUUGGAACACAAAGAAUGUGUCUGCAUAAAUAUCCUCUGAAAUUGAACAACCCACAAACACAAAGCACCUCCAAGUCGGAGGCAUUGUACAAAACAUCGAAAGCCCUUGAAUCUUUCUCGUUGCUACCAACCUCAAAUUCUUCCUUCACUAUGUAUGUUAUAGGUCCAUCAGCACUGACAUGUUUUGUGCUAUAGCAAGAGUACAUAGCCUCCACCUCCGUCUGAAACUUCCUUAACAGUUCAUUUGUGUACACUUUUGAGAGUUGAAAUUCAUAGUAACAUCUUGGUUUCUGGAUACAACUUGAAUUUCUUGAAUCCAUAUCUGCCAAGGCUUCCAGUUGAUAAUUCGCCUGCAGUGCUUGAUCAUAUUUGUCUAAGUAUUCUUUCAAAGGAGUAUUCUUAUCAAGAUAUCCUUCAAAGUAUGAAGUAGAAACCUCACUCAGCAGGAAUGAAAACACUCCUGAUAAAAAUGUUUCCUUCAAAUAAACAGGAGCCCAACUUUUACGAUCCUCAUAUAAAGUUUGAAUCCAUCCAUGAUCCCUUAUUCCAUGACGUUGAAUCGUGUCCUCCCAAGCUGUCUCAAAUUCCUCAGGCCUCAGAGAGUGACAAAUUGCUCUAUGCAAUGCAGCACUAAUAGCUUCAUAUUCAAAAUAUCCUUGGAGAUUCUCUGGAAUUUUUUGCAUGACGCAUGACAAUGAAAAACAAUGAUAAGCUCUUGGGAAAACAUCGCCGACAGCAGUUUGCAAGAUCUACAUUGGUCAGUGAUGAUUGUUUGUGGAGAGCGUCCUAACAUACAUGUAAGCCACACCCUAAACAACCAUGUAUAUGAUUCGAUAGUCUCACUGGCAAGUAAACCACAGCCCAACAGCACUGAUUGUCCAUGAUGAUUCACCCCAAUGAACGAAACCAGCGUUGCAUCAUAUCUUUCUGUCAAGCAUGUAGUAUCAAUUGAUUUGAGCUAUUAACAUCAUUUCCAAAUACUCCAUUGGCAUCUACAUUACCAUUUCCCUCGGCAUCAAUGAUAAGAGUUCGAAACAGUCUAAUUUUUUUAACUUCUUCAGCACCAUCUAAGCGCAAUGUUCUUUUGGUUCCAAUACCUAUGUGCUUAUGAGACUUGUAAAACUUCCCGCUUCUUGGGCUUAACAAGUGGUUAUGCUCAAGCUCGACUUCAAUGAUUCUCCACCUUUUGGUUUCCAUCAACCUAAACUUUAUCAUUGCUGGACAGCCCGUUCUUGUUUCUGGUCUUGGGCGGUUUGCCUCGCUUUUCUUCUUGAAGCCUGCAUUACUACAGCUGAGCUUUCCUUUAUACUUUUCUCUACUCUUUCGGGACCAUGUAUUGCUAACUCUAACACCAAAACCCUGCUCCUUGGCAUAACAAUUAUAAAAGUAAUAUACGUCAUCAUACGUCUCAAACUCCAUUCCAACAGCAGGAUUCAAUGGAUUUUGGAUUAUCCCAGUUUGUCCAACAUAUUCAGUCAUCGCACAAUCUCUACGACCUCAACAUCAUCAGUGUCAUCAUCACGUACUGGUUCGGUGUUGAGAGAAACUUCAUCCAUCUACAAUGGAUGUUCAAUAAAGUGAGCUUUAAGGAGAAAAAGCAAAAUCAGUUCAAGGAAUGAUAAUAUAAUCAUACAGUUACUUUCACAAAGCUUCAUAUUUCAUAACUGCUUUACCAACAUGCUACUGCCAGAGAACAAACAGACAUGUCAUAGACGAUUGAAUUAAAUAUUGGUACAAAUGAGCACACAUCAUGUGGGACAAAAUUUCAGUCACUAAACCCAAUGCCUUUUUUUUUUUCACAUCAUACCAAGGAACGGAUUAAACCCAAUACCUUCUUUUACGCCAUACCAAAGAACAGAUUAAAUCAUCAAUGAAAAUUUAAUCAAAUAAUAAUUUAACUAGACAAUUGAAGAGCUUGAAACAGCACAAAACUUGAAUCUGAUUCUGAUAAUUGUUGAGUCCUUGUAUCCACAGCUUUCCUUCAAUGAGAAGAUUAUGAACAUAAACUACACAUAAAAAAAUUAUUUAAACUGACAGCCCAUGGUAUAAAUCAAACAAAAUUAACUCCUUUUACAAAUCACAUCUCGUAUUCAGUUACAUUGAAACACAAAAAAGGAAGCAGGAGCCGGAGAAAAACAACAACAGAGAAACUUAUUUCCAGAAGGUUUACGAAAUAAGGAAUUUAUUAAGACACAAAAUUUGAGGUCAACAAUAAGAAUUUGGUUCUCAUUCUCUUUUUCUUCAUUUUUCACUUAUUGAUGGAGUUAGCGUACAAUCCUAUAUGAUAAAACCCCAUCUCCAUCUUUUUGAACUAGAGCUAAAGCAAAGCUUUUUGAGAUGUUUUUCCCUAAAAAACUCAAUCGUACAAAGUUUUUCAAUAUUAAAUACACAACUCAAUCUUCUCCUAACUAACUCUAAUAAUCUCUUAACUAAGGAAGAUUAAGCUCCACUUGUAAGCUAAAACAAGUUUCUUAAAUCAAGCCCCAAUGCUCUAUACUAUUCAACAAGGCCUCAUAAAUGAUAAAACUACCUCUGCAAAGAUACCCAUUUUAAUUUUGCAAACUAAAAUCAAACUUCUGAAACGUAACGAGCAUUAAAACAAACAAGUCCGAACAAGAACUGAAAAAUGAUACAUAAACCCGUUUACACGUUUCGAAAAACACUUUGAAAUUCAAACGAAACAUACCUUAGGUUGAUAAAUUAGUAGCGCAAAAGAAAUUUUAGUGAGAUAUGGGAUCAGGGUUUUUGCCACUGUGAUGUUAAUUGCGACAUUGGGGUGACUCAGCAGCCUUCGAGGCUGAAACUUUGAUUGACCAAAAGUUUCCCGUUCGUUGAUUACCUAAUGUGUUCGCUGAUUUGAUAAUUCUGUUAAAAUCAUUGUUUUUUUUUCAGAUUUUUAAUGUGUUCGAUAAAAUAUCAAAAUCUCAAAAACUUUUGUCUUUCAUUUUGGGGGGAAAAACCCCAUUGAGAUCCUUAUGUUUUUUCUUAUAUAAUCUGGCUUAAUAAUUUGCAAAGUCUAUUACUUAGCACCCAUGCAUGCUGCGUUUCAAUUUACAAAAUUGUACGAGUGCAUCCAGCUAAAAUUUGUAAAAGAAAAUAACAAUAACAUGUUAAAAAUGUGAUUAUUAAGAAGAAAUUUUAAUUUAGUUAAAUAGGUGACGAUGGAUAGGUAUAAAAUCUGAGAUCUUUUAUGAGAUUAAUAAAUAUGUUGAGUUUGGAUCAGUUCAAUUUUGACAUAAUACGGAAUAAACACAACCUGCUAAUCUAAGUUAUCAUCUUUUCUCGUCAUCAGGUACCUGUUUGAAAAAUAAUUAUAUACAAUUUUAUUUGCGUUGUCUCUCUAAAAAUUUGGGACUCAAAUGUUAUUUCUAAUUGCUAAAAGUACGAAAAUGCCCCAUUUCUCUUCAGCUAAAGGAGUGCAAAGUCAUCUGUAUAAUUGAAUCUGCAUCAUCAGUUUCUAUUGCUGGUGUUACUGCAUGCUUACAGUUGCUUGACAAAGUGAGCCAGUUUUUUGUUUAUUAAUUUUUUUUCUUGUCGAGACAGUCACAAAGUAUUACUUGUUCUAUUUGAGAAUGAUGUGAAUCAAUUUUUCAAUUAUGCAUUCUGUGGUAAUUAUUGUGAAUUUAGUUUCAUUUGUCUUGUCUCCUGCAAAUUAUGAAGAAAAUGCAGACAUACAAACUUACAAUAUGUAUUUGCGUUAGUAUAAAAACAAUUGUUAGAUGAUUAAAGCGAAUUUGUUUUUUUACAGCAUUUGAUUGUAUUAGUUAAAAUCAUUUUUUAAGGAUAAAAAUAAAUAGAAAAUUAUUCUCAUGUAGUGUGGAAAUCUUUUCUAAUUUCUUGUUGACUUGUACAUUUAUUUCAGAAUUUCCAUUCAUUCUACUGUUUUAAUCUUUGACUUAGUUACCGUAGUUGACUUUUCAUAUCAAAGGCUUAAACAGCAUGCAUUUUUGAAUUGACUGAGAAUAAUUUGGUGGACAAAUUACAAGGACUUUAAAUGGUUGAAUUGACUGUGGGUUUUUCAUGCCCAAGUCACUCACGUCCUUUCAUCGAAACAAAGUGCCCGGUGCAAAUGGUGUGAUGUAAAACACCUUUUUAAAUUGUCAUUUUUUUCCUUUGCUUUUGCUUUAAUUUUCUAAAUGCUCAACGCCAUAAAUCCAUGCAUUCUUAAUUUUCGUUUGCUGUAUUGAUUCCCAACCCUCUAUGUCACAAGGUUUUGAAUGCCAGUAAUUAAGUUAAAUUAAACAUAUUUUAAGUCCUACUUUAAAUUAUUGAAAAAUGUAUUAUGGUUGAACUGAAUUUUAACUAAAAAAUAUAUACAAAAUAAAAGAUUAAUCAUAUCUUUUUAUGAGGAAGGUCAGUCAUCAUUCUGACCACAGACACUUAAAAUUAAUUGAGUGGAAUAUUGCAAAAUAUAUAUAAACCAUGCCAAAACUAGAUGUUUGAGUAAUGAAAACGAGAAUUCAUAUGACUCAGAAAUAUGGUCGCUUUCCUUUUUCUGAAAGGCAAAAAAAAAGGGGGAACCAAAAAGCACCAAAAUGAACAAAAAUGGAAGGCGAAGGUAAGCAGACAUGUUAUAUGUUUUACCUAAGAUGCCAAAUGCAACUCCCCAUUGAUGGUGAUCGAACAUUAUGGCCAUUUUCUUAGUAAACAAAAAAUGAAUUUUGAACACUCAACAACGAAACUUGAGCAGAAGAUCAAGCAAGGGCCUCGAUCUCAAAGAAGAUACUAUGAAACCCUACUUAAUGGUUAAAUAACUUUCAUUCAGCUUUGGACCCUAUUUCGUGAUACGGAAAGACAAACCUUUCUUGGCCGGCAGUGUCCCAGAUCUGGGCUUUGAUGAUCUAGAGGUUGAUGGUGACAGUUCUGGUUUGGAACUCGACGCCAAUGGUUUAUUUCGAUUCAAAGCAAAACUCAUUCUUGGUGAAUCUCGAAAGAAUCUGAGACUUGCCCACGGCCGAGUCACCGAUCACCACUACCUUGAAUACAUAGUCUAUUUUGUCAGGAAUCAUAUUCUCUCGUUGUUGAUGACGAUGAUCGGUGCCAUCACCACUCAUUUCUUCGUUCAUUCAUUCUAUGUCCAUUGAUCUUUUUGAAUUAUUGAAGACAAGUGGCUCACCGCUUUUAGUAUUGGUAAAAUUCAGAUAAUCUCUAUUCCGAAAUAAUAAUAUUCAAAAUAUCUCUUAAAUCAUUAUAAACUUCAAAUCUAUUUUAAUUUUAUUUAAAAAAUAAAAGAAAAAUAAGUUAUGUUGGUGAUUUUUUAUUAUCUUUUUAAUAAAAAUAGAAUAAAUUGAUGUUUAUAAUUAUUUAAAGUAUUUUAAAGAUUGCUAUUUUAUGAGAGAAUAAUAUUUCAUUUUUUUUUUCGUGUGAAAGACCGAAAAAGGACAAAGCAAGUUUCCCUAAUUUUUAUUUUAUGUGAAAUUGGUCAUCUCAUAUACUUUACCCUUCAACACUCUAAUUUUUUUUUAGGGAUGGCAAAAAUCCCCAAGGGGACGGGUACCCUCGGGAAUUUUCCCUAUUCGGGAAGGGUACGAGGAUAAUUUUAUACCCAAUUUUUUAUUUGGGGAGGGGACGGGGAUAAUUUUUUACCCAAUUUUUUAUUCGAGGAGGGGACGGGGAUGAGGUGGAAUCCCCAUCCCCUACCCAUUUCCCCAUUUUAAUUUUUAUUUUUAUUUUUAUUUUUAAAAUUACUAAUAAAUAAAUAACAAAAUUAUAAAUAUUGUUAAAAAUAAUAAAUAUUACAAUAUUUAUAUUAUUAAAUGCUAAUAGGUAUCCUACAUUAGCUCGAAUUGCUAGAGAUAUUUUGGCAAUUUCAAUUACAACAGUUGCUUCUGAAUCAGCUUUUAGCAGCGGUGGUAGAGUUGUGAGCCCACACCGUAACAAACUUCAUCCAAGCACAUUGGAGGCCUUAAUGUGCUGUCAAAGUUGGUUACGAGCUUACAAUAGCAGUAUGAGUUUAUUUUACAUUGUAAUUAUAUUAUACAGUUAUUAAUAUUUACACUUAUAAGUUACUUUACUUAUAUCAUUUUCAUUGUUUUAGGUUUGAAAUCUGAGGCUAUCUCUCAAUUUGCCACAUUUCUCGAGGAAGAACAGGAGGAGCAGGACGAGCAGGAGGUAAAUAGUUUUAUUAAAAAUAUUAAUUAAGUAUCUACAUUUAUUUCAUUUAUUUUAUUGUCGAUAUAAAAAUAAUUUUUUUUCUUUUUAUUGUAGGAUUAUGAAGAUUCUGACAAAGGAUAAUUUAUUUUUUUUAAUAAUUUAUAUUUUGAAUGUGACUUUGUAAUGGAUCAAUAUUAAUGUAAGAUAUAUUUUGAACUUUAUUUUUAUCUGAAUUUUUUAUUUUAAUAUGAUUAAUUUAAAAUCGAAAAUAAAAAAAAUGUAUUAGACUAUUAGUUAUUCGGGGACCGGGGACCCUCGGGGAUCCCCUGUUAUUAUUCGGGGAGGGGAUGGGGAUUCUCUCAAGCAAUUCUGACGGGGACGGGGACAUUCGCAAAAUAUCGGGGAUGGGUAUGGGGAGAUUGGUCCCCUCCCCUCCCCUCCCCAUUGCCAUCCCUAAUUUUUUUGGUUAUAAUUUUAUUAUUUUUAAGAUUUCAAUAAGUGACUGAGAUUCAAAUAAUAUCCUUUAAUUCUAUUAACAAAAAACAAAGACUCAAAUAUUUUAUGAUAAAUAAAAAUAUAAUAUUAAAAUAUAUGUGAUAAUAUACACAUUUUAAAUACUUUCAAUCCAAAAAAAUAGUUAUGUUUUACAAUCUAUUAGACAUCUUUUAUUAAAUUAAUAUAAAUUUUCUAUAAAAUAAGAAUAUAAUAUUAAAAUAAAUUCACAAAAAUUUAAAGAAUUUUGAAUGUAAAAUAAUUUUAAUAUAUUAAUACGUGAGUUUUUUUUAUUAAUAUAAAAAUUAUUUAACUUUAAGAUUUUUUAAAAUCUUUACAAUAAGUAUAACUAUAUUAUUUACAUUUUAAAAUAUUUAAAUAUUAUUAACCUACAAUUAUAUUUGCAUUUGUUAGAAAUUUUUUAAAUCAAAUAUUUUGCACUUCUAUAUUAUUAGAAUUAUUGCACACAAAUAAAGAAACAUAUACCUUUAGAAAUUGUUUUCUUUUAAAAAACAGAUGAUGAUUAGUAUAAGGAUGAAAAAAAGGAUAAAGAAUAUUAAUGAUUAACGAAAUUUCUAUACAAAUUGAUUUUAGUAGGAAAAGAGUGAGAUGAAUGAUUUCUUUUACAGUUAGAAACAUAGAUGAUGAUUAUUAUACGAAGAAAAAAGAUAAAGAAUAUUAAUUAUUAAUGGAAUCUCUAUGCAAAUUGAUUUUAGUUGGAAAAAAAAAUGAGUUAAAUGAUUUAGAGUGCGUUUGGAAUUGAGAUUGGGCAGCCAUAGAUUUUAAGUUACAACACUGAAGUGUUUGGUAAAUACUAGCUGCUGCAGAUUGAAAGUUAUGUUGAUAUGAUUUUUCACAUGUAUCAUAGAAAAUAUAUUACAUCUUUAAUAAUUUUUUAAAAAUUUAUAUUUGCUAUAUAUUAUUUUUUUUUUUAUAGUUAUAACUUUUUUUCCACAGCAGCUGUAGCUUAAAAGCCACAGUACCUUAACCUCAAACAAGUCCUUAGACAGUCAUAGUGUGUUUAUUUUUUGGAUUGGUGAAUCAAAAUUAUUGACAACGCUAACUUCAUCUUUACCGUUUGCAAUCCAACAGCAGCAAUUGUCACCAAUAAUGAUGAUGACAAUUAUUAUUAUUAUUAUUAUUAUUAUUAUCAUCAUCAUCAUCAUCAUCAUCAUCAUCAUCAUCAUCAUUAUGAUCAUCAUUAUUAUUAUCAUCAUCAUUAUUAUCAUCAUCAUUAUUAUGAUUUUUAUUAUUAUUAUCAUUAUUAUUAUUAUCAUUAUUAUUAUCAUUAUCAUUAUCAUUAUUAUUAUUAUUAUUAUUAUUAUUAUUAUUAUUAUCAUUAUUAUUAUCAUUAUUAUUAUCAUUAUUAUUAUUAUUAUCAUUAUUAUUAUCAUCAUUAUUAUUAUCAUUAUUAUUAUUAUCAUUAUUAUUAUCAUUAUUAUUAUUAUUAUUAUUAUCAUUAUUAUUAUUAUUAUUAUUAUUAUUAUCAUUAUUAUCAUUAUUAUUAUCAUUAUUAUUAUUAUUAUCAUUAUUAUCAUUAUUAUUAUUAUUAUUAUUAUCAUUAUUAUUAUCAUUAUUAAUUAAUUAAUUAAUUAAUUAAUAUAUUAAUGUUAUUAUUAUUAAGAUUAAGAUUAACAAUAAUUAUUAGUAAUAAAAUUUUUUGAAUAAAAAUAAUCACAAGAAUUAAAAUUCAAAUUAAUAUUUAUGAUAAUAGUUAAUUAAUGUCUUUUUAGUAUUUUAUAAUAAUCUAACUCAUUUUGAUUCUGAUUAUUAUAGCUUAAGUAAACAAAUUAUUAUGAUUCCUAUUCUCCUUUCCCAUUUUAACUCACUUCGAUUCCAGUCUAUUCCGAUUUCUAUAUAAUAAAUGCACCAUUAGUGCUAAAGUAAUAUUUCAUACAUAGAAAAAUAAAAACUACACCUAAGGUUAAGGGAAAGGACUUCAAAACUCUCUUUUGAUCAUAAUACAUUUUGUCCUAAUUAACUUAAAGAUUUUGAAUCUAAUAUUUUAUAAUAAAUAAAAAUAUAUUCCUAAAAUAAAUAUAAUAUCAAUAUUUAAAAUACGUUUUAAUAUUUUACAAUCUAUCAUACACAUUUUAUUAUAUUAAAGUAGAUUUUAUAAUAAAUAUAUAAAAAAAUUAGAAUAUUUAGAAUAUUAUAUAAAAUAAUUUUAAUAUAAUGCGUGAGAUAUAUUUUAUUAAUUUAAAAUGUUAUUUUACCUAAAAAAUAUGAUAAAUUAAUAAUUACAUAUUUGAAGUUAUUUCAAAUAUUAAAAAAUUUUAAUAUUAUUAGUCUUUUAGAUAGAUUAAAUUAUUUUUUUUAUAAGAGAUAGAUUAAAUUAUUUUAAAAUGCCUUAAUUGUUUUUACUUUUAACGUUACCGGCCUUUCUUUUAUUUUAUUGCAAAUUAAUGCUACCAAGAAAAGGCUAGAUCAUAUUCCACAAAAGCAAAAGUGACAAACCCAACCAGCUGGAAUCUUUUAUAAAACUACAAAUUAAAAUGGAUUUUUUUUUGAUAAAUUACAUAUGAAAGUGGAUUCUUUUGAAUAUAAGUGGGGUAGGCAGAAAUCUGAGGUCCAUAAUGCUACUUGUUUCCAAGGCUGUCAUGGGGCAAUUUGCUGGACACCUCCUCAGUUAGGUUGGCUUAAGUGUAAUGUUGAUGCCGCAACAUUUUCAGCUCAGGGAAAAGUGAGUUAUGGAGGGGUCAUUCGCAACUCUGAUGGGCUUUUUGUGGCAGCUUGCUGUGCAUCUGUCCUGGGUAGUUUUGGUGCAAGGGAUGCUGAAGCGCUUGGUGUGCGUGAGAUCCUCAGCUGGAUUAAGAAGCGACAUUUGUCUUGUGUUGUAGUAGAAUUGGACUGCAUUCAGGUUUUUAAAGCUCUCACAGCAAGCUAUUCUUGUCCUAAUGGGUAUGGUCUUAUUCUUGAUGAUUGUCUAGCUUUAGCUAAGUCUAUAGGAGAUAUUGAGUUCUCUUUUGUUCGAAGGUCUGCGAACACUGCCGCCCAUGUUACUGCUCGGGUGGGGGGUUCUUUGUCAGGCUUUGAGGAGUGGAAUCAUGUUCCACCUCCUUGGUUAUUUUCUUCUCUGUAAUCUUUGCCCUUUAAUGAAGUUUCCAGUUUCAAAAAAAAAAAAGUGGGGUAGGCUCUUUUAUUUUUUAUUUUUAAUACUGUAUAAUAGGACUGUAGACUUUUUUAUUAAACUACAAAUUGUAGUCUUUUUAAAAUUGUUCAGAUAUUUAUAAAUUGGUGGCCCCUACAAUCCUCAAUAAUUGUACCGAUAUUCACAAGUUGGUGGCCCCUACAAUUCUGUUCCGAUAAUUUAAUUGUGCAAGUGCUCAUUCACAAUCUUCCAGGUCAUGCUCUUAAUAAUUGUUUUUUUUUUCUGCAUUCCCUUUCAUGCUCUUAAUAAUUGAAGAGCAUACUUUUCAUUUUCAAAUGUGGAGCCGCAUCUAAUGUCGCUAAUUUAAUUUGGGAUUAAAUUUGGGGACCAUUAUAUUGCAGUGUGUACUAAUUUUUGUGUUUAUCUAAACUCCUUAAAUUUAAGACAUAUUAUAGCAUAAAUAAGAAUAUAACAAUAACAAAAGAGUUAGAAAGUGUAGAGAAGAUCUUGCAGAAAUAUAAAUAAUAUCUAUUUUAAAAUAAUAUCAAUAUUUAAAAUAAUUUAAAAUAUUUUAUGAUCCAUUAGAUAUAUUUUAUUAUAUUAAAAUAGAUUUUAUAAUAAAUAAAAACAUACUAUUAAAAUGAAUAUCUAGAAAAUUUAGAGUAUUUUAAGUAUUACAUAAAAUAAUUUUAAUAAAAUAUGUGAGAUAUUCAUAUUUUAUUAAUUUAAAAUACCAUUUAACCUAAAGAUUUAUUUAUGAUAAAUUAAUAAUUAUAUUUUUGAAAUUACUUCAAAUAUUAAAAAAUUAAUAUUACUAAUCUAUUAGAUAGAUUAAAUUAUAUAUAUUAUUUUCUAUUUAUAAAAAAAUUUUAAAAUUAUUUUUAAUUACUAUUCAAAAAACAUAAUGAUAAAAAAAAAUCUUAACAUCUUUAUUAAAAAUUUAAAAAUUUACACGAUCAAUUCUCUAAAUAUUUAGGGUAUAUGUGAAAAUCGGUGGAGAAGCUUUAUUUAAUAUUAUUGAUUUAAAUAAUAUGUCAAUUAAAAAUGUACAGAGAAGAAAUUUAUGAAAGAGCAAAGGAUAUUCCUGAUAGCUGAUAGAGCUCUUUUUGAUUAUGUAUUCAGUGAAUGGAUGUGUUGUUGGAAGAUAUGUGAGUGUAUUAGUUCAUUUGUGUCUGUCAAUGUGCUUUUAAUGAUUUUUCCACCUAUUUGUUGUAAAAGAUGAUUGUAAAUUGAAAUGAAUUUGAUGUAAUAUUUUCUCAUUAGUGGAAUUUCACUUGGUAUGUGUUCAAUUGUAUUGUCUAUAAUUUUGCAUUCGAAUAAGUUUCCACCUAAAAUAUUAGCACGAGUAGUAGCCCUUGAAACUUUAGUCAAAUUAUUGUUAUAAUUUCUUAGUAGGGGUAAACUUUUUAUAAAACCUCGUUAACACAAUUCUUAAUUAAUGGUGUGUUUACUUCAUGAAAUAGGGAAUGAGAAUAAAACUAAUGUUUACUUGGCAAAAUGUAAUUUGAGAAUUAGAAUAAAAUGGAUUAUAAUGAUGAAAAAAAGGACAAAGAAUAUUAAUGAUUAACGAAAUCUCUAUGCAAAUUAAUUUUAGUAGGAAAAAAGUUCGAUGAAUGAUUUCUUUUACAGCUAGAAACAUAGAUGAUGAUUAUUAUAAGGUUGAAAAAAAAAGAUAAAGAAUAUUAAUUAUUAAUGGAAUCUAUAUGCAAAUUGAUUUUAGUAGGAAAAAAGCGAGUUAAAUGAUUUAGACAUUCAUAGUGUGUUUAUUUUUUGGAUUGAUGAAUAAGAAUUAUUGACAACGCUAACUUCAUCUUCAUUGUUCGUUAUCCAACAAUAGCAAUUGUCGCCGAUAAUGAUACCUCCAAUGAUGAUGAUGAUUUUAUUAUUAUUAUUAUUAUUACUAUUGAUAAAAAUUAUUAUAAUUAAUUAAUAUAUUAAUGUUAAUAUUAUUAUUAUUAUUAAGAUUGAUAAUAAUUACUAAUAAUAAUAAUUUUUUGAAUAAAAAUAAUCACAAUAAUUAAAAUAAAAAUUAAUAAUUAUGACAAUAGUUAAUUAAUGUCUUUUUAGUAAUUUUUAAUAAUGUAACUCAUUUUGAUUUUGAUUAUUACAAUUCAAGUAAACAAAUUAUUAUGAUUCAUAUUCUCUAUUCCCAUUUCAGCUCACUCUGAUUUCAGUUCAUUUCGAUUUCUGUCUAAUAAACGCACCAUUAGUGCUAUAGUAAUAUUUCAUAUAGAGAAAAGUAAAAACUAUACCUAAGGUUAAGGGAAAUGACUUCAAAACUCUCUUUUGACCAUAAUACAUUUUGUCCUAAAUUUAACGAUUUUGAAUCUAAAAUUUUACAAUAAAUAAAAAUAUAUUCCUAAAAUAAAUAUACUAUCAAUAUUUAAAAUAUGUUUUAAUAUUUUACAAUCUAUCAGACACAUUUUAUUAAAUUAAAGUAAAUUUUAUAAUAAAUACAAACGUACUAUUAAAAUGAAUAUAUAAAAAAUUUAGAGUAUUUUGAAUAUUAUAUAUGCGUAAGAUAUAUUUUAUUAAUUUAAAAAGCUAUUUUACUUAAAAAUUUAUUUAUGAUAAAUUAAUAAUUACAUUUUUAAAAUUAUUAAAAAAAAUUAAUUUUUUUUUAUAUUAUUAAUCUUUUGAAUAGAUUAAAUUGUUCUUUAAGAGAUAGAUUAAAUUAUUUUAAAAUGCCUUAAUUGUUUUUACUUUUAACGUUACCGGCCUUUCUUAUAUUUUUUUGCAAAUUAAUGCUAACAAGAAAAAGCUAGAUCAUAUUCCACAAAAGCAAAAGUGACAAAACAACCAGCUGGAUUAUUUUAUUAAUCAACAAAUUAAAAUGGAUUUUUUUUAAAACUACGUAUGAAAGUGGAAUCUUUUGAAUAUAAGUGGGGUAGGCUCCCUUUCAAAAAAAAAAAGUGGGGUAGGCUCUUUUAUUAAAGACAAGUAUUGAGUAGUCAAGACUAACUAUGGCCAAUGGGCCGUGCCGUGCCGUGCCUACAUUUUUUUCACUUGAGCCUGGCACGGCCCACGGCACGAGCCCUCUCGUGCCGUGCUCGUGCCGUGCCGUGGGCCGUGCCCAAAAAAAGCCCACCAACUUUUUUUUUUUUUUAGCGUGCCUAAAAAAGCCCACGUGCCUAGCGUGCUUUAUUCAAGCCCACGUGCCCGACGUGCUUUUUUAAGCCCACCAACAUAAUACUAAUAAUAAUAUUCACAAUCAUAAUCAUAUUAAUUUUUAUUAAGAGAGCAAUUAACAUUUUAUUAUUAUUUUAUCACAAUUUCACAACUAUAUAUUUUAUUUCACAAUAAUCAAUCAUAAUUCAUAACACAACAAUACAUAAAUUUAAUUAAAUUUAAUUCCAUAGAUCAUAAUAAUAAUUAAUUAAAAUUAAAAAUACAAUCCUCGAAUAAUCAUUACAAUAAGUCAUAACUACGAAAUAUUAAUAUAACAAAUCAUAGAUCACAACUUACAAGUUACAACUACAAAACACGAACUACGAUCAAUUGACGAAUAACAAGCACGAAAAAAACAUUUAUUAAUCACAAUUAACUAAGUUAUGAUUUAAUAUUAAUAUGAAAAAUAUUUCAUAUGAAAAAUAUUUUAUUAUUAAUUUUGUAAAAAAAUUUAUUUUUUUAUUUAUAAUUUAUAAAUUUAUGAUAUUUAUAACCUUAUUUAUUAAAAUCAUGAUAUUUAAUUAUUUACUUAUUCAUUUAAUAAAUUAUAAACAUAAAUAAAUAAUUAAAUAAAUAUCAUAAAUAAAAUUAAAUAUCAUAAAUAACAUUAUUCAUUUAAUAAAUAUCAUAAAUAAAAUUAUGAUAUUUAUAAUUUUAUUUAUUAAAAUCAUGAUAUUUACUUAUUCAUUUAAUAAAUUAUAAACAUAAAAGAUUAGAAUAUUUAUUUAAACUAAGAUUUAAUGAUUUAAAUUAAUUUUUAAAAGUCUAUGCUAAAAAAUAUAUUAAAACAUUUAAUUUCAAGAUAUUGUACUUUAAUUUCAUAACAUUUUAUAUUUACUUUUUGUUAAAAAAAUUUACUUAGAUAUAUUUUGGCCCACGUGCUAUUAAUAGCUCACGGACCGCGUGCUAGCCCACUAAUGAACCGUGCUUAUUACGUGCUUUUUCGCGUGCCGUGCUUUGGCCCAUCUCUAAUCGUGCUGUGCUUUAAGGCCCACGUGCCUAAAAUUCUAGGCCCGGCACGGCCCACGUGCGUGCCGUGCUGUGCCUCGUGCCUCACCGAAACGUGCUCGUGCCGUGCCGUGCCGUACGGACACGUGCCGUGCCCGUGCCGUGCCACGUGCCGCCCGGCCCAUUGGCCAUCUUUAGUCAAGACGAUUAGGGUCUUUUAUUAAAGGGAGAUUGUCAAUUUUUUCUCUAUAAUAAUUAACAUAUAUUAUUAUUUUUUUUAUAAUGUCAAAAAAUUCUCUUGAUAAUAUAAAUUUAUAAUAUUACUCUUAUUUUUAACUACUCUUUUAUUUAUAUUUAUUAUAAAUUAAAUAAAUCACAUAAAUAGAACUAAAUAAAAACUUAAGCAUUAAAACCAAGAAAUAUAUGUUUUGAUAUAAAUAAUAAAAUUAAUAAUAAUUUUUUUAUACUUAUUUAUUUUGUGAAAAUUUUCUUACAAUAAAUAUAUAAGAAAAUUAUUAGUAAAAUGAUAAAAAAAUUAUUAUAAGAAAAUUUGAAUGACAAAUAAAAAUUUAUUACAAGAUAAAUAAUAAAAUGUUUUGCCUAUACUUUUACAUUUAAUUUUAAAAUAUUAUAAAAUAUUUAUUAUAAGAAAAUGUUCACAAAAUAAAUAAUUAUAAGAACAAAUUUUAUUAUUAAUUUUUUUGCUCAUAUUAAAACAUAUUUUUCUUAUUUUUAAUACUUAAUUUUUUUAUUUAGUUUAUAUUCAUAUAAUUUAUUUAAUUUAUAAUAAAUAUAAAAUAAAAAAAUUAAAAAUAAAUAUAAUAUUAUAAACUUAUACUGUUAAGGAAUUUUUAGUUAUUAUAAAAACAGAAAGAAAGUAAAUGAUAUAUGUUAAUUAAUUUAGAAAAAAUAGCAAUCCCCUUUAUUAAACUACAAAUUGUACAGGCAUUUAUAAACUGGUGGCCCCUACGGCGUCAAUUAUUGUUCCGAUACAUAUAAAUUGGUGGCCCCUUAGAAAUUUAAUUACAAGUCUGCAAGUGCCAUCAGAGAAAAAUCAUCAUUCACAAUCUUCCAAGAGAAACGGGGGAUAUACAAAGAUUAAGACAUGUCAUUCAUUGUUUUUUUUGUUGGCUGCAUGUGCAUUCCCUUUCAUGUUCUUAAUAAUUGAAGACAAGUUGUUCAUUACAUGCAUACUUUUCAAAUGUGGUGCCGCAGCUUAUGUCCUAUUUUAAUUUAGAAUUAAAUUAGGGGAAUAUUAUACGCUUAUUUUUAUGUUUAUCUAAACUCCUUAAAUUUUAGAUAGAUUAUGGCGUAAAUAAGAAUAUAACAAUAACAAAAGAGUUAGAAAGCAUAUUAAAGAUCUUUCAGAAAUAUAAAUAAUAGUGCUCAAUUAAAUAACACAGAACAUCUGAAUUGAAUAGUGAUUAUCAAGACUGUGUUACUUGCACUUCUAUUUAUAGAAAAUCUUGGUUCUGUUCCAUUAAAGUUUUUAUCUUCAAAAUCUUGUAAAGUUUUAACAAUCACAAAUGCUCAGCUUGCUUGAUCUAUAUUUGUAUGAUAUGAAUCCAAAUUUUUGUGUUCUGUUUUUCCUAAUUUUCAACACGGAUUCUUUUCUUCUUGGGCAAAUCAGAAAGAAAUGUUGUAUUAAAAAAAAUGGAAAUAACUUCAUGAGAACAAAAAUUCAAAAAAAUAAUAUAAAGUUUAUAUUUAGACUUUUGAGGUAUAUUUUAAUUUUCAACAAUGAGUUAAAGAAAAUAAAUAUCUCAAAAUAAAAUAAUAAAUAAAGUAAAUAAAAGUUUAGAGAUUUAAUUUUUUAGUAUUAGAUUCUUUAAUUUAAACAUUCUCUUAAUUAAUUAUCACUUAAAAAAGAGUUUAGUAUUAUAAUUUUAAAUUUUUUGAUUCAUUAUUGAUAUACAAAUUAGGAAUUUAAGUUUACUUUUUUUUACUAUUAUUUUUUCAAAUUUUAAAUUAUUAUUCUAAUUUAUAAAAUUUUUUUUAAAUAGAGGACUUGAGCCUAACUUGUGCAUUUUUUCCUAAGCUCUUAUGCAAGCCCUCAUGUGCGAAGGUCAGUCCAAAACCCGUGAGAAUGAGCGGCCCCGGCUUUUUUGCCAUCCAUGAGGAUAAUGAUGGUGAUGGUGAUGAUAAUGAUGAUGAUGAUGAUGAUUAUUAUUAUUAUUCUUAAUGAUAAAAAGUAUUAUAAUUAAUUAAUAUAUUAUUGUUAAUAUUGUUAUUAAUAAUAACAAUUUUUUGAAUAAAAAUAAUCACAAUAAUUAAAAUACAAAUUAAUAAUUAUAACAAUAGUUAAUUAAAGUCUUUUUAACAAUUUGUAAUAAUCUAACUUAUUAUGAUUUUAAUUAUUACAGUUUAAGUAAACAACUGAUUCUAAUUCUUAUUCUCCAUUCCCACUUCAAUUCAUUCUUAUUUCGAUUCAUUCCGAUUUCUGUUUAAUAAAUGCACCAUUAGUGCUAUAGUAAUAUUUCAUAUAGAGAAAAGUAAAAGCUACACCUAAGGUUGAGGGAAAAGACUUCAAAACUCUCUUUUGUCAUAAAACCUUUUGUUUUAGUUAACUUAAAGAUUUUGAAUCUAAUAUUUUAUAAUAAAUAAAAAUAUAUUCCUAAAAUAAAUAUAAUAAUAUCUAUUUUAAAAUAAUAUCAAUAUUUAAAGUAUGUUUUAAUAUUUUAUGAUCUAUCUGACAUAUUUUAUUAUAUUAAAGUAAAUUUUAUAAUAAAUACAAACAUAAUGAAUUUAUAAAACAUUUAGAGUAUUUUGAAUAUUAUAUAAAAUAAUUUUAAUAGAAUGCAUGAGAUAUAUUUUAUUAAUUUAAAAUGCUAUUUAACCUAAAGAUUUAUUUAAGAUAAAUUAAUAAUUAAAUUUUUUAAAUGAUUUCAAAUAUUAAAAAUUUGUAAUAUUAUUAGUCUAUUAGAUAGAUUAAAUUAUUUAAAUUAUUUUGUAUCGAUUAAAAAAAUUUUAAAGUCAAUCUUUUUAAUUACUAUUCGAAGGAUAUAAUGAUUAAAAAAAAUCUUAGUAUUUUUUUAUUAAAAAUUUAAAUAUUUACAUGACCAUUUCUAUAAAUAUUUAGGUCUCGUUUGCUAUGUUGGAUUAGAUUAGAUUGAAUUGGAUCGGAUUAGAUAAGAUAGGAUUGGACUGGAUAAUACUGGAUUAUAUAUAAUAUUAUGUUGUGUUUGUUAUGUCAUGAGAUUAACUAGUAACUAAUAAUAUGUCUUAUAUAUUAAUUUAUUAAAAUCAUCAUAGAUUUACUUUAAAAUGACAUGUAAUAUAAUAUAACUUAAAUCAAUAAUUAUUGGUAAAUUUAUAAAAAAAAUACAAAAUCUUCGCUUAAUUAUUUUUUUAAUAUUUAACAUGUUAUAGUUUCUAAUCCCAUGAAUAGUAAAAGAUAAAGUUUUAUCUUAGAAAAUGUAAUCACAAGGGUCCCCUUGGGAUGAAAUUUUGCCACUAUUGGAAUUAAGUGGUGGGCCUAUUAUUGUUACCUUUAUUUUUUUUACACUAAAUAUGAUAUAAGAAUUAUUUUACACUAAAAUUAUCUAAUCCCAUGAUAUAUAACUAAAACCAAACAGGCACUUAGGGUAUAUAUGAGCCACGGUGGAGAAGCUUUAUUUAAUAUUAUUGAUUUAAAUAAUAUCUCAUUAAAAAUGUAUUGAGAAGAAAUUUCGGUGGGUAUUUUAAUCUUUUCAGCAAUCACAUGAUUAGCCUUUGGCUUUGAAACGUCGGUCAGAAAAGUUUUAAAAUGCUUAAUUGUUUUUCACUUUUAACCUUGGUGGCCUUGAAAUUGCUUAUAUUUUAUUAAAAAUUAAUGCUAACAAGAAAAAAACUAGGUAAUAUUGGAUUCUUUUAGUAAACUACAAAUUAAAAUAGAUUUUUUCGAUAAACUACAAAUUAAAGUGGAUUCUUUUGAAUACAAGUGGGACAGACGAUUAGACUCUUUUUAUUAACGGCAAGUAAAAACUAGUCAAGAAUCGAAUAGUCCGUUUCAAAUUCUUGUUUUAUUAUUUUUCAAAACUAGUUUUUGGUAAUUACAAUCGGGUCAUUAAUCAUUAUUCAAGAUUUAGUGGCUCGUGUUUGCAAGUGUGAAUGUGCGAUGCUCUUUUUCCAAAGGCCCGAAUCGGACGUGCCUAAUAAAUCUUUUAAAAAAUUUUGCCGUAUAACGAACAGAGGUCAUUACUAAAAUUUCUCUUCCACAGUCCAUAGCAGCUUCAGUUUAUCAAACUCAAUCAAUUUUCUUCCUUAACAAAAUUCCAAAGAUGGGUAACAUUUUUCAGAUCCCAUGCGAUGGUGCUUUUUUCAAUCGUUGCUUGGAUUGCUUUCUUGGAGAAGCAGCAUACAUAAGCAACCUCCAAGAUAAUCUUGAUGCCUUGGACACUGAAUUGGGAAAACUAAUCGCAGCAAAGAACGAUGUGAUGACGGAGGUUGGCAAUGCUGAACGGCGACAAAUGAGAACGCUGGAACGAGUGCAAGAGUGGGUUUCGACGGUGGAUUCUGUUAAAACUGGAGCCGAUGAACUUAUCACAAACGGCUCUCAAGAAAUUGACAAAUUAUGUGUUGGAGGCUACUGUUCCAAGAACUGCUGGUCAAGCUACAAGUUCGGAAAACAAGUGGCUAAAAAGCUACGAGAUGUGAAGACUUUAAUCGCCGAGGGAGUUUUUGAGGCGGUGGCCACUGAGGUGGUGCCCGAGAGAGCUCCGGAACCUGUAGCAGAUAAAAGACCCAUUGAGCCAACGAUAUUAGGCUUGCAAUCACAGCUUGAACAAGUUUGGAGAUGUCUUGUAGAAGAAUCAGUGGGAAUCAUUGGCCUAUAUGGUAUGGGCGGUGUUGGUAAAACCACACUAUUGACCCAUAUCAACAAUAAAUUUCUUGAGAGUCCCACAAACUUUGAUUGUGUGAUUUGGGUCGUAGUUUCAAAAGACCUGCGACUUGAAAAAAUUCAAGAAGAUAUUGGGAAGAAGAUAGGUCUGUUUGAUGGUUCAUGGAAGAAUAAAAGUGUUGAGGAGAAAGCUGUAGACAUCUUGCGGAGAUUAGGAGAGAAGAGAUUUGUAUUGUUGUUAGAUGAUAUAUGGGAGCGGGUUGAUUUAACAGAAGUGGGCGUUCCACUUCCCAGCCCACAAAAUACUACAUCAAAAGUCGUAUUCACGACCCGUUUCAUUGAUGUUUGUGGUAGCAUGGAAAGUCACAGGAAGUUUAAAGUGGCAUGCUUAUCAGAAGAGGAUGCUUGGGAGCUGUUUCGAGAAAAAGUAGGGCAGGAAACUCUUGAGAGUGAUCAUGAGAUCGUUGAGCUAGCCCAAACUGUGGCCAAAGAGUGUGAUGGUUUGCCACUCGCACUUAUUACUAUUGGUCGAGCUAUGGCCUACAGAAAGAAAGCGGAGCAGUGGAGACGUGCAAUUGAAGCGUUAAGAAGAUCAGCUUCAGAGUUUUCAGGUUUGGGAAAAGAGGUGUAUCCUCUUUUAAAAUUCAGCUAUGAUAGUUUGCAGAAUGAUACGGUUAGAUCUUGUUUCUUGUAUUGUUGUUUAUAUCCUGAAGAUUAUGGCAUUCUUAAAUGGGACUUGAUUGAUUGUUGGUUUGGCGAGGGAUUUUUUGGGGAAUCUGACAGGUCUGGUGCAGAAAACCAAGGAUAUGACAUUUUGGACACUCUUGUUCGUGCAUGUUUAUUAGAAGAGGUGGAAGAUGAUAAAGUAAAAAUGCAUGACGUUAUUCGUGAUAUGGCUAUAUGGAUAACCUGUGAAAUUGAGAAGGAGAAGAGAAACUUUUUGGUUCGUGCAGGUGCUGGAUUAAAAGAGGCACCGGAUGUUAAAAGAUGGGAAAAUGUGAGAAGAUUGUCAUUGAUGCAAAACCAAAUUGAAACUCUGUCAGAGGUUCCUACAUGCCCUCAUCUCCUCACUUUAUUUCUUAACUUUAAUAAGGUGGAGAUGAUCGCGGAUGGCUUCUUCCAAUUUAUGCCUUCUCUCAAAGUUUUGAAGAUGUCAGACUGCGGGAAUUUAAUUUUGGAAUUACCUUUUGGGAUGUCAAAGUUGGGUUCACUGGAACUUCUCGAUAUUUCACAUACCCACAUAAAAGAGUUACCAGAAGAGUUAAAGUUGUUGGUAAAUCUGAAAUGUUUGAAUUUGAGGUGGACAGUUUGGUUAAAUAAAAUUCCACGGCAACUAAUAUCAAAUUCUUCAAGGUUACGUGUGUUGAGAAUGUUCGCUAUUGGCUGGUUCAAUUUUCAUGAAGCAUCAGAAGAAAGCGUUUUAUUUGGUGGGGGUGAAGUUUUAGUACAGGAAUUGCUCGGUUUGAAAUAUUUAGAGGUAUUGGAGUUGACCUUGGGAAGUUAUCAGGCUCUCCAAAUUCUUUUGAGCUCAAAUAAGUUAAAAAGUUGUAUUCGAUCUCUUCAACUCCGGUUGGUCAGAGAUACACCGUCAAUUAUUGAUGCUACGGCUUUCGCAGAUCUAAACCACCUCAAUGAAUUGUAUAUUUUUAAAGGUAUUGAGUUGGAAGAAUUGAAGAUUGAUUAUACGGAGAUAGUACGAAAAAGGCGGGAACCUUUUGUUUUCCGGAGCCUUCACCGUGUUAUUAUUGGGGAGUGCCAUAAAUUGAAAGAUGUGACAUUCCUCGUUUUUGCUCCAAACCUCAAGUCUCUUCGGCUAUUCGAUUGCGGUGCUAUGGAAGAAAUAAUCAGCGUCGGAAAAAUUGCUGAGACUCCUGAGAUGAUGGGACAUAUAAGCCCUUUUGAAAAUCUCCAAAGUCUUGAUUUAGACGAUUUGCCACAUUUGAAGAGCAUUUUCUGGAAGCCAUUGCCUUUCACUCAUCUGAAAAAAAUGGCGGUACUUAUGUGCGAUCAGCUUAGAAAGCCUCCACUCGAUUCCAACAGUGCAAAGGAGCGUAAAUUUGUUAUUCGUGGAUACACAGGGUGGUGGAACCGACUUCAAUGGGAGGCUGAAGCCACUCAAAUUGCUUUUCGUUCCUGUUUCCAACCUUAUUCCUGAGCCGUGGUCGCAAAAUUUGAUUUCUGGUGAGUGCGUUUGUCUUUUAAAAGAAGAAUUUAAAAGAAAUUUAUUCUUGUCGUUUGUUUUCUUCUCUUUUUAUUUCAGUUUCUUUAUCUCUCUCUCUCUCUUUGUCUUCUGCAAAUCACAAUUAAAUGUUGAAUUAAUGGAAUUAAUGCUUCAUAAAUUUGCCGGCACUGCCAUUACUUUUUUUUUUUAAUACAAAUUGAUACUUUAUUUAUAUCUUCUUAGCGAUUUAAUUUCCUGUCAAUAGACGAACGAGAAGAACAUACGACUUAAACCAAUUGAUACUUUAUUUAUGUGCGUUGUAUGUAAUAAAUAUUAAGUAUACUUUAUUUUGCCCUGUUCUCCGUUUUUAUUUCAGCCUCUCUCUCUUUCCUGUCUUCUGCAAGUCAUAAUUAAAUGUUGAAUUAUAUGGAAUUAAUGCUUUAUAAAUCUGCCUGCGCUGGCUUUUUUUUUUUUGUGGGGUCGAAUUGAUGCUCUGGUUUUCGACUAGUUUUUGUUGUCAAAAUUUUCUCUGUUUUUUUCAAAUUGAUGCUUUAUUUAUAUCUUCUUCGUGAAAAGUGAUUUAAUUUCCUGCCAAAAGACGAACGAGAAGAACAUUAGAGUCAAACUAAUGCUCACAUAAAUUUCCCGUAAGAAUAUAUAUAUAAUUAGACUGGAAUGCACACCUCUAGAUUGAACAGAAUUGAAGCUGAGAAAAUAUUGAGUAUAGUAGCCCUCUUUAAAGUUAAUUUAGAAAAAGAUAUAUUCUUGAUUAAUCCAUUUUCUGAAGUUUUUUAUUUUGUAUGGUCAAUUAUACCUUCAUACUCAAAAUUUCUGAAGUUAUAAAUUAGUGCAAAUUGACAAUUUUUACUGAUGAUAUCUUCUAUUUUUCCUUUCUUUUUUUUUACUCUCAUAGAAUGUUACUGUCAUUUUACUUACAAAUAGGUUUGACUUUGAGCCCAUGAAACGAUACUUUGAUUGCCAAACCACCGUCCAAUUUUUUUAAAAAAAGAAAAAAAAUAUGUAAUCCAUGAAUCUGGUUAAUUUUGUUUGUUUGUUUUUUUUAAUCUGUUAUACAUUUGAAACAUUCCAUUAAUUGCCAAUUAUGUAAGCGAGAUAGUAAUUAAUUUUUUUAUUUAAAAAAAAGUGAAAAUUAAUCCUAUGCAAUGUGAAUAAAUUUCUUUCCUUUUUCCUUCACUCUUUUUAUUUGAUAAUUAAGUUUCAAUCUAUGUACGCAAAAUUUCUGCAACAACUGCAAAACAUAAAAAUAUAUGAUUGUUAAGGGAAACACGCAGAAGUUCAUCACUUCAAUGUUCAGUAUUUCCAAUUUUGGCAUUAAGCUCUUACGAAUAUAUUCCACUUAGAAAGCAAAAUAUUAGAAUUGUGAUUUUAAUUCAUUCAUCAUAUCUCAUUUCAAUCCCAAAAUAUUCAAGUGGAUCCAAGUUACCAUAAGACUUCAGAGGCUCGAGCCUUAGCCAGAGAUGGUUAAUUGAUAGACUAUGUGCCUGGGUCGAGCACUGGAAGCCUGCAAUGCAGACUGAUUGAUUUAUCAGUUUGACGUGUUCCAGGAAUGAAGAACUGGAAUAUCACCCUCAAGCAAACACCCUGUGGAGCAAUACCAUAGAAUGCACAAUCCGGCUUUGCAAGGUGACACUGGAGGCUUUUUGAAAAGUGCUUCACGCUCACUUGCACUGAUUGAGCAUCCCCUCUGGAUAUUGCCCUCUCUGAUCGAGUCUGAGCACUCAAAUUUCGGUCCUCAGAUGGAGCUACAGCUUUCUCUCCAAUAACCAACAAUUUUCUAAACUCAGCACCUAGUGUGAUCAGAGUUGUUGAUAUUUGCAAAUGGAGAUCCCCAUAUUUGCAAAUGGAGACAUUUAACAAAUCACCAACAUGCUUCAUCCGGUGUACAAAAUUCUGCAGCUGAUUCAAAUCUGGAACCUGAACCAGAGUCGGAGGUAAAUCUUGAGCCAUAUCUAAAGCAGUUUGAAGUUCAAGUACUUGAGCCCUUGACAAUGGUUUUGAAAUUGGAACAUCUUGGAUUACUGCAGACUUGUACCCCUUGGUUUCAAAGGUAAGGAAAGGCAUUGCUUGAGUACAAUUUGGAGGCAGCGGAUCCAGCUGCACCAACUUCAGAGCAAAUACUGACACUACUUCGAACAGCACACUGAAGAAGUGAUAUGUCUACGGCAAAGGCAAUGCAGUCCUCAUUUUGGCUUGAGAUGCAGUAAUCAUCGAAGAGAGUUUCCUUGUGAAACUGGGCAACACAUUGAAUCCCUUUGCCACUGAGAAGGUUGUGGAGGAAGUAAGCUUUCUCUCUAGUGAGGAAGAGGUGGCAUACCUUCCCCAUUUUGUCUAGGGCAGGUAGGAAUCUUUUUUCUAAGAGAUUUACUUCAUUCUCGGUGAGAAAUGCUUUGAACUUCAUCCCUCUGUCUCUAUCCUCACUUAUCAGAAAAUAAGUUGAAAGCACUACGGAGAGAGAGAGAGAGAGAAUUAAGAUAUAUAGACAAGAAAAAUAUUAGACGGUGAUCUUACAAACUAAUACUUCAAGCAGUAUCCUAGAAAGCUAAAAACUGCAAGAUGGCUUGAAAUUUGAAAAGAGCACGUGCUUUUCCUCCUUAACUUGAGAAAAUGUUUAAUAUAGUGCACCUUACAGAAGCAUUUAAGCAAUUAGAACUAUGCACAAAAACAUCACGAAGACUAAACAAAUCAGAUGCAGUGUCUUUGUCCAAGCACAAAUUGCAUUUUGUCCUCAACUUUAAUAUUUAUUGAUGAGAAUCAAUACAGGUCCCUCAUUUGUUAUAGAAAGCUUUCUUGUAGUCUCACCAGUUAAUUCACAGGUCUAUAAUCAUCUUGCAAAGUUAAGGGCAUUUCUUUCGAUCUAAAGUCUUUGCAUCACCACCUCAUCACACGCCAAGCCAAUAUUCCAUUUACCUCUACAACAAAAAGUUUUAAGUAAACAAUCCUAAUGCACGCAGCCAAAUAAAAUGCAGUAAGAAUAUUCAACUUAAAAAUCUGAAAGCCAACUUGGUGAAUUGCCUCCUUAGGUGAAGUUCCAUGCUUUACUAUAGUUGACAGAACUCAGCAAAAGCUUCCAUACAACAGAUUUUGAAAAUGAUGAUGCCAAUAGAUACUCAUUCAAUCCAUUGAAAAUCCAAAGGUUCAUUGUUAAUAGAAGUUUACAGAGUUUUGGUCAUCAAAUAGCUCAGACCUAAUCCCAAACAAAAAACGAGUGAAAAUUAGAUCACGAGCAGCUAAUUGUAAAUUCUAACUUAACUCUUCAUCUCCUUUGUAAACAAGAAACAAAAUGAAGACACGCAAAAUGAAUAUGGAGAAAAUUUGAACUCAAAUGAAAUGAGGGCACGAAAGCAAACAAAUGGCAUGCACAAAAAAACCAAGCCUCAAUCAAAAACUAAUUAACCAUUAAGAAAAAAAUUGGUCUGAGAAUGAACUCCAAAUUCAGGAGUGAAGCAAGAAGCUUUCAUUAUUUCAGAAGCUCCUGUACAAAUUAAUAAGUUAUGCUCUUUGGAAGCAAACCUAAAUUCCAAGAGAAACAGAACCCAAAAAAUUUGCAAUUUUACGCAAAGGAAGUGAAGCACAGGAUUCUGUCACACAUAGGAAUUGUAAAACAAGAGAUCGAUAUAUCGAAUUAGAAAACUCAAUUCGAAUUUAUGUCAAAAAUCAAAAUUAGAAGAUUUCACAUUUUGAGAGGAACAAGCAACAGAUGAAGUUCAAAAUUUCAGCCAUAACAUGCUAAAAAUGCUACACUUAACGGUUCAUUUUCAUGGAUUUUCUCGGGAAACAAACAGAAAAUUACGGUUCAGAGAGUUGACUGACCUUUUGGCUUUUGAAAUUGAGAAGAUCGCGCGCCAAAUUGGAAGAGGGAAAGUGAAAGUGCGAGUUUUAAUAUGGGUAUUAGAUAAGGAAAUUUAAUUAGGUUGCGAGGGUAAAAAAGGAAAGAGAUAUCAUUAUUUUAUUAUCGAUAAUUAUUAAAUUUUUUUCCAAAAAAAAGAACAAGCAAGGAUAUUUUAUUUUCAUUACUAAGUUAAAAAAAAUUGUUUCAAAAUUACUCGAGUCAUAUCCAAUGGACCAACAAAGUAAUCGUUUUUAUUUUUAUUGAUUUUUGCAGGAAAUUAAUAACUUCUUAUUUCAUAAUCCAACUCCAGUACUAAGUUAAAAAAAAUUGUUUCAAAAUUACUUGAAUCAUAUCCAAUGGACCAACAAUGUAAUCGUUUUUAUUUUUAUUGAUUUUUGCAGGAAAUUAAUAACUUAAAAAUACUGAAAGCUAUUGUAAAAAUUUUUAUUAUCAACCUCAUAGUUUUUUUUUUUUUGGGAAGAGAAUUCAAACUUUUUUUUUUUUAAUUUCCAAGAAUUCUUGACACCCGUCUUAAUUAAAAGCUAUAUUUUAAUUCAAAAGUCAUGCUAUUCAUUCACUCACAGACCAAAGGCUUUCCGCAGCAAUAUUAUUAUUUAAAUUACAACAAAGGGGAAAUCAAAUACGUCAUACAGAAGCUUAAAGCUGAAUCUACAAAAUCUAGAGCUCGCAACUACAAAAAUUACACUUGAUGAUCCUCUACAAGAUGAAGCUUGUUCAAUAUCUCAUCCAAAGCUUGUAAAGUAACCUUGUAACGAUCUUGAGAUUGCCUGCCUUCCUCGACGACCUGCACGAUGCGUUUGUACCAAUCAUCAUACCUGUGCACCGGAUUUUUAAUAUCAACGCCACUGCAGCUGUGAUCAAGAACAUAAGAGCGUUUAACAUCUUUUCUCCAUCGAGAAAGAAUGUAGUGAGAUGGGAUCUCCUCCAUACCACUCUGGUUUAGAACACAAAGAAUGUGUCUGCAUAAAUAUCCUCUGAAAUUGAACAACCCACAAACACAAAGCACCUCCAAGUCGGAGGCAUUGUACAAAACAUCGAAAGCCCUUGAAUCUUUCUCGUUGCUACCAACCUCAAAUUCUUCCUUCACUAUGUAUGUUAUAGGUCCAUCAGCACUGACAUGUUUUGUGCUAUAGCAAAGAGUACAUAGCCUCCACCUCCGUCUGAAACUUCCUUAACAUUUCAUUUGUGUACAGUUUUGAGAGUUGAAAUUCAUAGUAACAUCUUGGUUUCUGGAUACAACUUGAAUUUCUUGAAUCCAUAUCUGCCAAGGCUUCCAGUUGAUAAUUCGCCUGCAGUGCUUGAUCAGACUUGUCUAAGAAUUCUUUCAAAGGAGUAUUCUUAUCAAGAUAUCCUUCAAAGUAUGAAGUAGAAACCUCAUUCUGCAGGAACGAAAACACUCCUGAUAAAAAAGCUUCCUUCAAAUAAAUAGGAGCCCACCUUUUACGAUCUUCAUAUAAAGUUUGAAUCCAUCCGUGAUCCUUUAUUCCAUGACGUUGAUGUUGAAAAGUCAAAAGAGUUUUGGUUGAAAAAGAAAAGUGAGUAUUAAAAAAGGCGGGAACCUUUUGUUUUCCGCAGCCUUCACCAUGUUACUAUACAAAGCUGCCAGAAGUUGAAAGAUUCGACAUUCCUUGUUUUUGCUCCAAACCUCAAGUCUCUUUCGAUGGUCAAAUGCAAUGCUAUGGAAGAAAUAAUCAGCGUCGGAAAAUUUGCUGAGACUCCUGAGAUGAUGGGACAUAUAAGCCCUUUUGAAAAUCUCCAAAUGCUUGAUUUAAUAGGUUUGCCACAUUUGAAGAGCAUCUUCUGGAAGCCAUUGCCUUUCACUCAUCUCAAAGAAAUAUAUGUGGGUUAUUGCCCUAAUCUUAAAAAGAUUCCACUCGAUUCCAACAGUGCAAAGGAGCGUAAAUUUGUUAUUCGUGGAGAAGAAGACUGGUGGAACCGACUUCAAUGGGAGGAUGAAGCCACUCAAAUUGCUUUUCGUUCCUGUUUCCAACCUCGUUCCUGAGCGGUGGUCGCAAAAUUUGAUUUCUGGUGAGCGCGUUUGUCUUUUAAAAGAAGAAUUUAAAAGAAAUUUAUUCUUAUCGUUUUCUUCUCUGUUUUUAUUUCAGUUUCUCUCUCUCUCUUUGUCUUCUGCAAAUCACAAUUAAAUGUUGAAUUAAUGGAAUUAAUGCUUCAUAAAUUUGCCGGCACUGCCAUUACUUUUUUUUUUUAAUACGAAUUGAAACUUUAUUUAUUUCUUCUUAGCGAUUUAAUUUCCUGUCAAAAGACGAGCGAGAAGAACAUAUAUAUGACUUAAAUUUUUUGUUCAAGGAUUUUUAUUUCGGGUAUUAAUAAUAGUCCACCAAAAGAGGGAACACUUGGAUGCUGCUCUAAGGGUCUCUCUAAUCAAUAGCUGGAAGCAAUUGAGAAGGCGGUCGCUACUGUGUACAAAUCCAUGCAGUAUUUGCUAUUCAUCUUAAUAAUUAUGAAGCUUUGGUAAAAUUUUCAGACAAAGUUGACAUGUUAUUUUGAGAUUUGGUUCGUGAUUUUGUAUGAAUAUCGUUGUUCCGUUUGAGUUGGAUAUGAAUUCGAGUCUAAAUAUUCUUUGGUUUUCAAUUUUGAACUCAAUUUUUUUUUUCUCAAGCAUGUUAUGCAGAAAUGAUUUUUACUAAAUCAUUUUUGAUGAAUUAUUUAAAUUAAACAAUUGGAAUCAGAAUUGUAACGAUUUAUCACAAGCAUGCUAAUAUGAUAAUUCUGAAACUAUCAUUUUUUUUUUCAAUUUGCUGCAGGGAAAGCCAAAUUUUGUAUUUUUCAGUUUUAUCUGAUAUGGAAUUUAUUUCCUCUACACUAGCUACCUAAAGAUUUAUCAAAUUGCUUCUCUUCCCUGCUUCAAAUAUCUUCAUGGCAUCAUAGGAAAAGAGAGUUUGGGUUGUAUUUAUUAUAGUUUUUAUUUUUUUUUCGUUAUAAGCAAAUUUAUUUUAAAUACUUUAGUAGUAACAGUUUUUAUUGAAUAAUAAUGGGGGAUGAUUAUUAUAUGUUCAAAUAGUUGUUAGAACAUUAUAAAAAGUCUAUUUGCUAUCAAAUGUUUUAAAUUGAUGCAACAUGAUAAUUGUCUCAUAUAAUUUUUUUAUACUAUAUAUGUCCCAUAAUCUUAACAUGAAUAAAUGAUUUUCAAUGGUUAAAUUUGACACGAUUAUUAAAUAGAUCAUAUCUAUAUUAAUUCGAUUUAAAAUCUGGUCACAUUUGGAUUUAGAGUUUCUAACAUGGUAUCUUGUUUUAUGACAUAAUUUACUAAUCAAUUAAUAGAAAAUCAAAUGUUAGUCAAUUAAAUAUGUGGUACAUUUGUCAUAUUUUAAAAAUUAUUUAUUUAUAUUUGAAAUAAAUUUGACUAGACUUUGUGCAGGUAAUACUGCAUAAUUUCUAAAAAAAUGUAAUAAAAACAUGUUAAAAUGUUAUUUUUAUGAAGAAAAAUUGGAAUUUUAUUAAAUAGGAGACACAAUAAUAAAUGGAUAAAAAUUGAGAUUAUUGAUAUAAUGAUUAAAUAGAUUGAAUUGAAGUGAGUUUCAAUUUUGAGAAGAUAAUAAGACGACGCGACACAAAUACAACCAACCAGUCAACCCAAAUUGCCACCUUUUACUAUCUUCUUUGUGUUAUUUCUCUAAAAAUUUGUGCCUUCUCUUACACUUUUAAAUCUUAAGUGUUUGAACUGGAGUACACAAAUUAUCUCUCUACAAUUCCAAAACAACCAAUUUGUAACUUGGUAAAUCUUAAUCAAUGGCAGGAAGCAAUUGAGAAGGCGGUCGCUACUGUGUACAAAGCCAUGCAGUAUUUGCUAUUCAUCUUAACAAUUGUUGAGCUUCGGUAAAUUUUCAAAUAUAGUUGACUUUUUAUUUUGAGAUUUGGUUCAUGAUUUUGUAUGAAUAUCGUUGUUCCGUUUGAGUUGGAUGUGAAUUCAAACCUAAAUAUUCUUUGGUUUUCCAUUUUGAAUUCAAUUUUUUUCCUCAAGCAUGUUAUGCAGAAAUGAUUUUUACGAAAUGAUUUUUGAUCGAUUAUUUAAAUUAAACAAUUGGAAUAAGAAUUGUAACGGUUUAUCGUAAGCAUGCUAAUAUGAUAACUUGUUUUACGAACGAUUAGUUAAUCAAUUAAUAUUAAAUUGUAUAUUAGUCAAUUAGAUAUGUGUUAUAUUUGUCAUAUUCUAAAAAUUAUUUAUUUAUAUUUCAAAUAAAUUUGACCAGAGGUUACGUAGGUAAUACUACAUAAUUUCGAAAGGAUGUAAAAAUUUAAAAUUUCAUUAAAUAGGUGACUCAACAAUAAAUGGAUUUCUGCAAGAAUUGAGAUUCUUGAGAUAAUUAUUGCAUAGGGGGAAUUUUGGUUAGUUCAAUUUUGACAUGAUAAGAAGACAACACAGCGCAGAAAACCCAAAUUGCCACUUCUACUAGUAAUAAAAGAUGAGCGAAUUGCGUGGGAUAUACUUGUUUUCCCUCAAAAUACCCAAAAUAUACCUCCACAUAUUAAAAUUGCUAGCUUUACACAUAUAUACUUAAAAAGAUCAGAGAAAAUACAAAAAUAACCUUAAUAAAAAUACUCGACUUAUUUAAUAUGCUUACUCGACUCAUUUAAUAUUCUUACUCGAUUUCUUACCGGACCAUAUACUCGACUUAGUUAAUAUGCUUACUCGACUUAUUUAAUAUUUUUAUUCGACUUAUUUAAUAUUCUUACUCGACUUCUUACCCGACCAUAUACUCGAUUUAUUUAAUAUGUUUACUCGACUCAUUUAAUAUUCUUACUCGACUUCUUACCGGACCAUAUACUCGAUUUAGUUAAUAUGCUUACUCGACUUAUUUAAUAUUCUUACUCGACUUCUUACCGGACCAUAUACUCGACUUAUUUAAUAUGCUUACUCGACUCAUGUAAUAUUCUUAUUCGACUUCUUACCCGACCAUAUACUCGACUUAUUUAAUAUGCUUACUCGACUCAUUUAAUAUUCUUACUCGACUUAUUUAAUAUUCUUACUCGACUUCUUACCCGACCAUAUACUCGACUUAUUUAAUAUGCUUACUCGACUCAUGUAAUAUUCUUACUCGACUUCUUACCCGACCAUAUACUCGACUUAUUUAAUAUGCUUACUCGACUCAUUUAAUAUUCUUACUCGACUUCUUACCCGACCAUAUACUCGACUUAGUUAAUAUUCUUACUCGACUCAUUUAAUAUUCUUAUUCGACUUCUUACCUGACCAUAUACUCGACUUCUUUAAUAUGCUUACUCGACUCAUUUAAUUUUCUUACUCGACUUCUUACCCGACCAUAUACUCGACUUAUUUAAUAUGCUUACUCGAUUCAUUUAAUAUUCUUACUCGACUUCUUACCCGACCAUAUACUCGACUUAUUUAAUAUGCUUACUCGACUCAUUUAAUAUUCUUACUCGACUUCUUACCCGACCAUAUACUCGACUUACUUAUCUCUAAUUCUUACUCGACUAAAUUCUCGAUUUACCCGACUUUGUACCCGACUUCGUACCCGACUUCUUCCUGCACUGAUUCUUCAAUCAUUCAUAACUUAAAUGUAGUCUUAAAUCCCUACAUUGAAAUAGUGUGUGUGUGCAAGCACAAAAAAUGAAUAAUGUACUACUAAAAUUCAUAAAUCAUUAGGAAGUACACUUAUAAGAAAAAUAGAGAAUGGUGAGAGAAGCCCAAAAAAGAGAAGCAAUGGGAGAAGAGAGAUGUGAAUUCUUAGUUUUUUUAAGGUUAUUUUUGACUUUUUCUAUCUUCAUAAGGUAUAUGUAUGUAAUAGGAUAUAAAUUUGGCAUUUAAGGGUAAAUUAAGGAUAUUUAAAUAAAAAACCCAUAAAAGAUACCUGUUUCAAAAGUAAUUAUAAACUAUCUUCUUUGUGUUAUUUCUCAAAACUGUUAUUUCCCUGGAGAAAAGUACGAAAUACCCACUUUCACGUUGGCAGAAGCAAAGCAAAGCUAUGAGCUAUCUCUGUAUACUUGAAACGCCAUUGCUAAACGAUUCUCGAUGAUGGGUGCCACUGGGCCAGUGUUGUCGCUGAUUUGCAUGAUUUAUUAGUUGUCCAGAUGCCAGAGAAACCAUGGUGGCAUUGAAGUUACCCAGAUGGUUAGUUUUCUGAUCAUUUUUUUAUUCAAUUAUUUAUUUUUUUUAGAAAAAUGUAAGAAAUAUGUAGAAAUGUUGACAGCUAUGAUUUUGAAACUUUGCCUAAAAUUGUUAUCAUCACUUAUUUAAAGAGAAAUCCUAGAAACAUGACAUGAUUAGUAGCCUAAUUCAAAAUUAGACAUGAUUACAACAAGAGAAAAGUGGAGAGAACUUGAUAGUCGAGUGCAUUUAGAAUUUAAUUUUUCUUUUAGCUGCCAAUCAUUAAAUUUUCGAUUUCAGAAAAUUAUACCUAGAAUAUUUCAAGGAUAUACUAUGAAGAUUAUGAAGGUUUGAUUACAUGUCACUAUCAAUUGCCCCAAUCAUUUGUAGUAAAUUAAUUGAUCAUUUUGAUGCAAAUGAUUCCCUACUAAAAAAUUCAAGUCAAGGCUGAAUUGCACAGUAGUUAGUCGCGCUUGCACUUCAAAUUAAGUAUUGUAUUUUCUGCCUGGUUUGGUUGAUUAAAGUAUGUGCAUUUGCUUAUGAAAGUUGUAGUAUAGAAAUCGAAACAUUUGUUUUUCGCUAAGCCCAGAAGCAAAGUUCUUUGUACUGUACUCAUCACUUCUCUUCGUUCUCUUCAUUGAAAUUUUAUCCAAACAGCGGUUUCUUCGAAUUUGUGCCUUCUCUUACACUUUUAAAUCUAGCAAAGAACCGUUACCUGAGAAGAUUGCCAUCAGGAAUUUCUAAAUUGAUUUCACUAUAAUACCUUAAUCUUUCAAAUACUCCUCUCACUGGGUUGCCAAUAGUACUAAAAGCCUUGGUGAAUCCUACGUGUUUGAACUGGAGUACAAAAGUUAUCUCUCCACAAUUCCAAAACAACUGAUUUGUUACUUUUCAAUGCUACACGUUCUGCGAACGUUCAGUUGUGGUUAUCUUGCUGAAAUACCAGAAAAUAGGGUUCUAUUUGGUGGUAGUGGAUUCUUGGUUGGGGAGUUGCUUAGUUUAAAACGUUUAGAUGUAUUAAGCAUCACCUUAAAAGGUUUUUCUUCUGUCCAAAAACUUAUGAGCUCCCAACAGUUUCAAAGCCGUACAAAAAUGUUUGGAGCUUAUAGACUGUGAUGAUUCAAAGUCGUUUGCCUUGGCAGAGUUGAAGCAUCUUGUAAAACUAGGUUUGUCAAAUUGUGGAAAUUUGGAAGAUAAAUUACAUUUAUAAACUGUGGAUCGCCCUUUAUAAGUAUUAGGCUUAUUCCAUACUCGAGCAAUGUGGAAUACCUUUAUAAGCAUUAAGCCUCUCCCAUACAAUUUCUGUACAUGACUCUUCUUUUUUUUUUUUUUUUGAAGACCGUUCAAAGUGGUUGAUGAUCCGUUUUGUAAUAUCAUAGAGGGAUCAUGAAUUCCUUUUCUUUUCUGUGGCUAGGCAACACUUUUGGGCCAAAGUAAGGGAAUCUAUUUUAGGUCAUGUAAAAACCAGUUGUGGGAUGUAAUAGUUUAUUAUGCACUGACAAUAACUUUUUGUAUAAUUGUCAGUUUAAUGAAUACGAGAGGAACUCUGUUGGCAAAUUCAUCCAUGAUAGAUGCUAAAAUUAUACCAGUUGCCUUAACUUAUUUUUCUCAACACUGGUAUUGAACAGGAAAAUGAAUAUGCAAUUUGUAUUUGUGCCAUUGUGGAGAAUUUGGAUAUUCUUAUUUUUAGUAACAAGGAGAGUAUUGGCCUCAUCUUUAAAAAAUGAAUCUUUGAGAAAUGAGGAGUGGGUGAUUGGCAGUGUCAGAGUGUCUUCCUGUAAAUGUUCAUUUAUUUGUAUUUUGAACUAUUAGUAGAAUCUUUAUAUGCCAAAUUAGUAAUACAAAUAUUCAGAUGAUUUUUCCUGUUGAUCAUUUCAUUCUUGAGAGCCAUGUACAAUACUAGUAUACCAGAGAAACCAAGGUAGCAUUGAAGUUGCCCCAGUGGCUAGUUUUCCGAUCAUUUUUUAUUCAAAUUUUUAUGUUUUAGAAAAAUGUAAGAAAUAUGUAGAAAUGUUGAUAGCUAUGAUUUUGAAACUUUGCCUAAAAUUGUUAUCAUCACUUAUUGUUUCUUAUUUAAAGAGAAAUCCUGGAAACGUGACAUGAUUAUUCCAUACUUGUUUUUAUAUUAUUUAUUAGCAGCCUAAUUCAAAAUUACACGUGAUUAUUUGUUACUUUUAAUGCUACAUAUUCUGGGAAUAUUCAGUUGUGGUUAUCUUGUUGAAAUACCAGAAAAUAGCGUUCUAUUUGGUGGUAGUGGAUUCUUGGUUGGUUUAAAUGUAUUAAGCAUCACCUUAGAAGGUGUUUCUGCUGUCCAAAAACUUACGAGCUCCCAAAAGUUUCAAAGCUGUGCACAACCUUUGGAGCUUAUAGACUGUAGUGAUUCAAAGUUGUUUGCCUUCACAGAGUUGAAGCAUCUUGAAAAACUAGGUUUUUCAAAUUGUGGAAAUUGGAAGAGUUUAAGUUCUGCUGUGUCGAGGAUGGAAAGGCUCGAGAAUGUUUUCGUGUGAACAGCCUCCAACGAGUUAAGAUAAAGGCUUGUCAUAAAUUGAGGGAAGUGACAUGGCUUGUAUUUGCUCUGUAUCUUGAGGUUAUUCAAAUAGACAAAUGUAUGGGGAUGGAAGUAAUAAUCAGUGCAAGGAAAUUGGGUGAAGUUCCAGAGAUGAUGGCAGAUCUAAACCCUUUGGUAAAACUCCAAUAUCUUGGCCCACGAGUUCUACCAAAAUUAAAAUGCAUCUAUUGGAAUCAAUUGCCCUCUCUACAUGUCAGGCAAAUUUUGUAUCUGAAUGUCCAAUUCUCAAGAAGCUUCCACUUGGUUUUAACAAUGCAAAGGAAUCUAAAACUAUCAUUAGGGGAGAAGAACACUGGUCGAAUGAGCUGCAAUGGGAGGACAAAGUGACCCUUAAUGUUCUUCUUCCUUGUUUCGGAUCCAUUUGAGGGCAUCAACAUGGAUUGAUACUUUGCAGUGGAGAAAUUCGAAUAAAACCUGGUAAGUGCUUUUCCAUUUAUUGCAUAUUUAUAUCUAACUUUUGUUUUCCUUUGUGGUUAAACUUUGCUCUAUAUACGUUGUUGUACGGUGACAUUCUCAUAUCAAUUAUUAGCUUUUUAAUUCUCUUCUCACAUUAACUGCCCUUUUGAUCAUGUAGGAUAUGCUGAUGUCAAAGAGUCGUAAUUUGGACUGCAAAUGUAAGAAUUAGACAGAUGACCAGUUGUUUUGAAGCGCUCGAAGAAGGAUUAAUUACGUCAUUGAAAGCCUCCAAUUUUAUGACUUUUUUUUUAAUUUGUUGUUUUUCUAUUUUUAGAUAGCUUGAUUGUUAGUUGUCGUGACGUAAUGCUUUAGUGUAGAAAAAUGAUAUUCGGCCAAGACAACAUUAGGAGGGCACCUUGUGCAUGCAUACUAGUGGAUAAUUUUGGCAUGCUAAAUCCAGUUAGGGUGGAUGACCUUUUAUAAGCAUUAGGCUUCUCUCAUACCCGAAAACAAUGUAGAAUAUGCUUAUAAGCUGUGGAUCACCCAUUAUAAGUUUUAGGCUUCUCCUAUACUCGAGCGAUGUGGAAUACCUUUAUAAGCAUUAAGCUUCUCCCGGUAUCUUUAUGUUAAAAAUAAUAAUAAUAAAAGAAAUCCAUUUUAAAAUAGACUCUUUUUGCUUUUUCUAUAUAAACAAAUGCAUUCUUCAAAUCAAUUGUGGGCAGAAGAAGUUAGUAGAAAAGAACUAGUCCCCUUUCAUUCCCCCUUAAACCUCACCAAAGCCUCUUUUGUAAGCUUUUCGGAUUUUCUUUCUAUAUUGCUUACGAUCUCAUUUUUGAUUGAAUCACUUCUUUUGCAUGCUGCAUUUUUUGUUUGUUGUAUUUGGAUAUUAUCGUAUUUGGAAUGCUGUUAUGAUUGAUGGAACAAGUAAUCGAUUUUUAGUCUGAUGGAAGUUGACUUAUUUAUUUAUUGUUAUUUUUAUUGAAAUUAUGUACAAUUGCAUUUCAUUCAUUUCUUCCCCCCUAACAUAUUUGUUAUGUAUAAUUGCGUUUCAUUUGAUAUUGAUCAUGCUGUAGAUAACCAUGUGAUUGUAGGAUGGGGAUUUCAAGUUUGUUGAAUAUUCAAGUAAGUGAAGUAACUGUCAAAAUACUAGUGAAAUUGGGAGCUUUAUUCAUGAGCUUGUGGUUUUGAAAAGUACCACAGUUCAACCGAUGAAGGUUCCUUUUUGGGGUUUGUUGAUGCGAGAUUCUGGUUAUGCUCGUCCUACGACCAGGAUAUCUGCUCGAUCAACCUCACCUCGAUCAGGAUCUCUCCUCGUAUGCUUUCUUCUCCAAGUAUCCCUGCGUUCACAGAAACGAGUCAGAGCACGCCGGUUGUUUUCUCGGCGUAAACCCUCCGACGCUCAAGUCAGAUGUGAAGGUUCUGGGAACGCUUGCCACAGAUCUUAUGGCUUUUCUAUAAUCUCAGUUCUUAGAGUUCUCUUUUCUUAGUUCCAAAAUCAAAAAUUCUAAACCUUUUACCUUCGUUGGCUACCUUUUUAUAGGCUUCCUCUGAAUCCAGAUCUUCCGCAGUCCACGCCCGCCAUUCUCCCCACUUUCGGGUGUGGACGCCCCAUUACCGCCAUUGUCGGCGAAUAGAGAUGGACCUCGUGUCUUAAUUCUCGGAUAGGAAUGCACGUCCUGCCAACUGUCGUUGACUGGGUCUCCUCGCCUCGAUGCCUAGCAGGAAUGACCUUAUGCCUCUAAUAGGAGUUCGGCCUCACGAAUGGCAUAUUCGUGGACGAGCAGAAUACUCCUGCUCGUAUUCCCCUGCUACUUGGCUCUUGCAGGAUACCCCUGCUCGCAGAACCCUGCCACCAACCACCUGCUCAUCAUGUUUGGUCGCCUCGAUAUAUUUCCCUCAAACACCGGUCCCCCAGUUUCUGGUGUUGGGUAAUGUAAUGGACCAGCAGUAGAAACUCAACGGUUCUUGCUCGCGUGGGACUGGAGAAGGCUGCCAAGAGUCGUGUCGCAUUUAAUUGCGGACGAGGUGAUGUGGCAGAAAUCUGCCCCUCUAUUUGAAUUUCAAACCAACGGUUACGAGGCCCUUGGGGUUUGGUUCCGUUAAAUGCUGGCAACCUAAGAGUCCGUCCCCUUUAUGAAACCCACCUCCUUUCGUACAACAAAUUCAUCAUCCACUCCGUCUCCGUCUCCGUCUCUCCGGCAAAGAAGUUCCGGCAUAAAGGCCUCCAUCUCUGUCUUUCACCGACUGAAAAAUUACUUCAGGUACUUCUUCUAUCUCCUUGGUCUCGAAUAGUUGUAGAUAAUUUCUCUUCUCUUUUGUUCGGGUAAUAGUUGGUGGUGGCGUUGUGGUUAGCGCUUAGGGAAUGUCGAAAGGUAAAGAGAAGGUCGUUGAGGUUGACGACGAUGAGUUGGACUUCCUGCCUGGUCUGCUCACCGAUCCUGCUUUUGACCCCGGGAUCCCCUUAGAGCCCAUCAGAUCCAGUGUUGGUACUAGCGCUAGGAGGAUGUCUCCCCAAACAACCUCCUCGAGCGGAAAUAACGAUGAAGAGGGGUCUUCUGGAUCGGAGAACACCCCGAGUGAGGGUCGAGGAGAUGAUUCUGGUGAGGUGUCCCCAUCAGGAGCGUCGCGACCAGAAGAGAGGAGUACAAUAGGAGGUAGAGCCCUAUCGCGGGAUUACGCUAUUGAUUAUAUGACGUGCACGACCACGUUUGAUGAGCUCGAUGACCUCCGGCUUAGGUAUAGUAUUCCUGGUGAAAUACCUCUUAAGGUCCCAGGAAAGAAGGAUGCUCCUAGCCGGCCUCCUAGGGGAUAUGUUACCCUAUAUCUGGAUAGCUUUAAGUAUGGGCUGAGGUGUCCCUUGCAACCUUACUUUGCCCGGAUACUUGACGGGCUGAAUCUAUCUCCUGGUCAGUUGAACCCAAACGGUUGGAGAGUGCUCUCUGGUCUGUUCAUAUUGUGGGACAGAUGUUGCCAAAGCGAGCCCACAAUUGAUGAGGUGAAGCACCUGUACCAGCUAAAGAGCAGCCCCAAAGAUGCCGGCUGGUACUACUUCCAAUCUAGCACCAAGACCAGGAAACCUAUAACCGACCUCCCUUCUGGUGGUGGUGGGAAUUGGAAGAGAAAGUUCUUUUUUGCUGGGGGUCCUUGGGGUCAGGUUGCACAAAUGGACGGGAAGGAUUAUCGGGUCCCACCCCGUUUCACAGUCCCAGGUUGCCUGCUCGCUUGAGAUGUCCUGUAUCCAUAAUUGUUCUUGCUUUAUUGGCUUGUCUCUAACCAAGUGUCUGUUUGUGUUGUAGUUUCUUGGGGUGUUCAUUUCCCGCUCCAACCUGGCCAGCUCAAACAGGUUGAGGCUGUGCUAGUCAAUUCCUGCCCGAGCCGAGAGCUGUUAACUACUUACAACUUGCUCGAGUCUCGUUUGAUACUACCUGGUCAUAAGAUGGAGGACGUUGUGAUUGGGGCUCUGAACAGGAAACGUUCUCGACCUCAAACCACGAAGAGGGACCAGAAUAAGGACGCCCUUACUGCAAAGCGGGCCAACAUCGUGCAGCAGGUCUUUCCCUUGAAGACUUUACCUCCUGCUCCUGCCAAAGUCGGGGAAACUAGUGGAGCAGCCACCGAUCCUGCUUCUUCUUCUCCUCCUGUCGGGCCGCGAUCUCGCUUACCUGAUAGCCGAGCAGAACACUUGGUCCUCUAUCUCAAUGAGUUAUCUAAGCUCGUGAGCAAGAAGGACCUGGAGGACUUUGAUGGCUGCACUCUGGGCGAGCUGGUGGGAGCCAUGCAGUAUAGUGCUUUCCAUCUCAGUUGCAUGACCACCUACUAUAAGGCCAAGGUUGGCCGUUAUGACAGGAAGAUGAAGGAGGACAUUCAGUCGGCGACGACCAGAGCUGACGUUGCUGAGAAGAAAGCAGGGGACUUAAACCUCGAGAAUCUCAAGUUGAUUGAGCGAGAAUCUCUUGCUCAAGCCAAGGCUAUUACUCUCGAGGAAGAGCUGGCCAAGGUCAAGGAAGAUCUGCAGAGGCAGAAAGCUAUGUACGAGGCUCAGCUCGAAUCUCUCCGUGAUUCCCACCGGGUUCAGGUCGAGAACUUAGAGAAGGAGGCUGACAACCAGUACGACCAGGGACUUCGGCAUUCCUAUCGUUGCAUCAUGGCCGUCCUCGGGAAGCAACACCCUGAUCUAAAGAUGGAUGACCUUGCAGUUGGUGUUGCUCAACAUAUGGAUGAGGAGGCGGCCGAGGAAGAUGCUGAAGGGGUAGAGCCGAUCGUGAUUGAGGAGGAAACCUCUCCUCCUCGUGCAGUCCCUGCUGCUGUUGGCGAGGCGAGCACCCCCCCGGACGCAACUGGUGAUACCCCCCCUGCACCUGAGGAGGUCCAGACAACCGAUGCUGCUCGGCUUACUGAUCCACCAUCUUCUUAAUAUAUUUCUUGUACUGUAAUGAACAAUUUUUGUGACGAUUAUCUCUUCUGUUAAUUACUAACAAUUAAUAAAGAUGUUUUUUAUUACUUUCUUAUGUUGUAAUCACGGCUUAUUUUCCGUUUGAGAAUCUGCUCGUCCUUGUCCGGUCGAGCAAGUUCUGGCUUGGCAUAUGGUUUUGCCACAUGCCUUAGAAAAUUCUUCGAUGUUCGAGAUUCUGCUCGCCUUCGCGCGAUCGAGCAGACCCUUCCACGCUUGACUUCAUUCUCGCCAUAAACAGGCUUUGAGACUUGACGAGCCUUUGCAUGCCUUAGAAAUUUUUUCGAUGCUUGGGGAUUCUACUCGCCUUCGCGUGGUCGAGCAGAUCCUGGCACGCUUGGCUUCUGUCUCGCCAUAAACAGGCUUUGAGACUUGACGAGCCUUUGCAUGCCUUAGAAAUUUUUUCGAUGCUUGGGGAUUCUGCUCGCCUUCGCGUGGUCGAGCAGAUCCUGGCACGCUUGGCUUCUGUCUCGCCAUAAACAGGCUUUGAGACUUGAUGAGCCUUUACAUGCCUUUGAUUCUUCAAGGACUGGGAUUCUGCUCGCCUUCUCGUGGUCGAGCAGAUCCUGGCACGCUUGGCUUCUGUCUCGCCAUAAAUAGGCUUUGAGACUUGAUGAGCCUUUGCAUGCCUUUGAUUCUUCAAGGACUGGGAUUCUGCUCGCCUUCUCGUGGUCAAGCAGAUCCUGGCACGCUUGGCUUCUGUCUCGCCAUAAAACAGGCUUUGAGACUUGAUGAGCCUUUGCAUGCCUUUGAUUCUUCAAGGACUGGGAUUCUGCUCGCCUUCUCGUGGUCAAGCAGAUCCUGGCACGCUUGGCUUCUGUCUCGCCAUAAAACAGGUUUGAGACUUGAUGAGCCUUUGCAUGCCUUUGAUUCUUCAAGGACUGGGAUUCUGCUCGCCUUCUCGUGGUCAAGCAGAUCCUGGCACGCUUGGCUUCUGUCUCGCCAUAAAACAGGCUUUGAGACUUGAUGAGCCUUUGCAUGUCUUUGAUUCUUCAAGGACUGGGAUUCUGCUCGCCUUCUCGUGGUCGAGCAGAUCCUGGCACGCUUGGCUUCUGUCUCGCCAUAAACAGGCUUUGAGACUUGAUGAGCCUUUGCAUGCCUUUGAUUCUUCAAGGACUGGGAUUCUGCUCGCCUUCUCGUAGUUGAGCAGAUCCUGGCACGCUUGGCUUCUGUCUCGCCAUAAAACAGGCUUUGAGACUUGAUGAGCCUUUGCAUGCCUUAGAAAAUUUUCACAGUUUCAAGCGAAUGAAAUUCCUCAUUGAUUUAUUAUUGAGUUCGGCUUACAUGAGGUUGCUUUGAAAUAAGAAAUCAAAAAUAGAAAACAACGGACACGAACAGAAAAAAAAAACUUUAAAACAUGAAUAAGUCUUACUAGAAAUAUUUCCUGAGGUGUGCCGCGCUCCAGGGGCGUUUCACCUCGUGGCCCUCCGUGCGAACCAACUUGUAAACUCCGGGUCCAACUAGCUGCCAUUCCCGGCUUCCACUCGGGUAUCAAGGUAUGUUAUCUGCAUUGCUUCCCUUGCUGCCGAGGAGUAACAGCUUCGUGCGAUUCUCUGGUCUCCUCGUACCACUCCAACUACCCCAUUCACCCGGUACUUGAGAGCCAGAUAAUGGUUGGACAGCACCGCUUUGCUGAUCCUCAGAAAUGGCCGGCCUAGGAUCAUCUGAUAAGGACCUUCCUCAUCCACUACCACAAAGUCCAGUAUCAUUGUCCUUUCUGUCGGGGAGCUCCCAAUCGUGAUAGGCAGCUCGACCACGCCCAGAGGGACCAGCUUUCCUCCUCCAAACCCCUUCAAGGAGGUAUUGGUGUACUCCAACUUCCGGUCUGCUAUUCCCAUCUCUUCCAAGGUUGACUUAAAUAACACAUCAACUGAACUCCCUGUAUCAACCAGUAUCCGGUCACACUUCUUGCUAGCGACAGUAGCCUUGAUGACUAAAGCAUCCUCGUGGGGGUAUAGAAUUCCUUCCUCAUCUUCAUCCGUCCACAUGAUUGGCACUUGCCUGACCCUUGCUCGUUUGGCUGCUGGGGUGUUGAAGAAUACCUCUUUACUAGUCAUGGCGUAUCUAGCAUAGUUCUUCCUAGAUCUGUUGGAAUCUCCAGCCAAUGUCGGGCCCCCAGCAAUCACCCUUACUGUAGGCUGCUCGUGCCUCAAAUUUCUGCCACUCUGGUCCCCUUCACAUGUCGAGGCCACCAUCGGGAAAGUCCCAUCUACAAACUCGUCCAGGUACCGAUUUCUCACCAAAUCUUCAACUUGGGUCUUGAGAUCUUUGCAUUCUGCGGUGGUAUGGCCAUGAGUGCCAUGGAACUUACAAUGACGUCCCCUAUCCCUCCUGCCGGGUAGCUUUGUUAUUGGGGCAGGGAGGUACAUCGAUCCUUGGUCCUUUAUGGCCUCGUAUACUUCGUCCAGGGACAUCUUCAAGGAAGUGUAUCGCCCAUACUCCUGGUUCUGGUCAAUCAGGUGCACUGCUCUUUCUCUGUUUGCUCCGUUCUGAGUUGGGUGCGGUGGCAGUACCUCUGGUCUGCUCCCUCUGCUACCGUGGGAGUGUUGAUGACCACCAUAUGAUGAAUCGUGCCUUCUCCAAGGCUCCCUAGCUGGGGAGCGAGGAGGCUGCGCCCUGCUGCGCUGAUACUGUGGUGGCCUCUGAUGAGGCUGGUAAGCAAUUACCCGACCUCCUGCUCCACUAUCCGAGGCCUGGUGGUCCCUCCUCCUGAUCGGCCCAUUCCCCGGUAAUGCUUUCUUCUCUUUCCUCCCCAACCCUUCUAACUGGUCUAUCUUAAUGCGUGCUGCCUUCUCCUCUUCGAUCUCAAUAUCUCUCUUAGCCUGCUCGUAUGCGGCCGCAUACGUCUGGAUAGCUGGGCUUCUCAAGUUGUACCACAGCCUUCCUAUCUUCACUCCUUCUUUCAAUCCCCUUAACGCCUGAGGGUGGUUGAAGGCUCCCAAGUCGAGGACAGCACGAUGAAACCUCUUGAUGAAUUCCCGAAGGGUUUCUUGCUCCCCUUGUUUCAUGCUUUUCAGCUCCAUCAUGUCAUCUUCUGGUGCCAUUGCCCCACUAAAUUGCUCUGCGAAUUCCUGGCACAUCUGCUCGAAGGUUUUAAUGCUGCCCCGAGGAAGUUUCCUGUACCACUCGCGUGCACAUCCCUCCAGGGAUAGUGGGAACACCCUGCACCUUUGAGGCUGAGAUAAUCCUUGUACCCCCGUUAUGUCAUUGAAGCGUUCUAUGUGCACCAGCGGAUCAGUUCGUCCCGAAUAUCUAAGGUCCGGGAGACGGAAAUCUCUCGGAAUAACUGCCCUCAUGAUAUCUGCUGCGAGCGGUGACUCUCCGUCCAGCAUUAUCCUCCAACCAGGAGCUCUGCUCCUUCCUUGCAUAUCGUCAAUUAUCUGCGCUAGUCUGCGCACUUCCUCCUCCAGCUGCACCGCACGACCAGGGUCACGUGCUGUAACUUGAUCCCUCUCUUGCUCUACAUCAUGCAAGUGUUGCCUCAACUCUGUUUCUUUUGCAUUCGCCACCCCAUCGUCCUCGUAAAAAAUCUGUCUUGCCGGGGAUUGCUCUUCGUCUCUAUGGAAUUCUCCCCGCAGAGGUAUGUUACCUCUCUCACCACCAAGUCUCCCGGUGGUUUGACUUCUCCUUGUACCAUCGGGACCUGGUGCCACUCCACCACCUCUCACCAUUUCCUCCUGAGUUACCCUUCGUUCACUCCGCAACUCAUGCAUGAUGGUUGUCAAGGUCUCCAUCUGCUUUUCCAUCCGUUCCAUUCGGUCGAACAUGGCUUUUUCCCUGGCUUCGCUGGCUAUCUCCCUCAGCAUCACGGAAUCGUUCAGCCUCAUAUCACCCCCUUGUGCACUACUUCCUCCUGUCUCCAUUACUUUUCACUUGCUUCACUCCUCUUCUUGCUAUCAACAUAAGCUUUUUGCUCAGUUCCCCACAGACGGCGCCAAAAUAUUGAUGCGAGAUUCUGGUUAUGCUCGUCCUACGACCAGGAUAUCUGCUCGAUCAACCUCACCUCGAUCAGGAUCUCUCCUCGUAUGCUUUCUUCUCCAAGUAUCCCUGCGUUCACAGAAACGAGUCAGAGCACGCCGGUUGUUUUCCCGGCGUAAACCCUCCGACGCUCAAGUCAGAUGUGAAGGUUCUGGGAAUGCUUGCCACAGAUCUUAUGGCUUUUCUAUAAUCUCAGUUCUUAGAGUUCUCUUUUCUUAGUUCCAAAAUCAAAAAUUCUAAACCUUUUACCUUCGUUGGCUACCUUUUUAUAGGCUUCCUCUGAAUCCAGAUCUUCCACAGUCCACGCCCGCCAUUCUCCCCACUCUCGGGUGUGGACGCCCCAUUACCGCCAUUGUCGGCGAAUAGAGAUGGACCUCGUGUCUUAAUUCUCGGAUAGGAAUGCACGUCCUGCCAACUGUCGUUGACUGGGUCUCCUCGCCUCGAUGCCUAGCAGGAAUGACUUUAUGCCUCUAAUAGGAGUUCGGCCUCAUGAAUGGCAUAUUCGUGGACGAGCAAAAUACUCCUGCUCGUAUUCCCCUGCUACUUGGCUCUUGUAGGAUACCCCUGCUCGCAGAACCCUGCCACCAACCACCUGCUCAUCAUGUUUGGUCGCCUCGAUAUAUUUCCCUCAAACAGGGUUCUUCUUUUUCUAGGCUGCAAUUAGGAUAUGUACAUGUUAGACAAUCUUUUGUGGGUUUAGCAUAUCUUCUCUGAUUUUGUCUUUUAUUCCCCAAUCUUGUAAUUACACACCAUGAAUGUUGAGUGAUUGUAUAGAUAAUUUAUGUUAGAACCAAAGCAUUGUGAAGGAGUUAAGUUAGUGGCUUCUGUUUUUUUGGCAUUGAUUGGGUAGAUUAUGUGUUACAGUGAUUCAAUUUGUGAUCCAAACUUUGCUUUAAUUUCUGUUUUCCCUAAUUAUUUAUGUCAAAUUUAAAUCCAGAAGCAUGUGCUGAUUUUUUCUUUUUGUAUUAAUCUGUGAAGUUUAUUUGGAAUGGAAGUAUCUGGGUUGGGUCUAACGGAUUAAAUUAUGACAUUGGGGGGAAGGCAGUAAAGGGUUUGCUUGACACAUUUGGUUCUGUGUUUACUUUGCAAGAAAUAGCUUUUGGUUCUCGCAAUGCUGGGGGAAAUCCCGAUUUGGCCAGUGAAUUUCUUUGUGACAAAUAGGCGAACACAUCAACCUCUUCUAUCCAUCCUUCUACUCGUAAGGCAAGGGGUAAAGAGUCUUCAAAAUCAUCAAAUAGUAACAUCUCUGAGAAUUCAUUUUAUGCAAAUGGAAAAUCUUGACCUUCUAAGACAAAAUGGCGUCCUGUAUCAGGAGGUACCGUUUCAAGUUUUCUUGGUAAAAAUUAUGUUAAACCUGCACAGCCAGCUAAUGGCACAUUUCUAGUAUCAAAGCCAUUGAAGUUGGAUCCAAAGGGGUUUCCCAUGUCUCCACUUUUGUGGAGAAGAUACUAAACUGAAACAAUCAAAGGAUGACCAUUUGCAGAAGGAUAUUGAAGAUUUUCUGUUUAAAUUGCUAGGAGAAGUGUUCCAAUUUAAUACAUAUUGUCCUUUUCAAUGUUCUUUCUUUCUUUCUCUUCUUUUCUUCUUCUUCUUCUUUUUUCUUUUUGUGUGCGUGUGAUCACUAAUUUGGUAUUGUAGUUAAGUUGCAGAUAGUUGUGGAUAUGAUAUGCAAAAGGCAAGGACUAUAUCUUCCUGAUGGAGGCCUCUGCUUUUUCCUUUAUGUGUAAUUUAAUAAAUUGCAUCUUCCUUUCCGAUUGUUAGAUCAUAUCAAAGACAAGUCUUAAAUACUGCUGUCAUAUGUUAAGGUUCAACUUGCAGUUUGAUUAACAUUCAUGGCUCAAAGGCCUGCAAAAACUUGCCAGUAAUUGUAAAAUGACAUUCUUUGCUUUUAAUGCAAUAGAGGGAACAGGGAAGUAUAGCUUUGGAAGCCUGGAUUGGUAACUAUAGAGAGACUUAGUAUUUAAUUGAUAAAAAUUCCCAUAACCCAAGGGUCAAGAAAAUUUUAGAUCGUUAAAGACUUCAUUUUGUUUCGGCCAGAAAUGUUUGUUUCGAUCGAAGACUUGAACCAUUUUCAUUGAACCUGAUUAUGAUGCUUUACGUUAUGCAUGUUCCUCUUAAUCAAGAAAAGUUGAGGUGAUGAUUUUAUAUUUCUAUAUUGUAAGUUGAAAUAAUAAUUGGUCUGCUUGUUUCUGUAGCUUGAUAACAUGAAUUUUCCUUCUCAAGUUAAUUUAAUCAAUAAAGUAAUUCUUCAAAGAAAAUAUGCCCAUUCUAUAAUCAUUUUCUUAACUAACAUGUUUUUUUCUUCACUCUUCAGAGCAUGUUGAAACUAAUUGUUUCGGCAGAGACUUUGGGUGAGAAGACAAAAUUUCUCGGUAAAUCCUCUGAAAAGGUAUGCAUAAUUCCGGAGUAUUAAAUAACCAAUGGUCAUAAUUUUUGUACAGGACUCUUUUCUUGUGGAGAUGAUUAAAAGUGGCUGAUGAUCCAGUUUGUAUAUCAUAGAGAGCAUCAAUUCCUUUUCUUUUCAGUGGCUAGGCAACACUUUCAGGGCAAAGUAAGGAAAUCUAUUUUAGGCAAUGUAAAAACCAAUGGUAGGAUGUAAUAGUUUAACAUGCACUGACAAUAACUUUUUGUAUAAUUGUCAGUUGAACGAAUACAAGAGGAACUCUGUUGACAAUUCAUCCAAGAUAGAUGCUAAAAUUAUUUAUGCAUGCCAGUUGCCUUAACUAAUUUUUCUUGACACUGGUAUUGAAGAGGAAAAUGGAUAUGCAAUUUGUAUAUUGUGCCAUGUGGAGAAUUUGGAUAUUCCUAUCUAAGUAACAAGGAGAGUAUUUGCCUCAUCUUUAGACAAUGAAUCUUUGAGAAAUUAGGAGUGGGUGAUUGGCAGUGUCUUCAUGUAAAUGUUCAUUUGUUUGUAUUUUGAACUAUUAUGAGAAUCUUUUAUAUGCCAAAUUAGUAAUGCAAAUGUUCAGAUUAUUUUUUCUGUUGAUCGUGCAUUUGUGUCUGCAAACAACCAUUGUAUAUCACUUCAUUCUGAUGUGCAAGUCUCUGUAGUUUAGAAGAAAAGAAAUAAUAAUGAUAUAUUAUUGCUUGAUUCAUGAUUAUUAAAUGAUUAUGGCUUUAAAAAGCCUACAAAUUCCUUCUGUUGAUAUAUGAAUGUACCAAGUUUGCUAUAUCUUAGAUUACCAUUUCCAAGAUUACAAGUUCAAAUUUUUUCUUUAUCCUUUUCCAUCACAGUUGCAUUUUAAGUGUAAGAUUUGUUAUUAAUACCUGGUUUCCCGUCAUUAUGAUUUCAUAAACAGUGUAUGGGUAUGUGCUCUACUUUUGGAGGGCCUCCACGUGAAAGAAAAAUUGCAACAAUUGAAUUCUUCCAGAUUGUAUGGUAUUUAAUUUAUUUUCUCAACCUCUUGUAAGACUAAUAUAUUUUCCUUCAGUAGACACGGCAUGGUGGGAAGGGUUUUUUAUUGAAAGAAUUCUGAUAUUUCUUAGACUUUGUUUUGGAAGGGGGUGCAGGGGUUUCUCAUCCAUAUAUGGUUACUUGAUUAGCUUUUGACUGUAUUGCCUUAAUCAUGCAAAGGAAGAUCCAAAUACAAACGAAGGAGAAUUGUUUAGACACCCAGAAGAUGGAAAUGAACUACAGAAGGAAGUUUUUGCUGCUUUAUUUAGUGCUCCUGAGAAAUCUGAUGAAUUUCCUGAAAUUACGGUGAAGACCAAGUGUGAGGUCCAAAGCAUUAGGAAAGGUGGUGAGUGAACUGCCGGAGGAAUUGGUACAGAAUACAAGGCUAAUGUGGUGGACUUGCAGCAAGAUAACCGAAACAGUCCGUGCUCUUAUAUUAACUAUAUUGACUGGAUUUGCUAGUGUGUAUAUUUUUGUGUGUAUACUCACUUUUGUAUUUAUGCAUAUUAACGUGUGUAGGAUUCUUGAUUUCUGCCACUUACUGGAGAACUAGUGGAAAGCUUUAUACUGAUAUAUGUGCUAUAACUAAUGGAAACUAUGAUAUUAAUAUUUUCUCUCGCUUGGAGAACUGCAUAACAUAUAUACUUUGUGGCUCUGGAAUACUAAAGAUUCUGCAAUAACUAAUGGAAACUAUGAUAUGAAUAUUUUCUCUCACCUGGAGAACUUUGUAACAGUUACACUUUGGGGCUUGGAAUGUCUAAAGAAUUUUGUCUGCUUCAGUUAGAUCAAAUAUCUUUUAGUUGCAUACAUUAUAGAAAAGAUAAAGUUCUCUGAAUCUGAACGACUUAAAAUUUUGCGCAUUUCUUGAAAGGGAAAUAUCUGUAGAUACUAGUUCAUGCAUUGUGGUAGCAUCAGUGUUAAAGAAAAACAGCAGUAAGUUAUUAUAUAGAAUUAGGUUGACUUGCUUUAAAUCCUGGUCUGGUCAACCAUAUGAACCUGUAAGUGGUUCUGUAGAAAUAUAUAUAUAUACGGGGAGAAAGUAGCUAAAUUUUCCUUUCAUUUAUGGGUUUGGUCAUUUUUUCCCCUUAUUUAUGUUUUCUCACACAUUUUUUAAAUGCCCCAGACAUGCAAUUUUGUAUGUGUCAAUUGCCUUUUAAGUUUUAAAAACCAUAAAGUAAGAAUACAGUUUCUUGUCAGGCUAUUGAUGCAUUUGCUCGGGGGGAUCAUGCUCGAGCAGGAAAACUUCUAGAACAGGUAAGGUUUCCAUCUACAGCCAUUUAUUGACAACAUAUAUAUUUUCAUUCAGCAAGCACUGUUAGCAUUCAAGAUGCUGGCAGAUUCACUUGAUUCUUAUUAGUUUGUUUAGUAGCAAAGCAUAUAACCUGUAUUUCAAAGCUAAGUUGUGCUAUUGAUUAUGUUAACUUUAUUGUUCACAUAAAGUGAUAUAGAGGAAAUAAUCAAUGUAGGAAAAUUAGGUGAAGAGAUGAUGUCAAAUCUUGAACCUCUUACAAAACUCUAAGCUCUUUACUUGAAGAAGCUACCAAAUUCGAACAGCAUGUACUGGAAGGCCUUGCCAUUCCCUGAUGCAUGCAGAAUUUUUGUAUUUAAAUGCCCAGAGCUUAAGAAGCUGCCACUGGAUCUUGAAAGGGCAGGCCAAGGUAAAAUUCUUAUGAAGGGAAAGAAAGAUUGGUGGAAACAAACUUCAAUGGGAGGAUCAAGUAACUCAGAAUGCAUUGCUUCCAUUUUUAAAAUCAACCAACAAGUGAUUGAAGGGGGCAUCAUCAACAUGGAUGGAGAGAUUCUGGAGCAGAUCAGCGGGGUUUAGUACGACCUGUGGUGGUUGCUUUUUUGUGACUUUUUUCCCUUUCAUUUUUUCACUCCCUGUCAUAUUAUCAUUUCUUUGUCUCUGUUUCUAUUGCUGGUGUUGCUGCAUGCUUGCUGUCCUUGACAAAGUUAGCUAGUUUUUUUGUUUAUUAAAUUUUGUAUGUUCGGGACAGUCACAAAGUACUACUUGUUCUAUAAGGGGGUGAUGUGAAUCCACUUUUCAAUUAUAUAUUCUGUGGUAAUUGUGAAUUCAAUUCAUUUGUCUCCAGCAAAUUAUGAAGAAAGUGCAGAGUUACAAUAUGGAAAAGUUCACUGGCAAAUACUUUGUAAAAGCUUCGGAGUGAAACAGGGAAUGCACUGGCAACUAAGGACAAAUUGGUGGCCAGCUAAUGCAUUCAUUUUAUGUACAUUCCUCUUUUUAAUUAUUGAAGAUAAGUGGUUCGUUGCUUUUGUUGUAGAUAAAAUUCAGACGACCUCAAUUGUGAGAUGACAAUAUUUAAAAUAUCUCUUAAAUUAUUAUAAACUUUAAUUUAUCUUAAUUUUAUUUAAAAGAUAAAAGAAAAAUGUGGUAUAUGGAUAAAUUUUUUUUUAUCUUCUUAAUAAAAUGAAAUAAAUUAAAAUUUAUAAUAAUUUAUAAUAUUUUAAAAAUUAUUAUUUCAUAAGAGAUUAAUAUGAAAUUAAUCCUUUUUACUUUUUGAAUGUGAAAGGACAGGAAAAGAGAAAGCAAGUGUCACUGCUUUUUAUUUUAUUUGAAAUCGGAGUUAUCCCAUAUACUUUACUACUUUAGCUCUAACAUUACAAUGUUUUUAGGCUACACUUUUAUUUUUCUUUUUCCCCCUUUUUUUAUACAUGCAUGUGGAUUACUUUCCUCUAAGCGCCUUAAUAUUUAAGACAAAUCAUAAAAGCGAUUGAAGUAUAACCAGAUGAUCAAAACAUUUAACCCAAAAAAAAAAAGAAAUAAAACAUUGAAAAUGGAGAUGUUGAUUAAUUUAGAAGAGAUGCAAGUAAAAGAUAUUCCCAAAAAAAAGAAAAAAAGAAAAAAGCAACGUUAGUUCAUCCAUGUCUGUCAAUGCGUUUUUUAUGGUUUUUUUUCCAGUUGUUUGUUGUAAUAGAUUGAUUGUAAAUUGAUAUGAACUUGAUGUUGUAAUAUGUUCCCUUUUGUGGAAUUAAAUUUGAAUAUUCAAGAUUAUUCAAGUCUUAUUUAGUAUGUGUUUAGUUGUGUUGUCGAUAACUUUGCAUUCGAAUAAGUUUUCACCUAAAAUAUUAGCAUGAGUAGUAGUCCUUGAAACUUUGGUCAAAAUUAUUGUUAUUGUUUCUUUUAGAGGAAAUUUUUUUAUUAAAGCCUCGUUAACACUAUUUCUUAUUAAGAUUAUAAGUUAGUGUCGGUGUAGGAUUUGCAACGACAAAUCCUGUCUAGCCACGUGUCAAAAGUACAAAUAAAUCAAGGGAAAGCACAUGUCGCGGAUUAGGAUCCAAUAAAAUUUAAAUCCCAAGGAAAAGGACAACUGUAUCCUAAAGUUUCAAUAAGAGAUACUGAUAUAUCUUUUGACUAAUGUUAUUUUUUGGCUUCAUUAAUAAAAAGAUCCAAUAGUUUAUAACAAAUAAAAAUAUAGCAUUAAGCUAAAUGUGAUAAUAUAUACAUUUUACAUAAUUUCAAUAAAAAAACAUUUUAAUGUUUUACGAUCUAUCAGACAUAUUUUAUUAAAUUAAUAGGAAUUUUCUGAUAAAUAGCAACAUAAUAUUAAAAUAAAUUUAUAAAGAUUUAAAUGUAAAAUAAUUUUAGUAUAAUUAAUACAUGGGAUAUAUUUUGUAAAUUAUAAAAUUACUUAACCCAAUGAUUUUUAAAAAUCUUUAAAAUAAAUAAAAAUAAAUUAUUCACAUUUUGAUGUAAAUAUUUAAAACAUUUUUAUACAUUAGUCCACAAUUAUUUAUGUUAUAUUUGUAUUUAUUAGAAAUUUUGAAAGUGAAAUGUUUUUCACCUCUAUCUUAUUAGAAUUAUUGCACACAGAGAAAGAGCCAUAUAUGCUUUAUAGCUUUAAAAUCGGUUUGUUUUAUAGCUGGGAACAGAGAUGAUCAUUAUUAUAAGGAUUAAAAAAAGAUAAAGAAUAUUAAUGAUUAACGAAAUCUUUAUGGAAAUUGAAUUUAGUAAGAAAAAAUUGAGCUGAUUUUAGUGGUAUAGUCAUAUUUUAUAUAGAGAAAAGUAAAAGUUGCACCCCGAAAUGUUCAAAACUCUUUUUUAAUAAUAAUAUCCUUUUUUCUAGAUAACUUAAAAAUUUGACUCUAAUAUUUUAUAAUAAAUAAAAACAUAUAAUCCUAAAAUAAAUAAAAUAAUAUAUAUUUUAAAAUAAUCUCAAUAUUUAAAAUAUAUUUUAACAUUUUAUAGUCUAUCAUAUAUAUUUUAUUUUUUUAAAGUAAAUUUUAUAAUAAAUACCAACAUACUAUUAAAAAAGAUAUAUAAAAAAUUUAAAAUAUUUUGAAUAUUAUAUAAAAUAACUUUAAUAUUGUUAAUAUGUGAGAUAUAUUUUAUUAAUUAAAAAUUCUAUUUAACCCAAAGAUUUAUUUAAGAUAAAUUAAUAAUUAUAUUUUUGAAAUUAUUUCAAAUAUUAAAAAAUAUUUUAAUAUUACUAACUAUUAGAUAGACUAAACUAUUUAUAUUAUUUUAUAUUUAUUAUAAAAUUUCAAAGUUAAUCUUUUUAACUACUAUUCAAAAGAUAUUAUGAUAAAAACAGAAUUUUUGUGUUUUUAUUGACAAUUUGGAGUUUACAUCUAUUUUUUUCAAAUAUUCGGGGUGUAAAUGUUUUUUCCCUUUUAUAUAUACGAACGGUGGUGAGAAAGCUUGAUUUAACGUUAUUUAUUUAAAUAAAAUCUCAGUUAAAAAUGUACAGAGAAGAAAUUUCUGUUGGUAUUUUAGUCUUUUACCAAUUAUCACGAUUAGGCCUUGGCCUUGAAACAUUAAUUGUUUCACUUUUAGCGCUAGUGGCGUUGAAAGUUGUCAAGAAAAAAGCAAGACCAUAUUCCACAAAAGCAAAAGUAACGUUGGCUCUUUUAUUAAAGGCAAAGUAUAAAGUAGUCAAGAAUCGAAUAUCCUGUCGUCUACUCUUUUUUAAAUUCUUCUUUUAUUAUCUUUUAGAAUAGUUUUUGGUAAUUACAAUCAUUAUUCAGAGUUAUUGUUAUCUUCCGGGGCAGUCUCUGUUCAUCGAACUCGUUACCCUUUUUUAUAGAUUAGUUCCAGUGGUCAGCAGUAAUUUUCUUAGAACUCGGAUCUUUAAUUCGAGUUUCUGUGUGAAUUAAUAAUAAAAAAUUUCAUUACACGCAAUUUAAGCUACGAAUUACUUUUUGCAAAGUUGAAUAUGAAAUUGGAGAAAUUAAGUAAUUUAGAAUGUUGGUAAAAAUUGACGAACAUAUCUCCAAUUACAGUAAAACCUCUCUACAGUCAUAACAUUAUAAUAAAAUUAAUUUUAUUACUAUGUUGAGGUAAUAUAGGUUUAGUUACAAAAUUAUUGUUUUAAUAUGGUUAGUGUCAAGUGAUAUAAAGGUUAAGUAUGUAGUACAUUGAUAAUUAAAUAAUGAAGCGUGUCAAAUCUAAUGUAUAUAUAUAUAUAUAUAUAUAUAUAUUUUUUUUUUUUUGGUUUUGACCACGAGGUAUCCUGGGGAGGGCCCCAACUGUGGGAGACACCUUUAAGCCCGUACCACAACCCAGACUAGAAGUCCUCACUCGAAUCGAGAGGCACAGGUUCUCCCAACAAAGGCGACUUCCCUACGACUCGAACUGGGGAGCAAACCCAGUCAAGCCACUUAAGGGGACUCCAUUGCCAGUGGAGCCAACACUUUGUUGGUUAUAUAUAUUAAUGAUAUAGAUAGACAUAGUUUUAAAAAACUAAUUAAUGUAUAUUUAUGUAGUGUUAUGAAUAUGGAAAGUCAAGCCUACACUUUACAUUAUCCUUAAUUUUUUCUCUCAGUUAAAUUCUACAAAAAUUUUACAAUGAUUGGGCAAGAACUCUAAAUUAAGAAUAAAUUAUUGUCACAAAUAAUUUUAGAAAAUAUUUUAUUUCGUCUUAAACCUUUAAUGUAAGUAAACAUAUAUAUAUAUAUAUAUAUAUAUAUAUAUAUAUAUAUAUAUAUAUAUAUAUAUAUAUAUAUGUGCAUAUUUUGCAACGUAUAGAUAAUUGUUAGUAUAUGGAGACAAGUCUUUUAAGGUAGGACCUAGGAAAAUUUAUAACUUACUACACUGGGGAGUUUUUAUUCCUUUUUAUAAUUGGCUCAUAUUGAUACAUUCUUACACAAAAUAUUACCACUGACAUAUUUUAUUACAAUUAGUUUAGAACAUUUGUUAGGAAAAAAAAAGAAAAGAAAACAUCCCUUGGAUGUAGCUCUCCUGAUUAUUUAAAUCUUUUAAGGAAAAAAAGAAAAAAGAAAAACUAACACAUUCAAAUCUUGAAGCAAUUACAUUAAAACCUCUCCAUAAUGAUAGGAAUAAUCUCCAUUUAGUAAUAAAAAAUUUUGUUCGCAAUUUAGGCAUAGUUAUAAAUAAGAAUAAAAUCCUCAUUGUAAUAAGUUAUAUUUAUUAUGGAUCCCAUCCUAAGGAACUUGUCUCUAUAUAGUAAUAAUUAUUUGAAUAUUAUAAAUAUAUAUGUUGCAUUAGAUUAAAUGAACUUGUCUCCACAUACUACUUAGACAACGAGAGAAAGUUAUUAAAGAGAACACAAAUAUUUAAAGAUUUUUAAGAUUACUUUGUAUAUUUAUAACAAUAAUACAUUGAUAUAUGUAUUAGUUUUUUGAUAUAUUAGAUUUGACAUGCUCUAUUAAUAAAUUAUUAAUACGAUGCAUACUUCAUCUCUAUAUCCUUGCAAUAAAAGUAACUAAGUUAUAACGAUAAUUUUUGUAACUACAUGCUUAUUAGGUUUUAACUACUUCAUAAUAAUAAAUUAGUUUCGUCCUAAUAUUAUAAUUAUGUAGAGUUGUGGUGUAUAGACACACCCAAUUUAAAUAGUAUAUCAAAUAAAAUUGUCCCCACAAAAAAGAAAAAAGGGGUAAAGGAUUGUUAUUUCUUCAAACAUUAGGAUCACGUUUGUACAAGUGCGAUGCCUUUCUUUUGAAGGCAACGUCAGUGGGUACCCAAUAGGACGUGUGUAAAUCUUUCCAAAAUUUCUCCGGUAUAACGGACAGAGAUCAUUACUUUUCUCUUCCAUAGACCACAGCAGCUUCAGUUAAUCAGACUCAAUCAAUUUUCUUGGUUUCUUCGCUUAUCAAAAUUCCAAAGUAUGGGUAGCAUAUUUCAAAUCACAUGCGAUGGUGCUUUUUUCAAUCGUUGCUUGGAUUGCUUUCUUGGAAAAGUAGCAAACACAAGUAAGCUCCAUGAUAACCUUGUUGCCUUGGAGACUGAAUUGGGAAAACUAAUCGCAGCAAAGAACGAUGUGAUGAUGAGGGUUGUCAAUGCUGAACGGCAACAACUGAGAACGCUGGACCAAGUGCAUGUGUGGCUUUCGAGGGUGGAAGCUGUUGAAACUGAAGCUGAUGAAUUGAAAAGACACGGCUCUCAAGAAAUUGACAAAUUAUGUGUUGGAGGCUACUGUUCCAAGAACUGCGCGUCAAGCUACAAGUUCGGGAAACAAGUGGCUAAAAAGCUACGGGAUGUGCGGACUUUAAUCGACGAAGGAGUUUUUGCGGCGGUGGCUACCGAGGUGGUGCCUGAGAGAGCUCCAGAACCUGUAGCAGAUGAAAGACCCACUGAGCCAACAAUAGUAGGCUUGCAAUCACAACUUGAACAAGUUUGGAGAUGUCUUGUAGAAGAAUCAGUGGGAAUCAUUGGCCUAUAUGGUAUGGGCGGUGUUGGUAAAACUACACUAUUGACCCAUAUCAACAAUAAAUUUCUUGAGAGUCCAACCAGUUUUGAUUGUGUGAUUUGGGCCGUAGUUUCAAAGGACUUGCGACUCGAAAAAAUUCAAGAAGAUAUUGGGAAAAAGAUCGGUUUGGUUGAUGAUUCAUGGAAGAGUAAAAGUGUAGAGGAGAAAGCUCUCGACAUCUUCCGGAGUUUAAGAGAGAAGAGAAUUGUAUUGCUGUUAGAUGAUAUAUGGGAGCGGGUUGAUUUAACAAAAGUGGGCAUUCCACUUUCCGGACCAAAAAAUACUACCUCAAAAGUCGUAUUCACAACCCGUUUCGUCGAUGUUUGUGGUAGCAUGGAAGCUGACAAGAAGUUCCAAGUGGCAUGCUUAUCAGAAGAGCAUGCUUGGGAACUGUUUCGAAAAAAAGUUGGGGAAGAAACUCUUGAGAGUGAUCAUGAUAUCGUUGAGCUAGCCCAAACUGUGGCCAAAGAGUGUGGUGGUUUGCCACUCGCACUUAUUACUAUUGGUCGAGCUAUGGCCUUCAAAAAGACAGCCGAGGAGUGGAGUCAUGCAAUUGAUGUGCUAAGAACAUCAGCUUCUGAGUUUGCAGGUUUGGGAGAAAAGGUGUAUCGUCUUUUAAAGUUUAGCUAUGAUAGUUUGCAGAAUGAGACGAUUAGAUCUUGUUUCUUAUAUUGUUGUUUAUAUCCCGAGGAUUAUGGCAUUCUUAAAUGGGACUUGAUUGAUUGUUGGAUUGGUGAGGGAUUCUUAGAGGAAUCUGACAGGUUCAGUGCAGAAAACCAAGGAUACUACAUUGUGGGCACUCUUGUUCAUGCAUGUUUAUUAGAAGAGUUAGAAGGUGAUAAAGUAAAAAUGCAUGACGUUGUUCGUGAUAUGGCUCGAUGGAUAGCUUGUGAAAUUGAGAAGGAGAAGAGAAAAUUUUUGGUUUGUGCAGGUGCUGGAGUAGGAGCGGUACCAGAUGUUGAAGGAUGGGAAAAUGUGAGAAGAUUGUCAUUGAUGCAAAACCAAAUUGAAAUUCUGUCAGAGGUUCCCACAUGCCCUCAUCUCCUCACUUUAUUUCUUGACUUUAAUUAUAAAUUGGAGACGAUCACCGAUGGCUUCUUCCAAUGUAUGCCUUCUCUCAAAGUUUUGAAGAUGUCAAACUGUGGGCAUGUCAAAGUUUUGAAAUUACCUUUUGGGAUGUCAAAGUUGGGUUCACUACAACUUCUUGAUAUUUCACAUACCGGCAUAAGAGAGUUACCAGAAGAGUUAAAGUUGUUGGUAAAUCUGAAAUGUUUGAAUUUGAGGUGGACACAUAUGUUAAAUAAAAUUCCACGGCAGCUAAUAUCAAAUUCUUCAUGGUUACGUGUGUUGAGAAUGUUCGCUAUUGGCUUCGAAAAUUCUAAAGAACCAUCAGAAGACAGCGUUUUAAUUGGUGGGGGUGAAGUUUUAGUACAUGAAUUGCUCGGUUUGAAAUAUUUAGAGGUAUUGGAGUUGACCUUGCGAAGUUAUGAUGCUCUCCAAUUUUUUUUGAGCUCAAAUAAGUUAAAAAGUUGUAUUCGAUCUCUUUUCCUCAUUAAGCUGGGAGAUACAAAGUCGAUUCAUGCUACGGCAUUCGCAGAUCUAAAGCAUCUCAAUGAACUAUGCAUUCGUUCGGCAGUGGAGUUGGAAGAAUUGAAGGUUGAUUAUACAGAGAUUGCGCCAAAAAGGUCGGAACCUUUUGUUUUCCGCAGCCUUCACCGUGUUACUAUGGAGCGGUGCCAUAAAUUGAAAGAUUUGACAUUCCUCGUUUUUGCUCCAAGCCUCAAGUCUCUUUCGCUAUACGGUUGCAAUGCUAUGGAAGAAAUAAUCAGCGUUGGAAAAUUUGCUGAGACUCCUGAGGUGAUGGGACAUAUAAGCCCUUUUGGAAAUCUCCAAACGCUUUAUUUAACUGAUUUGCCAGAGUUGAAAAGCAUCUACUGGAAGCCGUUGCCUUUCACUCAUCUCAAAGAAAUGACGGUACAUGGGUGUAAUCAGCUUAAAAAGCUUCCACUCGAUUCCAACAGUGCAACAGAGCGUAAAUUUGUUAUUCGUGGAUACACACACUGGUGGAACCGUCUUCAAUGGGAGGAUGAAGCCACUCAAAUUGCUUUUCGUUCCUGUUUCCAAUCUCAUGAAAUAUAAAUUCCUGAGCGGUGGUUGCAAAAUUUGAUUUCUAGUGAGUGCUUUUUUCUGAAACUCUUACAUAUAUUCUCGUCGUUUGCUUCGUGCAACAGACUAGGUUUUUAUUUCAGAUUCGUUUUUUGUCUCCUGCAAAUCACAAUUAAAUGUUGAAUUAUAUGGAGUCAAUGCUUUAGAAAAUUUUCAAGGCACUGCCAUUUCCUUUUUCUUUUUUCUUUUUUUGGGGUCGAAUUGAUGCUCUGGCUUUUUUCUUCUUCUUGUCAAAUUUUGCUCUGUUUUUUCAAGUUGAUGAUUGAAUAGUUGAAUUCAAUUAAUGCUCACAUAAAUUUGUUUAGUUGCCGUAAAAGGAUAUAAUUAGACUGAAGUACACACUUCUAGAAUGAAUACAAAAUGUUAAGUAUACUAGCCCUCUUUACAGAAAAUCAAAUGAAAAUCAAUUUUUUGGGGCUUUGAUUUUCUAUGGUCUAUUAUAUACUCUUUUUAAUAUCUUCUGUUCUAACUAUAACCAAAUCCUUUGUUCAAGGAUUUUUAGUUGGGGUAUUGAUAACUGUCCACCAAAAGAGUGAACACUUGGAUGCUGCUCAAGGAUCUCUAAUCAAUAGGUGGAAGCAACUGAGAAGGCGGUCGCUACUGUUUACAAAGCGAUGCAGUAUUCGCCAUUCAUCUUAAUAAUUGUGAAGCUUUGGUAAAAUUUUCAAACAAAGUUGAACAUGCUGUUUUGAGAUUUGGUUCAUGAUUUUCGAUGAAUAUCGUUGUUCCGUUUGAGUUGGAUGUGAAUUCAAAAUCUAUAUAUUCUUUAGUUUUCAAUUCUGAACUCAAUUUCUUUUUCUCAAGCAUGUUAUGCAGAAAUGAUUUUUAUAAUUACUAAAUCAUUUUUGAUGAAUUGUUUAAAUUAAACAAGUGGAAUAAGAAUUGUAAAGGUUUAUCAUAAGCAUGCUAAUAUGAUAAGUUGUUUUAUGAACGAUUAAUUAAUUAAUCAAUUAAUAUUAAAUUAUAUAUUAGUCAAUUAGAUAUGCGUUACAUGUCAUGUUUAAAAACUAUUUAUUUAUAUUUCAAACAAAUUUGACUGGAUGUUGUGUAGGUAAUACUACAUAAUUUCAAAACAAAAAAAGUAACAAAAACAAGUUAAAUUUUGUUUUUAUGAAGAAAAAAUUUAAAAUUUUAUUAAGUAGGUGAAAAUAAUAAAUGGAUUCGUGUAUGGUUUGAGAUUCUUGACAUAAUUAUGAAAUAAGCCGGAUUCAACUUAGUUCAAUUUUGACGCGAUAAGAAGACGACACCACACAAACACACGAUAAGAACCGUUACCUGAGAAGAUUGCCAUCAGGAAUUUUGAAAUUGAUUUCACUACAAUACCUUAAUCUUUCAGAUACUCCCAUCACUGAGCUGCCGGAAGAGCUAAAAGCCUUGGUAAAUCUUAAGUGUUUGAACUGUACACAAAUUAUCUCUCUACAAUUCAAAAACAACUGAUUUGUUACUUUUUCAAUGCUACAUGUUCUGCGAAUAUUGAGUUGUGGUUAUCUUGUUGAAAAAUCAGAAAAUAGAGUUCUAUUUGGUGGUAGUGAAUUGUUGGUUGGGGAGUUGCUUAGUUUAAAACGUUUAAAUGUAUUAAGCAUCACCUUACAAGGUUUUUCUGCUGUCCAAAAACUUAUGAGCUCUCAAAAGUUUCAAAGCUGUACAAAAUGUUUGGAGCUUAUAGACUGUGAUGAUUCAAAGUCUUUUGCCUUGGCAGAGUUGAAGCAUCUCGAAAAACUAGUUUUUCGAAUUGUGGAAGAGUUUAAGUUCUGCUGUGUUGAAGUUGGAAAAGCUCAAGAAUGUUUUCGUUUGAACAGCUUUCACCGAGUUAAUAUAAAGGCUUGUCAUAAAUUGAGGGAUGUGACAUGGCUUGUAUUUGCUCCAAAUCUUAUGGUUAUUCAAAUAGAAAAAUGUAUGCAGAUGGAAGCAAUAAUCAGUGCAAGGAAAUUGGGUGAAAUUCCAGAGAUGAUGGCAGAUCUAAACCCUUUUGCAAAACUCCAAUAUCUUCGCUUCCGAGUUCUUCCAAAAUUAAAAAUCGUCUAUUGGAAUGAGUCACCCUUUCCACAUGUCAGGGAAAUUAUUGUAUCUGAAUGCCCAAUUCUCAAGAAGCUUUCACUCAAUUUUAACAAUGCAAAGGAAUCUAAAAUUGUCAUUAAGGGAGAGGAACACUGGUGGAACGAGCUGCAAAGGGAGGAUGAAGCGACCGUUAAUGCUUUUCUUCCUUAUUUUGGUUCCAUUUGACAGGCAUCAACAUGGAUUUAUAUUUUGCGGUGGACAACUUGUAGUAAGUGCUUUUCCAUUUAUUACAUGUUUAUAUCUAACUUUUGUUUUCCUUUAUGGUUAAAUUUUACUAUAUAUAUGUUGUUAUACGGUGACAUUCUCGCAUCAAUUAUUAGCUUUUUAAUUCUCUUCUCGCAUUAAUUGUCCUUCUGAUCAUGUAGGAUUUGCCGAUGUCAAAGAGUAGUAAAUUGGGAUACAAAUGUAAGAAAUUAGCCAGAUGACAUGUUGUUUUGAAGCUUUCGAAGAAGGACUAAUUAUGUCAUUCAAAGCAUCCAAUUUCGCUACUUUUUUUUUUCAUUUGUUGCUUUUUCUAUUUUUAGAUAGCUUGAUUGUCAGUUGUCGUAAUGUAAUGUUUUAGUGUAGAAAAAUGAUAUUCGGCCAAGACAUCGAUAGUAGGGCACAUUGUGCAUGCACACUAGUGGAUGAUUUCGGCAUGCCGAAUCCAAUUAGUGUGGACAACCCUUUAUAAGCAUCAGGCUUCUCUCAUACCAGAGCAAUGUAGAAUAUGUUUAUAAACUGUGGAUUACCCUUUAUAAGUAUUAGGCUUCUUCUAUACUCGCGCGAUGAAACAAAAUGCAUUCUUCAAAUCAAUAGUGGGUGGAAGAAGUGAGUAGAGAAGAACUAGGCCCCUUUCAUUCCCCUAAAACCUCACCGAAACCUCUCUUGUGAACUUCUCAGAUUCUCUCUCAAUAUUUCUUAUGAUCUCAUUUUUGAUAGAAUCAAUUCUUUUGCAUGCUGCAUUUUGUGUGUCUUUUUUGGGUAAUAUCUUAUCUGGAAUGCUGUUAUGAUCAAUAGAAAAAGUAAUCAAGUUUUGGUUUGACGGAAGUCGAUUUAUUUAUUUACUAUUAUUUUUAUUUGAAAUUUUGUACAAUUGUGUUUCAUUCAUUUCUUUCAUUUUUUUAAAUAUUUAUUAUGUAUUGUUGAUGCUGAAAUCUGCUCGCCCUUUGCCCAAUCAGAUCUUUCCACCAAUGUUUACGUGGCUAGAAGAGAAGGUGUCACUUUCUUCUUGUUUCGACUGUUUGCUCAAGCCGCUGGGGUUGGAAUCACCCUUCCUUCUUUUACUAAACAUGCGUUCACAAAAAUGGAUCAGAGACGCCGGUGGUUUUAUCGGCGUAAACUCUCCGAUGCCUAAGUCAGCACAAGGUGUUUAUGGGAAAACAGUGCAGUUUAGAUUUUGAGAUUGCUUAUAAUUUGCUCAAAGUUUGUAUAGAAGACGGCUUGGUUUCAAUUUGGCAGAGUUUUCCCCCCUCUCAGUUUUUCUGUCCCUUCUCCAUUGGUUUUUCCUUAUUUUUAUAGCCGUUGUCCCACGUUUCCGUUCACCCUUCAUGCCCCCCCUUUUCUCGGGUAGUGGCAACCCCUCAUGGGACUCCAACUGCUAUAUUGUGGGUAAACGUGGGACACUGUGUCUCCCUCUACGAUUUUGGGCACAGCGCAACUGGCGUGAUUUCGUGAGAUCGUGUUCCCGCUCUUUGGGGAAUGGGUAUCUGCUCGGUAUAUGUCUCUGGUCGGUGCAUUCCUCUGGCUGGUACUCGUCUCUGGUUGGCCCAUGUUUGUAGAAGGCUCAUUAUCAGUGUUCUGCUCGUACCAUUUGGCUGAGGUGAUCCCUGCCGAGGUGGGGAUGAUGGCAUGGCUGAGCUGAUGCUCUUAUUUACUUAACAUGUAUAAUUGUGUUUCAGUUGAUAUUGAUCAUACUCUAGAUAACUAUGUGAUUGUAGCUGGGGAUUUUAAGUUUUGUGAAUUCAAGAAACUGUCAAAAUGCUAGUGAAAUUGGGACCUUUAUUCAUAAGCUUGUAGUUUUGAAAAGUAGCCCAGUUCAACUGAUGAAGUUCCUUUUUGGGAUUCUUUUUUUCCUAGGCUGCAAUUCGGAUAUGUACCUGAUAGACAAUCUUUUGUGGGUUUAGCAUAUCUUCUCUGAUUUUGUCUUUUAUUCCUCAAUUUUAUAAUUACACACCAUGAAUGUUGAGUGAUUGUAUAGAAAAUUUGAGUUAUAACCAAAGCAUUGUGAAGGAGUUAAGUUAGUGGCUUCUGUUUUAUUGGCAUUGAUUGGGUAGAUUACGUGUUACAGUGAUUCAAUUUGUGAUCCAAACAUUUUUUUAAUUUCUGUUUUCCCAAAUUAUUUAUGUCAAAUUCAAAACCAGAAGCAUGUGCUGAUUUUUUCUUUUUGUAUUAAUCUGUGAAGUUUAUUUGGAAAGGAAGUAUCUGGGUCUAAUGGAUUAAAUUAUGUAAGUGGCAGAAAUUCCUACACACAUAAAUAUGCAUAAAUACAAGAGUAUACACAAAAAAAUGCACACACUCAUACAUCCAGUCAAUAUAGUUAAUGUAUGAUACCAAUUGUUGGGGAAAAAUUAGGUUUUUAAUUUUUUAUAAAACCUUUUGAAGAUCGCUCUCAUAUAAUAUAUAAGAAUUUGUAUUCUAGAAAUCGUACCUUGAAAAUCCGAGUUGGCUUUUUCCGCUGAAGUGUUUUAGGCUCCUAGAUCACGAUCCGCCACCACCGCUCCUGUUAGAUCACGAUCCGUCACCACCACGCUUGUUAGAUCACGAACAGUCUCCAAUGAUCUUCCAGGUUAUGACUCAGGUUCGAUCUGCACUUGACGUGUAGGCGCCUUUAUCACUACCAAAGCAACUAGCACGAGAAAAUUUUUCUCUCAACAAUAGAGAGAAAAAUCUUUUUCUCUGAUCUGUAUAAAGUGGCUUCUCACUUUUUCUUUAGGGAAAAAUAAGCCUUUUAUAUCACCCUUUAGUGAAAACCCUAGGCUCCAAAUAAAUGAAAAAUAAAACCCACGUUUAUUUGCUUUUUCAAUAGGGGACCCACCUUGUAAAAUAACAUAAGGCCCCUUAUACAAAAGCUAAUUAAAUGGAGCCUCCCACUAAAUGAUAUAUUUAGGCUUUUGACCCAAAUAGCUGGUUAUCUUACUUAUUAGUCCAGUAGUGGUGCAGUCAAUUAAAUGAGCUAACCCGGGGAUCAUUUGGGAACAUACAAUAGUGGCUACAAUAAUUAGGCCUGUAAUUAAACUAGCCCAAUUAUUUAAUUCCAAAUCUACUCCAUUAAAAGAUUGGAACUGACUUCCAUAAUUGUAUGCUCGAAUAAUAAUUCGUCCCAAGCCACAUUGAUUUCUUUACUGCACAAUCCUUUGUACCACAUCGUUAAUUAAAUUGAUAUCUCAACUGUCCAAUCAAUUUAAUAACAUCUUAUUCCUUGAUCCUUACUGGUUUUCUCUAAUGAUCAUUUUCAACAUACUAAAUAUGUUGACACACUCUGGCCAGAGAAUUCUAUGAUCAAGUGCCGAAAACCCAUGAAGAGAUGUGUUGUACAAAUUCUAUAUUGUUAAUCUAUAACUCCAAUACUCAUAAUUGCUCCCACCAAGAUACCGGGUAAUCUUGACCACAAGGAUGUGUCGUGCCCAUUGGUAACUCAAAUGGAAUAACAAUUACAAUCAUGAAAUCAUAAUUAACUCAAGAUUAAGAUUACAGUAAAAUCAACGCCUAUGAGAUUUAAUAAGUCUGACAGUUAUUACAAAGUUAAUUAAAUCUCAUAUGUGAUCCUGUUCAAUGUAGUCGUACUACAUCAAUAAAUUCAUACAUGAUUAAGACAAAUCAUUCAAUGAAUUUAUUACAGUCUAUACCUAAAUAAAGUGCCCAACUUUAUUUAUCAACUGCGAACUAAAUUUAUUUAAUCAUAAGAUAACAUGUAUUUAUGUCUUCUGUGAAUCCACAUGGUAAUCACAUAAAUACAUAUAAUAUGAUUAAAUGGACUUUAAUACAAGUAUUAAUGCAAUUAAGAUAUUUGAAUAAAAUACCUCAUUUAUUUUAUUAAUCAGAAAAAUAGUUUAUUACAAUUAAAUAAACAUAUAUGCUUUUAAAGAGCAUAUUUUCCCAACACAUACCGGUUUGGUUAUCUUGCUGCAAGUGCACCACAUUAGCCUUGCAUUCUGGUGCCAACUCCUCCGGCGGUUCACCCACUACCUUUCCCAAUGCUUUGGACCUCCAUUCGGUCUCCAUCAGAUUUCUCAGGAGCACUAAAUAAAGCAGCUAAAACUUGCUUCUGUAGUUCAUUUCUGUCUUUCGGGUGUCUAGGCAAUUUUCCUUCGUUGGUAUUUCGAUCUUCCUUUACAUGACUGAGGAAAUACAGUCAAAAGCUAAUCAAGUAACCAUACAUGGAUGAGAAAUCCCUCCACCCCCUUCCAAAACAAAGUCUAAGAAAUAUCAGAAUUCUUUCAGUAAAAACCCUUCCCCCCAUGCUGUGCCCACUGAAUGAAAUAUAUUAAUCUUAUGAGAAGUUGAGAAAAUAAAUUAAAGACCAUACCCUCCGGAAGAAUUCAAUUGUUGCAAUUUUCUUUCACGUGGAGGUCCUCCAAAGUUAGAGCACAUAUCCGUACACUGUUUAUGAAAUCAUAAUAACAGGGGACCAUUUAUUAAUAACAAAUCUUGACACCUAAAAGUCAACUGUGAUGAAAAAGAUUAAAAAGAAUAUGAACUUGUUAUCUUGGAAGUGAAAAAUAUUUGAGAUGCUUGAAUAUGGUGAAAAUAGUAAUUGUUUUUGUUACUUCUACAAUUCUUGAAUUUUACAAAUAUAUAAAGACAUUCAAGAUGCUGUACAAGGAAAGACAAUAUUUACAAUAAUUAUAAUAAUCAACUAGCCGUUGUGAUGAAUCCACCAUGACAUGUGCUACUAUAUUCUCCAUCAAUUAUGGCUUAGACGAGAUGUUGGAAAUCCUCUUGCCAUGGCGGUACAAGCUACCAUAUUUGUUGCUUGUGACUUGUCCUUAUCAGCCCCCUUUAAGCUAGGCAGUGACAUGCGAUGAACACCUAGCUUGGUUCGUAGCGUGAGAAAUUGAUGCUUCCCCAAAGGUUUUGUAAGAGUGUCUGCAAUCUGAAGAUGAGAAGGCACAUAUCGUGUAAAUAAUGACCCUUUAGCAACCUUUUCACGAACAAAAUGCACGUCAAGCUCAAUAUGUUUCAUUCUAGCAUGAAACACUGGGUUCUUAGUCAUAUGAAUUGCACUCAAAUUGUCACAGAGAAGCGUGGGUGCUUUCGGAAUACAGAACCCAAUGUCAUUAAGUAGAUAUGUGAGCCAUGUUAACUCGGCAGCGGCAGAGGCCGUGGACCUAUAUUCGGCUUUGGCACUUGAGCGAGAGACUGUGUGUUGUUUCUUGGAGCUCCAAGAGAUACAAUUGCUUCCAAGAUAAAUGCAAAAUCCUGUUGUACUUCGUCUUGUUAUUGGACAUCCAGCCCAAUCGGAAUCAGAAAAGGCAUAGAGCUUGAGAGAGCUUUGAGACAAAAAUCUAAGGCCAAAGUCAAGGGUACCGUUAAGGUAACGAAGGAUCAUUUUCACGUCCUUGAGGUUGGCUUUUGUUGGCGCUUGGAAGUGUUGAGAGACUCAAUUGACAACAAAUGUGAUAUCGGGCCUUGUGUAGGUGAGAUAUUGAAGGCGUCCAACAAGGCCUCUAUAUUCGGUUGCAUCCAUAGGUUCAUUAUCAUCCGAACAUGGUAUUGAUCGUAUAGCCAUCGGCGUGUUGAUAGGAGAACAAUCCUGCAUUCUUGCCUUGGAAAGAAGGUCUUUAGUGUACUUCGCUUGAGAUAGGAAGAUGCUAUGCGUGAAUUGUUGAACUUCAAUGCCUAGGAAGUAAUGUAGGUUGCCAAGAUCUUUUAAAGCAAACUUUGAGCUCAGAUUGUUGAUGAUUGAUUGAAUUUCCUUCUCAUUAUUUCCUGUAAUGAUCACAUCGUCAACAUAAAUUAAUAUAAGUAUAAGAAUGGAUUUGUUAUUAAAUAUAAAUAAAGAACUAUCAGCUUUGCUACUAGAAAAUCCAAGAGAAAUUAAGGCUUGAGAAAAACACUCGAACCACGCUCUAGGUGCCUGUUUCAGGCCAUAGAGCGAUUUUUGAAGCUUGCAAACAUAUGUUGGAUGACGUGAAUUGCGAAACCCGGGAGGCUGCUCCAUGUAGACAAUCUCCUUUAGUAGUCCAUGAAGAAAAGCAUUGCGAACAUCCAGUUGCUUGAUAAGCCAUUUUGAGCUCACAACAAUUGCAAGGAUAAGGCGAAUAGUUGUGGCCUUUAUAACGGGACUGAAGGUUUCAUCGAAGUCGACUCCUGGAACCUAUGUGAAUCCCUUGGCAACUAAUCGAGCUUUAUAGCGAUCAAUGGUUCCAUCUUCUCUGUAUUUGAUACGAUAUACCCACUUCGAUUUGAUGACAUUAACAUUGUUAGGCCGCGGCACAAGGACCCAUGUAUGAUUUUGAUGCAAUGCUUGAAGCUCUUCUUUCAUAGCUUGAGUCCAAAGUGGAUUCUUUAAGGCAAUUUUGAGUGUUUUGGGUUCAAUUUCUCUACUGUCGCUGGCUUGAAGGGCUAAUUUAGGAUUUUGUUUGAGUUUAUUGCGUGUCAUCAUGGGAUGAGUAUUUAUGCUUUGCAGUUCUGCAGCUGUGUUUGGUAUCUUAAGUUCCACAAAUAAGCGAUUGGAUAUGUCAGGAUAAUCUGGUUGUGAAUUUGUGGCAGGGCUGUUGUCCGUAUUUCUGGACAAAUUAAGUGGUUCAGUUGCAUGUGAACUACUAGAAUUUGAAUCAUUUGUAGUCAAAUGUUGCAUUGCAUGUGGAGACUCCAAAAUAUUUGGAAUUGCUUCUGACUUGUCGUGUGGAGUUGCUGAAUUCAAAUUGUCCUCUAAAUUGUCUUGUGGGAAAUCUAAAAUAAUUGGAGAAGUGGCAUUUUAGUUGUUGUCCAAGUUCACGUCCUUGUGGGGCAUGAAUUGCACAUGUGGUGUUGAUAUUGUAGCGCCUUUACAAUUGUUUACUUUGACAGCACGUGAAUCAUUAAGAUUCUCACAAUUGGGAGAAUUCUUUGGGAGCCACUCAUCUUGUUGAGGGAAGGUGGUCAAUGUACUAUGUUCCUGCACAUUAAAAAAUGAUGUUAAAAUUUUUGAAUGGUAAAUAAUUUUCAUCAAAUACAACAUGCCCAUAUAUAUAUACACGAUUAGUCUCAGGUUGUAGACAACGACAUCCUUUAUGGAGGGGACUAUAGCCUAUGAAAACACAUGGAUAUGAUUUUUUUAUCAAAUUUUGUUUUACUGUAAUCCUGAAGAUAAGGAAAACAUCUACAACCUAGGACUUUUAACCCUCUAUAAUCCGGUAAUUUUUUGAAAAGAAUUUCAUAAGGGCUUUUAUUUUUUAAAGGUGAAAGAGGCAGCCUGUUAAUGAUAUAAGUGGCUGCAAGAAAAGAAUCCACCCAUAAUUUGAGUGGCAAAGAAGCAUGAAACAUCAUCGUCAAGGCUGUCUCAUUGAUGUGCCUAUGCUUUCUCUCAGCAACACCAUUUUGCUCCGGAGUGUAUGGACAAGAAAUUUGUCUUGUGAUGCCGCAAUUUUCAAGAUGUUUGAUGAAGGCCGUAUCCAUCACUUUGAAAUAUUGUGAUCUUUUUGUCCAAUUGUUUUUCAACUUGUUUCUGAAAUUUCAAGAAGCACUCCAAGAAAUCAGAUUUUUGUUUUAAGGGAUAUAACCAACUAAAACGUGAGUAAUCAUCUACAAAUAAUACAUAGUAACGAAAAUGUUGAGUAAAAGUAAUGGGAGCUGGACCCCAUAUAUCACAAUGCACUUUUUGUAAAGGAAAAUCUGCUUUAUUAUUAGAUAAAUUAAAAGAUUUCCUACAACUCUUGCCUAAUUGGCAAGAAACACAAAUAUGGGGUGCUUUAGACCAACUAGAAAAGUCAAUAAAAUUAUUGCGUUUUAAGGCCUCCAAGAUUUUAGGAUUGGCAUGGCCAAGCCUCUUGUGCCAUAAACUAAAACCGCUAGAUUCUCCUUGAAUUGUGUUGAAGGCAGCAUGAAAGUCUCAUUCCAAUGUGUAUAGCUUCCCUUGCUUACUCCCCUUUGCUAGAACCUUGUUUUCCUUUCUCUUCACAAUAAAACCAUCAGUGUUAAAUUUAAAAACACAUUUAAUAUCAUCAAUGAGUUGUCCAACUGAUAAGAGAUUCUUUUUGAGUUUUGGAACAACUAAAAUAUUAUUUAAGUGCAAAGAACCGUGAUUUGUAUUUAAAGAAGCAGAACCAAUAUGUGAAAUAUUUAAAUCUUGACCAUUGCCAACAAUUAUUUUGUCAUUACCUCUAUACGGCCUUACAUGAUCAAGAUUAUCUGUGUUAUUUAUCAUGUGUGAUGUUGCUCCAGAAUCCACAUAGAACUGUUGAUCAUUAUUUUCUUGAAGAUUCAUCGCAGCUAGGGCAUGUGGAUCCUCUUCAUUGUCAUAGUCGUAUCUGUACCAACAUUCAGCAGCACUAUGUUUGCGUUUGUGACAGAUUUGGCAAAUAACUUCUUCAUCUGAGGUAUUAUUUUCUUUAUUUGGUUUUUGAGGCUGCUGUUGUGGUUUACGGUUGUUGCCAUUGUUGUAGUUGUUGGGGUAAUUUCUACCACCUGAGUUGCGUUGAGAUCCUCUGCCUCGGUAUGGAGGUCUUCCACCUCUUUGAUUUCUGCCUCUUCCACCUAUAUUAUGGAAAAGAUAGAGUUCUCUGAAUCUGAAAGACUGAAACAUUUUGCAUAUUUCGUGAAAGGGAAAUAUUUGUAGAUACUAGUUCAUGCAUUGAGGUAACAUCAAUGUUAAAGAAAAACGGCAAUAACUUAUUAUAUAGAAUUAGGUUCACUUGCUUUAAAUGCUGGUCUGGUCAACCAUAUGAACCUGUAAGUGUAUCUGCAGAAGUAUGGUCAGCCAUAUGAACCUUUUUGGGGGGCAAAUUAGAAAAAUUUUCCUAAAAAAGUGAAAAAAAUCAUUUUUUUUUUUUUAAAAAAAAAAAACUUUAAAAAUUUUUUCAAAAGCUUUUUUUUUUUUUUAAAACCAAUGGUUUGAGGCUGCUGUUGUGGUUACGGUUGUGCCAUUGUUGUAGUUGUUGGGGUAAUUUCUACCACCUGAGUUGCGUUGAGAUCCUCUGCCUCGGUAUGGAGGUCUUCCACCUCUUUGAUUUCUGCCUCUUCCACCUAUAUUAUGGAAAAGAUAGAGUUCUCUGAAUCUGAAAGACUGAAACAUUUUGCAUAUUUCGUGAAAGGGAAAUAUUUGUAGAUACUAGUUCAUGCAUUGAGGUAACAUCAAUGUUAAAGAAAAACGGCAAUAACUUAUUAUAUAGAAUUAGGUUCACUUGCUUUAAAUGCUGGUCUGGUCAACCAUAUGAACCUGUAAGUGUAUCUGCAGAAGUAUGGUCAGCCAUAUGAACCAUAUGGGGGGACAAAUUAGCUAAAUUUUCCUCUUAUUUAUGGGUUUGGUCAUUUUUUCCCCUUCAGCUUUCCUUCUCCUGAAGUAUGUUAACAAUUGCAGAUAAUGACGAAGAGGACCGCUUCCAGGCUCUUCGUAGAGCUGCGAUGUAAUAUAGGGGCACAAUGAAGGAACAUUGUAAAGCUGUAGGUUCUUUUUCUCCUGUCAUUUAUGUUUUCUCACACAUUUUUUAUAUGCUCCAAGCAUCCAAUUUUGUAUGUGUCUUUGCCUUUUAAGUUUUAAAAACCAUAAAGUAAGAAUACAGUUCCUUGUCAGGUUAUUGAUGCAUUCACUCAGGGGGAUCAUGCUCGAGCAGGAAAACUUCUAGAACAGGUAAGGUUUCCAUCUACAGCCAUUUAUUGACAACAUAUAUAUUUUCAUUCAGCAAGCACUGUUAGCAUUCAAGAUGCUGGCAGAUUCACUUGAUUCUUAUUAGUUUGUUUAGUAGCAAAGCAUAUAACCUGUAUUUUAAAGCUAAGUUGUGCUAUUGAUUAUGUUAACUUUAUUGUUCACAUAAAGUGAUAUUGAGGAAAUAAUCAAUGUAGGAAAAUUAGGUGAAGAGAUGAUGUCAAAUCUUGAACCUCUUACAAAACUCCAAGUUCUUUACUUGAAGAAGCUACCAAAUUCGAACAGCAUCUACUGGAAGGCCUUGCCAUUCCCUGAUGUAUGCAGAAUUUUUGUAUUUAAAUGCCCAGAGCUUAAGAAGCUGCCACUAGAUCUUGAAAGGGCAGGCCAAGGUAAAAUUCUUAUCAAGGAAAAGAAAGAUGGGUGGAAACAACUUCAAUGGGAGGAUCAAGUAACUCAUAUUGCAUUGCUUCCAUCUUUAAAAUCAACCAACAAGUGAUUGAAGGGGGCAUCAUCAACAUCAUCAACAUGGAUAGAGAGAUUCUGGAGCAGAUCAGCCGGGUUUAGUACGACCUGUGGUGGUUUCUUUUUUGUGACUUUUUUCCCUUUCAUUUUUUCACUUCCUGUCAUAUUAUCAUUUCUUUGUCUCUGUUUCUAUUGCUGGUGUUGCUGCAUGCUUGCUGCCCUUGACAAAGUUAGCUAGUUUUUUUGUUUAUUAAAUUUUGUAUGUUCGGGACAGUCACAAAGUACUACUUGUUCUAUAUGGGGGUGAUGUGAAUCAACUUUUCAAUUAUAUAUUCUGUGGUAAUUGUGAAUUCAAUUUCAUUUGUCUCCUGCAAAUUAUGAAGAAAGUGCAGAGUUACAAUAUGGAAAAGUUCACUGGCAAAUACUUUGUAAAAGCUUCGGAGUGAAACAGGGAAUGCACUAGCAACUAAGGACAAAUUGGUGGCCAGCUAAUGCAUUCAUUUUAUGUACAUUGCUAAUUUGUAUGUUAAUUAUUAGAUAAUCAAUUAUUUGGAUAAUCCCUUGUGUUUUAUCUCUAAUUAGAACAUCAAUCUUCACAAUAUCUACAAUGCUACAAUGGCUAUAAAACAAAACCUGUUUGCAAAUUGUCAAGGAUACUUAUCCUUUCGCUUGACAAGUCAUUUGGAAAAAUAUUGUCCCUUGGCGGCUCCAUGUCUUCUCUGCCCCUCCUUUUGGUCUUAAUGUACGGUUGCAUAAUGAUAGUUUAGGCCCUUCAGGGACUACUUUCCCUGGUGUUGUUAAGUCUUAGCUUGUGCUAGGCUCGUUUUUCUUACCAAAAGAAAAGGAAUACUUCUCCUAUAAGAAAUAAUCUCUAUAUAUAGGGUAGUUGGAUUCACUUGUUUACAUAACAAAUCAAUUAGUUCUCUGUAAGUAGAGAGUUUCAAGUAUGAGAGAAACGGUAGGUCUAUCGAGAGAUUAUGUGUUAUUAGGAUUUUGGUUGUGAAGAAAAGUACUAGAGUGAUUGUGUUAAUUUUCUACAUAGUGGAUUUUUCUAUCGUCAUCUUUGUGGCUGUGAUUUUUCUUUUAUAUAGAAGUUUCCCACGUAAAUUGUUAUGUUAUGUGAUUAGUUUUAUUCUCCAUCUAUUUUUUGUUUAUUAUUUGUUUGAUAUUUUAUUUGUAAGAUGUUGGAUGGGAUUAAAAUUCCUUAACAAAUAACGGAUUAAAAAUAUUGAAGAAAAAGCUCAAGAGAUCUUCAAGAUUUGAAGUGUGAAAAAGUUCAUAUUACUGCUAGAUGAUAUAUAGGAGCGGGUUGAUUUAGUAAAAAUGGGUGUCCCUCUUCCUAGAUCAGAAAACAACACAUCCAAAGUGAUAUUUACAAACCCGUUCUGAGGAAGUUUGCGGCUUAAUGGAAGCUCGUAGGAGUUUUAAAGUGGCGUGCUUAUCAAAUAAAAAUGCUUAGGAUUAUUUCGAUACAAAGUUGGGGAAGAAACUUUGAACAAUCAUCUUGAUAUCCUUGAGCAAGCACAAUAGUUGUUAAGGAGUGUGGUGGUUUGCCACUUGCACUUUUUACCAUCGGCCGAUCUAUGGCGUGCAAGAAGACACAGCCGAAGAAUGGAGAUAUGCUAUUCAAGUGUUCACUUCGUCCGCUUCCUGUUUCCAGGUCUGGAAGAAGGGAUAUAUACUCUUGUAAAAUUCAGUUAUGAUAGUUUACCCAAUGACACAAUUACACCUUGUCUGUUAUAUUGUAGUUUAUAUCCAGAAGAUUGUUGCAUUUCUAAAGAGAAUUUGGUAGAUUGUUAGAUCAAUGAAGGAUUUUUUAAUGAAAGUGAUUGGUUUGGAGAAAAAAUCAAGGAUACUUCAUUUUGGGCAUUCUUCUUCAUGUUUUUUUUUGGAAAAGGGAGGAGAUUGUGAAGUGAAAAAUGCAUGCAUGACGUUAUUCGUGAUAUGGCUUUGUGGAUCGCAUGCGACUAUGAGAAGGAGAAGGAGAACUUUUUGGUUUACGCUGGUGUUGGUUUAGCUAAGGUACCGGAUAUUAGAGAUUGGGAAAAGGUAAGGAGAUUGUCAUUGAUGAAAAAUAAAAUUGAGAAUCUAUCUGAGGCUCAUACAUGCCCUCAUCUCCUCACUUUCUUUCUUGACGAUAAUGAGUUUCGGAAGAUCCCCGGUGAUUUCUUCCAGUUUAUGCCUUCUCUCACUGUUUUAAACUUGUCAUGUAUUAAACUAAAGUCAGUUCCUUUAGGGACUUCAAGGUUGGUUCCACUACAACAACUCGAUCAUUCAUAUUCAAGCAUAAAAGAGUUGCAAGAAGAGUUAAAUGCCCUGAUUAAAGUUAAAUGCUUGAAUAUAGAUCAUGUAGAGGAGCUAAUUACAGUUCCACAACAACGGAUAUUUAAUUUUUAAGGUUAUAUGUGUUGAGAAUGUUCGAUACUAUUAGUUUAAAUUUUCAAGAAGCAUUAAAUAAAGACAGCAUUUUAUUUGGUGGGGAGGAAGUUUAAGCAGAGGAGUUGCUCGGUUUGGAAUAUUUGGAGGUAUUGAGCUUCACUUGAGAAGUGUUCGUGCUCUCCAAUUUAUUUUGAGCUCACAUAAGCUACGAAGUUGUACUCAAGCGCUGUUCCUCCAAUCCUUCAAUAAUUCGAUAUGGCUUGAUAUUUCACUUUUGGCAGAGUUAAAAGCACCACUGCAGAUUUAAGUAUUUUUGGCUGUAGAAAAUUGGAGGACUUGAAGAUGGAAUAUACAGGGGGAGCGAAAAACAAGCGGCAACCUUGUGUUUUCUAAGGCCUACAUACAGUUCACAUAGAGGUUUGUUCUAAAUUGAAGGACUUAACAUUCCUUGUUUCUGCUCCAAAUCUCAAGAACUUGGAAAUACAAAAUUGCCCUGCUGUGGAAGCAAUCAUCGGUGUGGGAGAAUUUGCGGAAGCUCUAGAUGUGGUGGAAAAUCUAAACCCAUUUGCAAAACUCCAGUUUCUUGGACUAGAAAAUCUGCCAAAUGUGGAGAGCAUCUAUUGCAGGCCUCUGCCCUUUCCAUGUUUGAAAAGAAAUGACUGUGGAUAGUUGCGGUUGUCUUAAAAAGCUUCCACUCUACUCCAACAGAGUAAAAGAGUGUACAAUUGUUAUUUCAUCAUUCGGAGAGUUAAUGGUGCAAUGAGAUUUGGCAGUUAACUCUCGUGGGAAGAGCUUUAAUGGGAAGACGAAGCCACUCGAAUUGCUUUUCAUUUCUGUUUCAAAUCUCUAAUUGGAUUGGAGAUUGCAUUUCGCCUCAGGUUCGUACUUUUCUUGAAUUUUUCUUGUUAACUUCAUUUGUUCAUUUAUCCAUUUUUUUUUUAAAGGAAUCAGAAGGGUUAAUAUUUUUGGUUGUGUUAGGUCGACUUCUAAUCACGAGGCAGAAGGAGCUGAGAUGAAGUUUAAUUUUGGUGGAGAAAUUGUUUGAUUUAAAAAAUUUAAAUGAGUUGACCAUCAUUCUUUAGCAUAUUUGUAUGAACAGGAGUGUGUAAAUAUGCAAACUGUCCAGCUGUAUGUGUAUAACGUAAUAAUUUUGAGGAGUUAAAACAUUGAAGAAUAUUGAUGUUUCCAUUGUCAAACCAAAUAUACUUAAUUACUUGAGGAUAAUGAUUACUGCUAAUACAUUUGCAAAGAAAAAAACAUGCCUAUUGAAAAACUCAUCUUAUUAGCAACAGCAUUAUAAGUAGUAUCCAAUCAUAGUUUCAUGCAAGAUUUUGAGAUUUUUCAAAUGCUGAUUCCGGGAAUGGAGAUUAAUAGAUAAUGGAGACAGGUUGACUGCAAUGGCUAAUUGCAAGAGGGAAUUUUAGUCGUAAAAACAGACCAACUAGCAAAGCAGAUUCCAAAUCUUGGAAUGAAGUAGCAAAAAAACGAAACAAACAACUGGCAAGAGGAAGUGACUAUACAAUAAUAACAUCGACUUGCAAUUCAACAUUUAUAUAGUUAUACACACCAAGAAAAGAGAAAAUUACAAUAGCAAUUUGGCUACUAGAAGAUGUUCAUUCAUGCUUAUGCCUGUCAUAUGGAUUUGAAACAAGGAGUAAAAGCAUUUAGAGUGGCUUUAUCCUUCCACUGCAGCUCAUUCCACCAGUGUUGCUCUCCCCUAAUAACAAGUUUGCGUUCCUUGGCGCUGUUGUAAUCGAGUGGAAGCUUCUUGAGGUUCGGGCAUCCAGAUACAAACAAUUCCAAGAGAUUUGGAAAGGGCAAUGCAUUCAAACAGAUCUUCUUCAAAUUUCUUAGAACUUGCAACCGAAGAUAUUGGAGUUUCGCAAAAGGUUUUAGCCCUGGAACUUCUUCCACUUUCCAAACACUGAUUAUUUCUUCCAUCUCAUAACAACGUUCUACAUGCACCAUCUUCAGAUUUGGGGCAAAAACAAGCCUUGUCAUCUCCCUCAAUUUACUGCAAUAGUCUAUGGUAACACUUUGAAGGCUGUUGAAACCAUAAGUUCUCUUGUUGUUUGAACUUCUGCAUAGUCAACCUUUAGCUCUUCCAAACUUGUACAAUACACAAAAUCUAGUUUGUCAAGGUACUUGAGAUCUGCUAUGGACAAAAUAUUCCAUGACCUUGAAUCCUCACAGCGGCGAAGCUCUAAAGCAUAUUUACAACUCUUGUACUGUUGGCAGCUCAAAAGUCUUCGUAGAGCAUAAAAACUUCUUAACGUGACGCUUAAUACAUUUAAAUGUUCCAAAGUAAUCAACUCCUCUACCAAAAUUUCACUACCACCAAAUAGAACGCUAUCUUCUGGUACUGUAUUAGCAGAGCCACAAUCUAGCAUCCUCAACACCUUUAACCCAGAAAAAUUACAAAGCAGUUGCCGUGGAAUCGUAUGGAGAUAACGCAUGUACUCCAAGUUCAAACACUUUAGAUUUUUCAAGGCUUUUAAUUCAUGUGGUAACUCUUUGAUGAAAGUUUCUGAAAGAUUAAGAUAUUGUAGUGAAACCAAUUUUGAAAUUCCUGAAGGCAAUUGACUCAAGGAGCGAUUCUUUGAUAGGUUUAAAACUUUUUUUUUUUUGGUGAGAGGGGGCUCGUCAAAACGAGCUAAAUAGAAACAAAACGGGGUUGAGUAACCCCAAACAAGUCUUGCGAAAUGAUAGAAUAUAUACCCAUAGGAGGGUCAGAGAACACUUGCAAUCCAAGAGGAGCUGAAUGAGCCAUAUUAGCCAUGAAGUCCGCAGCUGAGUUUGCUUCACGAUAGAUAUGGGUGAUAGCAAUCUGCCAAUUUCUACUUAAUAAUUCGUGGACAGCUACUAUUAAAGCAUGGAACACAUUAGGAACGACCACCUGCUUAGAGAUUAUUUGUGUAAUACAAAGACUAUCCACUUCCACCAACAGCCGUUUUAUGCCUACAUCCCAAGCCAGAAUUAGACCCUGAUACAGCCCCCAAAGCUCAGCCAUAAGCACUGAACUCUCCCCAAUUCUCAUACAAAAUCCGGAAAUCCAAUGACCGACUGAGUCUUGAAUGACACCUCCUGCUCCUGCUUCCCUGUCAUUUUUACGAGAGCCAUCUGAAUUUAAUUUGCACCAUGGCCAUGGCGGCGGAAUCCAACGAAUAAAAAUCUCCUUUCUCCUCGGCUGUUGACUUAUACCGGAAUUAUAAACUUUGUAAAUUUCAUUAGCUCUAGCCAUAGCAUCCAUAUAGACUGUUACACCAUCCACCAACUUCCCCGCAAACAAGAAAUGGUUCCUCCAGAACCACAGCCUCCAAACCACCACUCCAAAGAUACAAUCCCAAGGGAGGGAAGAUGCAAUCUUCCAUUUGUUCUGCAAGUUCCCAGUAAUCCAUUCACGUAGAUUCGAAUUGAAGAAAGCGUUAUGAGUUGCCAUUGGGACAAGCUUACGCCAAACCUGAUUAAUACAGCAGUAAUCUCUCAAUGCAUGGAGAAUAUCUUCAACCGCACCCCCACAUCUAUCACAGCCCUCAGGAGCAUUGAUAUGGCGCCUAGCUAGCUCAACAUGAGUCUUUAAUUUCCCAUGCAUCAGCUGCCACAGAAAAAGACGGAUGGAUUGAGGCCCCUUCCAACUCCACGGAAGCUUCCAAAUUCUGUCAUGAUCAGCCAAGUGAUGAUAGCAAAGGGAUGCAUAAGCUGAACGAACCGUAAACAUGCCGCUCGGAUCCAGACCCCAGUAAAUUUUGUCAGACCCAAAAUGCGGUCUCGGAGGCAUGACUGAUGCGAUCUGCAUGAGAGUAUAAUGUGGCAGCAAAUGCUCAAAGCUCGACCAAUUCCAUCCCCCCUGACCAUUCGUAAACUCACUCACGGUGGCGUUGAUAAGCUCCUGAGGAAUCGGCUGGAGAGCUAGGCUGCUCAAGGGAUAUUUCGUAGCCCAACAAUCUAUCCAAAAGCGAGCUCGACCUCCAUCGCAAACAGACCAGCGAGCUCCCUGAACUAUUGUCAACCACUUGCUACGAAUAGCUCUCCAAAUCUGAGAACCCGGUUUAUCUGGAAGGGACAUCGGUAAAUUUGCUGGAAUCCAAUCCAUAUUUGGAACAGAAAACUUUCACCCACAAUUUAUCCGAGCUGGACACAAUCUCCCAGCUCAAUUUCAUUAUCAGCGCCUGGUUCAUCUCGUCCAUUUUUUUGAACCCCAGACCUCCAUAUUGUUUCGGCAUGCAGAUUUUGCUCCACCCCACCAUACUCAUCUUAGGACUCUUUGAAUUCCCAUCCCAAAUAAAUCGCCGACAAGAUUUGUCUAUUUUAUGCCUCACUGGAGAAGGAAGAAAUGUCGUUUGCAUGGCAUAAAUAGGCAUUGCUUGCAGAACUGAUUGAGCCAGGGUGACGCGUCCAGCAAAAGAGAGAUGAGUCGCAUUCCAACCAGUAAGUCGGUUAUCGACUUUAUCAAGGAUGGACUGAUACGUGGAUUUAUUAACCCGCGUGUGAAUUAAUGGCAUUCCAAGAUAAUCACCCAAAUUAUUUGUGGCCGAAAAACCCAAAGUAGAGCCUAUGAGAUUGGCAUCCCGAGUAUCAACAUUUUUUGAGAAGAACACCUUGGUUUUCAACUUAUUUAUUUUUGCUUCAGAGCUCCUACAAUAGUUUUCCAGAACAACAUCAACCACAUAAGCUUGGUCAAUUGAAGCUUCCACAAAUAAAAGCAAAUCGUCUGCAAAAAAGAGAUGAGUUAAGGGAGUUCCAUAUUUGGCCAACCUAAUAGGCCUCUAUCUCCCAUCCAUUACCGCUUGGGUUAUCCCAUGACUCAAACGCUCGAUACACAGAACAAAAAGAUAAGGCGAGAGGGGAUCUCCCUGACGAAUACCUCUCCCUGGAGUGAAGGUCCCUGUAACCUCACCAUUCCACAAAAUACUCAUACUAGCUGAAGUUACGCAAUCCAUGAUAAGUCUAGAUAAAUGAGUUGGAAUACCAGUCUGUUGAAGCGUAUCAAAAAUGAAAUCCCAAUUAAGCCAGUCAUACGCCUUCUCUAGGUCAACCUUAAUGGCCAUAAAUCCUUUCCUGCCAGUUUUUCUGCGCAUUGAGUGAACAACUUCCUGAGCCACAACAAUAUUAUCUACGAUAUUCCUCCCUGGAACAAAACUUGUCUGAUUGGGGCCUAUUAGAUUGGGCAACAGCGAUUGCAAGCGAGUGGCUAUAAUUUUAGUCACCGUCUUGUAAGCCAUUGUGCAUAGGCUUAUGGGCCUAAACAUCUUUAAGCUAGUAGGGUGCUCCUCUUUUGGAAUCAAAACCAGGAGGGUAGUAUUUAUCUCUUGCGGCACUUUGCCCGUGGUAAAAAUAUCAUCAAUAAACCUGCAAAACGACGGACCCACAACAUACCAUUGGGAUUGAUAAAAAAUAGCAUGCAACCCAUCCGUAUCUAGAGCUUUCAGCGGCUUCAUACUAAAAACGGCACUUUUAAUCUCCUCCCUCAAAAUUGGGGCUGCGGCACCAUCAACGUCAUGAGAACUCAAGUCUGGAAAAAAAUUUGGCACAUGGUAGUUCUGAUAAAUAGCAUUUUCUCUUUUAAAUAAUUCUGAAAAAUACCCCACUGCAUGCCUCUUUAUAUCUUCCUCAUCAUACAGCCAAUUCCCUGAACUGUCUCGGAUAGCCUCGAUUCUAUUCCGCCGCCUUCGAGCAAUAGUUUUUUUAUGGAAAAAAUUCGUAUUUCUGUCUCCAUGUAAAAGCCAAUCCUUUCGAGAUUUCUGGAGCCACAGAAUUUCCUCCUGGCUCAUCACCAUUUCGAGCUCAUUACGCAAUCGGGCCUCCAAUCGCCUCAAACUGCGAGAGCUAUAUUUCUCUAGGGUGGCUUGAAUUCCAUUAAUCCGAGCCAUAAGCCGGCGUUUCCUCUGAAAGAUAUUCCCAAACACAUCUCGAUUCCAAACUUGAACCUCCUGAACAAAAUGAGAAGCUGCUGCACUAUAGUGGGAUUGCGGAUUCCACAUCCGCUUAACAAAAUUGUUAAAGUGCUCAUGAGUUAACCAAGCAGCCAAGAAGCGGAAAGGCCUGGUGUUGAGUGUUAGAAAAUGCAUAUUUAUAAAGGAGAAAACCGUCAUUUUACAUUUUAAGUCUUACUAACAACCCUUACUUUUAUAUAUUUAACCUUCUUGUGAUUUAAUUACAUGUGUUUUAUUUUAAUUAAGUAUUUUAUGUAUUUUAGGGGCAUUAUAGUCAUUUCACAAUAAAGGAGAGAUCAGACGGCAAAACGGACAUCACUUUUGAACUCAGGACGGUCGAAAACCUUAGGAGGAGCAUAAAAGGAAAAAUGGCACUAUUCACAUGUACGGUACUAUUCACGUAUACGGUACUGUCUACGUUACUGUUCACGACACUGUUCACAUAGACGGAUCGAUGACGUGGCAUUGACCGAUGAUGUGGCAUUGACUGAUGAGGUGUCACGAUCCUGUUGGGCUAAAAUUCUUAUGUACUGUUGAUGGUGACGUGGCAGCAUAUCAGUGGACGAAAAAUCUCGUGUACGGUGCAUGCAUCACACAGGAUUAUUUUCAACCAAACCGCGUUACUGUUCAUCCGGGUCAAACCGCGUUACUGUUCAAAGUCGGGUCAAACCGUGUUACUGUUCAUCCGCGUGGUCAAACCGUGGACUGUUGACUGAUGACGUGGCGCAAUCCUGAGCGUCCAAACUGUUUUUAAUCCGAUGGCCAUGAUUUACUCCAUGUAUCUAUAAAAAGGGGGCCUCCCCCCCCUAAUUUGAUAUCUCUGAAUCCAUUUUUGGGAUCCAUUUUCUGUAAUUCCUUCUCCAUCUUGUAUUUUCUUCGUAUUUUAAUAAAUUCCCAUUUUGCCCCUAGUUCAAUUAUGAGUGGCUAAUUUUCUUUCAAGCUUGGGUUGAAGGUGAAGUCUCAACAUGUGUCAUGGGCUUAAUUUGGUAAAUUUAUUUUCUCUUCCCCUCUAGUUUUUGUGGAUGUUUUGACUUCUCGUCGACAAAUAAUACUAAUCUUGUCUAGUACCGCCUUGGUUUCACCGGCUCUCUAGUAUAAGGUUAUUAUUAUUUGGCACGAUAAGCCCUUAGCACCAUAUUGAUUAGAGCGUGGUUCAUGCGGUGUGGAUUCCCCCCUCAUGAUUUAAUUGGUAUUAAUAAGGAAUAUUUAGCCUAUGAUGCAUGUUGAUACGGAUCCAGAUACCCAAGUACGUCAUUUCAAUAGAAUUCUCUUCAAUUUAUUCUCACCAUUUCAAUACCAAUUUUAGAAUUUAUUCUCUCCAUUUUAAUUUAAGUUUUAGCAUAUUCCAAUCAUUUCCACCACAAAUCUAAUCACCCAUUCACAAAAUUAAUUCUACACAAUUAAAAUCCACCUCCUCGUGGGAUCGACACUCGUCACCAUUAAUCUAUACUACAACAGAUUCGUGCGCUUGCGAGUACAUUAAAAUUUGCACAACAAGUUUUUGGCGCCGUUGCCGGGGAGGUAAGUAAUUUUAAUUCAUAGAAUUAAUUUUUGUGAAUAAUUUCUUUUAUUUGUUUUCUUGUAUUUUUUUUAUUAUUAAAAAAAAAGAAAAAAAAAGUGAAUCUACAUUUAAAGGUUAGUAUUUCUUUUCUUUUUCUCUUCUUUAAAAUUCUGUAAUUUAAUUUUCAAUUUAUUUUUUCUUUGUAAUUUUUGUUUAUUUUAUUAAUUUAAUUUUUAGUUAAUUUCACGUAUUUGUUUUUGUGUAUUUUUAUAGUAAGGUUGUAAUAGCGCAAUAAGGUUAGUAUCGUAAUUUCUCCCUCUUCUUUAUUUUUAUUUGUUUUGUUCCCAUCUUUAUUUUUUGUUUUGUUUGCAUCUUUAUUUUUAUUUUAUUUAUUUGCAUGCAUGGUCGUAGGUCAUUAUUACCUAAUCUUGAACCUAUAGACCUUGAAUUAGAAAAAACACUUCGCACACACAAACACGUUAAAAAUAAAAUGGAUUUACAAGCACCACAGGAGAGGCCAUUUAAGGACUAUUUUAGUCCCUUAGCUAAUUUGAGCACGUCAUGCAUAAGAUACCCAAAUGUAGCUGCUAGGAGUUUUGAAUUAAAACCUAGUGUGUUAAAUUGUCUCCCUACAUUUUAUGGCCUAGAAAAUGAGGAUCCAUAUAAUCAUUUGAAUGAUUUUCAUGCCAUUUGUCAAACAUUCAAAUAUGAGAAUUUUUCAGAUGAUGAUGUUAAACUUAGACUAUUCCCAUUUUCUUUAAAAGAUAGAGCUCGUUCAUGGCUUAAUACAUUGCCUGCUAAUAGCAUUGCAUCAUGGGAACAAAUGGUAACGAAAUUUUUGAAUAAAUAUUUCCCAGUGCAUAAAACCAAUGCUAUUCGCAGGGAAAUCUCAGAGUUUACUCAGAGAGAGGACGAGCAGUUUUUCGAGACAUGGGAGCGAUUCAAUGGGCUACUCUUGAAGUGUCCACAUCAUGGGUAUGAGAAAUGGCAUCAAUGCCAAUACUUUUUGGAGGGAUUACUACCGAAUGUGCAAGAAUGGCUAAUGGCAACAAGUGGAGGAGAGCUAAUGUCAAAAAGUGCAUCAGAAAUUUGGGAGUUUUUCCAGCGACAAGCGGACAAUUCCCAACAACGGAGUCGAUCACUCAGGAAUACUAGAAGGAUUAAAGGAGUGAAUGAGGUUCACAUUGGCGAGUCAACUUCGGGAAUCAAAGAAGUCAAGGAGAUGGUUGAAGGUCUUGCUCGACAAAUAGCAUCAUUAUCGAUUGCUAAAUCAACAGAACCACAUGACCAUGACUCAUACUCAGAUCAAGCCAAUGCCAUAGGUGUAAUGAGAAAGCCAUCAAAUUACAACCCAUACUCCAACACAUAUAACCCUGGAUGGAGAGACCACCCUAAUUUUUCAUGGUCUCAAGGAUUCCAACAGAAUGGACCAGCAGCUCCAGCUCCACCAAUUCCACAAAAUCCUCAAGCCUCUCAGCCAUCAUUUAGACCAUUCAAUCAGAACCAUAAUUAUUCUCAACCCAGACCAUGGGAGGAUGCAUUUCAGAAUUUCAGGAAUGUUACUCACUCCACGAUUGAGCAACAGAACCGCACCAUUGAUGGAUUACGAAAUGAGUUGAAAGCGGGCUUCAACUCACAAGCCCAAUCAGUUUCAAGCCUUGAGAAGAUGGUGGGACAACUUGCUUCUUCAGUUCAGACCUUGGCAAUGACCGUUGAGAAAGGCAAAUUUCCAAGUCAACCAGUACCUAAUCCUAAAGGAGUGCAUGAAGUAAGUACCAGUUCACCACAGCAGCAUGGAGAGGUCAAAGCAGUAAUGACCUUGCGAAAAGGAAAGGAAGUCGACAACAAAGUGGAGAUGCCGGUGACAAAAGAAAAUCAAAUUGUACCUGUGAAUGUUGAGGACUCAUCACCGGAGGAGAAAGAAGAAACUAACCCACGAGAAUAUGUUCCGAAAGCUCCAUUUCCCCAGAGGUUAGCUAAAGGCAAGAAGGGAAAAUCCACAGGUGAGAUUCUCGAAAUCUUCAAACAGGUAAGUGUUAACAUCCCUUUACUUGAUGCUAUUAAACAAGUUCCAUCUUAUGCCAAGUUUCUUAAAGACCUUUGUACUAAAAAGAGAAAUAUGCAUGUUCAAAAGAAGGCAUUUUUAAUAGAAAACGUUAGUUCUAUACUCCAACAUAAAAUUCCUUUAAAAUGCAAAGACCCAGGCUCCCCCACUAUCUCAUGUAGUAUAGGGAACCACACAAUUGAGAAUGCUUUAUUGGAUUUAGGAGCUAGUGUAAAUCUUUUGCCUUACUCUGUAUUCGUGAAACUUGGACUUGGAGAAUUACACCCAACUCCAGUGGUGUUACAACUUGCAGAUCGGUCCACAAAAAUACCUCGUGGUAUUGUGGAGGACGUGCUUAUCCAGGUAGACAAGUUUUAUUUUCCUGUUGAUUUCAUUGUAAUUGACACUCAACCAAUACAGGAUUCAAGGAAGCACAUCCCCAUUAUUCUAGGCCGACCUUUCUUGGCAACUGCGGAUGCUCACAUUCAAUGCAGGACUGGAAAUAUGCAGUUGUCUUUCGGCAACAUGACUAUGGAGCUGAACAUCUUCAACAUUGCCAAACAACCUCACAGUGCAGAUGAUGGAAUUGUUGAUGUGGAUUUAAUAGAAACAAUAGUUGAUAAUACUUUUCUUUCAAACCUUAGUGAUGAUCCUUUACAAACAUGUUUAACUCACUUUGGUUUGGAUUUUGAUAUUGACAGAUCAGUCGAUGAGGUCAACGCCCUGCUUGACUCAACACCAUCCAUGGACACUAAUAAAUGGAAGUCAAGAGUUGAACAACUAACACCAUCAGAGAAGAAACUCAUCACAUCAUCAGAAUCACCACCGAAACUCGAGCUCAAACCAUUGCCCAACACAUUAGAAUAUGCGUUUUUGGGAGAAGAAAGUUCUCUGCCGGUAAUCAUCUCAUCAUCCCUUAAUGACGAACAAAAAGGUAAGUUGUUGGAUGUUUUGAAAGAGCAUAAAGGGGCAUUAGGAUGGACCAUAGCAGACAUAAAAGGUAUAAACCCUGCAGAUUGCAUGCAUUACAUUCACCUUGAUGAAAAUGCUAAAUCUACUAGGGAAAUGCAACGUCGGUUAAAUCCUAAUAUGAAAGAAGUUGUUAGAACAGAAGUCCUUAAGCUAUUAGACGCAGGUAUCAUUUACCCAAUUUCUGAUAGUUCAUGGGUCAGUCCUGUACAAGUUGUCCCCAAAAAGUCAGGAGUCACAGUAGUUACGAAUGCAGAUAAUGAAUUGAUACCCACUAGAGUAACUACAGGAUGGCGUGUACGCAUUGAUUAUAGAAAAUUGAAUUCUGUCACACGUAAAGACCAUUUUCCUUUACCAUUUAUUGAUCAAAUGCUUGAUAGAUUAGCAGGCCAUGAAUUUUAUUGCUUUCUAGAUGGUUACUCAGGAUAUAAUCAGAUUCCCAUAGCACCAAAAGAUCAAGAGAAAACUACUUUCACUUGCCCUUUUGGCACAUUUGCAUAUAGGAGAAUGCCAUUUGGAUUAUGUAAUGCACCUGCUACAUUUCAACGAUGCAUGUUGAGCAUUUUUUCUGAUAUGGUGGAACGAUUCCUUGAAGUCUUUAUGGAUGAUUUUUCUGUCUUUGGUGACUCGUUUGAUCAAUGUUUACAUCAUCUAACACUAGUUCUGCAGAGAUGUAUCGAGAAGAACUUGGUCUUAAAUUGGGAGAAAUGCCAUUUUAUGGUAAAACAAGGUAUUGUUCUCGGUCACAUCAUUUCGAGCAAAGGUAUUGAGGUUGACAAAGCCAAGGUGGAUCUCAUUUCUAAUCUUCCUCCACCCAAAACAGUCAGAGAAGUAAGAUCUUUCCUUGGGCAUGCUGGUUUCUAUAGACGUUUCAUUAAAGAUUUUAGUAAAGUUUCUAGACCCUUAUGCAAUUUGCUUGCUAAGGAUGUACCUUUUGUCUUUGAUGAUUCAUGUCUUGUUGCGUUUGAAAAAUUAAAGCAUUUGUUGACAUCAUCACCCAUCAUUCAGGCCCCAAACUGGAACUUACCAUUUGAGCUAAUGUGUGAUGCAUCUGAUUAUGCAGUAGGAGCAGUAUUAGGACAAAGAGUUGAUCGAAUUCCCCAUGUUAUUUACUAUGCUAGUAUGACAUUGAAUGAUGCACAGUUGAACUAUUCAACUACUGAAAAAGAAAUGCUAGCAGUAGUGUUUGUAUUGGAAAAAUUUCGAUCAUAUCUCAUUGGUUGUAAAAUAAUUAUAUUCACAGAUCAUGCUGCUCUUAAAUAUCUUCUCACAAAGAAAGAUGCAAAAGCCAGACUAAUUCGUUGGGUGUUACUUUUGCAGGAAUUUGACUUGGAAUUCAAAGAUAAAAAAGGGACAGAAAAUGUUGUGGCGGACCACCUCUCUCGUCUCCAUUUUGACACAAUAAUAGAACAAUUACCAUUAAAUGAGUCAUUUCCAGAUGAACAAUUAAUGAGUGUGGAAGUAUUACCUUGGUAUGCUGAUAUAGUUAAUUAUCUUGUUACAGGUAAACUUCCAGAGCAUUGGACCAAGCAAGACAAGGCUAAAUUCUUUGCAGAGAUAAAGAAUUUCUUUUGGGAUGACCCGUAUUUGUUCAAGUAUUGUGCGGAUCAAAUUGUUAGACGAUGUGUCCCAGAAAGUGAAAUUCAGAAUAUCCUUUCAUUCUGCCAUGAACAAGCUUGUGGAGGCCAUUUCAGUGCUAAGAAAACAGCGACUAAAGUUUUACAAUGUGGUUUCUAUUGGCCAACACUAUUUCGAGACGCUUACACUUUUUGUUCUUCAUGUGAUAGGUGUCAACGAAUGGGGAGCAUUACACGAAGGAACAUGAUGCCACUAAAUCCAAUUUUAGUGGUUGAGAUUUUUGACGUAUGGGGUAUCGACUUCAUGGGACCCUUUCCCCCUUCUUUUGGCCAUCAAUACAUAUUGGUUGGUGUUGACUACGUCUCAAAAUGGGUAGAAGCAAUUCCAUGUAGGACCAAUGAUCACAAGGUGGUGAUAGGAUUUUUGAAAAGCAACAUUGUCUCGCGCUUUGGAUUCCCUCGAGCAAUAAUCAGUGAUGGUGGUGCCCACUUUUGUAACAAAGCAUUCAAAGCUCUUUUGACAAAGUAUUCAAUCACGCACAAAGUGGCGACCCCGUAUCAUCCGCAAACCAGUGGCCAAGUUGAGAUCUCCAAUCGAGAAAUAAAGCACAUAUUAGAAAAAACGGUGAGGCCGGACAGAAAAGAUUGGUCAUUAAGACUUGAUGAUGCCUUAUGGGCAUAUAGAACGGCUUUCAAGACCCCGAUUGGGAUGUCACCCUACAGGCUAGUGUAUGGAAAAGCUUGCCACCUACCUGUGGAACUCGAGCAUCGUGCGUAUUGGGCCAUCAAGAAAUUCAAUUUUGACAUGCAGCAAGCCAGCUCAGAAAGAAGAUUACAGCUGGCAGAACUUGAAGAAAUUCGCAAUGACGCGUACGAAAAUGCCAAGAUUUACAAGCAACGAAUGAAAGUCUUCCAUGACAAGCAAAUUAUGAGAAAAUCUUUCACCCCAGGUCAGAAAGUGCUUUUAUUCAAUUCUCGCUUGCACCUAUUCCCAGGUAAGUUACGCUCUCGAUGGUCUGGCCCAUUUAUUGUUCAUACUGUUUUUCCACAUGGGGCAAUUGAAAUUAAAGACCCAAAGAACGGUGUCACGUUUAAAGUUAAUGGUCAAAGAUUAAAGCCAUAUCUAGAGUACCAACCACAUGAAGAAGACACCGAAAUAAAUUUGAGUGACCCACCAAAUUUGAAUUGAUUUUUUUUUUCUUUUCGUUGAUUUGAUUUUUCUUUCUUUCUUUUUAUUAUUAUUCUUUUGCUAAUUGAAAUUGUUUUUGCAUAAGUGUGUUUAUUUUACCAUUAAGUUUUCUCUUAUCAUUUUUAAUCAUGAGUCUCAUACUUAGACCGUUCCUCCUGAACAUUCUUAAACCACUUCAACGUGUCAAAACUCAUCUCAAAAGACAGAUUCAAUUUUGUAAAACACAUCGCAUUUGGGCUCUACAACCACCAGAGUUAGUAGCCUAUGUUGAGGGUUUAGAACACCAACUCAGAGACAUUGAGAGAAGUGUUUACGACAUCCAGUUGGAGCUUGAGGUAAAUUCAAUAAGAGGACGAUUUUAAUUUUCUUUGUGUGUUUUAAUUUGUUUUUCUAUUUGUGUGCUUUAGUUUGUUACCCCGGUGAAAUGGCGGAUAACGGUACUCCGUGACAAUCAAGUCGGUUACUUCAGUCUCCCAUAAUAACUGAUAUUCUGAGGCGAAGGUAUGGACAGAAACGAGAUUCUAGCGAAGCUUCACAAGCGAUUCCCUUCACUUCCUCAGAAUGCCCUCCUUACGAUCUAUAAAGCUCGGUCCGAACGCAUGCGAUUACUCAUGAGGAAUAACAUACCUGCUGACAUCCGUUGGUUAAUCGAGGCUAAAGUACGAUCGGCAGGUGAGUUACCUCCAAAAUUUAUUGCAUACAUGCCUGGUUGUGGUAAAGGAAAUUAUGCAAGAAAACGACGAGCUCGAAGAAUUUCUGUUGCUUGUCAUAAGUGUGCCAGAAUGAGUUGCAAUAAAAACCCAUGUUCUUUAGGAAUGGUGUCUGAUAACAGGGAAGAUAAGAUUCAAUUCAUUAGGGAUGGCUUGAAUAAGGAGUCAUUGGAUGAUAUCCUUUUGUCUCUUGAAACGCAUCCCAGUGGAUAUGUGCAAGGAGCGAUUCUCCAGUUAUGGCCAUUAUUCCAGAAAGAGCAUGCACGAUAUAGUCUCGGGAAUCUGACUAUAAACGACCCUGUUUGCCAGUUUAUAAGAAAAUUGGAUAGGAAGCCUAUCCUCGACCCAUAGAGGGCGUUCAAGCCGUUUCUGGACGUAAAACCAGAGGAAGAUGUGAGCCACAGUCGCAACUACCUGUAAAUAUUCUUUUACUUUAUUAUUUCACUAUUGUCUUAUUGUUUGCAUUAUUGUCUUUAAUAAUUUUAUUACUGUUUGCUUUUUUUCUUUUUACUGUUUUCUUUUUGACUCGCGAGCCACGUGCUUUACGCGUUAUUUGACAUGGACAUGUGACCUCAUACACAACUAUGACCCAUUAUCACCAAGACUCUUAAAUGUGAUUUUCUUUGUCAAUCACUCACAAAUUAUUUUUGCGAAGUAUCACAAUGGCAGCUACUCCCAAUAGACAAUUCAAGAACAUUUGUGUGCUUUCUGGAUUUACAUAUGGCAAACAUAAAGAGUUCGUUGAGGCAGCCAUAGAUCUUGGUCGAAGCAUAGCAGCGAGAAAAUUACACUUGGUGUAUGGAGGAGGUAAUCGAGGGUUAUCAAAAAUGGUCUCAGAAGCAGCUCUUAUCAGAGGAAGUCAAGUGUUAGGCAUCAUCCCAAGAGUCUUAAAACCAUUGGGCAGUUCGUCUGACUCAUCAACUGGAGAAGAGUUAGUCGUCUCAAGUAUGCAGGAAAGAAUAACUGAAAUGCUUAAUCAUGCUGAUGCUUUUAUUUUCCUUCCAGGAGAUCUUGCAACACUAGAGGCACUUAUGACACUAGCAUCUUGGGCCCAUCUACACAUUCACCAGAAACCCAUCGGUUUGUUAAAUGUCAAUAACUUUUAUGAUGGCUUUAUCGCAUUUCUUAACCAUGCAAUAAAAAACUAUUUCAUUCCCUCUAAUGCGAAAAAACUCUUUAUUUGUGCUCACACUGCUAAUGAGCUACUUGAUAUGUUACAAGCUUAUCGACCGGAGCCAGACCCCUGGACCUUUGUGUUGGAGCGUCCAAAUAAUGAUGGUAACAGUAGCCGCAGUAAGAAGUACAAAUUAGAUUUAACUCUCCGCCUGUAAAUAUUUUCUUCUGUGUUGCACCACCCAGGUGAUGUCUUCUAAACUCUACUUCUUUCAUUUCAAACAUUGAGGACAAUGUUUCGUUCUGGUUGGGGGGAGGGAAUAGUCGACAAUUGUGGAAUUUUGGUUAAGUUUUUACUAAUUUUUUGUUGUAGAAACUAACUGUUGCUAACUUUUUGUGUUGAAGAUGGCUGAAUAUGGAGUGUAGUUACUCUAGAAACGCAUCUUCAUUGUUUGAAAAAAAAAAUUCAAAAAAAAAAAACAAUUCAGACAUUUUCUUUUUCUUUAUUAUGUGUUUAUGUUUAUUUUUCUUCUUUAAUUUCUCCUCUAUAAAUAUAAAUUUUCCAACUUUUGAGUCGAAGAUGGCUGAAUAUGGAGUGUAGUUCCUCUAGAAACGCAUCUUCUUUUAAAAAAAAAAAAAUCAUUUUCGUUUUCUAUCAUUUUACGUGUAACUUUUCUAAUUAGUUUUUAUACAUCAUUUUCACAUUUCUGCAUGCAUAUUUUCCUUUCAUGUUUAGAAUAGGUUGGGGGGUAGAAUGAUGUUUAAAAAAAAAAAUGUGUGAUUUGUUUUAACAUUGGAUGACAUGAUUAAUUUCAAAUUUUAGUAUUUGUAUUAUCUUUGGUCUUAAGUGAUGUUACGCUAUGUUUGCUACUUUACAUGUUGAUGUCGGAGACAAAUGUGAGUUGCUUGAAGGAAUGAAUAUGUCAUAAUAAGUACCAAGUGAGUUUUUGAGCCUAUUAUUUUUCUUGGAGAAUAACCCUUUUGCCCACUCUUUAUACAGCUUAGCAGUUUAUUAUUUUAUACACGAUCUCUAAAUUACUUUUGAGUUAACCCUUAAAAAAAAAAUUGUAAAAUAAAAAAAAAGAGAAAAAAGAAAAAGAAAAAAGAGUGUGUUGCUACAUUUGGAGGCCCAUCUAACUAGUAGAUAUGGAAGAUUAUUUAGAGCCCUAAAAGACGAUGGAGAGGCCAUCUUUGAUCCGUUUGAGCCUUUCAAGCCAUCCCUUUUUAAUAUCCAUAGUUAACCCUUUUGAGCCUAUAAAAAAAAAAAAAAAAAAAAAACCUUUUCUUUGUCAACUUAUCAUCUUGACCCACUCCGAUUUGGAGUAUUACCCGAUAUCUUAUAAGUUCCAUCACCUAUUUAUGUUUGAGAAAAUGUAAAUAAUUAUUUUGUUCAGUGAAGUUAUGCCAAAUAAAAAAAAAACAAAAACAAAAGUUGUUGUUUCAAAAGAAUAAAAAUAGGUGAAAUCCACCUUGCAACUUCCAAAAAAAAAAAAAAAAUUCUCUGCAUUUUUCUCAAACAUACACUUUGUUUUCCUUAUUUUCCUUCUUUGUUAGCCAUGUCCCUAGCCUACGUUUCGUCCUAAUAAAAGUCCUUCUUGAUUUUAGGGAACUAUAGUUUGAAGUAGAAGCUAGUUAUAUGGGCUAAAAAGAUGUAGUGAUGCAUAAUUAAAAAAAAAAAAAAAGAUAAAUAAAGUGGGUUGACUAACAUUUUAUUUGACUUGAGAUCGUAUUAUUUCUAAGCUGAGGGCAUAUUUAUUUCAUCUUGGUGAGAGCAUGUGAUAUCACUUCUUUAUUAUUUUCUCUCUCAAUUACCAUUCAUUGGAGUGACUAUUUUUAUUGGGAUUAAUUUAUUUGUGAGAGUGUCACUACUUCCAGUGAGAUUUUGGGGUUUGACAUUUCAUUCUUGAGAGUAGCUAUAACAAAGUCUACUGGGCUAAUUCAUGUGGAUGGUUGAUGUGGGUGUGAUGUUGCUUUAGACUGGAGAUAAUGCUUAUACUUUUAUUUGAUUGCUAUCAUUAAUCUGAUGGAAUAAAUACGAGUGUUUCUAUUAAAAAAAAAAAAAUUAUUUUGAAUUUGAAUUUUGUUUUCGCUUUAUUUGCUAGGGACUAGCAAUAAGCUGGUUGGGGGGUGUGUUGAGUGUUAGAAAAUGCAUAUUUAUAAAGGAGAAAACCGUCAUUUUACAUUUUAAGUCUUACUAACAACCCUUACUUUUAUAUAUUUAACCUUCUUGUGAUUUAAUUACAUGUGUUUUAUUUUAAUUAAGUAUUUUAUGUAUUUUAGGGGCAUUAUAGUCAUUUCACAAUAAAGGAGAGAUCAGACGGCAAAACGGACAUCACUUUUGAACUCAGGACGGUCGAAAACCUUAGGAGGAGCAUAAAAGGAAAAAUGGCACUAUUCACAUGUACGGUACUAUUCACGUAUACGGUACUGUCUACGUUACUGUUCACGACACUGUUCACAUAGACGGAUCGAUGACGUGGCAUUGACCGAUGAUGUGGCAUUGACUGAUGAGGUGUCACGAUCCUGUUGGGCUAAAAUUCUUAUGUACUGUUGAUGGUGACGUGGCAGCAUAUCAGUGGACGAAAAAUCUCGUGUACGGUGCAUGCAUCACACAGGAUUAUUUUCAACCAAACCGCGUUACUGUUCAUCCGGGUCAAACCGCGUUACUGUUCAAAGUCGGGUCAAACCGUGUUACUGUUCAUCCGCGUGGUCAAACCGUGGACUGUUGACUGAUGACGUGGCGCAAUCCUGAGCGUCCAAACUGUUUUUAAUCCGAUGGCCAUGAUUUACUCCAUGUAUCUAUAAAAAGGGGGCCUCCCCCCCCUAAUUUGAUAUCUCUGAAUCCAUUUUUGGGAUCCAUUUUCUGUAAUUCCUUCUCCAUCUUGUAUUUUCUUCAUAUUUUAAUAAAUUCCCAUUUUGCCCCUAGUUCAAUUAUGAGUGGCUAAUUUUCUUUCAAGCUUGGGUUGAAGGUGAAGUCUCAACAUGUGUCAUGGGCUUAAUUUGGUAAAUUUAUUUUCUCUUCCCCUCUAGUUUUUGUGGAUGUUUUGACUUCUCGUCGACAAAUAAUACUAAUCUUGUCUAGUACCGCCUUGGUUUCACCGGCUCUCUAGUAUAAGGUUAUUAUUAUUUGGCACGAUAAGCCCUUAGCACCAUAUUGAUUAGAGUGUGGUUCAUGCGGUGUGGAUUCCCCCCUCAUGAUUUAAUUGGUAUUAAUAAGGAAUAUUUAGCCUAUGAUGCAUGUUGAUACGGAUCCAGAUACCCAAGUACGUCAUUUCAAUAGAAUUCUCUUCAAUUUAUUCUCACCAUUUCAAUACCAAUUUUAGAAUUUAUUCUCUCCAUUUUAAUUUAAGUUUUAGCAUAUUCCAAUCAUUUCCACCACAAAUCUAAUCACCCAUUCACAAAAUUAAUUCUACACAAUUAAAAUCCACCUCCUCGUGGGAUCGACACUCGUCACCAUUAAUCUAUACUACAACAGAUUCGUGCGCUUGCGAGUACAUUAAAAUUUGCACAACACCUGGUCCUCUGGUGGCCAGCCACAUCUCUCUCAAAACGAACCAGCACCGGCCUGUGAUCCGAAGCAAUUUUCGGGAGAUGGAGCACAUAAUUAUUCAUAUAUUUAAGCAGCCAUUCACUAUUACACAAAGCUCUAUCAAGCCUUUUAAAAAGCAAUCCACGUGACCAAGUAAACCUUGGACCCUUAAAUUUCAAGUCAAAAAGUUUAUGCCCAUCAAACCACUUCCGAAACAGAUUACACACUCCUGAGUUCCUGGCCACACCCCCUUGCUUUUCUGAGGCGUAUAAGAUAGAGUUGAAAUCCCCACCUAUCAACCAAGGCUCUUGAAUUAAAGGCGCAAGGUUCUCCAUAUGGCACCACAGCUGUCUCCGCAACAUUGGGUUUGGACUGGCAUAAACAGCCGUUACCCAAGACACAAAAACAUUGUUCCUGCAAAUUUUAAAAUGGAUGAACUGCCUGUGAUUAAUUGAGACCUCCACCUCUAUAGAACUUCGCCAAAGAAGCCAAAUUCCUCCAGAAAAACCCACAGCUUCCACCCGGUGCGAGUAAUCAAAUCCACUUUUCUUUAUAAAUUCAUCGGCUUUCACCCCACUAGUACGAGGUUCCAUUAAUACCACCAUCGAUGGGUUGUAAUUUUUAAUAAUAGUCCUAAACGAGCACCUGAAUUCCCCCGAGGCUGCCCCUUGGACAUUCCAGAACAUAAUACUGACUGUCAUAAAAAAUAUAAGAAGAGAGAACAUGAGGCUACUGUUGCUAUCCAGAGACAUCAUCCAUCAAUGCCAACGGCGUUUCCUGAACCAUCGAAAAUUCAUCAUCAGUCAUCCCAUCUCCAUCUAUACCACUCAUAGGAACAUCUGGAUGGUUACAAACAUGUCCACCUUCUUUCACCCGAGAAGUGUUAUGGUUAUCAGGAGGGUCUGCUAAGGGUUGCGGAUCCGAUCCCUGCAUCUCUAUAUGAUCCGUGGCCACUUCCCUUACAUCUCCAUUAAGAAGUGUUGGGGGAGAACAAAAAACCAUUGUGUGUUUAGUAGGAUCCAAGGUGGAUUCGAAAGAAACCACACGUUGGUUACUAGAUACUUUCUGGGGGAAACUAUGUGAAUUGGAUUUUUGGUUGGCAUGGGGUAAGAGAGUUAUAUCCUCAUCUCUGAUACUUAAAUCACUAGGCUGGAAAGGGUUACUAGUAGGGACCACUGGAGCAUUUAGCUUUUUGCUCUGAUUCCUUAUUACCACGGUCUUAUUUUGCAGCUUUCGACGAGCUAAAAUCUGUACUGUGUUAUUUGUUUUGGCUGUAAAUGUAGGGUUUGAGGCGGAUAUGAAAGGCUACCGUGAGGUGGAGGGGAAGUCUGUGCAAGCCUCCUGCACUUGGUGUCCUCCUUCAUCCGGGACUUGGGAUAGAAUGUGAAACCUUGAGGUACCAGCUCCAGUAAACUCCCUAUUCCGAUUUAAGUCUCUAGUAUUCAUCCUUCCAUUAUUAGGCUUUCUUCCUCUCCUAGGAGCCAUCAUCCAGGGACCAAAUGGUUCCACAGUGCUGUCGCCAUUACAACCUUUAGCCUGUUGGCCAGGAGCCUCGUUUCCCGGCAUUGCCUGAUGGGAUUGACCAGCUUCUUUAGAGCUUGUCGAGUUCUUAGCAUCUUUGCAAUUAUUACUAUUGUGCCCGUAAAGUCCACACUUAUAACAAAUUACUGGCAAGCCCUCAUAUUCGACCUUCUGUAUCUUCCCAUCCAACUCAAACUGAGACACCAGUGGCCUAGUUAAAGAGAUACUCACUGCAAGGCGGGCAAAUCUUCCACGAGAUGAGGAGGCUGUAUUCAAAUCGAUUGUAAUCACGUUCCCCACUAACUGACCCAGCUUUUGAAGAACUUUUCGAUCGUAAAGAUGAACAGCAAGGCCAGGUAAUCUGAUCCACACCGUGACCUGUUCAAGAGCCGUGUUUGUGAAGUCAAAGGAUGGCGUCCAUGGCUGCACCGUUAAAUAGUGACCCAUGACAAGCCACGGCCCCUUGGUUAAUGCAUCCAUAGCAUCCCCUACCGAGCGAAACCGAACCAGAUAAUAGUUAUUCUCCAAGUCUAUCACUGAAAACCCCAUGGCUGAUUUCCACAUGCCAUUCAAUCUUGCACAAAGGGCUCUAUAGCCAAUUGUGCGGCCAAGCAACUUUACAACAACCGAGUUCUUCCAAGGCUCACUUAACUUAGCAUGAACCCUAGCCGAAAAAGUGAUGGAUGGCAUGGAUCCCUCGUUACUUUCAGUAACGUCCCCUUCCUCAAAAUCCCAGUCAUCUAGUCCACCUCCAACUCCUUGCUCCAUCGCUUGCGUUGCAUUCACUAGGGUUUCUUUGUACGAUACCUGAGCAGUGGGAUCACCAGCAUGUUCCUCAUCGCGAAACCUCGCUUUUUUAGUCGUUCUAGCCUCCCUGAACGGCGGGGGAAAAAUCCCUCCGGAGAUAGGGUUUCCUUCACAUCCGUGGUUUUCGGAGCUUUCCAUUGAAUUUCGCUUGAUUCACUAAAAAAAUUAACGUUUUUAUGAAGGCUCGAACCAUUGCACUCAACAUUGUAAGUGCAUAUUGGAGUUAUUGGUAAAAUCACAAUUUUAUUUCUCAUCAACGAUAUCCUUCUCUUAUCUUCCCAUUGUUUAACCUCGGGUGGUUCAGUUAAUUCAAUACCGGCAGAAACCAAAAAGUUUUCAUUCUCCACUUCACAGGCUAUCCACAAGGUCAUAUCACGAAUCACAUCAUGCAGUUUUACAUAAUCUGAUCCUGCUUCUUCCAAUAGGCAUGCAUGAACAAGAACACCAAUAAUGUAGUAUCCUUGGUUAUGUACUCCAUUAAUUCCUUUAUAUUCCUUUAGAAAACCCUCACCAAUCCAACACCCUACCAAUUCAAUUUUGCUAAUUUGAUAAUCCUCAAGAAAUAAACUACAGUAUAACAGACAAGAUCUAAGGACGUCACUAGACAAACUAUCAUAACUGAAUUUUAAAAGACGAAACACCUCUUUCUCCAUACCUGGAAAUUCAUAAGCUGAUCUCCUUAACAUCUGAAUUGCAUAGCUCCAUUCUUCGGGUGUCUUCUUGCUGCUCAUGGCACGACCGGUGGUAAUAAGUGCAAGUGGCAAACCACUACACUCCUUUGCCACAGUUUGGGCUAACUCCGGAAUAUCGGGAUGACUUUCAAGAGUCUCUUCUCCGACCUUCUUUAGGAACAAUUCCCAAGCAUCUUGAUCUGCCAAACACUCCACCUUGAACUUUUUUUGAGCUUCCAUGAGGCCACAGACGUCCACAAGACGAGUCGUAAAGACUAUCUUUGAUGCAUUUCUUGAACUCCCAGGAAAAGGGACACCCACUUUGGCUAAAUCAAUUCUUUCCCAUAUAUCAUCUAACAAUAGCAGAAAUUUCAUUUUGCUCAAUAAAUUGAAUAUGCCUGAUGCUUUCUCUUCAAAGCUUCUAUUCUGAAGCCAUCCUAUUCUUUCUCCGAUUUUCUGUUGAAUUCUCUCAAGUUGCAUGUCUUUUGACACCACCACCCAAAUCACAAUAUCAAAAUAAUUUGGUGUAUUAAGGAACUUGUUGUUGAUUUGGGUUAAUAGUGUAGUCUUGCCGACUCCCCCCAUGCCAUAAAGUCCGAUGAUUCCAAAUUGUCCUUCUACAAGACAUCUCCAAACUUGAUCAAAUGAUGAUUCUAGGCCGAUUAUUGUUGGCUGAAGAGGCCUUUCAUCCACUGCUGGUUGUGGUACCUUUUCAGCUACCACUGCAAAAGCUCCAUCAUCUAUUAAAGUAGCCACAAGCUGCAGCUUUUUAGACACCUUUUUCCCAAACUUGUAGCUUGACUUGCAGUUCUUGGAGCAGUAGCCUCCAAGACAUAGUUUUUCAAUUUCUUGAGAGCUGUCCCUUCUCAAUUCACCUACUUCAGCUUCCACAGCCUCCAACCUUGCACUCUGUUCAGCCGUCUUAGUUGUUGUUGCUCAGCAUUAGCGACCCUCAUCAUCACAUCGUUCUUUGUUUCAAUUAGUUUCUGCAAUUCGGUCUGGACGGCAACCAGAUUAUUUUCAAGCUGGCUUAGAUAUGCUGCUUUUCUGCGGGUACAAUUGAUGAAGCCAGUGGAAAGGGCAUCACAUGUAAGUUGGAUUCCCAAAAUAUUACCCAUAGUUUGUAUGAGAUUCAGAGUACAAUAGAAGGAAUGCAACACAGUAUGUAUUCGGUUGUGGUGUCUAUGAUUUUACAGUCGCAGAAGCUUAUUCACCUUGUGAGGGCUGGUCAGGUGGGCACCAUCACUCUCCUUACUCUUUAUAGAGAGCGAUAGUCCAUGUGGUCAGAUCUCAUUCAGAUAACUAGCCAAGUGGGCAAUCGCUCCACCUUAUCAAAAUUCUUCAUCUUAUAAUAAUAUCAUGAGUAGGCCUUGAAUUUUUCUUUUAAUUUUAACAUUUAAAAGGUAGAGGUGAAAAAGUCUACAUAGUAUUUUUGUCCUCGUACUUUAAUAACAUUUCUUGAAAGUCACUCGAUCUCAAAAUUUAAUUAAGAAGAUAUUAUAGAUUUAUAAGCCCUUAAAUUUUAUUUGCAAGUAAGCCCAUAAGACUUACUAAAAGUCGUCAACUCGUCAUGACCAAAAUUGAAAAUUCGUCCGCGCGUGAAAUACGGCAUGCACAGUCGUAUUAAAAGCAAAGGCCAGCUAUGAUAGUCUUCGUAUACUUGCAUUCCCUAUCAUCUUAUUAAUAAUUUCAGACACGUAGUUCGUUGCUUGUGAUUUUUCAUAUGCAAAAGCACAGUCAGUGUUACAUUUUACAAUUACAAUUGAGUGCCACCUAUAUACUCCUUCAUUCUUUUCAAAAUAUGUUGUAGGAUGGGUAAUUGUGACAAAAGUGAUUUUUAAAAAAAAUUAACUUUUAAUUUUUUUUAAAUUACUUUUGAGAUUUGUGAAAAAAAUCCUAAACGGGUCUCAGAAGUAUAAUUAGCACCGCGAAUUUAUAAAAUGAUCAAAGGAAUCCAUCGCCUAAUAUUAUAGUACGCAAUUGAUUGCUAUAAACUAAAUUGCUAUGAUCUCACUUCAUAAUAAUUUAUUUUCAAUCUCCAUCAUGGUAGAAAAAUUUCAUCAAUCAACAUACCCUACCACCACCCAAUAGUCGACCAUUUAUCAUCUUCUAUCCGUAAAAAACCGAAAAAAAAAAAGAAAAGGAAAAAUUUAGUCCACAAAAGAAUAUAUCGCAAGACCAAACAGAGAGAGAAAAUAGAAAAAGCAAAGAGCUGUACUGAAUACCGGCGGUGAUGGCUCCGUACUUGACCAUUUAGGUUUGAUUCUGCAUUCACAUAAUAUUUUUUCUACACUGCAGUCACAUCACAACCAUUGAAUAGUCGUGAUCUAUUUUUCUAAAGCGAAUAAUAUUAUCUUCUCGUGUCGGUGGCUUGAUCAUAUAACAAAAUAGACUAAUAAUGUUUCAAUAGACAUUUUGGUAAAUGGAAGAAGUUAUGAUCUGUCCAUUUUUAUGUUACUUUAUUUUAAUUUGUUAAUUACUAUUAAUAUCUUUGAGUGGGAUAGAAUCUUGACCUAAGAUAUGACUAGGCUCCACAUGUUAUAUAUUAAUUUGAUUAAGCCUAGCUAAUUGUUAAUUAUUAAUUUGAUUGCGGCUUUUUAUUUUACCCACAUUUUUUAUGCGUGAAAUCUUUCUUAGUGAAAAACUACACGUAUUUGCAAAUAUUCGGAAUGGACAUUUUCGAAAAAACAAGUAAAAGAAAAUGACUAAAAAGUAAAAGAAAAUAGACACCCAAUUGUAAUUGCGAGGACAAUAGAAGGAAUGCAACAAACAGCUCUCUCCUUACACUCUUAUAGAGAGUUAUAGUCCAUGAUCUCAUUGAGAGAACUAGCCAAGUGGGCAAUCGCUCCACCUGAUCACAAUUCUUCAUCUUAUAAUAAUAUCUUGAGUCGGCCUUCAAUUUUUUUUUUCAAUUUUUAUCUUUAAAAGGUAGAAGAAGUGAAAAAGUUAAAUAAUAUUUUUGUCCUCCUAUAUAACAUUUUUUGAAAAUCACUCGAUCUUAAAACUUAAUUAAGAAAAUAUUAUAGAUUUUUAAGUUAGUGGCCCUUAAAAUUUAUUUGCAAGUAACAAUUAGAGAAAAGUCGUCAUGCCCAAAUGACUUACUAAAAGUCUGCAACUCGUCAUGACCAAAAUUCUUCCGAGUGUGAAAUACGGCAUGCGCAGAUGCAUUAAAAACAAAGGCCAGCUAUGAUAAUCUUUGUAUACUUGCCUUCCCUAUCAUCUUAUUAAUAAUUUCAGACGCGUCGUUCGUUGCCUGUGAAUUUUCAUAUGCAAAAGCACAGUCAGUGUUACUUGCAUUCCCUGUCACCUUAUUAAUAAUUUCAGACACAUCGUUGGUUGCCUGUGAUUUUCAUAUGCAAAAGCACAGUCAGAAUUACAAUUUACAUUUGGAAUUGAGUGCCAUCUAUUUAUUCUAGCUGGAUCUAAAAUGAUAUUGCAGUAUUGCACUGACUUUUCAGUCACAGCGUUUCUCUAUGAAUUCCUUAAAGUUUAGACCCAUCAUGGAAUAAUUAUUUUCUUAAAGACCAAAUUAACAUAAUUCUUAAAUCAUCUUCCGAGUGUCAAAUACGGCAUGCGCAGAUGCAUUAAAAACAAAGGCCAGCUAUGAUAUUCUCUGCAUACUUGCAUUCCCUGUCACCUUUAUUAAUAAUUUCAGACACGUCGUUGGUUGCCUGUGAUUUUCAGACACAUCGUUGGUUGUCAGAAUUACAAUUUACACUGAUUUUUUAGUCACAGCGUUUCUCUAUGAAUUCCUUAAAGUUUAGACCCAUCAUGGAAUAAUUAUUUUCUUAAAGACCAAAUUAACAUAAUUCUUAAAUCAUUUAUAAAACAACAUUUAUCAUAUAACAGAUCGUACAUGAAUAAAUUUACCUUGAACCGUAGCAAACAAACAAGAAUCUCAACCACAUCAAUAUCAUAAUCCCUUCUGACCUUAACAAUAAUUUUAUUCGUCCUUAAUUCAUAGGUAUAAGUAUCCCAAUAUAUACUUGAUGUCAACCUUUACAAUUCUUUACAGAAUUGCAGCAGACCAAAUUUGUAUGCAAAACUGAAAUCAUACAGUAAUUGAAUACAGUGAUAGUAAUUAGUAUAUAUAAAUAUCUUAAUAAUUUAAAAGUUUCUUAAACUGCUUUUACAUAUCUGAAAAAUUAUAGAAAUCGGAACUGCUGCAGAAAUCAUAAUUUCCCAGCGAAUGUGUUACAACUUCAGAAACUCAUAAGAAAUUAAAUUCUUGGGAUCACAAAAUAAUUCAAUAGAAAGCUUAAGAUGUCUAGUUCAUAAAAUCUGAAUUUUUUUUUAAAAAAUAAGAUCUUUGGAAUUUAAGAGAUUCAGCAGUACUUUUAUUACAUCAAUUCUUCAAACAAUCACCAAUCUAACAUUCAUCAAAAUUAAGUCAUAAAAAUCAUGUGGUUUAUAAAAAGAAUUACCUGAAAAAGAUUAGCCUUCCCCUUUCAAAAGCAACGUGAAACUCCAAAAACUCUUCUUCCAUUGCCUAUUCAAACAUGAAAAAAAAAAUUAGUAUAUCUUCUUUAAACGCGUGAUGAGUGUGCUCUGUUUUCUCUGUUCUUCUUCUUCUUUUUUAGAUUUCGAAAACGUAAAGAGUGUUGGAGUCUUUAUUUUCUAAAAACAAGACUUUUCCAUGUAUUCAGUUAAAUUAAAUUAUGUCCUAAUGCUAUGUCAGUUCCAUCAUUAGCAUUUUUUUUUUUGGCUUUUAACACCAACAUUAGCGUAUGUUAAGUAUCAUAAUCCAUAGUUGGACAAUUUGAAAUCUCUUCGUGGUUUAUCUCAAAGUAGAGCUUCAAUCAAUUUGUACCUCAUAAAUUUACAAUAUCUAUGAGGGCUAAUAAGACCAAACUCUGGCAUAUUGUCAAAUGUGCUUAUACUUUCGCUUGACAAGUCAUUUUAAAAUUGUCUUUCAAUGCCAAAAAAACCACAUCAACUAAUGGUCCACUACUUUAAUUUGAAAGCAUGCAUGCGAUCGCCAAUAAUCAAGGAUGUUAGGGUCAUGCUACAGAGUAUAGAAUAUGAUUUUAUGGUAUAGCCUUCUUUCUUUAUAAUUUUUAAAUUUAAUACUGUUACUUAUGUAGCACAUAAGUUGGAAAACAUAACAUAAAAUUUGAAAAAUGUAUAGUUUUCGUUCCCUUUUUUCCCCUCUAAAAAUGGGAAAAAAGAACGUAAUUUUGAUUUAUUUAAAUUACUGUUGUGAUAACAAUUUUUAUUUUAUUGAUUAUUUACCCAUUCAUGUGGCAAAUUUUUUAAGAUAAGGUGAAGGAUGAAGCUCAAAAACAUAAAUUAUAUAAUUAAUUACCCUCUCUAGUAAGUUUAAAGUUUAUUAUUUUGAACUACAUGUUUAUAAUUUAUUUUUAUUAUGUGUUAAUAUAUAGAUCUAAAUUCACUUUGGAACCAUAUACAUAUUUAGACCUAAUGUGCAUGUUAAUCUAUAGAUCUAAAUUUACUUCUAAAUUCACUUUAGAUCUAUAUGAGUAUUUAGACAUAACGUAUUGCAACCAUAUUGGCAUGUUCUCACUAUAGUAUUGGUGUAUUGACAUUAUAUCUAAUUGUCCCUAUAAAUCCAAAAAUAAUCUAGAUAUACAAAUUAACAUAAAAUAAAGAUAAUUGGUAGAAAAUGCAAAUUAUAAACAUAUAAUUGAAAACGAUAAAUUUAAAUUUACUUAAGAAAGUAAUUAAUCACUUAUUUCUUUUUUAUAAUAUGACAAAUAUUAUAAUAAAUAUUAAUUAAUAAUAAUUAGAAUAACAAACUAAAGAUAUUUUAGUAACUUAAAAUAAUUCAUUUUGAUUUCGAGACAAAAUAAACACAUCAAUCGCAAUACAACUCAUUCUGAUUCCACUCAUUCAGAUUUCAACAUAUUUUAAUUAAUUCAAGUGCUCUCCAUUAUAAUUGAAGCCGCUGCCCCAUCCCACUCGUGAUUCCAAACUUUAUCUUUUUCCUUUUUUAAAUUAAUGCAAGCAGCCGCUGUCCUUUUUGUUAAUUAAUUAAUUAAUUCGGCCGCCCACAUUUCUUUUCCUAAUGUCUUCGGCUUUCGAUUUUCUUUUAUUUUCUUUUUAUUCUUAAAAUAGACUUAUAAUAAUAAAAUAUAAAAAUAUAAAAAAAAUUAACAUAAUCAAAAUAUAAUUUAACAGAAAAUUAAGAUAAAAAUGUGAAAAUAAUAUAUAAAUUAUGAGCGUAUCAAUCAAUAAAUGAAAAAUAAUAAUUUUUAUUUUUAUUAAAUAUAUAUUUUUCAAUAUUAAUCAGUUAUCUAAAUAACUAAAAUCAGUUAAAAAUAAAUAAAUAAAUUAUUCUUAAAAAAAAAAAACUUUUUAUACCACUCACUAUGCUGGCUGUCAAGGGUAGAAGCUUUGGGGACUGAAGUUGGUAACUUCUACAAGUAGUCUUAAGUUGACUGGCAACAACUAUAUUGGCAUUUGGACAUAAUGUUCUGCAACCAUAUUGGCAUGUUCAAUUGUUCUCACUAUUGUGUUGGUGUGUCGAUAUUAUCUCUAACUGCCCUAUAGAUCCAAAAAUAAUCUAAAUUUAUAAUUUAACAUAAAAUAAAAUAAUUGGUAGAAAACAAUUAUGGUUCAUUUACUUAUCAGUAAUUAGAAUAGACUGAAAUCAGAAUGAGUUGUACUGCCGUUAAUGUGUUUAUGUUGUCCUUGAAUCGGAAUGAAUUAUUUUAAUUUACUAAAAUACCCUUGGUUUGUUAUUCUAAUUAUUAUUAUUUAACAUUUAUUAUAAUAUUUGUCGUAUUAUUAAAAAGAAUUAAUAAUGAUGAUAAUAUUAUCAUUAUUGUUUGUUAUAUUAUUAUUAUUAUUUAAAAAGUUAUUGUUAAUAACAAUAAUAACUUUAUUUCAAUAAUAAAAAUGAUAAAAUUAAUAAUAACAAUCAUGACAACAACAAUAAUUAUUUAUUAUGCCAAAAAUAACAAUAAUAAUAAGAAUAAUAAUCAUCAUCAUUUCAAAAAAAAAUCAUCAUCAUCAUCAUUUUUGUAGUGGCUGCCUAUCGGCUGUUGCUUUCAUGCGAGAUUAACUUGCGACGCUUCAACUGCUAUUAUUUCUGGCAAUGUCAGGUGUUGUUGUUUCAAUGGGGGGAGAAGCUGUUUCGGUGCACUAACGAUGGGAGGUGUUGUGGCUGCGAUUCGAGGAGCUACUGGUUCAGUGCACUAAUGACGGCAGGUGUUGCUGCUCAAUGCAAGGUCCAUGGCCAGUUGUCUUGUUUUACACCCAGCUCUUGUAGGAAAUUCUUUAUCAAAAAUAUUUUUUUUGUAACCUUCAAUAAUUGUAAUAUCAUUUGCUUCCGUGGUAGAAAGGACAACUCAUUACUAAGUCUAGAUUGUGAUGAGACUGCUCUCCCUACAAAAGUGAGCAAAUAUCAUUGUAGGGAUUUUUCAGAAUCAACAUCUCCUGUCAUAUCUACACACUUGUAACACAAGUUUGUCACCACCAAAAUAUAAACAUAUUCUGGAAAUGCCUAUAAGAUAUCUGAGAAUUCAUUUCACUGUUGUCCAGUGCUCUUUGCCGAGAUUGAAGAGAAACCGACUGACUACACUGACUGCAUAGGCAAUAGCUGGUCUUGCACAAAUCAUGGUGUACACCAAACUGCCAAUUGCCUAAGCAUAAGGAACUCCUCUCACUGAGAAAUGGGUUUUGCUCUUGAGAUUUUUGGGAACAUGAAGAAUAAAGAUGUAAUUUCUUGGACUACCAUUGUGUUGGGGUAUAUAAAUAGAAGACAAGUCGAUAUAGCUCGACAGUAUUUUGCUCAGAUGCCAGAACGAGAUUAUGUCUUAUGGACUGCCAUGAUUGAUGGGUACCUUCGAGUGAAUAGGUAUAGAGAGGCUUUGACACUUUUCCGGGAGAUGCAAACUUCAAAUAUAAGGCGAGACGAGUUUACCAUUGUUAGGAUUCUUACAGCUUGUGCGAAUCUGGGGGCACUAGAACUGGGAGAAUGGAUAAAGACUUACACUGACAAAAACAAGGUCAAGAAUGAUAUAUUUGUGGGGAAUGCUUUGAUAGACAUGUACUGUAAAUGCGGAGAUGUUGAGAAAGCUCAAAGGGUAUUCAGGAAGAUGCUUCGAAAGGACAAAUUCACAUGGACGGCCAUGAUUGUUGGCCUUGCCAUCAGUGGCCAUGGUGAUAAAGCUCUUGAUAUGUUUUCCCAAAUGCUUAGGGCUUCGAUCAGACCAGAUGAGGUAACUUAUGUUGGUGUUCUGUCUGCCUGUACUCACAAUGGUAACGAAAAUUUUGUGAUAAACAGUUGCAACUUAAGGUGAGAAUUGGAGGAAACGAAAUAGACUGAAGUUGUUCAAUCAUCGGUGGUUGCUAUUUGAUUUUAAGUUGUUCAAUCAUCGGUCGUCUCUAUUUGGUUUUCUCCAAUAUCUCAUCUCCAGUUUUGACUCAGAUUCUGUCUUACCACUAGUAAUUACAUAGACUUGUUGCCAAAGGUAAGAAUGGGAAUAAAUUAAAUAGAUUAUGUCGAUAACGAAAUAGAUUUACUAUUGCUAUGUGCAUUCUAUUUGGUUCCUGCAAAAUAUUUUCUCCUGCCUAAAAUUUUUUGAAUCAGUAAGUUUUUACCUUAUGCAAGAAUUGUGCUAAGAGUAAUUCCAGUCUCUCUAUGUUUCAAUGAAGACGUAAAACUUGUGUUUUAGAGCACCAAUGUUAUGCUUCUUACAAUUGGAUUUUAAUUUACUUCGUAGAACUUUUGUCAAAAAGUACUAAGAGUGUAUUUGAAAUUGAUGUACUGUAUCUUUUAAGCUACAGCUGCUGUGGAAAAAAAAACUGUAACUAUGAAAUAAAAGUUAAUAAUAUAUAGUAAAUAUAAAUUUUAAAUAAUAAUUUUGAUAAAAUUAUUAAAGAUAUAAUAGUUUUUUUAUUAUACAAGUGAAAAAUUAUAUAAACAUAGUUUUCAAGUUACAGCAGCUAGUGUUUAUCAAACACUUUAGUACUGUAUCUUUUAAGUUACAGUUGCCCGAGUUCAAUCUCAAACGCAACUUAACGAGUAGUGCACCAAACACCAACUUUAUUACAGAGAGGACUUUGGUUAAACUUUAAGAAAAACACUCAAAGGAAGAGUUAUAAAUUAUUAUAGAAAUAUUUGACAUAAAUAAAAGCCAUUCCACAAUGCGAAGAUCUUGCUAUCAUCACCAGAAACCAUCGGGAGCUUUCAGGGUUUCCAUGAAAACGCCAUUUCAUUCCAAGAGUCAAUGGUGGGUAGAAAGUGGUGCAAACGAUACUCAUUGUUAAUGCUAUAAGUUUUUGCUAAAUUAUGUCUUACCCAAAAUGAUGAUUUAAUUUCCAUUCUCAAUUAAUUUUCAAAUUUCAACACUUUUCUUUGUAGCAUGACAUUGGAAAGAUCUUGUACUACUAAAAGCUAGCACCACACGUUAAUUAUUGUUAAGUUCUUUUUCAACGUGAAAUAAAGGAAGUAGUCCUUCGUUAAAACCAUUAUAGCCAAAUUUCAUGUAAUUGGACACUUACAGACUUUCAUUUCAAGCUGGAAUUUGGUCCAACGUUUCAAAGUUGACCCAACUAAUUGUCUGGUCAAGUCCUACACAGCUAAGACCCUCAAUGAAUGAGGGUGAGACUGCUAAAAAUUACGACAGUUGAUAUUAUUAUUAUUUUGGGAUAAAUCCUCACCAAGGUGAGUGAGGAGAUUUUAUCAAAAUAAAAAUAAAAAUAUAACAAGAAAACUAGCUAAAUUAAAAUAUUACAAAAGCUAGAUGAAAUGAAAGGCAGCCUAAAAACAACCUUAUGCAAAAGAGAAGCAACAUGCUAGUAUUCCAAGCUUCUUGUUAUAAAAGUGUAGAAUGAAGUAGGUGAUGUAGUUUUAAAUUACACCUCCAUGCCCAAUCACAAUAUCAAAUAAUGCUUAAAGUAGUUAUAUUAACUCUUAAAUUUAUAAAUAAUUAAAUUUUUAAAAGUUUGGAUUUAUAUUAAAAAAUUUCUAUAUAAAUAAAUAAUCUAUGCAUUUUUACAACAUAGUCUUUAAAUUUAAACUUUUCUAGAAAAAUCUUCUGGAUAUCUUUUCUAUUAAAAAAGAGAUUCUCAAAAUUUAUAAAAGUAACUUAAAGUUUUGUCUUCCCUUUUCUUUUAGCUUAUACAUAUGUGUGUGUAUUCUUUUAUAGCAAUAACUAACGUUAUUUAUUUUUAAAUCAUAAAAAAAUUAUGAAAAAAAAAUGUACCAAAUUUAAUUGGACCCAGCACAAUGCACAUGCAUAGAACACAUUCUGAAAAGCCAUGCUAUUCGGAAAUUGACGAAUGGAAAGUGAAGAGGCAGCAGUCAAUGCUAUUUCGGCUUGGCCCAAAAUUUCACCAGUUUGUUAAUCAGUGUUCUGCAGCUCUUGCUGCUUUCCUAGAGAUUCUACAUCUUUUGCAAUCUGAUAGAUUUAAAAAAAAAAAAAAAAUUAGUGGCCAUUUGGAAUGGAGGAGAGAUUUGUGUGAAUGGUAUAGGUGAAAAAUUGGAUGAAAAUAAACAGGCAACCGUCCGUAUAAAACAACAAUAACAAUAUACAAAAAGAUAAGUAAUUCACGAAAGGAAAUUUACGGUUGUUUCUGGAAAACAUACAUAUUAAUUUCACUUAUACUCUAAGAUUUGCCAUCAUGACUGGACUUGUGAGGAAUUUGGAAACAUGUAUGCUGUAGAAAUGCUGAAGUAGCUUGAACCCGAUAAAAAUUGAUUGGUAGAAUUGUUAAAAAGUCUAAAUUUUUAGUUCAAACCUAUUGCAUAUUUAAGAAAAUCUCAAAUGAAUUGCUUAUUGCUAUCGUCAUCAUCAUUGCCCAUAUAAUUAUUAUUAUUAUUAUUAUUAUGUCUUUAUAAUUAUUAGUAUCGCUGUUAUUAUUUUUAUGGGUAAAUGGUUUUUCUAUCCUGGCAAUUUAAGCCAAUUACCUAACUAAUCCACGUAAUUUUAAAAAUGUUUCAAAAGAUCUUUAUUUUAUAUAUGUUUCCACUACAAUUUAUUUAAUGAUUCUUUAUUUUUCAAUUAUUGCAUGUUCGAUAUUUUUGAGUUCUAAGCUAUAUCAAUAGAAAUGUUAUCUUAUCCAUAAAAAGUUAGAUCCAGCAAUUAUGAAAAUUACUAUAGAGCUGCUUUGAAUAAUUUUAAAAAAAUACCACAAGCAAAUAAUAAUUAGUUUAAAUAGUGGAGACUAAAAAGCAUUCACCCUUAUUCUUUAUCUGUUAUUUGUUUUUUUUUUUUUCCGUUAAUGCACAUAUUAUACAUUUUAAACAUUCCGUUAAUUGCCAAUUAUGCAAGCGAGAUAGUAAUUUAAAUUUUUUUAUUUUAAAAAAAAGUGAAAAUUAAUCCUAUGCAAUGUGAAUAAAUUUCUUUCCUUUUUCCUUCUCUCUUUUUAUUUGAUAAUUAAGUUUCAACCUAUGUACCCAAAAUUUCUGCAACAGGUAAAAAAACAUAAAAAUAUAUGAUUGUUAAUGUAAACACGCGGAAGUUCAUCAUUUCAAUGUUCAGUAUUUCCAAUUUUGGCAUACGAAUAUAUUCCACUUAGAAAGCCAAAUAUUAGAAUUGUGAUUUUAAUUCAUUCAUCAUAUCUCAUUUCAAUCCCAAAAUAUUCAAGAGGAUCCAAGUUACCAUAAGACUUCAGAGGCUCGAGCCUUAGCCAGAGACGGUUAAUUGAUAGACUAUGUGCCCGGGUCGAGCACUGGAAGCCUGCAAUGCAGACUGAUUGAUUUAUCAGUUUGAUGUGUGCCAGGAAUGAAGAACUGGAAUAUCACCGUCAAGCAAGCACCCAGUGAAGCAAUACCAUAGAAUGCACAAUCCGGCCUUGCUAGGUGACACUGGAGGCUUUUUGAAAAGUGCUUCACGCUUACUUGCACAGAUUGAGCAUACCCUCUGGAUAUUGCCCUCUCUGAUCCAGUCUGAGCACUCAAAUUUCGGUCCUCAGAUGGAGCUACAGCUUUCUCUCCAAUAACCAACAAUUUUCUAAACUCAGCACCUAGUGUGAUCAGAGUUGUUGAUAUUUGUAAAUGGAGAUCCCCAUAUUUGAAAAUGGAGACAUUUAACAAAUCACCAACAUGCUUCAUCCGGUCUACGAAAUUCUGCAGCUGAUUCAAAUCCGGAACCUGAACCAGAGUCGGAGGUAAAUCUUGAGCCAUAUCUAAAGCAGUUUGAAGUUCAAGUACUUGAGCCCUUGACAGUGGUUUUGAAAUUGGAACAUCUUGAAUUACUGCAGACCUGUACCCUUUGGUUUCAAAGGUAAGGAAAGGCAUUGCUUGAGUACAAUUUGGAGGCAGCUUCUUCACCAAUUUUAUUUGGAGGCGAUUGGCAGCGGAUCCAGCUGCACCAAUUUCAGAGCAAAUACUGACACUACUUCAAACAGCACGCUGAAGAAGCGCUAUGUCUAUGGCAAAGGCAAUGCAGUCCUCAUUUUGGCUUGAGAUGCGGUAAUCAUCGAAGAGAGUUUCCUUAUGAAACUGGGCAACACAUUGAAUCCCUUCACCACUGAGAAGGUUGUGGAGGAAGUACGCUUUCUCUCUAGUGAGGAAGAGGUGGCAUACCUUCCCCAUUUUGUCUAGGGCAGUUAGGAAUCUUUUUUCUAAGAGAUUUACUCCAUUCUCUGUGAGAAAUGCUUUGAACUUCAUCCCUCUGUCUCUAUCCUCACUUAUCAGUAAAACAGUUGAAAGUGAUACAAGGAGAGAAAAGGAGAGUACUAAGAUAUAUAGACAAGAAAAACAUUAGGUGUCGAUCUUACAUGUUAAUACUUCAAACAGUAUCCUAGAAAGCUAAAAACUGCAGAAUGGCUUGAAAUUUGAAAAGAACACAUGCUUUUCCUCCUUAACUUGAGAAAAUGUUUGACAUAGCGCGCCUUACAGAAGCAAGCAAUUAGAACUUUGCACAAAAACAUUCAAGAAGACCAAUAUUUCAACUAUUUUACUGAUGAAAAUCUCAAAGCACAAAUGGCAUUGCAUUUUGUCCUCAACUGUAAUAUUUAUUGAUGAAAAUCAGUACAGGUCCCUCAUUUGUUAUGGAAAGCUUUCUUGUAGUCUGACCGGUUAAUUCACGGGUCUAUAAUCAUCUUGCAAAGUUACGGACAUUUCUUUCGAUUUAAAGUCUUUGCAUCACCACCUCAUCACACACCAAACCAAUAUUCUGUCUACCUCUACAACAAAAAGUUUUAAGUAAACGAUCCUAAUGCACGCAGCCAAAUAAAAUGCAGUAAGAAUAUUCAACUUAAAAAUCUGAAAGUAUCUUGGUGAAUUGCCUUCUUAGGGGAAGUUCCAUGAUUUACUAUACUAGACAGAACUGAGCAAAAGCUUCCAUACGACAGAUUUUGACAAUAAUGAUGCCAACAGAUCCUCAUUAACUCCAUUAAAACUCCUAAGGUUCAUUGUUCAUGGAUGUUUACAGAGUUUUGGCCAUCAAAUAGCUCAGACCACAAUCCCAAAGAAAAGACGAGUGAAAGUUAGAUAACGAGCAGCUAAUUGUAAAUUCUAACUUAACUCUUCAUCUCCUUUGUAAAAAGGAAACAAAAUGGAGACGCGUAAAUUCUAACUUAACUCAAAUAAAAUGAGGGCACGAAAGCAAACAAAUGGCAUGCACAAACAAACCAAGCAUCAAUCAAAAACUAAUUAACCAUUAAAAAAAAUAAAAAUUGGUCAGAGAAUGAACUCCAAAUUCGGGAGUGAAGCAAGAAGCUUUCACUAUUUCAGAAGCUCCUGUACAAAUUAAUAAGUUAUGCUCUUUGGAGACAAUCCUAAAUUCCAAGAGAAACAGAGCUCAAAAAAAUUUUGCAAUUAUGCGCAAAGGAAGUGAAGCACAGCAUUCUACCACACACAGGAAUUGUAUAACAUGAGAUCGAUAUAUCGAAUUGGAAGAACUCAAUUCUAAUUUGUGUCAAAAAUCAAAAUUAGAAGAUUGCAUAUUUCGAGAGGAACAAGCAACAGGUGAGGUUCAAAAUUUCAGCCAUAACAUGCUAAAAUUGCUACAUUUAACGGUUUAUUUUCAUGGAUUUUCUCGGGAAACAAACAGAAAAUUACGGUUUAGAGAGUUGACUGACCUUUUGGCUUUUAGAAUUGAGAAGAUCGCGCACUGCAUUAGUCCAUAGUAUAAUUAUAGACAGUUUUGAGUCAAAGUGUAGUUUCAGUGAACAGUAUUACUGUAGCAAAAUUCAAAAAUAACGGUAAUAUUACUGUUCCUGAGCGGCUAGCCGGAUAAUCAAGCGGCUAACCGCUUGAGCACGGGAUUUUGCCUAUAACGACUAGUUUUUGGGCUUCCACUAUAAAAACUCAACUCAAACUUCUUUCUAAGGACUAAUGCACGCAAAUAUAAGAUCAUACAACAUAUAUUGAGCUUCCAAAACGUAAAUCAUAAUUGAUUGAAUCAUUGUUGAGCUAUUAGUUGCAUAUCCACUCUUAAAGAGAGUUUUUGUUGUAAUUUUCAUUUCUUAUCAAAUUGUGAGUGUGUAAGUGUGGGAAACACUUGGGGUAAAGAGAUUAGGGAGAUAAUCUCUUGGUUGUAAAGGUUCAUUGACACCUUGGAAGGCAAUUGUAAAAACUUGAAGCCUUGGGAGGCUUGGAUAGUGAAAUCCUCGAGCUCGGUUGGCUUGGAGGCGUGGACGUAGGCGGGGAUUGCCGAACCAGAUAAAUAUCCGCGUGUUUGCUUUUCUCUUCCGUAACUCUUUUAUUUUUAUGCUUGCUUGAAUUUAUUGUUCUCCAUUUCAUUAAGGCGUUAGAUUGAUUUUAUUGUGCGAAUUGUAUUGCAUUAAUUUUAAAAAUCCAAUUCACCCCCCUCUUGGGUUGCGUUACUUAUAUUUCAUUUGGUAUCAGAGAUUGGUUCUCUUGUUAGGACUUAACCGUCUAGAGUAAAAGAUCUAUGGCAAUCCAAAUUGAUUCAACCUUUAGGGAAGGACAAUCCACAACUAGGCCACCGUUCUUUGACGGAAAUGACUACCCAUAUUGGAAAACUAGGAUGAGAAUUUAUUUACAAGCAUUAGAUUAUGAAAUUUGGGAAGUUGUAUGUGAUGGUCCUUUUAUGCCUUUGACUAAAAACGAAAUUGGGGAAGACAUUCCAAAACCUUCACGGGAAUGGAAUGAAUUGGAAAAGAGAAAAGCUUCUCUAAAUUCCAAAGCCAUAAAUGCCUUGUUUUGUGCACUCGAUAAGAAAGAGUUUCAUAGAGUGUCUAGUUGUGAAAGUGCUAAUGAAAUUUGGCACAACUUGAAGUUGUUUAUGAAGGCACGAAUCAAGUGAAAGAGUCUAAAAUUAGUAGGUACACUCGGCAAUAUGAAUUGUUCCAAAUGGAACAAAAUAAGAGUGUGUAUUCUAUGUAUACUAGAUUUACGGACAUAGUAAACACUCUAGGAGCCCUAGGAAAGACGUUUUCAAAUAGCGAGAAAGUUGAGAAAAUCAUUAGGUCAUUACCUAAGGAAUGGAGACCAAAAAGGACUGCCAUUGAGGAAGCUAAAGAUUUGAAUAUCUUACCUACUGAUGAUUUAAUUGGUUCUCUUAUUUCUUAUGAGAGAGAUUUGGCAGCUGAAUGAGGAAAUGAGGAAAGAAAGAAAAACAUUGCUCUCAAGGUCACCAAACAUGAGAGUGAUGAGGAAAGUGAGCCGGAUGAUGAGGAGUUGGCUAUGCUAGCAAGGAGGUUCAGAAAAUUUUUCAAGAAAACUGGUGACCAAAGAAAAUUCAGAAAUUUCAAAAACCAAAAGGAGAAGAAAGAGGUAAUCAUAUGCUAUGAAUGCAAGAAGCCUGGCCAUAUAAGAUCGGAAUGCCCACUUAUCAACAAACUCAAGAAGAAAGCUAUGGUUGCUACUUGGGAUGAUAGCGAUGAAGAUUCAAGUGAUGAAGAUGAGUCACAAGAAGUAUCAAACCUAGCAUUUAUGGCACUAGGAGAUGAUGAUGAUCUCAAUGAGGUAAGUGAUCCAACCUAUGAUGAAUUGUAUGAUGCUUUUAAAGAAAUGCAUGAUGAGUUGAUGAAAAUUGGUAAAAAGAAUGCAUGCCUUAAAAAGAAAUUGCUAGAAUCUACAAAUGAAAAGGAUACCAUGCAAAAAUGCAAUGAGCCAUUGAAUGAGAAGACUAAAGGAUUAGAAUUAGAGAAUAAAACCUUGCAUAAUAGAGUUGCAUUAUUAAAUGAAAAAUCUAGCACUUCACAUGAGCAUUUAGAGUCACAUGUACAUGAUUUGAAAAAGGAAAAUGAAAUGCUCAAGAAAAAGAAUAUUGAACUUAGUAAUGUUGUUCUAAAAUUUACAAAUGGACAAAAGAUGUUGGAUAACAUGCUUAACUCCCAAAAAUGUGUUUUUGAUAAAAGAGGACUUGGGUAUAAGCCUAACUUGAAGUAAAAGUAUUAUAAGAAUUAUUUUGUUAAAGCUACCUCCACAAAUGAUCAUAAGAUUGUUUGCGAUUAUUGCAAUCAAAAUGGUCACAUGAAAUAUAGAUGUCUUGUAAAAAGGAAUGCAUAUAAUGGUGUCAAAUGUGUGUGGGUUCCAAAAGGAACCGUUGCUAACGAUCAAGGGCCUAAAAAGGUUUGGGUACCUAAAACAUAAGAUUUUCUUUGAAGGGCUUGAAGAAAAAGAAAAAUAAAUGGUACUUGGAUAGCGGAUGUUCUAGGCAUAUGACCGGAAACUAUGCAUGGUUCUCAAGUUUUACCAAAAUCGAAAAUGGUGGAGAUGUAUCUUUUGGAGAUAACUCAAAAGGAAAAAUUCUCGGAAUUGGAAAUGUUGGUAAAAUUUCUUCAACUCUAAUUGAAAAUGUAUGUUUGGUUGAAAAUUUGAAACACAAUCUGAUUAACAUUAGUCAACUAUGUGACAAAGGCUAUAAAGUUAUUUUUGAUAAAUCAAGAUAUGUUAUUGAGAAUGCAUGUGAUGGGAAAAUUUUGUUUAUGGGAAAUAGAUGUGGCAAUGUUUACACGAUUGAUAUAGAGUGUGCAUCUACUCAUGAUAAAUGUUUUUCGGCAUUGCAUGAUGAUUGAUGGGUGUCGAAGCCAACAAAAAUAAAUUCCUACUCUAAAUAAAUUGUGUAUAGUGAUUGAGCAGGGUCGUGUCCACAGAGAUCGGUAAUUAAUUAAAUCCUUUUGAAACGUAAAACGUAAAAUGGGGGAAUUGUUGACAAUAAUAAAAAUCAAAUUAAAAUAACAAGAAUACAAAUUAAAGUUGUAAUUCAAAUUAGAGAAAGCUCUGGUUGAAGGAAUUAACUCAGCUUGAUUCGACUACUGAUCAUUGAUUCAAAUAUAGAUUAUUAUUACUCAUGAAUAGACCGGUUAUAGCUACUGAGACCCUCUAAUAGCCAAUCUCUCCUUAACUAGUCGAUAACCAAGGUACGACCGUUGGUUAUUUCCCUAAUCAAUAGACAACCCUAGAUACGAUCAUAGAAUUUAAUCAAUUGACAGCCUGAAAAACCAGAGAGACCCAAAUCCUAAUCAACACAUAUGAUGAUUCAUUUAAAUUAGAUUGUUUAUUCUCACAACACAACUCUCUGCUAUGUUAUUUGUCACAAGCAUUAAAUUCUUUAUACGAUGAAUCCUUUAAUUGACAAUAGAUUAAGUUGAUAAUUAAAUAGUGGCCAAUUACCUAAUUAACAAACAUAAUCAUGAAAAUAAUUCAGAGAAUAAACAAAUACCCAAAAAGUAAUAAAACAAUUAAAGUAUAAGAAAGAUCUCACAGUAGUGAUGAAUCAAAGCUUCAUUAUCCUUCAACCAGAAAAAUAGGUUUAGUUCUUCAUAAAGAGAAGAGAAAAAUUAAGUCUAGGGUUUCUUUCUUUCUCCAAUCCCCCAAAAAAUCCCCAUUUUCCACAAUAGAUUCCUCCCUUAAAUACUCUCUCUCUCUUCUCUUUUAGAAUUCUAUUUAAAAUAAAAUCCUAAUAUCUGAAAUAUUAAAUUCGUAAUUACAAAUAUAGCCAAAAAUAUAAAACACGUUAAACUAAAAACUGCAGGUCCGCAGUUGACAGCACGCGCCCACGCCUUAUCAACAAAGUUCUUCUGCCGCUCAUAAUUUCUCCAAGGGAACAAUCAUCCCUAAACAUCAUCUUGUAGCUCAAUUUUAUCACCAAUCAAUAGAAUUGCACCUACAAAAGUAAAUCACAAGUAAAUCACUAUUAUUAAGUGCAAAACAUCGAUAUUAAGAGAAGUAAACAAUGCAAAACUAGUGCAUAAAUUGCACUCUAACAAUGAUGGUUGGUUAUGGCAUAGAAGACUAGGACAUGCUAGCAUGGAUUUAAUUUCAAAAAUUUCGAAAAAUUAUUUAGUUAAAGGUCUUCCAAAAAUUGGUUUUCAAAAGGAUAGAAUUUGUGAAGCAUGUCAAUUUGGAAAACAAAUCAAAACCUCUUUCAAAAACAAGAAUCAUAUCUCUACUUUAAAACCUCUUCAAUUACUUCACAUAGAUUUGUUUGGACCCUCUAGAUAUGCUAGUUUAAGUGGCAAAUUUUAUGCAUUUGUAAUUGUAGAUGAUUAUUCUAGAUACACAUGGGUAUUAUUCUUAGUUAAUAAGGAUGAUGACAUUGAUGCAUUUAAAAUUUUCUGUAAAAAGGUUCAAAAUGAAAAGGGUUAUUAUAUUACUUGUAUUAGAAGUGAUCAUGGUGGAGAGUUUGAAAAUCAUGCAUUUGAAAAUUUUUGUAAUGAUUUUGGCAUUGAGCAUCAAUUUUCAUCACCUAGGACUCCACAACAAAAUGGAGUUGUUGAGAGAAAGGAUAUGUCUAUUCAAGAAAUGGCUAGGACCAUGUUAAAUAAAAAUGCAUUACCGAAAUAUUUUUGGGCCGAAGCCGUCAACACCGCUUGUUAUGUUUUAAAUCGGGUGUUGAUUAGACCUUAUCUCAAUAAAACUCUCUAUGAGCUUUGGAAAGAUAGAAAAUCCAACAUUGGUUAUUUCAAAGUUUUUGGAUGCAAAUGUUUUGUUUUAAACACAAAAAAUAAUCUUGGUAAAUUUGAUCCAAAAUCUGAUGUUGGCAUCUUUCUCGGGUAUUCAAACUCAAGCAAAGCUUAUAGAGUUUAUAAUAAAAGAACUUUAGUUGUGGAAGAAUCCAUGCAUAUUACGUUUGAUGAAUCUAACCCCUCCUCUGCUGAGAAAGGAGUUGUUAAUGAUGAUACAAAUGGAGAGUUACAAGAAGAAUCAUCAAAAGAGAAUCAAGAGAAUGCACCAUAAGAAAAUCAAGAGGAUAGACAAGAAGAACAAACAAAUAUGGAGCUGGAGCAACAGGAAGGUAGUUCUCAAACACUCCCCAAGGAGUGGAGGUAUGUUUCCUCUCAUUCUAAGGAUUUAAUUGUAGGUGAUCCUUUAAAAGGUAUCACAACUAGAUCGUCACUUAGAAACACAUGUGAGCAUGCUGCAUUUAUUUCUCAAAUUGAACCAAAAUCUUUUGCGGAUGCGGAAAAUGAUAAGUUUUGGAUUAUGGUAAUGCAAGAAGAGUUAAAUCAAUUUGAGAGAAAUAAAGUAUAGGAAUUGGUUCCUAAACUGGAACAUCAAUCCAUUAUAGGCACUAAAUGGGUAUUUAGAAAUAAAAUGGAUGAAUUCGGUAUGGUUGUAAGAAAUAAAGCUAGAUUAGUGGCUCAAGGAUACAACCAAGAAGAAGGAAUUGAUUUCGAUGAAACAUUUGCACCUGUAGCUAGAUUAGAAUCCAUUAGGAUGUUGUUAGCAUUUGCAUGUCAUAAAGAUUUUAUUUUGUUUCAAAUGGAUAUCAAGAGUGCUUUCCUAAAUAGUUAUAUUAUGGAGGAAGUUUAUGUGAAACAACCUCCUGGUUUCGAAAAUGAGAAAUUUUCAAAUCAUGUGUAUAAGUUAUCAAAAGCAUUGUAUGGAUUAAAACAAGCACCUAGAGCAUGGUAUGAUAGACUUAAAAAUUUCUUGUUGGAUAACGAUUUUUUGAUGGGAAGAGCGGAUACUACCCUCUUUAUUAAAAAUAAAAAUCAAAAUAUAUUUGUUGUUCAAAUUUAUGUUGAUGAUAUUAUUUUUGUUCUACUAAUGAAUCUUUGUGCAAAGAAUUUUCCUCUUGUAUGAGUAAGGAAUUUGAGAUGAGCAUGAUGGGAGAAUUGAAGUAUUUUCUUGGACUUCAAAUCAAACAAAACAAUGAGGGGAUUUUCAUCAACCAAGCUAAGUACGUCAAAGACUUGCUCAAGAGAUUUGGUAUUGAUGAAUCAAAUACCAAGAAUACUCCAAUGAGUACAACAAUCAAGCUUGAUAAAGAUGAGAGAGGUAAAGAGGUUGAUAUUAAAAAGUAUCGAGGUAUGAUCGGAUCCUUACUUUACUUAACUGCAAGUAGACCCGAUAUCAUGUUUAGUGUAUGUUUGUGUGCAAGAUUUCAAUCAUGUCCCAAGGAAUCUCAUUUGCUUGUUGUUAAAAGAAUUUUUCGUUAUUUAAGUGGAACCAUAGAUAUUGGCCUUUGGUAUCCUAGAGGAACUCAUAUAGAUUUAACUUGUUAUUUAGAUGCCGAUUUUAAUGGUCACAAGGUCGAUAGAAAGAGUACUAGUGAAACUUGCCAUUUUCUUGGUCAUUCACUUGUUUCAUGGUUUAGUAAGAAACAAAAUUUUGUGGCACUCUCAACUACUGAGGCGGAAUAUAUUGCCGCAGGAAGUUGUUGUGCACAAGCACUUUGGAUGAAACAAACACUUAGAGACUAUGGUAUUGUUCUUGAAAAAAUUCCUAUCAAGUGUGAUAAUACUAGCACCAUAAAUCUUUCAAAGAAUCCCAUUCAGCAUUCUAGGACCAAGCAUAUAGAGAUUAGGCAUCAUUUCUUGAGAGAUCAUGUUCAAAAAGAUGAUAUUGCAUUAUAAUUUAUCUCUACGGAAAAACAACUUGCCGAUAUUUUUACAAAACCCCUUUGCGAAGAACAAUUUUCAAAAAUUCAGCAUGAACUUGAGAUGAUGAAAUUUUCGCAUUAACAUCUCUAGUUAUGUUAUUUAAUCUAUUAAAAUUGUUUGGAAAACAAAGGAUUCGUUGAAAAUCCCAAGUCUGCACAAGCUGUAAUGAAUUGGUCAUAACUCCUUCUAGAGAACUCCAAAUCCAGCUCUAUAAAAUUUAUUGGAAAGCUAACUUAAUUAUCUUUCCAACGGUAUAUAGUUUGCACAUUACUUCUGGCUCAAUCAAUACAGUUUUUAUUCCGAAUUUGACAUUUCUGCAUUUUAUUAAGUUUUGAAUGCUUAUAUGCUUCAUGAUUGUAUGCUUGUUGGAUGGAUUAUUUGUUUGAAUUAACUAUCUUUUGGAUGUUUAAAAUCAUGAAUCAUGCAUUAAAUUGGCUCUUGAGAUGUUUCGGGAUCACAAACUGGUCACGAAAUUAAUUAAAAUUGGCCGAAAAUUAACUAAGGUACAGCUGGACAACAACCAGGAGGCUAGCCGCUUGGAAAUGUCCCCCCAACCCGAGAGCAAGCGGCUAGCCGCUUGGUCACGGGUGUGGCAAUUGUUUUUUGCUUCUUCUUCUUCCUUUGUUAAUUUUCUGCACAUGCUUUCUCUCUCACUCAAAACCGUGAGCAACCCAUCCAUUUUCACCUCCAUUUUCUUCCUUUUUCAUCUAUUUUCAUGCCCAAAUCAACCAUUCAAACUAAUACCCAUGCAUUUCAUCUUCAUUAAACACUUCUCCAUCAUGAUUUCUUCAUUUGUUUUUCAUCAUUUCAUCAUCAUCUCUCACGCGUGAACAGUACCUCUCCAUUUCUCUCUCAAAAUUCUUCAUUUUUCACUCACUUUCUUGUUAAAAUCAAUCAUCCAAAUCAUUAUUCAUCCAUUACUCCUUCAAUUUUCGUUCUCAAAACUUCAUUUCAUCAACUCUCCACAUAAAACCCAAAAUCAAAAAACCUAACUCUACCCUUUCUCUCUCUACAUUUUCAAGCUUCCUUUAGCCCAUUUUUGAUCCAAUCUACAUCAUAUAUUAGCUUCAUUCAUCUCUAGGAUCAAUUUUCUUGGCUCAAACAAAUCCAUUUCACUCAAUUUUUGUAAACCCGAAAUUGCAUAUUUAAGCUCUUUUUAGUCCACUUUUGAUCCAAUCAACACCAUCCAUUAUCUUAAAUCAUCUCUUGGAUCAAUAUAAUUGGUUUAAAAUCAUCUAUUUCACUCAUUAUUUUACAAAAUUAAAUUUGUGCAUUUUGGGUAUAUGCACCUACAUUUUCAUAUGCAUAAUUGUUUUAAUUGUGGAUUACGGAUGAUGGUUGUUUAAUAUUAAGAUAAUUUAUAUUUGGAUGAUAUUUUCUGAAUUCUUAGAAUGAAUAUGACUCUUUAGUUAAUUGCACGCUUAAUUUUUAUAUGCUUCUUGAUUAAUCAUUGAGAUAUUCUUUUUGGUAUAAACAUGGAUUUAUAGUACUUUUGAUGAUUGAUGAUUAUAUGUGUGUUGCUUGAUGAAUUAAUGGAGUUGUUGGUUUGUGUUACUUGUUUAAGUUCAUAUGGAAGUGUUUUUAAUCACAUUGUGUAUUUGAGGAUUUGUUCAUUUUUAAGGGGAGACUCUGCCGAAAUUUUUACUCGCACACAAUUGGUAAUAUCUUCCUUGAAUCAUUUUUUAUGAUCUUGCUUCAAAUUGCAUUUUUCUAUUUUUUAUGAAAUGGGAGAUAAAUAUGAUAUGUUUUUGGAUAAUAUUAUUUUGGUUAAAUUUUUUAAUUGGCCAUAUAUUUAGGGGGAGCAUACAAUAUGAUUUUGGAUAAUACGCAUUUUGAGCAUUCUUUUGAUGGCAUAAUGGUUCAUGAUCAUUUAAUGGUUAAUUGGAUGUUUGGUUAUUAUAUGUUUCUUGAUUAACCAUUGACAUAUUAUCGAUCUUCGGAUGAAUUUCUAGUAAUUUUGAUGAUGAAGGGGGAGAAGUCAUGUAUUUUGAAUAUGAAGACAUGUAAUACAUAUUUUUGUAUUUCAAGUAUUUAUGCAUGUUUUUGAAAUAUUAAGGGGGAGCUUUCAAAUUAUCAUAAAUCAAAUAUUCAGGGGAAGUUUUUGAUUUAUAUAUGCCAUGUAUUAAGGGGGAGUUUAAUGUCAAAAUAAAUGAGAUGUUUGUCAUCAUCAAAAAGGGGGAGAUUGUUAGCCUAAAGGGCUAUACAUAAUGUAAUUUUGAUGAUAACAAAUAUAUGUAUUAAGUGAUUUAAUAAAUAUUGUAUUUCACAUUUUCACUAGUUUUUUAAGGAUAAUAUUUAUGCAAGUGAAUCAAAUGAAAUCAAGAUUGAAGACACUCAACGGACAACGGCGACAUCAAGAAUAGUCUAGAGCUCAACGAACAAAUUAGUGCGAUAAAUUCUUAUAAAGCCGGUAUGAUUUAAUUGAUGCAUGAUUUAGCAUUUGAGAAGCUCAAGAGAUUAAUUAAUUAAAUAUUUUUCAUAAACUAAAAUGUUUUAUUUUUAAAAAGUAAAGUAUUUUGUGGAUUUGAGUAAAUUGGACUUAAAUGUUAAGAUUUAUAAUCUUUGAGUUUAAUAAAUAUUAUUUUGAAAUUCAAAUUUGGACUUAUUUGCAAAGGUUUGAAACGUUUUGAGGCAUAUUAUAAUUUAUGAAAGUUUGAGGACCCGAAUGUAAUCUAGACACUUGAAAUCCAAAGUUGGACAGAGAGGAAGCGGCUAACCCCCUGAGCGCUAGCGGCUAGCCGCCUGAGGGAAAUCUCAUAUUUUCAAUUUUUGGACUAAAGUGAAAGAUUUUGAUAACUUUAAAAAAUAUGGGUAUUAUGCUAAAUUUAAAAAGGACCUCUUUGAAAAAUAAUAAUAUCUUUGGGGCUAUAUCAUAAUUUUAGAAAGUUUUGGAAAGAUAACUAAUCUUAAGUAAUUCUAAAAUUAGAUCUAUUUGCAAACUUUUCUGACGUUUUGGGUCAUAAUAUAAUUAUAGAAAGUUUUAGGUCAAAGUGUAGUUUCAGUGAACAGUAUUACUGUAGCAAAAUUCAAAAAUAACGGUGAUAUUACUGUUCCUGAGCGGCUAGCCGGAUAAUCAAGCGGCUAACCGCUUGAGCACGGGAUUUUGCCUAUAACGACUAGUUUUUGGGCUUUCACUAUAAAAACUCAACUCAAACUUCUUUCUAAGGACUAAUGCACGCAAAUAUAAGAUUAUACAACAUAUAUUGAGCUUCCAAAACGCAAAUCAUAAUUGAUUGAAUCAUUGUUGAGAUAUUAGUUGCAUAUCCACUCUUAAAGAGAGUUUUUGUUGUAAUUUUCAUUUCUUAUCAAAUUGUGACUGUGUAAGUGUGGAAAACACUUAGGGUGAAGAGAUUAUGGAGAUAAUGUCUUGGUUGUAAAGGUUCAUUGACACCUUGAAAGUCAAUUGUAAAAACUUGAAGCCUUGGGAGGCUUGGAUAGUGAAAUUCUCGAGCUCGAUUGGCUUGGAGGCGUGGACGUAGGCAGGGAUUGUCGAACCACGUAAAAAUCCGCGUGUUUGUUUUUCUGGUCCCUAACUCUUUUAUUUUUACGCUUGCUUGAAUUUAUUGUUCUCCAUUUCAUUAAGGCGUUAGAUUGAUUUUAUUGUGCGAAUUGUAUUGCAUUAAUUUUAAAAACCCAAUUCAUCCCCCUCUUGGGUUGCGUUACUUGUAUUUCAAAAAGUGCGUGUGAAGUGUAAAAUUAGGGUUGGUCUUUUGGCUUUAUGUGUUAUGCUUAAAAUUACAAUAUUAGUUUUCAUAUUUUAAAAAGUUUCCAAAUUAAUUUAAGGAUAAAAAAGUAAUUUAAUUAAACAAAUUUUAAAUGAAUCGACCUAUAUUUGAUUCGUUUAUAACUCGUUUAUUAAAUGAAUUUUAAACAAAUAAAUGAAUCAAAAUCUUCUAACCUGCAAUUUGUUUAAUUAGCGAAUCGAAUCGAAUCGAAUUCAUCCAUUUAUUAAAUUAAUUAAUUUUUUCAAACUUAAAUUUAUUUAAUUCACAUCUAAUCGAAUUAAAUAAAUAAAUCCUUACCCAUAUUAGUACCCGUAAACGGAUCAUUAAUGUUACCGGUCUUUCCUAUAUUUUAUUGCAAAUUGAUGCUAACAAGAAAAAGCUAGAUCAUAUUCCACAAAAGCAAAAGUGAUAAAACAACCAGCUGGAUUCUUUUAUUAAACUACAAAUUAAAAUGGACUUUUUUUUAAUAAACUAUAUAUGAAACUGGAAUCUUUUGAAUAUACGUGGGGUAGGUUCCCUUUCAAAAAAAAAAGCGGGGUAGGCUCUUUUAUUAAAGACAAGUCACAAGACGAUUAGGGUCUUUUAUUAAACUACAAAUUGUAUAAUAUUUUUCAAAUUGUACAGACAUUUAUAAAUUGGUGGUCCCUUGGAAAUUUAAUGCCAAUCAGAGAAAAGUCAUCAUGCACAAUCUUCAAUAAUUGUUUCGAUAUUUAUAAAUUGGUAGCCCUGCGUCUUUAAUAAAUGAAAUCAUGUUACGAUUGCAUAUAGUCGUUAGAUGCACUUAAAUUAGUGAGAUUUAUUAAUAUCUAAUAAUUAGAUAUAAUUAUAACCCAAUACAAUAGUUACACCAAAGUUUCCCCCAAUAAUUAUUCGGAUACUUAUAAAUUGGUGACCCCUUAGUAAUUUUACAGCAGCUUGCAAGUGCCAACUAGUGAAAAGUCAUCAUUCACAAUCUUCCAAGUGAAACAGGGGAUAUACAAAGAUUAAGACAUGUCAUUUUUUUUUUCAUUCCGUUUCAUGUAACUUACACCCAAAUAUAUAAAUAAUAUAAAAUGAAUGGAGAGAUGCCGGAGCAGAUCGGCAGGGUUUGAAUAUGACCUUUGGCGCUUGCUUUUUUUUGUGAUUUUUUUUUUCAUUUUUUCCUUCCUGUCAUUUUAUCAUUUCUUUGGCUUUGUCUCUGUUGCGGGUGUUACUGCAUGCUAACUGUUGCUUGACAAAGUUUGCUAGCUUUUCCUUUUGUUUAUUAAUUUUUUUAUGGUCACAAAGUAUUACUCGUUCUAUUUGACAGUGAUGUGAAUCAAUUUUUCAAUUUUAUAUUUUGUGGUCAAUGUGAAUUCAAUUUCAGUUGUCUCCUGCAAUUAUGAAAAAAUUGCAGUCAUAAUAUGGAAAAGUACGCGGGCAAAAAUUUUGUAAAAGCUUCGGAGUGAUACGGGGAAUUCACUUACUACUAAGGACAAUUGGUGGCAAGCUAUUCCAUUCAUUUUAUGUCCAUCCAUCUAUUUAGUUAUUGAAGACUAGUGGUCUAUUUAUAAAUUUCAGAUUGUUUCUCUCUCUCUCUCGAAAUAACAAUAUUUAAAAUAGAGUAAUGAUACAGCUACAAACUCUUGUACAAACUUAUUUUGUACAAACUGACGUGACAUUAAUUCAUUGGUUGAAUGAAAAUAUAAAUUAAUAAAAACAAAUCAUGUGGGACAAGUGAUAUUUAAUUCAACCAAUCUUAUCAUGUCAUAUCAGUUUGUACAAAAUAAGUUUGUAUAAGAGUUUGUGGCAGUAUCAUUACUCUUUAAAAUAUCUCUUAAAUUAUUAUAAAUUUUAAUUUACUCUCGAUUUAAAAUGGAGCAUGUCAAUAAAUUUUUUUUCUUCUUAAUAAAAUUGACGUAAGUUGUGUUUACAGUAGUUUGAAGUUUGAAAUAUUUUAAAGAUUAUUAUUCUAUAAGGGAGUAAUAUGAAAUGAAAUUUACUUUUCAUGUGUGAAAUGAAAAAGGACGAAGCAAGUGUCCCUGCUUUUAUUUUAUUUCAAGGAGGAGUCAUCUCACAGACUUUAGCUCUUAACAUUACAUUUUUUCUGGUUACAUUUUUAUUUUUUAUUUAUUUUUACACAUGCGUGUGGGUUGCUUUUCUGUAAGCUCCUUAAUAUAUAUUUAAGACAAAUUAUGGAAGAGAUGGGAUUAUAUCAAGAUGAUCAAACCAUGUAAAAAAAGAAAAAAGAAAAAAAAUUAAGAAGUAAGACACUGAAAAUGGAGAAGAGAUGGAAUCAAAAGAUAUUCCAAAACAAAGCAAUCUGUCCCCUUUCCAGGGCAGACUUAUCAGGUUUAAAAAAGUACAUGCUUUGGAUUGGUAGUUGCAAUCAAUUGAAAAUAAAUAGGAUCCAAUGAAAUUUAAAUUUCGGAGAAAUAAAAUAAUCAUGCAGAUUUUUAAGAUUUUAAUAAGAGAUACUAAUAUCUUAUUUUGAUUAAUAAUAUUCUUUCACUGUGUUAACUCAAAAAAAUAUAUUUUAAAGUUUUACAGUAAAUAAAAAUAUAAUAUUAAAAUAAAUGUGACAAAUAUAUAUAUAUAUAUAUAUAUAUAUAUAUAUAUAUUAAAUAAUUUCAAUAAAAAAACAUUUUAAUGUUUUACAAUCUACUACACAUAUUUUAUUAAGUUAAUAUAAUUUUUCAAAUAAAUAGGGACAUAAUAUUAAAAUAAAUUUAUAAAAAUUUAAAUUAUUUUGAAUUUAAAAUAAUUUUAAUAUUAUUAAUAUUUUAUAUAUGUUUUAUUAAUUAUAAGAAUUAUUUAACCCAAAGUUUUUUUAUAAAUAUUUUCAGUGGAUAUAAAUAUAUUAUUUAUACUUUGAUUAUUUAACCAUUAUUAGUCUACAAUUAUUUAUAAUUAUAUUUUCAUUUAUUAGAAUACAGUUAAAGUCAAAUCUUUUGCACUUUUACCUAGCUAGAAUUAUUGCACACAGAGAAAUAAACAUAUAUUCUUUAUAACUUUAGAAAUCGGUUUUUUUUAUAGCUGGGAACAGAGAUGAUGAUUAUUAUAAGGAUGGAGAAAAGGAUAAAAAAUAUCAAUGAUUAACAAAGUCUCUGUGCAAAUUGAUUUUAGCAGUAAAAUAGUGAGCUGAAUGAUGUACGCGAUUAGUGGUAAUAGAAAUCUUCUCAUAAAUCUCCUUUUUGAGUUAUAGUUAUUUUAUUUCCGAAAUAUCCUUUUUCUUCUUUAAUACACUUCUAAUUUUUCAUUUAAUUUUUUUAUUGUUAAACUCAAAAUAUUAUUGUGAUAUUUUUCGUGUCUUUUGCAAUCUUAUUAUUACUCUACACACGAAUUAAAAAAAUUUUUUAGGUGAUGAACUUUUGAAUGUUAAUCUUGGCUUAAAUUUCACAUAUUUUACAUUAUAAUAUAAAAUUAAUUACAAAAAUAUUUAAUCAAUAAAAAUUAUAAAAAAUAAAUUAUUUUAAAUUUAUACAAUUUAUUUUAAUUAGAUAAGCAGUAACAACUACAAAAAGGAUUUGGUUAUGAAAUUUGUUGCAGCUUAAUAUUCCACAAAAGCAAAUCGUAAUAUUCCACAAAGGAGUACGAUCCACAAAAGCAAACAACCAGCUGGAUUUUUUUAUUAAGCUACAAAUUAAAGUGGAAUCGUUUAUUAAACAACAAAUUAAAGUUUGAAUAUUUAAGUAGUAGUGCGUUAGAUGNNNNNNNNNNNNNNNNNNNNNNNNNNNNNNNNNNNNNNNNNNNNNNNNNNNNNNNNNNNNNNNNNNNNNNNNNNNNNNNNNNNNNNNNNNNNNNNNNNNNCUUGUAGCUAAUUUGUCAAUAAUAUUAAACUACAAGUGCUGACAACAAGUGCGAUGCUCUUUUUCUAAAGAGAAUUAAAGUUGGUCCCGAAUAGGACGUGCCUAAAUCUGUUUAAAUUUUUUCCAGUAAAACUAACAGAGGUCAUUACUAGAAUUAUUUAUAUUGUUUUAUAUUUAUUAACAAAUUUUAAAGUCAAUCUUUUUAAUUAUUAUUCAAAAGAUAUUAUAAUUAAAAAAUAGUGUCUACUAUUAAAAAUUUAGAAAUUUACAUUACCGUUCUCUUAAAUCUCUAAAUAUUUAAGAUGUAAUUGUUAUUUUCCUUUUAUAUAUAUUAGGAAAUAGAACCGCGCUUCGCGCGGUUUGAGAAAAAAAAAUUAGUAUUAUUAUUUUUUCUCACUUUGCAUUUGAUGAAAUUGAUAAAAAAUUAUGAAUUAUUUUUUUUAAGAUGAGACAGCCUCAUAAAACUAAUGUCAUUUAUGAAAUAAUUAUUUUUUUUGUUAACUUUUAAAAUAUAUAUUAAUAUGUAUAGUGUAAGUGUACAUACCUUAUACCUUUUGUAGUUGUUGAUAAGUUCCAAGUUAUACUCAACUUGCUAAUCUGUUAGAACUUUUAUAUAUCUUUUUUUUUCUAACUAGUUCCAACGAUCUCAAUAUCACCCACACUACAUAAACUUCUGACAACGUCUGUAAUAUUAUGAAAAAAUAAUAUAAAUAUGUUAAAACAUAAGGAUCAAUAAUUUCUAAUAUACACUUAAAGAUUAACGAACAUUAAUAAUUUAAAAAUAAUAUCUGAGAGGAUUGUAUUAUCAUUCACACGUAUAUCAAUCAAAUUCAGAGAUAUGAAUUGAAAUCUAUUAAUCGAAAUCUUAACAGUUCCUUCUUCUAAACUCUUAAGUGAAGUUAUAAGCAAGAAAAUUAAUUUUAUACUGAUUUGAAAGUAGUCUGUACUCGCCUGUAGUUGAAACAACUUUCAAAUUCUUGACACUAUACAAAGAACCAUCACUCAACAUGUGCCUAAACCUUGUCACUAAAUUUUUCUUAGUUGUUGCAUGCAUUAGAAUGUCCUAUAAAAAAGAAAAACAUGCUACAUUAAGCGUAAAACAAUUGGGAAAAAAAAGAGAAAAUAAGGGGAGAAUGAAUUUUUUAUACAACCUUUUCAUCAAUAAAAAUUAUGUUCACACUAAUCAAUUAUCCAUUCUUUUUAGUAUUAACAGACUCCCACAUCCUAAAAAACAUAAUCCUUAUCAUCUAACUAUCUUUAUCAUUGUUCAACUCAUGAAGAAAAUAGUACUUCAUGAAGCACACAAUACAAAAACUUUAAAAAGUCAAAAAUAAAAUCAUGAGGAUAUUUUUAAAGAGGAUAUUGGUUAAAUAUUUAAAAAAAACUCAAACAUAACAAAUAUUAAAUACUUAAUGUUUAAAGAGUUUUAAGAAGUCAAAAGACACAAAACAAAAUGUUGAAUAAUUAAAUAUGAGAUUAUUGCAUUAAAAUUAUACUCUAAUGCCAUUGGUGAGAGAAGAUGAAGGAACCUUCCUUCAUUUAAUAAUUAGUUUAUGUAUUUUAAGCCACUAAAGUUUAGUUGUUGGCUUAAUAAAAUAAAUGAAUGUUUCAAGACUUAUAAUUAAUUAUUAUUAAUGGUUACAUAUUGUUGAAUUUAAUAGAAAGAUGAAGAGACAUGUAAUCUUUUGCAAUCUAAUAAUUAUUUUCUAUUUUUAAUACUUUGUAAUGUAAUUAUUUUUUAAUUGCAACCAAUUUAUUAAAUAAUAGAGAAUAUAAGAAGAUGAGAAAUGGUGAUGCCACAUCACCUCCUGUAGUCCCAGCUUUAUAUAUAUACUAGGAAAUAGAACCGCGCUUCGCGCGACUUAAAAAAAAUUAAUAUAAUUUUUUUCUUACUUUGCACUUGAUGAAACUGAUAAAAAUUAUGAAUUAAUUUUUUUAAAGAUGACACAACUUUAUAAAACUAAUAUUAUUUAUGAAAGUUCAUUUUUUUGUUAACUUUAAAAAUAUAUAUUAAUGUGUACACAAUAUUUUCAUCAAUAAAAAUUAUGUUCACAAUAAUCAAUUCUCCAUUCUUCUUGAUAUUAACAGACUCCCAUAUCCUAAAAUCUAACCUUUAUCAUCCAAUUAUCUUUAUCAUUGUUCAACCCAAGAAAAUAGUACUCUAUGAAGCACACAAUACUAAAAUUUUAAAAAGUCAAAAAAUAAAAACACAAGAACAUUUCUAAAGAGGAUGUUAGUUAAAUAAUAAAAAAAACUCAAACAUAAUAAAUCUUAAAUACUUAAUGUUUAUAGAGUUUAAAGAAGCCAAAAGACACUAAACAAAAGGUUGCAUAAUUAAAUAUGAGAUUAUGACAUUACAAUUAGGCCCUAAUGACAUUGUUGAGGGAAAAUGAAGGAACUUUCCUUUCUAUAUUAAUUAAUUGAUGUAUUUAAAACACUAAAGUUUAAUUAUUGGCAUAAUAAAAUAAAUGAAUGUUUCAAGACUUAUAAUUAAUUAUUAUUAAUGGUUACAUAUUAUUGAAUUUAAAUAAACAGAGGAAAGGACAUGUAAUCUUUUGUAAUCUAAUAAUUAUUUUUUAUUUUUAAAAUUUUGUAAUGUAAUUAUUUUUUUAAUCUCAACCAAUUUAUUAGAUAAUAGAGAAUACAAGAAGAUGAAAAAUAGUAAUGUCACAUCACCUCUUCUAGUUAAUUAAUUGAUGCAUUUAAGCUACUAAAGUUUAGUUGUUGGCUUAGUAAAAUAAAUGUAUGUUUCAAAACUUAUAAUUAAUUAUCAUUAAUGGUCACAUAUUGUUGAAUUUAAAUAGAAAGAGGAAGAGACAUGUAAUCUUUUGUAAUCUAAUAAUUAUUUUCUAUUUAUUUUUUAUUUUUAAUAUUUUGUAAUGUAAUUAUUUUUUAAUCUCAACCAAUAUAUUAGAUAAUAAAGAAUAUAAAAAUAUGAGAAAUAAUGAUGCCACAAAUCUUAAUUACUUAAUAUUUAUAGAGUUUGAAGAAGGCAAAAGACACUAAACAAAAUGUUGCAUAAUUAAAUAUGAGAUUAUGAUAUUAAAAUUAGGCCCUAAUGGUAUUGUUGAGGGAAGAUGAAGGAACCUUCCUUCCUAUAUUAAUUAAUUGAUUUAUUUAAGCCACUAAAGUUUAAUUGUUGGCAUAAUAAAAUAAAUGAAUGUUUCAAGACUUAUAAUUAACUAUUAUUAAUUGUUACAUAUUAUUGAAUUUAAAUAGAAAGAGGAAGAGAUAUGUAAUCUUUUGUAAUCUAAUAAUUAUUUUUAUUUUUAAAAUUUUGCAAUAUAAUUAUUUUUUUAAUAUCAACCAAUUUAUUAGAUAAUAGAGAAUGCAAGAAGAUGAAAAAUAGUGAUAUCAUAUCAUCUCAUCUAGUCCUAACUUUAUUAUCUAUGUAAGAAAAUAAAAAAAUAGUAAUGGCACAGCACCUCCCCUAGUCUCAUCUUUAUAUAUAUAUAUAUAUAGAUAUAUAAAAACCACGGUGGUGAAACUUUAUUUAAUAUUAUUGAUUUAAAUAACAAUAUCUCAAUUAAAAAUGAACAGAGAAGAAAUUUCGGUGGGUAUAUUAGUCUUUUACAAUUAUCAUGAUUAGCCCUUCCUCUUGUAACGUUGGUCAGAAAAGUUUUCUUUUACUUUUAACGUUAGCGGCCUUCCUUAUAUUUUAUUACAAAUUAAUCCUAACAAGAAAAAGCGAGAUCAUAUUCCACAAAAGCAUAAGUGACAAAACAACCAGUUGGAUUCUUUUAUUAAACUACAAUUUAAAAUGGUUUUAAAGUGGAUUCUUUUGAAUACAGGUGGGGUAGACGAUUAGGCUUUUUCAAAUUCUUGUUUUAUUAUUUUUCAAAAACUAGUUUUUGGUAAUUACAAUCGGGUCAUUAAUCAUUAUUCAGUGUUAGUUUUAUCUUCGGGGGCAGUGGGUAAAAGGCUAAAUGAUAAUUACUACCUGUUUUUCCUUCAAAAGUUAGUGGCUCGUGUUUUGCAAGUGUGAACGUGCGAUGCUCUUUGUCUAAGGGCAAUUACAGUGGGUCCCGAAUCGGACGUGCCUAAAUCUUUUAAAAAAUUUUCCGGUAUAACGGACAUAGGCCAUUACUAAAAUUUCUCUUCCACAGGCAAUUACAGCAGCUCGAGUUUAUCAAACUCAACCAAUUUUCUUUCUUAACAAAAUCCAAAGAUGUGUAGCAUUUUUCAGAUCACAUGCGAUGGUGCUUUUUUCAAUCGUUGCUUGGAUUGCUUUCUUGGAAAAGCAGCGUACAUAAGCAACCUCCAAGAUAAUCUUGUAGCCUUGGAGACUAAAAUGGGAAAUCUGAUCGCAGCAAAGAACGAAGUGAUUAUGAGGGUUGUCGCUACUGAACGGCAACAAUUGAGAAGGCUGGACCGAGUGCAAGUGUGGGUUUCCAGGGUGGAAGCUGUUAAAAUUGAAGCUGAUGAACUUAUCAGAGACGGCUCUCAAGAAAUUGACAAAUUAUGUGUUGGAGGCUACUGUUCUACGAACUGCACGUCAAGCUACAAGUUCGGGAAACAAGUGGCUAAAAAGCUACGAGAUGUGGAGACUUUAAUCGCCGAAGGAGUUUUUGAGGUGGUGGCUGACAGAGCUCCAGAGUCUGUAGCAGAUGAAAGACCUACUGAGCGAACACUAGUAGGCUUGCAAUCACAACUUGAACAAGUCUGGAGAUGUCUUAUAGAAGAAUCAGCGGGAAUCAUUGGCCUAUAUGGUAUGGGCGGUGUUGGUAAAACUACACUAUUGAUCCAUAUCAACAAUAAAUUUCUCGAGAGUCGAACCAACUUUGAUUUUGUGAUUUGGGUAGUAGUUUCAAAAGACCCGCGACUCGAAAAAAUUCAAGAAGAUAUUGGGAAAAGGAUAGGUUUGGUUGAUGAUUCAUGGAAGAGUAAAAGUGUAGAGGAGAAAGCUCUCGACAUCUUCCGGAGUUUAAGAGAGAAGAGAAUUGUAUUGUUGUUAGAUGAUAUAUGGGAGCGGCUUGAUUUAACAAAAGUGGGCGUUCCACUUCCCGGACCAAAAAAUACUACCUCAAAAGUCGUAUUCACAACCCGUUUCUUCGAUGUUUGUGGUAGCAUGGAAGCUCACAGGACGUUCGAAGUGGCAUGCUUAUCAGAAAAGGAUGCUUGGGAACUGUUUCAAGAAAAAGUAGGAGAAGAAACUCUUAAGAGUGAUCAUGAUAUCGCUGAGCUAGCCCAAACCGUGGCCAAGAAGUGUGGUGGUUUGCCGCUCGCACUUGUUACUAUUGGUCGAGCUAUGGCCAGCAAAAAGACAGCCGAGGAGUGGAGACAUGCAAUUGAAGAGUUAGGAAGAUCAGCUUCAGAGUUUCCAGGUUUGGGAAAAGAGGUGUAUCCUGUUUUAAAAUUCAGUUAUGAUAGUUUGCCGAAUGAGACGAUUAGAUCUUGUUUCUUAUAUUGUUGUUUAUAUCCUGAAGAUUAUGGCAUUCUUAAAUGGGACUUGAUUGAUUGUUGGAUUGGUGAGGGAUUCUUAGAGGAAUCUAACAGGUUUGGUGCAGAAAACCGAGGAUACUACAUUGUGGGCACUCUUGUUCAUACGUGUUUACUAGAAGAGAUAGAAGAUGAUAAAGUAAAAAUGCAUGACGUUGUUCGUGAUAUGGCUCUAUGGAUAGCUUGUGAAACUGAGAAGGAGAAGAUAAACUUUUUGGUUUGUGCAGGUGCUGGAUUAAAGGAGGCACCGGAUGUUAAAGGAUGGGAAAAUGUGAGAAGAUUGUCAUUGAUGCAAAACCAAAUUAAAGUUCUGUCAGAGGUUCCUACAUGCCCUCAUCUCCUCACUUUAUUUCUUGACUUUAAUAGAGAGUUAAUGAUGAUCGCGGGUGGCUACUUCCAAUUUAUGCCUUCUCUCAAAGUUUUGAAGAUAUCAAACAUUGGGUAUUUCAACGUUUUGAAAUUACCUUUGGGGAUGUCAAAGUUGGGUUCACUAGAACUUCUCGAUAUUUCACAUAGCAGCAUAGAGGAGUUACCAGAAGAGUUAAAGUUGUUGGUAAAUCUGAAAUGUCUGAAUUUGAGGUGGACAGAUGUGUUAAAUAAAAUUCCACGGCAACUAAUAUCAAAUCUUUCAAGGGUACGUGUGUUGAGAAUGUUCGCUACUGGCUAUGAUCGUUUUCAUGAAGCAUCAGAAGACAGCGUUUUAUUUGGUGGGGGUGAAGUUUUGAUACAGGAAUUGCUCGGUUUGAAAUAUUUAGAGGUAUUGGAGUUGACCUUGGGAAGUUAUCAUGCUCUCCAAAUUCUUUUGAGCUCAAAUAAGUUAAAAAGUUGUAUUCGAUCUCUUCUCCUCUUCGGGUUCAGAGGUACAAAGUAUUUUAUUGAUGCUACGGCUUUCGCAGAUCUAAAGCACCUCAAUGAAUUACAGAUUCAUGAUUGUAGGGGGUUGGAAGAGUUGAAGAUUGAUUACACAGAGAUAGCACAAAAAAGGCGGGAACCUUUUGUUUUCCGCAGCCUUCGUCGUGUUACUAUGGUUUCGUGCCAUAAAUUGAAAGAUUUGACAUUCCUCGUUUUUGCUCCAAACCUCAAGUCUAUUUCGCUAGGCGAUUGCGAUGCUUUGGAAGAAAUAAUCAGCGUUGGAAAAUUUGCUGAGGUUCCUGAGAUGAUGGGACAUCUAAGCCCUUUCGAAAAUCUCCAAAAUCUUGACCUAUCGUAUUUGCUGGCUUUGAAGAGCAUCUACUGGAAGCCAUUGCCUUUCACUUAUCUGAAAGAAAUGGUGGUAAAUGGGUGUGAUCAACUUAAAAAGCUUCCACUCGAUUCCAGCUGUGCAGAAGAGCGUAAAUUUGUUAUUCGCGGAGAAGCACACUGGUGGAACUGCCUUGAAUGGGAGGAUGAAGCCACUCAAAUUGCUUUUCGUUCCUGUUUCCAGCCUUAUUCCUGAGUGGUGGUUGCAAAAUUUGAUUUCUGGUGUGGUCUUUUAUUCUCUGUUUUUAUUUAAGUUUCUUUUCCUUUCCUUUUCCUUUUUUUUUUUAAUUUCUCCUGCAAAUCACAAUUAAACAUUGAAUUAUAUGGAAUUAAUGCUUUAUAAAUUUGCCGGCACUGCCUUUUUUUUUUUUUGUCGGAGUGAUACUCUAGCUUUUGACUUUUGGUUGUCAAAUUCUGCUCUGCCUUUUUAAAUUGAUGCUUUAUUUAUAUUUUCUUAGUGAUUUAGUUUCCUGUCAAAAGACGAACGAGAAGAACAUUUGAAUUAAAUAAAUGCUCGCAAAUUUGCGGUAAAAAGAUGUAAUUAGCCGAGAAAAUAUUAAAUAUAGUAGCCCUCUUUACAGAAAAUCAAGUGGAAGUUAAUUCAGCAAGUUAUAUUCUUGAUUAAUUCCUUUUCUGAAGUUUUUAUUUUCUAUGGUCAAUUAUACCUUCAUACUAAAAAUUGCUGCUAUUGGGUGUUGAGUGUUAUGCUAAAAUUUUGCCCUAUUUUGGGCCAAUAUUUUAGAAGUGAAACAUACUUCAGAGUUGAAGUAAACUUUGAAAAUAGAGAUAAUGAUUAAUUUAGAAGAGAUGCAAGUAAAAGAUAUUCUAAAAAAAAAAAAGCAAUAUGUCCCUUUGGAGGGCAAACUUGUCAGUUUGAAAAAGUUACAUGCUUUGGAUUGAUAGUUGCAGGAUAUUUGUUUUGUCACUGUGUAUUAGGUGCGUUUGGAAUUGAAGUGUUGUAGUUUUUAAGUUAUAAUUGUUGUAAAAAAAAAUUGUAACUAUAAAACAAAAGUUAAUAAUAUAUAAUAAAUUUAAAUUUAAAUAAUAAUUUUAAUAAAAUUAUUAAAGAUAUAAUAGAUUAUUUAUUAUACAAGUGAAAAUUAUAUCAACAUAUCUUUCAAGUUACAAUAGUUAUUGAUUACUAAACACUUUACUGUUGUAACUUUUAAGUUAUAGCUAUUUAACCUCAAUUCCAAACGCAUCGGAGAAGUCACGCCUAGUGAAGAAUGUUAUGAAAGAGCAAAGGAUAUUCCUAAUCGAGCUCUAUUUGAUUAUGUAUCCAGUGAAUGGAUGUGUUGUUGGAAGAUAUUUGAGUGCAUUAGUUCAUUUGUGUCGGUCAAUGUGCUUUUAAUGAUUUUUCCACUUGUUUGUUGUAAAAGAUUAUUGUAAAUUGAAAUGAAUUGGAUGUUGUAAUAUUUUCUCUUUAGUGGAAUUUCACCUUGUAUGUAUUCAGUUGUGUUGUCUAAAAUUUUACAUUCGAAUAAGUUUUCACCUAAAAUAUUAGCAUGAGUUGUGGCCCUUGAAACUUUGGUCAAAAUUAUUGUUAUUAUUUCUUACUAGAUGUAAACUUUUUAUUAAACCUCGUUAACAUAAUUCUUAAUUAAAAGUAUAGGUUAGUGUCGGUGCAGAAUUUGCAACACCAAAUCCUGCCUAGGCAAGUGUCAAAAGUGCAAAAUAAAUGAAGAGAAAGCACGAAUACAUGAUUUAGAUUAGGAUAGAAGGAAACUUAAAUCCUAGAGAAAAGGAUAGCUAUAUCCCAAGAUUUAAAAAAAUAGUCAUGUAGAUUUUUAAGAUUUCAAUAAGCGACUAAGAUUUUCUUUUGACAAAUAAUUUCCUUUAGCUCUAUUAACAAAAAAAAUAAAGACUCAAAUAUUUUAUAAUAAAUAAAAUAUAAUAUUAAAAUAUAUGUGAUAAUAUAGAAAUUUUAAAUAAUUUCAAUCCAAAUAAAUAGUUAUGUUUUACAAGCUAUUAAACAUAUUUUAUUAAAUUAAUAUAAAUGUUUUAUAAAAUAGGAACAUAAUAUUAAAAUAAAUUUACAAAAUUUUUAAGAAUUUUGAAUGUAAAAUAAUUUUAAUAUAUUAAUACGUGAGAUUUUUUUAUUAUUAUAAAAAUUAUUUAACUUUAAGAUUUUUUAAAAUCCUUACAAUAAGUAUAAAUAUAUUAUUUACAUUUAAAAAUAUUUAAAUAUUAUUAACCUACAAUUAUAUUUGCAUUUAUUAGAAAAUUUUAAAGUCAAAUAUUUUGCACUUCUACAUUAUUAGAAUUAUUGAACACAAAGAAAGAAACAUAUAUGCUUUAUAGCUUUAGAAAUUGUUUUCUUUUACAUCUGGAAACAAAGAUGAUGAUUAUUAUAAGGAUAAAAAAUGGAUAAAGAAUAUUAAUGAUUAACGAAAUCUCUGUGCAAAUUGAUUUUAGUAGAAAAAGAGUGAGAUGAAUGAUUUCUUUUACAACUAGAAACAAAGAUGAUGAUUAUUAUAAGGAUGAAAAAAAGAUAAAGAAUAUUAAUUAUUAAUGGAAUCUCUAUGCAAAUUGAUUUUAGUAGAAAAAACGAGCUAAAUGAUUUAGACAUUCAUUCUGUGUUUAUUUUUGUGAUUAGCAUUAAAAAUUGUUUAAUUAUCAAACGAUAAUAAUGUUAUUUUGUACUUAUGUUAUAAUUUAUAUUUGUGUUUAUGUAAUAUAUUAGAAAUUAUUAAUUAUGUUUUAAAUAUAUCUAAUUUUGAGUAUAUUUGUGUGUUUAUUAGGAAAAAUAUUAAUUUUAGAUAAAUUGAGGCUCCAAACAAUUAAACGGAGGUCAAAUUUGGAUUCCGGAGGUUUGAAAACCUUAAGAUCAGUCAAGAUCGGCUUAAAAUUAGGUUUGUGUAAAAAGAGUUGACUUUUUCUGCUGACCGAGCACUGAUUGGAUGAUGAAAUGAGCUUACAAUAGAUAUGAGUGCAUGGGAUAACUGGCAAUUUUGACUAAAUCUCAACCGUUCAUGAUUCAAUGGCCAUGAUUGUGCCAUGUGGUAGUGGUUGAUGAAGCAAGUUGUAGGAUCUGAAUCUUUGUAUACGGGUCGACCUGAUCCGCCCAUUAACUCGCCAAAUCACAACCGUUCUUUGGCCAAAUCGGACGAGUCAAACGAUGCCACAUGUGAAGUUGACUUUUGAAGUUUGACCAGCCAUUGGAUCUUGAUCUAAAGGUUGUGAGAGCAUGAAGCUUAUGGAGCUUAUGAUGGACCGCAAAACACUGGAUUAUAAAUUUAUUUUUCUAUAAAUAGAGCCUCAUUUUUAUGUUUUUAAUUAUCUCUACAUCUCUCUUCUUCUCAAAUUCUCUCCAUCUCCCUGUAAUAUUUUGUAUAAUUAUUUUAUUAAAUAAAUUUAGUUUUAUUUUCAAUUUUAGUUGUUUUUAUUACUUUUAAUUAUAAGUAAUUAAAUUUUAAUAUUUCUUUUUAUUUCAAUUAUGCUUAACUAAAUAAUAUUAGUUGGGGUAAGGUGAAACUCUUAGGAAAUAAAUAUGAUUUAAUCAAAUUUUAUUUUUAAUUUUAUAAAUUAAAUUAUUUUCUAUUUAAUUUUAUACAUAUUUUAUAUUUUAAAAUUUUGAUUUAUUGUAGACAAACAAAUAAAUUUGGCACAAUAAAUUCUUAAGAUCUUAAUAUAAGGUAUGGUAAAAUGGUAUUUUGACUUAUUGUAGACAAAUUAAAUUUUGACACAAUAAAUACUUAAUCCAUCAUAAAAUUAGAGGGAAAAUAAUAAUAAUUUAUAUAAUUAAUCUUUUGGGCAAUAAAUUUAAAAAAAUAGCAAAAAGAAUUUAUUGAGUUUUAUUUACUACUAAGAGUGGAUCCACAAUCCUAACUAGAUCAAUUUCAUAAUUUCAUUUAAAUUAAGUUGUUUUUAUUCAAGUUUUUAUUUCAAUUUUUAGAUAAAAUAAAUUAAAUUAAUUAAAUCUUUUCUCUGUAGAUCGACCUCAGACUCACCGAGGACUGACCAAGGUAUAAUACAACAAGACACUCUUAUAAUUAAGAGUUUAAAAUUACUUUUAAGUUGUGUCAUUUUGGAUUGGUGAAUUAGAAUUAUUGACAACGCUAACUUCAUCUUCACAAUUUGCAAUCCAAUAGCAGCAAUUGUCACCGAUAAUGAUAUCUCCAAUGAUAAUGACGAUUUUAUUAUUAUUAUUGAUAAAAAGUAUUAUAAUUAAUUAAUAUAUUAAUGUUAAUAUUAUUAUUAUUAAGAUUAACAAUAAUUAUUAAUAAUAACAAUUUUUUGAAUAAAAAUAAUUACAAUAAUUUAAAUAUAAAUUAAUAAUUAUGACAAUAAUUAAUUAAUGUCUUUUUAAUAAUUUACUGAUUAUCACAGUUCAAGUAAACAAAUUAUUAUGAUUCCUAUUCUCCAUUUCCAUUUCAGCUCACUCCGAUUCCAAUCCAUUUCGACUUCUGCCUAAAAAACUCACCAUUAGUGCUAUAGUAAUAUUUCAUAUAGAGAAAAGUAAAAUCUACACCUAAGAUUAAGGUAAAGGACUUCAAAACUCUCUUUUGAUUAUAAUACCUUUUGUCCUAAUUAACUUAAAGAUUUUGAAUCUAAUAUUUUAUAAUAAAUAAAAAUAUAUUCCUAAAAUAAAUAUAAUAUCAAUAUUUAAAGUAUGUUUUAAUAUUUUACAAUCUAUCAGACACAUUUUAUUAUAUUAAAGUAAAUUUUAUAAUAAAUACAAACAUACUAUUAAAAUGAAUAUACAAAAAAGUUUAGAGUAUUUUGAAUAUUAUAUAAAAUAAUUUUAAUAUAAUGCGUGAGAUAUAUUUUAUUAAUUUAAAAUGCUAUUUUACCUAAAAAUUUAUUUAUGAUAAAUUAAUAAUUAUAUUUUUAAAAUUAUUUUAAAUAUUAUAAAAAAUUUAAUAUUAUUAGUGUUUUAGAUAGAUUAAAUUAUUUUAAAAUGCCUUAAUUGUUUUUACUUUUAACGUUACCGGCCUUUCUUAUAUUUUAUUGCAGCUAACAAGAAAAAGCCAGAUCAUAUUCCACAAAAGCAAAAGUGACAAAACAACCAGCUGGAUUCUUUUAUUAAACUACAAAUUAAAGGAUCCCAUUAUCUUACAACUAAUGUAAGAUACAUCCCUCACAUAAAUAGUAUAUAAACUCCACAUAUAUACUGUUCAUGUGAGGAAAUGUACCUUACAUUAAGAUAGUGUUUGCCCAAAUUAAAAUAGAUUUUUUCGAUGAACUACAAAUUAAAGUGGAUUCUUUUGAAUAUAGCUGGGGUUAGGGUAGGCUCUUUUAUUUAAGGCAAGUCUAGAGUAGUCAAAGACGAUUAGGCUCUUUUAUUAAACUACAAAUUGUAUAGUCUUUUUCAAAUUGUUCAGAUGCUUAUAAAUUAGUGGCCCCUUGUAAAUUUAACUGGAAGUGCCAAUCAGAGAAAAGUUCAAUUCUAAAUAAUUGUUCCGAUAUUUAUAAAUUGGUGGCCCCUACAAUCCUCAAUAAUUGUUCCGAUAUGUAUAAAUUGAUGGCCCCUACAAUCCUCAAUAAUUGUUCCUAUAUUUGUAAAUUGGUGGCCCCUUAGAAAUUUAACCGCAAGUCUGCAAGUGACAAUCGGAGAAAAGUCAUAAUUUACAAUCUUCCAAGGGAAGUAGGGAACCAGGGGAUAUACAAAGAUUAAGACAUGUCAUUCAUUUUUUUGGCUGCAUUCCCUUUCGUGUUCUUAAUAAUUGAAGACAGGUUGUUCAUUACAUGCUUACUUUUCAAAUGUGGAGCCGCAGCUAAUGUCGCUACUUUAAUUUGGGAUUAAAUUAGGGAAACAUUAUAUUGUAGUAUGCACUAACUUGAUGUUUAUCUAAACUCCUUAAAUUUAAGACAGAUUAUGGCAUAAAUAAGAAUAUAACGAUAACAAAAGAGUAUAUAAAAUAUUUAGAGUAUUUUGAAUAUUAUAUAAAAUAAUUUUAACAUAAUGCAUGAGAUAUAUUUUAUUAAUUUUAAAUGCUAUUUAACCUAAAGAUGUAUUUAUGAUAAAUUAAUGAUUAUAUUUUUGAAAUUAUUUCAAAUAUUAAAAAAUUAAUAUUAUAGACUAAAUUAUUUAUAUUAUUUUUUAUUUAUUAAAAAAUUUUUAAGUCAAUCUUUUUAAUUACUAUUCAAAGAAUAUAAUGAUUAAAAAAAUCUUUAUGCCUUCAUUAAAAAUUUAAAAAUUUACAUAACGAUUUCUAUAAAUAUUUAGGGUAUAUAUGAAGCACGGUGGAGAAGCUUUAUUUAAUAUUAUUGAUUUAAAUAAUAUCUCAAUUAAAAAUGUACAGAGAAGAAAUUUCGGUGGGUAUUUUAGUCUUUUCAGCAAUUAUCAUGACCAGAUCUGCCUUUGGCCUUGAAACGUCGGUCAGAAAAGUUUUAAAGUGCUUUAAUUGUUUUUAAGGCCGCUAAUAACUCUGCUCGUGCAAGUUGAGGAUAAAUGUUAAAUUAAUUACAAAAGCAAAAGGCUAAUUUAUUGAAGACAAGUAAAGCAGUCACGAAUGGUACAUGCCUAAUCUUUUCUAUAUUUACAGAAACACAAUUUUUUUUCAAUCCGCCGCAGCUUCUGUUAAAAUUAUCUUGGUUUCUCGUAGUUGAUUUCUAUUAUCCCAAAAAAAAAAAAAAGGUAACUGUUGAUGCCGAAAAAUGAUUUCAACAGCUGAAUUUAUUUUUUUUGGAGAAUUACAGUGUGAAUCCAAGCUCAAACGCAAGUCUGAUCGCAACUUUCUAUAUCUGCUAAUCAGAAAACACAGUUAGGAUACGCCGGUGGGGUUUCGGCUAGACCUUCCGAUACUUAAGUCAGAAAUUAUGUAUAAAAGGAGAAAAAUGAGAAUGAAGAAUUAUGAAUGAGUUAAAGUCAAGUAAUUUUCCGGUAGAGGGGUUGAAAAUCUUGUAGAAGCUUUGGUUGAUUUUGCUAACCCCUUCACCUGAUGCGCUCUUCAGUUUAAAUAGACUCUUGGUCGUGUACGGUUACCUCCUUAACUUCAGAAGUUGCAAGUGGUUGUCAGUUGGAGGUGGUUUAAAUAGAUCGUGGCACACAACUUCCUUAUAAAUUAGGCCACGUUCUCUUAACUAGCAAUUUUCCAUGUCAAGCUAAUUCUCAGGUCGGACAAGAGAAUUUCAAGGUCGGAUUACUUCACUUUCAGAUUAGACAGAUGAAUUUCUCAGUCGCUCAUAUAACGUUAAGGUUGUAUUCUUAAACUAAGUCAUUCACAUAGAUCUUAGGUCGUACUUAUAAACCAGGUCGCCAACAUAGGCUCCAGGUUGUACUUAUGAGGUUAGCUCAACAACAAUAAGUUUUGAGUAGAUUAGGAUCGACUAUAUUUUGAGACACUACCAGAAAAAUCCAACCCAAACACCAGUCCCCUAAUUUUCAAUACUGGAAAGUCAUUGCCAGUGUUGGAAACUAAUGGAAAACAUUUCUCAAAACCCAAUACCAGUCCCCUAGUUUUCAAUACUGAGAAGAUAUGAACGGUAUUGGAAACUAAAAUAAUUAAGAAAGAGCAAUAUAGCCACAAGCAAAAGAAAGACGGUGUAGAGCGGAACAAUGAGCAAAGAGAAGAGUAAAAAGAAAACUUCAGGUGUGGACCAAGAAAAUAACCAUGACCAAAUGCCUCGAGGUGAUAGAGUCGGGGUUGAGGGUGAGGUCUUCCUAACUAGUAGGGUUGUUGAAGACCAAGAGAGAACUUCCUAAAUUUAAUUAUUACAAUGCUUGCCCUUUUUUGCAAUAUGAACUUGUGUAGACCGUAUGCUACUGAACUUUAUUUUGCCUUUGUAAUCGGAUAAUUAUUAUGCUGACCUUGCCUUUUUUACUCUUUAUUUACUAGGGUUGGUUAUGAAUUGCAUUCCGUAGACUGAGCCCAUUUAAGACUCUGUUGAGGUCAAACAAAUAGAUAUGGUCAACUUUGGUAGCAAUAACACCAAGCAAUGACCUUGAAUUCACCAAGAUUCUAUCAUUUCGAUAUCAAUCUUGAUAAGGAAAAUGUUGACCUCACGAAAAUAUCAACUUCAACAAGAUAAAUUGUUGACCUCAACAAGAUAAAUUGUUGACCUCAACAAGAUAAAUUGUUGACCUCAACAAGGUUAAGUGUAGAGCUAAAAUGCCAACCUCACGACAAGGAAAAUGUUGACCUCACGAUAAGGAAAAUGUUGACCUCACGAAAAUGUCAACCUUAACAAAAUAGAUUGUCGACCUCAACAAGGUUAAGUGUAGAGCUAAAAUGCUGAACUCACGAUCUCACGACAAGGAAAAUGUCAACCUCACGAAAAUGUCAACCUCAACAAGAUAGAGUGUUGAACGCAAUAAGGUUAAAAUGUAAAGCUAAAAUGCCGACCUAAAAAAAAAUUGAAAAUUGGAGAACUUAAAUGUUAAGCUUAUGAUCAACCUCAACAAGGCAAUGACUGACCUCAAUAAAAUUGAAAAUUGGGCAACGACCUCAACAAGGCAAUGGCCGACCUCAACAAGGCAAUGGCCGACCUUAAAAAAAAUUAAAAAUUGUAGAACUUAAAUGUUAAGCUUAUGGCCGACCUCAACAAAAUUGAACAUUGUAGAACGUAAAUGUUAAGGCUAUGGCCAAACUCCACGAGGCAAUGACCAACCGCAAUAAAUAGAAAAUUGUAGAUUUUAACUUAUGGCCGACCUCAAUAAGGUAAUGGUCGACCUCAACAAAAUUAAACAUUGUAGAACGUAAAUGUUAAGGCUAUGGGCAAACUCCAUGAGGCAAUGACAAACCUCAAUAAAUAGAAAAUUGUAGAAUUUAGCUUAUGGCUGACCUCAAUCAGGCAAUAGCCGACCUCAACAAAAUUGAACAUUGUAGAACGUAAAUGUUAAGGCUAUGGCCAAACUCCACGAGGCAAUGAGCAACUUCAAUAAAUAGAAAAUUGUAGAACUUAGUUUAUGGCUUACCUCAAUAAGAAAAUGGUCGACCUAAAUAAAGUAAAGGCGAAUUUCGAUAAAAUUGAAAAAUGUAGAUCUCAACAAGAUAAAAGUUAAGGCUAUCUAACCACAAGGUAAUAGCUGUCUUCAAUCUCAAAAAGGCCGAAUUACAAUUAGACCUCAACAAGGUCAAAAUGACAAUCUCGAUCUCAAUAAGAUUUGAUAAAUUUUUCAGGUAGGACCUCAACAAGGCAGCAAUGUCGAUCUCAAUCUCAAUAAGAUUGGAUGAAUUUUUCAGGUAGAAUCUCCACAAAGCCGAAAUGCCGAUCUCAAUCUCAAUAAGAUUGGAUAAAAUUUUCAGGUAGGACUUAAAUAAGGCCGCAAUGUCGAUCUCAAUCUCAAUAAGAUUGAAUGAAUUUUUUUCAUGUCAGACCUCAGUAAAGUCGUCAUGUCGAUCUCAAUCUCAAUAAGAUUAGAUAAAUCUUUUCACGUUGGACCUCAAUACGGUCCAAAAAUGCCGAUCUCAAUCUCAAUAAGAUUGGAUAAAAUUUUCAGGUAGGACCUCAACAAAGCUGCAAUGUCGAUCUCAAUCUCAAUAAGAUUGGAUGAAUUUUUUCACGUUGGACCUCAGCAAGGCCGCCAUGUCGAUCUCAAUCUCAAUAAUAUUGGAUAAAUCUUUUCAUGUUGGACCUCAAUACGGUCCAAAAAUGCCGAUCUCAAUCUCAAUAAGAUUGGGUAACUUUUUCAUGUUGGACCUCAAUAAGGUCACAAAGUUGAUAUCAAUCUCAAUAAGAUUGAAUAAAUAUUUUCACGUUGGACCUCAAUACGGUCCAAAAAUGCUGAUCUCGAUCUCAAUCUCAAUAAGAUUGGGUAAUUUUUUCACGUUGGACCUCAACAAGGUUGCAAUAUCGAUAUCAAUCUCAAUAAGAUUGGAUAAAUUUUUUCACGUUGGACCUCAAUAAGGUCCAAAAAUGCCAAUCUCAAUCUCAAUCAGUCUGGAUAAAUUUAUUUCAUAUUGGACCUCAAUCAAGUCCAAGUGUCGAUCUCGAUCUCAAAUAAGACCGGUCACAAGUAGAUAAGAAAUAAAGUUGCACUUUUAAAUAACCUCAUUGAUACUAAUAUAACAGAAGUUAUAGAAUUGAACGCAUAACAAAUUGAAAUAACAAAGAAACAAACUUUCUUAGCAUAUUUAAAGAAAAUAAACAAACAAUAUUUAAAGAAAAUAAACAAACAAGGACAUCAUAAAUAAGAUAUAUCUUAACUGAUAGUAUUUUCGCAGGUGCUCUGCAUUCCAUGCCUUGCCAACGACCCUGCCAUCCUGAUAACUUAAUUUAUAUGCCCCAUUAUCAAAUUAGGGUAGCACUUUAUAUGGUCCUUCCCAGCUCGGCCCUAGAACUCCAUCAAUAAAUCUGAAGCUCAUUGGAGAUGUCAUCCAUCAUUUUUGUUCCCACUCUUACCACCCUGCUCGGAUCAACCUCACUUAUCGGCAUGUUUCAUUUCUUCAUUAGGUCACUGUUGGCACAAUCUAUUCUCAGCUCGUGGGUCGAUACUCGUGAUCUGCAUGGAUUCUCUUGCAGCUGUAGCGUAACAACUUCGAGCUAUUUGUUGCUGGCCCCUCAUCACUCCAACCCCAUAUUGAACUCUAAACUUCACACGUUGCAUGUGGGUUGAGCUCACGGCUCUUACUAUCCUAUUGAAAGGUCUACCCAAAAUAAAUUGAUAAGGGUUGGGCUCAUCAACUACCACCCAUGUCACCAUCACUGUCUUUUGUAGUGGGUUGGACUUUAUUAUCAGUGGCAAGUCAAUCAUCCCAAGGGGAAUCAACUCAGCUCCGCCAAACCCUUUUAGUGAUGUUCUGACGGGAUCAAGCCUAAGGUCCCCUAUUUGUAGAUCUUCCAGGGUUUGCUUAAACAAAAUGUCGACUGAGCUUCCUCCAUAUAUAAGAGCUCGGUUCAAAUCCUGCCCUACCAAGGUAACCUUCACUAUGAGCGCAUCCUCAUGUGGAUGUGCGACCGCUUCCUCGUCCUCGUCUGUGAACAUGAUCGGCACCCUUUGAACCCGUUGCUUCUUUGGUAUUGAAACAUUAAAAUUCAACUUAUAACUUUCUAAUGACUAUCUACUAUAAUUUCUCCUUGAACGAUUUGAGUCUCCUACUAGGGUCGGCCCUCCCAUAAUCAUCAUCGCUACAUUAUCUCUGAUGUCUCCUCUUCUCCCACCUAUUCCUUGGUCAUUCACAUACUCCUUUAGAUAUUGAUUUUGCACUAGCCACAAAAUCUGUUCUUUCAAGUCUAUGUAAUCUGCAGUUCCAUGUCCGAACACAAUGUGAAACUCGCAAUACUUGUGGUGAGCACUUCUGCCCAGACUUCUUACAAUUGGCUUUGGCGGUUUAAGUAGCCCCUUCUUUUCUACUACAACAUAUAUUUCCGCUCUGCUUUUGUUCGAUGGUGUGUAUCUUCCACUCUACUCUAAUAAGUUCACCCCAUGGUCAGAUCUCGAUACUCUCUGUUCUAUAGGCAGUGGCAACCUAUUGUAGUCUCUUGCUCGGUUCUCCCUUUAGUUCAUCUCAUAAUUAUUUCCUCUAUCUCGGCCCCAUCCCAUUAAUGAGAUUUAUCUCAUUUCACGAUUUCUUUCCCAAUCUCGACCCGACCUUUCUGGUCAUCUGUAAUUGAACAACUCUCCGCCGUAAUGACGUCUAUCAUCCGAGUUCCUCCUCGAGCUAUACUCGAGGUUAUCACUUGACCCUCUCUCUGCUCUUCCAUUCUCCUAUUUUCUUCCUCUGCAUCUUCAGUUUUCAUAUCUAAUUUUGUCUAGUCGUACGCCUCAGCGUAUGUUGUUAUCCCCUUGUUAUAUAAGCUAUUCCAUAAUCGAUUGAUUCUCAACUCCUUCUUUAAUCCCUCUAGAACAUCUGGAAGAUCAAAGGCCCCUAGAUCGGUAACCUCUCUAUGAUACCUGGUCACAAAACUCGUCAAACUUUCAAAUUCUCCUUGGACCAAUUUUGUCAAGCUGCUCAUAUCCUGCUCUGAUAUGCAUGAACCUCUAAAAUGCAUAGCGGAAAGCACACAUAACUCCUUGAAAUUUCCUAUGCUUCUAUUCUUUAAUCUCCGGUACCAUUCCCAUGCUUGUCCAUCUAGAGUUAAGGGAAAAAUACGGCACCUUUGAAAAUCAUUCAAACCUUGAAUUACAGUCAUCUCAUUAAACUUCUCCACAUGAUGAUUUGGGUCAGUUUUUCCUUCAUACACCAAGACUUGAACCACAUACUUGGGUGGCAAAGUUACUGCCAUCACUUCAGGUACCAAGGGGGACUCGUCAUCGAGUAACAGCCUUCCUACCACUUUCUUGCCCUCUGUUUUCGCCUCUAAUACCUCUAAGGUUUUUUGAAAUUGCAGCAUUCGUUGCUCAAGCUCAUUUGCCCGUUGGGGUCUCUCAGCUCUUCCCUCUCUCUUUCUUGAUUCAAGUCAUUGAUUCUCCCCCUCAACUCAUUCACUUGUUCUCCUGCACUUCUAUUCUUUUGUCGUACCCCAACUUGUGGUAGUCCCAUUCCGCUCUGCUGUUCACCAUCAAGCUCUUCCCUCUCUCGCGCUCCACUACAUUUUGGAUCACUAGCUCGAACGUGAGCCUCUCUGACUUGGGCAUCAACCAGCCCCCGAUCAUCUUCUCAAAUCUCGCCAUUUGCCUCUCAAUCCCUUCUCUCCAUCUCUUAUCUGCCGUGGCAUUCAUUUCCUCAGCCAAUUGGCGCAAGGUCUACGUAUCUUCAUCCUUAUCAUCUAUCACUAUUUUGUAAUCCGAUAGCUUCUCCUUCUAAAUCUUCAAACGUAUGGCUUUUCGCACUGAUCCCCACAGAUAGCGUCAAGAUGUUGAUGCUGAAAAACGACAUGAACAGCUGAAUUUGUUUCUUUUGGGGAAUUACAAUGUGAAUUUAAGCUCAAACGCAAGUCUGAACGCAACUUUCUAUAUCUACCAACCAGAAAACACAGUUAGGAUAUGCCGGUGGGGUUCCGGCGCAGACCCUCCGAUGCUUAAGUCAAAUUAUGUAUAAAAGGAGAAAAAUAAGAAUGAAGAAUUAUGAAUGAGUUAAAGUCAAGUAAUUUUCCAGUAGAGGGGCUAAAAAUCUUGUAGAAGCUUCAGUGAAUUUUGCUAACCCCUUCACCUGAUGCGCUCUUCAAUUUAAAUAGACUCUUGGUCAUGUACGGUUACCUCCUUAACUUCAGCCCGCUUUCUUCAGUAGUUGCAAGUGGUUGUCAGUUGGAGGUGGUUUAAAUAGAUCGUGGCACACAACUUCCUUAUAAAUUAGGCCACGUUCUCUUAACUAGCAAUUUUUCAUGUCAAGCUAAUUCAUUGGUCGGACAAGAGAAUUUCAAGGUCGGAUUACUUCACUUUCAUAUCAGACAGAUGAAUUUGUUAGUCGCUCAUAUAGCGUUGGGGUUGUAUUAUUAAACUAAGUCAUUCACAUAGAUCUUAGGUCGUACUUGUAAACCAAGUCGCCAACAUAGGCUUCAGGUUGUACUUAUGAGGUCAACUCAACAACAAUAAGUUUUGAGUAAAUUAGUAUCGACUAUAUUUUGAGACACUACAAAAAAAAUCCAACCCAAACAGUAACAUUUUGCAAAUCUCAAUCGACGGUGCUAUUUUCAAUCGUUGCCUGGAUUGCUUUCUUGGAAAAGCAGCAUCUAUAAGAAACCUGCAAAAAAAUGUUGUAGCCUUGGAGACUGAAUUGGGAAAACUAAUCGAAGCAAAGAACGAUGUGGUGGCGAGGGUCGUCAACGCUGAAAGGCAACAAACGAUGACAAGGCUGAACAAAGUUCAAGGCUGGCUUUCGAGGGUGGACGCUGUUAAAGCUGAAGCUGAUGAAUUGAUAAGACAUGGCCCUCAAGAAAUUGAGAAACUAUAACUUAGAGGCUACUGUUCCAAGAACUGCAAGUCAAGCUAAAAGUUUGGCAAAAAAGUGGCUAAAAAGCUAAGAGACGCCGGGACUUUAAUGGCCAAUGGAGCAUUUGAAGUGGUAGCUGAGAGAGCUCCAGAAUCAGUAGCGGAUGAAAGGCCUAUCGAGCCCACAGUAGUAGGCCUGCAAUUGCAACUCGAGCAUGUUUGGAGAUGUCUUGAAGGAGAAUCAGUCGGAAUUGUUGGCCUAUACGGCAUGGGCGGUGUCGGUAAAACUACACUAUUGACCCAUAUCAACAACAAAUUUCUUGAGAGUCCAACUAAUUUUAAUUAUGUGAUAUGGGUCGUAAUGUCAAAAGACUCGCGACUUGAAAACAUUCAAGAAACUAUCGGGGAGUAGAUUGGUUUGUAAAAAUUUGCCAAUUUACACAGCAAACAAUUUCCACCCAAUUAAUGUUUUUUAGAAAAUUGUAAAAAUUUGGAGUUAUGAAAAUAGAAACUAUAUAAUAAGAAGAAAUAAUUUAAGAUUUUAAGAUUUAUAUAUAUUUUAUAAAUAAAACAUUAAAAGAGAUGCUUGUUAUUACGAUGAAAUUUUAUGAGUAAGAUGAUUAACUUUAAUAUAUGAGUUUGUAUUUUAUAAAUUAAUCAGAGGUAUUUUAGAAAAUAAAUUCAAAAUGGGAGUUAUAAGAGUUUUAGAGUGGUGUUAAAAGCUCAACUCUUUUGAAUUUUACUGCCCAAUUAUAUAGUACAUUAGCGUGAUUGUUAUGUAUUCAUUUUUUUCAGAUACAACAAACGAGCUGCGUAGUGCUCAAAUAACAAAAAUUAAUAAUUUCACACACCCAUAUACAUAUAUGUAUACAUAUAGAUACAUAUUAUAUUUAAUUAAGCAAAAGAAAGAACCCCCUGUACGACGCCAGUGAGAAGAGAGAGAGAGAGAGAGAGAGGAAGAGAGCUUUUUGUGUUAUAUUUCAUAAUUUUUAUUUAAUUAAAAAUAUUUGUAGUUUGGAUUUGGGCGCCCCAAAGAAUUUCUAAAUCAAAACCUUAAUUUUUAUUAGGUCUUGAGCCUAUUCUCGAAAUAGAUCCUAUUAUAUUCUUAGGUGGUGUUUGGUUUUAAGAAAAUGGAAGAGAGGAGAGGUGAAAAAAGAAGAUGAACGGAGAGGUGAUGAGAGGAAAAGAGUGUAAAAAUUAAUUGUUAUUGUUUGGUUUCACAUUAAAUUUGAAAGGAAAAGAAAUUACAUAUUUUUUAUUUGGACGAAUAUACCCACUAUUUUAAUGCUAAUAUUGUUAAUAAAUUAAAAAAUAAUAAAACUAUGAAUUAAUUUAAUCUAGAAAUUACCUAAUUAAAUUAAAAAAUUAUUUUUUAAAAAAAUACAGCAUUUGGCCAUGGACAGCCUCCACGUUGACCACCGUUGACUGGCGAAUUUGACUGUCGUUGACCGUCAUUUUUCAUCGCGUUAAAUGCAUAAUAAUAAUAAGAAAUGAAUGAUUUAUUCAUUGGAAGUGUUAAUUUUGCAGAAAAUACACUAUAUAGUAGGAAAUAUGAGAGUUAAAAUUUUCCCAAGCAUUUAAACAAGACUUGAGGUAAAUAACAAUGUAUAUUAGCAUUUUUAAUCUCAUAGCAUUGUAGAUGGACUCAUGAGGAUUCCAUUGAUACCGGUUUUGAUGAAAAAGUGCGUCUCCGGCGAAACUCCGACGAGUCACUUUACUGUUUUUUCUUUUUUCAAAUAAGUUUAUCCUAUUAAUUUAAGAAAAUAAAUAUAAAUUAUUUGUACUUUAAUUUAUUUAACAUUGAUUUUGUUUAGAGGAUAAUAUUGGAAUUUUUGUGUUUAAAUAGAUAAGAAAUUUAAAAUCUUUAGUCAUUGAUAAGAAAUACAAAUUCUUCAAAUUGAUGGAAAUUCAAUUCCAUUAAACUUGGUCCAAGUAGAAAAGAAAUCAAUUUUUUUUGGCUCUCCCCACUUCCCUACCCCUAAGCAAACAUGGCCUUAUGGUUUUUGAGAACUCAUACCAAAUUCAAAUUAAUCAGGAGCCCACGGGUCCCGGGGCUCGCGGGAAAGUUGCCAUCCCUACCUUCAUCUGACGGAAAGUCCCUACAAACAAAUGUUUCUUUAUUUAUUUAUUUUUAUAAAAGAAAUUUCAGUUUGAAUGUCUUUUGGACGUUUCCAAUUGUCAUGAUUAGCCCUUGAACCUUUGGUCAAAAAAGUAUUAUCACGCGUUGAUUGUUUGUAUCGCAAAUGCUAGUGGCAUUUGAAAGUUGAUAUAAUUAAUUACAAUCUACAAAUGUUUAACAAAAAAGUGGGAUGGAUAUGGCACAAAAGUAAAGCAAGCAGGAUUCGUUGAAAAAGCUAUUUUGACACCUACUUCGGUUAUAAAAUUUUCAAAAAAAAAAAAAAAUUUUGAUUAAAAGUAAAUUGUAUAGGUUCAACUACCGUGCACUUGGUGCAUGGGACAUGUAUUUUGUCUAUAUAUAAGUUACCCGUCAGAUAUAACAUAGAACUUGCUUCAACGGCAUAGAUGUAUUCUCUUUAGUUUUUAACAUUGACAUCUAUGUUGUUUUUCAAAAAAGAAAAAUAGUGAAAGGUUUGACACAUAAUUUUAGAUUAUUUUUAAAUUUUAUAUUUUAAUCAAUUGAUUUAAUUUACUGUUAAAAUUAAUGACAGUAUAAGCGUAAUAACUUGAAAAAACUUUUUAAUACAUAAUUUUUUUUAUUUUUUGAAAAUAAUAUAAUAUCAAUUUAAUCUAUAAUAAAUAAUUUUAACAUAUAAUUAAAUUUUAAUUUAUCAAUAAUAAUAUGACCAAAUGACAAUGUUAAAGAAUUUCAUUAUAAUCAACUAUGAUUUAGUAUUCAAAUAUAAAUAAUAGAAAUAUACUCUAAGUGUAAAUAAUAGAAAUAUAUCAAACUUAUAUGUUAAAAUUUCAAAACUUUUAAUUUUUUCACUUUUCAGCAAACAAGAGGGAGUAAUUUACCAAAAACAAGGGGUAUCGUACACCUGGGGCACCAUAGCUUCCUCCAAAUUGUAUAAAAAAUAGAAAUAUUUUUAGUCUCCAAAUUGUAUAAAAAAGUAAAAAUAUUUUGACUAAAAGUAAAUUGUGCGUAACUACUUUAAUAUUUUAUUUCUUUCAUAACUUUAUCAAAAUCUUGUCAUCAAAUAUUUUAUCAAUGUAACGCUGUAAACAGCAAAUUAAAGUUUAAUUAUUUAAUUACAACUGGCAAAAGAGACGUUUAAUUAUUUAAUUACAAGCGGGAUAGUCUCUUUUGUUGAAGGAAAUUAAAGUUUAGUUAUUUAAAUCGAGCACGCGUAAUCUUUUCAAGCACAAACAAAAGAGAUCAUAAUUCAAAGUUGAUGUUCUCUUCACAGCAGCUUCUAUUCAUCGAACUCCAUCGUUAAAAUUUCCUUGGUUUUUCCUGGUUGAAUUCUCAUCCAAAAUAUGGGUAACAUUUUCCAAAUCACAUGCGACGGCGCUCUCUUUAACCGUUGCCUGGAUUGCUUUCUUGGAAAAGCAGCAUAUAUAAAAAACCUCAAACAAAAUCUUGCAGACUUGGAGACUGAAUUGGGAAAACUAAUCGACGCAAAGGAAGAUGUGAUGAGGGAGGUCAACGCUGCUGAAAGGCACCCAAUGAUGAAAAGGCUGACCAAAGUUGAAGGCUGGCUUUCGAGGGUCGAAGCUGCUAAAUCCGACGGUGACAAAUUGAUAGCAUUUGGCUCUCAAGAAAUUAAGAAACUAUGUCUUGGAGGCUACUGUUCCAAGAACUGCAAGUCAAGCUACGAGUUUGGCAAACAAGUGGCUAGAAAGCUAGGAGAUGUCAAGACUUUAAUGGCUGAAGAAGCUUUUGAAAAGGUAGCUGAGGAAGUACAACCACCUUUGGUAGAUGAGAGACCCACCGAGCCAACCGUAGUAGGCUUCCAAUCACAAUUUGAACAAGUCUGCAAAUGUCUUGAAGAAGAAUCAGUCAGAAUUGUUGGCCUAUACGGCAUGGGCGGUGUCGGUAAAACCACACUAUUGACUCAUAUCCACAAUAACUUUCUUCAGAGUCCAACUUUUAAUUGUGUGAUAUGGGUCCUAGUGUCAAAAGAUCUGCGACUUGAAAACAUUCAAGAAACUAUCGGGGAUCUGCGACUUGAAAACAUUCAAGAAACUAUCGGGGAGCAGAUUGGUUUGUUAAACGAUACAUGGAAAAAUAAACGAAUUGAACAGAAAGCUCAAGACAUCUUCAGGAUUUUGAAGGAGAAGAAGUUUUUGCUGUUGCUAGAUGACUUAUGGCAGCGGGUUGAUUUAACAAAAGUGGGCGUCCCUCUUCCUGGCCCGCAAAAUAAUGCAUCCAAAGUGGUAUUCACAACCCGUUCCGAAGAAGUUUGUGGUUUGAUGGGAGCUCACACGAGGUUUAAAGUGGCGUGCCUGUCAAAUAUCGAUGCUUGGGAAUUGUUUCGGCAGAACGUUGGAGAAGAAACUCUGAACAGUGAUCCCGAUAUUCUUCAACUCGCCCAAGCAGCAGCCAGAGAGUGUGAUGGUUUGCCACUAGCACUUAUUACCAUUGGCCGAGCUAUGGCUUGCAAGAAGACACCUGACGAAUGGAUUUACGAUAUUGAGGUGCUAAGAACAUCAAGUUCUCAGUUCCCAGGUUUGGGAAAUGAGGUUUAUCCUCUUUUAAAAUUCAGUUACGAUAGAUUGCCGAGUGACACAAUUAAAUCAUGUCUCUUAUAUUGUAGUUUAUAUCCAGAAGAUUAUUGCAUUUCUAAAGAGAAAUUGAUAGACUGUUGGAUCGGCGAGGGAUUUUUGACAGAAAGGGACAGGAUUGGAGAACAAAAAGAAGGAUACCAUAUUCUGGGCAUUCUUCUUCAUGCCUGCUUACUGGAAGAGGGAGGAGACGGUGAAGUAAAAAUGCACGACGUGAUUCGAGAUAUGGCAAUAUGGAUAGCAUGCGACAUUGAAAAGGAGAAGGAGAAUUUUUUUGUUAAUGCUGGCGUUGGAUUAGUUGAAGCACCCGAUGUCACAGGAUGGGAAAAGGCGAGGAGAUUGUCACUGAUGCACAAUCAAAUUACGAAUCUAUCAGAGAUUCCUACAUGUCCUCAUCUCCUUACUUUUUUCCUUAACAAAAAUAGGUUUCAGAUGAUCCCCAAUGACUUCUUCCAAUUUAUGCCCUCCCUCAAAGUUUUAAAUCUGUCAUACAGCAAACUAACCAGCUUACCAUUGGGGAUUUCAAAGUUGGUUUCACUGCAACAUCUUGACCUGUCAGAAUCCGACAUAGAAGAGUUGCCAGGAGAGUUAAAGGCAUUGGUAAAUCUUAAAUGUUUGGAUUUGGAAUAUACAGGGAAUUUAAUUACAAUUCCACGUCAACUAAUAUCUAAUCUUUCAAGGUUACAUGUGUUGAGAAUGUUUGGUGCUGGUCAUAAUGCCUUUGAUGAAGCAUCAAAAGACAGCAGUUUAUUUGGUGGGGGUGAAUUCAUAGUAGAGGAACUGCUUGGUUUGAAAUCUUUAGAGGUGAUUAGCUUCACCUUGAGAAGUUCUCAUGGUCUCCAAAUGAUUUUGAGCUCGGAUCAGUUACGAAGUUGCACUCGAGCACUCUCAUUCCAAUGCUUCAACGAUUCGACAUCGCUUGAAGUUUCAGCUUUGGCAGAUCUGAAGCAACUUAAAAUGUUGCGGAUUGCAAGGAGUGAAAUAUUGGAGGAAUUAAAGAUGGAUUGUGCAGGGGAAGUUCGACAGUUUGUUUUCCAUAGUCUCAAUAAGGUUGAAAUAUACGGUUGCAGUAAAUUGAAGGACUUGACAUUCCUUGUUUUCGCUCCAAACCUCAAGUCUAUUAAAGUAACAGGUUCCCAUGCUAUGGAAGCAAUCAUAAGUGUGGGUAAAUUUGCAGAAGUUCCAGAGGUAAUGGCAAAUUUAAACCCAUUUGCAAAACUCCAAAAUCUUGAAGUAAUUGGUGCGAUAAAUUUGAAGAGCAUUUACUGGAAGCCCCUGCGCUUCCCACAUCUGAAAACAAUGAGUUUCUUUCAUUGCAACAAGCUUAAAAUGCUUCCACUUGAUUCCAAUAGUGCAAGAGAGCAUAGCAUUGUUAUUCGUGGAGACAGAAUGUGGUGGGCACAGCUUCAAUGGGAGGAUGAAGCCACUCGAAAUGCUUUUCUUCCCUGUUUCAAAUCUUGAGCAGAGAUCACAUUUGAAUAAUUUCUGGUGCGUGCUUUUUCUUACAUUAUUCUUCUUGUUAAUUUCCUUCAUGCAGACAUCUGCACCUAAUAACUCGUUACUUCAAAUAUUCUCUAAAUUAUUUGAGGGUACUCGCCCCUGCACAUAAUGUAUAUUUAUAUCUAAUUAAAUUUUUUAAAAAGUCAAUAUUAUAUUUUUUAUGUCAUUAAAUAAAGUCUUGUUAUUUUAUCGAAUUAUAUUCAACUUGAAAAUAGUUCUAGCUUUUAGAUAUAAGUUAUGUAAGUACAAGUUCAAAGUGUAUCAGCAUUAAAUUACUCAUAUUCAAUCAUUUAUAAUCUGAUGUUGAAAAAAAAAUGUCAUUCAAUCAUAUGCAUUUAACUAAAUUCAAAUAUAAUCUAAAUUCAGAUACGUUAAAAUUAUUUGGGAAAAAAAAGCGCCACAACUCUAUAUUGUUUAUUGAGUAAACCAGAUAUUAACUCUAUCAUGAACGUAAUAGCCUCCAGCAUUUUUUAUUAUCUGUUCAAACCAUAUUUUAUUAUUUUAAUUUAUUUAUAUUCAUUGCAUUUCAAUUAGGUCAUGUUUUCUUUUGUUUUCUGUUUUAUAUUCUUUGAUCAUUUUGGCAACAUGGAGUACUAUGAUUAAUCAUUUUGUACUGGUCUCAAAUUUCAGUCGGAUUAUCUGCGGAAAAUAUCUCUGAAGAUGCUUUCAAUGGAGUCCAGUACUCAGAAUGCGAUGCCUAAUCCUUUGCAAUCCAACAAUGCUAGCAGGAGCAACGAACCCCCUCAUCCAGGUAGUGACGUGGAAUAGUAAAUGCAGCUUCACUUUCAAUUUGUCUCUGAAACCGCUCCCUAUAAUCAAUCCUAGCAUUCUUAUGUGUUCUUAACUUCUGCAGCCUGAAUAUUUCUUCCUCGACAAUCAAAGUCAUAACAGUAUGAUUGGCUGGAGUAGCUUUCCUCCAGACCCCUCAUUAUAGUUAUAAAUAAUUCCGAUAUUUGAUAUCAUGAUCGGGGAUUUCAGAGCUUAGAAAAUAUGAUUUGUACCCAUAUGUGUCUGAUCAUGAGAAGUUUGAAAAUAUACAUCAAAAACUGUAUGGAUUGGAAAAAUAUAAUCUUAUUAUGGUGUGUUAAAUCGUCAUUUGAUGAACGGAUUUGGGAUACAUUAUAAUAUGAUGUCAUUAUUAAUUAGGGUGUGUUUUUGGAAGUGCUUAAUUAUAUUCGUUUAAUGUGUAUUUCUUUUAUCACUUUUGAAAAGAAUUCUUAAAUAUUUAAAUAUUUCAAUGUUUAUAUCUUAACUUCAAAUAUAAUAAAAUAAAAUAAAAUAACUGUUCUCCAAUAUGAGGGUCCGAACUAAGGGUCUACGUCAAUAACAUGAAAUAUAAUAAUUUUUGUAAAUUUUUCUUAAAUUCAAAAUAAAUUUUGUUACUGAUUCAAAUGUUUAACAAAAUGUGGCAGCUUAUCUGUAAUUGCCACAUCAAUUGAGAUUCAAAUUACUACUCAAAUCCUGAAAUUCCUAAAGGUCCCUAACAUUAAUAUUUUAUUAAGUCAAUAUUGAAGUUGAACUAUGGGGUUCGUCGGCUAUUUCACACUAACAGAGGAAUCAUUUUAUCUUCUACAAAGGGUUCAGUUUUCUUGCACUGUAUGAUAUGAAGUAAUAUUGUCAUAUGUUGUUCUGAAUUAAUUUUUUUCUUCUCUCGUGCGAAUCAGAAAGAAAUGUUGUAUUUAAGAUGUGGAAAGUAUAAGAUCUUAGGAGUUUUACAGUGUAUAUAUAUAUAAAUUUUUUUUUGACAAACAGAGAAAUUCAGUCUAGAAUAUGAGAACAAACUAAAAGCUACGAAAUACAUUGGCAUUUUUGAGAAGUAGGAUAAAUAUUAUUUUUUUUUUUGAAAAAAAAAGGACUUGGCACCUCAAUGCUUUAAUAACCUAAUGUUAUACUUUUGGUUUGAUUUUUCUAUGUACUCUCUUCCAAUGGUCAAUUUAGGCUAUGUUUGGUAUUGAGAUAUUAUAACUAAAAAAUUUUAGGAUUUAUCACUUAAAAGAUAGAGUAGCCGUGGGAAAAAAGAGAGAGAGAGCUGAAAUUAUGAAAUAAAAUUAUUAAUGUAUUGUAAAUAAGAUGUUCAAAUAAAAAAAUUGACAAAAAUAGUAAAAAUACAAUACCAAACAAGAAUUUAUUUAGGAUACCGAUUCCAGGUCUCUAAAGAUUUGUUUUUAUGCUUUGCAGUUAUUUUCUUCUAGCUGACUGAUGAAUUAUUGUGAAAUUGCUAUGAAAAUUACUAGGGAAAUUAUCAGUCAUACACUCUUAAAUGACACCCGUAUCAAAUAUGCUACAACAUUUUUCAAGUAUAUCACUCGUAUACUCUAAGUUGACAAAACACUUCUACCGUCCACCAAUAUGUUAACUUCUAUUAGAAAGUUAAUAGAAUUGUGGCAAAUUGACUAUUUCGUCCUUGAAACUCAAAAUGAGAUUAAAAAAAAUUUACCCAAAAAAUUAAAGUAAAUUUUCAAUACAUAAUUUUUUUUAAUUUCGUUAUUAACAAUACAUUUUUUUAUUAAAAAAUAUGAAUUAUUAAUGGUACAUAUUAUUAACAAUUAUCCAUAAAAAUAUCCAUAUUAUACCAUAAAAAAUUAUUAACAACAUAUUAUUUACAAUUAUACAUAUUAUACCAUAAAAAACUCCAAUUGGAGCUUGGAGGAGUAGAUCUUAAAAAAUUUAGGUUAAAUUUUGGAUGAGUAGAUUCGGUUGUAAAGUAGUUGUUUUUUUAUAUGUAAUUAUUAACAAUUAUCCAAUAAAUGGGAUGACAUGUCAUUUUAUCAAUAUAUAUCAUAUGACAUGUCAUUGCUUAAUAGGAAAAUGGGAUGACAUGUCGUUUUUAAAAAAGACUAUAUUUACCCUUAUGAUGUCAGCACUUGCAAACGGCAGUUAACGGAUUGGUGAACGGUAGAAAUGUUUUGUCAACUUAAAGUAUACGAGUGAUAUACUUGAAAAGUGUUGUAUCACGUUUGAUAUUAGUGUCAUUUAACGAUAUAUGACUGAUAAUUUUCCAAAUUACUACUAUAACUUAUGGCAAAUUGGCAAUUAAAAAUCAUAAAAGUCUUUCCUCUUGAAUGAGAAAGUGGGUUAUUUUCGUUUACUAUAUAUAUAGUGUCACAAUCAAGAUUAGCAAAGGUUUGUUCACAAACCACCAUCUAUGAAACUAUGAUGACAAAUAUUAUUUGCUAUUAUCAUGUCACUGCAUUACUCUAAUGCCAUUAUUUGCCUAAUUAAAUAUUCAUGUCGGUUUUAAGAUGAAUUUCAAGACAUUUAACUAACCAUAUCUAUUGUAUUUUAUUAUGGUGCUCUAGCUAGCUGGUUGCCAGCUUUGCCUUUCAAUGGGGUUUGAUUAAUUACUCUGCAUAUAGACCAUUAUAUACUAGGACGGCCAAUGGUUAAUGUAAUAUAAACACAAUAAAUUUUAAUCAAAUAUGAAUUUUCUGAAUAAUUGUUUCUUUAUUUUAUGAAUUUUAUUUAAACGAUAUCCCAAUUUAAAAAAAAAAAAGAAAGAAAGAAAAUCAGCGCGUUUGUCUCCUCCCCAUUGUCAUGAUCAACCUUGUUGGAAACGUUGGUGAGAAAAGUAAUACUAUACGUUAAUUGCUUUUAAUAUUUUAAUCGUUGGUGGCACAACCGCACAAGAAAGUAAAAGUUGUUAUAUAUAUAUAUAUUUUAAAUAAAAGUUUAGCUUUCAAUAAUUCAACUUUGAAAAAGGUACAAAAGAUGUGUAGGACAUUCGUUGAACCACAUUAUUGGUUGUACACUUUCUAAAGCUACUUUGGCUAUGGAAUAGGCCAUGAUUAUGAAGCCGAGAAGUAUGUUGCAGUGUGGGGUUGUGUAGUUCCUUUUAGCUUCUUCUUACAAAUUAAUGCUGACAGAAAAAGCAAGAUCAUAUUCCACAAAAGUAAAAGUAACAAAACAACCAGCUGGAAUCUUUUAUUAAACUACGAUAAACUACAAAUUAAAGUGGAUUCUUUUGAAUACAAGUGGGAUAGACGAUUGGCUCUUUUAUUAAAGGCCAGUAGUCAAGAAUCGAAUAUCUCGAUUGCAUAGUCUUUUUCAAAUUCUUGUUUUAUUAUUUUUCAAAACUAAUUUUUUAUUAGUCUACAAUUAUUUAUAAUUAUAUUUUCAUUUAGAAUACAGUUCAAGUCAAAUCUUUUGCACUUCUACCUAACUCGGGCUAAUACUAGUCCACUCAUUAUUCAUGUGAGAGAGUUGUAAGGUACAUGCAUGUAACUUCUCUAACUCGAAUUAUUCCACACAGAGAAAUAAACAUAGAUGCUUUAUAACUUUAGAAAUCCGAUCUCUUACAGUUGGAAACAGAGAUGAUGAUUACUAUAAGAAUGAAGAAAAAGAUAAAAAAUUGUCAAUGAUUAACGAAGUCUCUAUGCAAAUUUCUCUAUGCAAAUUGAUUUUAGCAGAAAAAUAGUGAGUUGAAUGAUGUAGGCGAUUAGUGGUAAUAUUUCAUAGAGUUAGAGUAUUGGCAACCCUUCAAUCUUCUCAUGAAUCCCCUUUUUGAGUUAUAGUUAUUUUAUUUCGAAAUAUCCUUUUUCUUCUUUAAUACACUUCUAAUUUUUCAUUUAAUUUUUUUAUUGUUAAACUCAAAGUAUUAUUGUGAUAUUUUUCGUUUCUUUUGUAAUCUUAUUAUAAUUAAAAAAACCAAAAAAAAAGAUUGGCUAUGAAAUUUGUUGGAAAAAAUCUAUGUGCGUUUAAUUUUUGUUUGUCUUUGACUGUAAUUUAUUUGAAGUGGGGUUUUAUAAGCAUAAUGAAGGGAUCAAAGGAUGCCCAUAACUUCACUCUAUUUUAUAUGGAGAAAAGUAAAAGGUACACCUAAAGUUAAUGGAAAGUACUUCGCAGCUUUCUUUUGAUUAUAAUAUCCUUUAAUUUAAUUAACUUAAAAAUUUUGACUUUAAUAAUUUAUAAUAAAUUAAAUUAUAAUCUUAAAAUAAAUAUAAUAAUAUAUUUUAAAAUAAUCUCUAUAUUUAAAAUUUAUUUAUUUUCACAUUUUAUAUAAAUUUUAUAAUAAAGACAAACAUACUAUUAAAAUAAUAUAUAAAAAAUUUAAAAGUAUUUUGAAUAUUAUAUAAAAUAACUAUAACAUUUUUUAAUACAUGAGAUAUAUUUUGUUAAUUUAAAAUUCUAUUUAAUCCAAAGAUUUAUUUAAGAUAAAUUAAUAAUAAUAUUUUUGAAAUUAUUUGAAAUACUAAAAAAUAUUUUAAUAUUACUAGUCUAUUAAAUAAAUUAAAUAUAUUUAAUAGACUAGUAAUAUUCUGAAAAAUAAUAAAAGAAGAAUUAAAAAAAGACUAGACAAUAGAGAUAUUCGAUUCUUUUAAAGCAAAUCGUAAUAUUCCACAAAGGAGUAAGAUCCACAAAAGCAAACAACCAGUUGGAUUCUUUUAAAGUGGAAUCGUUUAUUAAACAACAAAUUAAUGUUCAAAUAUUUAAAUAGCAGUGCAUUAGACGAUUAGACUGUCUUAUUAAAGGCGAGUAUAAAGUAGUCAAGAAUCGAAUAUCUCUAUUGUCUAGUCUUUUUUUAAUUCUUCUUUUAUUAUUUUUCAGAAUAGGUUUUGGUGAUUACAAUGGGUUAUUAUUCAGAGUUAUUGUUAUCUUCCGGGUCAAUUUCUGUUCAUCGAAGUCGUUAAUUCAAAUUUUAGAACUUUUAUCAAAAGAAUGUUUUUCGUUAUCUUUUUUAUGGUCUAAUUCCAAUUGUAAGAAGUAGUCAUUUUAAAAUUUGGGUCUUGAAUCGAAUUUCAGUGCAUGAAUUAAUAUUAAAAAAAAAUCACUACACACAGUUUAGGCUGCAGACUACUUUUUGCAAAUUUGACUCUGAAAAUUGGAGAAAUUAAGUAAUUUAGAAUGUUUGCAAAGAAAAAGACUAACAUACUUCCUAUUACACUAAAUCUCUAUUAUCAUAAUGUUGAGACUAAACUAACUUAAAUACGUUUUAUUUGAAAAGCUAUAUUAAAUGCAGCCUAAUUUUAUUAACCUGAAGAGCUAAUAGAAGUGUAGUUAUAAAAAUUAUAUUCUGACUUAAUUAGUACAAGUGAUAUAAAGGUUAAGUGUGCACUAUAUUUAAUAAUUAAUUAAUGGAGCAUGUUAAAUAAAAUGAUAAUUUAUAUUUAUAUAAUGUUAGGAAUAUGUAAAGUCUAAGUCCACAAGUUGCAUUAUCUUUAAUAUUUUCUCUCAAUUAAAUUCUAAAAAUACUUUACAAUUAUUUAGUAACAACUGUAAAUUAAGAAUAAAUUAUUGUCCCAAACAACAUUAAAAAAUAUUUUAUUCCAUUUGAAUCCUUUAAUUUUUUUUACAGUAUAUAGAUAAUUAUUACUAUGUGAAUGUAAGUUUCUUAAGAUGGGACCUAUAACAAUUUAGAACUUAUUACAACGGGGAGUUUAUUAGGACCAAAAUUUUUUAUGAGUACAUAAAGUUAUCUUGUAUAGAAUAUUAGUAUAUAGAUGUUUUACUGUAAUUAGUCUAGAACAUUUAAAAAAAAAAAACAUAUACCGUCCCUUGGAUGUAGCUCUUGGGUGACCAUGAAUGUUCUUUGUUCCACAUACGNNNNNNNNNNNNNNNNNNNNNNNNNNNNNNNNNNNNNNNNNNNNNNNNNNNNNNNNNNNNNNNNNNNNNNNNNNNNNNNNNNNNNNNNNNNNNNNNNNNNACCCUCUAUGGGAAUAAUCUAUUUAGUUAUAAAAAAUUAUGAUCCCAAUUUAGACUAGUUAUAAAUAACAACAAAUUCCACUUUGUAAUAAAUUAUAUUUUUUCUAUAUCUUAUCUUAAGAAACUUAUCUCUACAUAGUAAUAAUUAUUUGUAUAGGUAAGAAUGGAUCAAGAUCCUCUCCUGAUCUGAGCACUCCUGAUCUUUUACAGAUCUUAUACCACCUGUGUUUUACUGUUAGUGGAUGAUUAUGAUUUGACUAUUUUUUCUUUUUAAUUUAUUAAUCACCAAUUAUAUUAAUAAAAUUUGCUCAGAUGAAGAUCAGAUCAAGAAAGGAUCCUGAUCCAAUAAGAAUACAUGUUAUAUUAGACUAAAGGAACUUGUCUGCACAUAACGAUUAGACAACGAGCGAAAAUUAUUAAAGCGAAUGCAAAUAAUUAGAAUUUUUUAAGAUGACUUUGUAUAUUCACAAUAAUAAUUGAUAGAUACAUGUACCAACGUUUUAAUAUAUUUGACAUCCUCCAUUAAUAAAUCAUUGAUGUAAUAUAGACUUUAUCUCUAUAUCCUCACACUACGGACAACUAAGUCAUAAUAAUAAUUUUUGUAACUACAUCUCUAUUACUUCCUCAUAAUAAUAAGUUAAUUUGAUCUCUACAUUAUGACUAUGGAGAUUUUAUUGUAUAGGGACACCCAAUAUAAAUAGUAUCCCAACUAAAAUUGUCCCAAAAAAAAAAUCGCUAAAGGAUAAUUAUAAUUUUUUUUCACUUCUCAAACGUUGGUGGCAGUUGUAAGCUAAGUUGUCAAAUAUAUUAAACUACAAGUGCUGCCACCAAGUGCGAUGCUCUUUUCUAAAGAGAAGUACAGUGGGUCCCGAAUAGGACGUGCUUAAAUCUGUUUAAAUUUUUCCAGUAUAACUAACAGAGGUCAUUACUAGAAUUAUAUUACUAGCCUAUUAGAUAGAAAAAAUUAGUUAUAUUAUUUUAUAUUUAUUAAAAAAGUUUAAAGUUAAUCUUUUUAAUUACUAUUUAAAAGAUAUUAUAAUAAAAAAAUAGUGUCUUUACUAAAAAUUUAGAAAUUUAUUUGACCGUUCUCUAAACUUUAUUUAAUAUUAUUGAUUUAAAUAAUAUCUAAAUUAAAAAUGUACAGAGAAGAAAUUUCGGUGGGUAUAUUAGUCUUUUACUUUUAACGUUAGUGGCCUUCUUAUAUUUUAUUACAAAUUAAUCCUAACAAGAAAAAGCUAGAUCAUAUUCCACAAAAGCAAGAGUGACAAAACAUGAAAACAACCAACUGGAUUCUUUUAUUAAACUACAAAUUAAAAUUGUUUUUUUUAAUAAACUAUAAAUUAAAGCGGAUUCUUUUGAAUACAGGUGGGACAGACUUAAGCUCUUUUAUUAAAGGCAAGUAUAAAGUAGUCAAGAAUCGAAUAGUCUUUUUCAAAUUCUUGUUUUAUUAUUUUUCAAAACUAAUUUUUGGUAAUUACACUCGGGUCAUUAAUCAUUAUUCAGAGUCAUUGUUAUCUUCGGAGACAGUGGGUAAAAGAUAAUUACUGGCUGUUUUUCCUUCAAAAGUUAGUGGCUCAUGUUUGCAAGUGUGAAUGUGCGAUGCUCUUUUUCCAAAUGCAAUUACAGUGGGUCCCGAAUCGGAGGAUAAAAAUCCUUUUAGUUUUUGUAUUUUAAGAUUAGUAUAUAUUUAGUCUUUAUAUUUUUAAAAAUACCUCGAAACAUUCAUGCCGUUAAAGUAUUGAUACCACUACCAUUACUUUUCAUUUCUUUUAACUUAAUUUUACAAUAUUACCCUUUUAUAAUAAUUUUUUUAGACAUUAAUAAAAAAUAAUUAAAUCACUAAUUUAACUCUAAAAAAUAAAAAAAUUAUAUUAAUUUUUUUGCAAGCACCGUUUGCACACUUGGUAGGUUGCAUACAAUUUUUGAUAAUUAAAAAUUAAUAUAAAUUUUUAUUUUUAUUUUUAGGGUUAAAUUGAUAAUUUAAUUAUUUUAUUUUUAUUAAUGUACAAACAAAAAAAUUAUUAUUAAAGGGUAAUAUUGUAAAAAUAAGCCAAAAGAAAUGAAAAAUAACGGUAGAAGUAUCAAUACUUUAACGACAAGGAUGUUUCUAGAUAUUUUUAAAAAUAUAGAGAUUAAAUGAAUACUAAUCUUCAAAUACAGGAUUAAAUAGAAUUUUACCCCGAAUCGAACGUGCCUAAAUCUUUUUAAAAUUUUUGCCGUACAACGGACAGAGGUCAUUACUAAAAUUUCUCUUCCACAGCCCACAUCAGCUUCAGGAAUCAGUUUAUCAAACUCAAUCAAUUUUCUUUCUUAACAAAAUUCCAAAGAUGUGUAGCAUUUUUCAGAUCACAUGCGAUGGUGCUUUUUUCAAUCGUUGCUUGGAUUGCUUUCUUGGAAAAGCAGCAUACACACGUAACCUCCAAGAUAAUCUUGUGGCCUUGCAGACUGAAUUAAUGAAACUAAACGCAGCAAAGGACGAUCUGAUGAGGAGGGUCGUCAAUGCUGAACGUCAACAAAUGAGAAGGCUGGACGGAGUGCAAGUGUGGGUUUCGAGGGUGGAUGCUGUUACAACUGAAGCUAAUGAACUUAUCAGAGACGGCUCUCAAGAAAUUGAAAAAUUAUGUCUUGGAGGGUUCUGUUCCAGGAACUGCACGUCAAGCUACAAGUUUGGGAAACAAGUGGCUAAAAAGCUACGAGAUGUGGAGGCUUUAUUUGCCGAAGGGGUUUUUGAGGCGGUGGCUACCAAGGUGGUGCCUGAGAGAGCUCCAGAGCCUGUAGCAGAUGAAAGACCUGCCGAGCGAACAGUAGUAGGCUUGCAAUCACAACUUGAACAAGUCUGGAGAUGUCUUGCAGAAGAAUCAGCGGGAAUCAUUGGCCUAUAUGGUAUGGGCGGUGUUGGUAAAACUACACUAUUGACCCAUAUCAACAAUAAAUUUCUCGAGAGUCCAACCAACUUUGAUUGUGUGAUUUGGGUAGUAGUUUCAAAAGACCUGCGACUCGAAAAAAUUCAAGAAGAUAUUGGGAAAAAGAUAUGUUUGGUUGAUGAUGAUUUGUGGAAGAGUAAAAUUUUUGAAGAGAAAGCUGUAGCCAUCUUGCGGAGAUUAGGAGAGAAGAGAUUUGUAUUGUUGUUAGAUGAUUUAUGGGAGCGGGUUGAUUUAACAAAAGUGGGCGUUCCACUUCCCAGACCAAAAAAUACUACCUCAUAAGUCGUAUUCACAAGCCGUUUCAUCGAUGUUUGUGGUAGCAUGGAAGCUGGCAGGAAGUUCCAAGUAGCAUGCUUAUCAGAAAAGGAUGCUUGGGAACUGUUUCAAGAAAAAGUUGGGGAAGAAACUCUUGAGAGUGAUCAUGAUAUCGUUGAGCUAGCCCAAACCGUGGCCAAGAAGUGUGGUGGUUUGCCACUCGCACUUAUUACUAUUGGUCGAGCUAUGGCCAUCAAAAAGACAGCCGAGGAGUGGAGACAUGCAAUUGAAGUGUUAAGACGAUCAGCUUCAGAGUUUCCAGGUUUGGGAAAAGAGGUGUAUCCUCUUUUAAACUUUAGCUAUGAUAGUUUGCUGAAUGAGACGAUUAGAUCUUGUUUCUUAUAUUGUUGUUUAUAUCCUGAAGAUUAUGGCAUUCUUAAAUGGGACUUGAUUGAUUGUUGGAUUUCUGAGGGAUUCUUAGAGGAAUCUAAUAGGUUUGGUUGUUAGAGUGCAAUUUAUGCACUAGUUUUGCAUUAUUUACUUCCCUUAAUAUCAAUGUUUUGCACUUAAUAAUAGUGAUUUACUUGUGUUUUACUUUUGUAGGUGCAAUUCUAUUGAUUGAUGAUAAAAUUGAGCUAUAAGAUGAUGUUUAAGGAUGAUUGUUCUCUUGAAGAAAUUAUGAGCGUCAGAAGAACUUUGUUGAUAAGGCGUGGGCGCGUGCUGUCAACUGCGGACCUGCAGUUUUAGUUUAACGUGUUUUGUAUUUUUGGUUAUUUUUGUAAUUACGAAUUUAAUAUUUCAGAUAUUAGGAUUUUAUUUUAAAUAGAAUUCUAAAAGAGAAGAGAGAGAAAGUAUUUAAGGGAGGAAUCUAUUGUGAAAGGGGGAUUUUGGAUUGGAGAAAAAGAAACCCUAGAUCUAAUUUUUCUCUUCUCUCUAUGAGGAACUAAACCCAUUUUUCUGGUUGAAGGUUAAUGAAGCUUUGAUUCAUCACUACUGUGAGAUCUUUCUUGUGCUUUAAUUGUUUUAUUACUUUUUGGGUAUUUGUUUAUUCUCUGAAUUAUUUUCAUGAUUAUGUUUGUUAAUUAGGUAAUUGGCCACUAUUUAAUUAUCAACUUAAUCUAUUGUCAAUUAAAGGAUUCAUCGUAUGAAGAAUUUAAUGUUUGUGACAAAUAACAUAGCAGAGAGUUGUGUUGUGAGAAUAAACAAUCUAAUUUAAAUGAAUCAUCAUAUGUGUUGAUUAGGAUUUGGGUCUCUCUGGUUUUUCAGGCUGUCAAUUGAUUAAAUUCUAUGAUCGUAUCUAGGGUUGUCUAUUGAUUAGGGAAAUAACCAACGGUCGUACCUUGGUUAUCGACUAGUUAAGGAGAGAUUGGCUAUUAGAGGGUCUCAGUAGCUAUAACCGGUCUAUUCAUGAGUAAUAAUAAUCUAUAUUUGAAUCAAUGAUCAGUAGUCGAAUCAAGCUGAGUUAAUUCCUUCAACCAGAGCUUUCUCCAAUUUGAAUUACAACUUUAAUUUGCAUUCUUGUUAUUUUAAUUUGAUUUUUAUUAUUGUCAACAAUUCCCCUAUUUUACGUUUUACGUUUCAAAAGGAUUUAAUUAAUUACCGAUCUCUGUGGACACGACCCUGCUCAAUCACUAUACACAAUUUAUUUAGAGUAGGAAUUUACUUUUGUUGGCUUCGACACCCAUCAUUGGUGCAGAAAACCGAGGAUACUACAUUGUGGGCACUCUUGUUCAUGUGUGUUUACUAGAAGAGAUAGAAGAUGAUAAAGUAAAAAUGCUUGACGUUGUUCGUGAUAUGGCUCUAUGGAUAGCUUGUGAAACUGAGAAGGAGAAGAUAAACUUUUUGGUUUGUGCAGGUGCUGGAUUAGAAGAGGCACCGGAUGUUAAAGAAUGGGAAAAUGUGAGAAGAUUGUCAUUGAUGCAAAACCAAAUUGAAACUCUGUCAGAGGUUCCCACAUGCCCUCAUUUCGUCACUUUAUUUCUUGACUUUAAUGGGGAGUUGAAGAUGAUCGCGGAUGGCUUCUUCCAACUUAUGCCUUCUCUCAAAGUUUUGAAGAUGUCAAACUGCUGGAAUUUGAAAUUUCUUGUUGGGAUGUCAAAGUUGGGUUCGCUACAGCUUCUUGAUAUUUCACAGAACGCCAUAGAAGAGUUACCAGAAGAGUUGAAGUUGUUGAUAAAUCUGACAUGUUUGAAUUUGAGGGGGACAGGCCAAUUAAAUAAAAUUCCACGGCAACUAAUAUCAAAUUUUUCAAGGUUACGUGGGUUAAGGAAGUUCAUAACGUGUGCAAGCAGUCAACUCAAGGUUAGCACGUGGGAGAAUUUGCUGAGCUAAAGUUAGUUAAAUAAGCAAUGCCAGCUCAACAAAUUCAGUCAAGGUUUACUGAGAUUUUAUUCCUAUUGUUUUCUUUUCUGUUAACAAUGUAUAAAGGUGUUCUUUGUACUCAUUUGAUCAUUAAGAAAAAAAGAAAUAAAAUCUAGAAUAUUCUCUGAAGUUUUCUCAGUAAAACAGAGUAAAUUUUCUCAGUAACUAAACAGUAUAUAUCAGUGGAAUUUACGUUUUAUAACAUGGUAUCAGAGCCAAACAGUAACCAGCAAACAAUGAUGAGAAAUCUAGCAAUCAAUAAUACACAUCAACACACUCAAAUCAAUUUCUCUUUCACGAAUCCAAUUAAACUAGAUCGAUCAAACUACCUGCUCUGGCGUUCACAAGUUCUGGCUUCGAUUAGAGGUAAUCGACUAGAAGACUUCAUAACUAGAAUCAAAUCAACAUCUGAAGAAAAUAUUUUGUUAGCUGGAGUUGAUGGAUCUACACAACAAAUUGAGAAUCCUGAGUAUCAGAUCUGGAGAUCACAAGAUCAAAUUCUUCUUGGUUGGCUACUGUCAACCUUAAGUGAAGGUAUCCUUAGUCUUGUUAUUAACUGUAAAAGCUCAUUUUCUUCAGCUCAGAUAUGAACUGAACACUCUUAAAAAGGAGUCUCUUAGUAUUGAAGAUUAUUGUGUUAAAAUGAAAGCAAUAGCUGAUAAGCUUGCUAGUGCUGGUAGCUCGAUAACAGAAAAGGAUCUAAUGCUAACCAUACUCAAUGGAUUAGGAUCAGGAUAUAGUGAUAUUGCUACUUUCAUAACUGGUUCACGAAUGGAAUUUGAUGAUACUUAUGCAUUAUUGCUCACUCAUGAAACUAGGUUGGAACAAGAUCAUGAUGAUAAGAGUAUGUUCAAUGCUAACUAUGCAUAUACUAAUGCAUUUCAUCCUAAGGUUUAUUAUGCACAGCCUAGAGGAAAUUUUAAGAGAGGAGGUUAUUAUGGUGGUAGGAAUGUUUUCUCUGGUAGAGGGAAUAUGAAUUUUUCUCCAAGAAUGUUUAAUGGAGGUUUUAGAAGUGGUUUUGGUAGAGGAUAUUAUGUUGGUAAUCCUUUUAAUGGUAAUAAUUCUUUAGCACCAAAGAAUUCAUCAUCUGUUAUCAAGAAUGGAUCACAGAGAACUUUUAAUAACAAUCCAGGGGACUCAGUAUGUCAGAUUUGUCUCAAACUUGGUCAUACUGCUGAUAUUUGUUGGCAUAGAUUUGUUGAAGAUUAUGUGCCAAUGCCAAGGGGUUUUUAGAAAAGGAAAAGCACCCAGAGCAGCAUCACUACUAGAAAAAUAGCUUUUACUGAUACUUGUCUUGUGAUACUUUUCUAAAAAGUAUCAGCAAUUACAUAUAUUUGGGCCAUUUUCCGUGUUUAACAAACAAGUGUCACAAAUUACUGAUUCUAUGAUGUUUGUAUAUUAAACAUCAGAGAUCGUCGACACUAAGGUAUCAGAAACAACAAAAAAAAAUAAAAAAUCUAUUUUUGUUUUAGUUGCGACUCGAACCUAGGACCUCAAAACUAAAGUGCUUUAUGUUCAACCAACAAACCACCAUGCCAAAUUCAUAAAUUAGUUUGUGUUGAACAUGUUGAAAUUAUCAAAUUAAAUUAAUAUAGAAAACAAAAAUAUAAAAGCAAAAGAAAAAAACCCUAAAUCAACAUAAACAUAAAAUUCCCUAACUCCUAAAUCCAUGGCCAGCCGCCUCAUCUCUCUGGCGAUAUCCUUCUUCUUCUUCAUACCUCUAAAACUUCGAGCCCUAAAAUUCAAGGGUCCAUGUCAUAAGAAAUCCUACCACCACUGCUCAAAUUCUAACACCCAUACCAUACGAAACCCUAAUGAUCUACAUUAUGCAAAACAUCCACCAUGCCGCUAUGCCACAAGCUCACAAGACCCGCUUUAGAUCUCCACAUUUUGCUCACCCUACUCGAGUGCACACCGCCCCUCUCGCUUCGACUUCUCGGGAUUUCUUGUUAGCUGAAGUUUUGUUUUCUUCCGCUAAUUCGAUCUUCGAAAGGUCUCGGAGCUCCAAGUAACUAAGUAAGCUCGGUUUUCUUCUAUUCUCUCAGAUACUUGCUUACACAUUCCUUUUUUUUUCGUGUUAAAUUUUGUUGUUUCGUUGUGUUAUAUGGAUCGAUGAGAGUCACAGACUUUGACGAGACAAUGACGAUAUUGUUUUGGAGUUUCGUUUCGUAGAUCUGUGAUAGAGUCUCCUUUUUCAGAUAUUUCCUUUCAUUUACCAUAUUUGCACAAUUUGUUUUGUCAUUAAAUUAUUUGCGUUUGAAUGUACAAUUUUUGUUUUCGUUUUAUAUUUUCAAAUACUGUUUCUUGGAGCGAAUUAGUGGAGGAAUUUUUGGUUGAAGCAGAGGAUGGAUAACUUUUGUAUUUUGAACUUUGUAUGUUAUUUAUUAUUUGAACUUGAAGCUAAAAGGUGACCAAAUUUUCCAAAGGUUAGGGUUUGGUUGGCUUAUGUGAAAAUGCCGAACGAAUGUGUAUUAUUCAUACUCCAAUAUUGUAGGUGCGUCAAUGCACCUCCUUGCGAUGGUUGCAGCAACGAAACUGUAGGUCAAGGUUUGGGUACCCCAUUUCCUUCAAAGAUCCAAUAUGGAGCAACUCGAGUCGAGCUUUUUCGGUCAAUUUAAACAAAACCUUUACUCCUAAUUUAUUGUCUUUUGCUUUCUGUUUGUACCUGUAGGAGUUCAUAUUUUGUAAUGUUCCGUAAGUGUCCAAUAACUGGUUAAAUUAUGACUUAUGCUAGGUGAAGAUUUUGUGUUACAAUCCCCUUCAAUAGGCAAUCACUCUUUUUGUAAAUGUUCAUGGGUAAUUGCUUUGCCUUUGCUUCUGUUGUACUUUUGUUUUUGUGGGGUUUUAGUUAAUGGAUGUUGAGUUAUAUUUCAAUCAGUUUGAUUUCUCUGCAUAUUUUUCAUAUUUUAGUAUUAGAAGAGGUAUUUAAUCAAAUGAAGACAAAAACAAUUGUCGGCCAACCAACAAACUCACUUUAGUUUGUUGUGAAAUGAUUUUCUCUCUCUCUCUCGAUUUUCACUGGUUCUGUGGUUUUUUCCCUUCCACAAUGUGAUUUAGUUCUGUUCUAUUUAUGGAUGUUACCAACAUUUUAGCUUUUAAGAAACAGACAAAAAGAUUCUGAAGUUUGUUUCUUGUUUCUUACUCUGAAUUUCCAAGGCAUCUUAUUUGGAGAAAUGCAUUCUGAAUGGAGAAAUUUCUCCAAAUUUAUGAGAUGUGGUUCUGUCUUGCUGAAUGAACAUUGUAUUUCCUUCAAUGGUUUGCGAGCCAUUAAGUUAUUUGAGCAAACAAAAUUAGCAAUAUGGAAUCCUGUUUCUACAGGAUUAUAGUUGUAGGACUCUAGAAUUUAGUCUAGGUAAUGUUUUUACCAUUGUAAAAAGUAUCUGACAUUGGUGAUGUUUAAGCAUAUGUGUCAUUUCUUUUGGGCUUCACUUUGGAUCCUUUUUUUCUUUUUUUACAAACAAUGGAUGGUUAAAACCUAAGAGACUGAUUGAUUUUUGUUUUAAAUCCAGUGGUUAUGCCUUGUAAACUUUUGAGUUGUAUCAAUUUCUUUUCCUGGCCUAACUUGGCUAAAUUUAUGCUAUAUAAUUGAAUUCUACAAAUUUUGGCUAUGUAUGAUGUAAAGGUCAUAAGUCUUGUAUCUUCAUUUGUUCACCACAGGCUUGAUACUUCACAACUACCAUAAGUUAUGUCAUGCCAUGUCUUCUUUAGCAAUAUUGUGUGGCUUUGAGUAGUAUUAAUGUUUUUGUUUGUUAAUUCACGACUUAAUGGAACCAUUUUCCUUAUAAUCGAGAACCUUCGUGCGAGUGUUGUGGAGAAAUCUUAUGAUUCAUGUGUAGGUGUGUUUGCUUAAUGUGAUGACUUUUAUUAUGUGUUGUAGUUCUUGUGUCUAUAAGAGGAACCUUUGCUCCUAUGUCUAUUUAUCUCCGACUUUCAGUUUAGGCGUAAAUAGGUUACUCUUCUUUCUUUCUCAUUUUUUAAUUUCUAUGUUCUCCUAUGUCUAUUUACAUGGACUGCUUUGCUGCUUCUCUGCAGUGAAAACAACCCUGGUAAUUUACAGGAGCUUUUUUCACUUCAGAACAAUAGCAAGACAUCCCCUGCAGAUUUUUUAUUGAUUUUGCAUAGAUUGGUUUGUUGCUUUGGGUUGGAAUGCUACUGGAUAUAUGUCAGAAUUAUAGCGCUAUUGGAAGAUGGUGGGUUGUUGCAUAUGAGUUGGAGUGUUCCUGGGUAUGUAGCUAGAAUUAGAGUGCUGUUGGAAGAUGGUAUUGCUACUGGAAGUUUUGCUCAAAAACUUGUCGUUGGAAUACUUGCAUUAAUUUUUGGAAAUUUUAUUGGGUAACUUGGCUAGGUGGCUGAAAUUUUAAUUGCUUUUGUGUAUUGAAGCAUUUGGAUUGUGUAAUAUAUAUUGAUAAUAUUUAAAUGUUAUGAAAGGUUUUGAUAAAUAAAUUGAUUUUUGUUCUUAUUUCUCACAGCCUUUUAAUUCUAUCAACAAAUCAAUGGGUAAUGUCAUUUUGUAUAAUUAUUUUUUUAAAUAAUACAUAAAGUAGUGAUACUAUAGUAACAGUAUCACAAAUACUAAUAUAGUAUUGUAAUAUUUUGAUACCAUGGUGUUAUGAUUUUAAUGAUACUAUAGUAAUAGUAAUUACUGACACCACUUACAAGUGUCACUAUUUUUCUGACUGCCAGAUUACUGACACAAUUAGCAAGUGUCACUAAAAGUAAUUACUGACACUAUUCUAAUGUCAGUAAAGACCAUUUUUCUAGUAGUGCAUAUCUGUCAAAUUUUGAUGGUUCUGUUUCAAAUCCAAACUUUGAAGAUUAUGAGAACUUCAACUAUAUGCCUUCAGCUUAUAAUCCUAUGUCUGGCAAUAGCUAUUAUUCUGGUUUUGAUGCUUGUACUCCUGGAGUAGCAUUUAUGGCUAACUUUGAAGGAGUUGCUAAUGAUGAAUGGUACUUGGAUAGUGGGGCAACUCACCAUCUGGACAACAACAUGGAGAGCUUGCAGAUCAGUGAGGAGUUUAAGGGUACUGAUUAGCUCAUAAUUGGUAAUGGUCAAGGUUUGUUUAUCACUAAUGUUGAUUUUGCAUUUCUGUCACAAAGAGCAUCAAAUUACUUAUCUGCACAUUCCAGAAUAGCACUUAAGGAUAUAUUACUUGUUCCAUCAAUUACCAAAAAUCUACUAAGCAUUUCCAAAUUGACAUCUGAUAACCCUAUAACUGUUGAAUUUUGUGGGAAUGUUUGUUUUGUGAAGGACAUGAAUAGACAAGUUCUGCUGCAGGGACUUGCCGAAAAAGGUCUAUACAAGCUGCUGCUGAGUUCUAAUUCCUCUUCUUCAUUUCCUUCAUCUCAUCUUUGUCAUACUCAACUAAAUAAUUAUGUCUCAAUGUUGUCUAGCUUUCAAAGCUUUGAUAAUCCUUCUAAAGUUUGUUAUCAUUCUGUUUUCAAUAAAUGCAAAACCAAAUAUGAUGUAAUGACAUUGUUACAUAGAAAAUUUGGUCAUCCAAGUUCAAUGAUUCUGAUGCAUUUAGCUAAGUCUUGCAAGCAAUUAAAAAUCUCUCAAAAAGAUAUUCUAUCUUGUACAAAUUCUUUGUGUGAGGCAUGUCAGUUAGGCAAAGUUCACAGGCAAAGUUUUCCAGCAACUGAAACAAAAACAAAAGGAGUAUUAGAACUGAUUCAUACUGAUAUCUAGGGACCUUCACCCACUGUAUCUAGAAAUGGAUACAAGUAUUACAUUAGUUUUGUGGAUGAUUACACUAGAUACACCUGGAUCUAUCCACUUAAGCUUAAAUCACAAGCAUUUGAAGUUUUCAAACUGUUCAAGGCACAAGUUGAAAAUUAGUUUAAUACCAAGAUUAAGGAAUUACAAUCUGAUCUGGGGGAGAGAGUUUAGAGUAUUCAGUAAUUUCCUAAGUCAAAAUGGAAUCAAGUUUAGACAUUCAUGCCCUUAUACUCAUCACCAGAAUGGUCUUGUUGAGAAGAAACAAAGACACAUAAUUGAAUUAGCAUUAACACUCUUAGCUCAAGCUAAUCUCCCUUUUCAGUUUUGGUGGAAAGCUGUUCACACAGCAACAUAUCAUAUUAAUAGGUUACCAACACCUGUUCUUAAGCUUUUAUCUCCUUAUGAAAAGCUCUUUAAACACAAACCAGAUUAUUCAUUUCAUAAGUGCUUUGGUUGCCUAUGUUAUCCAUAUAUGAGAGAUUUAAAUAAACACAAAUUUGAUUUUCACACCACCAAAUGCAUCUUCAUUGGCUAUAGUCAUUCUUACAAGGGUUAUAAGUGUUUAACAAGCUCAGGAAAAAUUCAUAUCCUAAGGCAUGUUAUCUUUGAUGAAAAUACAUUCCCUUACUUAACAAACAAAGUCUUUCAUUUAUCCGAGAACAGUUCAAAUUCUGAAAUAUCAGUGUCAAACUUUUCCCAGUAACAAAUUUAUCAUCUCUCCACAUUAUCCUUAACUGACAGCAGCUUGGAAGAUCUUCAAUCAGCAAGUUCAGAAAGCAAUGAACAAGUACCUUCUGUUUCUGCACACACAAAUAAUCUGCAUCAACAAGAGCAUUCUCAAGAGCAUUCCUCAUCAACUAUACCAUUAUCACCAACACAACAACAAACUGAAUCACAACCACAAAAUGAACCACAUCUAUCUACUUCCUAGCACAUAAAUCAAACUCAAACUAGAAACCUUCCUUCACAACCAUCACAUUCAAUGGUAACCAGAUCGAAAAUAUGGAAUCUUCAAGCCAAAAGUUUACAUAACCACCUUAACCAACAAAGAACCCAGUACUGUUCAAGAAGCUCUAAGUGAUCAGAAUUGGCAUCAAGCUCUGAAAGAUGAAUAUGAAGCUUUGCUUAGGAAUGAAACAUGGUCACUAGUACCAUUUUCAGAGGUAUACAAGGUUGUUGACAGUAAAGGGGUUUUCAGAAUUAAACAAAACACAGAUGAGAGUGUAGCUAAAUACAAAGCCAGGUUAGUUGCAAAGGGUUUCCAGCAAACUAAUGGUGUUGACUACUUUGAGACCUUUAGUCUUGUGGUAAAGGCCUGCACAGUAAGAAUUAUUUUUAGUUUGGCUGUGAUGAACAAGUGGAAAAUAAGGCAAGUGGAUGUCAAUAAUGCAUUCUUAAAUGGAGAAUUGACUGAAGAUGUUUACAUGUAUAAGCCAGAAGGUUUCAUUGAUGAGAAAAAGUCCAGUUAUGUAUGCAAGUUGAAGAAAGCCCUGUAUGGCUUAAAACAAGCUCCUAGAGCUUGGUAUGAUAAGUUGAAAAACCGUCUGAUAAGUUGAAAAACUGUUUGAUAAGUAAUUGGGGUUUUCAAAAUUCCAGAGCUGAUACUUCUCUCUUCUUCAAAGAGAUUCAAGGCUCAAUAAUACUUGUGCUUAUAUAUGUGAAUGAUAUACUUAUUACAGGGCCUGACAUUGGAGAAUUAGAGAAGUUUAUCUUAGAAUUCAGUAAGACAUUUGCUUUAAAGGAUCUAGGAAUACUAUCAUACUUUCUUGGGAUAGAAGUCUCUUAUGCUGAUGGUUGUAUGUACUUAUCUCAGAGAAAGUAUAUUAAUGAUCUCUUGUCUAAAGCUGAUAUGUUGAACUGUAAAGGGUGUGAUACUCCCAUAGCGAUUGGACUGAAACUUCAAAAGGAGGUUAAAGGUUGUUUAGGUCAGUAUGUUGAGGAUGCAACCAGUUACAGAAGUUUGGUUGGAGGCUUGCAAUAUCUGGUGUUAACCAGACCAGAGAUAGCCUUUGCUGUGCACAAACUCAGUCAAUAUGUGACAGCUCCAACAUUGCAGCACAUAAUGGCCUGUAAACGAGUUCUAAGAUACCUAAAGGAAACCAUGGAUUAUGGUCUAAAGUUUUCAGCUGGUGGAGAAAUGGAAAUCACAGGUUUUAUAAAUGCAGAUUGGGCAUGCGAUAUUGAUGACAGAAAAUCUAUAGGUGCAUACUGUAUCUAUUUUGGAAAUAAUCUGGUGUCAUGGUCAUCUAAGAAGUAGUCUGUGGUGAUAAGGUCUAGUGCAGAAAGCGAAUACAGAGCUUUGGCUUCUGCAAGUGUAGAAAUAGCAUGGAUUCAAUCUUUGUUCAGUGAGCUAAAUAUAAGAUGUGUCUCAGUACUUAUCAUCUGGUGUGACAACAUGAGUGCAACAAAGUUAAGAUAAAAAUCUAGUCUACCAUUCACGUACCAAACACAUUGAACUGGAUAUGCAUUUUGUUAGAGAUAAGGUUUUAGCAGAGGAGCUGAAAAUUAACUUCAUUCAAAGUGAAGAACAGAUAGCCGAUGUCCUAACAAAACCUCUCACAUUCAUUCAUUUUAAUUAUUUCAUAAACAAACUCAAUGUGCAGCCAUGCCCCUUGAGUUUGAGGAGGGCUGUUAAGGAAGCUCAUAACGUGUACAAGCAGUCAGCUCAAGGUUAGCACGUGGGAGAAUUUGCUGAGCUAAAGUUAGUUAAGUAAGCGAUGUCAGCUCAGCAAAUUCAGUCAAGGUUUACUGAGAUUUUAUUCAUAUUGUUUUCUUUUCUAUUAACAAUGUAUAAAGGCAUGCUUUGUACUCAUUUGAUCAAUAAGAAAAGAAGAAAUAAAAUCCAGAAUAUUCUCUGAAGUUUUCUCAGUAAAACAGAGUAAAUUUUCUUAGUAACCAAACAGUACAGAUCAGUGGAAUUUACGUUUUAUAACAACGUGUGUUGAGAAUGUUGGGUAUUGGCCAAUUCAAUUUUCAUGAAGCACCAGAAGACAACGCUUUAUUUGGUGGGGGUGAAGUUUUGAUACAGGUAUUGCUCGGUUUGAAAUAUUUAGAGGUAUUGGAGUUGACCUUGGGAAGUUAUCAUGCUCUCCAAAUUCUUUUGAGCUCAAAUCAGUCAAAAAGUUGUAUUCGAUCUCUUCUCCUCCACAAGUUUAGAGGUACAACGCCGAUUAUUGAUGCUACGGCUUUCGCAGAGCUAAACCACCUCAACGAAUUAUUUAUUAAUAAUAGUAUUGAGUUGAUAGAAUUGAAGAUUGAUUAUACAGAGAUAGUACAAAAAAGGCAGGAACCUUUUGUUUUCCGCAGCCUUCACCGUGUUACCAUAUUUAGGGCCCGUUUGGGAGUGAGGUGCUGUAGCUUUUAAGCUGCAGUUGCUGUGGAGUAAAAGCUAUAGAUGUGGAAUGGAAGUUGAUGGUGUUUGGUAAAAGUGUUGUAGCUUUUAAGCUGCAACUACUGAUGGUGUUUGGUAGAGUGGAUGAAUAUUUGUAAUAAUUAAUUUUAAAUAACAUUAUUUUUAAUUGUUAACAAAUCAAUUAUUUUUCAUUCUUCAAAUUAUUAUAUUGACAUACAAUUACGAUUUAUUCCGUUACAAAUUAAAUUAAUAUUUAAUAAAUCAAAUUUAUUUUUUUGCACAAGUUGUAAUAAAUAAUUUAUAAAACACAUCAUGGGGUCAAUUAUAAAUAAUUUUAAAUAACUAUUAUUGACAAUGCCAACCGGGCAGUGUACAUGAUAUGCUUCUCCAAAUUGCUUCGGUUUGUACCUGAUAUGAUUAAUCGAGUAUUAUUUACAAUACCAAAUAUAUCUAAUAAAAAUCAUACAACAAAACAAAAUAAAAUUAAAAUGUAAUUAAUUACAAAAUUUGUAUAAAUAUUUCUAUUGUUGUGCCUCCAUUAAACUUGCAGCAAUGCCAUCUUUCAAGAUUAUUAUAUCUUGAGUUGUGCUAUCAAUUGUUUCAUAACUUUCUUCAUGAGAUGCAAUAUGUUCGCUAAUACUAUGACUUGGUUCAUCCGUCAUUUCAUCAAAAUGAUCAUUAUUUUGUGAAUAUCUUCUGAUAUAAUUAUGCAAGGCCAUGGUAGCAAUAACUAUUUUCACCUGCUUCUUGAAUGGAUAGCUUGGCAUACUUCGUAAAAUCUUCCAUGUAUUCUUCCAAACCCCAAAAGUACGCUCAAUAACACUUCUCAAGGAAGAGUGCUUGUAGUUGAACAAUUCUUUAUAACCCAUUGGUUGGCUACCUCUACGAAAUUCAGGAAGGUGAUAUCUUUCACCCUUAUAUGGUCCUAAGUACCCACAUAACUCCGGAUAUCCUGCAUCUACUAAAUAAUAUUUUCCUAAAAAUAAAAAGAAAAAUACAAAAUAAAUAAAACAAUCUAAUCAAUUGAAUAUGUAUAUAUAAAAGAAAAAUUAGAAACACAAACCUGGAGGAGGGUUUGGAAAAUUGAAUGCAGGAUUCGUAAUAGUUGUUUGAAAUACCCUUGCAUCAUGGGCACUGCCUUCCCAACCAGCCACUGCAAAUAUGAAUUGCAUAUCAAAGCUACAUACAGCCAUUACAAAUUCUUUUCCCACCAUUCCUCACUUGCAUCAACUGUCCUCAACCUAUGAUUCCACCCUAAACCAGUUUCUUUGCCAAUCAAAUUCUUCCACAAUUUCCAAUCAGUUCUAAGAGAAUCCCAUUUAUUUUUCAUUUGAGUUCUGUUGUAAUCUAAUCCAGUUUCUUUAGUGAACUCCUUAAUCAAAUUUUCAUAUCCUUGGGAAGUCAAAUGAGUCCCUGGACGAUGUCCGGCAUCCACCUCUUUAACGCAUAAGUCACAAAAUACAUCUAAAGUCUGGGGGUUCCAAGUAGCCUUACUAGUUGAGCUAUUAGACACAAUUUCAUACACUUAAACCUAGGAAAAAAAAUAUUUCUUUAUCAAACAACAAUACAGAAAAAAUAAGAAUAUAGAAGUUAAGAAAAUUACUAGAAUCUUGUUAUGGAUGGUGGAAGGAAAAAUAAUUCGAUAUUAAAAAAUUAAAAAAAAAGACAAACCAGAACAAGUUACCUUAGUUGUUACUUUACUUGAAAUACUUUUCCAGCAAACAAUAAUGAUCAUAGCCCACGAAUAGAAACAAUUACAAGCAAGUCAAUAAAGCAACAAAAGACAAACCAGACUAGGAAACAAAGAAAUUCAACUAAACAAUCAUUAGGUACAAACUGCAAUUGCAUUUAGCCUCACAAUCUCAAAUUUGCUACGUGCUUUGAUAUUUCCUGUACUAUUCUUUUGGCCCAUCCUAAGACAUAUACAAUUGCAAUUGCAACACUUUCUCCCUUCUUUUUUCUGUAAUUCGUAUGGCGACUUACGUAUAUAUAACCUAAUUAAUUGAAUUAAAUUGAUGAUGGGUUAGAAAAUCAUUAGGCUUAUUAAUUAUACGCGUCAAAAGAAUGGUCGGCCAAUAAUUAGGUGUCCUGCUUAUACUCCUGUAAUUUAGUCAUUCUCUAGUAAAUAUUAUUAAAUAAAAAGAAACACAAACAAUUAAGCUUAUUGGUAACUGAACUGGUGCCCAAAAAUAACAAGAGCAGGAGAAAGCAAACACACCCAAGAAUUUGACAAACUUCAACUUGAAAUCCAGAAUUUGACAAACUUCCUUUUGUUUACUGAAGCAUAGUAUUUCAUAACGAAGGCAUGCAUUUUAUUAUUUAAUGUCUUGUAGAACUGGAAACUCAAAUCAAACAGGGGUUGUGCAUGUUUAUAAAAAGCAACUACAAAAAUAAAAACUACAAUAAAAACAAUGGUUACAAGCAAAUAAAUCACGCAUGACCCAUCACCCAUCAAUUUAUUCUAACAAAAGCCCCAACAUUUUAUGAAUGAAAAGGAAGAAAAUGAAAAAUUGCUUGAAAUAGAGUAAAGGAGUACUCAAAAAUGAACAACAGAUAGAGGAAAAGGCACCACUGACAGAGGCGUAUGAGAGUGGCCGGUGUCGGAAUCGCGCCGAUGAGAAUUUCGGUGUCAGAAUCGCAUCAAUUGGAACUCCCACAGUCGGAAUCGUGCUGAUGAGAAUGGGUGUUUAGGGUUUGUUUAAAAAAAUCGAUUUGAAAUAGAACUCCCACUGACAUGACUGUUUGAUAAAAUGAAAAUGGAAUAAUAUAUAAAGUUAAUUUAGUAAUUAAACUUGCAGCUGGGAAAAAAAAUCUGUCAAGUUGUCAAAACACAACUAUAAGUGGUACCAAACACUUUGGUGGCUGGGCUGCUCACCACACUCCCAAACGGGACCUUAGUUGCGGUAAAUUGAAAGAUGUGACAUUCCUCGUUUUUGCUCCAAACCUCAAGUCUCUUUGGCUAUUCGAUUGCGGUGCUAUGGAAGAAAUAAUCAGCGUCGGAAAAUUUGCUGAGACUCCUGAGAUGAUGGGACAUAUAAUCCCUUUUGAAAAUCUCCAAAUGCUUAAUUUAAUGGAAUUGCCGGAGUUGAAGAGAAUUUUCUGGAAGCCAUUGCCUUUCACUCAUCUGAAAGAAAUAUCUGUGGGUUAUUGCCGUAAUCUUAAAAAGCUUCCACUCGAUUCCAACAGUGCAAAAGAGCGUAAAUUUGUAAUUCGUGGAGAAGAAGACUGGUGGAACCGACUUCAAUGGGAGGAUGAAGCCACUCAAAUUGCUUUUCGUUCCUGUUUCCAACCUCGUUCCUGAGCGGUGGUCGCAAAAUUUGAUUUCUGGUGAGUGCGUUUUUGUUAACGCUUAUGUUUUUAUUCCAGUGUGUUUUUCUUCUGUCUUCUGCAAAUCACGAUUAAAUGUUGAAUAAUAUGGAAUCAAUGCUUUAUAAAUUUUCCGGCGUGGCCAUUUCCUUUUCCCUUUUUUUUUUUGGGGGGGGGGGGGGGGCGUGGUUCGAUUGAUGCUCUGGCUUUUUACUUUUUGUCUUCGAAUUUUGCUCUGUUUUUCAAAUUGAUGCUUGAAUAGUUGAAUUCAAUUAAUGCUCACAUAAAUUUGUUUAGUUGCCGUAAAACGGUAAAAGGAUAUAAUUAGAUUGAAAUUCGCACUUCUAGAAUGAAUAGAAUUACAAUAGAGAAAAUAUUAAGUAUACAAGCCCUCUUUACAGAAAAUCAAAUGAAAAUAAAAUUUUUUGGAUAUUUGAUUUUCUAUGGUCUACUGUAUACGCUUUAUAAAUUCCUCUGCUUUAACGAUAACCAAAUCCUUUUUUCAAGGAUUUUUAUUUGGGGUAUUGAUAAUAGUCCACCAACAUAGUGAACGCUUGGAUGCUGCUUAAGGAUCUCUAAUCAGUAGCUGGAAGCAAAUGAGAAGGCGGUCGCUACUUUGUACAAAGCCAUGCAGCAAUUGCUAUUCAUUUUCAAACAAAGUUGAGAUGUUAUUUUCAGAUUUGGUUCCAGAUUUUGUAUGAAUAUCGUUGUUCCAUUGAGUUGUAUAUGAAUUCAAAUGUAAAAUAUUCUUUGGUUUUCAAUUUUGAAUUCAAUUUCUUUUUCUUAAGCAUGUUGUGCAGAAAUGAUUUCUACUAAAUCAUUUUUGAUAAACUAUUUAAAUUAAACAACUGGAAUAAGAACUGUAAGGAUUUAUCGUAAGCAGACUAAUAUGAUAAUUCUGAAACUAUCAUUUUUUUUUUUUCAAUUUGUUGCAGGGAAAGCCAAAUUUUGCGUUUUUCAGUUUUAUCUGAUAUGGGCUUUAUUUCCUCUACACUAGCUACCUAAAGAUUUAUCAAAUUGCUUCUCUUCCCUGCUUCAAAUAUCUUCAUGGCAUCAUAGGAAAAGAGAGUUUGGGUUGUAUUUAUUAUAGUUUUUAUUUUUUUUUUUGUUAUAAGCAAAUUUAUUUUAAAUACUUUAGUAGUAACAGUUUUUAUUGAAUAAUAAUGAGGGAUGAUUAUUAUAGGUUCAAAUAGUUGUUAGAACAUUAUAAAAAGUCUAUUUACUAUCAAAUGUUUUAAAUUGAUGCAACGUGAUAAUUGUCUCAUAUAAUUUUUUUAUAAUAUAUAUGUCCCAUAAUCUUAACAUGAAUAAAUGAAUUUCAACGGUUAAAUUUGACACGAUUAUUAAAUAGAUCAUAUCUAUAUUAAUUCGAUUUAAAAUCUGGUCACAUUUGGAUUUAGAGUUUCUAACAUGAUAACUUGUUUUAUGACAUGAUUUACUAAUCAAUUAAUAGUAAAUCAAAUGUCAGUCAAUUAAAUAUGUGGUACAUUUGUCAUAUUUUAAAAAUUAUUUAUUUAUAUUUGAAAUGAAUUUGGUGCNNNNNNNNNNNNNNNNNNNNNNNNNNNNNNNNNNNNNNNNNNNNNNNNNNNNNNNNNNNNNNNNNNNNNNNNNNNNNNNNNNNNNNNNNNNNNNNNNNNNAUAAGACGACGCGACACAAAUACAACCAACAAGUCAACCCAAAUUGCCACCUUUUACUAUCUUCUUUGUGUUAUUUCUCUAAAAAUUUGUGCCUUCUCUUACACUUUUAAAUCUGAAGUGUUUGAACUGGAGUACACAAAUUAUCUCUCUACAAUUCCAAAACAACCAAUUUGUUACUUGGUAAAUCUUAAUCAAUGGCAGGAAGCAAUUGAGAAGGCGGUCGCUACUGUGUACAAAGCCAUGCAGUAUUUGCUAUUCAUCUUAAUAAUUGUUAAGCUUUGGUAAAAUUUUCAAACAUAGUUGACAUCAUGUUGUUUUGAGAUUUGGUUCAUGAUUUUGUAUGAAUAUCGUUGUUCCGUUUGAGUUGGAUGUGAAUUGAAACCUAAAUAUUCUUUAUUUUUCAAUUUUGAAUUCAAUUUCUUUUUCUCAAGCAUGUUAUGCAGAAAUGAUUUUUACGAAAUCAUUUUUGAUGAAUUAUUUAAAUUAAACAAUUGGAAUAAGAAUUGUAACGAUUUAUCAUAAGCAUGCUAAUAUGAUAAGUUGUUUUACGAACGAUUAAUUAAUCAAUUAAUAUUAGAUUAUAUAUUAGUCAAUUAGAUAUGUGUUACAUUUGUCAUAUUCUAAAAACUAUUUAUUUAUAUUUCAAAUAAAUUUGACCAGAGGUUACGUAGGUAAUACUACAUAAUUUCUAAAGGAAUGUAAAAAUUUAAAGUUUUAUUAAAUAGGUGACUCAAUAAUAAAUGGAUUUCUGCAAGAAUUGAGAUUCUUGAGAUAAUUAUUACAUAGGGAAUUUUGGUUAGUUCAAUUUUGACAUGGUAAGAAGACGACACGGCGCAGAAAACCCAAAUUGCCACUUCUACUAGUAAUAAAAGAUACCUGUUUGAAAAGUAAUUAUAAACUAUCUUCUUUGUGUUAUUUCUCAAAACUUUUGUGGCACAAUGUUAUUUCCCUGGAGAAAAGUACGAAAUACCCCCUUUCACGUCGGCAGAAGCAAAGCAAAGCUAUGAGCUAUCUCUGUAUACUUGAAACGCCAUUGCUAAACGAUUCUCGAUGAUGGGUGCCACUGGGUCAGUGUUGUCUCUGAUUUACAUGAUUUAUUAGUUGUCCAGAUGCCAGAGAAACCAUGGUGGCAUUGAAGUUGCCCAGAUGGUUAGUUUUCUGAUCAUUUUUUUAUUCAAUUAUUUAUUUUUUUAGAAAAAUGUGAGAAAUAUGUAGAAAUGUUGACAGCUAUGAUUUUGAAACUUUGCCUAAAAUUGUUAUCAUCACUUAUUUAAAGAGAAAUCCUAGAAACAUGAAAUGAUUAGUAGCCUAAUUCAAAAUUAGACGUGAUUACAACAAGAGAAAAGUGGAGAGAACUUGAUAAUCGAGUGCAUUUAGAAUUUAAUUUUUCUUUUAGCUGCCGAUCAUUAAAUUUUCGAUUUCAGAAAAUUAUACCUAGAAUAUUUCAAGGAUAUACUAUGAAGAUUAUGAAGGUUUGAUUACAUGUCACUAUCAAUUGCCCCAAUCAUUUGUAGUAAAUUAAUUGAUCAUUUUGAUGCAAAUGAUUCCCUACUAAAAAAUUUAAGUCAAGGCUGAAUUGCAUAGUAGUUAGUCGCGCUUGCACUUCAAAUUAAGUAUUGUAUUUUCUGCCUGGUUUGGUUGAUUAAAGUGUGUGCAUUUGCUUUUGAACGUUGUAGUAUAGAAAUCGAAACAUUUGUUUUUCGCUAAGCCCAGAAGCAAAGUUCUUUGUACUGUACUCAUCACUUCUCUUCAUUCUCUUUGUUGAAAUUUUUUCCAAACAGCGGUUUCUUCGAAUUUGUGCCUUCUCUUCCACUUUUAAAUCUAUCAAAGAACCGUUACCUGAGAAGAUUGCCAUCAGGAAUUUCUAAAUUGAUUUCACUAUAAUACCUUAAUCUUUCAGAUACUCCCGUCACUGGGUUGCCAAAAGUGCUAAAAGCCUUCGUAAAUCCUACGUGUUUGAACUGGAGUACAAAUGUUAUCUCUCCACAAUUCCAAAACAACUGAUUUGUUACUUUUCAAUGCUACACGUUCUGCGAAUGUUCAGUUGUGGUUAUCUUGCUGAAAUACCAGAAAAUAGGGUUCUAGUUGGCGGUAGUGGAUUCUUGGUUGGGGAAUUGCUUAGUUUAAAACAUUUAGAUGUAUUAAGCAUCACCUUAAAAGGUUUUUCUUCUGUCCAAAAACUUAUGAGCUCCCAACAGUUUCAAAGCUGUACAAAAUGUUUGGAGCUUAUAGACUGUGAUGAUUCAAAGUCGUUUGCCUUGGCAGAGUUGAAGCAUCUUGAAAAACUAGGUUUUUCAAAUUGUGGAAAUUUGGAAGAUAAAUUACAUUUAUAAACUGUGGAUCGCCCUUUAUAAGUAUUAGGCUUAUCCCAUACUCGAGCAAUGUGGAAUACCUUUAUAAGCAUUAAGCCUCUCCCAUACAAUUUCUGUACAUGACUUUAAAAGUGGUUGAUGACCCGUUUUGUAAUAUCAUAGAGGGAUCAUGAAUUCCUUUUCUUUUCUGUGGCUAGGCAACACUUUUGGGCCAAAGUAAGGAAAUCUAUUUUAGGUAAUGUAAAAACCAGUUGUGGGAUGUAAUAGUUUAUUAUGCACUGACAACAACUUUUUGUAUAAUUGUCAGUUUAAUGAAUACGAGAGGAACUCUGUUGGCAAAUUCAUCCAUGAUAGAUGCUAAAAUUAUACCAGUUGCCUUAACUAAUUUUUCUCAACACUGGUAUUGAACAGGAAAAUGAAUAUGCAAUUUGUAUUUGUGCCAUUGUGGAGAAUUUGGAUAUUCUUAGUUUUAGUAACAAGGAGAGUAUUUGCCUCAUCUUUAAACAAUGAAUCUUUGAGAAAUGAGGACUGGGUGAUUGGCAGUGUCAGAGUGUCUUCAUGUAAAUGUUCAUUUAUUUGUAUUUUGAACUAUUAUUAGAAUCUUUAUAUGCCAAAUUAGUAAUACAAAUGUUCAGAUGAUUUUUCCUGGUGAUCAUUUCAUUCUUGAGAGCCAUGUACAAUACUAGGAUACCAGAGAAACCAAGGUAGCAUUGAAGUUGCCCCAGUGGCUAGUUUUCCGAUCAUUUUUUAUUCAAAUUUUUAUGUUUCAGAAAAAUGUAAGAAAUUUAUAGAAAUGUUGAUAGCUAUGAUUUUGAAACUUUGCCUAAAAUUGUUAUCAUCACUUAUUGUUUCUUAUUUAAAGAGAAAUCCUAGAAACGUGACAUGAUUAUUCCAUACUUGUUUUAAUAUUAUUUAUUAGCAGCCUAAUUCAAAAUUAGACGUGAUUAUUUGUUACUUUUAAUGCUACAUGUUCUGGGAAUAUUCAGUUGUGGUUAUCUUGUUGAAAUACCAGAAAAUAGCGUUCUAUUUGGUGGUAGUGGAUUCUUGGUUGGUUUGAAUGUAUUAAGCAUCACCUUAAAAGGUUUUUCUGCUGUCCAAAAACUUACGAGCCCCCAAAAGUUUCAAAGCUGUGCACAACCUUUGGAGCUUAUAGACUGUAGUGAUUCAAAGUUGUUUGCCUUCGCAGAGUUGAAGCAUCUUGAAAAACUAGGUUUUUCAAAUUGUGGAAAUUGGAAGAGUUUAAGUUCUGCUGUGUUGAGGAUGGAAAGGCUCGAGAAUGUUUUCGUGUGAACAGCUUCAACGAGUUAAGAUAAAGGCUUGUCAUAAAUUGAGGGAAGUGACAUGGCUUGUAUUUGCUCCGUAUCUUGAGGUUAUUCAAAUAGCCAAAUGUAUGGGGAUAGAAGUAAUAAUCAGUGCAAGGAAAUUGGGUGAAGUUCCAGAGAUGAUGGCAGAUCUAAACCCUUUUGCAAAACUCCAAUAUCUUGGCCCACGAGUUCUACCAAAAUUAAAAAGCAUCUAUUGGAAUCAGUUGCCCUCUCUACAUGUCAGGCGAAUUUUGUGUCUGAAUGCCCAAUUCUCAAGAAGCUUCCACUUGGUUUUAACAAUGCAAAGGAAUCUAAAACUAUCAUUAGGGGAGAAGAACACUGGUUGAAUGAGCUGCAAUGGGAGGACAAAGUGACCCUUAAUGUUCUUCUUCCUUGUUUCGGAUCCAUUUGAAGGCAUCAACAUGGAUUGAUACUUUGCAGUGGAGAAAUUUGAAUAAAACCUAUGGUAAGCGCUUUUCCAUUUAUUGCAUAUUUAUAUCUAACUUUUGUUUUCCUUUGUGGUUAAAUUUUGCUCUAUAUACGUUGUUGUACGGUGACAUUCUCAUAUCAAUUAUUAGCUUUUUAAUUCUCUUCUCACAUUAACUGCCCUUUUGAUCAUGUAGGAUAUGCUGAUGUCAAAGAGUCGUAAUUUGGGAUGCAAAUGUAAGAAUUAGACAGAUGACCAGUUGUUUUGAAGCGCUCGAAGAAGGAUUAAUUACGUCAUUGAAAGGCUCCAAUUUUGUGACUUUUUUUUUUAAUUUGUUGUUUUUUCUAUUUUUAGAUAGCUUGAUUGUCAGUUGUCGUGAUGUAAUGCUUUAGUGUAGAAAAAUGAUAUUCGGCCAAGACAACAUUAGCAGGGCACCUUGUGCAUGCAUACUAGUGGAUAAUUUCGGCAUGCUAAAUCCAAUUAGGGUGGAUGACCCUUUAUAAGCAUUAGGCUUCUCUCAUACCCGAAAACAAUGUAGAAUACGCUUAUAAGCUGCGGAUCACCCAUUAUAAGUUUUAGGCUUCUCCUUUACUCGAGCGAUGUGGAAUACCUUUAUAAGCAUUAAGCUUCUCCCAGUAUCUUUAUGUUAAAAAUAAUAAUAAUAAAAGAAAUCCAUUUUAAAAUAGACUCUUUUUUCUUUUUCUAUAUAAACAAAUGCAUUCUUCAAAUCAAUUGUGGGCAGAAGAAGUUAGUAGAAAAGAACUAGUCCCCUUUCAUUCCCCCUUAAAGCUCACCAAAGCCUCUUUUGUAAGCUUUUCGGAUUUUCUUUCUAUAUUGCUUAUGAUCUCAUUUUUGAUUGAAUCACUUCUUUUGCAUGCUGCAUAUUUUGUUUGUUGUAUUUGGAUAUUAUCGUAUCUGGAAUGCUGUUAUGAUUGAUGGAACAAGUAAUCGAUAUUUGGUCUGAUGGAAGUUGACUUAUUUAUUUAUUGUUAUUUUAAUUUGAAACUAUGUACAAUUGCAUUUCAUUCAUUUCUCUCUCUCCCCCCCCCCCCCCCCCACACACACACACAUAUAUUUGUUAUGUAUAAUUGCGUUUCAUUUGAUAUUGAUCAUGCUGUAGAUAACCAUGUGAUUGUAGAUGGGGAUUUCAAGUUUGUUGAAUAUUCAAGUAAGUGAAGUAACUGUCAAAAUACUAGUGAAAUUGGGAGCUUUAUUCAUGAGCUUGUGGUUUUGAAAAGUACCACAGUUCAACCGAUGAAGGUUCCUUUUUGGGGUUCUUCUUUUUCUAGGCUGCAAUUAGGAUAUGUACAUGUUAGACAAUCUUUUGCGGGUUUAGCAUAUCUUCUCUGAUUUUGUCUUUUAUUCCCCAAUCUUAUAAUUGCACACCAUGAAUGUUGAGUGAUUGUAUAGAAAAUUUGUGUUAUAACCAAAGCGUUGUGAAGGAGUUAAGUUAGUGGCUUCUGUUUUAUUGGCAUUGAUUGGGUAGAUUAUGUGUUACAGUGAUUCAAUUUGUGCUCCAAAGUUUGCUUUAAUUUCUUUUUUCCCUAAUUAUUUAUGUCAAAUUUAAAUCCAGAAGCAUGUACUGAUUUUUUCUUUUUGUAUUAAUCUGUGAAGGUUAUUUGGAAUGGAAGUAUCUGGGUUGGGUCUAACGGAUUAAAUUAUGACAUUGGGGGGAAGGCAGUAAAGGGUUUGCUCGACACAUUUGGUUCUGUGUUUACUUUGCAAGAAAUAGCUUUUGGUUAUCACAAUGCCGGUGGAAUCCCGAUUUGGCUCGUGAAUUUCUUUGUGACAAAUAGGCAAACACAUCAACCUCUUCUAUCCAUCCUUCUACUGGUAAGGCAAGGGGUAAAGAGUCUUCAAAAUCAUCAAAUAGUAACAUCUCUGAGAAUUCAUUUUAUGCAAAUGGAAAAUCUAGACCUUCUAAGACAAAAUGGCGUCCUGUAUCAGGAGGUACCGUUUCAAGUUUUCUUGGUAAAAAUUAUGUUAAACCUGCACAGCCAGCUAAUGGCACAUUUCUAGCAUCAAAGCCAUUGAAGUUGGAUCCAAAGGGGUUUCCCAUGUCUCCACUUUUGCGGAGAAGAUACUAAACUGAAACAAUCAAAGGAUGACCAUUUGCAGAAGGAUAUGGAAGAUUUUCUGUUUAAAUUGCUAGGAGAAGUGUUCCUAUUGUCCUUUUCAAUGUUCUUUCUUUCUUUCUCUUCUUUUCUUCUUCUUCUUCUUUUUUCUUUUUGUGUGCGUGUGAUCACUAAUUUGGUAUUGUAGUUUAGUUGCAGAUAGUUGUGGAUAUGAUAUGCAAAAGGUAAGGACUAUAUCUUCCUGAUGGAGGCCUCUGCUUUUUCCUUUAUGUGUAAUUUAAUAAAUUGCAUCUUCCUUUGUGAUUGUUAUAUCAUAUCAAAGACAAGUCUUAAAUACUGCUGUCAUAUGUUAAGGUUCAACUUGCAGUUUGAUUAACAUUCAUGGCUCAAAGGCCUGAAAAAACUUGCCAGUAAUUGUAAAAUGACAUUCUUUGCUUUUAAUGCAAUAGAGGGAACAGGGAAGUAUAGCUUUGGAAGCCUGGAUUGGUAACUAUAGAGAGACUUAGUAUUUAAUUGAUAAAAAUUCCCAUAACCCAAGGUCAAGAAAAUUUUAGAUCGUUAAAGACUUCAUUUUGUUUCGGCCAGAAAUGUUUGUUUCGAUCGAAGACUUGAACCAUUUCGAUUGAACCUGAUUAUGAUGCUUUACGUUAUGCAUGUUCCUCUUAAUCAAGAAAAGUUGAGGUGAUGAUUUUAUAUUUCUAUAUUGUAAGUUGAAAUAAUAAUUGGUCUGCUUGUUUCUGUAGCUUGAUAACAUGAAUUUUCCUUCUCAAGUUAAUUUAAUCAAUAAAGUAAUUCUUCAAAGAAAAUAUGCCCAUUCUAUAAUCAUUUUCUUAAUUAACAUGUUUUUUUCUUCACACUUCAGAGCAUGUUGAAACUAAUUGAUCGCUCGGCAGAGACUUUGGGUGAGAAGACAAAAUUUCUCGGUAAAUCCUCUGAAAAGGUAUGCAUAAUUCCGCAGUAUUAAAUAACCAAUGGUCAUAAUUUUUGUACAGGACUCUUUUCUUGUGGAGAUAAUUAAAAGUGGCUGAUGAUCCAGUUUGUAUAUCAUAGAGGGAGCAUCAAUUCCUUUUGUUUUCAGUGGCUAGGCAACACUUUCAGGGCAAAGUAAGGAAAUCUAUUUUAGGCAAGUAAAGCCAUGUAGAUGUAAUAGUUAACAUGCACUGACAAUAACUUUGUAUAAUGUCAGUGAACGAUACAAGAGGAAUCUGUUGACAAUCAUCCAAGAUAGAUGCUAAAAUUAUUAUGCAUGCCAGUUGCUUAAUAAUUUUCUUACACUGGUAUUGAAGAGGAAAAUGAAUAUGCAAUUUGUAUAUGUGCCAUGUGAGAAUUUGGAUAUCUAUCUAAGUAACAAGGAGAGUAUUGCCUCAUCUUUAGACAAUGAAUCUUGAGAAUUUGGAUAUUCAUGUAAAUGUUCAUUUGUUUGUAUUUUGAACUAUUAUGAGAAUCUUUUAUAUGCCAAAUUAGUAAUGCAAAUGUUCAGAUUAUUUUUUCUGUUGAUCGUGCAUUUGUGUCUGCACACAACCAUUGUAUAUCACUUCAUUCUGAUGCGCAAGUGUCUGUAGUUUAGAAGAAAAGAAAUAAUAAUGAUAUAUUAUUGCUUGAUUCAUGAUUAUUAAAUGAUUAUGGCUUUAAAAAACCUACAAAUUCCUUUUGUUGAUAUAUGAAUGUACCAAGUUUGCUAUAUCUUAGAUUACCAUUUCCAAGAUAACAAGUUCAAAUUUUUUCUUUAUCCUUUUCCUUCACAGUUGCAUUUUAAGUGUAAGAUUUGUUAUUAAUACCUGGUUUCCCGUCAUUAUGAUUUCAUAAACAGUGUAUGGGUAUGUGCUCUACUUUUGGAGGGCCUCCACGUGAAAGAAAAUUGUAACAAUUGAAUUCUUCCGGAUGGUAUGGUAUUUAAUUUAUUUUCUCAACCUCUUGUAAGACUAAUAUAUUUUCCUUUAGUAGACACGGCAUGGUGGGAAGGGUUUUUUAUUGAAAGAAUUCUGAUAUUUCUUAGACUUUGUUUUGGAAGGGGGUGCAGGGGUUUCUCAUCCAUAUAUGGUUACUUGAUUAGCUUUUGACUGUAUUGCCUCAAUCGUGCAAAGGAAGAUCCAAAUACAAACGAAAGAGAAUUGUUUAGACACCCAGAAGAUGGAAAUGAACUACAGAAGGAAGUUUUUGCUGCUUUAUUUAGUGCUCCUGAGAAAUCUGAUGAAUUUCCUGAAAUUACGGUGAAGACCAAGUGUGAGGUCCAAAGCAUUAGGAAAGGUGGUGAGUGAACUGCCGGAGCAAUUGGUACAGAAUACAAGGCUAAUGUGGUGGACUUGCAGCAAGAUAACCGGAACAGUACGUGCUCUUAUAUUAACUAUAUUGACUGGAUUUGCUAGUGUGUGCAUUUUCGUGUGUAUACUUUUGUAUUUAUGCAUAUUAAUGUGUGUAGGAUUCUUGAUUUCUGCCACUUAUUGGAGAACUAAUGGAAAGCUUUAUACUGGUAUAUCUGCAAUAACUAAUGGAAACUAUGAUAUUAAUAUUUUCUCUCGCUUGGAGAAUGCGUAACAGAUAUACUUUGUGGCUCUGGAAUACUAAAGAUUCUGCAAUAACUAAUGGAAACUAUGAUAUGAAUAUUUUCUCUCACCUGGAGAACUUUGUAACAGUUACACUUUGGGGCUUGGAAUGUCUAAAGAAUUUUGUCUGCUUCAGUUAGAUCAAAUAUCUUUUAGUUACAUACAUUAUAGAAAAGAUAAAGUUCUCUGAAUCUGAAAGACUUAAAAUUUUGCAUAUUUCUUGAUAGGGAAAUAUCUGUAGAUACUAGUUCAUGCAUUGUGGUAGCAUCAGUGUUAAAGAAAAACAGCAGUAAGUUAUUAUAUAGAAUUAGGUUCACUUGCUUUAAAUCCUGGUCUGGUCAACCAUAUGAACCUGUAAGUGGUUCUGUAGAAAUAUAUAUAUACGGGGAGAAAGUAGCUAAAUUUUCCUUUCAUUUAUGGGUUUGGUCAUUUUUUCCCCUUAUUUAUGUUUUCUCACACAUUUUUUAAAUGCCCCAGACAUGCAAUUUUGUAUGUGUCAAUUGCCUUUUAAGUUUUAAAAACCAUAAAGUAAGAAUACAGUUUCUUGUCAGGCUAUUGAUGCAUUUGCUCGGGGGGAUCAUGCUCGAGCAGGAAAACUUCUAGAACAGGUAAGGUUUCCAUCUACAGCCAUUUAUUGACAACAUAUAUAUUUUCAUUCAGCAAGCACUGUUAGCAUUCAAGAUGCUGGCAGAUUCACUUGAUUCUUAUUAGUUUGUUUAGUAGCAAAGCAUAUAACCUGUAUUUUAAAGCUAAGUUGUGCUAUUGAUUAUGUUAACUUUAUUGUUCACAUAAAGUGAUAUUGAGGAAAUAAUCAAUGUAGGAAAAUUAGGUGAAGAGAUGAUGUCAAAUCUUGAACCUCUUACAAAACUCCAAGUUCUUUACUUGAAGAAGCUACCAAAUUCGAACAGCAUCUACUGGAAGGCCUUGCCAUUCCCUGAUGUAUGCAGAAUUUUUGUAUUUAAAUGCCCAGAGCUUAAGAAGCUGCCACUGGAUCUUGAGAGGGCAGGCCAAGGUAAAAUUCUUAUCAAGGGAAAGAAAGAUGGGUGGAAACAACUUCAAUGGGAGGAUCAAGUAACUCAGAAUGCAUUGCUUUCAUUUUAAAAAUCAACCAACAAGUGAUUGAAGGGGGCAUCAUCAACGUAAUCAACAUGGAUGGAGAGAUUCUGGAGCAGAUCAGCGGGGUUUAGUACGACCUGUGGUGGUUUCUUUUUUGUGACUUUUUUGCCUUUCAUUUUUUCACUUCCUGUCAUAUUAUCAUUUCUUUGUCUGUGUUUCUAUUGCUAGUGUUGCUGCAUGCUUGCUGUCCUUGACAAAGUUAGCUAGUUUUUUUUGUUUAUUAAAUUUUGUAUGUUCGGUCGGGACAGUCACAAAGUACUACUUGUUCUAUAUGGGGGUGAUGUGAAUCAACUUUUCAAUUAUAUAUUCUGUGGUAAUUGUGAAUUCAAUUUCAUUUAUCUCCUGCAAAUUAUGAAGAAAGUGCAGAGUUACAAUAUGGAAAAGUUCACUGGCAAAUACUUUGUAAAAGCUUCGGAGUGAAACAGGAAAUGCACUUGCAACUAAGGACAAAUUGGUGGCCGGCUAAUGCAUUCAUUUUAGGGAAAAGGACACAGACCCUCAACGUUUUAAUAAGGGACAUAAAACUCCCUAAUAUUUUAAAAAAAAUACUCAAACCCCCAUUUGUUAAUAGUAAAUUCUAAGUUUAAAGUGUAAUUACCAUUAUACCUUUAUAGCAUAUUAAAAAAUAAUUAUUCAUUAUUCAAUUUAUUCUUAUAUUAUUAAUAAAAUUACGAAUAUAAUUUCAUUAUCUAAUUUUUUCAUUUAAUUUUUGUUAAAUUUUCUCUUCAAACUAAAUAAAUUUAAUCCAUUGCUUAAGAAUAAAAAUAAAUUAAAUUGAUUACUAAUAUAAUAAAAAUAACAUAUAUUUAAUAUAAAAAUAACAUAUAUUAAAUUAAAAUAAAUUUAAUUUAUAUAUAGAGAAUUGUUAUUUUUAAGAAAUUAUCAAUUUAAUUUAUAUAUAAGAAAUUAUAAGAAAUAACAUAUGGAGAAUUGUUAUUUUUAUUAUAUUAAUAAUCAAUUUAAUUUAUUUUUAUUUUUGAGCAAUGGAUUAAAUUUAUUUAGUUUGAAGAGAAAAUUUGAUAAAAAUUAAAUGGAAAAAUUGGGUAAUGAAGUUAUAUUCAUAAUUUUAUUAAUAAUAUAGGAAUAAAUUAGAUAAUGAACAAUUAUUUUUUAAUAUGCUAUAAGGGUAUAAUGGUAAUUGUACUUUAAAAUUAGAAUUUACUGUUAACAAAUAGGGGUCUGAGUGUCUUUUUUGAAACAUUAGGAAAUUUUGUGUCUCUUAUUCAAACGUUGGGGGUUUCUGUGUUAUUUUCCCUUCAUUUUAUGUACAUUCAUCUUUUUAAUUAUUGAAGAUAAGUGGUUCGUUGCUUUUGUUGUAGAUAAAAUUCAGACGACCUCAAUUGUGACAUGACAAUAUUUAAAACAUCUCUUAAAUUAUUAUAAAUUUAAUUUAUCUUAACUUUAUUGAAAAGAUAAAAGAAAAAUGUGGUGUAUGGAUAAAUUUUUUUUUAUCUUCUUAAUCAAAUGGAAUAAAUUAAAAUUUACAAUAAUUUAAAAUAUUUUAAAAAUUAUUAUUUCAUAAGAGAUUAAUAUGAAAUUAAUCGUUUUUACUUUUUUAAUGUGAAAGGACAAGAAAAGAGAAAGCAUGUGUCCCUGCUUUUUAGUUUUUAUUUUAUUUGAAAUCGGAGUUAUCCCAUAUACUUUACUAAUUUAGCUCUAACAUUACAAUGUUUUUAGGCUACACUUUUAUUUUUCUUUUUCCCCCUUUUUUUAUACAUGCAUGUGGAUUACUUUUCUCUAAGCUCCUUAAUAUUUAAGACAAAUCAUAAAAGCAAUUGAAGUAUAACAAGAUGAUCAAAACAUUUAACCAAAAAAAAAGAAAGAAAAAAGAAAGAAAACAUUGAAAAUGGAGAUGUUGAUUAAUUUAGAAGAGAUGCAAGCAAAAGAUAUUCCCAAAAAAAAGAAAAAAAGAAAAAAACAACGUUAGUUCAUCCAUGUCUGUCAAUGCGUUUUUUAUGGUUUUUUUUUUCCAGUUGUUUGUUGUAAUAGAUUGAUUGUAAAUUGAUAUGAAUUUGAUGUUGUAAUAUGUUCGCUUUUGUGGAAUUAAAUUUGAAUAUUCAAGAUUAUUCAAGUCUUAUCUAGUAUGUGUUCAAUUGUGUUGUCGAUAAUUUUGCAUUCGAAUAAUUUUUCACCUAAAAUAUUAGCAUGAGUAGUAGUCCUUGAAAUUUUGGUCAAAAUUAUUGUUAUUGUUUGUUUUAGAGGAAAUUUUUUUAUUAAAGCCUCGUUAACACUAUACCUUAUUAAGAUUAUAAGUUAGUGUCAGUGCAGGAUUUACAGCAACAAAUCUUGUCUAGCCACGUGUCAAAAGUACAAAUAAAUCAAGAGUAAGCACAUGACAUGGAUUAGGAUCCAAUAAGAUUUAAAUCCCAAGGAAAAGGACAAUUGUAUCCUAAAGUUUCAAUAAGAGAUACUGAGAUAUCUUUUGACUAAUGUUAUUUUUUUAGCUUUAUUAAUAAAAAGAUCAAAUAGUUUAUAACAAAUAAAAAUAUAGUAUGAAGCUAAAUGUGAUAAUAUAUACAUUUUACAUAAUUUCAAUAAAAAAAAUUUCAAUAAAAAACAUUUUAAUGUUUUACGAUCUAUUAGACAUAUUUUAUUAAAUUAAUAGGAAUUUUCUGAUAAAUAGCAACAUAAUAUUAAAAUAAAUUUAUAAAGAUUUAAAUGUAAAAUAAUUUUAGUAUAAUUAAUACGUGGGAUAUAUUUUGUAAAUUAUAAAAUUACUUAACCCAAUGAUUUUUAAAAAUCUUUAAAAUAAAUAAAAAUAAAUUAUUCACAUUUUGAUGUAAAUAUUUAAAACAUUUUUAUACAUUAGUCCACAAUUAUUUAUGUUAUAUUUGUAUUUAUUAGAAAUUUUGAAAGUCAAAUGUUUUUCACCUCUAUCUUAUUAGAAUUAUUGCACACAGAGAAAGAGCCAUAUAUGCUUUAUAGCUUUAAAAUCGAUUUGUUUUAUAGCUGGGAACAGAGAUGAUCAUUAUUAUAAGGAUUAAAAAAAAGAUAAAGAAUAUUAAUGAUUAGCGAAAUCUCUAUGGAAAUUGAAUUUAGUAAGAAAAAAUUGAGCUGAUUUUAGCGGUAUAGUAAUAUUUUAUAUAGAGAAAAGUAAAAGCUGCACCCAAGGUUAAGGGAAAUGGUCAAAACUCUUUUUUAAUCAUAAUACUCUUUUUCCUACAUAAUUUAAAAAUUUGACAUUAAUAUUUUAUAAUAAAUAAAAACAUAUAAUCCUAAAAUAAAUAAAAUAAUAUAUAUUUUAAAAUAAUCUCAAUAUUUAAAAUAUAUUUUAACAUUUUAUAGUCUAUCAGAUAUAUUUUAUUUUUUUUAAAGUAAAUUUUAUAAUAAAUACAAAACAUACUAUUAAAAUAGAUAUAAAAAUUUUAAAGUAUUUUGAAUAUUAUAUAAAAUAACUUUAAUAUUGUUAAUGCGUGAGAUGCAUUUUAUUAAUUAAAAAUUCUAUUUAACCCAAAGAUUUAUUUAUAAUAAAUUAAUAAUCAUAUUUUUGAAAUUAUUUUAAAUAUUAAAAAAUAUUUUAAUAUUACUAACUAUUAGAUAGACUAAACUAUUUAUAUUAUUUUCUAUUUAUUAUAAAAUUUCAAAGUUAAUCUUUUUAACUACUAUUCAAAAGAUAUUAUGAUAAAAACAGAAUUUUUCUGUUUUAUUAAAAAUUUAGAGUUUACACCUAUUUUUUCAAAUAUUCGGGGUGUAACUGUUUUAUUUAAAUAAAAUCUCAGUUAAAAAUGUACAGAGAAGAAAUUUCUGUUGGUAUUUUAGUCUUUUACCAAUUAUCACGAUUAGGCCUUGGCCUUGAAACAUUAAUUGUUUCACUUUUAGCGCUAGUGGCGUUGAAAGUUGUCAAGAAAAAGCAAGACCAUAUUCCACAAAAGCAGCUCUUUUAUUAAAGGCAAAGUAUAAAGUAGUCAAGAAUCGAAUAUCCUGUCGUCUACUCUUUUUUAAAUUCUUCUUUUAUUAUCUUUUAGAAUAGUUUUUGGUAAUUACAAUCAUUAUUCAGAGUUAUUGUUAUCUUCUGGGGCAGUCUCUGUUCAUCGAAGUCGUUACCUUUUUUUCAUGGAUCAGUUCCAGUGCCAAGCAGUAAUUUUCUUAGAACUCGGAUCUUUAAUUCGAGUUUCUUUGUGAAUUAAUAAUAAAAAAUUUUCAUUACACGCAAUUUAAGCUACGAAUUACUUUUUGCAAAGUUGAAUAUGAAAUUGGAGAAAUUAAAUAAUUUAGAAUGUUGGUAAAAAUUGACUAACAUAUCCCCAAUUACAGUAAAACCUCUCUACAGUCAUAACAUUAUAACAAAAUUAAUUUUAUUACUAUGUUGAGGUAAUAUAGGUUUAGUUACAAAAUUAUUGUUUUAAUAUGGUUAGUGUCAAGUGAUAUAAAGGUUAAGUAUGCAGUACAUUGAUAAUUAAAUAAUGAAGCGUGUCAAAUCUAACGUAUAUAUAUUAAUGAUAUAGAUAGACAUAGUUUUAAAAAACUAAUUAAUGUAUAUUUAUGUACUGUUAUGAAUAUGGAAAGUCAAGCCUACACUUUACAUUAUCCUUAAUUUUUUCUCUCAGUUAAAUUCUACAAAUAUUGUACAAUGAUUGGGUAAGAACUCUAAAUUAAGAAUAAAUUAUUGUCACAAAUAAUUUUAAAAAAUAUUUUAUUUCAUCUUAAACCUUUAAUGUAAGUAAAUAUAUAUAUAUGUGUGUGUGUGUGUGCAUAUUUUGCAAGGUAUAGAUAAUUGUUAGUAUAUGGAGACAAGUCUUUUAAGGUAGGACCUAGGAAAAUUUAUAACUUACUACAUUGGGGAGUUUUUAUUCCUUUUUAUAAUUGGCUCAUAUUGAUACAUUCUUACACAAAAUAUUACCAUUGACAUAUUUUACUACAAUUGGUUUAGAACAUUUGUUAGGAAAAAAAAAAGAAAAGAAAACAUUCAUUGGAUGUAGCUCUCCCUCGUAUGCUUUUUUCUCCAAAUAUUCCUGCGUCCACAGAAACAAGUCAGAGCACGCCGGUUGUUUUCCCGGCGUAAACCCUCUGACGCUCAAGUCAGAUAUGAAGGCUCUGGGAAUGCUUGCCACAGAUCUUAUGGUUUUUCUGUAGUUUCUAUUCUUUAGAGUUUCAUUUAUCUCUGAAUAUAAUCUCAAAAAUGCUAACCCUUUUACCUUCCUUGGCUACCUUUUUAUAGGCUUCCUCUGAAUCCCGGUCUUCCGUAGUCCACGCCCGUUAUUCUCCCCACCCUCGGAUGUGGAUGCCCCAUUAUCGCCAUUGUGGGCGAAUGGAGAUGGACUUCGUGCCUUGAUUCUCGGAUAGGAAUGCACGUCUUGCCAACUGUCGUUGACUGGGUCUCCUCGCCUCUCGACCUCUAGCCGGAAUGGCCUUAUGCCUCUAACAAGAGUUCGACCUCGUGAAUGGCAUACUCGCGGACGAGCCGAAUAUUUCUGCUCAUGUUCCCCUGCUACCUGGCUCUUACAGGACAUACCUGUUCGCAGAACUCCGCCAUCAAAUAUCUGCUCAUCACGUCUGGUCUCGUUGAAGUAUUUCCCUCAAACAACAUAUUUUACUACAAUUAGUUUAGAACAUUUGUUAGGAAAAAAAAAGAAAAGAAAACAUUCCUUGGAUGUAGCUCUCCUGACUAUUUAAAUCUUUUAAGGAAAAAAAGAAAAAAGAAAAACUGACACAUUCAAAUCUUGAAGCAAUUACAUUAAAACCUCUCCAUAAUGAUAGGAAUAAUCUCCAUUUAGUAAUAAAAAAUUUUGUUCGCAAUCUAGGCAGAGUUAUAAAUAAGAAUAAAAUCCUCAUUGUAAUAAGUUGUAUUUAUUAUGGAUCCCAUCCUAAGGAACUUGUCUCUAUAUAGUAAUAAUUAUUUGCAUAUUAUAAAUAUAUAUGUUGCAUUAGAUUAAAUGAACUUGUCUCCACAUACUACUUAGACAAUGAGAGAAAGUUAUUAAAGAGAACACAAAUAUUUAGAGAUUUUUAAGAUUACUUUGCAUGUUUAUAACAAUAAUACAUUGAUAUAUGUAUUAGUUUUUUGAUAUAUUAGAUUUGACAUGCUCUAUUAAUAAAUUAUUAAUACGAUGCAAACUUCAUCUCUCUAUCCUUGCAAUAAAAGUAACUAAGUUAUAACAAUAAUUAUUAAUAAAUUAUUAAUACGAUGCGUACUUCAUCUCUAUAUCCUUGCAAUAAAAGUAACUAAGUUAUAACGAUAAUUUUUGUAACUACAUGCUUAUUAGGUUUUAACUACUUCAUAAUAAUAAAUUAAUUUCGUCCUAAUAUUAUAAUUAUGUAGAGUUGUAGUGUAUAGACACACCCAAUUUAAAUAGUAAAUCAAAUAAAAUUGUCCCCACAAAAAAGAAAAAAGGGGUAAAGGAUUGUUAUUUCUUCAAACAUUAGGAGCACGUUUGUUCAAGUGCGAUGCCUUUCUUUUGAAGGCAACGUCAGUGGGUACCCAAUAGGACGUGUGUAAAUCUUUCCAAAAUUUCUCCGGUAUAACGGACAGAGAUCAUUACUUUUCUCUUCCAUAGACCACAGCAGCUUCAGUUAAUCAGACUCAAUCAAUUUUCUUGGUUUCUUCGCUUAUCAAAAUUCCAAAAUAUGGGUAGCAUAUUUCAAAUCACAUGCGAUGGUGCUUUUUUCAAUCGUUGCUUGGAUUGCUUUCUUGGAAAAGUAGCAAACACAAGUAAGCUCCAAGAUAACCUUGUUGCCUUGGAGACUGAAUUGGGAAAACUAAUCGUAGCAAAGAACGAUGUGAUGAUGAGGAUUGUCAAUGCUGAACGGCAACAACUGAGAACGCUGGACCAAGUGCAAGUGUGGCUUUCGAGGGUGGAAGCUGUUAAAACUGAAGCUGAUGAAUUGAUAAGACACGGCUCUCAAGAAAUUGACAAAUUAUGUGUUGGAGGCUACUGUUCCAAGCACUGCGCGUCAAGCUACAAGUUCGGGAAACAAGUGGCUAAAAAGCUACGGGAUGUGCAGACUUUAAUCGGCGAAGGAGUUUUUGCGGCGGUGGCUACUGAGGUGGUGCCUGAGAGAGCUCCAGAACCUGUAGCAGAUGAAAGACCCACUGUGCCAACAAUAGUAGGCUUGCAAUCACAACUUGAACAAGUUUGGAGAUGUCUUGUAGAAGAAUCAGUGGGAAUCAUUGGCCUAUAUGGUAUGGGCGGUGUUGGUAAAACUACACUAUUGACCCAUAUCAACAAUAAAUUUCUUGAGAGUCGAACCAGUUUUGAUUGUGUGAUUUGGGCCGUAGUUUCAAAGGACUUGCAACUCGAAAAAAUUCAAGAAGAUAUUGGGAAAAAGAUCGGUUUGGUUGAUGAUUCAUGGAAGAGUAAAAGUGUAGAGGAGAAAGCUCUCGACAUCUUCCGGAGUUUAAGAGAGAAGAGAAUUGUAUUGUUGUUAGAUGAUAUAUGGGAGCGGGUUGAUUUAACAAAAGUGGGCAUUCCACUUUCGGGACCAAAGAAUACUACCUCAAAAGUCGUAUUCACAACCCGUUUCAUCGAUGUUUGUGGUAGCAUGGAAGCUGACAAGAAGUUCCAAGUGGCAUGCUUAUCAGAAGAGCAUGCUUGGGAACUGUUUCGAAAAAAAGUUGGGGAAGAAACUCUUGAGAGUGAUCAUGAUAUCGUUGAGCUAGCCCAAACUGUGGCCAAAGAGUGUGGUGGUUUGCCACUCGCACUUAUUACUAUUGGUCGAGCUAUGGCCUGCAAAAGGACAGCCGAGGAGUGGAGACACGCAGUUGAAGUGCUAAGAAGAUCAGCUUCUGAGUUUGCAGGUUUGGGAAAAGAGGUGUAUCCUCUUUUAAAGUUUAGCUAUGAUAGUUUGCAGAAUGAGACGAUUAAAUCUUGUUUCUUAUAUUGUUGUUUAUAUCCCGAGGAUUAUGGCAUUCUUAAAUGGGACUUGAUUGAUUGUUGGAUUGGUGAGGGAUUCUUAGAGGAAUCUGACAGGUUUGGUGCAGAAAACCAAGGAUACUACAUUGUGGGCACUCUUGUUCAUGCGUGUUUACUAGAAGAGAUAGAAGAUGAUAAAGUAAAAAUGCAUGACGUUGUUCGUGAUAUGGCUUUAUGGAUAGCUUGUGAAAUUGAGAAGGAGAAGAGAAACUUUUUGGUUUGUGCAGGUGCUGGAGUAGGAGCGGUACCAGAUGUUGAAGGAUGGGAAAAUGUGAGAAGAUUGUCAUUGAUGCAAAACCAAAUUGAAAUUCUGUCAGAGGUUCCCACAUGCCCUCAUCUCCUCACUUUAUUUCUUGACUUUAAUUAUAAAUUGGAGAUGAUCACUGAUGGCUUCUUCCAAUGUAUGCCUUCUCUCAAAGUUUUGAAGAUGUCAAACUGUGGGCAUGUCAAAGUUUUGAAAUUACCUUUUGGGAUGUCAAAGUUGGGUUCACUACAACUUCUUGAUAUUUCACAUACCGGCAUAAGAGAGUUACCAGAAGAGUUAAAGUUGUUGGUAAAUCUGAAAUGUUUGAAUUUGAGGUGGACACAUAUGUUAAAUAAAAUUCCACGGCAGCUAAUAUCAAAUUCUUCAUGGUUACGUGUGUUGAGAAUGUUCGCUAUUGGCUUUGAAAAUUCUAAAGAACCAUCAGAAGACAGCGUUUUAAUUGGUGGGGGUGAAGUUUUAGUACAGGAAUUGCUCGGUUUGAAAUAUUUAGAGGUAUUGGAGUUGACCUUGCGAAGUUAUCAUGCUCUCCAUUCUUUUUUGAGCUCAAAUAAGUUAAAAAGUUGUAUUCGAUCUCUUUUCCUCAAUAAGCUGGGAGAUACAAAGUCGAUUGAUGCUACGGCUUUGGCAGAUCUAAAGCAUCUCAAUGAAUUAUAUAUUCUUUUUUUUNNNNNNNNNNNNNNNNNNNNNNNNNNNNNNNNNNNNNNNNNNNNNNNNNNNNNNNNNNNNNNNNNNNNNNNNNNNNNNNNNNNNNNNNNNNNNNNNNNNNNNNNNNNNNNNNNNNNNNNNNNNNNNNNNNNNNNNNNNNNNNNNNNNUCUUUCGCUAUACGGUUGUAAUGCUGUGGAAGAAAUAAUCAGCGUUGGGAAAUUUGCUGAGGUUCCUGAGAUGAUGGGACAUAUAAGCCCUUUUCAGAAUCUCCAAAAGCUUGAUUUAUCACAUUUGCCAGCUUUGAAGAGCAUCUACUGGAAGCCAUUGCCUUUCGCUCAUCUGAAAGAAAUGGUGGUGCAUUGGUGUGAUCGGCUUAAAAAGCUUCCGCUCGAUUCCAACAGUGCAAAAGAGCGUAAAUUUGUUAUUCGUGGAAGAGCAGACUGGUGGAACCGUCUUCAAUGGGAGGAUGAAGCCACUCAAAUUGCUUUCCAUUCCUGUUUCCACCUAAUGAAAUAUAAAUUCCUUAGCGGUGGUUGCAAAAUUUGAUUUCUAGUGAGUGCUUUUUUCUUAAACUCUUACAUUUAUUUCAGAUUCGUUUUUUGUCUCCUGCAAAUCACAAUUAAAUGCUGAAUUAUAUGGAGUCAAUGCUUUAGAAAAUUUUCAAGGCACUGCCAUUUCCUUUUUUCCAUUUUUUUUUGGGUCGAAUUGAUGCUCUGGCUUUUUACUUUUUGUUGUCAAAUUUUGCUCUGUUUUUUCAAGUUGAUGCUUGAAUAGUUGAAUUCAAUUAAUGCUCACAUAAAUUUGUUUAGUUGCCGUAAAAGGAUAUAAUUAGACUGAAGUACACACUUCUAGAAUGAAUACAAAAUGUUAAGUAUACUAGCCCUCUUUACAGAAAAUCAAAUGAAAAUCAAUUUUUUGGGGCUUUGAUUUUCUAUGGUCUAUUAUAUACUCUUUUUAAUAUCUUCUGUUCUAACUAUAACCAAAUCCUUUGUUCAAGGAUUUUUAUUUGGGGUAUUGAUAACUAUCCACCAAAAGAGUGAACACUUGGAUGCUGCUCAAGGAUCUCUAAUCAAUAGCUGGAAGCAACUGAGAAGGCGGUCGCUGCUGUUUACAAAGUGAUGCAGUAUUUGCCAUUCAUCUUAAUAAUUAUGAAGCUUUGGUAAAAUUUUCAAACAAAAUUGAACAUGUUGUUUGAGAUUUGGUUCAUGAUUUUGGAUGAAUAUCGUUGUUCCGUUUGAGUUGGAUGUGAAUUCAAAAUCUAUAUAUUCUUUGGUUUUCAAGUCUGAACUCAAUUUCUUUUUCUCAAGCAUGUUAUGCAGAAAUGAUUUUUACUAAAUCAUUUUUGAUGAAUUGUUUAAAUUAAACACUUGGAAUAAGAAUUGUAAACGUUUAUCAUAAGCAUGCUAAUAUGAUAAAUUGUUUUAUGAACGACUAAUUAAUUAAUCAAUUAAUAUUAAAUUAUAUAUUAAUCAAUUAGAUAUGCGUUACAUGUCAUGUUUAAAAACUAUUUAUUUAUAUUUCAAACAAAUUUGACUGGAUGUUGUGUAGGUAAUACUACAUAAUUUCAAAACAAAAAAAAGUAAUAAAAACACGUUAAAUUUUGUUUUUAUGAAGAAAAAUUUAAAAUUUUAUUAAAUAGGUGAAAAUAAUAAAUGGAUUCGUGUAUGGUUUGAGAUUCUUGACAUAAUUAUGAAAUAAGCCGGAUUCGACUUAGUUCAAUUUUGACGCGAUAAGAAGACGACACCACACAAACACACGACAAGAACCGUUACCUGAGAAGAUUGCCAUCAGGAAUUUUGAAAUUGAUUUCACUACAAUAUCUUAAUCUUUCAGAUACUCCCAUCACUGAGCUGCCAUAAGAGCUAAAAGCCUUGGUAAAUCUUAAGUGUUUGAACUGUACACAAAUUAUCUCUCUACAAUUCAAAAACAACUGAUUUGUUACUUUUCAAUGCUACAUGUUCUGCGAAUAUUGAGUUGUGGUUAUCUUGUUGAAAUAUCAGAAAAUAGAGUUCUAUUUGGUGGUAGUGAAUUGUUGGUUGGGGAGUUACCUAGUUUAAAACGUUUAAAUGUAUUAAGCAUCACCUUACAAGGUUUUUCUGCUGUCCAAAAACUUAUGAGCUCUCAAAAGUUUCAAAGCUGUACAAAAUGUUUGGAGCUUAUAGACUGUGAUGAUUCAAAGUCUUUUGCCUUGGCAGAGUUGAAGCAUCUCGAGAAACUAGUUUUUCGAAUUGUGGAAGAGUUUAAGUUCUGCUGUGUUGAAGUUGGAAAAGCUCAAGAAUGUUUUCGUUUGAACAGCUUUCCCCGAGGUAAUAUAAAGGCUUGUCAUAAAUUGAGGGACGUGACAUGGCUUGUAUUUGCUCCAAAUCUUACGGUUAUUCAAUAGAAAAAUAUAUGCAGAUGGAAGUAAUAAUCAGUGCAAGGAAAUUGGGUGAAGUUCCAGGGAUGAUGGCAGAUCUAAACCCUUUUGCAAAACUCCAGUAUCUUCGUCUGCGAGUUCUACCAAAAUUAAAAAGCGUCUAUUGGAAUGAGUCACCCUUUCCACAUGUCAGGGAAAUUAUUGUAUCUGAAUGCCCAAUUCUCAAGAAGCUUUCACUCGGUUUUAACAAUGCAAAGGAAUCUAAAAUUGUCAUUUAUUACAUGUUUAUAUCUAACUUUUGUUUUCCUUUAUGGUUAAAUUUUACUUUAUAUAUGUUGUUAUACGGUGACAUUCUCGCAUCAAUUGUUAGCUUUUUAAUUCUCUUCUCCCAUUAAUUGCCCUUCUGAUCAUGUAAGAUAUGCCGAUGUCAAAGAGUAGUAAGUUGGGAUACAAAUGUAAGAAUUAACCAGAUGACAUGUUGUUUUGAAGCUCUCGGAGAAGGACUAAUUAUGUCAUUCAAAGCAUCCAAUUUCGCUACUUUUUUUUUCAUUUGUUGCUUUUUCUAUUUUUAGAGAGCUUGAUUGUCAGUUGUCGUAAUGUAAUGUUUUAGUGUAGAAAAAUGAUAUUCGGCCAAGACAUCAAUAGGAGGGCACAUUGUGCAUGCACACUAGUGGAUGAUUUCGGCAUGCCGAAUCCAAUUAGUGUGGAUAACCCUUUAUAAGCAAUUGGCUUCUCUCAUACCAGAGCAAUGUAGAAUAUAUUUAUAAACUGUGGAUUACUCUUUAUUAGGCUUCUUCUAUACUCGAGCAAUGUGGAAUACCUUUAUAAGCAAUAAGCUUCUCCCCUACACUUUAUGUUAAUAAUAAUAAUAAUAAAAUAAAUCCAUUUUAAAAUAGACUUUUUUUUUCUUUUUCUAUAUAAACAAAAUGCAUUCUUCAAAUCAAUAGUGGGUGGAAGAAGUGAGUAGAGAAGAACUAGUCCCCUUUCAUUCCCCUAAAACCUCACCGAAACCUCUCUUGUGAACUUCUCAGAUUCUCUCUCAAUAUUUCUUAUGAUCUCGUUUUUGAUAGAAUCACUUCUUUUGCAUGUUGCAUUUGGUGUGUCUUUUUUGGGUAAUAUCUUAUCUGGAAUGCUGUCAUGAUCAAUAGAACAAGUAAUCAAUUUUUGGCUUGACGGAAGUCGAUUUAUUUAUUUACUAUUAUUUUUAUUUGAAAUUUUGUACAAUUGUGUUUCAUUCAUUUCUUUCCUUUUUUUUUAAUAUUUAUUAUGUAUAAUUGUGUUUCAUUUGAUAUUGAUCAUACUCUAGAUAACUAUGUGAUUGUAGCUGGGGAUUUUAAGUUUUGUGAAUUCAAGAAACUGUCAAAAUGCUAGUGAAAUUGGGACCUUUAUUCAUAAGCUUGUGGUUUUGAAAAGUAGCCCGGUUCAACUGAUGAAGUUCCUUUUUGGGAUUCUUUUUUUUCCUAGGCUGCAAUUCGGAUAUGUACCUGAUAGACAAUCUUUUGUGGGUUUAGCAUAUCUUCUCGGAUUUUGUCUUUUAUUCCUCGAUUUUAUAAUUACACACCAUGAAUGUUGAGUGAUUGUAUAGAAAAUUUGUGUUAUAACCAAAGCAUUGUGAAGGAGUUAAGUUAGUGGCUUCUGUUUUAUUGGCAUUGAUUGGGUAGAUUACGUGUUACAGUGAUUCAAUUUGUGAUCCAAACUUUGUUUAAAUUUCUGUUUUCCCAAAUUAUUUAUGUCAAAUUCAAAACCAGAAGCAUGUGCUGAUUUUUUCUUUUUGUAUUAAUCUGUGAAGUUUAUUUGGAAAGGAAGUAUCUGGGUCUAAUGGAUUAAAUUAUGUAAGUGGCAGAAAUUCCUACACACAUAAAUAUGCAUAAAUACAAAAGUAUACACAAAAAAAUGCACACACUCAUACAUCCAGUCAAUAUAGUUAAUGUAAGAGCACAUACCGGUUUGGUUAUCUUGCUGCAAGUGCACCGCAUUAGCCUUGCAUUCUGGUGCCAACUCCUCCGGCGGUUCACUCACUACCUUUCCCAAUGCUUUGGACCUCCAUUCGGUCUCCAUCAGAUUUCUCAGGAGCACUAAAUAAAGCAGCUAAAACUUGCUUCUGUAGUUCAUUUCUGUCUUUCGGGUGUCUAGGCAAUUUUCCUUCGUCGGUAUUUCGAUCUUCCUUUACAUGACUGAGGAAAUACAGUCAAAAGCUAAUCAAGUAACCAUAUAUGGAUGAGAAAUCCCUCCACCCCCCUUCCAAAACAAAUUCUAAGAAAUAUCAGAAUUCUUUCAAUAAAAACCCUUCCCCCCAUGCUGUGCCUGCUGAAUGAAAUAUAUUAAUCUUACGAGAAGUUGAGAAAAUAAAUUAAAGAACAUACCCUCCGGAAGAAUUCAAUUGUUGCAAUUUUCUUUCACGUGGAGGUCCUCCAAAGUUAGAGCACAUAUCCGUACACUGUUUAUGAAAUCAUAAUAACAGGGGACCAGAUAUUAAUAACAAAUCUUGACACCUAAAAGUCAACUGUGAUGAAAAACAUUAAAAAGAAUAUGAACUUGUUAUCUUGGAAGAAGAUAAUUUAAGAUAUAGCAAACUUGGCACAUUCAUAUAUGAACAGAAGGAAUUUGUAGACGUUUUAAAGCCAUAAUCGUUUAAUAAUCAUGAACCAAGCAAUAAUAGAUGAUUAUUAUGUUGGGUGCAAGCGGAAGUGCAGAAAAAUUUUUAUUUAAGAUCAGAGUAUUUUGCUGGAAAUUUCUGAAACUUUAUUGCUUAAUUCAUUUUUUCGUUUCUCUCUUACUUUUCAUACAACCAGAGUUCUAUAUUUAUAUGCAUUAUAGACAACUCUAGAGAUUACAUUAAUCAUGCUUUACAUUUCCAAAGCCACAUUGCAAACAUCAAUUCUACCCUUUACUUCACGUUGAAAAACAAACCAAAUAAUCCUUCAAACUUCUUGCUCAAUUUACUAGAUUACUAAUUAUAUCUCAACACCCCCUCUUAAUUAGUAAUCUUCAAUUGCUUCUUGAAUUUUUCAAACUUCUCAAUAAUGAUUGCUUUGGUCAGAAAAUCUGCUGGCUGCUCAUUAGUGCUGAUAAACUCCAUAUUAACUUCUCCUUUGCUUACUAAGUCACGGAUGUAGUGAUAACGCAGCUCAAUGUGCUUAGAUUUAGCAUGAAAUACGAGGUUCUUUGUUAGAGCAAUGGCUGACAUGUUGUCACAAUAAAUUGUUGUUGCAGCAUCUUGAUUGAACUGCAAAUCCUUGAGAAUUCUUCUAAGCCAAACGGCUUCACAAGCUGAUUCAGUUGCUGCAAUGUACUCUGCCUCGGCUGAGGAUAAAGCUACUGACUUCUGCUUCCUUGAGCUCCAUGAAAUCACAUUUGUACCAAGACAAAAUAAAUAACCUGAUGUGCUUUUUCUGUCAUCAAGGGAACCAGCCCAGUCACUGUCAGUAAAACCAACAAGCUUGCAAUUGUCUUCUUUUUCAUACAUGAUCCCCUGCUUUUUUGUUCCUUGAAGAUACCUUAAGAUUCUCUUUGCUGCAAUAUAAUGGGACUUCCUUGGAUCAUUCAUAAAUCUAGAAAGAACACUAACUGAGUGCAAAAUGUCAGGUCUUGAGUUGGUUAGAUAAAUCAACGAACCAACCAAGCUUCUAUAGAUUCUUGCGUCAGCCUUUUCUUCUUUUUCAUCAUGUUUCAAUUUUUCAUUCAAACCCAUAGGAGUAGGUGCUGGUUUGCAUUUGAACAUGUGGAAUUUCUUCAACAAAUCUUCUACGUAUUUUUCUUGACAAAAGAAGAUUUUUCCUCUGGCUUGCUUCACUUGAAUGCCAAGAAAAUACUUCAUUAAGCCCAAGUCAGUCAUCUCAAAUUCAUCUAGCAUGCUUUUUUUAAACUCUUCCACCAUUUUCAGAUUAGUGCCACAAUAAAUUAGAUCAUCAACAUAAAGGCAAACAAUAAGGAAAUCAGUACCUUCCUUUUUGACAUAAAGAGAAGGUUCACUUGAGCUUCUGUCAAAUCCAUUUUUAACGAAAUAUCUAUCAAUUCUGCUAUUCCACGCUCGAGGGGCUUGCUUCAAGCCAUACAAGGCUUUUCGGAGUUGAUAAACUUUGUUUUCUUCACCUUUCACUUCAUAUCCUUUAGGUUGCUCAACAUAAACCUCUUCUUCAAUUUCACCAUUUAGAAAUGCCGAUUUUACAUCUAGUUGAAACACAUGUAAUUCCAUUUGGGCUGCCAAGGCAAGAACAGUUCGAAUAGUCUCCAUUCGAGCUACGGGAGCAAACGUUUCUGUAAAAUCAACUCCAGGCAGCUGAGAGUAUCCUUUGGCAACGAGCCGCGCCUUAUAUUUUUUAACUGAACCAUCUUCAUUGUACUUGAUUUUGAAGAUCCAUUUCAGCCCAAUUGUUUCUUUUCCAUUUGGCAAAUUAACCAUCUCCCAAGUUUUAUUUUUCACAAUGGUGGCCAUUUCCUCGUUCAUUGCUUGGAUCCAAUUUUCAUUUCUUGAGGCCUCCUCAAAGUCUUGAGGCUCACAAGAAAAUAAAGCAAGUUCACAUGACUCAUAAAUUUCUCUCAUUGACUUUAUCUUCCUUGGAGGGCUUUCAUCAUCCGAAGAACUUUCUGCUGCUGAAUUUGGAGAAUUUGGUUCCAAAUUAUUUUGCUGUGAAGAAUUUGGUGGAGAUACAGGAGCUUCGAAAAAGCUAGAUGCUUGAGAUUGAUCUUUUUCCCACUGCCAAGCUGAUGCCUCAUCAAAUACAACAUCUCUUGAGAUAACAAGCUUAUUUGUUGUAGGAUUCAACAACCGAUACCCUUUAGACUCAUCACUAUAGCCAAUAAACAAAUAUUUUUCACCUUUUUCAUCAAACUUCUCUCUGUUUUGAGCUAGAAUAAGAGCAUAAGCAAUACUCCCAAAAAUCUUCAAGUGAUCAACAGUUGGCUUUCGGUUGUGCCAAGCUUCAAAUGGAGUUUUGUCUCUAACAGCUUUUGUAGGAGACCUGUUGAGGAUGUACACAGCUGUAUGACAUGCUUCUGCCCAUAAGUUGUUAGGAAUGCCUUUGCCUUUUAACAUGCUUCUUGCCAUCUCUACAAUGGUACGGUUCUUCCGUUCUGCAACUCCGUUUUGUUGUGGACUUCGGCUGACAGUAAGUUGUCUUUGAAUUCCAUUAUCCCUGCAAUAAUUCAUGAAUGGAGUGUAGAUAAAUUCACCACCACGAUCAGUUCUCAAGGUCUUCAUUUUGCAUCCACUUUGCCUUUCUGCAAGAGCUUUAAACUGAAGAAAAGUUGAGAAAGCUUCUGAUUUUUCAUUCAAAAAAUAAAUCCACAUCAUCCUUGUAUAGUCAUCAACAAAAAGAAUGAAAUAUCUCCUGUUAUUGAGAGAGAGAGUCCUUGUAGGACCACAAAUAUCAGCAUGCACCAACUCCAACGGAGCUUUGGCUCUCCAUGAAUUUUUAGGAAAUGGAAGUCUAUGCAUUUUUCCAUAUAUACAGCCCUCGCAAACUUUUUCAUAUCUUCCAACAUCAGGUAAGCCAAUCACCAUGUUCUUUUGCUUGAGCAAAUUCAGCCCUUUAUAGUUUAAAUGACCAUAUCUGAGAUGCCAUAAAUUUGACAAAUCUGAAUUUUCAGUUUUGAGAGCAACAUUCUCAUCAAGUGGCAUAACAAGAGGAAAAACUUUGUUCUUUGACAUUUCAACAACGGCCACUGUAUGAUUAUUAGUUUUAUCAAUGAUUUUGCAUUUUUCAUCAUCAAAAUAAAUUGAAAAACCCUUUUGAAUUAGCUGCCCCACACUCAAGAGGUUUUGAGUUAAAUUUGGAACAUAAAGAACGUCAUAAAUGAGCUUUUUGUUACCUCCCUUUGUAUGGACAGCAAUAGUGCCUUUUCCCACAGCUUUCUGCAUCUUUCCAUCUCCAAGCUUCACUUGCGAAUUAAAACUUUGGUCAAGGUUGAUGAAAAUGUCACGUUCUCCAGUCAUGUGGUUGCUACAACCGCUAUCCAAGUACCACAAAUUAUAUGAUUCACGUUCAGCACCUUUACUUGAAUAAAACAAGUAAUCUCCAUCACAUUCUUUUGUAAAAUUUGCCUCAUUUUUGCCUUUCUUAUUUUGAUACCAGCAAUCCCUUUGAGAAUGGUUAGGAAUGCGACACCUUGUGCAUUUAUAACGACAAUCUUUUGAUUCAUGAUUAGACCGAUUACAAAUGAUGCACUGAGAAUCUGAAUUUUGCUGUGAAUUCCCUCUGUCAUUUUUCCACUUGUUGCGGUUGUCGUUCUGUUCUCUUUGCCCUAUGCCACGCUGCUCGUUUCUUUGAGACGAGCCUCCGUUCUUCUGGUCUUUCUUGCUGCUUUUAUUCUGAUCUGAAUUAUUAAUCUUUGACUGAAAAGCUUGCUCUGUAGGCUGACUUGAAGGUCGAUUGAUUCUUUGCUCAUGAGACCGUAAUGAUCCUGACAAAUCUGAAAAAGUCAUCUUGGACAAAUCCUUUGAUUCUUCAAUGGCUGCUGCUACAUGAUCAAACUUUGGAGGAAGACAUCUCAGCACCUUUUCAUUCACCUUCUUGUCUUCAAUGGAGUCCCCACAACCUUUAAUCUGGUUCACAAUCUCAGUAACUCUACUGCAAAAAUCCUGAAUUCCUUCUCUGUCUUUCAUUGAUAAAUUAUCGAACUCUUUCCACAAAGUCUGUAACUUGAUGGUGACUGCCUUUUCAGAACCUUGAAAUUCUUGUUUUAGGAUUUUCCAAGCAUUUUUGGCCUUUUUGACACCAAAUAUUCUGGGGAAAAUUGACUUACUAACACCUUGCUGGAUAUAUCGAAGUGUCGUGGCAUUUCUCUGUAUGUUUUCUUUGUACUGCUGUUGAUGUGCUGGAGUCCAAUCUGAAGAACUUGCAGAUUCUGGUGGUUCAGCAUAUCCAUCUUCAACAACAUCCCAUAAAUUUUGAGAGAGGAAAAAGGUUUCCAUUUGAUUACUCCAAUAUUCAUAAUGUACCCCUUCAAAUAUUGGAACUUGACUGGGAGCAUAUGAGAAUAAUGUGGGUAGGGUAUUUGAUGUCAUUUUGAGGGUGUUUUGGAAAAGCUCUGAUACCAAAUUUGUUGGGUGCAAGCGGAAGUGCAGAAAAAUUUUUAUUUAAGAACAGAGUAUUUUGCUGGAAAUUUCUGAAACUUUAUUGCUUAAUUCAUUUUUUCGUUUCUCUCUUACUUUUCAUACAACCAGAGUUCUAUAUUUAUAUGCAUUAUAGACAACUCUAGAGAUUACAUUAAUCAUGCUUUACAUUUCCAAAGCCACAUUGCAAACAUCAAUUCUACCCUUUACUUUACGUUGAAAAACAAACCAAAUAACCCUUCAAACUUCUUGCUCAAUUUACUAGAUUACUAAUUAUAUCUCAACAUAUUAUUCCGUUUCUUCUAAGCUACGCAUACUUGCACAUCAGAAUAAAGUGAUAUACAAUGGUUGUGUGCAGACACAAACGCAUGAUCAACAGGAAAAAUCAUCUGAACAUUUGUAUUACUGAUUUGGCAUAUAAGAUUCUCAUAAUAGUUCAAAAUACAAAUAAAUGAAUAUAUAUAUAUUCCCCACCGGAAUCACCCCCUGGAUCCUCACUCAAGGUGUCUUCCGAGCCAGAAGAUCCCUCCUCACCACUAUUUCCGCUCGUGGAGGUUGUUUGGGGGGACAUCCUCCUAGCGCUAGUCCCAACACUAGACCUAAUGGGUUCUAAGGGGAUCCCGGGGUCAAAAGCAGGAUCGGUGAGCAGACUAGACAAGAAACCUAAUUCGUCGUCAUCAAUCUCAACGAUUUUCUCUUUACCCUUCGACAUUCCCUAAACUAUAAUCAGAACACCACCACCAACUACAACCCCAAGCAAAGCACAGAGAAAAGAAAUUAUCUACAACUAACCAAGACCGAGAAAAUAGAAGAAAUACCUGAAGCAGGGAUUCGAUCAGAGAGAGAUAGGGAUGAAAGCUUUAAUGCCGAGGUUCAUUCGCCGGAGAGACAAGAAGGGAGAAAAUGACGAGUUCGUGUUUGAGGAUUUUGGGUUUUCUUACUGAGAAGCAAACUCUUGGGCUGCCAGCAUUUAAUGACACAUAUUCCGAGAAUCUUGCAACCGUAGGUUUGAAAUUCAAAUGGAGGGGUGGAUUUCUGCCACAUCACUUCAUCUGCAAUUAAAUGCGACACGACUCUUGGCAGUCUUUUCCAGUCCCACGCGAGCAAGAACCGAUUGAGUUUCUACUGCUGGUCCAUUACAUUACCCAACACCAGAAACUGGGGGACUGGUGUUUGAGGGAAAUACUUCGACGAGACCAGACGUGAUGAGCAGAUAUUUGAUGGCAGAGUUCUGCAAACAGGUGUGUCUUGUAAGAGCCAGGUAGCAGGGGAACAGGAGUAGGAAUAUUCUGCUCGUCCACGAAUAUGCCAUUCACGAGGUCAAACUCCUGUUAGAGGCAUAAGGCCAUUCCUGCUAGAGGUCGAGAAGCGAGGAGACCCGGUCAACGACAGUUGGCAAGACGUGCAUUCCUAUCCGAGAAUCAAGGCACAAAGUCCAUCUCCAUUCGCCCACAAUGGCGAUAAUGGGGCAUCCAUAUCCCGGGGGGGGGAGAAUAAGGGGCGUGGACUACGGAAGAUCGGGAUUCAGAGGAAGCUUAUAAAAAGGUAGCCAACGAAGGUAAAAGGGUUAGAAUUUUUGAGAUUGCAACUAAGAAAAGAGAGCUCUAAGAACUGAAACUAAAGAGAAGCCAUAAGAUUCGUGGCAAACAUUCCCAGAACCUUCAUAUCUGACUUGAGCGUCGGAGGAUUUACGCCGGGAAAACGACCGGCGCACCCUGACCUGCUUUUGUGUUCGCAUGAAUUUUUGGGGAAGAAACCUUACGAGGAGAGAUCCUGGUCAUGGUAGAGUUGGUCGAGCAGAGGUCCUGGUCUUGGUAGAGAAGGCAACCAGAAUCUCGCAUCAACAAUUAUUUUACUUGAAAUUAUGUACAAUUGCAUUUCAUUCAUUUCUCUCUCUCUUUUUCUUUUUUCCCCCCAUAUAUUUUUUAUGUAUAAUUGCGUUUCAUUUAAUAUUGAUCAUACUGUAGGUAACCAUGUGAUUGUAGAUGGGGAUUUCAAGUUUGUUGAAUAUUCAUGUAAGUGAAGUAACCGUCACAAUACUAGUGAAAUUGGGAGCUUUAUUCAUGAGUUUGUGGUUUUGAAAAGUACCACAGUUCAGCUGAUGAAGGCUUCUUUUUGGGAUUCUUCUUUUCCUAGGCUGCAAUUAGGAUAUGUACAUGAUAGACAAUCUUUUGUUGGUUUGGCAUAUCUUCGCUGAUUUUGUCUUUUAUUCCCCAAUUUUAUAAUUACACACCAUGAAUGUUGGGUGAUUGCAUAGAAAAUUUGUGUUAUAACAAAAACAUUGUGAAGGAGUUUCUGUGCUAAUAGUUAGUGGCUUCUGUUUUAUUGGCAUUGAUUGGGUAGAUUACGUGUUACAGUGAUUCAAUUUGUGUUCCAAACUUUGCUUUAAUUUUCUGUUUUCCCCAACUAUUUAUGUCAAAUUUAAAUCCAGAAGCAUGUACUGAUUUUUUCUUUUUGUAUUAAUUUGUGAAGUUUAUUUGGAAUGGAAGUAACUGGGUCGGGUCUAAUGGAUUAAAUUAUGACAUUGAGGGGAAGGCACUAAAAGGGUUUGCUUGACACAUUUGGUUCUGUGUCUGCAAGAAAUAGCUUUUGCUUAUUGCAAUGCAGGGGGAAAUCCCGAUUUGGCUGGUGAAUUUCUCUGCAACAAACGGGCAAACACCUUGACUUCUUCUGUCCAUACUUCUGCUGGGGAGGCAAGGGGUAAAGAGUCUUCAAAAUCAUCAAAUAGUAACAUCUCUGAGAAUUCAUUUUAUGGAAAUGGAAAAUCUAGAGCUUCUAAUACAAAAUGGUAUCUGGUAUCAGGACGUACCGUUUCAAGUUUUCUUGGUAAAGAUUAUGUUAAACCUGCACAGCCAGCUAAUGGCACUUUUCUGGCAUCAAAGCCAUUGAAGUUGGAUCCAAGGGAGUUUCGCAUUUCUGCACUUUCAGAGAAGAAACUAAACCGAAACAAUCAAAGGAUGACCAUUUGCAGAAGGAUAUGGAAGAUUUUCUGUUUAAAUUGCUAGGAGAAGGGUUCCAGCUGUACAGGGAUGUGAUUCAGAUGGUUCAUGGUAACGUCUUAAAUAUAUUGAUGCCAAUUUAAUACAUAUUGUCCUUUUCAAUGUUCUUUCUUUCUUUCUCCUCUUUUUAUUCUUCUUCUUCUUCUUUUUUCUUUUCAUGUGCAUCUGAUCACUAAUUUGGUAUUAUUCUUAACUUGCAGAUAGUUGUGGAUAUGAUAUGCAAAAAGGUAAGGACUAUAUCUUCUUGAUGGAGGCCUCUGAUUUUUUAAAUCGCAUUUUCCUUUGUGAUUGAUAUAUCAUACCAAAGUCAAGUCUUAAAUACUGCUGUCAUAUGUUAAGGUUCAACUUCCAUUUUGAUUAACGUCGAUUUGCUACUGCUUCCAAAAGUGAGAAUGAGAUACUUUGGUUAAUUUCAGUAGUUGAACCCAAUAGAGUACUUUAUUUAGAUCUUCAUGGUUCAAAGGCCUGAAAAAACUUGCCGGUGUUUGCAAAAUGACAUUCUGUGCUUUUAUUUAGACUUAUUAUUAAAGACAACAUUUUGUUUCAGCCAAAAAUGUUUGUUUCGAUUAAAGACUGAUUUUAUAUUUCUAUUUUGUAACUUGAAAUAAUUGGUCUGCCUGUUUCUGUUGCUUGAUAACAUGAAUUUUUCCUUCUGAAGUUAAUUUGAUCAAUAAAGUAAUUCUUCGGAGAGGAUAUGCCCAUUCUAUAGUCAUUUUCUUAGCUAACAUGUUUUUUCUUCACUCUUCAGAGCAUGUCUAAACUAAUUGAUCGCUCAGCGGAGACUUUGGGUGAGAAGACAAAAUUUCUUGGUAAAUCCUCUGAAAAGGUAUGCAUAAUUCCCGAGUAUUAAAUAAUCAUUGGUCAUAAUUUUUGUACACGACUCUUUUUUUGGAGAUCGUUAAAAGUGGUUGAUGAUCUAUUUUGUAAUAUCAUAGAGGGAUCAUGAAUUCCUUUUCUUUUCUGUGGCUAGGCAACACUUUCGAGCCAAGCUAAGGAAAUCUAUUUUAGGUAAUGUGAAAACCAGUUGUAGGAUGUAAUAGUUUAUUAUGCCCUGCCAAUAACUUUUUGUAUAAUUGUCAGUUUAAUGAAUACAAGAGGAACUCUGUUGGCAAGUUCAUCCAUGAUAGAUGCUAAAAUUAUUUAUGCAUACCAGUUGCCUUAACUAAUUUUUCUCAACACUGGUAUUGAACAGGAAAAUGAAUAUGCAAUUUGUAUAUUGUGCCAUUGUGGAGAAUUUGGAUAUUCUUAUUUAAGUAACAAGGAGAGUAUUUGCCUCAUCUUUAAACAAUGAAUCUUUGAGAAAUGAGGAGUGGGUGAUUGGCAGUGUCUUCAUGUAAAUGUUCAUUUAUUUGUAUUUUGAACUAUUAUGAGAAUCUUUGUAUGCCAAAUUAGUAAUACAAAUGUUCAGAUGAUUUUUCCUGUUGAUCAUGCGUGUGUAUCUGCACACAACCAUUGUGUACCACUUUAUUCUGAUGCGCAAAUAUCUGUAGUUUAGAAGAAAAGAAAUAAUAAUCAUAUAUUAUUGCUUGGUUCAUGAUUAUUAAACGAUUAUGGCUUUAGAAAAUCCACAAAUCCUUUGUGUUCAUAUAUGAAUGUGCGAAGUUCGCUAUAUCUUAGAUUACCUUCUUCCAAGAUAACAAGUUCAUAUAUUUUUUAAUCCUUUUUCAUCACAGUUGAAUUUCAAGUGUAAGUUUUGUUAUUAAUAGCUGGUUUCCUGUUAUUAUGAUUUCAUAAACAGUAAGAGGAUAUGUGCUCUACUUUUGGAGGGCCUCCACAUGAAAGAAAAUUGCAACAAUUGAAUUCUUCCGGAGGGUAUGGUAUUUAAUUUAUUUUCUCAGCUUGUUGUAAGACUAAUAUAUUUCCUUCAGUACGCACGGCAUGGUGGGAAGGGUUUUUAUUGAAACAGUUAUGAUAUUUCUUAGACUUUGUUUUGGAAGGGGGUGGAGGGAUUUCUCAUCCAUAUAUGGUUACUUGAUUAGCUUUUGACUGUAUUGUCUCCGUCGUGCAAAGGAAAAUCCAAAUACUAACGAAGGGGAAUUGCUUAGGCACCCAAAGGACAGAAAUGAAUUACGGAAGGAAGUUUUUGCUGCUUUAUUUAGUGCUGCUGAGAAAUCUGAUGGAUUUCCUGAAAUUACGGUGAAGACGGAGUGGAGGUCCAACGCAUUAGGAAAGGUGGUGAGUGAACCGCCGGAGGAAUUAGUACCAGAACACAAGGCUAAUGUGGUGCACUGGCAGCAAGAUGACCAGACCUGUAUGUGCUCUUAUAUUAACUAUAUUGGCUGGAUUUGUGAGUGUGUACAUUUUUGUGUGUAUACUCACUUUUGGAUUUAUGCAUAUUAACGUGUGUAGGAUUCUCGAUUUCUGCCACUUACUGGAGAACUAGUGGAAAGCUUUAUACUGAUAUAUGUGCUAUAUAACUAAUGGAAACUACAAUAUGAAUAUUUUCUCUCACCUGGAGAACAGUGUAACUGAUAUAAUUUGUGGCUCUGGAAUACUGAAGAUUCUGCAAUAACUAAUGGAAAAUAUGAUAUGAAUAUUUUUUCUCACCUGGAGAACUUUGUAACAGAUACAUUUUGUGCUGGAAUGUCUAAAGAAUGCUUCAGUUUAGAUCAAAUAUCUUUUAGUUAGAAAAGAUAAAAUUCUCUGAAUCUGAAAGACUGAAACAUUUUGCAUAUUUCGUGAAAGGCAAGUAUCUGUAGAUACUAGCUCAUGCAUUGAGGUAAUAUCAAUGUUAAAGAAAAACAGCAAUAAUUUAUUAUACAGAAUUAGGUUCACUUGCUUUAAAUGCUGGUCUGAUCAACCAUAUCAACCUGUAAUGGUCCUGCAGAAAUAUAUAUACGGGGAGAAACUAGCUAAUUUUCCUUUCACUUAUGGGUUUGGUCUUUUUUUUCCCCUAUUUUUCAGCUUUCCUUCUCCUGAAGUAUGUUAACAAUUGCAGAUAAUGACGAAGAGGACCGCUUCCAGGCUCUUUGUAGAGCUGUGAUGGAAUAUAGGGGCACAAUGAAAGAAUAUUGUAAGGCUGUAUGUACUUUCUCUCAUGUCAUUUAUGUUUUCUCACACAUUUUGUAUAUGCCCUGAACAUGCAGCUUUGUAUGUGUCAAUUGCCUUUUACGUUUUAAAAGCCAUAAAGUAAGAAUACAGUUCCUUGUCAGGCUAUUGAUGCGUUCGCUCAGAAGGGUCAUGUUCAAGCAGGAAAACUUCUAGAACAGGUAAGGUUUCCAUCUACAGCCAUCCAUUGACAGCAGAUAUAUUUUCAUUAAGCAGACACUGUUAGCAUUCAAGAUGCUGGCAGAUUCACUUGAUUCUUAUUAGUUUGUUUAGUGGCAAACCAUAUAACCUGUAUUUCAAAGCCAAGUUGUGCUAUUGAUUAUGUUAACUUUAUUGUUAACAUAAAGUGAUAUGGAGGACAUAAUCAAUGUAGGAAAAUUAGGUGAAGAGAUGAUGUCAAAUCUUGAACCUCUUACAAAGCUCCAAGUUCUUUACUUGAAGAAGCUGCCAAAUUUGAAGAGCGUCUACUGGAAGGCAUUUCCAUUCCCAGAUGUAUGCAGAAUUUUUGUAUUAAUGCCCAGUUCUUAAGAAGCUGCCACUGGAUUUUCAAGGGGCGGGCCAAGGUAAAAUUCUUAUCAAGGGAAAGGAAGAUUGGUGGAAAGAACUUCAAUGGGAGGAUCAAGCAACUCAGAAUGCAUUGCUUCCAUUUUUCAAAUCAACUGACAAGUGAUUGAAGGGGGCAUCAUCAACAUCAUCAACUGGGAUGGAGAGAUUAUGGAGCAGAUCAGCAGGGUUUGUAUAUGAUCUUUGGUGGUUGCUUUCUUUUGUGAUUUUUUUUUUCUCAUUUUUUUCCCUUCCUGUCAUUUUAUCAUUUCUUUGUCUCGUUUUCUAUUGCUGAUGUUAGUGUAUGCUUACUGUUGCUUGACAAAGUUUGCUUGCUUCUUGUUUAUUAAUUUUUUUAUGGUCACAAAAUAUUACUUGUUCUAUUUGAGAGUGAUGUGAAUCAAUUUUCAAUUAUAUAUUUUAUGGUCAAUGUGAAUUCAAUUUCAUUUGUCUCCUGCAAUUAUUUAAAAAAUGCAGAGUCAUAAUAUGGAAAAGUCGACCGGCAAAAACUUUGUGAAAGCUUCGGAGUGAAACAGGGAAUUCACUUACUAACAGGGAAUUCACUUACUACUAAGGACAAUUGGUGGCGAGCUAUUCCAUUCAUUUUAUGUCCAUACAUCUAUUUAAUUAUUAAAGAUAAGUGGUCCAUUUGUAAAUUUCAGAUUGUGUCUCUCUGAAAAUAACAAUAUUUAAAAUGUCUCUUAAAUUAUUAUAAAUUUUAAUUCACUCUCGAUUUAAAAUGGAACAUGCUGAUGAAAUUUUUUUUCUUCUUAAUAAAAUUGAAAUAAAUUGUGUUUGCAGUAGUUUGAAAUAUUUUAAAGAUUAUUAUUUUAUAAGGGAGUAAUAUGAAAUGAAAUUUACUUUUCAUGCGUGAAAUGUUGAAAAAGGACACAGCAAGUGUCCCUGCUUUUAUUUUAUUUCAAAGUGGAGUCAUCUCACAUACUUUAACUCUAUCGUUACAAUUUUUCAGGUUACAUUUUUAUUUAUUUAUUUAUUUUCUUUUUUACACAUGCAUGUGGGUUACUUUUCCGUAAGCUCCUUAAUAUAUAUAUUUAACACAAAUCAUGGAAGAGAUGGGAGUAUAUCAAGAUGAUCAAAGCAUGAAACAAAAAUAUUUAAGAAGUAAAACACUGAAAAUAGAGAAGAGAUGCAAGCAAAAGAUAUUCCAAAGAAAAGCAAUCUAUCUCCUUUCGAAGAAUGUUAUGGAAGAGUUGAACCCAGCGAAGAAUGUUAUGGAAGAGCAAAUUAAUGAUAUUUUUGAUAGAGUCUAUUUGAUUAUGUAGCCUGAAUAGAUGUCUUGUUGAAAGAUAUCUCAGUGCAUUAGUUCAUCCUUGACUGUCAAUGUGUUUUUAAUGGUUUUUCCAAAUUUUUAUUAUUAUAGAUUGAUUGUAAAUUUGAUAUGAAUUUAAUGUUGAAAUGUUUUCUCUUUAGUGGAAUGAAUUUAAAAGUGCAAAAGCUUAUUGCACACAGAGAAAUAAACAUAUAUGCUUUAUAACUUUAGCAAUCGAUUCUUUUACAGCUGGAAACAGAGAUGAUGAUUAUCAUAGGGGUGAAGAAAAGGACAAAAAAUGUUAAUGGUUAACGAAAUUUCUAUGCAAAUUGAUUUUAGCAGGAAAAAAGUGAGCUAAAUGAUCUUAAUGUUCCACAAGAAAAAGCAAGAUCUUAAUGUUCCACAAAAGCGUUAUUUAUUUUUUUUUGGUGAGCCACGUGGAGCUCAAUUAUCAUUGUCUUUACUUUAAAAACGUUAUUUUAUUUUCUUUUAUUACAAAUUAAUGCUAACAAGAAAAAGCAAGAUAUAAUAUUCCACAAAAGCAAAUCGUAAUAUUCCACAGAGGAGUAAGAUCCACAAAAGCAAACAACUAGCUGGAUUCUUUUAUUGAACUACAAAUUAAAACAACAAAUUAAAGUUCAAAUAUUUAAAUAGUAGUGCGUUAGACGAUUAGGCUCUUUUAUUAAAGGGAAGUAUAAAGUAGUCCAGAAUCGAACAUCUCUAUUGUCUAGUCUUUUUUUUUUUUUUUAAUUCUUCUUUUAUUAUUUUUCAGAAUAGGUUUUGGUGAUUACUAUUGGGUUAUUAUUGAGAGUUAUUGUUAUCUUCCGGGGCAGUUUCUGUUAAUCGAAAUCGUUAAUUAAAAUUUUAGAACUCUUAUUGGAAGAAUGUUUUUCCGUUAUUUUUUUAUAUUCUAAUUUCAAUUGUAAGAAGUAGUCAUUUUAGAAUUUGGGUCUUGAAUCGAAUUUCAAUGCAUGAAUUAAUAUUUAAAAAAAAAAUUACUACACGCAGUUUAGGUUACAAACUAUUUUUUGCAAAGUUGAUUAUGAAAUUGGAAAAAUUAAGUAAUUUAUAAUGUUUGCAAAGGAAGAGACUAACAUACUUCCAAUUACACUAUAUCUCUAUUAUCAUAAUGUUAAGAUUAAACUAACUUAAAAUAAAUUUUAUUUGAAAAGUUAUAUCAAACGCAGUCUAAUUUUAUUAACUUGAAGAGAUAAUAGUUAUAGAAAUUAUUGUUCUAACUUAAUUAGUACAAGUGGUAUAAAGGUUAAGUGUGCACUAAAUUUGUUUAAAUUUUUUCCAGAAUAACUAACAGAGGUCAUUACUAGAAUUAUAAUUACUAGUCUAUUAGAUAGAAAAAAUUAUUUAUAUUGUUUUAUAUUUAUUAAAAAAUUUUAAAGUCAAUCUUUUUAAUUAUUAUUUAAAGGAUAUUAUAAUUAAAAAAAAUUUAAUGUCUUUAUUAAAAAUUUAAAAAUUUAAAAAUUUAAAAAUUUACAUGACCGCUCUAUAAAUAUUGAAAGUGUAACUGUCAUUUUCUCAUAUAUAUAUAUAUAUAUAUAUAUAUAUAUAUAUAUAAACCACGGUGGUGAAGCUUUAUUUAAUAUUAAUGAUUUAAAUAACAAUAUCUCAAUUAAAAAUGUAGAGAGAAGAAAUUUCGGUGGGUAUAUUAGUCUUUUACAAUUAUCAUGAUUAACCCUUCCUCUUGUAACGUUGGUCAGAAAAGUUUUAAAAUGCCUUGAUUUCUUUUACUUUUAACGUUAGCGGCCUUCCUUAUAUUUUAUUACAAAUUAGUCCUAACAAGAAAAAGCGAGAUCAUAUUCCAAAAAAGCAAAAGUGACAAAAAAACCAGCUGUAUUCUUUUAUUAAACUACAAUUUAAAAUGAUUUUAAAGUGGAUUCUUUUGAAUACAGGUGGGGUAGUCGAAUAGUCUUUUUCAAAUUCUUGUUUUAUUAUUUUUCAAAACUAGUUUUUGGUAAUUACAAUCGGGUCAUUCAUUAGUCAUUAUUCAGAGUUAUUGUUAUCUUCGGGGGCAGUGGGUAAAAGGCUAAAUGAUAAUUACUAAGUGUUUUUCCUUCAAAAGUUAGUGGCUCGUGUUUUGCAAGUGUGUACGUGCGAUGCUCUUUGUCUAAAGGCAAUUACAGUGGGUCCCGAAUCGGACGUGCCUAAUAAAUCUUUUAAAAAUUUUUCUAAUAAAUAUUCCUAAAAUUUCUCUUCCACAGGCAAUUACAGCAGCUUCAGUUAAUCAAACUCAAUCAAUUUUCUUUCUUAACAAAAUUCCAAAGAUGUGUGGCUGUUUUCAGAUCACAUGCGAUGGUACUUUUUUCAAUCGUUGCUUAGAUUGCUUUCUUGGAAAAGCAGCAUACAUACGUAACCUCCAAGAUAACCUCGUUGCCUUGGAGACUGAACUAAGGAAACUAAUCGCAGCAAAGAACGAUGUGAUGACGGCGGUUGUCAAUGCUGAACGGCAACAAAUGAGAAGGCUGGAACGAGUGCAAGUGUGGGUUUCGAGUGUGGAUUCUGUUAAAACUGGAGCCGAUGAACUUAUCACAGACGGCUCUGAAGAAAUUGGCAAAUUAUGUGUUGGAGGCUACUGUUCCAAGAACUGCAGGUCAAGCUACAAGUUCGGAAAACAAGUGGCUGAAAAGCUACAACAUGUGAAGAAUUUAAUCGCCGAGGGAGUUUUUGAGGCGGUGGCCACUGAGGUGGUGCCCGAGAGAGCUCCGGAACCUGUAGCAGAUAAAAGACCCAUUGAGCCAACAAUAGUAGGCUUGCAAUCACAGCUUGAAGAAGUUUGGAGAUGUCUUGCAGAAGAAUCAGUGGGAAUCAUUGGCCUAUAUGGUAUGGGCGGUGUUGGUAAAACCACACUAUUGACCCAUAUCAACAAUAAAUUUCUUGAGAGUCCCACAAACUUUGAUUGUGUGAUUUGGGUCGUAGUUUCAAAAGACCUGCGACUUGAAAAAAUUCAAGAAGAUAUUGGGAAGAAGAUAGGUCUAUCUGAUGAUUCAUGGAAGAAUAAAAGUUUUGAAGAGAAAGCUGUGGACAUCUUGCGGAGAUUAGGAGAGAAGAGAUUUGUAUUGUUGUUAGAUGAUAUAUGGGACCGGGUUGAUUUAACAAAGGUGGGCGUUCCACUUCCCGGACCACAAAAUACUACCUCAAAAGUCGUAUUCACAACCCGUUCCAUCGAUGUUUGUGGCAGCAUGAGAGCUAGGCCGGUUAAAGUGGCAUGCCUAUCAGAAAAGCAAGCUUGGGAACUGUUCCACGAAAAUGUUGGGGAAGAAACUCUUGAGAGUGAUCAUGAGAUCGUUGAGCUAGCCCAAACAGUGGCCAAAGAGUGUGGUGGUUUGCCACUCGCACUUAUUACUAUUGGUCGAGCUAUGGCCUACAGAAAGAAAGCGGAGCAGUGGAGACGUGCAAUUGAAGAGUUAAGAAGAUCAGUUUCAGAGUUUGCAGGUUUGGGAAAAGAGGUGUAUCCUUUUUUAAAGUUCAGCUAUGAUAGUUUGCAGUAUGAUACGGUUAGAUCUUGUUUCUUGUAUUGUUGUUUAUAUCCUGAAGAUUAUGGCAUUCUUAAAUGGGACUUGAUUGAUUGUUGGUUUGGCGAGGGAUUUUUUGGGGAAUCUGACAGGUCUGGUGCAGAAAACCGAGGAUAUGGCAUUUUGGACACUCUUGUUCGUGCAUGUUUAUUAGAAGAGGUGGAAGAUGAUAAAGUAAAAAUGCAUGACGUUAUUCGUGAUAUGGCUAUAUGGAUAGCUUGUGAAAUUGAGAAGGAGAAGAGAAACUUUUUGGUUUGUGCAGGUGCUGGAUUAAAAGAGGCACCGGAUGUUAAAGGAUGGGAAAAUGUGAGAAGAUUGUCAUUGAUGCAAAACCAAAUUAAAACUCUGUCAGAGGUUCCUACAUGCCCUCAUCUCCAUACUCUAUUUCUUGACUUUAAUAAGGAGUUGGAGACGAUCGCGGAUGGCUUCUUCCAAUUUAUGCCUUCUCUCAAAGUUUUGAAGAUGUCAAACUGUGGGCAUGUCAAAGUUUUGAAAUUACCUAUUGGGAUGUCAGAGUUGGGUUCAUCACUAGAACUUCUUGAUAUUUCAAAUACCAACAUAACAGAGUUACCAGAAGAGUUGAAGUUGUUGGUAAAUCUGAAAUGUUUGAAUUUGAGGUGGACAAUUUGUUUAAAUAAAAUUCCAUGGCAACUAAUAUCAAAAUUUCAAGGUUACGUGUGUUGAGAAUGUUCGCUACUGGCUUUGCACGUUUUGAUGCAGCAUCAGAAGACAGCGUUUUAUUUGGUGGGGGUGAAGUUUUAGUACAGGAAUUGGUCGGUCUGAAAUAUUUAGAGGUAUUGGAGUUGACCUUGGGAUGUCAUCAUGCUCUCCAAAUUUUUUUGAGCUCAAAUAAGUUAAAAAGUUGUAUUCGAUCUCUUCUCCUCCAAUUGGCCGGAGAUACAAAGUCGAUUAUUGAUGCUACGGCUUUCGCAGAUCUAAACCACCUCAAUGAAUUAUGGAUUGAUAGGGCUAAGGAGUUGGAAGAAUUGAAGAUUGAUUGUAAAGAAAUAGUACAAAAAAGGCGGGAACCUUUUGUUUUCCGCAGCCUUCACCGUGUUACUAUACAUAGCUGCCAGAAGUUGAAAGAUUUGACAUUCCUCGUUUUUGCUCCAGACCUCAAGUCUCUCGAUCUAGACCGUUGCGAUGCUAUGGAAGAAAUAAUCAGCGUCGGAAAAUUUGCUGAGACUCCUGAGAUGAUGGGACAUAUAAGCCCUUUCGAAAAUCUCCAAACUCUUCAUUUAAGAGCGUUUAACAUCUUUUCUCGACGACCUGCACGAUUGCCUUUCACUCAUCUGAAGGAAAUGGAGGUAAGUGGGUGCGAUCAGCUUAAAAAGCUUCCACUCGAUUCCAACAGUGCAAAAGAGCGUAAAUUUGUUAUUCGUGGAAAAGAAGACUGGUGGAACCGACUUCAAUGGGAGGAUGAAGCCACUCAAAUUGCUUUUCGUUCCUGUUUCCAACCUGAGCGGUUAGUCGCAAAAUUUGAUUUCUGGUGAUUGCGUUUGUCUUUUAACUCUUAUAUAUAUUCUUGUCGUUUGUUUUCUUCUCUGUUUUUAACUCUUAUAUUGCGUUUGUCUUUUGAAAAUCUCCAAUUAAAUGUUGAAUUAAUGGAAUUAAUGCUUCAUAAAUUUGCCGGCACUGCCAUCACUUUUUUUUUUUUUAAUACAAAUUGAUACUUUAUUUAUAUCUUCUUAGCGAUAUAAUUUCCUGUCAAUUGACGAACGAGAAGAACAUACGACUUAAACCAAUUCACGCAUAAACUUGCUGUAAAAAGAUAUAAUCUCACUGAAAUGCACACGUCUAGAAUGAAUAGAAUUAAAACAGGGAAAAUAUUUAAGUAUAUUAGCCCUCUUUACCGAAAAUGAAAUGACAAUAAAUUUUUUGAAAGUUUUGAUUUUCUAUGGUCAAUUCCACCUUUUGCAAUUUCUUCUGUUCUAACAAAAACCAAUUUCUUUGUUCAAGUAUUUUCGUUUGGGUAUUAAUAAUUCUCCACCGAAAGAGUGAACUCUUGCUCAAGGGAUCUCUAAUCAAUAGCCGGAAGGGCGCCGAGACCUGAUCGGACCUAGGCCCAAGUUUGGUCUUAAAGCCUGGGCUUGAGCCUGGCAAUUAAAUUAAAACAUUAAUUGAUUUCUUGAUUGAAUUGUCGUGUAAUUGAUUUAUGGGGGAUGACACAUCAACAUGCUUGAAAACACACUAAUCUCAGCAUCAUCGGUUAAUAACUUUUAGAAUUAUGGGUAAUCAAUAGUUAAGAUUAGUUGUCAUUAAUACUAAAUAUUUUUUUACUAUUUUCGUCUCUUCUAGAGGAUCUUCUAGAAAAAUGCAUCCACAACAAAAUUUAAUACUUUACAUAAUAAACAAAGCAUAAAUGUUAAAUUUAAGAAACUGCAUUGUAUUUCAGCUGAAGUUGACUUUAAUAUUUAGGGUAGAAAAAUAAUAAAUCCUUAAUGUGUUUAAUUUCUAUCACUUGUGUCAUUAAAAUUUUCUAGUCACCCUAACCAAUUACAUCUCAACCCACUUUUUUUUGGAUGAUUUUAUUUUUACACUAUUAUUUUCAUCAUUUUUUUUCCUUUUAACACCAACAUUAGUGUAUGUUACGUAACAUAAUUCAUAUUUGGAUAAUUUGAAAUUUGUUUGUGUUUUAUCUCAAAAUAGAGCUUCAAUCAAUUUGUACCUCAUAAAUUCACAAUAUCUAUGAGGGCUAAUAAGACCAAACUCUGGCAUAUUGUCAAAUGUGCUUAUCCUUUUGCUUGACAUGUCAUUUUAAAAUUGUCAUUCAAUGCCAAAAAAUCACAUCAACUGAUGGCCGACUACUUUAAUUUGAAAGCAUGCAUGCGAUCGCCAAUAAUUAUAACUUAAUUGUUAUUUUGAAAUUUUUUUCUUUAUAAUUUUUAAGUUUAAUACUACUACAUGUGCAGCACAUAAGUUGGAAAAUAUAACAUAAAAUUUGAAAAAUGUGUAGCUUUCGUUCCUUUUUUUUCUUAAAAAUGAGGAAAAAGAAUGUAAUUUUGUUUAAAUUACUGUUGUGAUAACAAUUAUUAUUUUAUUGAUUAAUUGGCAGAGAAUGGUUAUGGUUUCGCAUGGUUGUUAAAACAUUGGAAAAUCCACUACAUCAUCCGUUAAUAACUUUCAGAUUUAUGGUUAAUCAAUAGUUGAGAUUUGUUAUCAUUAAUGUUAAAUAUUUUUUUAAUAUUUUUUCUCUCUCCUAGAGGAUCAUCACAGCAAAAAUUUAAUAUUAUAAAUAGUAAACAAAAUAUAAACAGUUAAAUCUAAGAAACUGCAUUGCAUUUCAGCUGAAGCUAACUUUAAUAUUUAAUGGAGAAAAAUAAUUAAGUCCUUAAUGUACUUUAUUUACCCAUACUGAUACGCUCUUAAUUCGUGAAACUGAGCAACAUCAAAAUUAUCACUACUUCGAGCGAGUGUUUGCUCCAGAAGAAAGAACUGGAAGUUGAGAAAUGAGAAAGAAGAAAAGAAGAAGAGUCACAGCGAGGAAUAAAAGUGGUCCAUUCAUUUCAUGCCUUCCCAAAAUGACAAAAUCCCGCAAUAUAUAACAGACAAUCGAAAAUAACCAAUUUGACAACGCAACAGAAAAUGACAAAAAAGAAUCCAAAACAAACGUAGCCAAUCACAAUGCUUUUACAGAUCAUCCUAAACGACGUAGUCUCGUAGCCAAUCUAGAAGUUUCUUGUUUCGUUUGGGCCGUUGAUUCUCUUGCACUGGCUCAUGGUGAAUGUCCUCUUUGGGUUGACUGACUGUGGGUUCUCGGUUGAGCUCUUCCACUUGCGCCCCCUCUAAUGGCUCUAAUUUGAUAUAUAAAUUCGUAUCAUUCCCUCCUGCUUGAAAACACACAUUGUCCUCAAGGUGAAAUGCUGGAUAGAGCUUACAAAAGGCGUCAAAGUUUUCCCAAGACGAAUUCUUCGGUGAACUGACGGUCCAUUGAACUAACACUUGAAGCGUUGGCUUCCCCUGUUGCAAAACUAUUCGGGUUGCACAAAUGGCAGCCGGUAGCAAAAGAGGAUGGUUAUCCACACUCAACUCUGGUAAAGGAUGUGAAAUAGCAGGGUCGUUGCCAUGAUAAUGCUUAAGGACAGAGAUGUGAAAAACCGAGUGGAUUUUGGAAGUAUUGGGUAACUCCAAUUUGUAAGCUACAUACCCCACUCUAGCAAGUACCGUAAAUGGCCCGUAGUAUCACUUGGCCAACUUCUGACAGGCGCGAGAAGCUAUAGUGGUCUGUCGAUAUGGCUGUAAUUUAACCAGCACUUUAUCCCCUACUUCAAAGUGAGCUUCACGGCGAUGGGCAUUAGCUUUCUGAGCCAUUCGAUGUUGUGCUUGCCUCAAAUUAGCUUUUAAAGAUUGGAGAAGAGUAUUACGUUCAAGGAGAAUGUCCUCCAAAGUUUGGAUUGAAGUAGAGCCCUUAGCAUAAUGAGGAAUAGUUGGAGGCAAUCGGCCAAAUAAAGCUUGAUAGGGAGACAUCUUCAAGCCACUGUGGAAAUGAGAAUUAUAACUAAAUUCUGCCCAACUCAGUAAGGAAACCCACUUCCGUGGUUUGUCUUGAGUGAAAGCUCGUAAAUAUUGCUCCAAUCCUCAAUUUACCACUUCCGUUUGACCAUCCGUUUGAGGGUGGUAUGCCGUGCUAUGACGAAGAGUUGUGCCACUUAAGAGGAAUAAUUGUUUUCAAAAAUUGCUCAAGAACACUGGGUCUCGAUCGGAGAUAAUUGAACUUGGAAAACCAUGUAUUUUAAUGACCAUGUCCACAAAGAGUUCAGCUGUCUUGAGGGCAGUAAAUUGACAGGGUAACGGACCAAAAUGGGCAAAUUUUGUAAGACGAUUGACAACAACCAAUAUGACCGAGAAACCUUGUGCUAACGAAAGACCUAUAACGAAAUCCAUUGUGACCUCAUCCCAAACCAUAUUAGGUAUCGGCAAUGGUUGAAGAAGACCAGCAGGGGCUUGAGUGGAAUACUUAGUUUGCUGGCAUAUUAAACACUCUCGGAUAAACGUUUCCACAUCAUGACGCAUCUUGGGCCAAUAGAAUGUUGAAGAUAAUCUGAUUAAGGUUCUAGUGACACCCACAUGACCUGCCAGUGGUGUAGAGUGAAAUUCUUGCAAUAGUACGACUUUUAAAGAGGAGGUAGGACUGAUGUAAUAACGCUGACGGUGGAGAAGAAAUCCGUUUUGAACAGAGAAGUCAACUGACAGUUUGCCUUGUAAAAGUUGCUGGUGAAGUGAUAUUAAAUCAGGUAAUGUGGUAUUCUCAUUAAGUAAUGACUGCAGCAAUUCAAAUGAAGGAUGGCUGUUGAAAGAAAGGCAAGUGGGGGAGAUGUUGAUGUUAUCCUCAGGAGCUGUUUCAUGGACACGGGAUAGAGCAUCAGCGGCGCUAUUGGUACAACAUGGUCUGUACUCAAUUCUGAAUUGGAAACCCAAUAAUUUGCGGAGAUAAACUUGCUGAUCUAGUGUUUGUAUCACUUGUUGAAGGAGUUCUUUGAUACUCUUAUGAUCCGUGCGGAUAACAAAGAAUCGGCCCAACAAAUACUGCCGCCACUUAUACACAGCUUCUACAAUUGCAUGCAACUCCUUGAUGUAAGUGGAAGAAGCCCGCAAUUUGGGACCCAACUUCUUGCUGAAAUAAGCAAUUAAAUGCCCAUGUUGUGUAAGUACAGCUCCUAUGCCUACAUUAGAAGCAUCGGUCUCAAUGACGAAUUCGAAAGUAAAAUUCGGCAACUUAAGGACUGGAGCUUGCACCAUUGCUUGUUUAAGAGCUUCAAAGGCCUCCAUGGCUGUCAAAUUCCAUUGAAAGGCAUCAUUUCGCAGCAAAUCAGUGAGUGGGGCUGCCAAGGAAGCAUAACCACGGAUGAAGCGCCUAUAAUAUCCAGUGAGACCAAGAAAACCCCUCAACUGUUUGAUAGAACGUGGAAUUGGCCAAUUAAGCAUGGCAUCAAUCUUUUGGGGGUCGGCUUGUACUCCCGAGGCUGAAACAAUACGGCUUAGAUACUCAAUAGCGGCUUGGCAAAACAAACAUUUGGAUAAUUUAAUAAAAAAUUGAUGAAGAUGUAAACAAGCUAAUACUUUCUCAAGAUGAAGCAAAUGCUCGGCCAUGGAGGAGCUAUAAACCAAGAUAUCAUAAAAAAAAACGAUCACAAAUUUCCGGAGAUGAGCUGCAAAAAUCUGAUUCAUUGUGGCUUGAAAAGUGGAUGGGGCAUUUGUCAACCCAAACGGCAUGACAAGAAACUCAUAAUGGCCCUCAUGUGUUCAAAAUGUCGUUUUGUAUAUGUCGCGGUUGUGGACACGAAUUUGAUGGUAUCCCGCGCGCAAAUCCAAUUUGCUAAAAAUGGUGGCGCCCCCAAGUUCAUCAAACAACUCAUCGAUUGUCGGUAUAGGAAAUUUGUCUUUGAUGGUUACGGCAUUUAAUGCACGAUAGUCAACACAAAACCGAUAGGUGCCAUCUUUUUUCUUGACCAAGAGAACCGGGGAGGAAAAAGGGCUUUAGUUCGGUCGGAUUAUGCCCUACUCUGACAUUUCCCUGAUCAGUUUUUCCAUUUCAGAUUUCUGGAAGUGUGGGUAGCGGUAUGGACGAACAUUGACGGGGGCUGUGUUGGGUAAUAAAUGGAUUUUGUGGUCAAUAGUUCUGUGCGGUGGUAGGCUAGAAGGUUGGAGAAAUAGGUGUUUGUAUUGCUGUAAAAGGUUGAGAAAUUGAGCAGGAAGGGAAAAAGGAAAUUCAAGUGAGGAAGUGUCUGUGAUGGAAAAUGAAGGCAAAGCAUCGAUAGCGGGCACUGGUUGUAAGGCACAAAGGCUGGUCACGGUAUCACUUUGAACCAAUACCUGCAAUUGAUUAUAAGUGAUCAAAUUAUUAGAAGACAAAUCACCAUGAAGCAUCACUGGUUGCUCAUUUAAAGAAAACUCCAUAGGACACUUUGCCCAAUUUCUGUAGCCAUUGAAUGCCAAGGACCACAUAUGUGCCCUCAAUUGGCAAAAUGAAGAGGUCUACCAUAAAAGCCGUGCCUUGCAUUGUUAAGUUCACUUGAGGACAGAACUGUUUACACACCAGGAAGUCACCGUUGCCAAUAUACACUCGGAAAUUGGUAGUUGGAUGAAUGGCUAACCCCAAUCGUUCCGCUAACGCCGGUUUUAUGAAAUUGUGAGUGUUGCCACUAUCAAUCAGCACUUGAAAGGUGUGCGAAUCAAUUUCUCCAAUUAAACGAAGAGAGCGAGGAUUGGCCUGCCCUGCUAGAGCAUUUAAGCUAGAGAUGUCACCAGUAAUACCAGCAUCUACCAAUUCUGAUGGUUCCUCGUUAUUUUUGGGUUCCAAUUCUUCAUCAUCCGUGCCCAUGAGAAGUAGAAAUUUACUGCGACAGAGAUGAUUGUUGCUGUAUUUUUUGUCACAAUUGUAACAUAAACCCUUCUCGCGUUUGUCGCAAAGUUCAGCCGAAGACAAACGGCGAAUUGGUAAUGUUGGUGUCGAUAAUAAUGCAGGUAAAGUGUUUGAUUUAUUGGUAUUGUGGGUUUGUGAGGGAAGAGUUGAAGAUGAUACGGGGGUGAUGGCUGUGGUAACAGUUGCAAGUGAUGAGGAUGGAUAAAUGGGUUUGGGUUGUGUUUGGAAACCAUGUGAAAGGGGAUAUGGUUGCUGCCAUUUAGGCCAUGAGCGUGAGCUCUGUUUCACUUCGUCAUAUUUGGCCUCAAAAGCACGAGCUAAAGUUUCCAUUAGUGAAGACGGUCUAGAGAAAAGCAAUUCCCGUCGAAUGUUGGGUUUCAGACCAGUGAUGAAAAAACUAAUCAAAAGAAGUUCAGAAAUUCCAGUGACCUUGUUCAUUAAAUCUUCAAAAGCUGACUGGAAAUCUGCAACCGUGGUAGUUUGACUCAAUUUGGACAAAUCACCUUGGGGAUCUUCACACAAAGAAGCACCAAAACGAUAGCGCAAGUUAGCUAAAAAUUCUUGCCAAGUAGUGAGCAAGUGAUUGUUCUUUAUCCAUUGAUACCACGCUGCAGCGCGACCCUCCAUAUGAAAAGAGACAAUCCGUAGUCGGAGGAUCUCAGGUGUGUCAUGAAAGUCAAAAAAUUCUUCUAUUCGAAAAAUCCAUCCAUUUGGGUCAGACCCAUCGAAUUUGGGCACAUCCAUUUUCAUGGAACAAAGUACUGGAGAAACUUUAGAACCAGUAAGAACGCCAUCAUAUUUAGAAGAUGAAGGGUGUGAAGGGUUGGAGGAACCAACUGGUUUGUUGGAAGACCCAUGAAUUUAUGUACGUAACUCCUCAAAACGAGAGUCAACUGAUGUCAUGAAUUGUUGGAUUGUUUGAUGGAUGGACAGUUGCUACCCAUCAAGUUUGGCGUCAAAAGUUGCUUGAAGGGUCUGUAAAGCAUAAAGAAUUUCAGAAUUUGCCAUGAUCAAUGAAAGCACCAGUGAUACGCUCUUAAUUCGUGAAACUGAGCAAUAUCAAAAUUAUCACUACUUCGAGCGAGUGUUUGCUCCAGAGGAAAGAACUGGAAGUUGAGAAAUGAAAAAGAAGAAAAGAAGAAGAGUCACAGAGAGGAAGAAAAGUGGUCCAUUCAUUUCUUGCCUUCCCAAAAUGACAAAAUCCCGCAAUAUAUAACAGACAAUAAAAAAUAACCAAUUUGACAACGCAACAGAAAAUGACAAAAAAGAAUCCAAAACAAACGCAGCCAAUCACAAUGCUUUUACAGAUCAUCCUAAACGACGUAGUCUCGUAGCCAGUCUGGAAGUUUCUUGUUUCGUUUGGGCCGUUGAUUCUCUUGCACUGGCUCAUGGUGAAUGUCCUCCUUGGGUUGACUGACUGUGGGUUCUUGGUUGAGCUCUUCCACUUGCGCCCCCUCUGAUGGCUCUAAUUUGAUAUAUAAAUUCGUAUCACAUACAUGCGGUUAAUUUUUUAAGAUAAAGGGGAAGGAUGAUGCUCAAAAAUAUAAAUUAUAGAAUUAAUUGAACUCUCAAAUAAGUUUAAAGUUCAUUAUUUUUAAUUACAUGUUUAUAAUUUAUUUUUAUUUCGUAUUAAUCUAUAGAUCUAAAUCCACUUUGGAUUCAUAUACACAUAUAGACAUAAUGUGUAUGUUAAUCUAUAGGUCUAAAUUCACUUUAGGUCUAUAUAGGUAUUUUGACAAAUGUACUCCAAUCAUGCAUAUUGGCAAGUUCAAAUUCAAUUUGGAAUAUGGUCAUGGUACGUUCUUGUUCUUCCCUCUUUACGAGUGCAUUCCCCCCAACCUCAAGCUCCCUCUCUCGUCUUCAAUGUCACUGCUUAUAUCCUUAUGUUGUUCUAGUUUGAAACAGUGGCUUCCACUAUUUCAGGGCCCCCAAAAAUCCAGAAACAUACUAUUCAUCACGAUGACAAAAUUUUGGGCAGGCAGGUGCUUCCUGACUUUCACACGGUAAUUCUCAAAUUCUGAUUUCACCAUAUUUUAAUUACUGAUUAUGCUCUCCAUUAUAAUAGAAGUCGCCGCCACACUAGUGAUUCCAAACUUUAUCUUUUUUCCUUUUUUAAAUUAAUGCAAGUAGCCGCUGUCCUUUUUAUUAAUUAAUUAAUUCGGCCGCCCACAUUUCUUUUUCUAAUGUCUUCUACUGUCGAGUUUAUUUUAUUUUCCCUUUAUUCUUAAAAUAUACUUAUAAUAAUAAAAUAUAAAAAUAAAAAUAAAAAUUAACAUAUCAAAAUAUAAUUUAACAGAAAAUUAAGAUGAAAAAUAAAAAAAAAUAAAUUCUGAACAUAUCAAUCAAUAAAUGAAAAAUAAUAAUUUUUAUUUUUAUUAAAUAUAUUUUUUUCAGUAUUAAUCAAUUAUCUGAAUAACUAAAAUCAUUUAAAAAUAAAUAAACAAAUUAUUCUUUAUAAAAAAAAAAAACUUUUUAUAACACUCACUAUGCUGGUUGUAGGGUAGACGCUUUGGGGACUGAAGUUGGUAACUUCUACAAGUAGUCUUAAGUUGAUAACUUCUACAAGUAGUCUUAAGUUGACUGGCAAAUGUUCUCAGUAUUAUAUUGGUGUGUCGAUAUUAUCUCUAACUGCCUUAUAGAUAAAAAAAUAAUCUAAAUUUAAAAUUUAACAUAAAAUAAAAUAAUUGGUAGAAAAACAAUUAUGGUUCAUUUACUUAUCAGUAAUCAGAAUAGACUGAAAUCGAAAUGAGUUGUAUUACCGUUGAUGUGUUUAUGUUGUCCUCGAAUCGGAAUGAAUUAUUUUAAGUUACUAAAAUAUCCUUGGUUUGUUAUUCUAAUUAUUAUUAUUUAAUAUUUAUUAUAAUAUUUGUCAUAUCAUUAAAAAGAAAUAAUAAUGAUGAUAAUAUUAUCAUUAUUGUUUGUUACAUUAUUAUUAUUCAAAAAAAUUAUUGUUAAUAACAAUAAUUACUUUAUUUCAAUACUAAUAAUGAUAAAAUUAAUAAUAACAAACAACAAUAAUUAUUUAUUAUGCCAAAAAUAACAAUAAUAAUAAUCAUCAUCAUUUUUUUUCCCAAAGAAGCAUUAUCAUCAUUUCAAAAAAAAUAUCAUCAUUAUCAUCAUCAUUUUUGUAGUGGCUGCCUAUCGGCUGUUGCUUUCAUGUGAGAUUGACUUGCGACGCUUCAACGGCUAUUAUUUCUGGCAAUGUCAGGUGUUACUGUUUCAAUUUAGGAAGAAGCUGUUUCGUUGUGCUAACGAUGGGAGAUGUUGUGGCUGCGAUUCGGGGAGCUACUAGUUUAUUGCACUAAUGACGGCAGGUGCUGCUGCUUGAUGCGAGGUCCAUGGCCAGUUGUCAGCAGUUCGACUUUGGUAUGGGUGCUGCUGGUUCGAUUUUAGGUGUUGUCCAAUUUCAUUUUCAGGAUUUUAAUUUUAUUUUUCUUUUAUAUUUUCAUUAAUUAAUCAGGACAAAGUUGGAUUUUAGAAUUUGGAAUGAAGGUAAUUUUGUUAAUCAUGGAAAUGAGAUUCUGAUUGUCGAGAAUGAGCUUACACAAACAACUACAAAUUAAGUGAAAACAAAACGCUUUUUCUCUUUGUGUGAUUAAAACAUGAUAUGUACCAUAAAUAAAUAGGUAAAAAAUAAAUUAAUACAAUCCAAAACAGUAAACUAAUUACAAGAGGCACAAAUUUUUAUGUGAAAUACCAAAAAUAGAAAAAACCACAGCAUCUUAGUAUGAGAUAAUCUUCUACUAUAUUAAUGAGAUUAUAGCACAAAUUCUUCCUUAUAUAACACUAGAGGUUAACAACAUCAAGAAUUUCAAUAAUCUUGACUUACAAUACAGCCUAAUAUUUGUCUCUCUAAUAAGUAGAUAUCUAAAAUAACAGUCUCUAAUAAAUAAGUAUCUCAAAUAACAGUCUCUAAUAAGUAUCUCAAAUAAUAAUUUCUAAUAAGUAUGUAUCUCAAAUAAUAGUUAACAAGAGGAUAAAACAAAAAUUAAGAUUAGUAGGAUUGUAUAAGGCGAUGCUAUCAACUUAUCUUCUAAAUUUGAGAAAAAUAGUUAAAUUCACUUUUUCGAUUGUGACCAAAGAUGGAAACCUUUGCCCCAAAACCAAAGGAAUCACCAUUUCUCUCUCUCUCUCUCUCUCUCUCUCUCUCUCUCUCUCUCUCUCUAUCUCUCUCUCUCUCUCUCUCUUCUUCUACUUUUCUUAAUGUUAGCCGCCACUCGCUUUUAUUCUUUAUAGCAUUUAAAAAGCUACUUUUAAUGGUAAAUUUCAUUUAAGUCCAAAACUUAGUGAUAAUUGUACACCAAACAAUUCUUUUUGGACUAUGAGCUUUUGGGCCUCCAAAUGAGAUGAAUACAACAAAUCUCCCCCUUUAGAUCAUGUGGGGGGCACCACAAGCCUGCUCUCUGCAUAUAGUUUUUCAACUUCUCCUUGAAUAAUGACUUUGUCAUCAUACAUAACCCAUUCUCUGUUGUGUAAAUUUUCUCAAGCUGUAGCUGUUGCUUCUCAAGCACGUCUCGUAUCUAAUGAUAUCUCACAUCAAUAUGCUUAGAUUUCGAAUGGUUUAUCAAAUUCUUUGAACGGCACUCUGACUGUCGCAGUACAUAACAUAGCUGUCUCGUUUUACACCCAGCUCUUAUAGGAAAUUCAUUAUCCAUAAUAUUUUUUUGCAACCUUCAAUAAUUGUUAUAUCAUUUGCUUUAGUGGUAGAAAACGUAACUUAUUACUAAAGUUUAGAUUGCAAUGAGACUUCUCCCCCUGCAAAAGUGAGCAAACAUCCUAGAAGGAAUUUUUCGGAAUCAACAUCUUCUGCCAUAUCUACACACUUGUAACACAGGUUUGUCACCACUAAAAUAUAAACAUGCUCUGGAAAUGCCUCUAAGAUAUCUGAGAAUUUUUCAUUGUUGUCCAAUGCUCUUUUAUAAUAAAUACAAACAUAAUGAAUUUAUAAAACAUUUAGAGUAUUUUGAAUAUUAUAUAAAAUAAUUUUAAUAUAAUGCAUGAGAUAUAUUUUAUUAAUUUAAAAUGCUAUUUAAUCUAAAGAUUUAUUUAAGAUAAAUUAAUAAUUAAAUUUUUUUAAUUAUUUCAAAUAUUAAAAAUUUGUAAUAUUAUUAGUCUAUUAGAUAGAUUAAAUUAUUUAUUUUAUUUUGUAUUUAUUAAAAAAUUUUAAAGUCAAUAUUUUUAAUUACUAUUCGAAGGAUAUAAUGAUUAAAAAAAUCUUAAUAUUUUUUAUUAAAAAUUUAAAAAUUUACAUGACCAUUUCUAUAAAUAUUUAGGGUAUAUAUGAGCCACGGUGGAGAAGAUUUAUUUAAUAUUAUUGAUUUAAAUAAUAUCUAAUUAAAAAUAUACUGAGAAAAAAUUUCGGUGGGUAUUUUAGUCUUUUCAGCAAUCACAUGAUUAGCCUUUGGGCUUUGGCCUUGAAACGUCGGUCAGAAAAGUUUUAAACUGCUUAAUUGUUUUUCACUUUUAACGUUAGUGGCUGCUUAUAUUUUAGGAAAAUGAGAUUCUCACCACAGUGAGAACCACACUGAGCACAGAACGGUGCGUUUUGUGCUCAGUAUAAAUUCUAACUGUAGCGGAAAUAUCGCAACACAAACGCGCCAUUCCAAACCCACGCGCGUUCUCCCUCACGCCAGCAAAUCUCACCACGCUUCCUCCUCACUGUAAGCGCCCCCCCUCCCCGGGGGCGGUCGGCUGCGUCACGCUCCCUCACGGCGCCUCACUCUCUCGGCUCUCUUAGAAAAUUGAAUUGCGGCUUCCGCCGUGGGGUUCUCUCCUCAACUGCCGUUGUCUCGUCUCUGACAGCUGCCUUAAUCAAAUUCUGAAGGUAGUUUGCUUCAAUUCAUUACAUUAAUUUCAAAUUUGGUUUGUGUGGGAUUAUGAGUUUGUGAAGAUUUAGUUCUGUUUCAUGGUAAACUAUUUUUUGCUCAGUGUGUUGAGAAUAUCAGCACGGUUUAAAAUUCUUUUUAGAUUCUGUCGUAAAGUUUUCUUUGUAUUGGGCAAGUCAGUUACUUUAGUUUUGUGUCUGAAAACAAAAACACUUAGCUUAGUGAGUUUUAAGAGAUUUUGCUAUUUUGUUCAACGAAGCUUAAAAAGGGGAAGCUUUUAUGGCGUCUGUGAGCCGAGGCAAUUUGGAUCGGGUGCUUUUUCAGUUCAUUUGUUUGUUUCUUAUUUGGGUUCUUUAUUGUUAGAUGUUCUUUUGAGAUUCUGGCAUCUGGCAUCUGGCUACUUGCUUUUGUGGAGUUUUUUUAUUAUUUGAAUUCUGUGAAUUCUUUGUUUUCUUUCCCAAAUGAUUCCACUCUAUAAAAUAUAUAUUGUGCUUGGCUAGAAUUUUCUUUUAGAUAAUUGCAUCCUGUACAUUGGCUUAACCUGUCAAGAAUGAGAAUGAUGGAAGAUGCCUAUCUUGGAAAGAAUAUAUUGAGUUACAUAGUACCGGUUCCAAAUGAAUAAAUUGGAACUUGCCUAAAACAGGCACCAAUCCACCAUGACACCAAGCCUUUUUAAAAUUUUUUUUUUUUUAAGUUUAAAGAAACUUAUGUUGCUUCUUUAGAUCUGUUUUAGCUUAUGAUGAAUUUUGCUAAUGGUAAAAUCCCUCCCCUUCAAAGUUGGGGGAGGGGAAGCAUCUAUAUGCAUAUGUGUACAUUAUGGAGCUCGAACUACAUGUCGCAGUAAUACAUUAUUCUCUUUGCUUUGCAGGUUUUGAUCAACAUGAGUGAUUGGGAUGUAGGUCUGUGCUUGAGAGGCCGGAGUGAUGACCAGAAUUCUGUCAACCAGACCAAAGACAAUCAACUGAUGAAGUGUUGUUGUUCUCUAUAUUGAUUGUUGGAAAUUAUGUGUUAUUUCCAGAUUUUUAGAAAAUUAUGAUUGCUGGAAAUAAUUAUAUAUGUACAAUCAUUAUGUCCUCCAGCACAAGUGAAUUUCCAAACCCACAACUGAAAGCUUGCGAAAAAUUUGUAGAAAAUUUGUACAUCAAAUCCACAAGCUAAGUGUUGUAUCAGAAUAUGAAUGACAAUAAAACAAAAAUCUGUGUUCUUCAUUCUUAAAAUACUAAUACAAUACAAGUACAUUCUUAUUCUGAGAAAUAACUACCUAUUAACUCCAUAUUCAUUAUCUUGUUGAAAGAGUAGCUGCUGAAAAUGUCCAUGUCGCUGAGCUUGUAUGUGCUAUUAAAAAAAAAUUAAACAUCUUGUUGUCAUCCGAAAAAAUAAAGAAGGCAAGAUGAACAAAUAAAAAACUUAUCACUACUUACGGUGCAAGAAUUUUAUGUAGAUAUUGAAUAAACAUUAUCCUCAAUUAUUUGUCACAAUAAUUUAUAUUCAAUUCAUGGUGUGUUGCAGCAAGCUUCCAUUGUUUAACUAAAUGACAGCUGAAUCUUUACAACUAAUUAUCUUUACAAUCAAAUUUGGAAUUAAUUAAGCAAAUUACCGCUAGAAAUCGACGAGUGAAGCUAAGAGAGUGAGGCUGCAAGUCGAAUUUUUGAGACAGCCGAGAGAGUGAGGCGCUGUGAGAGAUGCAAUGGACGGGCGAGAGAGAGACGAAGCCGAUGGUGAUUGCUGCAUUGGUAGGAUUGAGGGAGAGAGCGAAAGAGCCAGAGCGUGCGUGCUUGUUCUGCCAGAGAGCGCGUAUGUUUUUUCUCAAUGCGCGUGUUGCGUAAUUAUCCAUCUACAGUGACCAUUUUAUAGUUAUCUUGAAACGCACCGUUCGGUGCUAUAUGUGGGGCUGAAUGUUGUGAGCAUAUCGGUGCUGUAUAUUUUAUUAAAAAUUAAUGCUAACAAGAAAAAACCCCUCAAUGAAUGAGGGUGAGAUUGCUAAAAAUUACGACAGGUGAUAUUUUAUUAUUAUUAUUAUUAUUGGGGGAGAAAUCCUCACCAAAGUGAGGAGAUUUUAUCAAAAUCAAAAUAAAAAUAUAACAAGAACUGAAAGUUGGGCAGCCUAAAAGCUAGAUAAACUAAAAUUCAGGCGCCUAAAAACAACCUUAUGCAAAAGAGAAGCAACAUGAGACCGAUCAAGUAAAAGAAUCCACCGCAACACCUAAAUUGGCCAAAUUAUCUGUUGGUAUUACAAGUUUCUUGUUAUAAAAGUGUAGAAUGAAGAAGGUGACGUAGUUUUAAGUUACAGCUGCAUGCCCGAUCGCAAUAUCAAAUAAUGAUUAAAUAUCAAAUAAUACUUAAAAUAGUUGCCUAGACCCGCCACAAUUUAUAUUAACUCUUAAAUUUAUAAAUAAUUAAAUUUUUAAAAGUUCGGAUUUAUAUUAAAAAAUCUUCAUAUAAAUAAAUAAUAUAUGCACUUUUACAACACAGUCUUUAAAUUUAAAUUUUUCUAGAAAAAUCUUCUGUAUAUCUUUUCUAUUAAAAAAUUUCCAUAUAAAUAAAUAAUAUACCUAAUUUAAUUGGACCCAGCGCAACGCAUAUGCAUAGAACACAUUCCGAAAAGCCAUGAUAUUCGGAAAUUGACGAAUGAAAAGUGAGGAGGCAGCAGUCAAUGCUAUUUCGGCUUGGCCCAAAAUUGAUUUAUCAGUUUGACGUGUGCCAGGAAUGAAGAACUGGAAUAUCACCAUCAAGCAAGCAACCUGCGGAGCAAUACCAUAGAAUGCACAAUCCGGCUUUGCAAGGUGACACUGGAGGCUUUUUGAAAAGUGCUUCACGCUCACUUGACAGAUUGAGCAUCCCCUCUGGAUAUUGCCCUCUCUGAUCGAAUCUGAGCACUCAAAUUUCGGUCCUCAGAUGGAGCUACAGCUUUCUCUCCAAUAACCAACAAUUUUCUAAACUCAGCACCUAGUGUGAUCAGAGUUGUUGAUAUUUGUAAAUGGAGAUCCCCGUAUUUGCAAAUGGAGACAUUUACCAAAUCACCAACAUGCUUCAUCCAGUCUACGAAAUUCUGCAGCUGAUUCAAAUCCGGAACCUGAACAAGAGUCGGAGGUAAAUCUUGAGCCAUAUCUAAAGCAGUCUGAAGUUCAAGUACUUGAGCCCUUGACAAUGGUUUUGAAAUUGGAACAUCUUGGAUUACUGCAGACUUGUGCCCCUUGGUUUCAAAGGUAAGGAAAGGCAUUGCUUGAGUACAAUUUGGAGGCAGCUUCUUCACCAAUUUUAUUUGGAGGCGAUUGGCAGCGGAUCCAGCUGCACCAAUUUCAGAGCAAAUACUGACACUACUUCGAACAGCACACUGAAGAAGUGAUAUGUCUACGGCAAAGGCAAUGCAGUCCUCAUUUUGGCUUGAGAUGCAGUAAUCAUCGAAGAGAGUUUCCUUGUGAAACUGGGCAACACAUUGAAUCCCUUCGCCACUGAGAAGGUUGCGGAGGAAGUAAGCUUUCUCUCUAGUGAGGAAGAGGUGGCAUACCUUCCCCAUGUCUAGGGCAGGUAGGAAUCUUUUUUCUAAGAGAUUUACUUCAUUCUCUGUGAGAAAUGCUUUGAACUUCAUCCCUCUGUCUCUAUCCUCACUUAUCAGUAAAAUAGUUGAAAGUGCUACAAGGAGAGAAAAGAAGAGUAUUAAGAUAUAUAUAGACAAGAAAAACAUUAGAUGUCGAUCUUACAAGCUAAUACUUCAAACAGUAUCCUAGAAAGCUAAAAACUGCAAAAUGGCUUGACAUUUGAAAAGAACACAUGCUUUUCCUCCUUAACUUGAGAAAAUGUUUAAUAUAGUGCACCUUACAGAAACAUUUAAGCAAUUAGAACUUUGCACAAAAAUAUUCAAGAAGACUAAACAAAUCAGAUGCAGUGUAUUUCUCCAAGCACAAAUGGCAUUGCAUUUUUUCCUCAACUGUAAUAUUUAUUGAUGAAAAUCAGUACAGGUCCCUCAUUUGUUAUGGAAAGCUUUCUUGUAGUCUGACUGGUUAAUUCACGGAUCUAUAAUUAUCUUGCAAAGUUACAGGCAUUUCUUUCGAUUUAAAGUCUUUGCAUCACCACCUCAUCACACACCUAGCCAAUAUUCCGUCUACUUCUACAACAAAAAGUUUUAAGUAAACGAUCCUAAUGCAUGCAGCCAAAUAAAAUGCAGUAAGAAUAUUCAACUUAAAACUCUGAAAGCCAUCUUGGUGAAUUGCCUCCUUAGGGGAAGUUCCAUGAUUUACUAUACUUGACAGGACUGAGCAAAAGCUUACAUACAACAGAUUUUGAAAAUGAUGAUGCCAAUAGAUACUCAUACAAUCCAUUGAAACUCCUAAGGUCCAUUGUUCACAGAGGUUUACAGAGUUUUGGUUAUCAAAUAGCUCAGACCUUAAUCCCAAACAAAAAACGAGUGAAAAUUAGAUCACCAGCAGCAAAUUGUAAAUUCUAACUUAACUCUUCAUCUCCUUUGUAAACAGGAGACAAAAUGGAGACACGCAAAAUGAAUAAGGAGAACAUUUGAACUCAAAUGAAAUGAGGGCACGAAAGCAAACAAAUGGCAUGCGCAAACAAACCAAGCCUCAAUCAAAAACUAAUUAACCAUUAAAAAACAAAACUGGUCAGCUUCUGGUGUUCUCAAAUUGUAUAACAAGAGAUCGACACAUCGAAUCAGAAGAACUCAAUUCAAAUUUGUCUCAAAAAUCAAAAUUAGAAGAUUUCACAUUUCGAGAGGAACAAGCGACAGGUCAGAUGCAAAAUUUUCAGCCAUAACAUGCCACAAUUAACGGUUUAUUUCCAUGGAUUUAGAGAGCUGACUGACCUUUUGGCUUUUGGAAUUGAGAAGAUCGCGCGCCAAAAUGGAAGAGGGAAAGCGAAAGUGCGGGUUUUAAUAGGGUAUUGGAUUAGCAAAUUUUAUUAGUUUGCGAGGGUAAAAUAGGAAAGUGAUAUCACUAUUAACCUUUUUUUUAAUAAGAAAAAAGAAUAAUAAAGAAUAUUUUAUUGUCAUUUGCAGCAUUUAUUUUUUUUAAAUGCUAUUAGAAAAAUACGACAACAAAGAAAUGCUCUUUUUUUUUUUUUUUUUUUUCUCGAAGGUAAAAUCAAUUAUUUAGCUCCUUAUAUGUAAUCAAACUACAUUUCUUACUUUAAGUCAUAUCCAACGGACCAACAAAGUAAUUAUUUUUUUUUUCAUUCAUUUUUGCAGAAAAUUAAUAACUUAAAAAUAUUGAAAGCUAUUGUAAAAUUUUUUAUUAUCAACCUCAUAGUUUUAUUUUUUGGGAAGAAUUGAAUUUUUUUUUUUAAUUUCCAAGAAUUUCAUUCUCUAGUUUUUCCAUUAAUAUUACUUAUCUUGAUACCCAUCUUAAUUAAAAUCUGUAGUUUUAUUCAAGAGUCAUGCUAUUCAUUCACUCACAGACCAAAGGCUUUCCGCAGCAAUAUUAUUAUUUAAAUUACAACAAAGGGGAAAUCAAAUACGUCAUACAGAAGCUUAAAGCUGAAUCUACAAAAUCUAGAGCUCUCAACUACAUAAAUUACACUUGAUGAUCCUCUACAAGAUGAAGCUUGUUCAAUAUCUCAUCCAAAGCUUGUAAAGUAACAUUAUAACGAUCUUGAGAUUGCCUGCCUUCCUCGACGACCUGCACGAUGCGUUUGUACAAAUCAUCAUACCUGUGCACCGGAUUUUUAAUAUCAAUGCCACUGCAGCUGUGAUCAAGAACAUAAGAGCGUUUAACAUCUUUUCUCCAUCAAGAAAGAAUGUAGUGAGAUGGGAUCUCCUGCAUGCCACUCUGGUUUAGAACACAAAGAAUGUGUCUGCAUAAAUAUCCUCUGAAAUUGAACAACCCACAAACACAAAGCACCUCCAAGUCGGAGGCAUUGUACAAAACAUCGAAAAUAGUUAUGUUUUACAAUCUAUUAGACAUAUUUUAUUAAAUUAAUAUAAAUUUUCUAUAAAAUAAGAAUAUAAUAUUAAAAUAAAUUCACAAAAAAUUAAAGAAUUUUGAAUGUAAAAUAAUUUUAAUAGAUUAAUACGUGAGUUUUUUUAUUAAUAUAAAAAUUAUUUAACUUUAAGAUUUUUUAAAAUCUUUACAAUAAGUAUGACUAUAUUAUUUACAUUUAAAAAUAUUUAAAUAUUAUUAACCUACAAUUAUAUUUGCAUUUGUUAGAAUUUUUUAAGUCAAAUAUUUUGCACUUCUAUAUUAUUAGAAUUAUUGCACACAAAGAAAGAAACAUAUACCUUUAGAAAUUGUUUUCUUUUAAAAUAGAGAUGAUGAUUAGUAUAAGGAUGAAAAAAAUGAUAAAGAAUAUUAAUGAUUAACGAAAUCUCUAUACAAAUUGAUUUUAGUAGGAAAAGAGUGAGAUGAAUGAUUUCUUUUACGGUUAGAAACAUAGAUGAUGAUUAUUAUAACGAAGAAAAAAAGAUAAAGAAUAUUAAUUAUUAAUGGAAUCUCUAUGCAAAUUGAUUUUAGUAGGAAAAAAAAUGAGUUAAAUGAUUUAGAGUGCGUUUGGAAUUGAGAUUGGGCAGCCAUAGAUUUUAAGUUACAAUACUGAAGUGUUUGAUAAAUACUAGCUGCUGCAGAUUGAAAGUUAUAUUGAUAUGAUUUUUCACAUGUAUCAUAGAAAAUAUAUUACAUCUUUAAUAAUUUUUUUAAAAUUUAUAUUUGCUAUAUAUUAUUAAUUUUUUUUUAUAGUUAUAACUUUUUUUCCACAGCAGUUGUAGCUUAAAAGUCACAGCAUCUCAAUCUCAAACAAAUCCUUAGACAUUCAUAGUGUGUUUAUUUUUUGGAUUGGUGAAUCAAAAUUAUUGACAACGCUAACUUCAUCUUCAUUGUUCGCAAUCCAACAGCAGCAGCAAUUGUCACCAAUAAUGAUAUCUCCAAUGAUGAUGACAAUUAUUAUUAUUAUUAUUAUUAUUAUUAAUUUAUUAAUUAAUAUAUUAAUGUUAAUAAUAUUAUUAUUAAGAUUAACAAUAAUUAGUAGUAAUACAAUUUUUUGAAUAAAAAUAAUCACAAUAAUUAAAAUACAAAUUAAUAAUUAUGACAAUAGUUAAUUAAUGUCUUUUUAGUAAUUUGUAAUAAUCUAACUCAUUUUGAUUCUGAUUAUUACAGCUUAAGUAAACAAAUUAUUAUGAUUCCUAUUUUCCUUUCCUAUUUUAACUCACUUCGAUUCCAAUCUAUUCCAAUUUCUAUCUAAUAAAUGCACCAUUAGUGCUAAAGUAAUAUUUCAUACAUAGAAAAAUAAAAACUACACCUAAGGUUAAGGGAAAGGACUUCAAAACUCUCUUUUGAUCAUAAUACAUUUUGUCCUAAUUAACUUAAAGAUUUUGAAUCUAAUAUUUUAUAAUAAAUAAAAAUAUAUUCCUAAAAUAAAUAUAAUAUCAAUAUUUAAAAUAUGUUUUAAUAUUUUACAAUCUAUCAUACACAUUUUAUUAUAUUAAAGUAGAUUUUAUAAUAAAUACAAACGUACUAUUAAAAUUAAUAUAUAAAAAAUUUAGAAAAUUUAGAAUAUUAUAUAAAAUAAUUUUAAUAUAAUGCGUGAGAUAUAUUUUAUUAAUUUAAAAUUUUAUUUUACCUAAAAAUAUGAUAAAUUAAUAAUUACAUAUUUAAAGUUAUUUCAAAUAUUAAAAAAAUUUAAUAUUAUUAGUUUUUUAGAUAGAUUAAAUUAUUUUUAUAAGAGAUAGAUUAAAUUAUUUUAAAAUACCUUAAUUGUUUUUACUUUUAACGUUACCGGCCUUUCUUUUAUUUUAUUGUAAAUUAAUGCUAACAAGAAAAAGCUAGAUCAUAUUCCACAAAAGCAAAAGUGACAAACACAAUCAGCUGGAAUCUUUUAUAAAACUACAAAUUAAAAUGGUUUUUUUUUUUUUUUGAUAAAUUACAUAUAAAAGUGGAUUCUUUUGAAUAUAAGUGGGGUAGGCUCUUUUAUUUUUUUUUAAUACUGUAUAACAAGAUUGUAGACUCCUUGAUUAAGCACAAGUAUAAAGUAGUCGAGACGAUACUUUAUGCUAGGUGUCCAUUGAAUAUUAGAUCUUCAUUUCUUUGGCCAUUUAAUUUUUUCGAGAAAUUUUUCUUACGAUCCCGGCUAAGCUUGAAGAAAAGACAACUCAACGGUUUUUUUAAAACAAGUUUCCGUUUUGGUUGGUGAAAUGAAAACGAAAUAAAGCACUUCCAUCCAAAAAUCAUUCUUCUGGAGAAAGGGAUGACAGAUUAAAGAAAAGGGGUGUACUGAAAGGAGAAAAAAGGUUCUUGCAUGAGAGCUGGACACGUUAAAAGAAGUUGAACAAAUGUCUCAAAAAGAAGCUAUUUCGCUUUCAUACUAAAGCCUAUUUGUAAUAGCAUCAGCAAUGCUCCACUAUCCACAUUCUUGUGCGGAUAUCAUUGCAAUCUACUAAUGGUAUAUAAACAUGCAUGUUGUCCCAUGAUGAUUAAGUUAACACACACUUGGAGGUACUUAAAUUAUGCCAUAAAGAGAUAUAGUUAUUACGCAUACAAAUGUUAUUCAAUGGUUAAAAUGUAUGAUAAAGAAAUCGCUUGAAUUUUUUAUUUGCCGUUACGUAAUUUUUUUAUUGAUUCCGAGUUUGAAUCUUAAAAGAAAUAAAGGGUUAGAAAAUUAAUUUGAACUUUGUCCACUCUUUAACUUAAUGAGUAUAAAAACAGAAAAUGCAGGUAAUUUAAUUUUGACAUCUAACAUUUAAGAGAUAGAGCUUGAAAGAGUCCAAUAUUAAAUUAUAAAAUAAUUGAAAUAAAGUUUGCCCCAUAAGAAAAAUUGAACAAAAAAUCUUAAGUAUGAUAUGAUGCUAGAGAAAUUAUUUAUCUCAAAACUUUUAUUAGGUAAUUAAGUCCUAAGAAUAUGUAAUUACACAUGUAACAAAAAUUAGAGAUGAGGGUCUUUUAUUAAACUACAAAUUGUAUAGUCUUUUUAAAAUUGUUAUAAAUUGGUGGCCCCUACAAUCCUCAAUAAUUGUGCCGAUAUUCACAAGUUGGUGGCCCCUACAAUUAUCAACUGUGCAAGUGCUCAUUCACAAUCUUCCAGGUCAUGCUCUUAAUAAUUGUUUUUUUUUUCUGCAUUCCCUUUCAUGCUCUUAAUAAUUGAAGAGCAUACUUUUCAAAUAUGGAGCCGCAGCUAAUGUCGCUAAUUUAAUUUGGGAUUAAAUUAGGGGACCAUUAUGUUGCAGUGUGCACUAAUUUUUGUGUUUAUCUAAACUCCUUAAAUUUAAGACAUAUUACGGCAUAAAUAAGAAUAUAACAAUAACAAAAGAGUUAAAAAGUGUAGAGAAGAUCUUGCAGAAAUAUAAAUAAUAUCUAUUUUAAAAUAAUAUCAAUAUUUAAAAUAAUUUUUAAUAUUUUAUGAUCCAUUAGAUAUAUUUUAUUAUAUUAAAGUAAAUUUUAUAAUAAAUAAAACAUACUAAAUUUAGAGUAUUUUAAGUAUUAUAUAAAAUAAUUUUAAUAAAAUAUGUGAGAUAUUCAUAUUUUAUUAAUUUAAAAUACCAUUUAACCUAAAGAUUUAUUUAUGAUAAAUUAAUAAUUAUAUUUUUGAAAUUACUUCAAAUAUUAAAAAAAUUAAUAUUACUAAUCUAUUAGAUAGAUUAAAUUAUAUAUAUUAUUUUCUAUUUAUUAAAAAAUUUUAAAAUUAUUUUUAAUUACUAUUCAAAAAAUAUAAUGAUAAAAAAAAAUCUUAACAUCUUUAUUAAAAAUUUAAAAAUUUUCAUGAUCAAUUCUCUAAAUAUUUAGGGUAUAUGUGAACCACGGUGGAGAAGCUUUAUUUAAUAUUAUUGAUUUAAAUAAUAUGUGACAAAACAACUAGGUGGACUACAAAUUAAAGUGGAUUCUUUUGAAUACAAGUGGGACAGACGAUUAGGCUCUUUUUAAUUUUUAUUAAAGGCAAGUAAAAAGUAGUCGAAUAGUCUUUUUCAAAUUCUUGUUUUAUUGUUUUUCAAAACUAACAAGAAAAAGCGAGAUCAUAUUCCACCCCAAAAGCAAAAGUGACAAAACAACCAGCUGUAUUCUUUUAUUAAACUACAAAUUAAAAUGGAUUCUUUUGAAUACAAGUAGGACAGACGAUUAGGCUCUUUUUAUUAAACGCAAGUAAAAAGUAGUCGAAUAGUCUUUUUCAAAUUCUUGUUUUAUUAUUUUUCAAAAUUAGUUUUUGGUAAUUACUGUUUUUCCUUCAAAAGUUAGCGGUUCAUGUUUGCAAGUGUGAAUGUGCGAUGCUCUUUUCUUAAAGGCAAUUACAGUGGGGCCCGAAUGCCUAAAUCUUUUUAAAAUUUUUGCCGUAUAACGAACAGAGGUCAUUACUAAAAUUUCUCUUCCACAGCCUACAGCAGCUUCAGUUUAUCAAACUCAAUCAAUUUUCUUUCUUAACAAAAUUCCAAAGAUGUGUAGCAUUUUUCAGAUCGCAUGCGAUGGUGCUCUUUUCAAUCGUUGCUUGGAUUGCUUUCUUGGAAAAGCAGCAUACCUUCGUAACCUCCCAGAUAAUCUUGUAGACUUGGAGACUGAACUGGGAAGACUAAUCGCAGCAAAGAACGAUGUGAUGAUGAGGGUUGUCAAUGCUGAACGGCAACAAAUGAGAAGGCUGGGCCAAGUGGAAUGGUGGGUUUCGAGGGUGGAUGCUGUUAAAACUGGAGCCGAUGAACUUAUCACAGACGGCUCUGAAGAAAUUGGCGAAUUAUGUGUUGGAGGCUACUGUUCCAAGAACUGCAGGUCAAGCUACAAGUUCGGAAAACAAGUGGCUAAAAAGCUACAAGAUGUGAAGGCUUUAAUCGCCGAGGGAGUUUUUGAGGCGGUGGCUACUGAGGUGGUGCCCGAGAGAGCUCCGGAACCUGUAGCAGAUGAAAGACCCAUUGAGCGAACAGUAGUAGGCUUGCAAUCACAACUUGAACAAGUCUGGAGAUGUCUUGUAGAAGAAUCAGUGGGAAUCAUUGGCCUAUAUGGUAUGGGCGGUGUUGGUAAAACCACACUGUUGACCCAUAUCAACAAUAAAUUUCUUGAGAGUCCCACCAACUUUGAUUGUGUGAUUUGGGUCGUAGUUUCAAAAGACCUGCGACUUGAAAAAAUUCAAGACGAUAUUGGGAAGAAGAUAGGUCUGUCUGAUGAUUCAUGGAAGAAUAAAAGUUUUGAGGAGAAAGCUGUAGACAUCCUGCGGAGUUUAGGAGAGAAGAGAUUUGUAUUGUUGUUAGAUGAUUUAUGGGAGCGGGUUGAUUUAACAAAAGUGGGCGUUCCACUUCCCGGACCACAAAAUACUACCUCAAAAGUCGUAUUCGCAACCCGUUUCAUCGAUGUUUGUGGUAGCAUGGAAGCUGACAGGAAGUUCCUAGUGGCGUGCUUAUCAGAAAAGGAUGCUUGGGAACUGUUUCGAGAAAAAGUUGGGGAAGAAACUCUUCAGAGUCAUCAUGAUAUCGUUGAGCUAGCCCAAAUUGUGGCCAAAGAGUGUGGUGGUUUGCCACUCGCACUUAUUACUAUUGGUCGAGCUAUGGCCUGCAAAAGGACAGCCGAGGAGUGGAUACACGCAGUUGAAGUGCUAAGAAGAUCAGCUUUUGAGUUUGCAGGUUUGGGAAAAGAGGUGUAUCCUCUUUUAAAGUUUAGCUAUGAUAGUUUGCAGAAUGAGACGAUUAGAUCUUGUUUCUUAUAUUGUUGUUUAUAUCCCGAAGAUUAUGGAAUUCUUAAAUGGGACUUGAUUGAUUGUUGGAUUGGUGAGGGAUUCUUAGAGGAAUCUGACAGGUUUAGUGCAGAAAACCAAGGUUACUACAUUGUGGGCACUCUUAUUCAUGCGUGUUUACUAGAAGGGAUAGAAGAUGAUAGAGUAAAAAUGCAUGACGUUGUUCGUGAUAUGGCUCUAUGGAUAGCUUGUGAAAUUGAGGAGAGGAGACACUUUUUGGUUUGUGCAGGCGCUGGAUUAGAACAGGCACCGGCUGUUAGAGAAUCGGAAAAUGUGACAAGAUUGUCAUUGAUGCAAAACCAAAUUAAAAUUCUGUCGGAGGUUCCCACAUGCCCUGAUCUCCUCACUUUAUUUCUUGACUUUAAUGAGGAGUUGGAGAUGAUCGCGGAUGGCUUCUUCCAAUUUAUGCCUUCUCUCAAAGUUUUGAAGAUUUCAAACUGCGGGAAUUUUACUUUUCAAUUACCUUUGGGGAUGUCAAAGUUGGGUUCACUAGAACUUUUUGAUAUUUCACGCACCGAAAUACAAGAGUUACCAGAAGAGUUAAAGUUGUUGGUAAAUCUGAAAUGUUUGAAUUUGAGGUGGACAAGCAAGUUAAUUAGAAUUCCACGGCAACUAAUAUCAAAUUCUUCAGGGUUACGUGUGUUGAGAAUGUUCGCUACUGGCUAUGAAUGUUUUCAUGAAGCACCAGAAGACAGCGUUUUAUUUGGUGGGGGUGAAGUUUUAGUACAGGAAUUGCUCGGUUUGAAAUAUUUAGAGGUAUUGGAGUUGACCUUGGGAAGUUAUCAGGCUCUCCAAAUCUUUUUGAGCUCAAAUAAGUUAAAAAGUUGUAUUCGAUCUCUUUUCCUCCAGUUGGCCGGAGAUACAAAGUCGAUUAUUGAUGCUGCGGCUUUCGCAGAUCUAAACCACCUCAAUGAAUUAUAUAUUUAUGAAGGUAUUGAGUUGGAAGAAUUGAAGAUUGAUUAUACAGAGAUAGUACGAAAAAGGCGGGAACCUUUUGUUUUCCGCAGCCUUCACCGUGUUACCAUAUUUAGUUGCGGUAAAUUGAAAGAUGUGACAUUCCUCGUUUUUGCUCCAAACCUCAAGUCUCUUGAGCUAUUGCAAUGCGAUGCUAUGGAAGAAAUAAUCAGCGUCGGAGAAAUUGCUGAGACUCCUGAGAUGAUGGGACACAUAAGCCCUUUUGAAAAUCUCCAAAGUCUUCAUUUAUCGUAUUUACCAAUUUUGAGGAGCAUCUACUGGAAGCCAUUGCCUUUCACUCAUCUCAAAAAAAUGGAGGUACGUAGAUGCGAUCAGCUUAGAAGGCUUCCGCUCGAUUCCAACAGUGCAACAGAGCGUAAUGUUGUUAUUCGUGGAUACACACUCUGGUGGAACCGACUUCAAUGGGAGGAUGAAGCCACUCAAAUUGCUUUUCGUUCCUGUUUCCAACCUCGUUCCUGAGCAGUGGUCGCAAAAUUUGAUUUCUGGUGAGUGCGUUUGUCUUUUAAAAAGAAGAAUUUAAAAGAAAUUUAUUCUUGUCGUUUUCUUCACUGUUUUUAUUUGAUUUCUGGUUAGUUUCUUUCUCUCUCUCUCUCUCUUUGUCUUCUGCAAAUCACAAUUAAAUGUUGAAUUAAUGGAAUUGAUGCUCUGGUUUUUUACUUUUUGUUGUCAAAUUUUGCCCUGUUCUAUCUUCUUAGCGAUUUAAUUUCCUGUCAAAAGACGAGCGAGAAGAACAUAUAUAUGACUUAAACCAAUUGAUACUUUAUUUAUGUGCAUUGUAUGUAAUAAAUAUUAAGUAUACUUUAUUUUUGCCCUGUUCUCUGUUUUUAUUUCAGUCUCUCUCUCUCUUUCCUGUCUUCUGCAAAAUAUAAUCAAUUAUUUUCAAAAUAUCAUUGAUGAUUUUUCUGCUCUAAUGCUAUGUAAAUAGUAUGUUAAGUAAAACAUAAUCAAUUAUUUGUGUUUUAUCUCUAAUUAGAACAUCAAUCAGUUCAGUACCUCACAAAUAAUUCGCAAUAUCUACAAAAUACUAUAAUGGCUACAAAACAAAUCCUGCUUGCAAAUUGUCAAGGAUACCUAUCCGUUCGCUUGACAAGUCAUUUGAAUAAAUAUUGUUCACAUUCCUUACUCUAUCAAUUAUCCAAAGCACCAUCAAUGGUCCUCAACUUUAGUUUGAAUAGUAUACAUGCCAUCACCAUUACCAAGAAUCAAGCAUGGAAGAGUCAUUCUAUAGAGUUAAUCGAAGCAAGGAAUGAUGUAUCAGAAAAUAUUUGGUGGAGAAUUCAGCACAAACAUAUUUUGGAUGAUCAGAAUCAAUAAAACCUGGUGGUUGCGCCAUAUAAACAUCUUCGGAAAGCUGACCUUGAAGAAAGGCGUUAUUGAUAUCCAAUUGACGAAGAGGCCAGCCAUGACUAACAUCAAUACUAAGAACAAGCCGUACUGUGGUGGACUUAACAACUGGACUGAAAGUGUCAUAAUAGUCCACACCAGGCCAUUGAUUGAACCCUUUGGCAACAAGAUGAGCUUUAAACCUGUCAACAGAACCGUUGGAAUGUCUUUUAAUACAAAAAUCCAUUUGCAGCCAACAAUAUUGGAAGGGAUGGGAGGUGGAACAAGCUUCCAUGUCCCGUUACGAACAAGAGCAUCAUACUCUUCUGACAUAGCUGGACGCCAGUGAAGAUUUUUGAUAGCUUGCGUCACAGUUGUAGGUUCACAAUCAGAAGAAGGGCUAAAAUGAGCACGGAGGUUAAGUUUUUGUAACGGCUUGUGAAUCUUAUUUUUAGCUCGGGUAGUCAUAUCAUGAUGACUUGUGGGGCAAUGAUCUAGUGGAGUUUAGGAAGAUGAUUGAACAGGAAGUGAAGAAGUGCUUUGUGUAGAGGUAGAAGUAGGUUGGGAGGAUUGCUGCGGAGAUGUUACCGGUAGAGAAGAAGGAGCAGUACACGGUGGCAACUCCAGAGGGCCCACAAUAGAUGGAGUAGGUGCCGACAAUGGAGUACUAGGAAAUGAAACAGGAAGAAUUGGUGGAACACUUGCGUAAUUAGGAGUGGUAGAUGAGCUUGUAAUGAUUUGUAUGGAAAAACAAACUCUACAAAUUUAACGUGACGUGAAAUAAAAAUUCAACCCGAUUGCAUAUUUAAGAACAUCUCAAAUGAAUUGCUUACUGCUAUCAUCAUCAUUAUUGUCUAUAUAAUAAUGGAUCUUUAUUAUAUAUAUGUUUCCACUAAAAUAUAUUUAAUUAUUCUUUAUUUUUCUAUUGUUGCGUGUAAGAUUUAUUUGAGUUCUAAGUUAUAUCAAUACAAAUGUUAUCUUAUCCAUAAAAAGUUAGAUCCAACAAUUAUGAAAAUUACUAUAGAGUUGCUUUCAAUUAUUUUUUUAAAAUACCAGGAGUAAAUAAUAAUUAGUUCAAAUGGUGGAGACUAAAAUGCGUUCACCUUUAUUUUUUAUCUGUUAUUUACUUUUGUCAUUACAUUAAUGCACAUGCUAUACAUUUGAGACAUUCCAUUAAUUGCCAAUUAUGUAUGUGAGAUAGUAAUUUAAAUUAAAAAAUAAAAGUGAAAGUUAAUCCUAUGCAAUGUGAAUAAAUUUCUUUCCUUUUUCCUUUACUCUUUUUAUUUGACAAUAAAGUUUCCAUCUAUCAUCUAUCAUCUAUGUACACAAAAUUUCUGCAACAAGUACAAAACAUAAAAAUAUAUGAAUAUUAAGGGAAACACGCAGAAGUUCAUCAUUUCAAUGUUCAGUAUUACCAAUUUUGGCAUUAAGCUUGUACGAAUAUAUUCUACUUCGAAAGCAAAAUAUUAGACUCGUGAUUUUAAUUCAUUCAUUAUCUCUCAUUUUAAUCCCAAAAUAUUCAAGAGUAUCCAAGUUACCAUAAGACUUCAGAGGCUCGAGCCUUAGCCAGAGAUGGUUAAUUGAUAGACUAUGUGCCUGGGUCGAGCACUGGAAGCCUGCAAUGCAGACUGAUUGAUUUAUCAGUUUAACGUGUGCCAGGAAUGAAGAACUGGAAUAUCACCGUCAAGCAAGCACCCUGUGGAGCAAUACCAAAGAAUGCACAAUCUGGCUUUGCUAGGUGACCCUGGAGGCUUUUUGAAAAGUGCUUCAUGCUCACUUGCACAGAUUGAGCAUCCCCUCUGGAUAUUGCCCUCUCUGAUCGAGUCUGAGCACUCAAAUUUCGGUCCUCAGAUGGAGCUACAGCUUUCUCUCCAAUAACCAACAAUUUUCUAAACUCAGCACCUAGUGUGAUCAGAGUUGUUGAUAUUUGCAAAUGGAGAUCCCCAUAUUUGCAAAUGGAGACAUUUAACAAAUCACCAACAUGCUUCAUCCGGUCCACGAAAUUCUGCAACUGAUUCAAAUCUGGAACCUGAACCAGAGUCGGAGGUAUAUCUUGAGCCAUAUCUAAAGCAGUUUGAAGUUCAAGACCUUGAGCCCUUGACAAUGGUUUUGAAAUUGGAACAUCUUGGAUUACUGCAGACUUGUACCCCUUGGUUUCAAAGGUAAGGAAAGGCAUUGCUUGAGUACAAUUUGGAGGCAGCUUCUUCACCAAUUUUAUUUGGAGGCAAUUGGCAGCGGAUCCAGCUGCACCAAUUUCAGAGCAACUACUGACACUACUUCGAACAGCACACUGACGAAGUGAUAUGUCUACGGCAAAGGCAAUGCAGUCCUCAUUUUGGCUUGAGAUGCAGUAAUCAUCGAAGAGAGUUUCCUUGUGAAACUGGGCAACACAUUGAAUCCCUUCGCCACUGAGAAGGUUGUGGAGGAAGUAAGCUGUCUCUCUAGUGAGGAAGAGGUGGCAUACCUUCCCCAUUUUGUCUAGGGCAGGUAGGAAUCUUUUUUCUAAGAGAUUUACUUCAUUCUCUGUGAGAAAUGCUUUGAACUUCAUCCCUCUGUCUCUAUCCUCACUUAUCAGGAAAUAAGUUGAAAGCACUAUGAAGAGAGAGAGAGAGAGAGAGAGAAUUAAGAUAUAUAGACAAGAAAAUAAUUAGACGUUGAUCUUACAAACUAAUACUUCAAGCAGUAUCCUAGAAAGCUAAAAACUGCAAGAUGGCUUGAAAUUUGAAAAGAGCACAUGGUUUUCCUCCUUAACUUGAGAAAAUGUUUAAUAUAGUGCACCUUACAGAAGCAUUUAAGCAAUUAGAACUUUGCACAAAAACAUCAAGAAGACUAAACAAAUCAGAUGCAGUGUAUUUGUCCAAGCACAAAUUGCAUUUUGUCCUCAACUUUAAUAUUUAUUGAUGAGAAUCAAUACAGGUCCCUCAUUUGUUAUAGAAAGCUUUCUUGUAGUCUCACCAGUUAAUUCACAGGUCUAUAAUCAUCUUGCAAAGUUAAGGGCAUUUCUUUCGAUCUAAAGUCUUUGCAUCACCACCUCAUCACACGCCAAGCCAAUAUUCCAUUUACCUCUACAACAAAAAGUUUUUAAGUAAAUAAUCCUAAUGCACGCAGCCGAAUAAAAUGCAGUAAGAAUAUUCAACUUAAAAAUCUGAAAGCCAACUUGGUGAAUUGCCUCCUUAGGUGAAGUUCCAUGCUUUACUAUAGUUGACAGAACUCAGCAAAAGCUUCCAUACAACAGAUUUUGAAAAUGAUGAUGCCAAUAGAUACUCAUUCAAUCCAUUGAAACUCCAAAGGUUCAUUGUUCAUAGAAGUUUACAGAGUUUUGGUCAUCAAAUAGCUCAGACCUAAUCCCAAACAAAAAACGAGUGAAAAUUAGAUCACGAGCAGCUAAUUGUAAAUUCUAACUUAACUCUUCAUCUCCUUUGUAAACAAGAAACAAAAUGGAGACACGCAAAAUGAAUAUGGAGAAAAUUUGAACUCAAAUGAAAUGAGGGCACGAAAGCAAACAAAUGGCAUGCACAAAAAAACCAAGCCUCGAUAAAAAACUAAUUAACCAUUAAGAAAAAAAUUGGUCAGAGAAUGAACUCCAAAUUCAGGAGUCAAGCAAGAAGCUUUCAUUAUUUCAGAAGCUCCUGUACAAAUUAAUAAGUUAUGCUCUUUGGAAGCAAACCUAAAUUCCAAGAGAAACAGAACCCAAAAAAUUUGCAAUUAUACGCAAAGGAAGUGAAGCACAGGAUUCUAUCACACAUAGGAAUUGUAUAACAAGAGAUCGAUAUAUCGAAUUAGAAAACUCAAUUCGAAUUUGUGUCAAAAAUCAAAAUUAGAAGAUUUCACAUUUCGAGAGGAACAAGCAACAGAUGAAGUUCAAAAUUUCAGCCAUAACAUGCUAAAAAUGCUACACUUAACGGUUCAUUUUCAUGGAUUUUCUCGGGAAACAAACAGAAAAUUACGGUUUAGAGAGUUGACUGACCUUUUGGCUUUUGAAAUUGACCAGAUCGCGCGCCAAAUUGGAAGAGGGAAAGUGAAAGCGCGAGUUUUAAUAUGGGUAUUAGAUAAGGAAAUUUUAUUAGGUUGCGAGGGUAAAAAAGGAAAGAGAUAUCAUUAUUUUAUUAUCGAUAAUUAUUAAAUUUUUUUCCAAAAAAAAGAACAAGCAAGGAUUUUUUAUUGUCAUCACUAAGUUAAAAAAAAUUGUUUCAAAAUUACUUGAGUCAUAUCCAAUGGACCAACAAAGUAAUCGUUUUUAUUUUUAUUGAUUUUUGCAGGAAAUUAAUAACUUAAAAAUACUGAAAGCUACUGUAAAAAUUUUUAUUAUCAACCUCAUAAUUUUUUUUUUUUGGGGAAGAGAAUUCAAACUUUUUUUUUAUGAAUAUCGCUGUUUCGUUUGAGUUGGAUGUGAAUUCAAAUCCAAAUAUUCUUUGUUUUUCAAUUUUGAACUCAAUUUCUUUUUCUCAAGAAUGUUAUGCAGAAAUAAUUUUUACUAAAUCUUUUUUGAUGAAUUGUUUAAAUUAAACAAUUGGAAUAAGAAUUGUAACGAUUUAUCAUAAGCGUGCUAAUAUGAUAACUUGUUUUACGAAGGAUUAAUUAAUCAAUUAAUAUUAAAUUAUAUAUUAGUCAAUUAGAUAUGUGUUACAUUUAUCAUGUUUUGUAGGUGAUAGUACAUCAUUUCUAAAAGAAUAUAGUACGUUAAAAUAUUAUUUUAAUGAAGAAAAUUUUAUUAUUUUAUUAUUAGGUGACACAAUAAUAAAUGGAUUUCUGUAAGAAUUGAGAUUCUUGAUAUAAUUAUUACAUAAGGAGAAGUUUAGUUGGUUCAAUUUUGACGUGAUAAGAAGACAACACAGCACAGAAAACCCAAAUUGCCACUUCCACUAAUAAAAGAUACCUGUUUGAAAAGUAAUUAUAAACUAUCUUCUUUGUGUUAUUUCUCAAAACUUUUGUGGCACAAAUGUUAUUUCCAUUGACAACAGUACGAAAUACCACCCCUUUCACUUGAGCAGGAGCAAAGCAAAGGUAUGAUGAGCUAUCUCUGUAUAAUUGAAACGCCAUUACUAAACGAUUCUUGAUGAUGGGAGCCACCGUGCCAGCUUUGUCGCUGAUUUGCAUGAUUUAUUAGUUGUCCAGAUGGCGGAUUUUGUACUGUUACCUUCGUUUCAUUCUUCAGAGCCAUGUACUGUUCUAGGAUACCAGAGAAACCAAGGUGGCAUUGAAGUUGCCCUGGUGGUUAGUUUUCCGAUCAUUUUUUUAUUCAAUUAUUUAUGUUUUUAGAAAAAUGUAGGAAAUAUGUAGAAAUGUUGACAGCUAUGAUUUUGAAACUUUUGCCUAAAAUUGUUAUCAUUACUUGUUGUUUCUUAUUUAAAGAGAAAUUCUAGAAACAUGAAAUGAUUAUUCUACGCUUGUUUUAAUAUUGUGCUAUGAAGAUUACGAAGGUUUGAUUAUAUGUCACUAUCAAUUGCCUUAAUCGUUUGUCGUAAAUCAAUUAAGCAUUUUGAUGCGAAUGAUUCCCUAUUAAAAAAUUCAAGUCAGAGCUGAAUUGCAAAGUAGUUAGUCGUGCUUGCAAUUCAAAUUAAGUAUUGUAUUUUCUCCCUGAUUUGGUUGAUUCAACUAUGUGCAUUUGCUUAUGAACGUUGCAGUAUAGAAAUCGAAAUAUCUUGUCUUUUGCUAAGCCCAGAAGCAAAUUCUUUGUAUUCUACUCAUCAGUUUUCUUCAUUCUCUUUGUUGAAAUUUUAUCUAAACAGCGGUUUCUUCGAAUUUAUGCCUUCGCUUACUCUUUUAAAUUUUAUCCAAACAACGGUUUUGAAAUUGUUUUCACUACAAUACCUUAGUCUUUCAGAUGCUCCCGUCACUGAGUUGCCAGAAGAGCUAAAAGCCUUGGUAAAUCUUAAGUGUUUGAACCGGAGUACACAAAUUAUCUCUCUACAUUUCCAAAGCAAUUGAUUUGUUACUUUUCGAUGCUACAUGUUCCGCGAAUAUUCAGUUGUGGUUAUCUUGUUCAGAUACCAGAAAAUAGCGUUAUAUUUAGUGGUAAUGAAUUCUUGGUUUGGGAGUUGCUUAGUUUAAAACGUUUAAAUGUAUUAAGCAUCAUCUUGAAAAGUUUUUCUGCUGUCCAAAAACUUAUGAGCUUCCAAAAGUUUCAAAGCUGUACACAAUGCAUGGAGCUUGUAGACUGUGAUGAUCCAAAGUCAUUUGCCGUGGCAGAGUUGAAGCAUCUUGAAAAACUAGGUUUUUCAAGUUGUGGAAAUUUGGAAGAGUUAAAGUUCUGCUGUGUCGAAGUUGCAAAGGCUCGAGAAUGUUUUCGUUUGAACAGCCCUCACUGAGUUAAGAUGAAGGCUUGUCAUAAAUUGUGGGAAGCGACAGGUUAUUCAAAUAGAAAAAUUUAUGGAGAUGGAUGUUAAUCUUAAGGUUAUUCAAUUAGAAAAAUUUGAAUAAAAUUUAUGGUAAGUGCUUUUCCAUUUAUUGCAUAUUUAUAUCUAAUUUUUAUUUUCCUUUAUUGUUAAAUUUUGGUCUCUAUUUGUUGUUGUAUGGUGGCAUUCUUGUACAAUUAUUAGCUUUUCAUUUCUCUUCUCACAUUAACUGCCCUUCUGAUCAUGUAGGAUUUGCUGAUGCAAAGAGUCAUAAUUUGGGAUACAAAUGUAAGAAUUAGACAGAUGACAUGUUGUUUUGAAGCUCUCAAAGAAGGACUAAUUAUGUCAUUGAAAGCCUCCAAUUUUGUGAUUGGUUUCUUUUUAUUUUAUUUGUUGUUUUCUCUAUUUUCAGAUCACUUAAUUGUUAGUUGUUGUAAUGUAAUGUUUUAGUAUAGCAAAUUAUAUUCGGCCAAGACAGUGAUAGGAGGGCACAUUGUGCAUGCACACUAGUGGAUUUGGCAUGCCAAAUCCAAUUAGGAUGGAUAACACUUUAUAAGCAUUAGGCUUCUCUCAUACCUGAGUAAUAUAGAAUAUGUUUAUAAGUUGUGAAUCACCCUUUACAAGUGUUAGGCUUCUGCUAUACUCAGUGAUGUGAAAUAUAUUUAUAAGCACUAAACUUCUCCCAUACACUUUAUGUUAAUAAUAAUAAUAAUAAUAAUAAUAAUAAUAAUAAAAUAAUAAUAAAUAAACCCAUUUUAACAGACUCUUUUUUCUUUUUCUAUAUGAACAAAUGCAUUCUUCAAAGCAACUGUGGGGAGAAGAAGUGAGUAGAGAAGAACUGAGCCCCUGUCAUUCCCCUAAAACCUCACCAAAACCUCUCUUGUAAGCUUCUCGGAUUUUCUUUCUAUAUUUCUUAGGAACUCAUUUUUUAUUGAAUCACUUAUUUUGCAUGCUGCAUUUUUUGGUUGUCGUAUUUGUGUAUUAUCUUAUCUGGAAUGCUGUUAUGAUUGAUGGAACAAGUAAUCGAUUUUUGGUCUAAUGGAAGUUGAUUUAUUUAUUUAUUGUUGUUUUUAUUUGAAAUUAUGUACAAUUGUAUUUCAUUCAUUUCUCUCUCUUUUGCUUUUUUCCCCCCAUAUAUUUGUUAUGUAUAAUUGCGUUUCAUUUAAUAUUGAUCAUACUGUAGGUAACCAUGUGAUUGUAGAUGGGGAUUUCGAGUUUGUUGAAUAUUCAUGUAAGUGAAGUAACCGUCACAAUACUAGUGAAAUUGGGAGCUUUAUUCAUGAGUUUGUGGUUUUGAAAAGUACCACAGUUCAACUGGUGAAGGCUCCGUUUUGGGAUUCUUCUUUUUCUAGGCUGCAAUUAGGAUAUGUACAUGAUAGACAAUCUUUUGUUGGUUUAGCAUAUCUUCGCUGAUUUUGUCUUUUAUUCCCCAAUUUUAUAAUUACACACCAUGAAUGUUGGGUGAUUGUAUAGAAAAUUUGUGUUAUAACAAAAACAUUGUGAAGGAGUUUCCGUGCUAAUAGUUAGUGGCUUCUGUUUUAUUGGCAUUGAUUGGGUAGAUUACGUGUUACAGUGAUUCAAUUUGUGUUCCAAACUUUGCUUUAAUUUUCUGUUUUCCCCAACUAUUUAUGUCAAAUUUAAAUCCAGAAGCAUGUGCUGAUUUUUUCUUUUUGUAUUAAUCUGUGAAGUUUAUUUGGAAUGGAAGUAACUGGGUCGGGUCUAAUGGAUUAAAUUAUGACAUUGAGGGGAAGGCACUAAAAGGGUUUGCUUGACACAUUUGGUUCUGUGUUUACUCUGCAAGAAAUAACUUUUGCUUAUUGCAAUGCAGGGGGAAAUCCCGAUUUGGCUGGUGAAUUUCUCUGCAACAAACAGGCAAACACCUCAACAUCUUCUGUCCAUACUUCUGCUGGGGAGGCAAGGGGUAAAGAGUCUUCAAAAUCAUCAAAUAGUUACAUCUCUGAGAAUUCAUUUUAUGGAAAUGGAAAAUCUAGAGUUUCUAAUACAAAAUGGCAUCUGGUAUCAGGACGUACCGUUUCAAGUUUUCUUGGUAAAGAUUAUGUUAAACCUGCACAGCCAGCUAAUGGCACUUUUCUGGCAUCAAAGCCAUUGAAGUUGGAUCCAAGGGAGUUUCGCAUUUCUGCACUUUCAGAGAAGAAACUAAACCGACAAUCAAAGGAUGACCAUUUGCAGAAGGAUAUGGAAGAUUUUCUUUUUAAAUUGCUAGGAGAAGGGUUCCAGCUGUACAGGGAUGUGAUUCAGGAGGUUCAUGGUAACGUCUUAAAUAUAUUGAUGCCAAUUUAAUACAUAUUGUCCUUUUCAAUGUUCUUUCUUUCUUUCUCCUCUUUUUAUUAUUCUUCUUCUUCUUUUUUCUUUUCAUGUGCAUGUGAUCACUAAUUUGGUAUUAUUCUUGACUUGCAGAUAGUUGUGGAUAUGAAAUGCAAAAGGUAAGGGCUAUAUCUUCUUGAUGGAGGCCUCUGAUUUUUUAAAUCGCAUUUUCCUUUGUGAUUGAUAUAUCAUACCAAAGUCAAGUCUUAAAUACUGCUGUCAUAUGUUAAGGUUCAACUUCCAUUUUGAUUAACGUCGAUUUGCUACUGCUUCCAAAAGUGAGAAUGAGAUACUUUGGUUAAUUUCAGUAGUUGAACUCAAUGGAGUACUUUAUUUAGAUCUUCAUGGUUCAAAGGCCUGAAAAAACUUGCCGGUAUUUGCAAAAUGACAUCUGUGCUUUUAUUUAGACUUAUUAUUAAAGACAACAUUUUAUUUCAGCCAAAAAUGUUUGUUUCAAUUAAAGACUUGAACCAUUUUCAUUUAACCUGAUUGUGAUGCUUUACAUUAUGCAUGUUCCUCUCAAUCAAUAAAAGUUGAGGUCAUGAUUUUAUAUUUCUAUUUUGUAACUUGAAAUAAUUGGUCUGCCUGUUUCUGUUGCUUGAUAACAUGAAUUUUUCCUUCUGAAGUUAAUUUGAUCAAUAAAGUAAUUCUUCGGAGAGGAUAUGCCCAUUCUAUAGUCAUUUUCUUAGCUAACAUGUUUUUUCUUCACUCUUCAAAGCAUGUCUAAACUAAUUGAUCGCUCAGCGGAGACUUUGGGUGAGAAGACAAAAUUUCUUGGUAAAUCCUCUGAAAAGGUAUGCAUAAUUCCCGAGUAUUAAAUAAUCAUUGGUCAUAAUUUUUGUACACGACUCUUGUUUUGGAGAUCGUUAAAAGUGGUUGAUGAUCUAUUUUGUAAUAUCAUAGAGGGAUCAUGAAUUCCUUUUCUUUUCUGUGGCUAGGCAACACUUUCGAGCCAAGCUAAGGAAAUCUAUUUUAGGUAAUGUGAAAACUAGUUGUAGGAUGUAAUAGUUUAUUAUGCCCUGACAAUAACUUUUUGUAUAAUUGUCAGUUUAAUGAAUACAAGAGGAACUCUGUUGGCAAGUUCAUCCAUGAUAGAUGCUAAAAUUAUUUAUGCAUACCAGUUGCCUUAACUAAUUUUUCUCAACACUGGUAUUGAACAGGAAAAUGAAUAUGCAAUUUGUAUAUUGUGCCAUUGUGGAGAAUUUGGAUAUUCUUAUUUAAGUAACAAGGAGAGUAUUUGCCUCAUCUUUAAACAAUGAAUCUUUGAGAAAUGAGGAGUGGGUGAUUGACAGUGUCUUCAUGUAAAUGUUCAUUUAUUUGUAUUUUGAACUAUUAUGAGAAUCUUUGUAUGCCAAAUUAGUAAUACAAAUGUUCAGAUGAUUUUUCCUGUUGAUCAUGCGUGUGUAUCUGCACACAACCAUUGUGUACCACUUUAUUCUGAUGCACAAAUAUCUGUAGUUUAGAAGAAAAGAAAUAAUAAUCAUAUAUUAUUGCUUGGUUCAUGAUUAUUAAAUGAUUAUGGCUUUAGAAAAUCCACAAAUCCUUUGUGUUCAUAUAUGAAUGUGCGAAGUUCGCUAUAUCUUAGAUUACCUUCUUCCAAGAUAACAAGUUCAUAUAUUUUUUUUAAUCCUUUUUCAUCACAGUUGAAUUUCAAGUGUAAGUUUUGUUAUUAAUAGCUGGUUUCCUGUUAUUAUGAUUUCAUAAACAAUGAGAGGAUAUGUGCUCUACUUUUGGAUGGCCUCCACAUAAAAGAAAAUUGCAACAAUUGAAUUCUUCUGGAGGGUAUGGUAUUUAAUUUAUUUUCUCAGCUUGUUGUAAGACUAAUAUAUUUCCUUCAGUACGCACGGCAUGGUGGGAAGGGUUUUUAUUGAAAGAAUUAUGAUAUUUCUUAGACUUUGUUUUGGAAGGGGGUGGAGGGAUUUCUCAUCCAUGUAUGGUUACUUGAUUAGCUUUUGACUGUACUGUCUCCGUCGUGCAAAGGAAAAUCCAAAUACUAACGAAGGGGAAUUGCUUAGGCACCCAAAGGACAGAAAUGAAUUACGGAAGGAGGUUUUUGCUGCUUUAUUUAGUGCUGCUGAGAAAUCUGAUGAAUUUCCUGAAAUUACGGUGAAGACGGAGUGGAGGUCCAACGCAUUAGGAAAGGUGGUGAGUGAACCGCCAGAGGAAUUAGUACCAGAAUACAAGGCUAAUGUGGUGCACUGGCAGCAAGAUGACCAGACCUGUAUGUGCUCUUAUAUUAACUAUAUUGGCUGGAUUUGUGAGUGUGUUCAUUUUUGUGUGUAUACUCACUUUUGUAUUUAUGCAUAUUCACGUGUGUAGGAUUCUCGAUUUCUGCCACUUACUGGAGAACUAGUGGAAAGCUUUAUACUGAUAUAUGUGCUAUAUAACUAAUGGAAACUACAAUAUGAAUAUUUUCUCUCACCUGGAGAGCAGUGUAACUAAUAUAAUUUGUGGCUCUGGAAUACUGAAGAUUCUGCAAUAACUAAUGGAAAAUAUGAUAUGAAUAUUUUUUCUCACCUGGAGAACUUUGUAACAGAUACAUUUUGUGCUGGAAUGUCUAAAGAAUGCUUCAGUUUAUAUCAAAUAUCUUUUAGUUAGAAAAGAUAAAAUUCUCUGAAUCUGAAAGACUGAAACAUUUUGCAUAUUUCGUGAAAGGCAAGUAUCUGUAGAUACUAGCUCAUGCAUUGAGGUAAUAUCAAUGUUAAAGAAAAACAGCAAUAAUUUAUUAUACAGAAUUAGGUUCACUUGCUUUAAAUGCUGGUCUGAUCAACCAUAUCAACCUGUAAUGGUCCUGCAGAAAUAUAUAUACGGGGAGAAACUAGCUAAUUUUCCUUUCACUUAUGGGUUUGGUCUUUUUUUCCCCAAUUUUUCAGCUUUCCUUCUCCUGAAGUAUGUUAAUAAUUGCAGAUAAUGGCGAAGAGGACUGCUUCCAGGCUACCGGCAAAAACUUUGUGAAAGCUUUGGAGUUAAACAGGGAAUUCACUUACUGCUAAGGACAAUUGGUGGCGAGCUAUUUCAUUCAUUUUAUGUCCAUACAUCUAUUUAAUUAUUAAAGAUAAUGUACGCAUUUGUAAAUUUCAGAUUGUGUGUCUCUGAAAAUAACAAUAUUUAAAAUGUCUCUUAAAUUAUUAUAAAUUUUAAUUUACUCUCGAUUUAAAAUGGAACAUGUUGGUGAAAUAUUUUUUCUUCUUAAUAAAAUUGAAAUAAAUUAUGUUAGCAGUAGUUUGAAAUAUUUUAAAGAUGAUUAUUUUAUAAGGGAGUAAUAUGAAAUGAAAUUUACUUUUCAUGCGUGAAAUGUUGAAAAAGGACAAAGCAAGUGUCCCUGCUUUUAUUUUAUUUCAAAGUGGAGUCAUCUCACAUACUUUAGCUCUAUCAUUAGGAGCCGGCUAAGUUACGUUAAACGUAAUUUACGCCAGGCACAGCAAUAAUGACAAGUCCCAUGACUAGUAUUGUUGCUGUGUCUGACGUAAGUUACGUUUAACGUAACUUAGCCAAAGCCCUAUCAUUAAUAUAUAUUUAAAUUUAACACAUGCAUGUGGGUUACUUUUCCGUAAGUUCCUUAAUAUAUAUUUAACACAAAUCAUGGAAGAGAUGGGAGUAUAUCAAGAUGAUCAAAGCAUGAAACAAAAAUAUUUAAGAAGUAAAACACUGAAAAUGGAGAAGAGAUGCAAGCAAAAGAUAUUCUAAAGAAAAGCAAUCUAUCCCCUUUCGAGGGCAAACUUAUCAGGUUUAAGAAAAGUACAUGCUUUGGAUUGGUAGUUGCAGCCUUGCAGGAUAAUUGUUUUUGCCACUAUAUUAGUUGGAGGAGUUGAACCCAGUGAAGAAUGUUAUGGAAGAGCAAAUGAUAUUUCUGAUAGACUCUAUUUGAUUAUGUAGCCUGAAUAGAUGUCUUGUUGAAAGAUAUAUCAGUGCAUUAGUUCAUCCUUGUCUGUCAAUGUGUUUUUAAUGGUUUUUCCAAUUGUUUUUUUUUUUUUUGAAACUGAUUAAGCAUCAGGUUACUGCAUUACACAGAUAUAUAUACAACUGCUAUGACAGCAGGUCAUUACACUGAUAUUUACAAUCAGAUAUAUAUACAUGGGACUUAUAUUAUUACAUUUUUAUUCUAUGAAGUACAUGCCCAUCCCAAAUACCCCUCACGGAGGAGGGAUGUCUCUACUCCACUCGCAUUUCGCAAGGGAGAAAGACGUUUAUAGAAAUCUCCACACAAUUAUGUUUAAUUGGAGGAGGUUGAGUCCGUGGGGACUCGAACCAUUGCCCUCAAAGUCAUGCUUAACUUUGAGGGCAAUGGUCCACCACUGGGCUACAAGCCCAAGUGGCGGUUUUUCCAAUUGUUUAUUGCUAUAGAUUGAUUGUAAAUUGAUGUGAACUUAAUGUUGAAAUAUUUUCUCUUUAGUGGAAUGAAAGUUAAACAUUCAAGAUUAGAUUAUUCAAGGUCCACAUAGUAUGUGUUCCGUUGUGUUGUCUGUAAUUUUGCAUUUAAAUAAAUUUGAGUGCUGCCGUUUCGCUCCCACAAUCUCUCGCCUUUUUUUAAUUUUAAAAAUUAAAAUAUUAAUAAAAAACAAUAAAGAAAAUCGAAUCCUUUAUGUCAUUCCAUCUUUACAACUCUCUCUCACAAACUCCAUCUAACAGACUUCUCUCUUACUAUCUCGGUCGAACAAGACCAGUGACAAUGAUGACACGACCGCCGACGAUGAGAUGGUCAUCGCUAAAGAAUCGGGCCGUGUAUUUUACAAUUUCUUGGUUUGUGACAACAAUGGAAAACUCCUGAAAAUUUUGAAUUUGUAGUCGAGCAAAGGAAGAAGCAAGUUAUCUUCAAAGCAUUUUCCAGUAAUAGCUGAUGAAAUUUAAUACUUCAAGCUGGCCCUUUGCUGUCACAACUAGAUGCAUUUGCACUGUCAUUACAAUUUAUGGAAAUUAAAGUAAUUAAUGGUUCUAAUUAAUAGCUUCCCAAAAAACCAAUCUGCCCUUGUGAGAACCAAAGCAUUAAUUUCUUGUAAGAGCUGCAGAAGGCCAGAGAAUUUCAGAUCGUGAAAAGGAGUGUGUGAGUGAGAGAGAGAUCGUGAAAUAGUGAGAGACAAUGAGAGAGAGAGCCGCUCGACUGAGAUGGUGAGAGAGUUGCAAAAAUGGAGUAAGGAGCAGAUAAGAUUAUGUUUUCUUUAUUAUUUUUUAUUAAUAUUUUAAUUUUUUUAAUUAAAAAAGGGCGAGAGAUUUUGGGAGUGAAACGGCAGCAUGUUCCAAUAAAUUUUUACCAAAGUUUCUCUCGUGUUUCUCUCACCUUUCUAGAUACCAAGCAUUUUCCAAUAAAUUUUUACUAAAAACUUAGCAAGCCCUUGAAACUUUGGUCAAAAUUAUUGUUAUUAUUACUUUUAGAGGAAAAACUUUUAUUAAAACCUCAUUAACACAAUUCUUAAUUAAAAUUAUAAGUUUGUGUUGGUGUAAGGAUUUGCAGGAGCAAUUACUGCCUAGCCAAGUGUCAAAAGCACAAAAUAAAUCAAGAGAAAGUAGACAUGAAUUAGGAUCCAAUGAAAUUUAAAUCCCGGAGAAAAGAAAUAAUCAUGCAGAUUAUCAAGAUUUCAAUAAGGGAUAUUGAUAUCCUAUUUUGAUUAAUAAUAUCCUUUUACUGUGUUAACUCAAAAAAUAUGUAUAUUCUAAUAUUUUACAAUAAAUAGAAAUCUAAUAUUAAAAUAAAUGUGAUAUAUAUAUAUAUAUAUUAAAUAAUUUAAAUAUAAAAAAUAUUUUAAUGUUUUACAAUCUACUACACAUAUUUUAUUAAGUUAAUAUAAUUUUUCAAAUAAAUAGGGACAUAAUAUUAAAAUAAAUUUAUAAAAAUUUAAAUUAUUUUGAAUUUAAAAUAAUUUUAAUAUUAUUAAUAUGUUAGAUAUGUUUGAUUAAUUAUAAAAAUUAUUUACGCAAAUUUUUUUAAUAUUUUCAGUAGAUAUAAAUAUAUUACUUACAUUUUGAUUAUUUAACUAUUAUUAUUCUACAAUUAUUUAUAUAAUGUUUGCACUUAUUAGAAUAUAUUUAAAGUCAAAUCUUUUGCACUUCUACCUAGCUAGAAUUAUUGGACGCAGAGAAAUAAGCAUAUAUGCUUUAUAACUUUAGAAAUCGAAUUAUCUAUACAAAUUGAUUUUAGCUGGAAAAAAAGUGAGCUGAAUGAUAUAGGCGAUUAGUGUGGUAAUAUUUCAUAGAGUUAGACUAUUGAAUUUGGCACCCCUCCAAUCUUCUCAUGAUUACCUUUUUGAGUUAUUAAUACACUUCUAAUUUUUCGUUUAAUUUUUUUUAUUGUUAUACUCAAAGUAGUAUUGUGAUAUUUUAUAUUUCUUUUGCAAUCUUAUUAUUAUUUUACACAAAAUUAAAAAGUUUUCUAGGUGAUGAACUUUUGAGUUUUGAACAUUAAUCAUUGGCUUAAAUUUCAUAUAUUUUACAUUAUAAUUUGAAAUUAAGUACGAAAAUAUUUAAUAAAUUAUGAAAAGAUUAACAGAUUAUUCUAAAUUGAUACAACUUAUUUUAGUUAAAUAAAAAGUAACAGGUAAAAAAAAAAAGGAUUGGUUAUGAAAUUUGUUGGAAAAAAAUCUGUGUGUGUUUAAUUUUUAUUUGUCCUUAAUUGUAAUUUAUUUGAAGUGAGGUUUUAUAAGGAUAAUGAAGGGGUGCCAUAGUUUCACUCUAUUUCAUAUGGAGAGAGAAGUAAAAGGUACACCUGAGGUUAAUGGAAAGGACUUCGAAAGUUUCUUUUGAUUAUAAUACUGUUUGUUCUAAUUAACUUAAAAAAUUUUACUUUAAUAUUUUAUAAUAAAUUAAAUUUUAAUCUUAAAAUAAGUAUAAUCAUAUAUUUUAAAAUAAUCUUAAAAUAAAUACAAUCAUAUAUUUUAAAAUAAUCUUAAAAUAAAUACAAUCAUAUAUUUUAAAAUAAUCUUAAAAUAAAUACAAUCAUAUAUUUUAAAAUAAUCUUUAUAUUUAAAAUUUAUUUAUUUGUACAUAUUUUAUAAUAAAUAUAACACAUACUAUUAAAAUAAUAUAUAAAAAAUUAAAGUAUUUUGAAUAUUAUAUAAAAUAACUUUAAGAUUCUUAAUAUGUAAGAUAUAUUUUAUUAAUUUAAAAUUCUAUUUAAAAUUUUAUUAAUUUAAAAUUCUAUUUAACCCAAAGAUUUAUUUAAGAUAAAUUAAUAAUCAUAUUUUUUAAAUCAUUUCAAAUAUUAAAAAAUAUUUUGAUAUUACUAGUCUAUUAAAUAGAUUAAAUAUUUUUAUUAUUUUGUACUAAUCAAAAGUUACAGCUCGAAUGAUAUUAUGAGAACAGAAUUUUUAUGUCUUUAUUAAAAAUUUGGGUUUGUAUAAUUAUUUUUUCAAAUGUUAGGGGCAUAGCUGUCUUUUUACUUUUAUAUAUGUGAACCGCGGUGGUGAAAAAGUGUGAUUUAAUAUUAGUUAUUUAAAUAAUAUCUGAAUUAAAGAUGUACAGAGAAGAAAUUUCGGUGGGCAUUUUAGUCUUUUAACGAUUAUCAUGAUUAGGGAUUAGGUCCUGCUCUUGAAACGUUGGUCAGAAAAGUUCUAAAAUGCGUACAUUAUCUUUACUUUAAAAAAGUUAUUUUAUUUUAUUACAAAUUAAUGCCGACAAGAAAAAGCAAGAUCUUAAANNNNNNNNNNNNNNNNNNNNNNNNNNNNNNNNNNNNNNNNNNNNNNNNNNNNNNNNNNNNNNNNNNNNNNNNNNNNNNNNNNNNNNNNNNNNNNNNNNNNAUAAAGAUGAAGAAAAGGGCAAAAAAAUAUUAAUGAUUAACGAAAUCUCUAUCCAAAUUGAUUUUAGCAGGAAAAAAGUGAGCUAAAUGAUGUAGACGAUUAGUGGUAAUAUUUCAUAGAGUUAGACUAUUGGCACCCUUCCAAUCUUCUCACGAAUCCUCUUUUUGAGUUAUAUUUAUUUUAUUUUUAAAAUAUCUUUUUUCUCUUUUACUACACUUCUAAUUUUUCAUUUAAUUUUUUUAUUGUUAAACUCAAAGUAGUAUUGUGAUAUUUUUAAUUUCUUUUGCAAUCUUAUUAUUACUCUGCAUAUAAAUUAAAAAGUUUUUUAGGUGAUGAAUUUUUGAAUGUUAAUCAUUAGCUUAAAUUUCACAUAUUUUACAUUACAAUUUGAAAUUUAAUAUGAAAAUAUUUAAUCAAUAAGAAUUAUGAAAAGAUUAAUAAAUUAUUCUAAAUUUAUACAACUUAUUUUAGUUAGAUCAGAAGUAGCAGGUUAACAAAAGAAAGGAUUGGUUAUGAAAUUUGUUGGAAAAAAAUCUAUGUGUGUUUAAUUUUUAUUCGUUGUUAACUCUAAUUAAGUAGGUUAAAUAUUUUUGUUAUUUUUUACUUAUCAAAAAAUUUAAGAUCAAUAUUUUUAGUUACCAUUCGAAGGAUAUUAUGACAAAAACAGAAUUUUCACUUCUUUGUUAAAAAUUUGGGGGUUUGUGUAACUAUUUUUUCAAAUGUUAGGGGCAUAUCUGUCUUUUUACUCUAUAUAUAUGAACCAUGGUGGUGAAAAAGCGUGAUUUAAUGUUAUUUAUUUAAAUAAUAUCUCAAUUAAAAAUGUAAGGAGAAGAAAUUUCGGUGGGCAUUUUAGUCUUUUAACGAUUAUCAUGGUUAGGCCCUGGUCUUGAAACGUUGGUCAGAAAAGUUCUAAAAUGCGUUCAUUUGUCUUUACGCCAACAAUAAAAAGCAAGAUCUUAGUGUCCCACAAAAGCAAAUCGUAAUAUUCCGCAAUGGAGUUAGAUCCGCAAAAGCAAACAAAUUCUUUUAUUAAACUACAAAUUAAAGUGGAAUCAUUUACUAAACAACAAAUUAAAUUUGAAAUAUUUAAAUAGUCGUGCGUUAGACGAUUAGAGACUCUUAUUAAAGGCAAGUACAAAGUAGUGAAGAAUCGAAUAUUUCUAUUGUCUAGUCUUUUUUUAAAAAAAAUUUUCUUUUAUUAUUUUUCAGAAUAUGUUUUGGUGAUUACUAUUGGGUUAUUAUUCAGAGUUAUUGUUAUCUUCCGGGGCAGUUUCUGUUCAUCGAAUUCGUUAAUAAAAUUUUAAAACUCUUAUUGAAAGAAUGUUUUUCCGUUAUCUUUUUUAUAAUCUAAUUUUAAGUGUAAGAAGUAGUCAUUUUAGAAUUUGGGUCUUGAAUCGAAUUUCAAUGCAUGAAUUAAUAUUUAAAAAAAAUUUACUACAUGCAGUUUAGGUUACAAACUAUUUUUUGCAAAGUUGACUAUGAAAUUGGAGAAAUUAAGUAAUUUAUAAUGUUUGCAAAGAAAGAGACCAACAUACUUCCAAUUACACUAUAUCUCAAUUAUCAUAAUGUUAAGAUUAAACUAACUUAAAAUAAAAUUUAUUUAAAAAGUUUAUCAAACGCAGUCUAAUUUUAUUAACUUGAAGAGAUAAUAGUUAUAGAAAUUAUUAUUCUAACUUAAUUAGUAAAAGUGGUAUAAAGGUUAAGUGUGCACUAAAUCUAUUUAAAUUUUUUUCCAGUAUAACUAACAGAGGUCAUUACUAGAAUUAUAUUACUAGUCUAUUAGAUAGAAAAAAUUAUUUAUAUUGUUUUAUAUUUAUUAAAAAAAUUUAAAGUCAAUCUUUUUAAUUACUAUUUAAAGGAUAUUAUAAUUAAAAAAAUUUUAAUGUCUUCAUUAAAAAUUUAAAAUUUUAUAUGACCGUUAUCUAAAUAUUUAAAGUGUAACUGUCAUUUUCUCAUAUAUAUAUAUAAUUUCAUCAACCCCUUAUACUUUAUGUUAUUUAUAUUUUAUUCAUGAAUAUUAUAAAUUUUUUGAAAUAUAAAAUUUCGUUUAACCCUUUAUACUCAAUUUUAUUUUAUUAAAACCCUAGAGUAUGAAUUCGUCCCUAUAAUAUUAAAUUCUCAAAAUAACUUCCAUUUAAUUAAAAAAUAUAAUUAUUAUUAAAUGAAUUAUAAUUAUUAUUAUUAUGUUAUUAUAAUCAUAAAAAGCGAGAUCAUAUUCCACAAAAGCAUAAGUGACAAAACAACCAACUGGAUUCUUUUAUUAAUCAACAAAUUGUAUAGUCUUUUUCAAAUUGUUAUAAAUUGGUGGCCCCUACAAUCCUCAAUAAUUGUACCGAAAUUCACAAGUUGGUGGGCCCUACAAUUCUGUUCCGAUAAUUUAACUGUGCAAGUGCUCAUUCACAAUCUUCCAGGUCAUGCUCUUAACAAUUGUUUUUUCUUUUCUGCACGCCCUUUCAUGCUCUUAAUAAUUGAAGAGCAUACUUUUCAAAUGUGAAGCCGCAUCUAAUGUCGCUAAUUUAAUUUGGGAUUAAAUUACGGGACUAUUAUAUUGCAGUGUGCACUAAUUUUUAUGUUUAUCUAAACUCUUCAAAUUUAAAACAUAUUAUGGCAUAAAUAAGAAUGUAACAAUAACAAAAGAGUAAGAAAGUGUAGAGAAAAUCUUGCAGAAAUAUAAAUAAUAUUUAUUUUUAAAAUAAUAUUAAUAUUUAAAAUAAUUUUUAAUAUUUUAUGGUCCAUUAGAUAUAUUUUAUUAUAUUAAAAUAAAUUUUAUAAUAAAUAAAAACAUACUAUUAAAAUGAAUAUAUAUAGAAAAUUUAGAGUAUUUUAAGUAUUAUAUAAAAUAAUUUUAAUAAAAUAUGUGAGAUAUUCAUAUUUUAUUAAUUUAAGAUACCAUUUAACCUAAAGAUUUAUUUAUGAUAAAUUAAUAAUUAUAUUUUUGAAAUUACUUCAAAUAUUAAAAAAAUUAAUAUUACUAAUAUAUUAGAUAGAUUAAAUUAUAUAUAUUAUUUUUACUUAUUAAAAAAAUUUUAAAAUUAUUUUUAAUUACUAUUCAAAAAACGUAUUCAAAAAACAUAAUGAUAAAAAAAUCUUAACAUCUUUAUUAAAAAAUUAAAAACUUAUAUGAUAAAUUCUCUAAAUAUUUACGGUAUAUGUGAACCACGGUGGAUAAGCUUUAUUUAAUAUUAUUGAUUUAAAUAAUAUGUCAAUUAAAAAUGUACAGAGAAGAAAUUUCGGUGGGUAUUUUAGUCUUUUAAGCAAUUAUCAUGAUCAGAUCAGCCUUUAGCCUUCAAACGUCGGUCAGAAAAGUUUUAAAAUUAAUGCUAAAUUGUUUUUCACUUUUAACGUUGGUGGCCUUGAAAUUGCUUGUAUUUUAUUAAAAAUUAAUGCUAACAAGAAAAAGCUAGGUCAUAUUCCACAAAAUCAAAAGUGACAAAACAACCAGCUGGUUUCUUUUACUAAACUACAAAUUAAAAUAAAUUUUUUCGAUAAAUUACAAAUUAAAGUGGAUUCUUUUGAAUACAAAUGGGACAGACGAUUAGGCUCUUUUUAUUAGAGGCAAGUAAAAACUAGUCAAGAAUCGAACAGUCUUUUUCCAAUUCUUGUUUUAUUAUUUUUCAAAACUAGUUUUUGGUAAUUACAACCGGGUCAUUAAUCAUUAUUCAGAGUUAUCUUCCGGGGCAGUUUCUGUUCAUCGAAUUCGUUAAUAAAAUGUUAAAACUCUUAUUGAAAGAAUGUUUUUCCGUUAUCUUUUUUAUAAUCUAAUUUUAAGUGUAAGAAGUAGUCAUUUUAGAAUUUGGGUCUUGAAUCGAAUUUCAAUGCAUGAAUUAAUAUUUAAAAAAAAUUUACUACAUGCAGUUUAGGUUACAAACUAUUUUUUGCAAAGUUGACUAUGAAAUUGGAGAAAUUAAGUAAUUUAUAAUGUUUGCAAAGAAAGAGACCAACAUACUUCCAAUUACACUAUAUCUCAAUUAUCAUAAUGUUAAGAUUAAACUAACUUAAAAUAAAAUUUAUUUAAAAAGUUUAUCAAACGCAGUCUAAUUUUAUUAACUUGAAGAGAUAAUAGUUAUAGAAAUUAUUAUUCUAACUUAAUUAGUAAAAGUGGUAUAAAGGUUAAGUGUGCACUAAAUCUAUUUAAAUUUUUUUCCAGUAUAACUAACAGAGGUCAUUACUAGAAUUAUAUUACUAGUCUAUUAGAUAGAAAAAAUUAUUUAUAUUGUUUUAUAUUUAUUAAAAAAAUUUAAAGUCAAUCUUUUUAAUUACUAUUAAAGGAUAUUAUAAUUAAAAAAANNNNNNNNNNNNNNNNNNNNNNNNNNNNNNNNNNNNNNNNNNNNNNNNNNNNNNNNNNNNNNNNNNNNNNNNNNNNNNNNNNNNNNNNNNNNNNNNNNNNNNNNNNNNNNNNNNNNNNNNNNNNNNNNNNNNNNNNNNNNNNNNNNNNNNNNNNNNNNNNNNNNNNNNNNNNNNNNNNNNNNNNNNNNNNNNNNNNNNNNNNNNNNNNNNNNNNNNNNNNNNNNNNNNNNNNNNNNNNNNNNNNNNNNNNNNNNNNNNNNNNNNNNNNNNNNNNNNNNNNNNNNNNNNNNNNNNNNNNNNNNNNNNNNNNNNNNNNNNNNNNNNNNNNNNNNNNNNNNNNNNNNNNNNNNNNNNNNNNNNNNNNNNNNNNNNNNNNNNNNNNNNNNNNNNNNNNNNNNNNNNNNNNNNNNNNNNNNNNNNNNNNNNNNNNNNNNNNNNNNNNNNNNNNAUUGUGGGCACUCUUGUUCGUGCAUGUUUGCUAGAAGAGAUGGAAGAUGAUAAAGUAAAAAUGCAUGACGUUGUUCGUGAUAUGGCUUUAUGGAUAGCUUGUGAAAUUGAGAAGGAGAAGAGAAACUUUUUGGUUUGUGCAGGUGCUCGAUUAGAAGAGGCACCGGGUGUUAAAGAAUGGGAAAAUGUGAGAAGAUUGUCAUUGAUGCAAAACCAAAUUGAAACUGUGUCAGAGAUUCCCGCAUGCCCUCAUCUCCAUACUCUAUUUCUUGCCUCUAAUAGGAAUUUCAGGAUGAUCACGGAUGGCUUCUUUCAAUUUAUGCCUUCUCUCAAAGUUUUGAAGAUGUCACGCUGUGGGCAAUUCGAAGGUUUUCAAUUACCUGUUGGGAUGUCAGAGUUGGGUUCAUCACUAGAACUUCUUGAUAUUUCACAUACCACCAUAAGAGAGUUACCCGAAGAGUUAAAGUUGCUGGUAAAUCUGAAAUGUUUGAAUUUGAGGUGGACAGGUGCGUUAAUUAGAAUUCCACGGGGACUAAUAUCAAAAUUUUCAAGGUUACGUGUGUUGAGAAUGUUGGGUACUGGCGGGUUCAUUUUUUAUGAAGCACCAGAAGACAGCGUUUUAUUUGGUGGGGGUGAAGUUUUGAUACAGGAAUUGCUCGGUUUGAAAUAUUUAGAGGUAUUGGAGUUGACCUUGGGAAGUUAUCAUGCUCUCCAAAUUCUUUUGAGCUCAAAUAAGUUAAAAAGUUGUAUUCGAUCUCUUUACCUCUAUUUGACCGGAGAUAAAAAGUCGAUUAUUGAUGCUACGGCUUUCACAGACCUAAACCACCUCAAUGAAUUAUGGAUUGAUAAUGGAAUUGAGUUGGAAGAAUUGAAGAUUGAUUAUACGGAGAUAGUACGAAAAAGGCGGGAACCUUUUGUUUUCCACAGCCUUCACCUUGUUACGAUAUAUAGUUGCCAUAAAUUGAAAGAUUCGACAUUCCUCGCUUUUGCUCCAAACCUCAAGUCUCUUUCGCUAUUCAAAUGCCGUGCUAUGGAAGAAAUAAUCAGCGUCGGAAAAAUUGCUGAGAAUCCUGAGAUGAUGGGACAUAUAAGCCCUUUUGAAAAUCUCAAAAGUCUUGAUCUAUCAUAUUUGCCGGAGUUGAAGAGCAUUUUCUGGAAGCCAUUGCCUUUCACUCAUCUCAAAGAAAUGGGGGUAAGAGCAUGUGAUCAGCUUAGAAAGCUUCCACUCGAUUCCAACAGUGCAAAAGAGCGUAAAUUUGUAAUUCGUGGAGAAGAAGACUGGUGGAACCGACUUCAAUGGGAGGAUGAAGCCACUCAAAUUGCUUUUCGUUCCUGUUUCCAACCUGAUUCCUGAGCGGUGGUCGCAAAAUUUGAUUUCUGGUGAGUGCGUUUGUCUUUUAAAAGAAGAAUUUAAAAGAAAUUUAUUCUUGACGUUUUCUUCACUGUUUUUAUUUCAGUCUCUCUCUCUCUCUUUUUGUCUUCUGCUAAUCACAAUUAAAUGUUGAAUUAAUGGAAUUAAUGCUUCAUAAAUUUGCCGGCACUGCCAUUACUUUUUUUUUUUUUAAUACAAAUUGAUACUUUAUUUAUAUCUUCUUAGCGAUUUAAUUUCCUGUCAAUUGACGAACGAGAAGAACAUAUGACUUGAACCAAUGCUCGCAUAAACUUGCUGUAAAAAGAUAUAAUCUCACUGAAAUGCACACGCCUAGAAUGAAUAGAAUUAAAACAGGGAAAAUAUUAAGUAUAUUAGCCCUCUUUACCGAAAAUCAAAUGACAAUAAAUUUUUUGAAGUUUUGAUUUUCUAUGGUCAAUUCCACCUUUUGCAAUUUCUUCUGUUCUAACAAAAACCAAUUUCUUUGUUCAAGUAUUUUCGUUUGGGUAUUAAUAAUUCUCCACCGAAAGAGUGAACUCUUGCUCAAGGGAUCUCUAAUCAAUAGCCGGAAGGGCGCCGAGACCUGAUCGGACCUAGGCCCAAGUUUGGUCUUAAAGCCUGGGCUUGAGCCUGGCAAUUAAAUUAAAACAGUAAUUGAUUUCUUGAAUGAAUUGUCGUGUAAUUGAUUUAUGGGGGAUGACACAUCAACAUACUUGAAAAUACACUAAUCUCAGCAUCAUCCGUUAAUAACUUUUAGAUUUAUGGGCAAUCAAUAGUUAAAUUAGUUGUCAUUAAUACUAAAUAAUUUUUACUUUUUUUGUCUCUUCUAGAGGAUCUUCUAGAAAAAUGCAUCCACAAUUAAAUUUAAUACUUUACAUAAUAAAGAAAGCAUAAAUGUUAAAUUUAAGAAACUGCAUUGUAUUUCAGCUGAAGUUGACUUUAAUAUUUAGGGUAGAAAAAAAUUAAAUCCUUAAUGUGUUUAAUUUCUAUCACUUGUGUCAUUAAAAUUUUCUAGUCACCCUAACCAAUUACAUCUCAACCCACUUUUUUUUGGAUGAUUUUAUUUUUACACUAUUAUUUUCAACAUUUUUUUUUCCUUUUAACACCAACAUUAGUGUAUGUUACGUAACAUAAUCCAUAUUUGGAUAAUUUGAAAUUUGUUUGUGUUUUAUCUCAAAAUAGAGCUUCAAUCAAUUUGUACCUCAUAAAUUCACAAUAUCUGGCAUAUUGUCAAAUGUGCUUAUCCUUUUGCUUGACAUGUCAUUUUAAAAUUGUCAUUCAAUGUCAAAAAAUCACAUCAACUAAUGGCCGACUACUUUAAUUUGAAAGCAUGCGUGCGAUCGCCAAUAAUUAUAACUUAAUUGUUAUAUUGAAAUUUUUUUCUUUAUAAUUUAAGUUUAAUACUGCUACAUGUGUGGCACAUAAGUUGGAAAAUAUAACAUAAAAUUUGAAAAAUGUGUAGUUUUCGUUCCUUUUUUUUCUAAAAAAAUGGGAAAAAAGAAUGUAAUUUUGUUUAAAUUACUGUUGUCAUAACAAUUAUUAUUUUAUUGAUUAAUUGGCAGAGAAUCGUAAUGGUUUCGCAUGGUUGUUAAAACAUUGGAAAGUCCACUACAUCAUCGGUUAAUAACUUUCAGAUUUAUGGUUAAUUAAUAGCUGAGAUUUAUUAUCAUUAAUGCUAAAUAUUUUUUCUCUCUCCUGGAGGAUCAUCCACAGGCAGGUGCUUCCUGACGAUGACAAAAUUUUGGGCAGGCAGGUGCUUCCUGACUUUCACACGGUAAUUCUCAAAUUCUGAUUUCACCAUAUUUUAAUUACUGAUUAGCAUAUAUUCAAGUGCUCUCCAUUAUAAUGGAAGCCGCCGCCUCACUCGUAAUUCCAAACUUUAUCUUUUUUUCCUUUUUUAAAUUAAUGCAAGUAGCCGCUGUCCUUUCUAUUAAUUAAUUAAUUCGGCCGCCCACAUUUCUUUUCCUAAUGUCUUCUACUGUCGAGUUUAUUUUAUUUUCUCUUUAUUAUUAAAAUAUACUUAUAAUAAUAAAAAAAUAAAAAUUAACAUAUCAAAAUAUAAUUUAACAGAAAAUUAAGAUAAAAAAUUAAAAAUAAAUAAAUUAUGAGCAUAUCAAUCAAUAAAUGAAAAAUAAUAAUUUUUAUUUUUAUUAAAUAUAAAUUUUUCAGUAUUAAUCAAUUAUCUGAAUAAAUAAAAUCAUUUAAAAAUAAAUAAAUAAAUUAUUCUUAAAAAAAAAAAAAAAACUUUUUAUAACACUCACUAUGCUGGUUGUAGGGUUGACGCUUUGGGUACUGAAGCUAGUAACUUCUACAAGUAGUCUUAAGUUGACUGGCAACAACUAUAUUGGCAUUUAGAAAUAAUGUACUGCAACCAUAUUGGCAUGUUCAAAUGUUCUUAUUAUUGUAUUGGUGUGUCAAUAUUAUCUCUAACGGUUUUAUAAAUAAAAAAAUAAUCUAAAUUUAUAAUUUAACAUAAAAUAAAAUAAUUGGUAGAAAAACAAUUAUGGUUCAUUUACUUAUCAGUAAUCAGAAUAGACUGAAAUCGAAAUGAGUUGUAUUACUGUUGAUGUGUUUAUGUUGUACUCGAAUCGAAAUGAAUUAUUUUAAAUUACUAAAAUAUCCUUGGUCUGUUAUUCUAAUUAUUAUUAUUAUUUAAUAUUUAUUAUAAUAUUUUUCAUAUCAUUAAAAAAAAAUAAUAAUGAUGAUAAUAUUCUCAUUAUUGUUUGUUACAUUAUUAUUAUUCAAAAAAAUUAUUGUUAAUAACAAUAAUUACUUUAUUUCAAUAAUAAUAAUGAUAAAAUUAAUAAUAAUAAACAUGACAACAACAAUAAUUAUUUAUUAUGCCAAAAAAUAACAAUAAUAAUAAGAAUAAUAAUCAUCAUCAUUUUUUUGCCAAAGAAGCAUUAUCAUCAUCAUUUCAAAAAAAAAAUCAUCAUCAUCAUCAUCAUUUUUGUAGUGGCUACCUAUCGGCUGCUGCUUUCAUGUGAGAUUGACUUGCGACGCUUCAACGGCUAUUAUUUCUGACAAUGUCAGGUGUUGCUAUUUCAAUUUAGGAAGAAGUUGUUUCGGUGUGCUAGCGAUGGGAGAUGUUGUGGCUGCGAUUCGGGGAGCUACUAGUUUAUUGCACUAAUAACGGCAGGUGCUGUUGCUUGAUGCGAGGUCCAUGGCCAGUUGUCAGCAGUUCGACUUUGGUAUGGGUGCUGCUGGUUCGAUUUUAGGUGUUGUCCAAUUUCAUUUUCAGGAUUUUAAUUUUAUUUUUCUUUUAUAUUUUCAUUAAUUAAUCAGGGUAAAAUUGGAUUUUAGAAUUUAGAAUGAAGGUAAUUUUGUUAAUAAUGGAAAUGAGAUUCUGAUUGUCGAGAAUGAGCUUACACAAACAACUAUAAAUUAAGUGAAAACAAAACACUUUUUCUCUUUGUGUGAUUAAAACAUGAUAUGUACCAUAAAUAAAUAAGUAAAAAAUAAAUCAACACAAUCUAAAACAGUAAACAAAUUACAAGAGGCACAGAUUUUUAUGUGAAACACCGAAAAUGGAAAAAACCACAGCAUCUUAGUUUGAUAUAAUCUUCUACUAUAUUAAUGGGAUUAUAGCACAAAUUCUUUCCUAUAUAACACUAGAGAUUAACAACAUCAAGAAUCUCAAUAAUCUUGACUUACAAUACAGCCUAAUAUUUGUCUCUCUAAUAAGUAGAUAUCUAAAAUAACAGUCUCUAAUAAGUAUGUAUCUAAAAUAAUAGUCAACAAGAGGAUAAAACAAAAAUUAAGAUUAGUAGGAUGUGUAUAAGGUGAUGCUAUCAAUUUAUCUUCUAAAUUUGAGAAAAAUAGUUAAAUUCACUUUUUCGAUUGUCCGACCAAAAAUGGAAACCCUUGCCCCAAAACCAAAGGAAUCACCAUUAUGUUUUUCUCUCUCUCUCUCUCUAUCUCGUUCUUUUCUUCUUCUUUUCUUAAUGUUAGCCAUCACUUGCUUUUAUUCUUUAUAGCAUUCAAAAAGCUACUUUUAAUGGUAAAUUUCAUUUAAGUCUGCAACUUAGUGAUAAUUGCACACCAAACAAUCCUUACAUAGUGUUUUGGGCCCUCAAAUGAGAUGAAUACAACAAAUCUCCCCCUUUAAAUCAUGUGGGGGGCACCGCAAGCCCGCUAUUUGCAUAUAGCUUUUCAGCUUCUCCUUGAAUAAUGACUUUGUCAUCAUACAUAAUCCAUUCUUCGUUGUGUAAAUCUUCUCAAGCUGUAACUGUUCCUUCUCAAGCUGUAAUUAUUCCUUCUCAAGCACGUCUCGUAUCUAAUGAUACCUUACAUCAAUAUGCUUAGAUUUCGAAUAGUAUAACAGCACUCUGACUAUCGUAGUACAUAACAUAGCUGUCUUGUUUUACACCCAGCUCUUGUAGGAAAUUCUUCGUCCACAAUAUUUUUUUGCAACCUUCAAUAAUUGUAAUAUCAUUUGCUUUAGUGGUAGAAAAGGCAACUUAUUACUAAAGUUUAGAUUGCGAUGAGACUGUUCCCCCUGCAAAAGUGAGCAAACAUCCUAGUAGGAAUUUUUCGGAAUCAACAGCUCCUGCCAUAUCUACACACUUGUAACACAGGUUUGUCACCACCAAAAUAUAAACAUGCUCUGGAAAUGCAUCUAAGAUAUCUGAGAAUUUUUCACUGUUGUCCAGUGCUCUUUACCGAGGUUGAAGAGAAACCACUGACUACACUAACUGUAUAGGCAAUAUUUGGUCUUGUACAAAUUAUGGCGUACAAUAAACUGCCAACUGCUGAAGCAUAAGGAACUCCUCUCAUGGAGAAAUGGGUUUUACUCUUGAGAUUUUUGGGACCAUGAAGAAUAAAGAUGUAAUUUCUUAUACUGCCAUUGUUUCGGGAUAUAUAAAUAGAGAACAAGUCGAUAUAGCUCGACAGUGUUUUGAUCAGAUGCCAGAACGAGAUUAUGUCUUAUGGACUACCAUGAUUGAUGGGUACCUUCGAGUGAAUAGGUUCAGAGAGGCUUUGACACUUUUUCAGGAGAUACAAACUUCAAAUAUAAUGGGAGACGAGUUUACCAUUGUUAGCAUUCUUACAGCUCGUGCGAAUCUGGGGGCACUAGAACUGGGAGAAUGGAUAAAGACUUAUAUUGACAAAAACAAAGUCAAGAAUGAUAUAUUUGCGGGGAAUGCUUUGAUAGACAUGUACUGUAAAUGUACUGUAAAUGCGGAGAUGUUGAGAAAGCUCAAAAGGUAUUCAGGAAGAUGCUUUGAAAGGUCAAAUUCACAUGGACGACCAUGAUUGUUGGCCUUGCCAUCAGUGGAAAUGGUGAUAAAGCUCUUGAUAUGUUUUCCCAAAUGCUCAGGGCUUCGAUCAAACCAGAUGAGGUAGCUUAUGUUGGUGUUCUGUCUGCCCGUACUCACAAUGGUAACGAAACUUUUGUGAUAAAUAGUUGCAACUUAAGGUGAGAACUGGAGGAAGGGAAAUAGAUUGAAGUUGUUCAAUCAUCAGUAGUUGCUACUUGGUUUUAAGUUGUUCAAUCAUCGGUCGUCUCUAUUUGGUUUUCUCCAAUAUCUCAUCUUCAAUUUUGACUCAGAUUGUAUCUUACCACUAGUAAUUACAUAGACUUGCUGCCAAAGGUAAGAAUGGGAAUAAAUUAAAUAGAUUAUGUCGAAAACGAAAUAAAUUUACUAUUGUUCUGUUCAUUCUAUUUGUUUCCUACAAAAUAUUUCUCCUGCCUAAAAUUUUUUGAAUCAGUAAGUUUUUACCUUAUGGAUGAAUUGUGUUGAGAGUAAUUCCAUUUCUCAGUCUCUUUAUGUUUCAAUGAAGACGUAAAACUUGUGUUCUAGUGCACCAACGUUUAUGCUUCUUACAAUUUGACUUUAAUUUACUUUGUAAAAUUUUUGUCAAAAAGUACUAAAAAGUAGUGCACCAAACACCAACUUUAUUACAGAGAGGACUUUAGUUAAAUUUUAAGAAAACACUCAAAAGAAAGAGUUGUAAAUUAUUAUAAAAAUAUUUCACAUAAAUAAAAGCCAUCCCAUGCUGCAAAGAUCUUGCUAUAAUCACCAAAAACUAUCGGGAGCUUUUAGGGUUUCCAUAAAAAUGCCAUUUCGUUCCAUGUAUAUGAUUCUAUAGUCUCACUGGCAAGUAAACCACAGCCCAACAGCACUGACUGUCCAUGAUGAUUCACCCCAAUGAACGAAACCAGCGUUGCAUCAUAUCUUUCUGUCAAGCAUGUAAUAUCAAUUGAUUUGAGCUAUUAACAUCAUUUCCAAAUACUCCAUUGGCAUCUACAUUACCAUUUCCCUCGGCAUCAAUGAUAAGAGUUCGAAACAGUCUAAUCUUUUGAACUUCUUCAGCACCAUCUAAGAGCAAUGUUCUUUUGGUUCCAAUACCCAUGUGCUUAUGAUAUUUGUAAAAUAAUUAUUUGUAAAAUAAUUAGUUCAAUUUUGACAUAAUACGGAAUAAACACAACCUGCCAAUCUAAGUUACUAUCUUUUCCCGUCAUCAGGUACCUGUUUGAAAAAUAAUUAUAUACAAUUUUAUUUGCGUCGUCCCUCUAAAAAUUUGGGACUCAAAUGUUAUUUCUAAUUGCUAAAAGUACGAAAUUGCCCCCUUUCUCUUCAGCUAAAGGAGUGCAAAGUCAUCUGUAUAAUUGAAUCUGCAUCAUCAGUUUCUAUUGCUGGCUGGUGUUACUGCAUGCUUACAGUUGCUUGACAAAGUGAGCCAGUUUUUUGUUUAUUAAUUUUUUUUCUUGUCGAGACAGUCACAAAGUAUUACUUGUUCUAUUUGAGAAUGAUGUGAAUCAAUUUUUCAAUUAUGCAUUCUGUGGUAAUUAUUGUGAAUUUAGUUUCAUUUGUCUUGUCUCCUGCAAAUUUUGAAGAAAAUGCAGACAUACAAAUUUACAAUAUGUAUUUGCGUUAGUAUAAAAACAAUUGUUAGAUGAUUAAAGCGAUUUAUUUUUUUUUUUACAGCAUUUGAUUGUAUUAGUUAAAAUCAUUUUUUAAGGAUAAAAAUAAAUAGAAAAUUAUUCUCAUGUAGUGUGGAAAUCUUUUCUAAUUUCUUGUUGACUUGUACAUUUAUUUCAGAAUUUCCAUUCAUUAAUUCUACUGUUUUAAUCUUUGACUUAGCUACCGUAGUUGACUUUUUAUAUCAAAGGCUUAAACAGCAUGCAUUUUUGAAUUGACUGAGAAUAAUUUGGUGGACAAAUUACUAGUAAAGGACUUCAAAUGGUUGAAUUGACUGUGGGUUUUUCAUGCCCAAGUCACUCGUCACGUCGUUUCAUCGAAACAAAGUGCCCGGUGCAAAUGGUGUGAUGUAAAACACCUUUUUAAAUUGUCAUUUUUUUUCCUUUGCUUUUGCUUUAAUUUUCUAAAUGCUCAACGCCAUAAAUCCAUGUAUUCUUAAUUUUCGUUUGCUGUAUUGAUUCCCAACCCUCUAUGUCACAAGGUUUUGAAUGCCAGUAAUUAAGUUAAAUUAAACAUAUUUUAAGUCCUACUUUAAAUUAUUGAAAAAUGUAUUAUGGUUGAACUGAAUUUUAACUAAAAAAUAUAUACAAAAUAAAAGAUUAAUCAUAUCUUUUUAUGAGGAAGGUCAGUCAUCAUUCUGACCACAGACACUUAAAAUUAAUUGAGUGGAAUAUUGCAAAAUAUAUAUAAACCAUGCCAAAACUAGAUGUUUGAGUAAUGAAAACGAGAAUUCAUAUGACUCAGAAAUAUGGUCGCUUUCCUUUUUCUGAAAGGCAAAAAAAAAGGGGGAACCAAAAAGGACCAAAAUGAACAAAAAUGGAAGGCGAAGGUAAGCAGACAUGUUAUAUGUUUUACCUAAGAUGCCAAAUGCAACUCCCCAUUGAUGGUGAUCGAACAUUAUGGCCAUUUUCUUAGUAAACAAAAAAUGAAUUUUGAACACUCAACAACGAAACUUGAGCAGAAGAUCAAGCAAGGGCCUCGAUCUCAAAGAAGAUACUAUGAAACCCUACUUAAUGGUUAAAUAACUUUCAUUCAGCUUUGGACCCUAUUUCGUGAUACGGAAAGACAAACCUUUCUUGGCCGGCAGUGUCCCAGAUCUGGGCUUUGAUGAUCUAGAGGUUGAUGGUGACAGUUCUGGUUUGGAACUCGACGCCAAUGGUUUAUUUCGAUUCAAAGCAAAACUCAUUCUUGGUGAAUCUCGAAAGAAUCUGAGACUUGCCCACGGCCGAGUCACCGAUCACCACUACCUUGAAUACAUAGUCUAUUUUGUCAGGAAUCAUAUUCUCUCGUUGUUGAUGACGAUGAUCGGUGCCAUCACCACUCAUUUCUUCGUUCAUUCAUUCUAUGUCCAUUGAUCUUUUUGAAUUAUUGAAGACAAGUGGCUCACCGCUUUUAGUAUUGGUAAAAUUCAGAUAAUCUCUAUUCCGAAAUAAUAAUAUUAAAAAUAUCUCUUAAAUCAUUAUAAACUUCAAAUCUAUUUUAAUUUUAUUUAAAAGAUAAAAGAAAAAUAAGUUAUGUUGGUGAUUUUUUAUUAUCUUUUUAAUAAAAAUAGAAUAAAUUGAUGUUUAUAAUUAUUUAAAGUAUUUUAAAGAUUGCUAUUUUAUGAGAGAAUAAUAUUUCAUUUUUUUUUUCGUGUGAAAGACCGAAAAAGGACAAAGCAAGUUUCCCUAAUUUUUAUUUUAUGUGAAAUUGGUCAUCUCAUAUACUUUACCCUUCAACACUCUAAUUUUUUUGGUUAUAAUUUUAUUAUUUUUUCUCUUUUACACAUGCAUGUGAAUUACUUUUCUUUAAGCUCCUGAAUAUUUAAGACAAAUCAUGGAAGAGAUGAGAGUAUAACAAGAUGAUCAAAAUAUGUAACAAAAAAAUUUUAGAAGUGAAAAAUAUGUUAGAGUCGAAGUAAAACUCUGAGGUGAUGUUUGAUUUGAAGAAAAUGGAGGAGAGAAAAAGAGUGGAAUGGAGAGGAAAAGAGAGAAAAGGAGAGGAGAGGAGAGGAGAGUGAACUUUUUUUCUAAUGUUUGGUUUGUCACAUAAAUAUACAAAGAAAGGAAAUCUCCAAUUUUUUAUUUAGACAAUUUUAACCUUAAUAAGUAUUAAGCUUUCAAUAUUUAUCAUGUGUAUAAUUUAAAAAAAGUAAAUGGUAGAAAGCGGUUUCUGAUUCCGGCCACAUCGCCGGCAAUGGAAGGUACUUAUCAGAACAUCAAGAACCGGCCAUCAUUCCCUAGCCAUCACUGCUGUAGGAACACUGCUAAAAAGCUGCCGAUUGAACCGCGAAAAGUCGUGGAAAUCGUUGCCUCAAAUCGGUGAGUUUCGCCUUUUUCUGGUCAUGCCGUCGCCUUGGCUUUGUCCAUCAACGCUGCCACUUCCAUUUCAACCAUCCAUAGCCACUAUUAACCGCCAAAUCGCCGCCGAUCAGCGGGAUCUGUGGAAGUUAAAAAGUUUCUAAAAUUUUUUAAUUGGAUUUGAACAACAUACAACCAUUUUUUGAUCUCAAUAACGACAUAGUAAUGUUGAUCGUUGGUCGGCAAGUCGAAUGGUAGUGGCGGUGAGUAACACGCGCCAAUGACAUCGGCGGCGGCGGCGGCACUAUCCGGCUACUGUUAAAAUUAAUAUUUUAUAUUUGUAGAUUAAAUAAAUUUAUUUUAUUAAACUUUUUAAAUCAUUAUUUAAAUUUAAUUAAUUUAAAAUUAUCUAUGAUGUUGAAUUGAUAAAAUAAAUUUAUAAAUAAUAAUUAUGUGAUUACAUUAAAUAAGUUAAAAAGUUGAAGGGUUAUUUUUGGAAGAUUUAGUUUCCAACACAAAGGGAAUUUGAAUUCUUCACUUCUUAGUGUGGAAUUCAAAUUCUAUAUUGUAAUGGAUAUUAAAUUCCAAUAGAAAUUAAAUUCUUAUAAGUUAUGUCAAACCAAACAACGGAAAUAAAAAAAAAGAAUUUAAAUUACUUUCCUUUCCUCCACCCUCUCCUUCCAACCAAAUACAUCCUGAAAAUAGAGAUAUUGAUUAAUUUAGAAGAGAUGCAAGCAAAAGAUAUUCCACAAAAAAAAAAAAGCAAUAUGUCCCUUUGGAGGGCAAACUUGUCAGUUUUAAAAAAGUACAUGCUUUGGAUUGAUAGUUGUAGGAUAUUUGUUUUGUCACUAUGUGUUAGUUGGAGAAGUCAAGCCUUGUGAAGAAUGUUAUGAAAGAGCAAAGGAUAUUCCUGAUAGCUGAUAGAGCUCUAUUUGAUUAUGUAUCCAAUGAAUGGAUGUGUUGUUGGAAGAUAUUUGAGUGCAUUAGUUCAUAUGUGUCUAUCAAUGUGAUUUUAAUGAUUUUUCCACUUGUUUGUUGUAAAAGAUUAUUGUAAAUUGAAAUGAACUUGAUGUUGUAAUAUUUUCUCCUUAGUAGAAUUUCACCUAGUAUGUAUUUAGUUGUGUUGUCUAUAAUUUUGCAUUCGAAUAAGUUUCACCUAAAAUAUUAGCAUGAGUAGUGGCCCUUGAAACUUUGGUCAAAAUUAUUGUUAUUAUUUCCGACUAGAUGUAAAUUUUUUAUUAAAUCUCGCUAACACAAUUCUUAAUUAAAAGUAUAGGUUAGUGUUGGUGCAAGACUUGCCACACCAAAUUCUGCCUAACUGUCAAAAGUGCAAAAUAAAUGAAGAGAAAGCACAAAUACACGACUUGAAUAAGGAUACAACGAAACUUAAAUUCAAGAGAAAAUGAUAGCUAUAUCUCAAGAUUUGAAAAAACGGUCAUGUAGAUUUUUAAGAUUUCAAUAAGCGACUGAGAUUCAAAUAAUAUCCUUUAAUUCUAUUAACAAAAAACAAAGACUCAAAUAUUUUAUGAUAAAUAAAAAUAUAAUAUUAAAAUAUAUGUGAUAAUAUACACAUUUUAAAUACUUUCAAUCCAAAAAAAUAGUUAUGUUUUACAAUCUAUUAGACAUAUUUUAUUAAAUUAAUAUAAAUUUUCUAUAAAAUAAGAAUAUAAUAUUAAAAUAAAUUCACAAAAAUUUAAAGAAUUUUGAAUGUAAAAUAAUUUUAAUAUAUCAAUACGUGAGUUUUUUUAUUAAUAUAAAAUUUAUUUAACUUUAAGAUUUUUUAAAAUCUUUACAAUAAGUAUAACUAUAUUAUUUACAUUUAAAAAUAUUUAAAUAUUAUUAACCUACAAUUAUAUUUGCAUUUGUUAGAAAUUUUUUAAGUCAAAUAUUUUGCACUUCUAUAUUAUUAGAAUUAUUGCACAAAAAGAAAGAAACAUACACCUUUAGAAAUUGUUUUCUUUUAAAAUAGAGAUGAUGAUUAGUAUAAGGAUGAAAAAAAGGAUAAAGAAUAUUAAUGAUUAACGAAAUCUCUAUACAAAUUGAUUUUAGUAGGAAAAGAGUGAGAUGAAUGAUUUCUUUUACAGUUAGAAACAUAGAUGAUGAUUAUUAUAACGAAGAAAAAAAGAUAAAGAAUAUUAAUUAUUAAUGGAAUCUCUAUACAAAUUGAUUUUAGUAGGAAAAAAAUGAUUAAAUGAUUUAGAGUGCGUUUGGAAUUGAGAUUGGGCAGCCAUAGAUUUUAAGUUACAACACUGAAGUGUUUAGUAAAUACUAGUUGCUGCAGAUUGAAAGUUAUGUUGAUAUGAUUUUUCACAUGUAUCAUAGAAAAUAUAUUACAUCUUUAAUAUUUUUUAAAAAUUUAUAUUUGCUAUAUAUUAUUAAUUUUUUUUUAUAGUUAUAACUUUUUUUCCACAACAGUUGUAGCUUAAAAGUCACAGCACCUCAAUCUCAAACAAAUCCUUAGACAUUCAUAGUGUGUUUAUUUUUUGGAUUGGUGAAUCAAAAUUAUUGACAACGCUAACUUCAUCUUCACUGUUCGCAAUCCAACAGCAGCAAUUGUCGCCAAUAAUGAUAUCUCCAAUGAUGAUGACAAUUAUUAUUAUUAUUUUUAUUAUUAUUAUUAUUAUUAUUAUUAUUAUUAUUAAUUAAUUAAUUAAUUAAUUAAUUAAUUAAUUAAUAUAUUAAUGUUGAUAUUAUUAUUAUUAAGAUUAACAAUAAUUAUUAGUAAUACAAUUUUUUGAAUAAAAAUAAUCACAAUAAUUAAAAUACAAAUUAAUAAUUAUGACAAUAAUUAAUUAAUGUCUUUUUAGUAAUUUGUAAUAAUCUAACUCAUUUUGGUUCUGAUUAUUACAGCUUAAGUAAACAAAUUAUUAUGAUUCCUAUUCUCCUUUCCCAUUUUAACUCACUUUGAUUCCAGUCUAUUCCGAUUUCUAUUUAAUAAAUGCACCAUUAGUGCUAAAGUAAUAUUUCAUACAUAGAAAAAUAAAAACUACGCCUAAGGUUAAGGGAAAAGACUUCAAAAUUCUCUUUUGAUCAUAAUACAUUUUGUCCUAAUUAACUUAAAGAUUUUGAAUCUAAUAUUUUAUAAUAAAUAAAAAUAUAUUCCUAAAAUAAAUAUAAUAUCAAUAUUUAAAAUAUGUUUUAAUAUUUUACAAUCUAUCAUACACAUUUUAUUAUAUUAAAGUAGAUUUAUAAUAAAUAUAUAAAAAUUUAGAAUAUUUAGAAUAUUAUAUAAAAUAAUUUUAAUAUAAUGCGUGAUAUAUAUUUUAUUAAUUUAAAAUGUCAUUUUACCUAAAAAAUAUGAUAAAUUAAUAAUUACAUAUUUGAAGUUAUUUCAAAUAUUAAAAAAAUUUAAUAUUAUUAAUCUUUUAGAUAGAUUAAAUUAUUUUUUAUAAGAGAGAUUAAAUUAUUUUAAAAUGCCUUAAUUGUUUUUACUUUUAACGUUACGGGCCUUUCUUUUAUUUUAUUGCAAAUUAAUGCUAACUAGAAAAACAAAAACAAAAGUGACAAACACAACCAGCUGGAAUCUUUUAUAAAACUACAAAUUAAAAUGGAUUUUUUUUUUUUGUUGAUAAAUUACACAUGAAAGUGGAUUCUUUUGAAUAUAAGUGGGGUAGGCUCUUUUAUUUUUUUUUUAAUACCGUAUAACAGGACUGUAGACUCUUUUAUUAAGCACAAAUAUAGAGUUGUCGAGACAAUUAGGGUCUUUUAUUAAACUACAAAUUGUAUAGUCUUUUUUAAAUUGUUCAGAUAUUUAUAAAUUGGUGGCCCCUACAAUCCUCAAUAAUUGUACCGAUAUUCACAAGCUGGUGGCCCCUACAAUCCUUAAUAAUUGUUUUUUUUUUUUUCUGCAUUCCCUUUCAUGCUCUUAAUAAUUAAAGAGCAUACUUUUCAAAUGUGGAGCCGCGGCUAAUGUCGCUAAUUUAAUUUGGGAUUAAAUUAGGGGACUAUUAUAUUGCAGUGUGCACUAAUUUUUAUGUUUAUCUAAACUCCUUAAAUUUAAGAUAUAUUAUGGCAUAAAUAAGAAUAUAACAAUAGCAAAAGAGUUAGAAAGUGUAGAGAAGAUCUUGCAGAAAUAUAAAUAAUAUUUAUUUUAAAAUAAUAUCAAUAUUUAAAAUAAUUUUUAUUAUUUUAUGAUCCAUUAGAUAUAUUUUAUUAUAUUAAAGUAAAUUUUAUAAUAAAUAAAAACAUACUAUUAAAAUGAAUAUAUAGAAAAUUUAGAGUAUUUUAAGUAUUAUAUAAAAUAAUUUUAAUAAAAUAUGUGAGAUAUUCAUAUUUUAUUAAUUUAAAAUACCAUUUAACCUAAAGAUUUAUUUAUGAUAAAUUAAUAAUUAUAUUUUUGAAAUUACUUCAAAUAUUAAAAAAAUUAAUAUUACUAAUCUAUUAGAUAGAUUAAAUUAUAUAUAUUAUUUUCUAUUUAUUAAAAAAUUUCAAAUUAUUUUUAAUUACUAUUCAAAAAAUAUGAUGAUAAAAAAAUCUUAACAUCUUUAUUAAAAAAUUAAAAACUUACAUGAUCAAUUCUCUAAAUAUUUAGGGUAUAUGUGAACCACGGUGGACAGAGGUCAUUACUAAAAUUUCUCUUCCACAGGCAAUUACAGCAGCUCCAGUUUAUCAAACUCAACCAAUUUUCUUUCUUAACAAAAUUCCAAAGAUGUGUAGCUUUUUUCAGAUCACAUGCGAUGGUGCUUUUUUCAAUCGUUGCUUGGAUUGCUUUCUUGGAAAAGCAGCAUACAUACGUAACCUCCAAGAUAAUCUUGAUGCCUUGGACACUGAACUGGGAAGACUAAUCGCAGCAAAGAACGAUGUGAUGAUUAGGGUUGUCAAUGCUGAACGGCAAUAAAUGAGAAGGCUGGACGGAGUGCAAGUGUGGGUUUCGAGUGUGGAUGCUGUUAAAACUGGAGCCGAUGAACUUAUCACAGACGGCUCUGAAGAAAUUGGCAAAUUAUGUGUUGGAGGCUACUGUUCCAAGAACUGCAGGUCAAGCUACAAAUUCGGAAAACAAGUGGCUAGAAAGCUACGAGAUGUGGAGACUUUAAUCGCCGAAGGAGUUUUUGAGGCGGUGGCUACUGAGGUGGUGCCUGAGAGAGCUCCAGAGCCUGUAGCAGAUGAAAGACCUACCGAGCGAAAAGUAGUAGGCUUGCAAUCACAACUUGAACAAGUCUGGACGUGUCUUGUGGAAGAAUCAGCGGGAAUCAUUGGCCUAUACGGUAUGGGCGGUGUUGGUAAAACCACACUAUUGACCCAUAUCAACAAUAAAUUUCUCGAGAGUCCAACCAACUUUGAUUGUGUGAUUUGGGUAGUAGUUUCAAAAGACCUGCGACUUGAAAAACUUCAAGAAGAUAUUGGGAAAAAGAUAGGUUUGGUUGGUGAUUCAUGGAAGAGUAGAAGUGCAGAGGAGAAAGCUCUCGACAUCUUCCGGAGUCUAAGAGGGAAGAGAAUUGUAUUGUUGUUAGAUGAUAUAUGGGAGCGGGUUGAUUUAACAAAAGUGGGCGUUCCACUUCCUGGACCACAAAAUACUACCUCAAAAGUCGUAUUCACAACNNNNNNNNNNNNNNNNNNNNNNNNNNNNNNNNNNNNNNNNNNNNNNNNNNNNNNNNNNNNNNNNNNNNNNNNNNNNNNNNNNNNNNNNNNNNNNNNNNNNNNNNNNNNNNNNNNNNNNNNNNNNNNNNNNNNNNNNNNNNNNNNNNNNNNNNNNNNNNNNNNNNNNNNNNNNNNNNNNNNNNNNNNNNNNNNNNNNNNNNNNNNNNNNNNNNNNNNNNNNNNNNNNNNNNNNNNNNNNNNNNNNNNNNNNNNNNNNNNNNNNNNNNNNNNNNNNNNNNNNNNNNNNNNNNNNNNNNNNNNNNNNNNNNNNNNNNNNNNNNNNNNNNNNNNNNNNNNNNNNNNNNNNNNNNNNNNNNNNNNNNNNNNNNNNNNNNNNNNNNNNNNNNNNNNNNNNNNNNNNNNNNNNNNNNNNNNNNNNNNNNNNNNNNNNNNNNNNNNNNNNNNNNNNNNNNNNNNNNNNNNNNCAGGAAGUCCUAGUGCGUGCUAUCAGAAAAGAUGCUGGGAACUGUUUCGCGAAAAUGUUGGGGAAGAAACUCUUGAGAGUGAUCAUGAGAUCGUUGAGCUAGCCCAAACUGUGGCCAAAGAGUGUGGUGGUUUGCCACUCGCACUUAUUACUAUUGGUCGAGCUAUGGCCUACAGAAAGAAAGCGGAGCAGUGGAGACGUGCAAUUGAAGAGUUAAGAAGAUCAGCUUCAGAGUUUGCAGGUUUGGGAAAAGAGGUGUAUCCUCUUUUAAAGUUUAGCUAUGAUAGUUUGCAGAAUGAUACAAUUAGAUCUUGUUUCUUGUAUUGUUGUUUAUAUUCUGAAGAUUAUGGCAUUCUUAAAUGGGACUUGAUUGAUUGUUGGAUUGGUGAGGGAUUUUUGGGGGAAUCUGACAGGUUUGGUGCAGAAAACCAAGGAUAUGACAUUUUGGACACUCUUGUUCGUGCAUGUUUAUUAGAAGAGGUGGAAGAAGAUGAAGUAAAAAUGCAUGACGUUAUUCGUGAUAUGGCUAUAUGGAUAACCAGUGAAAUUGAGAAGGAGAAGAGAAACUUUUUGGUUUGUGCAGGUGCUGGAUUAGAAGAGGCACCGGAUGUUAAAGAAUGGGAAAAUGUGAGAAGAUUGUCAUUGAUGCAAAACCAAAUUGAAACUCUGUUUGGGGUUCCCACAUGCCCUCAUCUCAUCACUUUAUUUAUUGACUUUAAUAGGGAGUUGAAGACUAUCGCGGAUGGCUUCUUCCGAUGUGUGCCUUCUCUCAAAGUUUUGAAGAUGUCAAACUGUGGAAAGCCUUAGAAAGGUUUGGAAUUACCUUUGGGGAUGUCAAAGUUGGGUUCACUACAACUUCUUGAUAUUUCACACACCUGCAUACAAGAAUUACCACAAGAAUUAAAGUUGUUGGUAAAUCUGAAAUGUUUGAAUUUGAGGCGGACAAUUUGGUUAAAUAAAAUUUCAUGGCAACUAAUAUCAAAAUUUUCAAGGUUACGUGUGUUGAGAAUGUUCGCUACUGGCUGGUUCAGUUUUCAUGAAGCACCAGAAGACAGCGUUUUAUUUGGUGGGGGUGAAGUUUUGAUACAGGAAUUGCUCGGUUUGAAAUAUUUAGAGGUAUUGGAGUUGACCUUGGGAAGUUAUCAUGCUCUCCAAAUUCUUUUGAGCUCAAAUAAGUUAAAAAGUUGUAUUCGAUCUCUUUUCCUACAGUUGUUCAGAGAUACAACGUCGAUUAUUGAUGCUACGGCUUUCGCAGAUCUAAACCACCUCAAUCAAUUAUGUAUUAGUAACGGUUCUGAGUUGGAAGAAUUGAAGAUUGAUUAUACGGAGAUAGUACGAAAAAGGCGGGAACCUUUUGUUUUCCGCAGCCUUCAACGUGUUACCAUAGAGGAGUGCCAUAAAUUGAAAGAUUUGACAUUCCUCGUUUUUGCUCCAAACCUCAAGUCUCUUUCGCUAUACGAUUGCGGUGCUAUGGAAGAAAUAAUCAGCGUCGGAAAAUUUGCUGAGACUCCUGAGAUGAUGGGACAUAUAAGCCCUUUUGAAAAUCUCCAAAUGCUUUAUUUAAUGGCAUUGCCGGAGUUGAAGAGCGUCUACUGGAAGCCAUUGCCUUUCACUCAUCUGAAAGAAAUGGAGGUACUUGGGUGUGAUCAGCUUAAAAAGCUUCCACUCGAUUCCAACAGUGCAAAAGAGCGUAAAUUUGUAAUUCUUGGAGACACACAGUGGUGGAACCGUCUUCAAUGGGAGGAUGAAGCCACUCAAAUUGCUUUUCGUUCCUAUUUCCAAACCUGAUUCCUGAGCGGUGGUCGCAAAAUUUGAUUUCUGGUGAGUGCGUUUGUCUUUUAAAAGAAGAAUUUAAAAGAAAUUUAUUCUUGUCGUUUUCUUCUCUGUUUUUAUUUCAGUUUGUUUCUCUCUCUCUCUUUUUGUCUUCUGCAAAUCACAAUUAAAUGUUGAAUUAAUGGAAUUAAUGCUUCAUAAAUUUGCCGGCACUGCCAGUACUUUUUUUUUUUUUUAAUACGAAUUGAUGCUUUAUUUAUUUCUUCUUAGCGAUUUAAUUUCCUGUCAAAAGACGAGCGAGAAGAACAUAUGACUUAAACCAAUUGAUACUUUAUUUAUGUGCAUUGUAUGUAAUAAAAUUUUCUCUGUUUUUUUCAAAUUGAGGCUUUAUUUAUAUUUUCUUCGUGAAGAGUGAUUUAAUUUCCUGCCAAAAGACAAACGAGAAGAACAUUAGAGUCAAACUAAUGCUCACAUAAAUUUCCCGUAAGAAUAUAUAUAUAAUUAGACUGGAAUGCACACCUCUAGAUUGAACAGAAUUAAAGCUGAGAAAAUAUUGAGUAUAGUAGCCCUCUUUACAGAAAAUGACGCGAAAGUUAAUUUAGAAAGAUAUAUUCUUGAUUAAUCCAUUUUCUGAAGUUUUUUAUUUUGUAUGGUCAAUUAUACCUUCAUACUAAAAAAAAAAAAAAAAAAGAGAAAAUAUGUAAUCCAUGAAUGGUUAAUUUUGUUUGUUUGUUUUUUUUUCUUAAAUAUCAUUCUUUUUCGGCCACCCAAGGACAUUUUCACAAAUACCUUUUGUGUGCAGAAGUCUUCCAAACCAUCAAUGGAAAAAUAAAAAAUAAAAAAAACACGGUCCAGUAUACCUCAAAAUAUCAUUGAUGACUUUUCUGGUCUAAUGCUAUGUAAAUAGUAUGUUAAGUAAAACAUAAUCAGUUCAGUACCUCACAAAUAAUUCGCAAUAUCUACAAAAUACUAUAAUGGCUACAAAACAAAUCCUGCUUGCAAAUUGUCAAGGAUACCUAUCCGUUCGCUUGACAAGUCAUUUGAAUAAAUAUUGUUCACAUUCCUUACUCUGUCAAUUAUCCAAAGCACCAUCAACUUUAGUUUGAAUAGUAUACAUGCCAUCACCGUUACCAAGAAUCAAGCAUGGAAGGGUCAUUCUAUAGAGUGCAGAACAUGACUCUAUGCGGUAGUCAAUUUGACACACGACGAACACCAUAUGCUGCAUAACAUACAAAUUAAUUUCCCAUAUGUGAUGCAAUUUUCUCCUCAACAUAUGCGCAAUUCUUUCCAUUCCGGCAUUUACACUCAAAUUUUCCUUCCUUUCUCUUUGUGGUUGAAUCUUACACCACAACUCAUGUGAUGCAAUCUCCUCUCGCUGCCUAAAUUGCACUCUCAGCAAAGCAGCAUAUGUAAGCAAGCUUGAAGAUAAUCUUGCUGCUCUGCAGAAGAACGGCAAAAGUUAAUCGAAGCAAGGAAUGAUGUAUCAGAAAAUAUUUGGUGGAGAAUUCAGCACAAACAUAUUUCGGAUGAUCAGAAUCAAUAAAACCUGGUGGUUGUGCCAUAUAAACAUCUUUGGAAAGCUGACCUUGAAGAAAGGCGUUAUUGAUAUCCAAUUGAUGAAGAGGCCAGCCAUGACUAACAUCAAUACUAAGAACAAGCCGUACUGUGGUGGACUUAACAACUGGACUGAAAGUGUCAUAAUAGUCCACACCAGGCCAUUGAUUGAACCCUUUGGCAACAAGAUGAGCUUUAAACCUGUCAACAGAACCGUUGGAAUGUCUUUUAAUACAAAAAUCCAUUUGCAGCCAACAAUAUUGGAAGGGAUGGGAGGUGGAACAAGCUUCCAUGUCCCGUUACGAACAAGAGCAUCAUACUCUUCUGACAUAGCUGGACGCCAGUGAAGAUUUUUGAUAGCUUGCGUCACAGUUGUAGGUUCACAAUCAGAAGAAGGGCUAAAAUGAGCACGGAGGUUAAGUUUUUGUAACGGCUUGUGAAUCUUAUUUUUAGCUCGGGUAGUCAUAUCAUGAUGACUUGUGGGGCAAUGAUCUAGUGGAGUUUAGGAAGAUGAUUGAACAGGAAGUGAAGAAGUGCUUUGUGUAGAGGUAGAAGUAGGUUGGGAGGAUUGCUGCGGAGAUGUUACCGGUAGAGAAGAAGGAGCAGUACACGGUGGCAACUCCAGAGGGCCCACAAUAGAUGGAGUAGGUGCCGACAAUGGAGUACUAGGAAAUGAAACAGGAAGAAUUGGUGGAACACUUGCAUAAUUAGGAGUGGUAGAUGAGCUUGUAAUGAUUUGCAUGGAAAAACAAACUCUACAAAUUUAACGUGACGUGAAAUAAAAAUUUGAAAGGUGGAUGGGUCAAAACAUAAAUAAGCACUUUGAGAUAAAGGAAUAUCCUAGAAAAACACAAGGCUUAGAGGGUGGUUCGAGUUUAUGUGAUGAAACACAAACAUUCAAAAAAUUUUAAGUUUAUAUUAAUUAGGAGUGGUACCAAAAAUUAAUUAGCUAUGGGGUUGUUGGAUGUGUUUUGGAUAUUUACAGUUAAGUUUGAGUAUCUCAACUUAAAAUUUGUAGUUUUCACUUGAAAAAAUUCAGUUAAAUUUUGCAAUGCAGACUGAUUGAUUUAUCAGUUUAACGUGUGCCAGGAAUGAAGAACUGGAAUAUCACCGUCAAGCAAGCACCCUGUGGAGCAAUACCAAAGAAUGCACAAUCUGGCUUUGCUAGGUAACACUGGAGGCUUUUUGAAAAGUGCUUCACGCUCACUUGCACAGAUUGAGCAUCCCCUCUGGAUAUUGCCCUCUCUGAUCGAGUCUGAGCACUCAAAUUUUGGUCCUCAGAGGGAGCUACAGUUUUCUCUCCACUAACCAACAAUAUUCUAAACUCAGCACCUAGUGUGAUCAGAGUUGUUGAUAUUUGCAAAUGGAGAUCCCCAUAUUUGCAAAUGGAGACAUUUAACAAAUCACCAACAUGCUUCAUCCGGUCCACGAAAUUCUGCAACUGAUGCAAAUCUGGAACCUGAACCAGAGUCGGAGGUAUAUCUUGAGCCAUAUCUAAAGCAGUUUGAAGUUCAAGACCUUGAGCCCUUGACAAUGGUUUUGAAAUUGGAACAUCUUGGAUUACUGCAGACUUGUACCCCUUGGUUUCAAAGGUAAGGAAAGGCAUUGCUUGAGUACAAUUUGGAGGCAGCUUCUUCACCAAUUUUAUUUGGAGGCGAUUGGCAGCGGAUCCAGCUGCACCAAUUUCAGAGCAACUACUGACACUACUUCGAACAGCACACUGAAGAAGUGAUAUGUCUACGGCGAAGGCAAUGCAGUCCUCAUUUUGGCUUGAGACACAGUAAUCAUCGAAGAGAGUUUCCUUGUGAAACUGGGCAACACAUUGAAUCCCUUCGGCACUGAGAAGGUUGUGGAGGAAGUAAGCUUUCUCUCUAGUAAGGAAGAGGUGGCAUACAUUCCCCAUUUUGUCUAGGGCAGGUAGGAAUCUUUUUUCUAAGAGAUUUACUUCAUUCUCUGUGAGAAAUGCUUUGAACUUCAUCCCUCUGUCUCUAUCCUCACUUAUCAGUAAAAUAGUUGAAAGCGCUACAAGGAGAGAAAAGAAGAGUAUUAAGAUAUAUAUAUUAUAUAGACAAGAAAAACAUUAGAUGUCGAUCUUACAAGCUAAUACUUCAAACAAUAUCCUAGAAAGCUAAAAACUGCAAGAUGGCUUGAAAUUUGAAAAGAGCACGUGCUUUUCCUCCUUAACUUGAGAAAAUGUUUAAUAUAGUGCACCUUACAGAAGCAUUUAAGCAAUUAGAACUUUGCACAAAAACAUCAAGAAGACUAAACAAGUCAGAUGCAGUGUAUUUGUCCAAGCACAAAUUGCAUUUUGUCCUCAACUUUAAUAUUUAUUGAUGAGAAUCAAUACAGGUCCCUCAUUUGUUAUAGAAAGCUUUCUUGUAGUCUCACCAGUUAAUAUGGAUAUUAGAUAAGGAAACUUUAUUAGGUUGCGAGGGUAAAAAAGGAAAGAGAUAUCAUUAUUUUAUUAUCGAUAAUUAUUAAAUUUUUUUCCAAAAAAAAGAACAAGCAAGGAUAUUUUAUUGUCAAUUGCAACCUUUAAUUUUUUUAAAUGCUAUUAGAAACACAAGAUAACAAAAAUGUAGUGAGAUGGGAUCUCCUGCAUGCCACUCUGGUUUAGAACACAAAGAAUGUGUCUGCAUAAAUAUCCUCUGAAAUUGAACAACCCACAAACACAAAGCACCUCCAAGUCGGAGGCAUUGUACAAAACAUCAAAAGCCCUUGAAUCCUUCUCGUUGCCACCAACCUCGAAUUCUUCCUUCACUAUGUAUGUUAUAGGUCCAUCAGAACUAAUAUGUUUUGUGCUAUAGUAAGAGUACAUAGCCUCCACCUCCAUCUGAAACUUCCUUAACAUUUCAUUUGUGUACAGUUUUGAGAGUUGAAAUUCAUAGUAACAUCUUGGUUUCCGGAUACAACUUGAAUUUCUUGAAUCCAUAUCUGCCAAGGCUACCAGUUGAUAAUUCGCCUGCAGUGCUUGAUCAUACUUGUCUAAGAAUUCUUUCAAAGGAGUAUUCUUAUCAAGAUAUCCUUCAAAGUAUGAAGUAGAAACCUCAUUCUGCAGGAACGAAAACACUCCUGAUAAAAAAGCUUCCUUCAAAUAAAUAGGAGCCCACCUUUUAUGAUCUUCAUAUAAAGUUUGAAUCCAUCCGUGAUCCUUUAUUCCAUGACAUUGAAUCAUGUCUUCCCAAGCUGCUUCAAAUUUCUCAGGCCUGAGAGAGUGAUAAAUUGCUCUAUGUAAUGCAGCUUUAAUAGCUUCAUAUUCAAACAAUCCUUGGAGUUUCUCUGGAAUUUUUUUGCAUGAUGCAUGACAAUGAAAAGAAAUGAUAAGCUCUUGGGAAAACAUCACCAACAGCAAUUUGCAAGAUUCUACAUUGGUCAGUGAUGAUUGUUUGUGGAGAGCGCCCUAACAUACAUGUAAGCCACGCCGUAAACAACCAUGUAUAUGAUUCUAUGGUCUCACUGGCAAGUAAACCACAACCCAACAACACUGAUUGUCCAUGAUGAUUCACCCCAAUGAAUGAAACCAGUGGUACAUCAUAUCUUUCAGUCAGGCACGUAGUAUCAAUUAAGACCACAUCACCAAAGUACCUAUAUGCAACUCUUGACCUGGUAUCAGUCCAGAAUAGGUUUUUCAAGCAUCCCUUUUCAUUUAGAUCCACUACAUUAAAAAAGUUUGGAUCUGUCAACUGCAAAUGACAAAAGAAACUCUGGACAGCUUGUGCAUCUCCUGGUUUAAGCUUCAAUUGAUUUGAGCUAUUAACAUUAUUUCCAAAUACUCCAUUAACAUCUACCAUUUCCCUUGGUAUCAAUGAUAAGAGUUCGAAACAGUUUAAUUUUUUGAACUUCUUCAGCACUAUCUAAAUGCAAUGUUCUUUUGGUUCCAAUACCUAUGUGCUUAUGUGACUUGUAAAACUUUCCGCUUCUUGGGCUUAACAAGUGGUUAUGCUCAAGCUCGACUUCAAUGAUUCUCCACCUUUUGGUUUCCAUCAACCUAAACUUUAUCAUUGCUGGACAGCCAGUUCUUGUUUCUGGUCUUGGGCGGUUUGCCUCGCUUUUCUUCUUGAAGCCUGCACUACUACAGCUCAGCUUUCCUCUAUACUUUUCUCUACUCUUUCGGUACCAUGGAUUGCUAACUCUAACACCAAAACCCUGUUCCUUGGCAUAGCAAUUGUAAAAGUAAUAUACAUCAUCAUACAUCUCAAACUCCAUUCCAACAGUAGGAGGCAAGGGAUUUUGGAUUAUCCCAGUUUGUCCAACAUAUUCAGUCAUCGCACAAUCUCCUACAACCUCAAAAUCAUCAGUGUCAUCAUCACCUACUGGUUCGGUGUUGAGAGAAACUUCAUCCAUCUACAAUGGAUGUUCAAUGAAGUGAGCUUUAAGGAGAAAAAGCAAAAUCUGUUCAAGGAAUGAUAAUAUAAUCAUACAGUUACUUUCACAAAGCUUCAUAUUUCAUCACUGCUUUACCAACAUGCAACUGCCAGAGAACAAACAGACAUGUCAUAGACGCUUGAAUUAAGUAUUGGUACAAAUGAGCACACAUCAUGUGGGACAAAAUUUCAGUCACUAAACCCAAUACCACUUUUUACAUCAUACCAAGGAACAGAUUAAACCCGACACCUUCUUUUAAACCAUACCAAGGAACAGAUUAAAUCAUCAAUGAAAAAUUAAUCACAUAAUAACUUAACCAGACAAAUGAAGAGCCUGAAACAGCACAAAACUUGAAUCUGAUUAUGAUAAUUGUUGAGUCCUUGUAUCUACAGCUUUCCUUCAAUGAUAAGACAAUGAACAUAAACGAGACACAAAAAAAUUAUUUUAAACUGACAGCCCAUGAUAUAAAUCAAACAAAAUCAACUCCUUUUUUUACACAUUACAUCUCAUAUUCAUUUACAUUGAAACACAAAAAGGAAGCAGGAGUGGGAAAAAAACAACAGCAGAGGAACUUAUUUCCAUAAGGUUUACGAAAUAAGGAAUCUAUUAAAACCCAAAACUUGAGGUCACCACUAAGAAUUUGGUUCUCAUUAUUUUUUUCUUCAUUUUUCACCAAUUGAUGAACUUAAAAUACAAUCAUAAAUGAUAAAACCCCAUCUCCAUCUUUUUGAACUAGAGCUAAAGCAAAGCAUUUUAAGAUGUUUCAUCAUUUUUUUUUUUAAAAAAAACUCAAUAGUACAAUGUUUUUCAAUGCUAAAUGCACAAUUCAAUCUUCUCCUAAUUUACUCUAAUAAUCUCUUAAUUAAGGAAGAUUAAGCUUCAGUUGUAAGCUAAAACAAAUUUCUUAAAUCAAGCCCCAAUGCUUUAUGCUAUUCAACAAGGGCUCAUAAAUGAUAAAACUACUUCUAUAAAGAUACCCAUUUUCUAAAUUAAUUUCACAAACUGAAAUCAAACUCCUGAAACGUAACGAGCAUUAAUAUAAUCAAGCCCGAACAAGAAUUGAAAAAUGAUACAUAAACUCGUUUACACAUUUCGACAGACACUUUGCAAUCAAUGAGCAAAAAAUUAAUGGAGAAGAUAAAAUUCAAACGAAACAUGCCUUACAUUGAUAAAUUAGAAGGGCAAAAGAAAUUUUAGUACGAUAUGCGAUCAGGGUCUUGCCACGGUGAUGUUAUUUGUGAAGUUCGAGCGACUCAGCAGCCUUCGAGGUUGAAAAUUUGAUUGACCAAAAGCUUCCCGUUCGUUGAUUCUCUAAUAGUAGAAACGAGACUGGCAGUAUACACAAGAAGUUCGCCGAUUUUAAAUUCCGUUGUUUGAGAUGGAAAAUUUUUUGAAAAAAUUAAUGUGUUCGAUGAAAAUCAAAAUCUCAAAAACCUCUUGUUUUUCAUUUUUUUGGAAAAAACCAUUGAGAUCCUUACUAUUUUUUCUUAUAUCAUCUUCCUUAAUAAUUUGCAAAGUCUAUCGCAUAGCACCCAUGUAUGAUGUAUGCUGCGUUGUAAUUUACAAAAUUGCACAUGAAUAAAUCCAGCUAAAAUUUGUUAAAAGAAAAUAAUAAUAACAUGUUAAAACUUUAAAAUUUGAUUAUUCGAAGAAAUUUUAAUUUAGUUAAGUAGGUGACAUGAUAAUAAAUAGAUACGUAUAAUGUCCGAGAUUUUUUAUAAGAUUAAUAAAUAUGAUAAAUUUGGAUUAGUUCAAUUUUGACAUAAUUCAUAAUAAACACAGCUUGCUAAUCUAAAUUGCCACCGUUACUCAUCAUCAGGUACCUGUUUGAAAAAUAAUUACAAACAAUUUUAUUUGUGUUGUUUCUCUAAAAGUUUGAGACACAAAUGUUAUUUCAAAUUGAUAAAAGUACGAAAAUUCCCCCUUGCUCUUCAACUAAAAAUGAAACAUGCAAAUAUACACACUAAUUUAGAUGUGUGAAUAACAAAUAUGGAACGACACAUGCAAAGUCAUCUGUAUAAUUGAAACGCCAUGCACUAGUAGUAGGUAAGAGAAACCAAGGUUGAAGUUGCUCCAAUGGUUACUGUUAAUUUAUUUUUAUUUAUGAUUUUUUUUGUAAAAUGUAAGAAAUAUGUAGAAAUGUUGCCAGCAAUGAUUUUGGAACUUUGCAUAAAAUUUUUAUCAUUAUUGUUUUUGGUAUUAAGAAAUCCGAGGCGGUGAUUAGACGUAUGUUGCAACAAUUAAGAAAUUUCUUAUUGGAGAUAAUUUGGUAGGUUUGCAGCAAUUAGAGAAUAAUUUUCCUGCCAGUUAAUCAAUCAAUAAUAAAUUUCAAAUUGCAGAAAAUAAAAUAAUACAGCCUCACUUAGAAUCAUCUUUUCUAUCUCUUUCAAUUGUGGCAAUCAUUUGCAACAAAUAAAUCAAUUUGAUGCACAUCAUUUCCCCAAUUCAAAGUUCAAGUCACUGCUCAAUUACAGAGUAGUUAGUGGACAUGCAUGCAUGUUUAAUUAAGUACUGCAUUGUAGUAUCGAAAAUCAUAACAUCUCACCAAUAUCAGAUUAUUAACCAUGGAAAUCAUAUCACAAUAUCAUAUAGAAUUCACAAAUCUGAAAAUCAUCACCAAACAAGUACCCAGAGAAAUAAUCUCGUCAUAUCCAGACCUCAACGGACGGGCAAUGACGUACUAUUUGGGUAACGUCACACCCUGGAGCUACACGGAUAAAUAGGAAAAUACCAUCUCAUAUCUCAUCAUAUUUGUGCAUGCAUAAUCUAGUCCCCAAGGGACAAAAGCGCCCAAGCACACGGCCCAAAGCCUCUAUGUGUACUCAGACGGGCCCCAAAGGCCUGUAUCUCAUAUGUAUCAUAUGUAUCAUUUGUAUCUCAAUAUCUGUUUGUAUCUCAUUUCCGUAUAUCUAUAAUCAUCAUACCGCAUGCAUAUGCCCCCAAAAGACAAAAGCGCCCAAACACAUGGCCCAAAGCCUUUAUAUGUGUUUAGACGGGUCCCAAAAGCCUCUUAUCUCAUCUUAUCUGUAUCACUGUAUCUGGAGAGAAGGGUACUGUCUAAUGAUUUAAAAAACAAUCAUUAUACUCAUAUUUACAUACCUCUUAAUCAUAUUUGAAAUCAUAUCACAUUUGAAUCCACUUUUCUAAUCUUUAAAAUAUUAUCAUGCUUUAUUCAAAGUCGAUACGCAAAAUCAAUAACCAAACAUUUUAAAUCAAAUUAUUAACCAUGGAAAUCAUAUCACAAUAUCAUAUAGAAUUCACAAAUCUGAAAAUCAUCACCAAAUAAGUACCCAAAGAAAUAAUCUCGUCAUAUCCGGACCUCAACGGACGGGCAAUGACGUACUAUCUGGGUAACGUCACACCUUGGAGCUACACGGAUAAAUAGAGAAAUACCAUCUCAUAUCUCAUCAUAUCUGUGCAUGCAUAAUCUAGUCCCCAAGGGACAAAAGCGCCCAAGCACACAGCCCAAAGCCUCUAUGUGUACUCAGACGGGCUCCAAAGGCCUGUAUCUCAUAUGUAUCAUAUGUAUCAUUUGUAUCUCAAUAUCUGUCUGUAUCUCAUAUCCGUAUAUCUAUAAUCAUCAUACCGCAUGCAUAUGCCCCCAAAAGACAAAAGCGCCCAAACACAUGGCCCAAAGCCUUUAUAUGUGUUCAGACGGACCCCAAAAGCCUCUCAUCUCAUCUUAUCUGUAUCACUGUAUCUGGAGGGAAGGGUACUGUCUAAUGAUUUAAAAAAUAAUCAUUAUACUCAUAUUUACAUACCUCUUAUCAUAUUUGAAAUCAUAUCACAUUUGAAUCCACUUUUCUAAUCUUUAAAAUAUUAUCAUGCUUUAUUCAAAGUCGAUACGCAAAAUCAAUAACCAAACAUUUUAAUAAAAUACCAAUGCAUAAAUAAAAUUCAUUUCGAGAAAUCAUUAAAUCAGAACAUUUAAAAUACUUAUUUCGCAAACAUGCUUUACUAUCAUCGCUAACUAUGAAAAUAAGUUUUGUAUAUUCCACUUUCAGUGAUGGUGUUCACGGUCGGUUAUCGUCCAUAUCUGCAGACCGAUUCUCGCUCGCGAAUCCUCCUAAAUCAAGGAAACGACAUAAUUAUUUUUUGUAAAUCGGAAUUAUGACUAAAUUUUAUGCAAUAAACUCAAAACGAACAUCUAUUCAUAAUUGACAACUCCUAUAUCCAUAAAAUUACUAAAAUAUCCUUGAGUCCGUAGAUCAUUAACAUGCUCCGAAAUCGUAAAUCACUGAAUUACCCUCGGAAUCGUAAUUACACCCGAUCCUCAAUUAUAGGAAUUACUAACAGAUCCACAGGCUUAGAAAUUACAAAAUUGCCCUCGUAGUGUGAAAUUACCAAAAGCCGGAAGUUGGUCAACAAUGGCUAGGAAGCUCAAAUCGUAAAGUUCCAAUCACGCUGAGUUCAAUGGUACCGGCGGUGAGCUCCAACGCGCGACAACGAUGCCAGAAUCUAGCUCGGCAGCCGUGAAUUCCACCAAUCGACCGGCGGCACAACAGUGACUCUCGGUGCCUAUGGAUGGUCGAAAAUGGAAGAGGGAGCCGUGGGGAACAAAAUCCAACCGGUGGUGUCACCAAAACCGGUGAAAAUCCCGGCGGAGCAAAGUGAAACAGUCGCGGGUUUCAUGCUUCGAUCGCCGGUGUUCCGAUUGGUUUUUGGCGAGGAGGAUGGCAAGGGAACGACAGCCGGCUUCUAAGCUUCAGAUUGGUACCAAGCUCGGCCGAAACGAUGGCCGGAAAUGGGAGAUAUGACCGGGUCAAGGUCGCGGGUUCCGGGUCGGGUUUUUUGGUCUGUAGUUGGGUCGGUUUGGUAGCUUCUCUCUCACUCUCUGUUACACGUGCAUAUGUUUCCUCUGUUUCCAGCUUAUUCUUUUGCUUUUACUAACUUCUUAACCGCCUCAUACUUAUUCAUUUUUAAUUCACAUAUGUUACAAUAAUUCCCGAGUAUUAAAUAACCAGUGGUCAUAAUUUUUGUACAAGAUUCUUUUUUUUUUUUGGAGAUCGUUAAAAGUGGUUGACGAUCCAUUUCGUAAUAUCAUAGAGGGAUCAUCAAUUCCUUUUCUUUUCUGUGGCUAGGCAACACUUUUUGGCCAAAGUAAGGAAAUCUAUUUUAGGUAAUGUAAAAACCAGUUGUAGGAUGUAAUAGUUUAUUAUGCACUGACAAUAACUUUUUGUAUAAUUGUCAGUUUAAUGAAUGCAAGAGGAACUCUGUUGGCAAAUUCAUCCAAGAUAGAUGCUAAAAUUAUUUAUGCAUGCCAGUUGCCUUAACUAAGUUUUCUCAGCACUGGUUUUGAACAGGAAAAUGAAUAUGCAAUUUGUAUAUUGUGCCAUAGUGGAGAAUUUGGAUAUUCUUAUUUAAGUAACAAGGAGAUUAUUUGCCUCAUCUUUAAACAAUGAAUCUUUGAGAGAUGAGGAGUGGGUGAUUGGAUGUGUCUUCAUGUAAUUGUUCAUUUAUUUGUAUUUUGAACUGUUAUGAAAAUCUUUAUAUGCCAAAUUAGUAAUACAAGUAUUCAGAUGAUUUUUCCUAUUGAUCAUGCAUUUGUAUCUGCCCACAACCAUUGUAUAUCACUUUAUUCUGAUGCGCAAGCAUCUGUAAUUUAGAAGAAAAGAAAUAAUAAUCAUAUUUUAUUGCUUGGUUCAUGAUUAUUAACGAUUAUGGCUUUAAAAAUCUACAAAUUUCUUGUGUUCAUGUAUGAAUGUGCCAAGUUUGCUGUAUCUUAGAUUACCUUCUUCCAAGGUAACAAGUUCAUAUAUAUAUAUUUUUUAAAUCAUUUUCCAUUACAGUUGAAUUUCAAGUGUUAGUUUUGUUAUUAGUACCUGGUUUCCUGUUAUAAGGAUCUAAUAAACAGUGUACGGAUAUGUGCUCUACUUUUGGAGGGCUUCCACGUGAAAGAAAAUUACAACAAUUGAAUUCUUCCGGAGGAUAUGGUAAUUAAUUUAUUUUCUCAACUUCUUGUAAGACUAAUAUAUUUCCUUCAGUAGGCACAGCAUGGUGGGAAGGGUUUUUAUUGAAAGAAUUCUGAUAUUUCUUAGACUUUGUUUUGGAAGGGGGUGGAGGAAUUUCUCAUCCAUAUAUGGUUACUUGAUUAGCUUUUGACUGUAUUGUCUCUGUCGUGCAAAGGAAAAUCUAAAUACUAACGAUGGGGAAUUGCUUAGGCACCCAAAAGGCAGAAAUGAAUUACAGAAGGAAGUUUUUGCUGCUUUAUUUAGUGCUGCUGAGAAAUCUGAUGAAUUUCCUGAAAUUACGGUGAAGACCGAGUGGAGGUCCAAAGCAUUAGGAAAGGUGGUGAGUGAACUGCCGGAGGAAUUUGUACCAAAAUACAAGGCUAAUGUGGUGCACUUGCAGCAAGAUAACCAGACCGGUAUGUGCUCUUAUAUUAACUAUAUUGACUGGAUUUGUGAGUGUGUGCAUUUUUUUGUGUAUACUCACUUUUGUAUUUAUGCAUAUUAACAUGUGUAGGAUUCUUGAUUUCUGCCACUUACUGGAGAACUAGUGGAAAGCUUUAUAUUGAUAUAUCUGCAAUAACUAAUGGAAACUAUGAUAUGAAUAUUUUCUCUCACCUGGGGAGCUGUGUAACAGAUAUACUUUGUGGCUCUGGAAUGCUGAAGAUUCUGCAAUAACUAAUGGAAAAUAUGAUAUGAAUAUUUUGUCUCACCUGGAGAACUUUGUUACAGAUACCCUUUGUGGCUCUGGAAUGUCUAAAGAAUGCUUUAGUUAGAUCAAAUAUCUUUUAGUUAGAAAAGAUAAAAUUCUCUGAGUCUGAAAGACUGAAACAUUUUGCAUAUUUUGUGAAAGGGAAAUAUCUGUUGAUACUAGCUCAUGCAUUGAGGUAAUAUCGAUGUUAAAGAAAAACAGCAAUGAUUUAUGAUAUAGAAUUGGGUUCACUUGCUUCAAAUGCUGGUCUGAUCAACCAUAUCAACCUGUAAUGAUUCUGCAGAAAUAUAUAUACAUGGAGAAAGUAGCUAAAUUUUUCUUUCAUUUAUGGGUUCGGUCUUUUUUCCCCUUAUUUUUCAGCUUUCCUUCUCCUGAAGUAUGUUAACAAUUGCAGAUAAUGAUGAAGACGACAGCUUCCGGGCUCUCCUUAGAGCCGUGAUGGAAUAUAGGGGCACAAUGAAGGAAUAUUGUAAAGCUGUAGGUACUUUUUCUCCUUUCAUUUAUGUUUUCUCACACAUUUUGUAUAUGCCCUGAACAUGCACCUUUGUAUGUAUCAAUUGACUUUUAAAUUUUAAAAGCCAUAAAGUAAGAAUACGGUUCCUUGUCAGGCUACUGAUGACAUUCGCUCAGGGGGAUCAUGUUCGAGCAGGAAAAUUUCUAGAACAGGUAAGGUUUCCAUCUACAGCCAUCCAUUGACAGCAGAUACAUUUUCAUUCAGCAGACUCUGUUAGCAUUCAAGAUGCUGGCAGAUUCACUUGAUUCUUAUUAGCUUGUUUAGUGGCAAAGCCUAUAACCUGUAUUUCAAAGCCAAGUUGUGCUAUUGAUUAUGUUAACUUUUUUGUUAACAUAAAAUGAUAUGGAGGAAAUAAUCAGUGUUGGAAAAUUAGGUGAAAAGAUGAUGUCAAAUCUUGAACCUCUUACGAAACUCUAAGUUCUUUACUUGAAGAGGCUACGAAAUUUGAACAGCGUCUACUCGAAGGCCUUGCCAUUCCCUGAUGCAUGCAGAAUUUUUGUAUUUAAAUGCCCAGAGCUUAAGAAGCUGCCACUGGAUCUUGAAGGGGCAGACCAAGGUAAAAAUCUUAUCAAGGGAAAGGAAGAUUGGUGGAAACAACUUAAUGGGAGGAUCAAGUAACUCAGAAUGCAUUGCUUCCAUUUUUUAAAUUGACUGACAAGUGAUUGAACGGGGCAUCAUCAACAUCAUCAACAGGGAUGGAGAGAUACCGGAGCAGAUCAGCAGGGUUUGAAUAUGACCUUUGGCGGUUGCUUUUUUUUUGUGAUUUUUUUUUCAUUUUUUCCUUCCUGUCAUUUUAUCAUUUCUUUCUCUGUUUCUAUUGCGGGUGUUACUGCAUGCUUACUGUUGCUUGACAAAGUUUGCUAGCUUUUUGUUUGCAGUGUUGCUAUACACUCCGAGUCAAGCCUCGAAAAUUUAUUAAACGAAGCCGUUUCGACAGUAACAAUUCUUUUCUUUUCCCUUUGCAUGUCUCUUUCAUCUGCUGUUUCUCUAUCACUUUUCAUUUUUGAUUUCCUUGCUUCUCAGCUGCCCCUAAAUUGUUAUUCUAGCAAUAUACUUUCUCAUCUUUGAAUUUUCAUCCUUGAGUACUCCCACAGCCGUAAUUUCAUCAUCAUAGACUUCACUUGGAAUGCUGUAUUUUUUCGAUUCUUGAGCUACUUCAAUUACAUCUUAGUAUAGGAUCCUCAUCUUCCUUUAUUUCUUCAUCUUAUGAGGUAAUAAAUGGAUUUCACAACUCAUCUACUUUUAAGCAAUUACAUAUUAUACCUUGAAUGAUUCAACUGUUCUGACAGUUAAAGAUUUUAUGCUCAACCUGCAGUGCUACGAACAUUGUCCAUGAAAGAUGAGUUUCAGCAUAUAAAAUGAAAUAUAGAUGUUUAAUCUAAAAUAACCCUUCACUGCCAGAAACCUAGGUCACAAAAUUCACAGAUAAUGAUAAAGAGCUAAAAAAUUUGAAAAACUCUACAGAUCACACAUCAAGCAAGAUAUCAUGUUUUUUUCCCUCAUUCAGUGGUGAUUGAUUCGCUUUUUGAUGAUGGAUAUGGUAUAAAAGUGUUGACCCAAUUUCAAGCAAACACAAAUAGAAACACAAACACAAUCGGGACUAGAGUUGUGGGCGAUUAUCUUAGGUGUACAAGUGAAACGGUGGUGGCUGUCGAUGGUGGUAGUGGGGUGGUUGGGUAUGCGUGAUGGCUAGAUUUUAGGACAAUAAUGAUUGGAGUUGACCUCAAUCAACGAAGGAAAGUGACAACAAUUUUGACAUCAAACGGUGCAUUUUUUAGCUUAGUAAAAUGGAGCCGUUUCGAUUUUGGGGUUUAAUCCGGGGUUUGACUCGGUGCAAGUAUCAUUUUCCUUUUGUUUAUUAAAUUUUUUUAUGGUCACAAAGUAUCACUCGUUCUAUUUGAGAGUCAUGUGAAUCAAUUUUUCAAAUUUUCAAUUUUAAAUUUUGUGGUCAAUGUGAAUUCAAUUUCAUUUGUCUCCUGCAAUUAUGAAAAAAUUAAAUAGUCAUAAUAUGGAAAAAUACACCGGUAAAAACUUUGUAAAAGCUUCGGAGUGAUACGGGGAAUUCACUUACUACUAAGGACAAUUGGUGGCAAGCUAUUCCAUUCAUUUUAUGUCCAUCCAUCUAUUUAGUUAUUGAAGAUAAGUGGUCCAUUUGUAAAUUUCAGAUUGUCUCUCUCUCCCUCUUGAAAUAACAAUAUUUAAUAUAUCUCAUAAAUUAUUAUAAAUUUUAAUUUACUCUCGAUUUAAAAUGGAGCAUGUCGAUAAAUUUUUUUUCUUCUUAAUAAAAUUGACGUAAGUUGUGUUUACAGUAGUUUGAAGUUUGAAAUAUUUUAAAGAUUAUUAUUCUAUAAGGGAGUAAUAUGAAAUGAUAUUUACUUUUCAUGUGUGAAAUGAAAAAGGACGAAGCAAGUGUCCCUGCUUUUAUUUUAUUUCAAGGAGGAGUCAUCUCACAUACUUUAGCUCUUAACAUUACAUUUUUUCUGGUUACAUUUUUUAUUUAUUUAUUUUUUUUUUUUUACACAUGCGUGUGGGUUGCUUUUCUGUAAGCUCCUUAAUAUAUAUUUAAGACAAAUCAUGGAAGAGAUGGGAUUAUAUCAAGAUGAUCAAAGAAUGUUAAAAAAGAAAAAAGAAAAAAAAAAGAAGUAAGACACUGAAAAUGGAGAAGAGAUGGAAGCAAAAGAUAUUCCAAAACAAAGCAAUCUAUCCCCUUUCGAGGGCAGACUUAUCAGGUUUAAAAAAGUACACGCUUUGGAUUGGUAGUUGCAAUCAAGGGAAAAUAAAUAGGAUCCAAUGAAAUUUAAAUCUCGGAGAAAAUAAAUAAUCAUGCAGAUUUUCAAGAUUUUAAUAAGGGAUACUAAUAUCUUAUUUUGAUUAAUAAUAUCCUUUCAUUGUGUUAACUCAAAAAAUAUAUAUUUUAAUGUUUUGCAAUAAACAGAAACGUACUAUUAAAAUGAAUAUAUAAAGAAUUUAGAAAAUUUUGAAUGUUAUAUAAAAUAAUUUUAAGAUAAUGCGUGAGAUAUAUUUUAUUAAUUUAAAAUGUUAUUUUACCUAAAAAAUAUGAUAAAUUAAUAAUUACAUAUUUGAAGUUAUUUUAAAUAUUAAAAAAAUUUAAUAUUAUUAAUCUUUUAGAUAGAUUAAAUUAUUUUUUAUAAGAGAUAGAUUAAAUUAUUUUAAAAUACGUUAAUUGUUUUUACUUUUAACGUUACCGGCCUUUCUUUUAUUUUAUUGCAAAUUAAUGCUAACAAGAAAAAGCUAGAUCAUAUUCCACAAAAGCAAAAGUGACAAACACAACCAGCUGGAAUCUUUUAAUUACUAUUCAAUAAUUCGAGACGAUUAGGGUCUUUUAUUAAACUACAAAUUGUAUAGUCUUUUUAAAAUUGUUAUAAAUUGGUGGCACCUACAAUCCUCAAUAAUUGUACCGAUAUUCACAAGUUGGUGGCCCCUACAAUUCUGUUCGGAUAAUUUAACUGUGCAAGUGCUCAUUCACAAUAAUUGUUUUGUUUUUUUUUUCUGCAUUCCCUUUCAUGCUCUUAAUAAUUGAAGAGCAUACUUUUCAUUUUCAAAUGUGGAGCCGCAGCUAAUGUCGCUAAUUUAAUUUGGGAUUAAAUUAGGGGACCAUUAUAUUGCAGUGUGCACUAAUUUUUGUGUUUAUCUAAACUCCUUAAAUUUAAGACAUAUUAUGGCAUAAAUAAGAAUAUAACAAUAGCAAAAGAGUUAAAAAGUGUAGAGAAGAUCUUGCAGAAAUAUAAAUAAUAUCUAUUUUAAAAUAAUAUCAAUAUUUAAAAUAAUUUUUAAUAUUUUAUGAUUCAUUAGAUAUAUUUUAUUAUAUUAAAGUAAAUUUUAUAAUAAAUAAAAACAUACUAUUAAAAUGAAUAUAUAGAAAAUUUAGAGUAUUUUAAGUAUUAUAUAAAAUAAUUUUAAUAAAAUAUGUGAGAUAUUCAUAUUUUAUUAAUUUAAAAUACCAUUUAACCUAAAGAUUUAUUUAUGAUAAAUUAAUAAUUAUAUUUUUGAAGUUACUUCAAAUAUUAAAAAUAUUAAUAUUACUAAUCUAUUAGAUAGAUUAAAUUAUAUAUAUUAUUUUCUAUUUAUUAAAAAAUUUAAAAUUAUUUUUAAUUACUAUUCAAAAAAUAUAAUGAUAAAAAAGAAUCUUAACAUCUUUAUUAAAAAUUUAAAAAUUUACAUGAUCAAUUCUCUAAAUAUUUAGGGUUAUAUGUGAACAACGGUGGAGAAGCUUUAUUUAAUAUUAUUGAUUUAAAUAAUAUGUCAAUUAAAAAUGUACAGAGAAGGAAAUUUCGGUGGGUAUUUUAGUCUUUUCAGCAAUUAUCAUGAUCAGAUCAGCCUUUAGCCUUGAAUCGUCGGUCAGAAAAGUUUUAAAAUUAACGCUAACAAGAAAAAGCUAGGUCAUAUUCCACAAAAGCAAAACUGACAAAACAACCAGCUGGUUUCUUUUACUAAACUACAAAUUAAAAGUGGAUUCUUUUGAAUGCAAGUGGGACAGACGAUUAGGCUCUUUUUAUUAAAGGCAAGUAAAAACUAGUCGAAUAGUCUUUUUCAAAUUGUUGUUUUAUUAUUUUUCCUUCAAAAGUUAGUGUGGCUCAUGUUUGCAGGUGCGAAUGUGGGUCCCGAAUCAUUACUAAAAUUUCUAUUCCACAGCCCACCGCAGCUUCAGUUAAUCAAACUCAAAUCAAUUUUCUUUCUUAACAAAAUAUUCCAAAGAUGUGUAGCAUUUUUCAGAUCACAUGCGAUGGUGCUCUUUUCAAUCGUUGCUUGGAUUGCUUUCUUGGAAAAGCAGCAUACAUACGUAACCUCCAAGAUAAUGUUGAUACCUUGGGCACUGAAUUGGGAAAUCUGAUCGCUAGAAAGAACGAUCUGAUGAGGAGGGUUGUCGAUGCUGAACGGCAACAAAUGAGAAGGCUGGACGGAGUGCAAGUGUGGGUUUCGAGGGUGGAUUCUGUUAAAACUGAAGCUGAUCAAUUUAUAAGAGACGGCUCUCGAGAAAUUGAAAAAUUAUGUGUUGGAGGCUACUGUUCCAAGAAUUGCAUGUCAAGCUACAAGUUCGGGAAAAAAGUGGCUAAAAAGCUACGGGAUGUGCGGACUUUAAUCAGUGAAGGAGUUUUUGAGGUGGUGGCUGACAGAGCUCCAGAGUCUGUAGCAGAUGAAAGACCUACUGAGCGAACAGUAGUAGGCUUGCAAUCACAACUUGAACAAGUCUGGAGAUGUCUUGUAGAAGAAUCAGCGGGAAUCAUUGGCCUAUAUGGUAUGGGCGGUGUUGGUAAAACUACACUACUGACCCAUAUCAACAAUAAAUUUCUCGAGAGUCCAACCAACUUUGAUUGUGCGAUUUGGGUUGUAGUUUCAAAAGACCUGCGACUCGAAAAAAUUCAAGAAGAUAUUGGGAAAAAGAUAGGUUUGGUUGGUGAUUCAUGGAAGAGUAAAAGUGUAGAGGAGAAAGCUGUCGACAUCUUCCGGAGUUUAAGAGAGAAGAGAUUUGUAUUGUUGUUAGAUGAUAUAUGGGAGCGGGUUGAUUUAACAAAGGUGGGCAUUCCACUUCCCGGACCAAAAAAUACUACCUCAAAAGUCGUAUUCACAACCCGUUUCAUCGAUGUUUGUGGUAGCAUGGAAGUUGACAGGAAGUUUCAAGUAGCAUGCUUAUCAGAAAAGGAUGCUUGGGAACUGUUUCGAGAAAAAGUUGGGGAGGAAACUCUUCAGAGUCAUCAUGAUAUCGAUGAGCUAGCCCAAAUUGUGGUCAAAGAGUGUGGUGGUUUGCCACUCGCACUUAUUACUAUUGGUCGAGCUAUGGCCUACAGAAAGAAAGCGGAGCAGUGGAGACGUGCAAUUGAAGAGUUAAGGAGAUCAGCUUCAGAGUUUGCAGGUUUGGGAAAAGAGGUUUAUCCUCUUUUAAAAUUCAGCUAUGAUAGUUUGCAGAAUGAUACGGUUAGAUCUUGUUUCUUGUACUGUUGUUUAUAUCCUGAAGAUUAUGGCAUUCUUAAAUGGGACUUGAUUGAUUGUUGGUUUGGCGAGGGAUUUUUUGGGGAAUCUGACAGGUCUGGUGCAGAAAACCAAGGAUAUGACAUUUUGGACACUCUUGUUCGUGCGUGUUUAUUAGAAGAGGUGGAAGAUGAUGAAGUAAAAAUGCAUGACGUUAUUCGUGAUAUGGCUAUAUGGAUAACUUGUGAAAUUGAGAAGGAGAAGAGAAACUUUUUGGUUCGUGCAGGUGCUGGAUUAAAAGAUGCACCGGGUGUUAAAGGAUGGGAAAAUGUGAGAAGAUUGUCAUUGAUGCAAAACCAAAUUGAAACUCUGGCAGAGGUUCCCACAUGCCCUCAUCUCCAUACUCUAUUUCUUGACUUUAAUAGGGGGUUGGAUAUGAUCGCGGAUGGCUUCUUUCAAUUUAUGCCUUCUCUCAAAGUUUUGAAGAUGUCAAACUGUUCGAAUUUGAAAUUACCUGUUGGGAUGUCAGAGUUGGGUUCAUCACUAGAACUUCUUGAUAUUUCAGAAAACAGCACAAGAGAGUUACCGGAAGAGUUAAAGAAGUUGGUAAAUCUGAAAUGUUUGAAUUUGAGGUGGACAGAGCAUUUAAAUAAAAUUCCACGGCAACUAAUAUCAAAUUCUUCAAGGUUACGUGUGUUGAGAAUGUUCGCUACUGGCCGGUUCAAUUUUCAUGAAGCACCAGAAGACAGCGUUUUAUUUGGUGGGGGUGAAGUUUUGAUACAGGAAUUGCUCGGUUUGAAAUAUUUAGAGGUAUUGGAGUUGACCUUGGGAAGUUAUCAUGCUCUCCAAAUUCUUUUGAGCUCAAAUAAGUUAAAAAGUUGUAUUCGAUCUCUUUACCUCGAGUUGACCGGAGAUACAACGUCAAUUAUUGAUGCUACGGCUUUCGCAGAUCUAAACCACCUCAAUGAAUUACGGAUUGAUAAUGGUAUUGAGUUGGAAGAGUUGAAGAUUGAUUAUACGGAGAUAGUACGAAAAAGGCGGGAACCUUUUGUUUUCCGCAGCCUUCAACGUGUUACCAUAGCGGAGUGCCAUAAAUUGAAAGAUGUGACAUUCCUCGUUUUUGCUCCAAACCUCAAGUCUCUUCGGCUAUUCUAUUGCGGUGCUAUGGAAGAAAUAAUCAGCGUCGGAAAAUUUGCUGAGACUCCUGAGAUGAUGGGACAUAUAAGCCCUUUUGAAAAUCUCCAAAUGCUUGAUUUACAAGGUUUGCCACAUUUGAAGAGCAUCUUCUGGAAGCCAUUGCCUUUCACUCAUCUGAAAGAAAUGGAGGUACUUAGGUGCGAUCGGCUUGAAAAGCUUCCACUCGAUUCCAACAGUGCAAAGGAGCGCAAAUUUGUUAUUCGUGGAGAAGAAGACUGGUGGAACCGACUUCAAUGGGAGGAUGAAGCCACUCAAAUUGCUUUUCGUUCCUGUUUUAAAAGUGAUGCUUUAUUUAUAUCUUAUUCGUGAAAAGUGAUUUAAUUUCCUGCCAAAAGACGAACGAGAAGAACAAUAGAGUCAAACUAAUGCUCACAUAAAUUUCCCGUAAGAAUAUAUAAUUAGAUUGGAAUGCACACCUCUAGAUUGAACAGAAUUAAAGCUGAGAAAAUAUUGAGUAUAGUAGCCCUCUUUACAGAAAAUGACGUGAAAGUUAAUUUAGAAAGAUAUAUUCUUGAUUAAUCCAUUUUCUGAAGUUUUUAUUUUGUAUGGUCAAUUAUACCUUCAUACUAAAAAUUUCUGAAGUUAUAAAUUAGUGCAACUUGACAAUUUUUACUGAUGAUAUCUUCUAUUUUUCCCUUUUUUUUUUUUUCACUUUCAUAGACUGGCAGCGGAUCCUGCGGCACCAAUUUGAGAGAAUAUACUGACACUACUUCGAACAGCAAGCAGAAGAAGUAAUAUGUCUACGGCAAAGGCAAUGGAGUCCUCAUUUUGGCUCGAGAUGCAGUAAUCAUCGAAGAGAGUUUCCUUGUGAAACUGGGCAACACAUUGAAUCCCUUCACCACUGAGAAGGUUGUGGAGGAAGUAAGCUUUCUCUCCAGUGAGGAAGAGGUGGCAUAUACCUUCCCCAUUUUGUUGAGGGCAGGUAGGAAUCUUUUUUCUAAGAGAUUUACUUCGUUCUCUGUAAGAAAUGCUUUGAACUUCAUCCCUCUGUCUCUAUCCUCACUUAUCAGGAAAUAAGUUGAAAGCACUAUGAAGAGAGAGAGAGAGAGAGAGAGAGAGAGAGAGAGAGAGAAUUAAGAUAUAUAGACAAGAAAAAUAUUUGACGUUGAUCUUACAAACUAAUACUUCAAGCAGUAUCCUAGAAAGCUAAAAACUGCAAGAUGGCUUGAAAUUUGAAAAGAGCACAUGCUUUUCCUCCUUAACUUGAGAAAAUGUUUAAUAUAGUGCACCUUACAGAAGCAUUUAAGCAAUUAGAACUUUGCACAAAAACAUCAAGAAGACUAAACAAGUCAGAUGCAGUGUAUUUGUCCAAGCACAAAUUGCAUUUUUUCCUCAACUUUAAUAUUUAUUGAUGAGAAUCAAUACAGGUCCCUCAUUUGUUAUAGAAAGCUUUCUUUCUUGUAGUCUCACCAGUUAAUUCAGAGGUCUAUAAUCAUCUUGCAAAGUUAAGGGCAUUUCUUUUGAUCUAAAGUCUUUGCAUCACCACCUCAUCACACGCCAAGCCAAUAUUCCAUUUACCUCUACAACAAAAAGUUUUAAUUAAACAAUCCUAAUGCACGCAGCCAAAUAAAAUGCAGUAAGAAUAUUCAACUUAAAAAUCUGAAAGCCAACUUGGUGAAUUGCCUCCUUAGGUGAAGUUCCAUGCUUUACUAUAGUUGACAGAACUCAGCAAAAGCUUCCAUACAACAGAUUUUGAAAAUGAUGAUGCCAACAGAUACUCAUUCAAUGCAUUGAAACUCCAAAGGUUCAUUGUUCAUAGAAGUUUACAGAGUUUUGGUCAUCAAAUAGCUCAGACCUAAUCCCAAACAAAAAAUGAGUGAAAAUUAGAUCACGAGCAGCUAAUUGUAAAUUCUAACUUAACUCUUCAUCUCCUUUGUAAACAAGAAACAAAAUGGAGACACGCAAAAUGAAUAUGGAGAAAAUUUGAACUCAAAUGAAAUGAGGGCAUGAAAGCAAACAAAUGGCAUGCACCAAAAAACCAAGCCUCAAUCAAAAACUAAUUAACCAUUAAGAAAAAAAUUGGUCAGAGAAUGAACUCCAAAUUCAGGAGUCAAGCAAGAAGCUUUCAUUAUUAUCAAAGUCAAUUAUCUUUGUUAGUAUGCGAGUGUGACGACUAUAGGUUGUUCUUUUUCUAAUGUCAUAUGAUUCCAAUUUUAGGUACAGGGCAUCUCUCUCUCUCUCUCUCAUCGCUAAGUGGAUAUUUUUCUCUUUUGUCAUAUACUUUAGUUAUUCUUCAAUUUACUAACUAAAAUGAAGGCCGCUUUAUUAAGAAGUUAUAUCCAGUUAUAUAAUUUGUUGUAUUUAAUAUAUGUUUGGGCUCAUAAUUUUUUUUAAAAAUAUAUAUUUCAUUCUCCAUAAUUUUUUCCCAUCAUAGCUACGAAACGUCUUAGUUUCGACUAAAAUCCUAAAAUUGGUCCUUAAUUGAAUAUGCAUUGCAAUUUGCAAAUGUAAUAUUGUGAAUGGGACACUGGAGAUACCAAAAUGGUCAAAUGCGAAAUAAGUUAGGAUUGUACGAUGUAGUUUGUAUUCAUAUUCAAUGCCUUUUUUUUCAAAAAACAAAUUGAAAUGCCAUUACUAAACGAUUCUUGAUGAUGGGAGCCACCGUGCCAGCUUUGUCGCUGAUUUGGUAUUAUUCUUAACUUGCAGAUAGUUGUGGAUAUGAUAUGCAAAAAGGUAAGGACUAUAUCUUCUUGAUGGAGGCCUCUGAUUUUUUCCCUUCUAUGUAAUUUAGUAAAUCGCAUUUUCCCUUGUGAUUGAUAUAUCAUACCAAAGUCAAGUCUUAAAUACUGCUGUCAUAUGUUAAGGUUCAACUUCCAUUUUGAUUAACGUCCAUUUGCUGCUGCUUCCAAAAGUGAGAAUGAGAUACUUUGGUUAAUUUCAGUAGUUGAACCCAAUAGAGUACUUUAUUUAGAUCUUCAUGGUUCAAAGGCCUGAAAAAACUUGCCGGUAUUUGCAAAAUGACAUUCUGUGCUUUUAUUUAGGCUUAUUAUUUAAGUGAUAAAAACUCCCGUAACCUGCUGUCAAGAAAAUUUCAGAUUGUUAAAAGACAACAUUUUGUUUCAGCCAAAAAUGUUUGUUUCGAUUAAAGACUUGAACCAUUUUCAUUUAACCUUGAUUGUGAUGCUUUACAUUAUGCAUGUUCCUCUCAAUCAAUAAAAGUUGAGGUCAUGAUUUUAUAUUUCUAUUUUGUAACUUGAAAUAAUUGGUCUGCCUGUUUCUGUAGCUUGAUAACAUGAAUUUUUCCUUCUGAAGUUAAUUUGAUCAAUAAAGUAAUUCUUCGGAGAUGAUAUGCCCAUUCUAUAGUCAUUUUCUUAGGUAACAUGUUUUUUCUUCACUCUUCAGAGCAUGUCUAAACUAAUUGAUCGCUCAGCGGAGACUUUGGGUGAGAAGACAAAAUUUCUUGGUAAAUCCUCUAAAAAGGUAUGCAUAAUUCCCGAGUAUUAAAUAAUCAUUGGUCAUAAUUUUUGUACACAACUCUUUUUUUGGAGAUCGUUAAAAGUGGUUGAUGAUCUAUUUUGUAAUAUCAUAGAGGGAUCAUGAAUUCCUGUUCUUUUCUGUGGCUAGGCAACACUUUCGGGCCAAGCUAAGGAAAUCUAUUUUAGGUAAUGUGAAAACCAGUUGUAGGAUGUAAUAGUUUAUUAUGCCCUGACAAUAACUUUUUGUAUAAUUGUCAGUUUAAUGAAUACAAGAGGAACUCUGUUGGCAAAUUCAUCCAUGAUAGAUGCUAAAAGUAUUUAUGCAUACCAGUUGCCUUAACUAAUUUUUCUCAACACUGGUAUUGAACAGGAAAAUGAAUAUGCAAUUUGUAUAUUGUGCCAUUGUGGAGAAUUUGGAUAUUCUUAUUUAAGUAACAAGGAGAGUAUUUGCCUCAUCUUUAAACAAUGAAUCUUUGAGAAAUGAGGAGUGGGUGAUUGGCAGUGUCUUCAUGUAAAUGUUCAUUUAUUUGUAUUUUGAACUAUUAUGAGAAUCUUUGUAUGCCAAAUUAGUAAUACAAAUGUUCAGAUGAUUUUUCCUGUUGAUCAUGCGUGUGUAUCUGCACACAACCAUUGUGUCCCACUUUAUUCUGAUGCACAAAUAUCUGUAGUUUAGAAGAAAAGAAAUAAUAAUCAUAUAUUAUUGCUUGGUUCAUGAUUAUUAAACGAUUAUGGCUUUAGAAAAUCCACAAAUCCUUUGUGUUCAUAUAUGAAUGUGCGAAGUUUGCUAUCUCUUAGAUUACCUUCUUCCAAGAUAACAAGUUCAUAUAUUUUUUUUAAUCCUUUUUCAUCACAGUUGAAUUUCAAGUGUAAGUUUUGUUAUUAAUAGCUGGUUUCCUGUUAUUAUGAUUUCAUAAACAGUGAGAGGAUAUGUGCUCUACUUUUGGAGGGCCUCCACAUGAAAGAAAAUUGCAACAAUUGAAUUCUUCCGGAGGGUAUGGUAUUUAAUUUAUUUUCUCAGCUUGUUGUAAGACUAAUAUAUUUCCUUCAGUACCCAAAAGGACAGAAAUGAAUUACGGAAGGAAGUUUUUGCUGCUUUAUUUAGUGCUGCUGAGAAAUCUGAUGGAUUUCCUGAAAUUACGGUGAAGACGGAGUGGAGGUCCAACGCAUUAGGAAAGGUGGUGAGUGAACCGCCGGAGGAAUUAGUACCAGAAUACAAGGCUAAUGUGGUGCACUUGCAGCAAGAUGACCAGACCUGUAUGUGCUCUUAUAUUAACUAUAUUGGUUGGAUUUGUGAGUGUGUACAUUUUUGUGUGUAUACUCACAUUUGUAUUUAUGCAUAUUAACGUGUGUAGGAUUCUUGAUUUCUGCCACUUACUGGAGAACUAGUGGAAAGCUUUAUACUGAUAUAUGUGCUAUAACUAAUGGAAACUACAAUAUGAAUAUUUUCUCUCACCUGGAGAACUGUGUAACAGAUAUAAUUUGUGGCUCUGGAAUACUGAAGAUUCUGCAAUAACUAAUGGAAAAUAUGAUAUGAAUAUUUUUUCUCACCUGGAGAACUUUGUAACAGAUACAUUUUGUGGCUCUGGAAUGUCUAAAGAAUGCUUCAGUUUAGAUCAAAUAUCUUUUAGUUAGAAAAGAUAAAAUUCUCUGAAUCUGAAAGACUGAAACAUUUUGCAUAUUUUGUGAAAGGGAAGUAUCUGUAGAUACUAGCUCAUGCAUUGAGGUAAUAUCAAUGUUAAAGAAAAACAGCAAUAAUUUAUUAUACAGAAUUAGGUUCACUUGCUUUAAAUGCUGGUCUGAUCAACCAUAACAACCUGUAAUGGUCCUGCAGAAAUAUAUAUACGGGGAGAAACUAGCUAAAUUUUCCUUUCACUUAUGGGUUUGGUCUUUUUUUCCCCUAUUUUUCAGCUUUCCUUCUCCUGAAGUAUGUUAACAAUUGCAGAUAAUGACGAAGAGGACCGCUUCCAGGCUCUUUGUAGAGCUGUGAUGGAAUAUAGGGGCACAAUGAAAGAAUAUUGUAAGGUUGUAUGUACUUUCUCUCUUGUCAUUUAUGUUUUCUCACACAUUUUGUUUAUGCCCUGAACAUGCAGCUUUGUAUGUGUCAAUUGCCUUUUACGUUUUAAAAGCCAUAAAGUAAGAAUACAGUUCCUUGUCAGGCUAUUGAUGCGUUCGCUCAGAAGGGUCAUGUUCAAGCAGGAAAACUUCUAGAACAGGUAAGGUUUCCAUCUACAGCCAUCCAUUGACAGCAGAUAUAUUUUCAUUAAGCAGACACUGUUAGCAUUCAAGAUGCUGGCAGAUUCACUUGAUUCUUAUUAGUUUGUUUAGUGGCAAGGCAUAUAACCUGUAUUUCAAAGCCAAGUUGUGCUAUUGAUUAUGUUAACUUUAUUGUUAACAUAAAGUGAUAUGGAGGACAUAAUCAAUGUAGGAAAAUUAGGUGAAGAGAUGAUGUCAAAUCUUGAACCUCUUACAAAGCUCCAAGUUCUUUACUUGAAGAAGCUGCCAAAUUUGAAGAGCGUCUACUGGAAGGCAUUUCCAUUCCCAGAUGUAUGCAGAAUUUUUGUAUUAAUGCCCAGUUCUUAAGAACCUGCCACUGGAUUUUCAAGGGGUGGGCCAAGGUAAAAUUCUUAUCAAGGGAAAGGAAGAUUGGUGGAAAGAACUUCAAUGGGAGGAUCAAGCAACUCAGAAUGCAUUGCUUCCAUUUUUCAAAUCAACUGACAAGUGAUUGAAGGGGGCAUCAUCAACAUCAUCAACAGAGAUGGAGAGAUUCUGGAGCAGAUCAGCAGGGUUUGUAUAUGAUCUUUGGUGGUUGCUUUCUUUUGUGAUUUUUUUUUUCUUCCUGUCAUUUUAUCAUUUCUUUGUCUCUUUUUUUAUUGCUGAUGUUAGUGUAUGCUUACUGUUGCUUGACAAAGUUCGCUUGCUUCUUGUUUAUUAAAUUUUUUAUCGUCACAAAAUAUUACUUGUUCUAUUUGAGAGUGAUGUGAAUCAAUUUUCAAUUAUAUAUUUUGUGGUCAAUGUGAAUUCAAUUUCAUUUGUCUCCUGCAAUUAUGAGAAAACUGCAGAGUCAUAAUAUGGAAAAGUACACCAGCAAAAACUUUGUAAAAGCUUCGGAGUGAAACAGGGAAUUCACUUACUACUAAGAACAAUUGAUGGCGAGUUAUUCCAUUCAUUUUAUGUCCAUCUAUCUAUUUAAUUAUUAAAGAUAAAUGGUCCAUUUAUAAAUUUCAGAUUGUCUCUCUCUGAAAAUAACAAUAUUUAAAAUAUCUCUUAAAUUAUUAUAAAUUUUAAUACACUCUCGAUUUAAAAUGGAACAUGCUGAUGAAAUUGUUUUCUUCUUAAUAAAAUUGAAAUAAAUUGUGUUUGCAGUAGUUUGAAAUAUUUUAAAGAUUAUUAUUUUAUAAGGGAGUAAUAUGAAAUGAAAUUUACUUUUCAUGCGUGAAAUGUUGAAAAAGGACAAAGCAAGUGUCCCUGCUUUUAUUUUUAUUUUAAAGUGGAGUCAUCUCACAUACUUUAGCUCUAUCAUUACAAUUUUUCAGGUUACAUUUUUAUUAUUUAUUUAUUUUCUUUUUUACACAUGCAUGUGGGUUACUUUUCCGUAAGCUCCUCAAUAUAUAUUGAACCCAGCGAAGAAUGUUAUGGAAGAGCAAAUUAAUGAUAUUUCUGAUAGAGUCUAUUUGAUUAUGUAGCCUGAAUGGAUGUCUUGUUGAAAGAUAUCUCAGUGCAUUAGUUCAUCCUUGUCUGUCAAUGUGUUUUUAAUGGUUUUUCCAAUUGUUUAUUAUUAUAGAUUGAUUGUAAAUUGAUAUGAAAAUUUGAUAUGAAUUUAAUGUUGAAAUGUUUUCUCUUUAGUGGAAUGAAUUUAAAAGUGCAAAAGAUUAUUGCACACAGAGAAAUAAACAUAUAUGCUUUAUAACUUUAGCAAUCGAUUCUUUUACAGCUGGAAACAGAGAUGAUGAUUAUCAUAAGGAUGAAGAAAAGUAGUGCGUUAGACGAUUAGACUCUCUUAUUAAAGGCAAGUAUAAAGUAGUGAAGAAUCCAAUAUCUCUAUUGUCUAGUCUUUUGUUUAAUUCUUCUUUUAUUAUUUUUCAGAAUAAUUUUUGGUGAUUACAAUCGGGUUAUUAUUCAGAGUUAUUGUUAUCUUCUGGGGCAGUUUCUGUUCAUCGAAUUCAUUAAUUAAAAUUUUAGAACUCUUAUCAGAAGAAUAUUUUUCGGUUAUCUUUUUUAUGUUCUAAUUCCAAUUGUAAGAAGUAGCCAUUUUAGAAUUUGGGUCUUGAAUCGAAUUUCAAUGCAUGAAUUAAUAUUAAAAAAAAAAAAUUCACUACUCGCAGUUUAGGUUACAAAUUACUUUUUGGAAAGUUGACUUUGGAAUGUUUGCAAAGAAAGAGACUAACAUAUUUCCAAUUACACUAAAUCUCUAUUAUGAUAAUGUUAAGACUAAAUUAAUUUAAAUAAUUUUUAUUUGAAAAUUAUAUCAAACGCAGUCUAAUUUUAUUAAUUUUAAGAAAUAAUAAUUAUAAAAAUUAUUGUUCUGACUUAAUUAAUACAAGUGAUAUAAAAGUUAAGUGUGCACUAAAUCUGUUUUAAUUUUUUCCAGUAUAACUAACAGAGGUCAUUACUAGAAUUAUAUUACUAGUCUAUUAGAUAGAAAAAAUUACUUAUAUUGUUUUAUAUUUAUUAAAAAAUUUAAAGCCAAUUUUUUUAAUUACUAUUUAAAGAAUAUUAUAAUUUGAAAAAUUUUAAUAUCUUUAUUAAAAAUUUAGAAAUUUACAGUCCUCUAAAUAUUUAAGGCGUAACUGUCAUUUUCUCAAGAAGCUUUAUUUAAUAUUAUUGAUUUAAAUAAUAUCUUAUUAAAAAUGUACUGAGGAGAAAUUUUGGUGGGUAUUUUAGUCUUUUCAGCAAUCAUCAUGAUUAACCUUUGGUUGGCCUUGAAACGUCGGUCAGAAAAGUUUUAAAAUGCUUAAUUGUUUUUCACUGUUAACGUUAGUGGCCUUGAAAUUGCUUAUAUUUUAUUAAAAAUUAAUGCUAACAAGAAAAAACUAGAUCGUAUUCCACCCCCAAAGCAAAAGUGAUAAAACAACCGGCUGUAUUCUUUUAUUAAACUACAAAUUAAAAUGGAUUUCUUUAAUUAAAGUGGAUAUCAUUUAAUUAAUGUUUGAACAUUAAAGUUCUGAUAUAUAACCACUAUGCCGACCACCUAAUUGCUGCUAUUUAAUUUCGUUCCAGUUCUCUCUCUCUCUCUUUUUCUUUUUUUUUUGGGCCAAGCAAUAAAUAGUAAAAAUUCAAUAAAAGCAAUAUUAAUGCUGCAAGUGAGUCAUGUUAUUUAUUGUCAAUUAGGAAAUGUGAACCUAAUUUGAUUGCAUCCCUUUAAUCAUUUAAUAAUUAUGUAAGCACCAUCCCUUUAAUUAUUUAAUAACUAGAAAAUAGAACACUGCGUUUCACGCGGCUUUGAAAAAAGAAUUUAGUAUUAUCUUUUUUUCUUACUUUACACUUGAUGAAACUGAUAAAAAAUAUGAAUUGAUUUUUUUUAAAGAUGAGGCAGCCUUAUAAAAAAUAAAAAAAGCUAUUAGCCAGCAAUACAAAUAAAGAAGGAAUGCAAGAUAAAGAAUAAAAUGAGAGAAUAUAUUAUAGAGUGAUCUUAUUCAUUCUAAUUGUGUGUGUACAAAACAAAAAGAUGAGCUCUCCUUUUAUAACUACAUAAUUACUUCAUGAAAUUAAUGAAAAAUUAUGAAUCAUAAUUUCUUGUGAGAUAGUGGGAGUUAUUGGGAAGCUAAAAGUUGCUAAUGGGAGAUAGUGGGGAGACUAAGAGAUAUAUAUUAUGAACAUCUACAUUUAUUUUAAUAAAUUCAUAACACUCCCCCUUAAAUGUUCAUUACAAAGAAUAUGCCUCAUUAAAAUCUUUACAUAAUUGUUAUUGUGUAAUAACAAUCAAAUUAAUUAUAAGAAGAUGAAAAGCCAAAUCUAACAGAAAAUUUCUCUAUUUAUUAGAUAAUAGAGAAUAUAGCAAGAUGAGAAAUGGUAAUGCCACAUCAUCUCCUCACGUCCCAACUUUAUAUAUAUAUAUAUAGAUAAUAUAUAUUAUUCCUGUCCUACAUUCACAUAUUUAAUUGUCCUUUUGAAAAUAUUCAUGAGUUAGGCCAAGUAAAGUCAAAGAAAUUGGGAAAAAGGAACAAAAGGACAAACCUAAAUUAAUUGAACCUAAUUCAUGAAAAUGCACACUUUUGUGUUGCGGACGGCGGACCCUAAAGCUUCGUUGUUUGCAGCUGCAAUUAAUUCUUUUCCUUCAAAAGUUAGAGGCUCGUGUUUACAGUGGGUCCCGAAUCGGACGUACCUAAUAAAUCUUUUAAAAAAAUUUGCCGUAUAAAGGACAGAGGUCAUUACUGAAAUUUCUCUUCCACGGGCAAUUACAGCAGCUUCAGUUAAUCAAACUCAAAUCAAUUUUCUUUCUUAACAAAAUAUUCCAAAGAUGUGUAGCAUUUUUCAGAUCACAUGCGAUGGUGCUUUUUUCAAUCGUUGCUUGGAUUGCUUUCUUGGAAAAGCAGCAUACAUACGUAACCUCCAAGAUAAUCUUGUAGCCUUGGACACUGAAUUGGGAAAUCUGAUCGCUAAAAAGAACGAUGUGAUGAGGAGGGUUGUCGAUGCUGAACGGCAACAAAUGAGAAGGCUGGACGGAGUGCAAGUGUGGGUUUCGAGGCUCGAUGCUGUUAAAACUGAAGCCGAUGAACUUAUCACAGACGGCUCUCGAGAAAUUGAAAAAUUAUGUGUUGGAGGCUACUGUUCCAAGAACUGCAGGUCAAGCUACAAAUUCGGAAAACAAGUGGCAAGAAAGCUACGAGAUGUGGAGACUUUAAUCGCCGAGGGAGUUUUUGAGUCGGUGGCUGAGAGAGCUCCGGAACCUGUGGCAGAUAAAAGACCCACUGAGCCAACAAUAGUAGGCUUGCAAUCACAGCUUGAACAAGUUUGGAGAUGUCUUCUUGUAGAAGAAUCAGCGGGAAUCAUUGGCCUAUAUGGUAUGGGCGGUGUUGGUAAAACCACACUGUUGACCCAUAUCAACAAUAAAUUUCUUGAGAGUCCCACCAACUUUGAUUGUGUGAUUUGGGUCGUAGUUUCAAAAGACCUGCGACUUGAAAAAAUUCAAGAAGAUAUUGGGAAGAAGAUAGGUCUGUUUGAUGGUUCGUGGAAGAAUAAAAGUGUUGAGGAGAAAGCCGUAGACAUCUUGCGGAGAUUAGGAGAGAAGAGGUUUGUAUUGUUGUUAGAUGAUUUAUGGGAGCGGGUUGAUUUAACAGAAGUGGGCGUUCCACUUCCCAGCCCACAAAAAUACUACAUCAAAGUCGUAUUCACGACCCGUUUCAUUGAUGUGUGUGGUAGCAUGGAAAGUCACAGGAAGUUUAAAGUGGCAUGCUUAUCAGAAGAGGAUGCUUGGGAGCUGUUUCGAGGAAAAGUAAGGCAAGAAACUCUUGAGAGUCAUCAUGAUAUCGUUGAGCUAGCCCAAACUGUGGCCAGAGAGUGUGGCGGUUUGCCACUCGCGCUUAAAACUAUAGGUCGAUCUAUGGCCUACAGAAAGACAGCUAAGGAGUGGAGACAUGCAAUUGAAAUGUUAAGGAGAUCAGCUUCAGAGUUUGCAGGUUUGGGAGAAAAGGUGUAUCGUCUUUUAAAGUUUAGCUAUGAUAGUUUGCAGAAUGAUACGAUUAGAUCUUGUUUCUUAUAUUGUUGUUUGUAUCCUGAAGAUUAUGGCAUUCUUAAAUGGGAUUUGAUUGAUUGUUGGAUUGGUGAGGGAUUCUUAGAGGAAUCUGACAGGUUUAGUGCAGAAAACCAAGGAUACUACAUUGUGGGCACUCUUGUUCAUGCAUGUUUAUUAGAAGAGGUGGAAGAUGAUAAAGUAAAAAUGCAUGACGUUGUUCGUGAUAUGGCUAUAUGGAUAACCGGUGAAAUUGAGAAGGAGAAGCGAAACUUUUUGGUUUGUGCAGGUGCUGGAUUAAAAGAGGCACCGGAUGUUGAAGUAUGGGAAAAUGUGAGAAGAUUGUCAUUGAUGCAAAACCAAAUUGAAACUCUGUCAGAGGUUCCCACAUGCCCUCAUCUUCUCACUUUAUUUCUUGACUUUAAUAGGGAGUUGAAGACUAUUGCGGAUGGCUUCUUCCGAUGUAUGCCUUCUCUCAAAGUUUUGAAGAUGUCAAACUCUGGAAAGCCUUGGAAAGGUUUGGAAUUAAAUUUGGGGAUGCCAAAGUUGGGUUCACUACAGCUUCUUGAUAUUUCACACACCUGCAUACAAGAUUUACCGCAAGAAUUAAAGUUGUUGGUAAAUCUGAAAUGUUUGAAUUUGAGGCGGACAAUUUGGUUAAAUAAAAUUUCAUGGCAACUAAUAUCAAAUUUUUCAAGGUUACGUGUGUUGAGAAUGUUCGCUACUGGCUGGUUCAAUUUUCAUGAAGCACCAGAAGACAGCGUUUUAUUUGGUGGGGGUGAAGUUUUGAUACAGGAAUUGCUCGGUUUGAAAUAUUUAGAGGUAUUGGAGUUGACCUUGGGAAGUUAUCAUGCUCUCCAAAUUCUUUUCAGCUCAAAUAAGCUAAAAAGUUGUAUUCGAUCUCUUUACCUCCAGUUGACCGGAGAUACAGCGUUAAUUAUUGAUGCUACGGCUUUCGCAGAUCUAAAACACCUCAAUGAAUUACGCAUUGAGUCGGCUACAAAGCUGAAAGAAUUGACGGCUGAUUAUACAGAGAUAGUUCGAAAAAGGCGGGAACCUUUUGUUUUCCGCAGCCUUCACCAUGUUACUAUACAAAGCUGCCAGAAGUUGAAAGAUUCGACAUUCCUCGUUUUUGCUCCAAACCUCAAGUCUCUUUCGAUAGUCAAAUGCAAUGCUAUGGAAGAAAUAAUCAGCGUCGGAAAAUUUGCUGAGACUCCUGAGAUGAUGGGACAUAUAAGUCCUUUUGAAAAUCUCCAAAUGAUUGAUUUACUAGGUUUGCCACAUUUGAAGAGCAUCUUCUGGAAGCCAUUGCCUUUCACUCAUCUGAAAGAAAUAUCUGUGCGUUAUUGCCCUAAUCUUAAAAAGCUUCCACUCGAUUCCAACAGUGCAAAGGAGCGUAAAUUUGUUAUUCGUGGAGAAGAAGACUGGUGGAACCCACUUCAAUGGGAGGAUGAAGCCACUCAAAUUGCUUUUCGUUCCUGUUUCCAACCCUUGUUCCUGAACAGUGGUCGCAAAAUUUGAUUUCUGGUGAGUGCGUUUGUCUUUUAAAAAGAAUAAUUUAAAAGAAAUUUAUUCUUGUCGGUUUCUUCACUGUUUUUAUUUCAGUUUCUCUCUCUCUCUCUCUCUCUCUCUCUUUUUGUCUUCUGCAAAUCACAAUUACAUUUUUAUUCUUGUCGUUUUCUUCACUGUUUUUAUUUCAGUUUCUCUCUCUCUCUCUCUCUCUCUUUUUGUCUUCUGCAAAUCACAAUCAAAUGUUGAAUUAAUGGAAUUAAUGCUUCAUAAAUUUGCCGGCACUGCCAUUACUUUUUUUUGGGGGAUCGAAUUGAUACUUUAUUUAUAUCUUCUUAGCGAUUUAAUUUCCUGUCAAAAGACGAACGAGAAGAACAUAUGACUUAAACCAAUGCUCGCAUAAACUUGCUGUAAAAAGAUAUAAUCUCACUGAAAUGCACACGCCUAGAAUGAAUAGAAUUAAAACAGGGAAAAUAUUAAGUAUAUUAGCCCUCUUUACUGAAAAUCAAAUGACAGUAAAUUUUUUGAAGUUUUGAUUUUCUAUGGUCAAUUCCACCUUUUGCAAUUUCUUCUGUUCUAACAAAAACCAAUUUCUUUGUUCAAGUAUUUUCGUUUGGAUAUUAAUAAUUCUCCACCGAAAGAGUGAACUCUUGCUCAAAGGGAUCUCUAAUAAUACAUAACAUGAUUAUUUUCGUUUGAAUAAUUGAUUUCUUGAUUGAAUUGUCGUGUAAUUGAUUUAUGGGGGAUGACACAUCAACAUACUUGAAAAUACACUAAUCUCAGCAUCAUCGGUUAAUAACUUUUAGAUUUAUGGGUAAUCAAUAGUUAAGAUUAGUUGUCAUUAAUACUAAAUAAUUUUUACUUUUUUUGUCUCUUCUAGAGGAUCUUCUAGAAAAAUGCAUCCACAAUUAAAUUUAAUACUUUACAUAAUAAACAAAGCCUAAAUGUUAAAUUUAAGAAACUGCAUUGUAUUUCAGUUGAAGUUGACUUUAAUAUUUAGGGUAGAAAAACAAUUAAUUUUAUUUUUUGAAAUGUCCAUAUUCAGAGCACAUUUCAAAAAGACUCAAUAAUUUCUCAUAAAUUUCAAUUAAAAAUAUUCAAUUUGUUGUUUCAGUUCUUUUAUUUUUUAUUUUUUCCGACAUGAAAGCGACUUAAUGUUACUAAAUUGGGUGGUCUUUGGAUUUUCAUGACCCAAUAAUUGGAACAAAACAAUUUUCUCAAGCGCUCUCCCGCAACAUUUUAUAAUUGAAGCCGCUGCCCCGCCCGUGGUUUCAAACUUUUUUCUUUCUCCUUGUUUAAAUUAAUGGGAGCAGCCUCCGUCCUUGACUAGUUGACUGCUUGUCUUCUUUUUUUUAUUAAUUAAUUAAUUCAGCCGCCCCCCUUUCUUGUCCCAAUAUCUUCUACUUUCGGUUUCCUUUUAUUAUCUCUUUAUUUUUAAAAAAUGCUUAUAAUAAUAAUAAAAUAUAAAAUAUAAAAAUAAAAAUAUAAUUUAUCAGAAAAUUAAGAUAAAGAAAUAUUAUAAGCACAUCAAUCAACAAGUGAAAAAAAAACAAUUUUAAUUUACAUUAAAUAUAAACUUUCAGUGUUAAUCAACUUUUCUAAAUAACUAAAUUAAAAAAUUAAUUGAUUUAAUUGUGGUGUAAUUGAUUUGUAGGGGAUGAAUCAGCAGCAUCAUCGGUUAACGCUUUCAGAUUUAUAGUUAAUCAAUAGUUGAGAGUUGUUAUCACUAACGCCGUGUAUUUUUUAAUGUUUUUUCUCUCUCCUACAGCAUCUUCUAGGAAAGUGCAUCCGUUGCUAAAAUUUAGUAUCGUAAAUAAUAAACCAAGAAUAAAUAUUAAAUCUAAGAAACUGUAUUGCAUUUAAUAUUUAAGGGAGAAAAAUAAUUAUAGUGUCUUUAUUAAUCAGUAAAAAAAAAAAUUAGAAUCAUAAUAAAUUGUAUUGUUAUUGAUGUAUUUAUUUUAUUUUAUACUCAAAAUAAAUUAUUUUAAAUUAUUAAAAUAAUUUAAAAUUAGUAUUUUAUUUUAUACUCAAAAUAAAUAAUUUAAAAUUUUCAUUUCUUGUUUAUUUCGCAAGUUGUUAUUGCCUAAUGCUAUGUCAACUCGAACAUUAGCAUUUUUUUUUUUGGUCCUCUUUUAACGCAAAAUUAGUGUAGGUUAAGUAACAUAAUCAAUAUUAGGACAAUUUGAAAUCCCUAUGGGUGCGUUUGGUACACUGUAUUGUAUUAUACUGUAUUGCAUUAUUUUAAUGCUGAUGUAUUGUAUUAUGUUGUAUUGCAUUAGCACUGUAUUAUAACAAUGCUAUACAAUAUUUGGUGUUACAUUGUACUGUAUUAGAUUUUAAUUAUAUUAUAUUUAGUGUUACAAUUGUUGUAACAUAAACACGACCAAAAUAAAUUGUACUAAAUAAUCUAAGUAAGAGUUCUGUAGUAUAUGUAAUAAUACUAUUUAUAUUAUUAUUAUUAAUAAUUCUAAAUUAAUAUUAUUUAAUUUUAUUCAUAUUUAAAUAUGUAUUAUUAGUUUAUUAAAUUAUUUAAAAUAAUUAAUUUAUAUAUAUUAAUUAUUGUAACUUAAUUAAAUAAUGUAAUGCUAUAUUAUAUUUUUAUAUACUAUUUAAGUAUUUAUUAUUAAUUAUAUUUAAUUAUAAAUUUAUUAAUAAAUUAUAAUAUAAAAAUAAAAAAUAAAAAUUAAUAUUGUAUAAUAUUAUAUUAAAUUAAAGUUUUAUUUUUAUUACUAUUAUUAUAAAGUAAAAAAAAAAAAAAGGGAAGCUACUGACUUUUGAAACACAAAAGUCAGUAAUACAACCUAAUCACGAGGGGGGGCGCGGGUUUUGAUAAUGCGGCAAAAGCUGCAUUGUAAUGCUGCUCAAUGCAAUCCAUUUGAUCACCAAACACAGGUAUAUUUUAACUAAUGCUGGGCCCACAAAAUAAUACAAUGCAAUUCCGCAUGCCAAACAUACCCUAUGGGUGCGUUUGGUACACUGUAUUGUAUUAUACUGUAUUGUAUUAUUUUAAUGCUGGUGUAUUGUAUUAUGCUGUAUUGCGUUAGCAUUGUAUUAUAAUAAUGUUGUACAAUGUUUGGUGUUACACUGUACUGUAUUAAUUUUUAAUUAAACUAUAUUUGGUGUUAUAUUGUAUUGUAUUAAUUUUUAUAAUUAAUUAAAUUAAAUAAUUAAAAAAUAAUAUUUAUUAAUACUUAGAAAAAUAAUAAAUAUAGAAAUCUUAAUUGUAGAAAUUUAACAAAUUUUUUAGUAAAUAUUAAAAAUUAAUGAUUAAAUUUCUAAAAUUUGUAUUAUAAUUAUGAUAAAAUAAAUUUAUAAAAUUUAAUAUUAUAUGUAAAUAAUAAAUUUAGAUUAUAAUUAAUAUUAUAAUUGUUAAUAUAAAUUAAUAAAUUAUUAUUCAAUAAUAUUCAAUUAUAUUUUAAUUUACAAUAUAUUAUUAUUUUUACAUUUUAAUAUAUUAAUAAAUUUAUAAUUUAACAUAAAUAAUUAUAAAUUUAAAUAAUAUUAAUUUUAAAAUUAAUAUUAAUGUAAAUAAUAUUAUAAUAUUAAUAUAUUAUUUUUAUAUGAAUCAUUAAUAAAUAAAAUAAUAUUAUCAUAUAAUUUAUUUUUAUAUUUUAUUCAUUAUAUUAAUAUUUAAUAAUAAAAUAAUUUAUUUUUAUAAUAUUUUAAUAAAAUAAAUUUGCCUCAAUUGAGGCAUUAACUGUUGCCUCAAUUGAGGCAAAAAGCUUCCGCAUCCCUCGGGUUUGCGUAAUGCGGCCCCAUGCCUCAUUAUGCUGCAUUAUAAUGCAGCAUAAUGAGGUGUCAAAUUUUGCCAAACAUGUUCUUGGUAAUAAACUAAUGUGAAUAGUAGUAUAAUACCACAUAAUCUCAUGCACCAAACACGCCCUAUGUGUAUUAUUCACGGUAUCUAUGAGGGCUUAUCCUUUUGCUAGAACAAACUCUAGCAAAUUGUCAAAUGUGCUUAUCCUUUCCCUUGACGACUCAUUUUAAAAUUGUCACUCAUUUUAAAAUUGUCUUUCAAUGCACAAACACAGACAUAACCGCCGACAUCGAGCACCAAGUUUGGAAUUUAAUUGAUAAGCAUACAUUUGAUAAAUUAAUGAAAAGUUUGGAGAGUAGUUUUGAUCACCCUUGAUUAGGACGGUAUUACAAAAAAGAUCAAAAAGAAAACAUCGUCUCUCUUCACAAAAAUAAAUAUUUUCCGUUAGAAUUUAAUACAAUAAUAUUUUUUUUGAUUAAAAUUUAAUUAAAUACACAAAUAAAUUAUAUAUUUUUUAAAAAAAUUUACACCCAGUCACAAGGCUGGCUAUUAAACUUAAAGGGUGGAAGCUUCGGAGACUAAAGUUGGUAACUUCUCCAAGUGGUCUUAAGUUGACCGGAACUACCCAGACUUUAUGUUUGGUAGCCUAGACCUGAUCGGACCUAGGCCCAAGUUUGGUCUUAAAGUCCACAAUUAAAUUAAAAAAAAAUUAUUUGAUUUGUAAUUGAUUUAUGGGGAAUGAAUCCGCAGCCCUAAAAUUACACCAAUCUUGACAUAAUGACAUCAUCGGUUAAAAACGUUCAGAUUUAUGGUUAAUCAAUGGUUUGAGAUUUGUUAUCAUUAAUGCUAGAUAUUUUUUAACAUUUUUUUCUAUCUCUCUUCUCCUGAAGGAUUUUCUAGGAAAAUGCAUCCACAACAAAAAUUUUAAAUUGUAAACAAUAAACAGAGUAUAAACGUUAAAUCUAAGGAACAUCGCUGCAUUUCAGCUGAAGCGAACUUUAAUAUUUUACGGAGAAAAAUAAUUAAGUCUUUAAUGUGAUUUAUUGAUUAAUAUAUAUGACUAAUUUUUUAAAAGAAGAUGAAGGAUGAAGCUUAAAAAUAUAAAUUAUAGAAUUAAUUUAUCUCUUCAAUAAAUCUAAAGUUUAUUUUUUUUAUUACAUGCUUCUAUUUUAUUUUUAUUCCAUGUUAAUGAAUGGAGAUUUAAAUCCAUUUUGGAUUUAUAAAGAUGUUUAGAUAUUUAAAUCCACGUGUGAUUCCAAACUUGAACCUUUUUUUUUUUUUUUUCUAAUUAAUGCAAACAGCCGCCUCUUUGACUGCUUUUCUUCUUUGUUUAUUAAUUAAUUAAUUCAGCUGCCCACCUUUCUUUUCCUAAUGUUUUCUACUCCCAAAUUUUUUUAAGGACAAGGCUACGUUGCAGACGCUGUACCUAACAGCUGCACCUUCGCCAGCUUAAAAAAGGGUGCAUUUGGUAAGCAACUUUUCUUUCGUGUGCAUAUGUGUCCUGCCACCAUUGGGUGUGUACGUAACAGAUAAUGUACCGUAACAAGCUCCUAUUUUUAAAUUUGUUUAUAAUGAUAAAAUAUAAAAAUUAAGAUUAAAAUGUAAUGUAAUGUAAAAUUAAAGGUGGAAGAGUAUUAAAAUAAGGCUAAACCUAUGUUACGUUUAACGUAACAUACAUUUAAAUAUAUAAAAUAUCAAUGGAAACCCUCAAAUUUUAUGGAAACUAUAUUAAUAAAAUUAAAAGAAAUAUUUUUAAAUCUGAAAGAAGAAAUAAAAGAUAUAAAGCAAGAGAUAGGAAAACUAAAAAUAGAAAUAUCUGUAAAAGAAAAAGGAAAAGAAAAAUUAGAAAUAAAAGAAACAACUCCAACUGAAUCGAAUUCAGACUAAUGGAAGAUGUAUUAGAAACUUUAACUGAAAAAUUCAGUGACAUAAAUCUUAGUGAUUUAGAAGACUUUGAAAAAGAAUAUUAGAUAAAAAUGAAUACUGCUGGAGGACCAGAAAUGAAACCUAAUGUAGCAUAACCAAGUCAUAGAUAUGGUAUAAAUAAAAUGAAAAAUAAACCUUUUUACGAGUAUAUACCUCCUAUUAAAAAUACUCCUUGGAAAAAAGAAUACAAACCAAAUCAAGAUACAUUAACCCCAAUAAAUAAUGCUGGAACAUUUUUAAAUCUAGAUUGUAAGAUAGACAUUCGAAAGGCGUUAGCAGAAUGGGUGUUACAAAUGAAAUUAUUUUUUAUAUUUAACGGGUCAAAGGAUGACUAGAAUGUAGAGACUGAAGAAGAAAAAAUAGAUAUAUUUGUUGAAAUCUUAAUAGCCAGUUUUUCAGGAAAUGUGUUUAAUUGGUGGAGAGGAUUAAGCGAUGAUACACAAAACUUAAUAAAAGAUUCAACCAAAUAGCAUUUAGAAAAAAUAAAGCCUUAGGAAUGGAAAGGAUAACUGAAUACAUAGCUAGUGAAUUUUUAGGAGAAGAUUGGCUAGAAAAAUCGGGCAUAUAUGAAAAUUUAAAAAUUUAUGAUAAAAAGAUCUUAGUGUUUUUAUUAAAAAAUUAAAAUUUACAUGACUAUUUCUUUAAAUAUUUAGGGCAUAUAUGAACCACGGAGGAGAAAAGCUUUAUUUAAUAUUUUAGAAUAGUUUUUGAUCAGUACAAUUGGGUCCUUAUUCAGAAUUAUUGUUCUCUUCCGCAACAGUUUUUGUUUAUCAAAGUCGUCAAUUAAAAUUUUAGAAUUCUUAUCAGAAGAAGUAGUCGUUUUAGAAGUUGGGUCUUGGAUCAAAUUUCUACGAGUGCAUGAAUUAACAAUAAAAAAAUUUCAUUACACACGGUUUAAGCUACAAACUACUAUUUGCACAGUUGACUAUAAAACUUACCUCCAAUUACACUAAACCUCUCUAUUUGGUAACGUUGAGACUAAAUUAAUUUUAUUAGCAUGAAAAGAUGAUAGAAAUAUAAUUAUAAAUAUUAUUGUUGUUAAUCAAUUAGUACAUGUGAUAUAAAGGUUAAAUGUGCACUAUAUUUAAUAAUUAAUUAGUGGAGCAUGUUAAACAAAAUGUUAAUGUAUAUUUAUAUAGUGUUAGGAAUAUGCAAAGUCAAGUCCUCAAUUUGCAUUAUCCUGUAUAGAAUAUUACUCUAAAAAUGUUUUACUAUAAUUGGCUUAGAACAUUUGUAAAGAAAAAUAAUAAUAAAAUAAUAAAUAACAUACACCGUCACAUAGCACCUAGACAAUGAUAGAAAAUUAUUAAAGAGAGUGCAAACAAUUAAUUAGAGAUUUUUAUGAUGACUUUUAAUAUUCAUGAUAAUAACAAAUAAAUACAUGUAUCACUUUUUUAAAAUAUUAAAUUUGACUGCUCCAUUAAUAAAUUAUUAUUGUAAUUCAGACUCUAUCUAUAUAUCCUUGCACUAAGAAUAAUUAAGGUAACGUUUGUUUUUUAACUUAAUGACUUAAAGUGACUUAACUUAAUUAAUUAAGUUAAUUAGAGGUGUUUGUUUUAUAACUUAAUGAGACUUUUUAGAUAAUUUUGACUUAAUAAAAUAAGCUAAUUUUUUUUGGCUUUUUACUUAAUGGAGAAAUCUGAAUUAAGUCAAUUACUUGCUAAUGUCAAAAAUAUCCUUGUUUUAUAAUUUAUUUUUCAUGUCUAUCCCAAAACUCGCCCGUAGAUAUUUACCCCACAUAAAAAUAUCCCUGUUUUUUUCUUUCUUAUAUUAUAUACGAUAAAAUUUGAAAUUUAUAGUAUUUUAUAUAUUAAAAUUCUAAAAUAAUUAUGUAUUCACUUGAAUAUAGUUUUACUUAUAAAUGUUAAAAUAUGAUGGUAUUUAAUAUAUUAUUUAUUUGACAUUCAAAUUUAAUAAGGAUACAAAUGUAAAAGUACAUAUUUUCAGCUUUUUAAAUUGAAAAAAAAUAACUUAAUAUUUAUUUUCUGAGAUUCAGACGAAAAAAUAAACAUAUUAUUCAGAUUCAUACAUUCAGAUCUAUUCAGAAUUCAAACUAAUUCAAGUCUAUUCAAAUUUUAGACAAAAAAAUAAACGCCACCUAAGUCAUAAUAAAAAUUUUCGUAACUACAUCUCGUUUCUUCCUCAUAAUAAUAAUUAGAUUGGUUCGAAUAUUAUAACUAUAUAGAUUUAGUGUAUAGCCACAUCCAAUUUAAAUAUUGACCCAAUUGGGAUGGUCCCCAAAAAAAAAGAUUCGUUAAAGGAUAAUUCUAAUUAUUUUUACUUCUCAAACGUUAGUGGGACGUUUCUAUUAGCGCACUCGUAAGCCAAGUUGUCAAAUAUUUAUACUAAACUACAAUUGCUAACAAGAAAAAUCAAGAUCGUGUUAAGCAAGUGGGUCCCGAAUAGGACGUGCAAAUCUCUCGUAAGUCAAGUUGUCAAAUGUUUAUAUAAAACUAACAAUUACUGACAAGAAAAAUCAAGAUCGUAUUAAAAAUGGGUCCCGAAUAGGAUUAUCUUUUUAAGAAUAUUAUUAUUUUAUUAUUAAAAUUUUAUUAAUAUAACAGUAUUAAAAUUUAUUAAAAAAUAUAUUUUAUUAUUAAAAUUUUAUACCGUUAUCAAUUUAUUAUUAUUUUAUUAAAAAAAUUAAUAUUUAACAAAAAUUGAGAUAAAAAUUAAUUUUUGUUCUCUGUCUUUAUUUAUUUAUUUAUUUUUUUGGGUCUUCUGCAAAUCACAAUCAAAUGUUGAAUUAUAAAUUUGCCGGCAUUGCUUUUUUUUUUUUUUUUGGGCCGGGGGGUGGUGUUGAAUUGAUGCUCUGGGUUUUUGACUUUUGUUGUCAAAUUUUACUCUGUUUUUCCCAAAUUGAUGCUANNNNNNNNNNNNNNNNNNNNNNNNNNNNNNNNNNNNNNNNNNNNNNNNNNNNNNNNNNNNNNNNNNNNNNNNNNNNNNNNNNNNNNNNNNNNNNNNNNNNNNNNNNNNNNNNNNNNNNNNNNNNNNNNNNNNNNNNNNNNNNNNNNNNNNNNNNNNNNNNNNNNNNNNNNNNNNNNNNNNNNNNNNNNNNNNNNNNNNNNNNNNNNNNNNNNNNNNNNNNNNNNNNNNNNNNNNNNNNNNNNNNNNNNNNNNNNNNNNNNNNNNNNNNNNNNNNNNNNNNNNNNNNNNNNNNNNNNNNNNNNNNNNNNNNNNNNNNNNNNNNNNNNNNNNNNNNNNNNNNNNNNNNNNNNNNNNNNNNNNNNNNNNNNNNNNNNNNNNNNNNNNNNNNNNNNNNNNNNNNNNNNNNNNNNNNNNNNNNNNNNNNNNNNNNNNNNNNNNNNNNNNNNNNNNNNNNNNNNNNNNNNNNNNNNNNNNNNNNNNNNNNNNNNNNNNNNNNNNNNNNNNNNNNNNNNNNNNNNNNNNNNNNNNNNNNNNNNNNNNNNNNNNNNNNNNNNNNNNNNNNNNNNNNNNNNNNNNNNNNNNNNNNNNNNNNNNNNNNNNNNNNNNNNNNNNNNNNNNNNNNNNNNNNNNNNNNNNNNNNNNNNNNNNNNNNNNNNNNNNNNNNNNNNNNNNNNNNNNNNNNNNNNNNNNNNNNNNNNNNNNNNNNNNNNNNNNNNNNNNNNNNNNNNNNNNNNNNNNNNNNNNNNNNNNNNNNNNNNNNNNNNNNNNNNNNNNNNNNNNNNNNNNNNNNNNNNNNNNNNNNNNNNNNNNNNNNNNNNNNNNNNNNNNNNNNNNNNNNNNNNNNNNNNNNNNNNNNNNNNNNNNNNNNNNNNNNNNNNNNNNNNNNNNNNNNNNNNNNNNNNNNNNNNNNNNNNNNNNNNNNNNNNNNNNNNNNNNNNNNNNNNNNNNNNNNNNNNNNNNNNNNNNNNNNNNNNNNNNNNNNNNNNNNNNNNNNNNNNNNNNNNNNNNNNNNNNNNNNNNNNNNNNNNNNNNNNNNNNNNNNNNNNNNNNNNNNNNNNNNNNNNNNNNNNNNNNNNNNNNNNNNNNNNNNNNNNNNNNNNNNNNNNNNNNNNNNNNNNNNNNNNNNNNNNNNNNNNNNNNNNNNNNNNNNNNNNNNNNNNNNNNNNNNNNNNNNNNNNNNNNNNNNNNNNNNNNNNNNNNNNNNNNNNNNNNNNNNNNNNNNNNNNNNNNNNNNNNNNNNNNNNNNNNNNNNNNNNNNNNNNNNNNNNNNNNNNNNNNNNNNNNNNNNNNGAAGGGUCUCUAAUCAAUAGCUGGAAGCAAUUGAGAAGGCGGUUGCUACAGUGAAUUCAAAUGUAAAAUGUUUGCUAUUCUUCGAUUUGGUUAAUGAUUUCGUAUGAAUAUUGUUGUUCCGUUGAGUUGCAUGCGAAUUCAAAUGCAAAAUAUUCUUCGAUUUUCAAUUUUGAAAUCAAAUUUUUUUUUCCUUCUCAAGCAUGUUAUGCAGAAACGAUUGUCAUGUUAUGCAGAAACGAUUUUUACUAAAUCAUUUUUAACAAACUAUUGAAAUUAAACCACUGGAAUAAGAAUUGUAAGGAUUUAUCGUAAGCUUACUAAUACGAUAAUUCUGAAACUAUCACCUUUUUUUUUUUAUUUGUUGCAGGGAAACCCAAAUUUUGUAUUUUGUCAAUUUCAUCUGAUAUGGAAUUUAUUUCCUCCCUAAAGAUUUAUCAAACUGCUUCUCUUCCCUGCUUCAAUAUCUUUAUGCAAUUACGAUCUCAUAGGAAAAGAGAGUUUGGGUUGUAUAUCUUAUAGUAUUUAUUUAUUUUUUGUUAAAAGAAAUUUAUUUUAAAAUAGUUUAUAGCAACAGUUUUUAUUUAACAAUAAUGAGGAAGGAUUAUUAUAGGUUCAAAUAGUUGUUAGAACAUUAUAAAAAAGUCCAUUUACUAUCAAAUGUUUUAAAUUGGUGCAACGUGAUAAUUGUCUCAUAUAAUUUUUUAAGGGUAAAAACUCGUUUCAUUCCCAUAUUUUAAGAUUAUUACUCAUUUAGUCUUUAUAUUUUUAAAAAUGUUUCAAAACAUUCAUACCCUUAAAUUAUUAACAUCUCUGCUGUUACUUUUUAUUUUUUUUUGACUUGUUUUUACAAUAUUGCCCUCUUACAAUAAUGUUUCUUUUUAUAAAAUUAAUAAAAAGAAAAAAAAUUAAAUUAUCAAUUUAACCCCAAAAAUAAAAUAAAAAUAAAAAGAAUAAAUAUUAAUUUUUGUGAAAGUUUACAUGUGUCCAAAAUAAAUUUUAUUGUAAAAAUAAUUAAAUUGCCUUUUUUUUGGACAUUAGUAAUAAAAAAAUUAAUAUAUUAAUUCCUCAGCAGUGUGUUACAAAAAAGUAAAAUAUAUUAAUUUUGUUUUUAUUUUAGACAAUGAGAUAGAGAAAAGUACAAGAUAAAGGAAAGGACUUCAAAACUCACUGUUCAUCAUAAUGCCCUUUGCCUUUAAAAAAAAAUCAUUCUAAUAUUUUAUAACACAUAAAAUAUAAUCCUAAGAUAAAUAUAAUAAUACAUAUUUUAAACUAAUCUCGAUAUUUAAAAUAUGUUUUAAUAUUUUAUAAUCUAUCAGACAUAUUUUAUUAUAUUAAUGUAAAAUUUAUAAUAAAUACAAACAUAUUAUUAAAAUAAAUAUAUAAAAAAUAUUUAUUUUUUAUAUGUUUACACUGAGGACUCUCUUUAAUUCAUUUAUUUUCUCUCUCUCCAAACAGGUACUGUCUUCAGUUAGCAAUGCUAUGAUAGUAAUCCAAUUCUCUUCUCCCCCACCUGAGCGAGAUUUGAAUUUGAAUCCCUUGUUUUUCACCCACUCUGUUUUUUUUCACGCAAGAUUUGACAAUUUGAGUUAAAAAAUAUGGUCCAAAACUUGAACACGUAUCUUUUAAUUGUAAUAAAAGUUCUUUAAGCUUUGGAGAUGGCAUAUAUAUGGCUGGAAGUGUCCUUUUCUUUGACCUAGAGGCAGCACCAAGCUAUCCAGCAUCAUCAUUUUUCAAGUGGGUCUUAAAUGCCUAGAAACGUUGGUGUUUCUUGAUUUAAAGAUGACACAUGCUAUAAGUGUGAAUGGUUUGGCUAAGCCUAAAUUUAAAGUCUACUCAAGUCGCAUUCAGGAUCAUGGAAAUUGGAAAGGGAGAGAUGAUAGCAAGAUUUAUAAUAAACAAUUAACUUGGGUCCUCAGUGUACAAAGCAAAUGCCACGCAAGCGAUAGCCGGCCCAGCCCAGAAAACCCAGUGGCGAUCCCAGAGAUGGCCUCCUCUAACGAGUGCUGGGCCCAAAAAUCUUUGCGGGUUGAGCCCAGCUCCGGCAUAGCCCUUUUGAGCAGUAACAGUUGUCGAGACAAAAACCAGAAGACCCAACACUGUUCCAAUGACAAUGCAUACGGUAAACUCUGCCAAGAGCCUUGGCUUGUCUGGAGUCAAAAGCCAUCCACACAGAAGCAAAAAGGAACACAAACGAGCAAAUUAUCUCAAGCCAAAGGGCCUGCCUAGUCCCCAAGCCGAUCUCAACAGGCCCAUCUGGCCCAGGUACGACAACAUUCAGGGUGCAGCCUCCAAGUUGUCAAAUAUUUAUAUUAAACUACAAUUGCUGACUAGAAAAAUCAAGAUCGUAUUACAAGUGGGUCCCGAAUUGGACGUGCCUAAAUCUUUUUAUAAUUUUCCCAGUGUAGCGGACAGAGGUCAUUACUAAAUUUCUCUUCCACACGCCACAGCAGCUUCGGUUAAUCAAACUCAAUCAAUUUUCUUGGCUUCUCCGCUUAUCAAUAUUACAAGGUAUGGGUAGCAUUUUUCAAAUCACAUGCGAUGGUACUAUUUUCAAUCGUUGCUUAGAUUGCUUUCUUGGAAAAGCAGCAUACAUAAGUAACCUCCAAGAUAAUCUUGUUGCCUUGGAGACUGAACUAAGGAAACUAAUCGCAGCAAAGAACGAUGUGAUGACGGCGGUUGUCAAUGCUGAACGGCAACAAAUGAGAAGGCUGGACCAAGUGCAAGUGUGGGUUUCGAGGGCGGAUGCUGUUAAAAAUGAAGCUGAUGAACUUAUCAGAGGCGGCUCUCAAGAAAUUGAAAAAUUAUGUCUUAGAGGGUUCUGUUCCAGGAACUGCACGUCAAGCUACAAGUUCGGAAAACAAGUGGCUAAAAAGCUACGAGCUGUGGAGACUUUAAUCGCCGAAGGAGUUUUUGAGGCGGUGGCUGCCGAGGUGGUGCCUGAGAGAGCUCCAGAGCCUGUAGCAGAUGAAAGACCUACCGAGCGAACAGUAGUAGGCUUGCAAUCACAACUUGAACAAGUCUGGAGAUGUCUUGCAGAAGAAUCAGCGGGAAUCAUUGGCCUAUAUGGUAUGGGCGGUGUUGGUAAAACUACACUAUUGACCUAUAUCAACAAUAAAUUUCUCGAGAGUCCAACCAACUUUGAUUGUGUGAUUUGGGUAGUAGUUUCAAAAGACCUGCGACUUGAAAAACUUCAAGAAAAUAUUGGGAAAAAGAUAGGUUUGGUUGAUGAUUCAUGGAAGAGUAAAAGUGUAGAGGAGAAAGCUCUCGACAUCUUCCGGAGUUUAAGAGAGAAGAGAAUUGUAUUGCUGUUAGAUGAUAUAUGGGAGCGGGUUGAUUUAACAAAAGUGGGCGUUCCACUUCCAGGACCACAAAAUACUACCUCAAAAGUCGUAUUCACAACCCGUUUGAUCGAUGUUUGUGGUAGCAUGGAAGCUGACAGGAAGUUCAAAGUAGCAUGCUUAUCAGAAAAGGAUGCUUGGGAACUGUUUCGAAAAAAAGUUGGGGAAGAAACUCUUGGAAGUCAUCAUGAUAUCGUUGAGCUAGCCCAAACUGUGGCCAAAGAGUGUGGUGGUUUGCCACUCGCACUUAUUACUAUCGGUCGAGCUAUGGCCUACAAAAAGACAGCCGAAGAGUGGAGACACGCAGUUGAAGUUCUAAGAAGAUCAGCUUCGGAAUUUGCAGGUUUGGGAAAAGAGGUGUAUCCUCUUUUAAAGUUUAGCUAUGAUAGUUUGCAGAAUAAGACGAUUAGAUCUUGUUUCUUAUAUUGUUGUUUAUAUCCUGAAGAUUAUGGCAUUCUUAAAUGGGACUUGAUUGACUGUUGGAUUGGUGAGGGAUUCUUAGAGGAAUCUGACAGGUUUGGUGCAGAAAACCAAGGAUACUACAUUGUGGGCACUCUUGUUCAUGCGUGUUUACUAGAAGAGAUAGAAGAUGAUAAAGUAAAAAUGCAUGACGUUGUUCGUGAUAUGGCUCUAUGGAUAGCUUGUGAAAUUGAGAAGGAGAAGAGAAACUUUUUGGUUUGUGCAGGUGCGGGACUAAAGGAGGCACCUGAUGUUAAAAGAUGGGAAAAUGUGAGAAGAUUGUCAUUGAUGCAAAACCAAAUUGAAACUUUGUCAGAGGUUCCUGCAUGCCCUCAUCUCCAUACUCUAUUUCUUGCCUCUAAUAAUAGUUUGCAGAGGAUCACCGAUGGCUUCUUCCAAUUUAUGCCUUCUCUCAAAGUUUUCAAGAUGUCAAACUGCGGGAAUUUAAUUUUGGAAUUACCUUUUGGGAUGUCAAAGUUGGGUUCAUUGGAACUUCUCGAUAUUUCACAUACCUACAUACAAGAGUUACCACAAGAGUUAAAGUUGUUGGUAAAUCUGAAAUGUUUGAAUUUGAGGUGGACAAGCGAGUUAAAUAAAAUUCCACGGCAGCUAAUAUCAAAUUCUUCAAGGUUACGUGUGUUGAGAAUGUUGGGUACUGGCUGGUUCAAUUUUCAUGAAGCAUCAGAAGACAGCGUUUUAUUUGGCGGGGGUGAAGUUUUAGUACGGGAAUUGCUCGGUUUGAAAUAUUUAGAGGUAUUGGAGUUGACCUUGCGAAGUUAUCAUGCUCUCCAAAUUGUUUUGAGCUCAAAUAAGUUAAAAAGUUGUAUUCGAUCUCUUUACCUCCAGUUGACCGGAGAUAGAAAGUCGAUUAUUGAUGCUACGGCUUUCGCAGAUCUAAACCACCUCAAUGAAUGAUUGAUUUUUAAAGGUUUUGAGUUGGAAGAAUUGAAGAUUGAUUAUACAGAGAUAGUACGAAAAAGGCGGGAACCUUUUGUUUUCCGCAGCCUUCACCGUGUUACCAUAGAUUCGUGCCUUAAAUUGAAAGAUUUGACAUUCCUCGUUUUUGCUCCAAACCUCAAGUCUCUUUCGCUAUUCAAUUGCCGUGCUAUGGAAGAAAUAAUCAGCGUUGGAAAAUUUGCUGAGGUUCCUGAGAUGAUGGGACAUAUAAGCCCUUUUGAAAAUCUCCGAAGUCUUCGUUUGUCACAUUUGCCAAAUUUGAAGAGCAUCUACUGGAAGCCAUUGCCUUUCACUCAUCUGAAAGAAAUGGUGGUACAUGGGUGUGAUCAGCUUAAAAAGCUUCCACUCGAUUCCAACAGUGCAAAAGAGCGUAAAUUUGUUAUUCGUGGACAAGCAGACUGGUGGGACCGACUUCAAUGGGAGGAUGAAGCCACUCAAAUUGCUUUUAGUUCCUGUUUCCAACCUUAACUUGAUUUCUGGUUAGUGCUGUUUCCUUAACUUUUACAUAUAUUCUCGUCGUUUGCUUCGUGCAAAAUACUAGGUCUUUUGUUCUCUGUUUUUAUUUCGCCCAUUUUUUUUUUUUUUUUUUGUCUUCUGCAAAUGACAGACAAAUGUUGAACUAAAAGGAAUUAAUGCUUUAUAACUUUGCCGGCAUUGCUUUUUUCUUUUUCUUUUUUGAUUUUUUGGGGCGAGGGGGGAUCGAAUAGAUGCUCUGGUUUUUGACUUUUUGUUGUCAAAUUUUACUCUGUUUUUUUCAAAUUGAUGCUUGAAUAUUUGAAUCAAAUUAAUGCUCACGUAAAUUUGUUCAGUUGCCGUAAAAGGAUAUAAUUACACUGAAAUACACAAACUCUAGAAUGAAUAGAAUUAAACAGAGAAAAUCUUGAGUAUAUUAGCCGUCUUCACAUAAAAUCAUAUGAAAAUUAAAUUUUGAAGUUUUUAUUUUCUAUUUUUAAUCAUACCCUUUAUAAUUUCUUCUGUUCUAACUACAAUAAAAUUUUUGGUUCAAGGAUUUUUAUGAGGGGUAUUAAUAAUAGUCCACCAAAAGAGUGAACAGUUGGAUGCUGCCCUAAGGGUCUCUAAUCAAUAGCUGGAAGCAAUUGAGAAGGCGGUCGUUACUGUGUACAAAGCCAUGCAGUAUUUGCUAUUCAUCUUAGUAAUUAUGAAGCUUUGGUAAAAUUUUCAAACAAAGUUGACAUGUUAUUUUGAGAUUUGGUUCAUGAUUUUGUAUGAAUAUCGUUGUUCCAUUGAGUUGUAUAUGAAUUCAAAUGUAAAAUAUUCUUUGGUUUUCAAUUUUGAAUUCAAUUUCUUUUCUUAAGCAUGUUGUGCAGAAAUGAUUUCUACUAAAUCAUUUUUGAUAAACUACUUAAAUUAAACAACUGCAAUAAGAACUGUUAAGGAUUUAUCGUAAGCAGACUAAUAUGAUAAUUCUGAAACUAUCAUUUUUUUUUUCAAUUUGUUGCAGGGAAAGCCAAAUUUUGUAUUUUUCAGUUUUAUCUGAUAUGGAAUUUAUUUCCUCUACACUAGCUACCUAAAGAUUUAUCAAAUUGCUUCUCUUCCCUGCUUCAAAUUAAUAUCUUUAUGCAACUACAAUCUCAUAGGAAAAGACAGUUUGGGUUGUAUUUAUUAUAGUUUUUUUUUUCGUUAAGAGCAAUUUAUUUUAAAAUCGUUUAGUAGUAACAGUUUUUAUUGAAUAAUAAUGGGGUAGGAUUAUUAUAGGUUCAACUAGUUGUUAGAACAUUAUAAAAAGUCCAUUUACUAUCAAAUGCUUUAAAUUGGUGCAACAUGAUAAUUGUCCCACAUAAUUUUUAAUAAUAUAUAUGGCCCAUAAAUUUAAUAUGAAUAAAUGAGUUUCGAUAGUUAAAUUUGAUACGAUUAUUAAAUAAGUUAUAUCCAUGUCAAUUCGACUUAAAAUCUGGUAAAUUUAGAUUUAGAGUUUAUAACAUGAUAACUUGUUUUAUGACAUGAUUUACUAAUCAAUUAAUAUUAAAUUAUAUUUUAGCCAAUCAGAUAUGUGGUACAUUUGUCAAAUUUUAAAAAUUAUUUAUUUAUAUAUGAAAUAAAUUUGACUAGACUGUGUGUAGGUAAUAGUGCAUAAUUUCUAAAAAAAUGUAAUAAUAACACGUUAAAAUGUUAUUUUUAUGAAGAAAAAUUGAAAUUUUAUUAAAUAGGCGACACAAUAAUAAAUGGGUUGAGAUUAUUUACAUUUUAAGAAUUACUCUGAACAUUAUUUUAUUUUAUAAAUUUUAUAUUACAAAAACACCCAUAGUUUAAUUUACCAUUAAGAACAAUUUUGUGCGAUUAAAUAAAAUACAUUACUCUUUACCCUUUCACUACAUCGACAUAAAUCCUAAUUGUUAUGUUUCUAAUUUCUUUGAUAUGCUUAUUGAAGUCCACAUUAUAAUCAAUUUUAAACUAUUAUACCACUUAAAUACAUUUUAGAAUGAGAAGUUUGGUUUUCUUCAUGGGCUGCCUUGCUGAUGCUGUUAUUGAAACUAUCGAACUUAAUAAUUUUAUGGCCAAAAUGAUAUAUGUUGAACCAGCUUUUACAUCGAAUUCUACCACCAUAAAAAAUCGUACUUGUAACAUCUCAAGGUUCCAAUUUAUCAAAAGUUAAUCAUUCAUAUUUGUUAGUUCCUAACAGUCACAAGAGCGUACAAGCCAAUUUUUGUAGCUCCUUUUUCUGCAGUAGAUUCAAGUAUAUUAUUAUCAAGCAUUUUUGUUACACCCUUAAUUCCUUAUCAUCAUCCCUUCAUUCAGAGCAACUAAACAGAGGUCAAUGUCAUUAUGUUAGAGUUACGAGGAAGAGUACUGCCAAAAAAGUUCUUUGUAUGGGAUUUAAUUUUCUGGGUUUGUAGUGAUGAACAAAUUGAGGGUUGUUUUGGUAUUUUCAAGAGUGUAUUGAGUGAAAAUUAUUUUUAAAAAAUUUAACAAAUGAGUGUAAUGAGUAAAAAAGUGUUUAAAGUAUUUUUUAGAGUACAAAUAGCUCCACCUUAAUAAAUGAGUUCUUGUAAAAAUUGAGAUUAUUGAUAUAAUUAUUAAAUAGGUUGGAUUGAAGUUAGUUUAAUUUUGACAAGAUAAUAAGACGACGCGACACAAAUACAACCAACCAGUCAACCCAAAUUGCAACCUUUUACUAAUAAAAGAUACCUGUUUGAAAAGUAAUUAUAAGCUAUCUUCUUUGUGUUAUUUCUCUAAAAAUUUGCGGCACAAAUAUUAUUUCCAUGGAGAAAAGUACGAAAUACCCGCUUUCACUUCAGCAGAAGCAAAGCAAAGCUAUGAGCCAUCUCUGUAUAAUUGAAACGCCAUUGCUAAACGGUUCUUGAUGAUGGGUGCCACCGUGCCAGCGUUGUCGCUGAUUUGCAUGAUUUAUUAGUUGUUCAGAUGGCGGAUUUUGUACUGUCACUUUCAUUUCAUUCUUGAGAGCCACGUACAAUACUAGGUGGCAUUGAAGUUGCCCCAGUGGUUAGUUUUCUGAUUUUUUUUAAUUCAAAUUUUUAUGUUUUAGAAAAAUGUAAGAAAUAUGUAGAAAUGUUGACAGCUACAAUUUUGAAACUUUGCCUAAAAUUAUUAUCGUUGCUUAUUGUUUCUUAGCUAAAGAGAAAUCCUAGAAACAUGAAAUUAUUAUUCUAUGCUUGUUUUAAUAUUAUACAUUAGCAGGUUAAUUAAAAAUUAGACGUGAAUACAACAAGAGAUAAGUGGAGAGAAUUUGGUAGUCGACCGCAUUUAGAAUUUAAUUUUUCUUUUAGCUGCCGAUCAUUAAAUUUUAUAUUUCAGAAAAUUAUACCUAGAAUAUUUCAAGGAUAUACUACGAAGAUUAUGAAGGUUUGAUUACAUGUCACUAUCAAUUGCCUCAAUCAUUUGUAGUAAAUUAAUUAAUCAUUUUGCUGCAAAUGAUUUCCUAUUAAAAAAUUCAAGUCAGAGCUGAAUUGCACAGUAGUUAGUCGUGCUUGCAAUUCAAAUCAAGUAUUGUAUUUUCUGCCUGAUUUGGUUGAUUCAACUAUGUGCAUUUGCAUAAUGGAGAUGCUUAUGAACGUUGUAGUAUAGAAAUCGAAACGUCUUGUCUUUUGCUAAGCCCAGAAGCAAAGUUCUUUGUAUUAUACUCAUCAGUUUUCUUCGUUCUCUUCGUUGAAAUUUUAUCCAAACAGCGGUUUCUUCGAAUUUUUGCCCUCUCUUACAUUUUUAAAUCUAUCAAAGAACGGUUACCUGAGAAGAUUGCCAUCAGGUAUUUCGAAAUUGAUUUCACUACAAUACCUUAAUCUAUCAGAUUUUAAUCUAUCAGAUGCUCCCGUCACUCAGUUGCCAAAAGUGACAAAAGCCUUAGUAAAUUUUUAGAGUAAAAACUCAUUUAUUCCUUAUAUUUUAAGAUUAGUAUCUAUUUAGUCCUUAUAUUUUGAAAAAUACCUUGAAACAUCACUGCCAUUAAAGUAUUGAUACCCUUACCGUUACUUUUUAUUUAUUUUGGCUUAUUUUUACAAUAUUACCCUUUAAUAAUAAUUUUUUUGUUUAGACAUUAAUAAAAAUAAAAUAAUUAAAUUACCAAUUUAAUCCUAAAAAAUAAAAAUAAAAAUUUAUAUUAAUUUUUAAUUGUAAAAAAUUGUAUGCAAACUACCAAAUGUGCAAACGGUGCUUGCAAAAAAAUUAAUAUAAAUUUUUUAUUUUUAGGGUUAAAUUAGUAAUUUAAUUAUUUUAUUUUUAUUAAUGUCCAAAAAAUUAGUAAUUUAAUUAUUUUCUUUUUAUUAAUGUCCAAAAAUUAUUAUAAAAGGGUAAUAUUAUAAAAGUAAGCUAAAAGAAAUGAAAAGUAACGGUAGGGGUAUCAAUACUUUAACGGUAGGGAUGUUUCGAGGUAUUUUUAAAAAUAUAAAGAGUAAAUGGACACUAAUAUUAAAAUACAGGGACUAAAUAAGUUUUUAUCCUAAAUCUUUAAGUGUUUGAAUUGGAGUACAUAAAUUAUCUCUCUACAAUUCAAAAACAACAGAUUUGUUACUUUUCAACGCUACAGGUUCCGCGAAUAUUCAGUUGUGGUUAUCUUGUUGAAACACCAGAAAAUAGCGUUCUAUUUGGUGGUAAUGAAUUCUUGGUUGGGGAGUUACUUAGUUUAAAACAUUUAAAUGUAUUAAGCAUCGCCUUAAAAGGUUUUUCUACCGUCCAAAAAUUUAUGAGCUCCCAAAAGUUUCAAAGUUGUACAAAAUGUUUGGAGCUUAUAGACAGUGAUGAUUCAAAGUCGUUUGCCAUGGCAGAGUUGAAGCAUCUUGAAAAACUAGGUAUUUCAAAUUGUGGAAAUUUGGAAGAGUUUAAGUUCUGCUGUGUCGAAGUUGGAAAAACUUGAGAAGAUUUUUGUUUGAACAGCCUUCACCAAGUUAAGAGAAAGGCUUGUCAUAAAUUGAGGGAAGUGACAUGGCUUGUGUUUGUACCAAAUCUUAAGGUUAUUCAGAUAGAAAAAUGUAUGGAGAUGGAGGUUGUUGGGAAAGAGACUACCACAAGCAGCUAAAAAUUAAGCGAAUACAAAAUUCUUUCUCUCUUUGUGUGAUUAAAAUAGGAUGUGCACCACAAACAAAUAAGCAGAAAAAUAAACCAAUAAAUGCAAAGCAAAAACCAACCACAAGAGACACCGAUUUUUAAGUAGAAAAUUUAAAUUGGGAAAAAUCACAGGAUAGUAGUCUGAUAUAAACUUCUACUAUAUUAAUGAGAUUACAACACAAAUUCUUCUCCAGAUAAUACUAGAUGCUAACAAUAUUAAAAUUCUCAACAAUCUUAGUUUAUAAUAAUAGAUCUAAAAUCUAUUUCUUCAAUAAGUGAGUAUCUCAAAUAAUAGCUACUGAGAGAAUAAAAUACAGAUCAACACCAGUAGAAAUAUAGAGGGCAAUGUCAGGAACUUACCCUCCAAAUUUAGGACUAAUCAGAGCUAAAAUAACCUUUUGAUUGUUGAAUCAAAGAUUGAAAACCAAAAAAAAAAAAAAUAUCUCUUUCUCUCGCAGUGUCUUCUCACUUUCGCAAAAUGUCUACAGCUCUCGCGAUUCUUUACUUAUUUCCUUAGUUAAUUUCAUCCAAGUCCAAAAUUUUACAAUAAUUACACAUCAAGCAAAUUAUUUUGGACUUUGAACUUUUUGGUCCACUGAAGUGAAAUGGACCUUACAAAUCUCCCCCUCCAUCUCAUCUAAGGGGCACCACCAAGCCCGCUCUCUACUUACAGCUUUCCAGCUUCUCCUUGGGUAAUGACUUUAUCAUCAUAUCUGAUGCAUUCUUCGUUGUGUGAAUUUCUCCAAGCUGCAACUGUUUCUACUCAAGCACGUCUUGUAUCCAAUGAUACUUCAUAUCAAUAUGCUUCGAUUUCAAAUGAUAUGUUGAAUUCUUUGCCAAGUGGAUGACACUUUAACUGUCACAGUACACAACAUAACUAUCUUGAUUAACACCUAGUUCUUGUAGAAAAUUCUUCAUCCACAAGGUUUCUUUGUAACUUUCAGUGAUUGUAAUAUACUCUACUUCUGUAGUAGACAAAGCAACACACUACUAAAGUCUAGACUGCCAUGAAACUGCUCCUCCUACAUAGGUGAGCAAAUAUCUUGAUAGAGACUUUCUAGAAUCAACAUCUCCUGCCAUAUAUGCAUCCGUAUCUACUUGUAAUAUAGGUUUGUCACCACCAAAACAUAAACAUGCCUUGGAAGUGCCUCUGAGAUAUAUGACAAUCUACUUUACUGCUGUCCAGUGUUUUUUACCCAGAUUAGAGGAAAACCAGUUGACUACCAACUGUUGAAGCGUACCUCAAACUACCAACUGUUGAAGCAUAAAAAACUCUUUUUAUCUCUUGCUUCUCUUUCUCACUUAUGGGACAAUGCUUGAAACUAAGCUUGAAAUGACCUGCAAGUGGAAAAUAAACAUAUUUUGCUUUGUCCAUAUUAUAUCUUUUAAGAACUUUUUCAACAUAUGCUUCCUGAGAUAACCAUAAAUUCCCAGUUUUUCUGUCACGAGAAAUCUUCAUGCCAAGAAUUUGUUUCGCCGAUCCCAAGUCCUUCAUUACAAAAGACUUGCUAAGCUCUCUCUUCAAAUUGUCAAUCUUACUAGUAUCCUUGCCAACAAUCAACAUGUCAUCCACAAAAAGUAAAAGAAUAAUAAAAUCAUUAUCACUAAACUUUUUCACAAACAUACAAUGAUCACACAUUGUCUUGCAAAAGCCAUGAUUCUCCAUAAAAGAAUCAAACUUCUUAUACCACUGUCUUGGUGCAUGUUUCAGCCCAUAUAAAGUUUUUUUCAAUUUGUACACAAGUUCUUCUUUACCUUUGACACUGAACUCUUCAGGUUGUUAUAUGUAUAUUUCCUCCUUUAAGUCAUCGUGUAAGAAAGCAGUCUUUACAUUGAAUUGUUCAAUUUCCAAAUCCAAGCUAGCUACUAAUCCCAGAGGUGCUUGCUCAAUUGGUUCUGCUGGACCAUUAUUAUUAUCCUCUCCAGCUCCCCUAUGAUCAUCAUGAACAACAUGUGGAGAAACCGAAGUUGGAAUAAUAAGAAUCUCUGGAGAUGGCUGAGACUUAUCAUUUUUUUUUCAUCACCAACUAUCUAAUUUUUAAGAAACACAACAUCUCUAAUUCUGAUUACUUUUCUUGUCACUGGAUCCCAUAAUCUGUACCCAAAUUCUUCAUGUCCAUAGCUUAAGAAAAUACAUUUCUUGGCUUUAUCAUCAAGUUUUGAUCUCUCAUCUUUAGGGAUAUGAACAUACACUCUGCACUUAAACACCCUCAAGUGUUUAUAAGAAACAUCUUUCCCAAUCCAAACUCUUUUAGGUACAUCGUCAUCUAAUGGAGCUUAAGGAGAAAGAUUAAUCAAAUCAACUACAGUACGCAUAGCCUCCGCUCAGAAGGAUUUAUAAAGCUUGGCAUCAGAAAACAUACAUCUGACUAUCUUUUCAAUUGUUCUGUUCAUUAUUUCUGCAACACCACUCUGCUGAGGGGAUUUUGGUACAGUUUUCUUAAGUUUGAUUCCAUGAGAUCUGCAAUACUGCUCAAAUGGUCCUCUGUACCCACCAUCAUUUUCUGCCCUGACACAUUUCAAUUUUUUUCUUGUCCCUCUCUCAACAUAAGCACGAAAGAAUUUAAACAUAGUAAGCACGAAAGAAUUUAAACAUAUCAAGCACUUAAUCUUUAGAUUUUAAAGCAAAAGUCCAUACUUUUCUAGAACAAUCAUUAAUAAAAGUCAUAAAAUAAAGUGCACCUCCUAUUGAUCUAUUUUGCAUCAUGCAAAUAUCAAUGUGAAUCAAAUCAAGGAUUUGUGACUUUCUAGAUGGAGAAAAGCUUUUAAAAGUUACUUUAUGUGCCUUUCCAGCUAAACACUAAACACAAGUCUUGAGGGACGUACCUACAAAGCUUGGUAGAAAUCCUUUUUUGGCAAGAGUUCCUAACCCUUUCUCACCAAUGUGACCAAGCCUUUUAUGCCAUGUCUCAAUGUCAGAAUUGUUUACAGCCAUAUUCAUAUAUUCUUUCUUGAUUUUGGCUUCUAUUACGUAGAGGGUGUUCAUUUUCUUUCCUUUAGCCAACACUAGAGAGCCUUUGGUGAGCUUUCAUUUUCCUUCACCAAAUUAGUUAGUAUAACUAUCAUCAUCAAUUUUUCUUGUGGAGAUCAAAUUAAGACGAAUAUCUAGUACAUGCAAGCUUUUUUGUGGAGAUCAAAUUAAGGCGAAUAUCUAGUACAUGUCUGACAUCUUUAAGGAGUAGCUUAUAGCCAACACUGGUUUGAAGCAAAUAUCUCCUAUGCCCACAAUCUUGGAUGCCCCCUCAUUUCCCAUCCGAACAUGGUCAUAAUUACCAUUAACAUAGGAUGUGAAGUAAUCAUGAUGUGCAGUUGUUGUGCAAAUUUUAAUGUACUCGCAAGCGCACGAAUCUAUUGUAGUAUAGAUCAAUGGUGACGAGUGUCGAUCCCACGAGGAGGUGGAUUUUAAUUGUGUAUAGAAUUAAUUUUGCAAAUGGUUGAUUGGAUUUGUGGUGGAAAUGAUUUGGAAUAUGCUAAAACUUAAAUUAAAAUGGCGAGAAUAAAUUCUAAAAUUGGAAUUGAAAUUGCGAGAAUAAAGUUGAAGAGAAUUCUAUUGAAAUGACGUACUUGGGUAUCUGGAUCCGUAUCAACAUGCAUCAUGGGCUAAAUAAUGCGUAUUAAUGCCAAUUAAAUCAUGAGGGGGGAAUCCACACCUCAUGAACCACGCUCUAAUCAAUAUGGUGCUAAGGGCUUAUCGUGCCAAAUAAUAAUAACCUUGUACUAGAGAGCCGGUGUAACCAAGGCGGUACUAGACAAGAUUAGUAUUAUUUGUCGACGAGAAGUCAAAACAUCCACAAAAACUAGAGGGGAAGAGAAAAUAAAUUUACCAAAUAAAGCCCAUGACACAUGUUGAGACUUCACCUUCAACCCAAGCUUAAAAGAAAAUUAGCUACUCAUAAUUGAACUAAGGGCAAAAUGGGAAUUUAUUAAAAUACGAAGAAAAUACAAGAUAGAGAGGGAAUUACAGAAAAUGGAUCCCAAAAAUGGAUUCAGAGAUAUCAAAUUAGGGGGGGAGGCCCCCUUUUUAUAGAUACAUGGAGUAAAUCAUGGCAAUCGGAUUAAAAACAGUUUGGACGCUCAGGAUUGCGCCACGUCAUCAGUCAACAGUCCACGGUUUGACCACGCGGAUGAACAGUAAUACGGUUUGACCCAUAUGAACAGUACGCGGUUUGACCCGGAUGAACAGUAACGCGGUUUGGUUGAAAAUAAUCCUGUGUGAUGCAUGCACCGUACGCGAGAUUUUUUGUCCACUGAUAUGCUGCCACGUCACCAUCAACAGUACAUAAGAAUUUUAGUCCAACAGGAUCGUGACACCUCAUCAGUCAAUGCCACAUCAUCGAUCCGUCUAUGUGAGCAGUGCCGUGAACAGUAACAUAUACAGUACCGUAUACGUGAAUAGUACCGUACAUGUGAAUAGUGCUAUUUUUCCUUUUAUGCUCCUCCUAAGGUUUUCGACCGUCCUGAGUUCAAAAGUGAUGUCCGUUUUACCGUCUGAUCUCUCCUUUAUUGUGAAAUCACUAUAAUACCACUAAAAUACAUAAAAUACUUAAUUAAAAUAAAACACAUGUAAUUAAAUCACAAGAAGGUUAAAUACAUAAAAGUAAGGGUUGUUAGUAAGACUUGAAAUGUAAAAUGAUGGUUUUCUCCUUUAUAAAUAUGCAUUUUCUAACACUCAACAGCAGUAACCACGAUGUGCAGUAACAUCAAACGAAGCACCCGAAUCAAUCACCCAAUUACUGGUAUGGCAAGUAAGAUUUAUAGAGCUAUCAUUAUAAGCAAUGCCCAUAUCACCAUUAAUUACGGCUGUAACAUUCUCUUUGUCAUUUUUCUGACCAUCGCCUUUUUCUUUCGCAUGUUCUCUUUUCCACAAUUUACACUACCUUUUUACAUGGCCCAUUUUCUGACAAUGAAAGCACUUAGCUUCUCCUAUGGGACUUAGAUCUUCCUCCAGGGUUAUCAUUAUUCUGAUGACGGAAAUUUCUGCUUCGACUUCUCCCCCGUCUUUUUUGGUUUUCUGAAACAAGUGUAGCUGACUCAGAGGGAACUACUUCAGCAUUCUUUCUUCGAGAUUCUUCAUUCCGCAGUCUAUCUGUAACCAUAUCCAAGUUUAAUUUACCAUUCGGUGCCGAAUUAUUCACUGACACCACUAAUGUCUCCCAACUAUCAGGUAAAGAACUAAGCAACAACAAUGCUUGUAACUCGUCAUCUAGAAUAAUCUUCAUAGUAGUCAACUGAUCAACCAAACCCUGAAACUCACUAGUGUGUUCAGUAAUACUGUGGCCUUUUUUAUAUUUCAAGUUAACAAGCCUUUUCAUUAGAUUGACUUUAUUUUGUGCUGUUGGCUGCUCAUAAAUUAUUUCUAAUUUUCUCCAAAGAACAUCAGCCUUGGAUUCCUUCGCGACAUGAUGGUACACACUCUGAUCAAUCCAUGACCUAAUAGUGCCCACGGCUUUCUGGUUCAAUUGAGCCCAUUUCUUAUCAUCUAUAUCAACAAGUUUAACUUCAUCACCUUCAAUAGGUUCAUGUAAGUCUUUCAUGUAGAGCAAAUCUUUCAUUCUAGACUUCCAAAUAUCAUAAUUCCACGACUCAAUUUAAUCAUGAACGCCAAAGACUCCUCUAUUUCAACCACAUAAGUAAUAAAAACACACAACCUGGCUCUGAUACCACUCUAUUGGGAAAACGACUACCACAAACAGCUACAAAUUAAGCGAAAAUAAAAUUCUUUUCCUCUUUGUGUGAUUAAAAUAGGAUGUGCACCAUAAACAAAUAAGCAGAAAAAUUAAUCAAUAAAUUCAAAGCAAAAAUCAACCACAAGAGACACCGAUUUUAACGUGGAAAAUUCAAAUCGGGAAAAACCAUGGGACAAUAGUCCGAUAUAAAUUUCCACUAUAUUAAUGGGAUUACAGUACAAAUUCUUCUCCAGAUAACACUAGAGGUUAACAACAUCAAGAUUUUCAACAAUCUUGGCUUACAAUAAUAGAUCUAAAAUCUAUUUCUUCAAUAAGUGAGUAUCUCCAAUAACAGCUAAUGAGAGAAUAAAAUAUAGAUCAACACGAGUAGAAAUGUAAAGGGCGAUGUCAGGAACUUAUCCUCCAAAUUUGGGAGAAAUCAAAGCUAAAAUUAUUUUUCGAUCGUUGAAUCAAAGAUUGAAAACCCAAAGAAAAAAAAUAUCUUUUUCUCUCGCAACGUCUUCUCACUUGCGCGAAAUGGCUACAUCUCUCGCGAUUAUUCACUUAUUUCCUUUAUAUUUUUUUUGGUUAAUUUCAUCCAAGUCUAAAAUUUUACAAUAAUUACACAUCAAGCAAAUUAUUUUGGACUUUGGGCUUUUGGUCCACUGAAGUGAGAUGGACCCUACAGAAGCAAUAAUCAGUGCAAGAAAAUUAAGUGAAGUUCCAGAGAUGAUGGCAGAUCUAAACCCUUUUGUAAAACUCCAAUAUCUUGGCCUCCGAAUUCUACCAAAAUUAAAAAAGCGUCUAUUGGAAUGUGUUGCCCUCUCCACAUGUCAGGGAAAUUUUUGUAUCUGAAUGCCCAAUUCUCAUUAGAGGAGAGGAACACUGGUGGAAUAAGUUGCAAUGGGAGGAUGAAGCAACCUAUAAUGCUUUUCUUCCUUGUUUUGGAUCCAUUUGAUGGGCAUCAACAUGGAUUAAUAUUUUGCAGCGAACCAAUUUGAAUAAAACUUACGGUAAGUGCUUUUCCAUUUAUUGCAUAUUUAUAUCUAAUUUUUGUUUUCCUUUAUGGUUAAAUUUUGCCCUGUAUAUGUUGUUGUACGGUGACAUUCUUGAAUCAAUUAUUAAUUUUUUUAAUUCUCGUCUCACAACCACCCUUUUGAUCAUGAGGAUAUGCCGAUAUCAAAGAGUCAUAAUUUGGGAUACAAAUGUAAGAAUUAGGCAGAUGACAUGUUGUUUCAAAGCUUUCGAAGAAGGACUAAAUAUGUCAUUGAAAGCCUCCAAUUUUGCGACUGAUUUUUUUUUAAUUUGUUAUUUUUAUAGGUGGCAAAAAUACCCGUCUGAUUUGGACUCGGCUGAUUUGGGCCGGGUACGGAGUAUGAAGCCGGGUUGGUCCUGGGCAUCACUUGAAACUCGGAACCUGGAUUUUAUUAAAAAAUAUUAUAAAUAUAUAUUAUUUUAAAUAUCUAUAUUUAUUAGACUCAUCUAUUACAUAUAUCUAAUUUCAUUGAAAUAAAUUUAAAAAUUAUAAAAUUACCAAUAUAUAUAUAUAUAUAUAAUAUUAAAAAAGUAUAAAAUCUGAGUCCUCAGAUUAAAACCCAGUUCAAGUGUCUAAAAAAUACAUGUGGACCGAGUUUGAACAUUGCGAUACCCAGACCCAAACUUGGGUUUUGCCAACCCUAGUCUUUUAAAUUGCUUGAUUGUAAUGUUUUAGUAUAGAAAAAUGAUAGCCAAGACAACAAUAAGAGGGCACAUUGUGCAUGCACAAUAGUGGAUAAUUUCGGCAUUCCAAAUCCAAUUAGGGUGGAUAACCUUUUAUUAGUAUUAACCUUCUCUCGUAUUCAAGUAAUGUAAAAUAUGCUUAGAAGCUGUGGAUCCCCCUUUAUAAGUGUUGGGCUUAUGCCAAACUCGAUUGAUGUGGGAUGCCUUUAUAGGCAUCAAGUUUUCUCCCAUACACUUUAUGUUAAAAAUAAUAAUGAUAAAAUAAAUCCAUUUUAAAAUAGACUUCUUUUUCUUUUCUAUAUAAACAAACUCAUUCUUCAAAUCAGUUGUGGGUGGAAGGAGUGAGUAGAGAAGAACUGGGCCCCUUUCGUUCCUCUAAAAACCUCACCAAACCUCUCUUGUAAGCUUCUCAGUGUCCCUCUCAAUAUUUCUUAUGAUCUCGUUUUUUAUUGAAUCACUUCUUUUGUGUGCUGCAUUUUUGUGUGUCGUAUUUGGGUUUAUCUUAUCUGGAAUCCUGUUAUGAUUGAUGGAACAAGUAAUCGAUUUUUGGUUUAUUUGGAAUGGAAUUAUGGUUUAUUUGGAAUGGAAUUAUCUGGGUGUAACGGAUUAAAUUAUGACAUUGGGGAGAAGGCACUAAGGGGUUUGCUUGACACAUUUGGUUCUGUGUUUACUCUGAAAGAAAUAGCUUUUGCUUAUCGUAAUGCAAGGCGAAAUCCCGAUUUGGGUGGUGAAUUUCUCUAUCCCAAUUGGGCUGGUGAAUUUCUCUGUGACAAAUAGGCAAACAGCUCAACCUCUUUUAUCUAUCUUCUACUAGUGAGGCAAGGGAUAAAAAGUCUUCAAAAUCAUCAAAUAGUAACAUCUUCGAGAAUUCAUUUUAUGCAAAUGGAAAAUCUAGACCUUCUAAGACAAAAUGGCGUCCAGUAUCAAGAGGUACCGUUUCAAGUUUUCUUGGUAAAAAUUAUGUAAACUUGCACAGCCAGCUAAUGGCACUUUUCUAGUUUUCUGGCAUCAAAGCCAUUGAAGUCGUAUCCAAAGGAGUUUCCCAUGUCUGCACUUUGUGGAGAAGGAACUAAACAAAAACAAUCAAAGGAUGACCAUUUGCAGAAGGAUGUGGAAGAUUUUCUGUUUAAAUUGCUAGGAGAAGUGUUCCAGCUGAAUAGGGAUGUGAUUCGGGAAGUUCCAGUAAUGUCUUAAAUAUGUUGAUGCCAAUUUAAUAUAUAUUGUCAUUUUCAAUGUUCUUUCUUUCUUUCUUUAUCUUCUUUUCUUCUACUUCUUCUUCUUUUUCUUUUCGUGUGCAUGUGAUCACUAAUUUGUUAUUAUACUUAACUUGCAGGUAGUUGUGGAUAUGAUAUGCAAAAGGUAAGGACUAUAUCUUCCUGAUAGAGGCCUCUGCUUUUUCCCUUUUAUGUAAUUUAGUAAAUCUCAUCUCCCUUUGUGAUUGUUAUAUCAUAUCAAAGUCAAGUCUUAAAUACUGCUGUCAUAUGUUAAGGUUCAACUUGCAUUUUGACUAACAUCCAUUUGUUGUCGCUUCCAAAAGUGAGAAUGAGAUACUUCGGUUAAUUUCAGUAGUUGAACCCAAUCGAGUACUUUAUCUAGAUCUUCAUGGUUCAAAGGCCUGAAACUUGCCCGUGAUUGUAAAAUGAUAUUAUGUGCUUUUAAUGCAAUAGGGGGAACAAGGUGUCAAAGGAAUUAGCAGAUUCUAUGGCAGAUUCUAUGCCUGUACAACUGUAACAAUUAUCCUUAUGAUUGUAAAUCUUAUAUGUUUUCCUUAUUUAGGAUAUACUAGCUGUAGGCUAUUUUAGAUAGUUAUGUAUAUGAUAGUUUAGCUAUGUUUAGGGCUAAACAUAAGCUUGUAUUCAUAGUAUAUAAAGGGAAUUCUCUUCUAAGAGAAAGCAUAACUUUUGCUCAAAAUUCUCUGAGUUUAUCAUGGUAUCAGAGCCUCAGUUCUGAAUUCUCUUCUUCCUAGUUCAUUCCCUUGUUCUUAGUUAUUCUUUUUUUUAUCAAGUUAUCUCAGCCUCAUGUCUUCAGACAAGUAUGAUGCUUUUUUGAUCCGUUUUAAUGGCACAAACUACUCAGCCUGGGCAUUUCAUUUCGAGAUAUUUGUCAAAGGCAAAGAUCUAUGGGGACAAGUUGAUGGCAGGAAACCUGCCCCUGAUAAAGAGAUAGACCAGGAUGGGUACGCCAAGUGGGAAGUCAAGGAUGCUCAAAUCAUGGCAUGGAUUCUAGGAUCUGUGGAAUCCAACUUCAUCUUGAAUCUUCGACCCUUCAAGACUGCAGCAGGAAUGUGGAAUCAUCUAAAGAAACUCUACAGUCACACCAACACUGCUCGUUGAUUUCAGCUUGAACAUGAGCUAGCCAAUCUCCAACAAGGCAGUCUCUCUAUUUCUGAUUUUUAUUCUAUCUUUAUGAUUAUUUGGGCUGAAUAUACUGAUAUAAUCUAUGCUACCUUACCUCCGAAGGUCUUAGUUUUGUUCAAUCUGUACAUGAAACUACUAAGAGAGAUCAAUUUAUGAUAAAACUGAUAUAUGAAUUUGAAAGCACUAGGUCCAAUCUUAUGAAUUGAGAAUCUGUCCCUUCCUUGGAUACAUGCCUCAAUGACUUAUUUCAUGAGGAGCAACGACUUCUUACUCAAAAUACCAUGAAACAAAAAAAAUCUACUUCUGUUCCUAUGGCUUAUGCAGCUCAAGGCAAGCCAAAAGGUAAGGACAUCAGUAUAGUUCAAUGUUUUUGUUGCAAAGGAUUUGGACAUUACGCUUCAAAUUGUUCAAAAAAAUUAUGCAACUAUUGCAAAAAAGAUGGACAUAUCAUUAAGGAAUGCCUUACUCGACCCCCCAAGAAAUCUGAAACAACAUAUGCUACCUCAGUUGGUUCUUCUAGUGAUGGUAGUUCUGUGGAUACAGCACAUUUGACCCAAAGUGCUCCUGUUCCUGUUCAAUCUGUGACCCCAUAAAUGAUUCAACAAAUGAUCAUUAUUGUAUUCUCCUCAUUAGGACUCUCAGGUAAAUCACCCACUAGAUCUCCUUGGUACUUUGAUUCUGGGGCUUCCCAUCACAUGACAAACAAUGCUAAAUUCUUCACCAAUGUAAGUAAAUACCUUAGAAAUCUAAAAAUUCAUACAGCUGAUGGCAACUCUUUACCUAUCACAGCCACUAGUGAUGUUUCUUUUUCUAUAACCAAUGUCUUUGUCUCUCCUGGUCUUCCUACUAAUCUUGUUUCAAUCGGUCAGUUAGUUGACAAUAAUUGUAAAGUAGAAUUCUCUAAAUCUAGUUGUGUUGUGCAGGAUCAGCAGUCAGGGAAGAUGAUUGCCAGGGGGCCUAAAAUAUGACGUCUUUUCCCUCUCCAAUUUGCUAAGUCUCCAUGUUUCUCUUUGCCUAUCAUCACUUGCAAUUUUACUAAGGUUAAUUAUCGAGCAUGGCAUAAACGUCUAGGACACCUAAACUCUAAUGUAUUUUAUGCUUUGCUAAAUUCUGGUUUACUUGGGAAUAAAAGAUCACCAUCCCUUAGUGUUGUUCAAUUUGAUUGCAAUUCUUGCAAGCUUGGAAAAAGUAAAAUUCUGCCAUUUCCCACUCACACACCGAAUGUUGUCCAGCCUUUUGAUUUGAUACAUAGUGAUGUGUGGGGUAUGGCGCCUGUUACAUCUCAUGCUAAUUACAAGUACUUUGUCACUUUUAUUGAUGACUAUAGUCGCUUCACAUGGAUUUAUUUUCUACAUUCUAAAGAUGAAGUGUUCUCUGUUUUCAAGCUUUUUCAUGCAUAUAUUCAGACCCAAUUUUCUACUAAUAUCAAAAUUCUUUGCUUUGAUAAUGGGGGUGAGUAUAUGUCUCAUUUAUUUUAAGAAUUUUUGCACACCAAUGGUAUAAUUUCUCAAAGAUCUUGUCCUUCAACCCCUCAACAAAAUGGGGUGGCUGAAAGAAAGAACUAUCACCUUCUCGAUGUUGUCUUCAUUUGUACCCUCUCGUUUUUGGUGUGAAGCUUUCUCCACUGUUGUCUAUCUCAUCAACAGAUUGUCCUCUCAUUCCUUGAACCAUGUCUCCCAUUUCUUUCAGUUAUUUGGCCAUACACUAAGUUACUCUCAUCUCCAUACCUUCAGUUGUGUGUGCUAUGUUCAUCUUCCUCCAUAUGAGCGUACAAAACUCACAGCCCAAGCUGUGAAAUGUGCUUUUCUAGGAUAUUUUAUGCACUAAAAAUGUUUUCUUUGUUAUGAUCCAAAUUUGCAUCAUAUAAGGGUUUCUCGAAAUGUGAUUUUCUUUGAAAAUCAGUAUUUCUUUUCCGCAUACCACGACGAUUCUUCGCCUUCAUUUUCUGUUUUGCCAAAGUUUACUAACCCUUCUGCAGAUUCUGCACCUUCUAAACCUAUCAUAGUCUAUCAGCGACGCAAGAAUUUAGUACCUCUCGGGCCCCCUCCAGCAACUUCCCUGAAUGUUGAUCCAGUUCCAGCAACUGCACCUGAACCUUUCAGACAUAGUACUCGGGUUCGUAGACCACCAGAUAGGUAUGGUUUCACCUCUCCAUUAUUUUUGACAGCCACUUUGUCUUCUAUUCUUAUUCCUUCAUCAUAUAAACAGGCAAUAGAGCAUGAAUUUUGGUGAAAAUCUAUUGAAUCAGAACUUCUUGCACUUGAAGAAAACCAAACUUGGGAUAUUGUUUCAUGUCCUCCAUCCGUGAAACCCCUUAGUAGUAAGCUAGUGUUUUCUAUCAAGCUGCGUUUUAAUGAAUCCAUAGAUCGUUACAAGGCUCGGUUGGUGGUUCUUGGCAACAAGCAAGAAUAUGGCCUAGACUACGAUGAGACCUUCGCGCCGGUAGCCAAAAUGACCACUGUUCGAACAAUAUUAGCCCUUGCUGCAUCACAAUCAUGUUCUUUACAUUAAAUGGAUGUAAAGAACGCUUUCCUACAUAGUGAUCUCAAGGAGGAAAUUUACAUGAAACUUCCCCACGGUAUGACUACUUCCUCUCCUAAUGAUGUUUGCAAACUAAAAUGUUCGUUGUAUGGGUUGAAGCAAGCACCGCGAGUAUGGUUUGAGAAGUUUCGAUCAACUCUUUUCAGUUUUUCAUUCACUCAAAGUCAGUAUGACUCCUCCUUUUUUUUUUCCAACAGACAUCUAAGGGCAUCAUUGUUCUCCUUAUUUAUGUGGAUGACAUCGUUAUCACUGGUUCUGAUAUGGAGGCAAUUUCUAAACUUCAGAAUUUGUUGCACUCUAUUUUUCACAUGAAAGACCUCGGUCAACUCACCUAUUUUUUGGGGUUAGAGGUGCAUUAUCUGCCUCAAGGUAUCUUCUUGAAUCAACACAAGUAUAUUCAGGAUUUAAUUUAAUUAGCUGGACUUAUGGACAAAAAUUCUGUUGACACCCCAGUGGAACUUAAUGUGAAAUAUCGACAAGACGAAAGGGAACUACUUCAAGAUCCUACUUAUCUAUCUAACUAUCACCCGCCCAGACAUCUCUUAUGCUGUCCACACCGUUAGCAAGUUCAUGCAAGCCCUUCGACAUCUCCACGUAUCCACAGUCCGCCGCAUCAUUAGAUAUAUUCUUGGCACUCUUAACUGCAGUUUAUUCUUCCCUACUGGUUCUUCACUCCAACUACAAGCCUACAAUGACGCAGAUUGGGCUAGCUGCCCGGACACGAGAAAAUCUACUUUGGGAUGGUGCAUGUUUCUUGGUGAUGCCCUUAGCUCUUGGAAAUGCAAAAAGCAAGACUCAGUCUCCAAAUAAUCCACUGAGGCAGAAUACCGCGCCAUGUCUGUAGCCUGCUCCAAGAUCAUUUGGUCGCGUGGUCUCUUAACAGAGCUUGGUUUCUCACAACAUCAACCUACUCCCCUACAUGCUGACAACACAAGUGCCAUCCAAAUUGUAGCCAACCCUGUCUACCAUGAGCGCAUGAAACACAUAGAGGUUGACUGCCACUCUAUUCGAGAGGCCUAUGACCACCAAGUUAUCACCCUCCUGCAUAUCUCCACUACUCUACUGAUUACGAAUAUCUUCACCAAAUCCAUGACAUGUCAGCGACAUAACGUUCUUGUUAGCAAAUUGAUGCUUGUAGAUUUACCAGCAUCAAUUUGAGGGGGGAUGUCAAAGGAAUUAGUAGAUCUUAUGGCAAAUUCUAUGCCUGUACAGCUGUAACAAUUAUCUUUAUGGUUGUAAAUCUUAUAUUUUUUCCUUAUUUAAGAUAUACUAGCUGUAGGCUAUUUUAGAUAGUUAUGUAUAUGGUAGUUUAGCCAUGUUUAUGGCUAAACAUAAGCUCGUAUUCAUAGUAUAUAAAGGGAAUUCUCCUCCAAGAGAAAGCAUAUGAAAGAAACUUAGUUCUAUAUUGUUUGGUAGGCUAGAAAAUGAAAGAAAAUAAAAGAAAAGCUUUGCAAAGAAAACUGUUAGAUCCUUUUAUUAUACCAAACUUACAGUUUAAUGACUAAAAAUUGAUAUUUAUAUUGAGCUACAAACUCUUCACACACACACACGAGAUUGUUGCAACACAUAACCAAUUGCUGUAUAACUAACUUGACACAUCAGCUCAACCAGCUAACUAACUUUGACAGGUCAGCUUAAUGAUUUGAUCUGAUACAACCAGCUACACAGCAACAUCAUGCUCUGCUCCAGCUUCAUCUAAUUCACUAACAACUUUUGCUCAAAAUUCUCUUAGUUUAUCACAGGGAAGUAUAGCUUUGGAAAAGGCCGGAUCAAUAACUAUGGAGAGAUUUAUAAGUGAUAAAAAUUCCCGUAACCCGCUGUCAAGAAAAUUUCACAUAGUUAAAGACGCCAUUUUGUUUCAGCCAAAAAUGUUUGUUUAAUCUGCCAAAAAUGUUUGUUUCGAUUAAAGACUUGAACCGUUUUCAUUUAACCUGAUUGUGAUGCUUUAUGUUAUGUAUGUUCCUCUCAAUCAAGAAAAGUUGAGGUUCAUGAUUUUAUAUUUCUAUCUUGUAACUUGCAAUAAUAACUGGUCUUCUUGUUUUUGUAGCUUGAUAACAUGAAUUUUCCUUCUCAAGUUAAUUUGAUCAAUAAAGUAAUUCUUCAAAGAAAAUAUGCCCAUUCUAUAAUCAUUUUCUUAGCUAAUAUGUUUUUUUUUUGUUUACUCUUCAGAGUGUGUCGAAACUAAUUGAUUGCUCGGCAGAGACUUUGGGUGACAAGUCAAAAUUUCAUGGUAAAUCCUCUGAAAAGGUAUGCAUAAUUCCUGAAUAUUAAAUAACCAAUGGUCAUAGUUUUUGUACACGACUCUUUUUGUGGAGAUCGUUAAAAGUGGUUGAUGAUCCAUUUGUAAUUUCAUAGAGGGAUCAUCAAUUCCUUUUCUUUUCUGUGGCUAGGCAUCACUUUCGUGCCAAAGUAAGGAAAUCUAUUUUAGGUAAUGUAAAAAACAAUGGUAGGAUGUAAUAGCUUAUUAUGCACUGACAAUAACUUUUUGUAUAAUUGUCAGUUUAAGGAAUACAAGAGGAACUCUGUUGACAAAUUCAUCCAAGAUAGAUGCUAAAAUUAUUUAUGCAUGCCAGUUGCCUUAACUAAUUUUUCUUAACACUUGUAUUGAACAGGAAAUGAGUAUGCAAUUUGUGUACGUGCCAUUGUGGAGAAUUUGGAUAUUCUUAUUUAAGUAAGAAGAAGAGUAUUUGCCUCAUCUUUAAACAAUGAAUCUUUGAGAAAUGAGGAGUGGGUGAUUGGAAGUGUCUUCAUGUAAAUGUUCAUUUACUUGUAUUUUGAACUAUUAUGAGAAUCUUUUAUAUGCCAAAUUAGUAAUACAAAUGUUCAGAUGAUUUUUCCUGUUGAUCACGCGUUUGUGUCUGCAGACAACCAUUGUAUAUCACUUUAUUCUGAUGUGCAAUUAUGUAUAGAUUAGAAGAAAAGAAAUAAUAGUCUUAUAUUAUUGUUUGGUUCAUGAUUAUUAAACGAUUAUGGCUUCAAAAAAUCUACAAAUUCCUUCUGUUCAUAUAUGAAUGUGCCAAGUUUGCUAUAUCUUAGAUUGCCUUCUUCCAAGAUAACAAGUUCAUAUGUUUUUUAAUCCUCUUCAAUCACAGUUGAAUUUUAAGUGUUAAGAUUUGUUAUUAAUACCUGGUUCCCUGUUAUUAUGAUUUUUAUUAUGAUUUCAUAAACAGUGUACGGACAUGUGCUCUACUUUUAAAGGGCCUCCACGUGAAAGAAAAUUGCAACAAUUGAAUUCUUCCGGAGGGUAUGGCAUUUAAUUUAUUUUCUCAACUUCUUGUAAGACUAAUAUAUUUCCUUCAGUAGGCAGGGCAUGUUGGGAAGGGCUUUUAUUGAAAGAAUUCUGAUAUUUCUUAGACUUUGUUUUGGAAGGGAGGUGGAGGGAUUUCUCAUCCAUAUAUGGUUACUUGAUUAGCUUUUGACUGUAUUGCCUCAGUCGUGCAAAGGAAGAUCCAAAUACUAAUGAAUGAGAAUUGGUUAGAGACCCAAAAGACAGAAAUGAACUACAGAAGGAAGUUUUUGCUGCUUUAUUUAGUGUUCCUGAGAACUCUGAUGAAGAUGGAGUGGAGGUCCAAAGCAUUAAGAAAGGUGGUGAGUGAACCGCCAGAGGAAUUGGUACCAGAAUACAAAGCUAAUGUGGUGCAUUUGCAGCAAGAUAACCAGACUAGUAUGUGCUCUUGUAUUAACUAUAUUGACUGGAUUUGUGAGCAUGUUCAUUUUUGUGUGUAUAAUCACUUUUGUAUUUAUGCAUAUUAAUGUUAGUAGGAUUCUUGAUUUCCUCCACUUACUGGAGAACUAGUGGAAAGCUUUAUAGUGAAAUAUCUGCAAUAACUAAUGGAAACCAUGAUUUGAAUAUUUUCUCUCACCUGGAGAGCUUUGUAACAGAUGUACUUUGUGGCUAUGGAAUACUAGAGAUUCUGCAAUAACUAAUGGAAACUCUGAUAUGAAUAUUUUCUCUCACCUGCAGAACUUUGUAACAGAUACACUUUGUGGCUCUGGAAUGUCUAAAGAUUUUGUCUGCUUCAGUUAGAUCAAAUAUCUUUUAGUUACCUACAUUAUGGAAAAGAUAGAGUUCUCUGAAUCUGAAAGACUGAAACAUUUUGCAUAUUUCGUGAAAGGAAAAUAUCUGUAGAUACUAGUUCAUGCAUUGAGGUAACAUCAAUGUUAAAGAAAAACAGCAAUAACUUAUUAUAUAGAAUUAGGUUCACUUGCUUUAAAUGCUGGUCUGGUCAACCAUAUGAACCUGUAAGUGUAUCUGCAGAAAUAUAUAUGGGGGGACAAACUAGCUAAAUUUUCCUCUCAUUUCUGGCUUUGGUCAUUUUUUCCCCUUAUUUUUCAGCUUUCCUUCUCCUGAAGUAUGUUAACAAUUGCAGAUAAUGACGAAGAGGACAGCUUGCAGGCUCUUCGUGGAGCUGUGAUGGAAUAUAGGGGCACAAUGAAAGAACAUUUUAAAGCUGUAGGUUCUUUUUCUCCUGUCAUUUAUAUUUGCUCACACAUUUUUCAUAUGCUCCAAGCAUGCAAGUUUGUAUGUGUCUUUGCCUUUUAAGUUUUAAAAACCAUAAGGUAAGAAUACAGUUCCUCGUCAGGUUAUUGAUGCAUUCACUCCGGAGGAUCAUGUUCGAGCAGGAAAACUUCUAGAACAGGCAAGGUUUUCCAUCUACAGCCAUCUAUUGACAACAGAUACAUUUUCAUUCAGCAGACACUGUUAGCAUUCAAGAUGCUGGCAGAUUCACUUGAUUCUUAUUAGUUUGUUUAGUGGUAAAGCAUAUAACCUGUUUUUCAAAGCCAAGUUGUGCUAUUGAUUAUGUUAACUUUAUUGUUCACAUAAAGUGAUAUGGAGGAAAUAAUCAUUGUAGGAAAAUUAGGUGAAGAGGUGAUGUCAAAUCUUGAACCUGUUACAAAACUCCAAGUUCUUUACUUGAAGAAGCUACCAAAUUUGAACAGGGUCCACUGGAAGGCCUUGCCAUUCCCUGAUGCCUGCAGAAUUUUUGUAUUUAAAUGCCCAGAGCUUAAGAAGCUGCCACCGGAUCUUGAAAGGGCAGGCCAAGGUAAAAUUCUUAUCAAGGGAAAGGAAGAUUGGUGGAAACAACUUCAAUCGGAGGAUCAAGUAACUCAGAAUGCAUUGCUUCUAUUUUUAAAAUCAACUGACAAGUGAUUGAAGGGGGCAUCAUCAACAUCAUCAACAUGGAUGGAGAGAUUCAGGAGCAGAUCCGCAGGGUUUAUUACGACCUGUGGUGGUUGCUUUUUUGUGACUUGUUCCCUUUCAUUUUUUCACUUCCUGUCAUAUUAUCAUUUCUUUGUCUCUGUUUCUAUUGCUGAUGUUGCUGCAUGCUUGCAGCCCUUGACAAAGUUAGCAAUGCAAUAUAGAUUUUGAAAUUAAAUUUUGUAUGUUCGGGACAGUCACAAAGUACUACUUGUUCUAUAUGGGGGUGAUGUGAAUCAACUUUUCAAUUAUAUAUUCUGUGGUAAUUGUGAAUUCAAUUUCAUUUGUCUCCUGCAAAUUAUGAAGAAAGUGCAGAGUUAGAAUAUCGAAAAGUUCACUGGCAAAUACUUUGUAAAAGCUUCGGAGUGAAACAGGGAAUGCACUUGCAACUAAGGACAAAUUGGUGGCCAGCUAAUGCAUUCAUUUUAUGUACAUUCAUCUUUUUAAUUAUUGAAGAUAAGUGGUUCGUUGCUUUUGUUGUAGAAAAAAUUCAGACGACCUCAAUUGUGAGAUGAAAAUAUUUAAAAUAUCUCUUAAAUUAUUAUAAACUUUAAUUUAUCUUAAUUUUAUUUAAAAGAUAAAAGAAAAAUGUGGUAUAUGGGUAAAAAUUUUUUUAUCUUGUUAAUAAAAUGAAAUAAAUUAAAAUUUACAAUAAUUUAAAGUAUUUUAAAAUUAUUAUUUCAUAAGAGAUUAAUAUGAAAUUAAUCCUUUUUACUUUUUGAAUGUGAAAGGACAAGAAAAGAGAAAGCUAGUGUCACUGCUUUUUAUUUUAUUUGAAAUCGGAGUUAUCCCAUAUACUUUACUACUUUAGCUCUAACAUUACAAUGUUUUUAGGCUACACUUUUAUUUUUCUUUUUCCCCCUUUUUUUAUACAUGCAUGUGGAUUACUUUUCUCUAAGCUCCUUAAUAUUUAAGACAAAUCAUAAAAGCAAUUGAAGCAUAACAAGAUGAUCAAAACAUUUAACCGAAAAAAAAAGAAAUAAAACAUUGAAAAUGGAGAUGUUGAUUAAUUUAGAAGAGAUGCAAGCAAAAAAUAUUCCCAAAAAAAAAAAAAAAAAAAGCAACGUUAGUUCAUCCAUGUCUGUCAAUGCGUUUUUUAUGGUUUUUUUUUUCCAGUUGUUUGUUGUAAUAGAUUAAUUGUAAAUUGAUAUAAACUUGAUGUUGUAAUAUGUUCGCUUUUGUGGAAAUAAAUUUCAAUAUUCAAGAUUAUUCAAGUCUUAUCUAGUAUGUGUUCGGUUGUGUUGUCGAUAAUUUUACAUUCUAAUAAGUUUUCACCUAAAAUAUUAGCAUGAGUAGUAGUCCUUAAACCUUUGGUCAAAAUUAUUGUUAUUGUUUCUUUUAGAGGAAAUUUUUUUAUUAAAGCCUCGUUAACACUAUUCCUUAUUAAGAUUAUAAGUUAGUGUCGGUGCAGGAUUUGCAGCGACAAAUCUUGUCUAGCCACGUGUCAAAAUACAAAUAAAUCAAGGGAAAGCACAUGACAUGGAUUAGGAUCCAAUAAAAUUUAAAUCCCAAGGAAAAGGACAACUGUAUCCUAAAGUUUCAAUAAGAGAUACUGGGAUAUCUUUUGACUAAUGUUAUUUUUUGGCUUUAUUAAUAAAAAGAUCCAAUAGUUUAUAACAAAUAAAAAUAUAGUAUUAAGCUAAAUGUGAUAAUUUACACAUUUUACAUAAUUUCAAUAAAAAUUUUUUUAAUGUUUUACAAUCUAUCAGACAUAUUUUAUUAAAUUAAUAAGAAUUUUCUUAUAAAUAGCAACAUAAUAUUAAAAUAAAUUUAUAAAAAUUUAAAUGUAAAAUAAUUUUAGUAUAAUUAAUACGCGGGAUAUAUUUUGUAAAUUAUAAAAUUACUUAACCCAAUGAUUUUUAAAAAUCUUUAAAAUAAAUAAAAAUAAAUUAUUCACAUUUUGAUGUAAAUAUUUAAAACAUUUUUAUACAUUAGUCCACAAUUAUUUAUGUUAUAUUUGUAUUUAUUAGAAAUUUUGAAAGUCAAAUGUUUUUUACCUCUAUGUUAUUAGAAUUAUUGCACACAGAGAAAGAGCCAUAUAUGCUUUAUAACUUUAAAAUCGAUUUGUUUUAUAGCUGGGAAUAGAGAUGAUCAUUAUUAUAAGGAUUUUUUAAAAAAAGAUAAAGAAUAUUAAUGAUUAGCGAAAUCUCUAUGGAAAUUGAAUUUAGUAAGAAAAAAUUGAGCUGAUUUUAGUGGUAUAGUAAUAUUUUAUAUAGAGAAAAGUAAAAGCUGCACCCAAGGUUAAGGGAAAUGGUCAAAAUUCUUUUUUAAUCAUAAUACCCUUUUUCCUAGAUAAUUUAAAAAUUUUACUCUAAUAGUUUAUAAUAAAUAAAAACAUAUAAUCCUAAAAUAAAUAAAAUGAUAUAUAUUUUAAAAUAAUCUCAAUAUUUAAAAUAUAUUUUAACAUUUUAUAAUCUAUUAGAUAUAUUUUAUUAUAUUAAAGUAAAUUUUAUAAUAAAUACAAAACAUACUAUUAAAAUAGAUAUAAAAAUUUUAAAGUAUUUUGAAUAUUAUAUAAAAUAACUUUAAUAUUGUUAAUGCAUGAGAUGCAUUUUAUUAAUUAAAAAUUCUAUGUAACCCAAAGAUUUAUUUAUAAUAAAUUAAUAAUCAUAUUUUUGAAAUUAUUUUAAAUAUUAAAAAAUAUUUUAAUAUUACUAACUAUUAGAUAGACUAAACUAUUUAUUUUAUUUUCUAUUUAUUAUAAAAUUUCAAAGUUAAUCUUUUUAACUACUAUUCAAAAGAUGUUAUGAUAAAAACAGAAUUUUUGUGUUUUUAUUGAAAAUUUGGAGUUUACAUCUAUUUUUUCAAAUAUUCAGGGUGUAACUGUUUUUUCCCUUUUAUAUAUACGAACGGUGGUGAGAAAGUUUGAUUUAACGUUAUUUAUUUAAAUAAAAUCUCAGUUAAAAAUGUACAGAGAAGAAAUUUCGGUUGGUAUUUUAGUCUUGGUAAUCUCUAUAUUAUAUGCAUAUAAGAUACAUCAUUCUCACAUGAAUAGUAUAUGUGUGAGAUCCAUAUAUUAUUCAUGUGAGGGAGAUGUAUCUUAAUAAGAUAGAGGGAUCCGUUAGUCUUUUACCAAUCAUCACGAUUAGGCCUUGGCCUUGAAACAUUAAUUGUUUCACUUUUAGCGCUAGUGGCGUUGAAAGUUGUCAAGAAAAAGCAAGACCAUAUUCCACAAAAGCAAAAGUAACGUAGGCUCUUUUAUUAAAGGCAAAGUAUAAAGUAGUCAAGAAUCGAAUAUCCUGUCGUCUACUCUUUUUUAAAUUCUUCUUUUAUUAUCGUUUAGAAUAGUUUUUGGUAAUUACAAUCAUUAUUCAGAGUUAUUGUUAUCUUCCGGGGCAGUCUCUGUUCAUCGAAGUCGUUACCUUUUUUUUAAUGGAUCAGUUCCAGUGGUAAGCAGUAAUUUUCUUAGAACUCGGAUCUUUAAUUCGAGUUUCUGUGUGAAUUAAUAAUAAAAAAUUUUCAUUACACGCAAUUUAAGCUACGAAUUACUUUUUGCAAAGUUGAAUAUGGAAUUGGAGAAAUUAAGUAAUUUAGAAUGUUGGUAAAAAUUGACGAACAUAUCUCCAAUUACAGUAAAACCUCUCUACAGUCAUAACAUUAUAACAAAAUUAAUUUUAUUACUAUGUUGAGGUAAUAUAGGUUUAGUUACAAAAUUAUUGUUUUAAUAUGGUUAGUGUCAAGUGAUAUAAAGGUUAAGUAUGCAGUACAUUAAUAAUUAAAUAAUGAAGUGUCAAAUCUAAUGUAUAUAUAUUAAUGAUAUAGAUAGACAUAGUUUUAAAAAACUAAUUAAUGUAUAUUUAUGUAGUGUUAUGAAUAUGGAAAGUCAAGCCUACACUUUACAUUAUCCUUAAUUUUUUCUCUCAGUUAAAUUCUACAAAUAUUGUACAAUGGUUGGGCAAGAACUCUAAAUUAAGAAUAAAUUAUUGUCACAAAUAAUUUUAGAAAAUAUUUUAUUUCGUCUUAAACCUUUAAUAUAAAUAAACAUAUAUAUAUAUAUAUAUAUAUAUAUAUAUAUAUAUAUGUGUGUGUGUGUGUGUGUGUGUGUGUGUGUGUGUGUGUGUGUGUGUGUGUGUGUGCAUAUUUUGCAACGUAUAGAUAAUUGUUAGUAUAUGGAGACAAGUCUUUUAAGGUAGGACCUAGGAAAAUUUAUAACUUACUACACUGUGGAGUUUUUAUUCCUUUUUAUAAUUGGCUCAUAUUGAUACAUUCUUACACAAAAUAUUACCAUUGACAUAUUUUACUACAAUUAGUUUAGAACAUUUGUUAGGAAAAAAAAGAAAAGAAAAGAAAACAUCCCUUGGAUGUAGCUCUCCUGACUAUUUAAAUCUUUUAAGGAAAAAAAGAAAAAAGAAAAACUGGCACAUUCAAAUCUUGAAGCAAUUACAUUAAAAUCUCUCCAUAAUGAUAGGAAUAAUCUCCAUUUAGUAAUAAAAAAUUUUGUUCGCAAUUUAGGCAGAGUUAUAAAUAAGAAUAAAAUCCUCAUUGUAAUAAGUUAUAUUUAUUAUGGAUCCCAUCCUAAGGAAUUCGUCUCUAUAUAGUAAUAAUUAUUUGCAUAUUAUAAAUAUAUAUGUUGCAUUAGAUUAAAUGAACUUGUCUCCACAUACUACUUAGACAACGAGAGAAAAUUAUUAAAGAGAACACAAAUAUUUAGAUAUUUUUAAGAUUACUUUGCAUAUUUAUAACAAUAAUACAUUGAUAUAUGUAUUAGUUUUUUGAUAUAUUAGAUUUAACAUGCUCUAUUAAUAAAUUAUUAAUACGAUGCAUAUUCAUCUCUAUAUCCUUGCAAUAAAAGUAACUAAGUUAUAACAAUAAUUAUUAAUAAAUUAUUAAUACGUUGCGUACUUCAUCUCUAUAUCCUUACAAUAAAAAUAACUAAGUUAUAAUGAUAAUUUUUGUAACUACAUACUUAUUAGGUUUUAACUACUUCAUAAUAAUAAAUUAGUUUCGUCCUAAUAUUAUAAUUAUGUAGAGUUGUAGUGUAUAGACACACCCAAUUUAAAUAGUAUAUCAAAUAAAAUUGUCCCCACGAAAAAGAAAAAAGGGGUAAAGGAUUCUCAUUUCUUCAAACAUUAGGAUCACGUUUGUACAAGUGCGAUGCCUUUCUUUUGAAGGCAACGUCAGUGGGUACCCAAUAGGACGUGUGUAAAUCUUUCCAAAAUUUCUCUGGUAUAACGGACAGAGAUCAUUACUUUUCUCUUCCAUAUACCACAGCAGCUUCAGUUAAUCAGACUCAAUCAAUUUUCUUGGUUUCUUCGCUUAUCAAAAUUCCAAAAUAUGGGUAGCAUAUUUCAAAUCACAUGCGAUGGUGCUUUUUUCAAUCGUUGCUUGGAUUGCUUUCUUGGAAAAGUAGCAAACACAAGUAAGCUCCAAGAUAACCUUGUUGCCUUGGAGACUGAAUUGGGAAAACUAAUCGCAGCAAAGAACGAUGUGAUGAUGAGGGUUGUCAAUGCUGAACGGCAACACCUGAGAACGCUGGACCAAGUGCAAGUGUGGCUUUCGAGGGUGGAAGCUGUUGAAACUGAAGCUGAUGAAUUGAAAAGACACGGCUCUCAAGAAAUUGACAAAUUAUGUGUUGGAGGCUACUGUUCCAAGAACUGCGCGUCAAGCUACAAGUUCGGGAAACAAGUGGCUAAAAAGCUACGGGAUGUGCAGACUUUAAUCGACGAAGGAGUUUUUGCGGCGGUGGCUACCGAGGUGGUGCCUGAGAGAGCUCCAGAACCUGUAGCAGAUGAAAGACCCACUGAGCCAACAAUAGUAGGCUUGCAAUCACAACUUGAACAAGUUUGGAGAUGUCUUGUAGAAGAAUCAGUGGGAAUCAUUGGCCUAUAUGGUAUGGGCGGUGUUGGUAAAACUACACUAUUGACCCAUAUCAACAAUAAAUUUCUUGAGAGUCCAACCAGUUUUGAUUGUGUGAUUUGGGCCGUAGUUUCAAAGGACUUGCGACUCGAAAAAAUUCAAGAAGAUAUUGGGAAAAAGAUCGGUUUGGUUGAUGAUUCAUGGAAGAGUAAAAGUGUAGAGGAGAAAGCUCUCGACAUCUUCCGGAGUUUAAGAGAGAAGAGAAUUGUAUUGCUGUUAGAUGAUAUAUGGGAGCGGGUUGAUUUAACAAAAGUGGGCAUUCCACUUUCCGGACCAAAAAAUACUACAUCAAAAGUCGUAUUCACAACCCGUUUCGUCGAUGUUUGUGGUAGCAUGGAAGCUGACAAGAAGUUCCAGGUGGCAUGCUUAUCAGAAGAGCAUGCUUGGGAACUGUUUCGAAAAAAAGUUGGGGAAGAAACUCUUGAGAGUGAUCAUGAUAUCGUUGAGCUAGCCCAAACUGUGGCCAAAGAGUGUGGUGGUUUGCCACUCGCACUUAUUACUAUUGGUCGAGCUAUGGCCUUCAAAAAGACAGCCGAGGAGUGGAGUCAUGCAAUUGAUGUGCUAAGAACAUCAGCUUCUGAGUUUGCAGGUUUGGGAGAAAAGGUUUAUCGUCUUUUAAAGUUUAGCUAUGAUAGUUUGCAGAAUGAGACGAUUAGAUCUUGUUUCUUAUAUUGUUGUUUAUAUCCCGAGGAUUAUAGCAUUCUUAAAUGGGACUUGAUUGAUUGUUGGAUUGGUGAGGGAUUCUUAGAGGAAUCUGACAGGUUCAGUGCAGAAAACCAAGGAUACUACAUUGUGGGCACUCUUGUUCAUGCAUGUUUAUUGGAAGAGUUAGAAGAUGAUAAAGUAAAAAUGCAUGACGUUGUUCGUGAUAUGGCUCGAUGGAUAGCUUGUGAAAUUGAGAAGGAGAAGAGAAAAUUUUUGGUUUGUGCAGGUGCUGGAGUAGGAGCGGUGUCAGAUGUUGAAGGAUGGGAAAAUGUGGGAAGAUUGUCAUUGAUGCAAAACCAAAUUGAAAUUCUGUCAGAGGUUCCCACAUGCCCUCAUCUCCUCACUUUAUUUCUUGACUUUAAUUAUAAAUUGGAGAUGAUCACCGAUGGCUUCUUCCAAUGUAUGCCUUCUCUCAAAGUUUUGAAGAUGUCAAACUGUGGGCAUGUCAAAGUUUUGAAAUUACCUUUUGGGAUGUCAAAGCUGGGUUCACUACAACUUCUUGAUAUUUCACAUACCGGCAUAAGAGAGUUACCAGAAGAGUUAAAGUUGUUGGUAAAUCUGAAAUGUUUGAAUUUGAGGUGGACACAUAUGUUAAAUAAAAUUCCACGGCAGCUAAUAUCAAAUUCUUCAUGGUUACGUGUGUUGAGAAUGUUCGCUAUUGGCUUUGAAAAUUCUAAAGAACCAUCAGAAGACAGCGUUUUAAUUGGUGGGGGUGAAGUUUUAGUACAUGAAUUGCUCGGUUUGAAAUAUUUAGAGGUAUUGGAGUUGACCUUGCGAAGUUAUGAUGCUCUCCAAUUUUUUUUGAGCUCAAAUAAGUUAAAAAGUUGUAUUCGAUCUCUUUUCCUCAAUAAGCUGGGAGAUACAAAGUCGAUUCAUGCUACGGCUUUCGCAGAUCUAAAGCAUCUCAAUGAACUAUGCAUUCGUUCGGCAGUGGAGUUGGAAGAAUUGAAGGUUGAUUAUACAGAGAUUGCGCCAAAAAGGUCGGAACCUUUUGUUUUCCGCAGCCUUCACCGUGUUACUAUGGAGCGGUGCCAUAAAUUGAAAGAUUUGACAUUCCUCGUUUUUGCUCCAAGCCUCAAGUCUCUUUCGCUAUACGGUUGCAAUGCUAUAGAAGAAAUAAUCAGCGUUGGAAAAUUUGCUGAGACUCCUGAGGUGAUGGGACAUAUAAGCCCUUUUGGAAAUCUCCAAACGCUUUAUUUAACUGAUUUGCCAGAGUUGAAAAGCAUCUACUGGAAGCCAUUGCCUUUCACUCAUCUCAAAGAAAUGACGGUACAUGGGUGUAAUCAGCUUAAAAAGCUUCCAUUCGAUUCCAACAGUGCAACAGAGCGUAAAUUUGUUAUUCGUGGAUACACACUCUGGUGGAACCGUCUUCAAUGGGAGGAUGAAGCCACUCAAAUUGCUUUUCGUUCCUGUUUCCAAUCUCAUGAAAUAUAAAUUCCUGAGCGGUGGUUGCAAAAUUUGAUUUCUAGUGAGUGCUUUUUUCUUAAACUCUUACAUAUAUUCUCGUCGUUUGCUUCGUGCAACGGACUAGGUUUUUAUUUCAGAUUCGUUUUUUGUCUCCUGCAAAUCACAAUUAAAUGUUGAAUUAUAUGGAGUCAAUGCUUUAUAAAAUUUUCAAGGCACUGCCAUUUCCUUUUUCUUUUUCUUUUUUUUUUUGGGUCGAAUUGAUGCUCUGGCUUUUUACUUUUUGUUGUCACAUUUUGCUCUGUUUUUUCAAGUUGAUGCUUGAAUAGUUGAAUUCAAUUGAUGCUCACAUAAAUUUGUUUAGUUGCCGCAAAAGGAUAUAAUUAGACUGAAGUACACACUUCUAGAAUGAAUACAAAAUGUUAAGUAUACUAGCCCUCUUUACAGAAAAUCAAAUGAAAAUCAAUUUUUUGGGGCUUUGAUUUUCUAUGGUCUAUUAUAUACUCUUUUUAAUAUCUUCUGUUCUAACUAUAACCAAAUCCUUUGUUCAAGGAUUUUUAUUUGGGGUAUUGAUAACUGUCCACCAAAAGAGUGAACACUUGGAUGCUGCUCAAGGAUCUCUAAUCAAUAGCUGGAAGCAACUGAGAAGGCGGUCGCUACUGUUUACAAAGCGAUGCAGUAUUUGCCAUUCAUCUUAAUAAUUAUGAAGCUUUGGUAAAAUUUUCAAACAAAGUUGAACACAUGUUGUUUUGAGAUUUGGUUCAUGAUUUUGGAUGAAUAUCGUUGUUCCGUUUGAGUUGGAUGUGAAUUCAAAAUCUAUAUAUUCUUUGGUUUUCAAUUCUGAACUCAAUUUCUUUUUCUCAAGCAUGUUAUGCAGAAAUGAUUUUUUACUAAAUCAUUUUUGAUGAAUUGUUUAAAUUAAACAAUUGGAAUAAGAAUUGAAAAGGUUUAUCAUAAGCAUGCUAAUAUGAUAAGUUGUUUUAUGAACGAUUAAUUAAUUAAUCAAUUAAUAUUAAAUUAUCUAUUAGUCAAUUAGAUAUGCGUUACAUGUCAUGUUUAAAAAUUAUUUAUUUAUAUUUCAAACAAAUUUGACUGGAUGUUGUGUAGGUAAUACUACAUAAUUUCAAAACAAAAAAAGUAAUAAAAACACGUUAAAUUUUGUUUUUAUGAAGAAAAAUUUAAAAUUUUAUUAAAUAGGUGAAAAUAAUAAAUGGAUUCGUGUAUGGUUUGAGAUUCUUGACAUAAUUAUGAAAUAAGCCGGAUUCGACUUAGUUCAAUUUUGACGCGAUAAGAAGACGACACCACACAAACACACGAUAAGAACCGUUACCUGAGAAGAUUGCCAUCAGGAAUUUUGAAAUUGAUUUCACUACAAUACCUUAAUCUUUCAGAUACUACCAUCACUGAGCUGCCAGAAGAGCUAAAAGCCUUGGUAAAUCUUAAGUGUUUGAACUGUACACAAAUUAUCUCUCUACAAUUCAAAAACAACUAAUUUGUUACUUUUUCAAUGCUACAUGUUCUGCGAAUAUUGAGUUGUGGUUAUCUUGUUGAAAUAUCAGACAAUAGAGUUCUAUUUGGUGGUAGUGAAUUGUUGGUUGGGGAGUUGCCUAGUUUAAAACGUUUAAAUGUAUUAAGCAUCACCUUACAAGGUUUUUCUGCUGUCCAAAAACUUAUGAGCUCUCAAAAGUUUCAAAGCUGUACAAAAUGUUUGGAGCUUAUAGACUGUGAUGAUUCAAAGUCUUUUGCCUUGGCAGAGUUGAAGCAUCUCGAAAAACUAGUUUUUUGAAUUGUGGAAGAGUUUAAGUUCUGCUUUGUUGAAGUUGGAAAAGCUCAAGAAUGUUUUCGUUUGAACAGUUUUCACCGAGUUAAUAUAAAGGCUUGUCAUAAAUUGAGGGACGUGACAUGGCUUGUAUUUGCUCCAAAUCUUACAGUUAUUCAAAUAGAAAAAUGUAUGCAGAUGGAAGUAAUAGUCAGUGCAAGGAAAUUGGGUGAAGUUCCAGAGAUGAUGGCAGAUCUAAACCCUUUUGCAAAUAUCUUUGCCAGCGAGUUCUACCAAAAUUAAAAAGCGUCUAUUGGAAUGAGUCACCCUUUCCACAUGUCAGGGAAAUUAUUGUAUCUGAAUGCCCAAUUCUCAAGAAGCUUUCACUCGGUUUUAACAAUGCAAAGGAAUCUAAAAUUGUCAUUAGGGGAGAGGAACACUGGUGGAGUGAGCUGCAAAGGGAGGAUGAAGCGACCGUUAAUGCUUUUCUUCCUUGUUUCGGUUCCAUUUGAUAGGCAUCAACAUGGAUUUAUAUUUUGCGGUGGACAACUUGUGGUAAGUGCUUUUCCAUUUAUUACAUGUUUAUAUCUAACUUUUGUUUUCCUUUAUGGUUAAAUUUUACUGUAUAUAUGUUGUUAUACGGUGACAUUCUCGCAUCAAUUAUUAGCUUUUUAAUUCUCUUCUGGCAUUAAUUGCCCUUCUGAUCAUGUAGGAUAUGCCGAUGUCAAAGAGUAGUAAAUUGGGAUACAAAUGUAAGAAUUAGCCAGAUGACAUGUUGUUUUGAAGCUCUCUCGAAGGACUAGUUAUGUCAUUCAAAGCAUCCAAUUUCGCUACUUUUUUUUUCAUUUGUUGCUUUUUAUAUUUCUAGAUAGCUUGAUAUUCGGCCAAGACAUCGAUAGGAGGGCACAUUGUGCAUGCACACUAGUGGAUGAUUUGGGCAUGCCGAAUCCAAUUAGCGUGGAUGACCCUUUAUAAGCAUCAGGCUUCUCUCAUACCAGAGCAAUGUAGAAUAUGUUUAUAAACUGUGGAUUACCCUUUAUAAGUUUAGACUUCUUCUAUACUCGAGCGAUGUGGAAUACCUGUAUAAGCAUUAAGCUUCUCUCAUACACUUUAUGUUAAAAAUAAUAAUAAUAAUAAUAAAAUAAAUCCAUUUUAAAAUAGGCUCUUUUUUUCUUUUUUUAUAUAAACAAAAUGCAUUCUUCAAAUCAAUAGUGGGUGGAAGAAGUGAGUAGAGAAGGACUAGGCCCCUUCAUUCCGCCUAAAACCUCACCGAAACCUCUCUUGUGAACUUCUCAGAUUCUCUCUCAAUAUUUCUUAUGAUCUCGUUUUUGAUAGAAUCACUUCUAUUGCAUGCUGCAUUUUGUGCGUCGUUUUUGGGUAAUAUCUUAUCUGGAAUGCUGUUAUGAUCAAUAGAACAAGUAAUCAAUUUUUGGUUUGACGGAAGUCGAUUUAUUUAUUUACUAUUGUUUUUUAUUUGAAAUUUUGACAGUUGUGUUUCAUUCAUUUCUUUCCUUCUUUUUUUAUUUUAUAUUUAUUAUGUAUAAUUGUGUUUCAUUUGAUAUUGAUCAUACUGUAGAUAACUAUGUGAUUGUAGCUGGGGAUUUUAAGUUUUGUGAAUUCAAGAAACUGUCAAAAUGCUAGUGAAAUUGGGACCUUUAUUCAUAAGCUUGUGGUUUUCAAAAGUAGCCGGGUUCAACUGAUGAAGUUCCUUUUUGGGAUUCUUUUUUUUCUAGGCUGCAAUUCGGAUAUGUACCUGAUAGACAAUCUUUUGUGAGUUUAGCAUAUCUUCUCCGAUUUUGUCUUUUAUUCCCCAACUUUACAGCUACACACCAUGAAUGCUGGGUGAUUGUACAGAAAAUUUGUGUUAGAACAAAAGCAUUGUGAAGGAGUUUCUGUGCUAUAAGUUAUUGGCUUCAGCUUUAUUGGCAUUAAUUGGGUAGAUUAUGUGUUACAGUGAUUCAAUUUGUGAUCCACACUUUAAUUUUCUCUUUUCCCCAAUUAUUUAUGUCAAAUUCAAAUCCAGAAGCAUGCGCUGAUUUUUUUUUUUUUUUGUGAUAAUCUGUGAAGUUUAUUUGGAAAGGACGUAUCUGGGUUUAAUGGAUUAAAUUAUGACAUUGAGGGAAAGGCACUAAAGGUUUUGCUUGACACAUUUGGUCUGUGUUUACUCUGCAAUAAAUAGCUUCGCUUAUCAGAAAUCCCUAUUUGGCUGGUGAAUUUCUCUGUGACAGACAGGCAAACACCUAAACCGCUUCUAUCCAUUUUUCUGCUGGUGAGGUAAGGGGUAAAAAGUCUUCAAAAUCAUCAAAUAGUAACAUCUCUGAGAAUUGGUUUUAGAAAAAUGGAAAAUCUAGACCUACUAGGACAAAAUGGCGUCCGGUAUCAGGAGGUACCGUUUCAAGUUUUCUUGGUAAAGAAUAUAUUAAACCUGCGCAACCAGCUAAUGGCACUUUUCUGGCAUCAAAGCCAUUGAAGUUGGAUCUAAAGGAGUUUUCCCAUGCCUGCAUUGUGCAGAGAAGAAACUAAACAAAAACAAUCAAAGAAUGACCAUUUGCAGAAGGAUACGGAAGAUUUUCUAUUUAAAUUGUUAGGAGAAGGGUCCCAGCUGAACAGGGAUGUGAUUCAGGAGGUUCUCGGUAAUGUCUUAAAUAUACUGAUGCCAAUUUAAUACAUAUUGUCCUUUUCAAUGUUCUUUCUUUCUUUCUUUUUUUUUUCCUUCUUCUUCUUUUUCUUUUCGUGUGCAUGUGAUCACUGAUUUGGUAUUAUGCUUAAGUUGCAGAUAGCUGUGGAUUUGAUAUGCAAAAGGUAAGGACUAUAUCUUCCUGAUGUAGGCCUCUGCUUUUUCCCCUUCUAUGUAAUUUAGUAAUUCACAUCUUCCUUUGUGAUUGUUAUAUCAUAUCGAAGUCAAGUCUUAAAUACUGCUGUCAUAUGUGAAGGUUCAACUUGCAUUUUGAUUAAGAUCCAUUUGCUGCUGCUUCCAAAAGUGAGAAUGAGAUACUUUGGUUAAUUUCAGUGGUUGAACCCAAUAGAGAACUUUAUUUAGAUCUUCAUGGUUCAAAGGCCUGAAAAAACUUGCCCGUAAUUGUAAAAUGACAUUCUGUGCUUUUUAUGCAAUAGGGAACAGGGAAGUAGAGCUUUGGAAAAGCCUGGAUUGAUAACUAUGGAGAGACUUAUUAUUUAAGUGAUGAAAAAUUCCCAUCGCCCGCAGUCAAGAAAAUUUCAGAUAGUUAAAGACUCCAUUUUGCUUCAGCCAAAAAUGUUUGUUUCAAUUAAAGACUUGAACCAUUUUCAUUGAACCUGAUUGUGAUCCUUUACGUUAUGCAUGUUCCUCUCAAUCAAGAAAAGUUGAGGUCAUGAUUCUAUAUUUCUAUAUUGUAACUUGAAAUAAUAAUUGGUCUACUUGUUUCUGUAUCUUGAUAAUAUGAAUUUUCCUUCUCAAGUUAAUUUGUUCAAUAAAGUAAUUCUUCAAAGAAAAUAUGCCCAUUCUAUAAUCAUUUUCUUAGCUCAGAUGUUUUUUCUUCACUCUUCAGAGCAUGUCAAAACUAAUUGAUCGCUUGGCAGAUACUUUGGGUAAGAAGACAAAAUUUCUUGGUAAAUCCUCGGAAAAGGUAUGCAUAAUUCCCGAGUAUUAAAUAACCAAUAGUCAUAAUUUUUGUACAUGACUCUUUUUUCUCUUUUUUGUGGAGAUCAUUAAAAUUGGUUGAUGAUCCAUUUUGUAACAUCAUAGAGGGAUCAUCAAUUCCUUCUCUUUUCUGUGGCUAGGCAACACUUUCAGGCCAAAGUAAGAAAAUCUAUUUUAGGUAAUGUGAAAACCAACGGUAGGAUGUAAUAGUUUAUUAUGCACUGACAAUAACUUUUUGUAUGGUUGGCAGUUUAAUGAAUACAAGAGGAACUUUGUUGACAAAUUCAUCCAAGAUAGAUGCUAAAAUUAUUUAUGCAUGCCAGUUGCCUUAACUAAUUUUUCUUAACACUUGUAUUGAACAGGAAAAUGAAUAAGCAAUCUGUAUAUUGUGCCAUUGUGGAGUAUUUGGAUAUUCUGAUUUAAAUAACAAGGAGAAUACUUGCCUCAUCUUUAAAUGAGGAGUGGGGGAUUGGAAGUGUCUUCAUGUAAAUGUUCAUUUAUUUGUAUUUUGAACUAUUAUGAGAAUCUUAUAUGCCAAAUCAGUAAUACAAAUCUUCAGAUGAUUUUUGCUGUUGAUCAUGGGUUUGUGUCUGCACACAACCAUUGUAUAUCACUUUAUUCUGAUGUGCAGGUAUGUGUAGCUUAGAAGAAAUGGAAUAAUAAUCAUCUAUUAUUGCUUGGUUCAUGAUUAUUAAACGAUUAUGGCUUUAAAAAGUCUACAAAUUCCUUCUGUUCAUAUAUGAAUGUGCCAAGUUUGCUAUAUCUUAGAUUAUCUUCUUCCAAGAUAACAAGUUCAUAUUCUUUUUAAUCUUUUUCCCUCACAGUUGACUUUUAGGUGUUAAGAUUUGUUAUUAGUCCCCUGUUAUUAUGAUUUCAUAAACAGUGUACGGAUAUGUGCUCUAACUUUGGAGGACCUCCACAUGAAAGAAAAUUGCAACAAUUGAAUUCUUCCGGAGGGUAUGGUCUUUAAUUUAUUUUCUCAACUUCUCGUAAGAUUAAUAUAUUUCAUUCAGUAGGCACAGCAUGGGGGGAAGGGUUUUUAUUGAAAGAAUUCUGAUAUUUCUUAGACUUUGUUUUGGAAGGGGGGUGGAGGGAUUUCUCAUCCAUGUAUGGUUACUUGAUUAGCUUUUGACUGUAUUUCCUCAGUCAUGUAAAGGAAGAUCCAAAUACCAACGAAGGAAUAUUGCCUAGACACCCGAAAGACAGAAAUGAGCUACAGAAGCAAGUUUUACUACUUUAUUUAGUGCUCCUGAGAAAUCUGAUGGAGACCGAAUGGAGGUCCAAAGCAUUGGAAAAGGUAGUGAGUGAACCGCCGGAGGAGUUGGCACCAGAAUGCAAGGCUAAUGUGGUGCACUUGCAGCAAGAUAACCAAACCGGUAUGUGCUCUUAUAUUAACUAGACUGACUGGAUUUGUGAGUGUGUGCAUUUUUUUGUGUAUACUCUUGUAUUUAUGCAUAUUAAUGUGUGUAGGAAUUUCUGCCACUUACUGGAGAACUAGUGGAAAGCUUUAUAUCGAUAUAUCUGCAAUAACUAAUUGGAAACUAUGAUAUUAAUAUUUUCUCUCACCUGAGGAACUGUGUAACAGAUAUACUUUGUGGCUCUGGAGUACUAGAAAUUCUGCAAUAACUAAUGGAAACUAUGAUAUGAAUAUUUUAUCUCAACUGGAGAACUUUGUAACUUGUAGCUCUGGAAUGUCUAAGGAAUUUUGUCUGCUUCAGUUAGAUCAAAUAUCUUUUAGUUGCAUACAUUAUAGAAAAAGAUAAAGUUCUCUGAAUCUGAAAGACUGAAACAUUUUGUAUAUUUUGUGAAAGGGAAAUAUCUGUAGAUACUAGUUCAUGCAUUGAGGUAACAUCAAUGUUAAAGAAAAACAGCAAUAAGUUAUUAUGUGGAACUAGGUUCACUUGCUUUAAAUGCUGGUCUGGUCAACCAUAUGAACCUGUAAGUUCUGCAGAAAUAUAUAUACGGGGAGAAACUAGCUAAAUUUUCCGUUCAUUGAUGGCUUUGGUCAUUUUUUUCCCCUUAUUUUUCAGCUGUCCUUCUCCUGAAGUAUGUUAACAACUGCAGAUAAUGAUGAAGAGGACAGCUUGCAGGCUCUUCUUAGAGCCAUGAUGGAAUAUAGGGGCACAAUGAAGGAACAUUGCAAAGCUGUAGGUUCUUUUUCUCCUGUCAUUUAUGUUUUCUCACACAUUUUUUAUAUGCUCCAAGCAUGCAAUUUUGUAUGUGUCAACUGCUUUCUAAGUUUUAAAAACCAUAAUGUAAGAAUACAGUUUCUUGUCAGGCUAUUGAUGCAUUUGCUCAGGGGGAUCAUGUUCGAGCAGGAAAACUUCUAGAACAGACAAGGUUUUCCAUCUACAGCCAUCUAUUGACAACAGAUAUAUUUUCAUUCAGCAAACACUGUUAGCAUUCAAGAUACUGGCAGAUUCACUUGAUUCUUAUUAGUAAUGUUUAGUAGCAAAGGAUAUAACCUGUAUUUCAAAGCCAAGUUGUGCUAUUGAUUAUGUUAGCUUUAUUGUUCACAUAAAGUGAUAUGGAGGAAAUAAUGUGAAGUGAUAUGGAGGAAAUAAUCAAUGUAGGAAAAUUAGGUGAAGAAAUGAUGUCAAAUCUUGAACCUCUUACAAAACUCCAAGCUCUUUACUUGAAUAAGCUACUAAAUUUGAACAGGGUCCACUGGAAGGCCUUGCCAUUCUCUGAUGCAUGCAGAAUUUUUGCAUUUAAAUGCCCAGAGCUUAAGAAGCUGCCACUGGAUCUUGAAAGGGCAGGCCAAGGUAAAAUUCUUAUCAAGGGAAAGGAAGAUUGGUGGAAACAACUUCAAUGGGAGGAUCAAGUAACUCAGAAUGCAUUGCUUCCAUUUUUAAAACAACCAGCAAGUGAUUGAAGGGGGCAUCAUCAACGUCAUCAACAUGGAUGGAGAGAUUCAGGAGCAGAUCAGCAGGAUUUAGUACGACCUGUGGUGGUUUCUUUUUUGUGACUUUUUUCCCUUUCAUUUUUUCACUUCCUGUCAUAUUAUCAUUUCUUUGUCUCUGUUUCUAUUGCUGGUGUUGCUGCAUGCUUGCUGUCCUUGACAAAGUUAGCUAGUUUUUUUUUUUUUAAUUAAAUUUUGUAUGUUCGGUCGGGACAGUCACAAAGUACUACUUGUUCUAUAUGGGGGUGAUGUGAAUCAACUUUUCAAUUAUAUAUUCUGUGGUAAUUGCGAAUUCAAUUUCAUUUGUCUCCAGCAAAUUAUGAAGAAAGUGCAGAGUUACAAUAUGGAGAAGUUCACUGGCAAAUACUUUGUAAAAGCUUCGGAGUGAAACAGGAAAUGCACUUGCAGCUAAGGACAAAUUGGUGGCCAGCUAAUGCCUUCAUUUUAUGUACAUUCAUCUUUUUAAUUAUUGAAGAUAAGUGGUUCGUUGCUUUUGUUAAGAUUAUAAGUUAGCGUCGGUGCAGGAUUUGCAGCAACAAAUCUUGACUAGCCACGUGUCAAAAGCACAAAUAAAUCAAGGGAAAGCACAUGACAUGGAUUAGGAUCUAAUAAAAUUUAAAUCCCAAGGAAAAUGACAACUGCAUUAUGAAGUUUCAAUAAGGGAUACUGACUAAUGAUAUUUUUUGGCUUUAUUAAUAAAAAAAGAAUAUUUUAUAACAAAUUAAAACAUAAUAUUAAGCUAAAUGUGAUAAUUAUAUACAUUUUAAAUAAUUUCAAUAAAAAAACAUUUUAAUGUUUUACGAUCUAUCAUACAUAUUUUAUUAAAUUAAUAUGAAUUUUUUUUUAUAAAUAGCAACAUAAUAUUACAACAAAUUUAUAAGGAUUUAAAUGUAAAAUAAUUUUAGUAUAAAUAAUACGUGGGAUAUAUUUUGUAAAUUAUAAAAUUAUUUAACACAAAGUUUUUUAAAAAAUAUUUAAAAUAAAUAAAAAUAAAUUAUUCACAUCUUGAUUUAAAUAUUUAAAAUAUUUUUAUAUAUUAGUCUACAAUUAUUUAUGUUAUAUUUUUAUUUAUUAGAAAUUUUGAAAGUCAAAUGUUUUCACCUCUAAGAGAAAGACACAUAUGCUUUAUAGCUUUAAAAUCGGUCUGUUUUAUAUCUGGAAACAAAUAUAUCAUUAUUGGUAAGGAUUAAAAAAAGGGAUAAAGAAUAUUAAUGAUUAAUGAAAUCUCUAUGGAAAUUGAAUUUAGUAGGAAAAAAUUGAGCUAAAUGAUUUAGACAUUUAGUGGUAUAGUAAUAUUUUAUAUAUAGAAAUGUAAAAGCUGCACCCGAGGUUAAGGGAAAUGUUCAAAACUCUUUUUUACUCAUAAUACCCUUUGUCCUAACUAACUUACAAAUUCGACUCUAAUAUUUUAUAAUAAAUAAAAAUGUAAUCCUAAAAUAAAUAAAAUAAGAUAUAUUUUAAAAUAAUCUCAAUAUUUAAAAUAUACUUUAAUAUUUUAUAGUCUAUCAGACAUAUUUAAUUAUAUUAAAGUAAAUUUUGUAAUAAAUACAAACAUACUAUUAAAAUAGAUAUAUAAAAAAUUUAAAGUAUUUUGGAUAUUAUAUAAAAGAACUUUAAUAUUGUUAAUACGUGAGAUAUAUUUUAUUAAUUAAAAAUUCUAUUUAACCCAAAGAUUUAUUUAAGAUAAAUUAACAAUCAUAUUUGUGAAAUUAUUUCAAAUAUUAAAAAAUAUUUUAAUAUUACUAACUAUUAGAUAGACUAAACUAUUUAUAUUAUUUUCUAUUUAUUAUAAAAUUUCAAAAUUAAUCUUUUUAACUACUAUUCAAAAGAUAUUAUGAUAAAAAUAAUUUUUUUGUGUUUUUAUUAAAAAUUUGGAAUUUGCAUAACUCUUUUUUUAAAUAUUGGGGUAUAGCUGUCUUUUCCCUUUUAUAUAUACAAACCACAGUGGUGAAAAAGCUUGAUUUAAUGUUAUUUAUUUAAACAACACCGAUAUUCACACCACAUUGAGCACCAUAGUUUUUUUUUUUUUUUUGAAAAGAAAGUACACCUUUCAUUGAAUUAAGAGAAAAGAAACAAAACAUCCUCUGGAAAUUCAUCCAGCCAAAUACAAGGGUCUGACUUUUUGAAAGCCAACUUUGCCAAAUCAUGCGCUAAAAAGUUACACAUCCUAAGGACGUGCUGAGCUUUAAAAUUCUGAAAGAUUUUCUUAGCUUCUAUAAUAUCAAAAAUCACCCAAAAGGUGUCUGUCAAAGUGCUUCUCUUGUUAUUGAUUAGCUCUAUCACCCCUUUAGAAUCAGACUCUAAGAUAACUGAAGUUGCCCCUGCCUUGGCAGCUGCCUGCAUUCCCCACAAAACAGCUUUUGCCUCACUCAACUCCACAUCUCCUGAGCUCUUAAAAGUGCUAACAGCUGCAGCAACUGUUUCUCCCUUAUGGUUUUUAACUACUGCUCCCAGCCCAGCAAGAUAAUUCACCCUAUCCAUAGCAUCAUCAACAUUUACCUUAAGCCAUCCUUCUUCGGGUGGACUCCAUUGGCUUUGCUGAACAUUGUUUUGUUCUGCUAAGAAAUCCUCUUCUGACAUUGAGCACCAUAGUUAAGUACAAAACGGUGCGUUUUGUUCACGCAUGUUAGUAAACACCCACGCAACUUACACACAUACGCGCGGCUCACAACACGCGCUCUCCUCGCCCUAAAUCUCACCUGAUUGAAGCCACAAAUUUGGCCACGUUCUCCCACAGCUCUCUCCGUUCUGACCGUUUACUCUUCCUCUAGCCCCAUCGAUUACAUCUCUCAUAGCACCUCAUUCAACCGACGUAAUUGCCAGAAAACAACCUACCUGGUAAUAAAAGUCGAUUCUCUUACAAUUUUGGCCCAAAAAAAAAAAUUGCACAACUGAAAAAUCAAAAUGCCACUCUUUAAAACCAAAAAUCAAUUUUGGGCCCCCUUCAUCACCGCCUUCACUCUAGAUUUUUUCAAUCCACUUUGUCGUCAAAACCGUGGUGUUCUUAAACCAUUAUUAUAUUCACCAUCCCCUUAAUCACAUCCAACCAUCCCCAUUAUUCGUUUGUCAAACACGCUGUUCUCUUCCCAAAUUAAUUAAUUAAUUAAUGACAGACAGGAACAAAAGUACUUUAAAUCUCUGCCAAAUCGUAUUGUUAUUACUUCUUCCGAGUCGAGGCCACGUCGUUCUCGAUGGAAACCAUUGCUUUUUAUUACCACUCUUGAGGAGUUCGAAGCAUUCUCGACGGAGACCCGCGCAAGCUGUGGAAAGAGAGAGAGUCAACGGUGAAAAGAGAGCAUGGUGAGAUGUGUGAGCGACGGGGGGAGAGAGAGAGAGAAAGAAAGCCGACGGAGAGAGCACAUAGAGCUGAGAUGCGUGAGUUGGGUGAAGAUUUGGUGAGCGUUGUGUCAGUUGCCCGUGUGUUGUGUGAGCUCUGUGCCAUGUGAUAUGCGUGCUACUUUGAGAAUUUAUAGAUAGCACAAAACUCAAUCUAUAUCCAAUUCAUACCUAGAUAGAUGCGGAUUUGACUCAAUUUAUAUCCAAUUCGUCAUUUGCGAACUAAAAAUUUUUAAUUCUCUCAAAUUCACAAACUAACUAAAUAAAUAAAAAUUUAAUAUAAAAAUAACUGUACUACCGAUCAAAUUUAAAAUUAAAUAAUAUUUAAAUAAAUUAAUUGUUUAAAUAAAGUUAGAAAAUACAUUCAAAAUUUUAAAAUAUAACACAGUAAAAAGAAAAAAUCUCAUUUGUUUAGACCUAUGUAUGAAAAUUAAUUGUUUAGGAAUCUAUAUUUAUUUAUUUUUAUAUUAUUAUCGGAUAAGAUAUAAUAUGGUGUUAAUGUAACUAUAUUUUAACUUAUUUAUUUAUAAGACCAAUGCUAUAUGUACAAGUUUAAUUUUUUAAUUAAAUAAAUAUUUUUUUUUGCGGAAUUGUGGAUUUUUGCGGAUUUACAAAAGUAAAUCUAUAUCCAAUCCACCGACUAUGGAUUUUCAAAUUUUCAAAAUUUCAAAUUUUCAAAUUUUCAAAAUUUCAAAUUUUCAAAUUUUCAAUCCAAUCCAAUCCACCAAUUCACAAAUUCGGAUUUUUACGGAUUAGAUUUCUACAGAUUAAACGAAUUGAGCAGACCAUAUUUGAUUUUGAACAUUGCUAAUUUGUAUGUUAAGUAUAACAUAAUCAAUUAUUUGGAUAAUCCCUUGUGUUUUAUCUCUAAUUAGAGCAUCAAUCUUCACAAUAUCUACAAAGCUACAAUGGCUACAAAACAAACCUGCUUGCAAAUUGUCAAGGAUACUUAUCCUUUCUCUUGACAAGUCAUUUGGAAAAAUACUGUCCCUUGGCGGCUCCAUGACUUCUCUGCUCCUCCUUUUGGUCUUAAUGUACGGUUGCAUAAUGAUAGUUUAGGCCCUUUAGGGACUACUUUCCCUGGGGUUGUUAAGUCUUAGCUUGUGCUAGGCUCGUUUUUCUUACCAAAAAAAAAGGGAAUACUUCUCCUAUAAGAAAUAAUCUCUAUAUAUAGGGUGGUUGGAUUCACUUGUUUACAUAACAGAUCAAUUAGUUCUCUGUAAAUAGAGAGUUUCUAGUAUAAGAGAAACGGUAGAUCUAUUGAGAGAUUAUGUGUUAUUAAAAUUUUAGUUGCGAAGAAAAGUACUAGAGUGAUUGUAUUAAUUUUUUACAUAGUAGAUUUUUCUAUCGUCAUCUUUAUGGCUGUGAUUUUUCUUCCAUAUAGAAGUUUCUCACGUAAAUUUUUAUGUUGUGUGAUUAGUUUUAUUCUCUAUCUAUUUUUUGUUUAAUAUUUUAUUUGUAAGAUGCUGGAUGGGAUUAAAAUUUCUUAACAAAUAACGGAUUAAAAAUCAUGAAGAAAAAGCUCAAGAGAUCUUCAAGAUUUGAAGUGUGCAAAAGUUCAUAUUACUGCUAGAUGAUAUAUGGGAGCGGGUUGAUUUAGUAAAAAUGGGUGUCCCUCUUCCUAGAUCAGAAAACAGCACAUCCAAAGUGAUAUUUACAAACCCGUUCUGAGGAAGUUUGCGGCUUAAUGGAAGUUCGUAGGAGUUUUAAAGUGGCGUGCUUAUCAAAUAAAAAUGCUUGGGAAUUGUUUCUAUACAAAGUUGGGGAAGUGAAAGAAAACAGAGAUGUACUGUUUGGUUGAAUAGAAAAUUACAGAGAAAAUUCUCAAUACUUGUAUUUGAUAAGAUUCAAUUCUUAAGAGCUUUUACAAAUCAGUACAAGUAUUUAUAUUAUUCCUUACACGUGAGAAUUGCUAGUAACUCACUAACUAACUAACUUUCUUUGAGCUGGAUCACUAACACUUGACUAAUCACACUGAGCUGUUAUUCUUCACUAACAACCUUCUGCUGACGUGGCUUCACCAAGCUACUUGAAUAAUGAGCAGCCUUGACAGCCCCCCUCAAACUCAAGGGACAAGACAUGACGUUGAGUUUGGCCCUAAGAUAGUUAAAAUGGAUGAAUGAGAGUGGCUUGGUCAUGAUGUCAGCUACCUGCUCCUCACUUGGUAUAUAUUGAAUGUUUAGUUCUCCAGCAAGAACUUUGUUUCUAACAUAAUGAAUAUCAAUCUCAAUAUGCUUUGUUCUUGAGUGGAAAACUGGAUUGUGAGCUAACUCUGUUGCACUGAGAUUGUCACACCAAAUAACAGGUUUCUCUAUGCAUUGUAAUUUCAACUCAGAAAACAGUGAUUGCAGCCAGCUUAUCUCGGCACUUGCUGAGGCUAGGGACCUAUACUCACUCUCUGCACUGGACCUAGCAAUAACAGGCUGCUUCUUAGACGACCAAGAUAUCAGAUUAUGACCAAGAUAGAUGCAAUAGGCUCCAAUCGAUUUUCUGUCAUCCAGAUCCCCUGCCCAGUCUGCAUCUGUGAAUCCUGUUAGUUUCAGAUCACCAUCCUUAAUAAUUUUGAGUCCAUAGUUCUGUGUAGCCUUUAGAUAUCUGAGCACUCUUUUGCAAGCCAUAAGGUGCUGCAGUGUUGGUGCAGAAACGUAUUGACUCAGCUUGUGAACACUAAAGGCAAUUUCUGGUCUUGUUAAUACCAAAUAUUGCAUCCCACCAACAAUGCUUCUGUAAUGUGUUACAUCUUCAACAUAACAACCAAGAUUACCUUGAGCUUCCUUCUGUAGCUUCAUUCCUGUACUCAUAGGAGUAUCAAUAUCUUUGCAAUUUAUCAUCUCAACUCUUGACAGCAGAUCCCUUAUGUAUUUCCUUUGAGAUAAGAAAAUACAAUCUUUAUCAUACAGUACUUCAAUGCCUAAGAAAUAAGAGAGAACUCCAAGAUCCUUCAAAGCAAACUUUGUACUGAAUUCUGUAAUGAAUUUUUCCAGCUCAAAGCUAUUUGGUCCUGUUAUUAAAAUGUCAUCAACAUAUAUAAGAACUAGAAUCAUAGAUGACUUAUUUAUUUUCAAGAAUAAGGAGGUAUCUGAGCUGGAAUUUGUGAAUCCCCACUGCAACAAACAGCCUUUCAACUUAUCAUACCAAGCUCUUGGAGCUUGUUUAAGUCCAUAAAGAGACUUGUGAAGCUUGCAUACAAAGUCUGGUUUCUCAAAGCUGAUAAAUCCCUCUGGUUGAUCCAUGAACACUUCCUCUGUUAAGUCUCCAUUAAGAAAGGCAUUAUUCACAUCAACUUGCCUUAUCUUCCACUGAUUCAUCACAGCUAAACUCAAGACUACUCUUACAGUUGCUGGUUUUAUGACAGGACUGAAAGUUUCAAAAUAAUUCACUCCUAUAAUUUGUUGAAAUCCCUUUGCAACUAACCUAGCUUUGUAUUUAGCUACACUUCCAUCAGUGUUGUAUUUAACCCUAUACACUCAUUUGUUUCCAACAACUCUUUGAUCAUUUGUUUUUGGCACUAAGGACCAUGUACCACUCUGCAUCAAAGCUGCAUAUUCUUCUUUCAUGGCUGUAAACCAUUUUGGGUUUUGCAUAGCCUCAUAUACAGAAUCAGGUUAUUUGUGAACAAGGGUUGCUGUAUAAAGCUUUGGUUUGAAGAUACCAGUUUUGCUUCUGGUAGUCAUUGGAUGUGUAUUAGGUUGGACUGGAAAAGAUAUAUCAGGUGUAGGUUGAGCUAAUAAGGAUAUGUCAGGUGCAGGUUGUGGUGAAUUUUGAGGCUCUGUAGAUGGUUCAAUAAAUGUGGUAUGUGUUUGUGAAUAGGAAUGUUGAUUGUCAGUAUGAAAUGGAUUAUCUGAAUGUUGUGAACUGCUGCUGGUAGAAAUUGCAGAUAGAGGAUUGCAUGAGCUAUUUCCAUCUGAUACUGGUGUUGUAGAUAAUAUGGUCAGAUGAAACACUGGUUGGGGUGUAAGGGAUUGACUCGAAUAAGAUGAUGAUUCAUUAGAAUGAAAAACUGAGUCUGUAGAAUAAGGAAAUGUUGACUCAUAAAAAACAACAUGUCUGGCUAUGUACAUCUUGCCUGAUGAAUGCAAGCAUUUGUAACCUUUGUGAACUGGACUGUAGCCAAGGAAAAUGCAUUUGCUUGAGUGAUAAUCAAAUUUGUGUUUGUUGUAAUCCCUUAGAUAAGGAUAACAUGUGCAACCGAAACACUUGAGCAUGCUGUAAUCAGGUUUAAGUUUAAAAAUUGUCUCAUAUGGGGUAAGAAGUUUCAGAGCUGUUGAGGGUAAUCUGUUUAUAUGGUAAACAGCUGUAAGAAAAGCAUCCCACCAAAAUUUAAAUGGUAGCUUAGCUUGUGCUAAUAGGGUUAGUCCUAGCUCAACAAUGUGUCUAUGUUUUCUUUCUACCACCCCAUUUUGGUGAUGUGUAUAAGGACAAGAAUGUCUGAAAAUGAUUCCACAUUGGUUUAAGAAUUGAGUAAAUGAUCUGUAUUCUCCCCCCCAAUCAGAUUGCAGGUUUUUAAUGGGGCUGUCAAAUUGGUUUUCAACCUGCAAUUUGAAUAGUUUGAAUACAUCUAAUGCCUCAGAUUUCAACUUAAGAGGAUAAAUCCAAGUGUAUCGGCUAAAAUCAUCAACAAAACUUAUGUAAUAGACAUAGCUAUCUCUAGAAGGUGUAGGUGAGGGUCCCCAUAGGUCUGUAUGUAUAAGCUCAAGGGGUUUUGUUGUUUUGGUUUCUGUGCUGGGAAAAUGCAGCCUAUGGGAUUUGCCCAUUUGACAUGCUUCACAGAUAUGCUCAAGUGUUUGUUUUAUGUUAUUUCUUGAGAGAUUAACUGAAGUAAUUCCUUUUAGCAAAUGCAUUAGAAUUUGAGAAUUAGGAUGGCCAAAACGUUUGUGAAGAAGAAGAAUUUUAUUAUUCAAUGCAUCACAAGAUGAAAUGUAGCUGGAAAAUUUAUUUAUUGAUGCAUUACAAACUGUGACACAACUGGAAUCAUUAUUCUGAGUGUUUUUAAGAACACUUGAAUCAAAAGAACAUGCAGAUAACAUUGACAAAGGUUGAGUGGAUGAAGGUUGACCCAUGUAAGAACAAGGAAGAGACUCAGAUGGUCUUAGAAGUAGCUUAUACAAUCCUUUCUCAGCAAUUCCUGUCAGAAGCACUUGCCUCUUCAGAGAAUCCUUCACAUAGCAAACAUUAUCAACAAAUUCAAUAGAGAUAUUGUUAUCAGCAGUUAAUUUUGAUAUGCUGAGCAGGUUCUUUGUGAUAUCAGGUACUAAUAACAUGUCAUUCAGUAAGAUAUGUGUUGGUUUAUAUGCAGCAUUUGAUCCUUUAUAAGUAAAACAUGGAUUACCAACAUGAGUUAUAGGCAAACCUUGGCCAUUGCCGAUGACAAGUUGAUUAGAUCCUCUGAAUUCCUCUCUGACAUUCAUGUUGGCCAUACUGUUAGUCAAGUGAUGUGUGGCACCAUUGUCAAGGUGCCAUCCUUCAUCAGCAGGCCCUUCAUAGUUGGUAAGAUAGGCUUCAGGAAUUACUGUGUCUGUUGAUGGAUAAGAGGAGAAGGAUAAAGGAUUGUAGCUUGAGUAGGGUGCAGCAUACUGUUCUUCAGUUGAAGGAGCAGCAUAGGUUAGAGAUGGAUCAAAGUUAGCUGUGUAUGCAGCCUUAGAUUCAAAAGAUCUGCCCCUUCCAAAAUGCCUAGGUAAUGGUUGAGGAUUGUCAUCAUAUCUAUGCCAGCAUUCAUCUGCUGCAUGUCCUGUUUUGUGGCAUAUCUGACAUAUGGUUGGUAAUUCAUCAGCAUGCAUGUUAGCUGAAGGAUGAAAGUUUGGCUUCAUAGGUGGCCUAAAAGGUUGCAUCAUCUGGCCCCUGCCAUAACCCCCAACAUUACCAACACCAGGUGAAAAACCUCUGGGAUGUGGAUUGUGAAACAUGCCUCUUCCAACAUUAAAUCCUCUAGUCAUAGGUCGACCAUAAUUUCCAUUUCCAACAACACCUCUUCUAAAAUUUCCUCUCAUAUAAGGAUGAUUCACAUUCAUUGUGCUAUAGUUUGCAUUAAACACAGUUUUGGCACUUUGAUUUUGUUCAAGUCUAGCUUCAUGAGUCAGUAAUAAUGCAUAAGCAUCAUCAUAGCUCAUCUUAUUAGCUGUGAUUAUGGAAGCUAGAUCUAGAUAACCUGAACCUAAGCCAUUCAAAACUCUCAUUAACAGAUCCUUUUCAGUGAUUACAUCACCAGCACAAGCAAGUUUGUUGGCGAGUAAUUUCAUUUUAGCACAAUAUUCCUCAACAUUCAUUGAAUCUUUUCUUAAGAUAUUCAUUUCAUAUCUGAGUUGCAUAAUCUUAGCCUCAGAUUGAACUCCAAACUGUUUUUCAAUAGAUCUCCACACAUCAAAUGAAGUGUCAUAGCUAAGAACAGAACUAAGAAUACCUUCACUUAUAGUUGAGAGCAGCCAGCCAAGGAGUAUUUGAUCUUGUGCUCUCCAGUUGCUGUAGGCUGGAUUUUCAAUGCUCUCACCAGAUCCUUCGAUCAUUGAAUCAACUAGAUACUGUUCUGGAAUAAUUUGCGGCUCUAGAAUGAAUCUUUCAAGGCGAUUUCCUCUGAUUGAAGUUACCACUUGUUUGCGCCAAAGCAAGAAAUUUGAUCGAUCAAGUUUCACAGUUGCAGCAAAAGUAAAUGAUGUUUGUGUAUGUUGAUUUGAGUUUAUGAUUGUUUGAUUUGAGAUUGUAUUGCUUGAGCUGGCCAUUUGUGGCUCUGAUACCAUGAAAGAAAACAGAGAUGUACUAUUUGGUUGAAUAGAAAAUUACAGAGAAAAUUCUCAAUACUUGUAUUUGAUAAGAUUCAAUUCUUAAGAGCUUUUACAAAUCAGUACAAGUAUUUAUAUUAUUCCUUACACGUGAGAAUUACUAGUAACUCACUAACUAACUAACUAACUUUCUUUGAGCUGGAUCACUAACACUUGACUAAUCACGCUGAGCUGUUAUUCUUCACUAACAACCUUCUGCUGACGUGGCUUCACCAAACUGCUUGAAUAAUGAGCAGCCUUGACAGGAAGAAACUUUGAACAAUCAUCCUGAUAUCCUUCAGAAAGCACAAUAGUUGUUAAGGAGUGUGGUGGUUUGCCACUUGCACAUUUUACCAUCGGUCGAUUUAUGGCAUGCAAGAAGACACAGCCGAAGAAUGGAGAUAUGCUAUUCAAGUGUUCAAUUCGUCCGCUUCCCGUUUCCAGGUCUGGAAGAAUGGAUAUAUACUCUUGUAAAAUUCAGUUAUGAUAGUUUACCCAAUGACACAAUUACACCUUGUCUGUUAUAUUGUAGUUUAUAUCCAGAAGAUUGUUGCAUUUCUAAAGAGAAUUUGGUAGAUUGUUAGAUCAGUGAAGGAUUUUUUAAUGAGAGUGAUUGGUUUGGAGAAAAAAUCAAGGAUACUUCAUUUUGGGCAUUCUUCUUCACGUUUUUUUUUGGAAAAGGGAGGAGAUUGUGAAAUGAAAAAUGCAUGCAUGACGUUAUUCGUGAUAUGGCUUUGUGGAUCGCAUGCGACUAUGAGAAGGAGAAGGAGAACUUUUUGGUUUACGCUGGUGUUGGUUUAACUAAGGUACCGGAUAUUAGAGAUUGGGAAAAGGUAAGGAGAUUGUCAUUGAUGAAAAAUAAAAUUGAGAAUCUAUCCGAGGCUCAUACAUGCCCUCAUCUCCUCACUUUCUUUCUUGACGAUAAUGAGUUUCGGAAGAUCCCCGGUGAUUUCUUCCAGUUUAUGCCUUCUCUCACUGUUUUAAACUUGUCAUGUAUUAAACUAAAGUCAGUUCCUUUAGGGACUUCAAGGUUGGUUCCACUACAACAACUCGAUCAUUCAUAUUCAAGCAUAAAAGAGUUGCAAGAAGAGUUAAAUGCCCUGAUUAAAGUUAAAUGCUUGAAUAUAGAUCAUGUAGAGGAGCUAAUUACAGUUCCACAACAACGGAUAUUUAAUUUUUAAGGUUAUAUGUGUUGAGAAUGUUCGAUACUAUUAGUUUAAAUUUUCAAGAAGCAUUAAAUAAAGACAGCAUUUUAUUUGGUGGGGAGGAAGUUUAAGCAGAGGAGUUGCUCGGUUUGGAAUAUUUGGAGGUAUUGAGCUUCACUUGAGAGGUGUUCGUGCUCUCCAAUUUAUUUUGAGCUCACAUAAGCUACGAAGUUGUACUCAAGCGCUGUUCCUCCAAUCCUUCAAUAAUUCGAUAUGGCUUGAUAUUUCACUUUUGGCAGAGUUAAAAGCACCACUGCAGAUUUAAGUAUUUUUGGCUGUAGAAAAUUGGAGGACUUGAAGAUGGAAUAUACAGGGGGAGCGAAAAACAAGCGGCAACCUUGUGUUUUCUAAGGCCUACAUACAGUUCACAUAGAGGUUUGUUCUAAAUUGAAGGACUUAACAUUCCUUGUUUCUGCUCCAAAUCUCAAGAACUUGGAAAUACAAAAUUGCCCUGCUGUGGAAGCAAUCAUCAGUGUGGGAGAAUUUGCGGAAGCUCUAGAGGUGGUGGAAAAUCUAAACCCAUUUGCAAAACUCCAGUAUCUUGGACUAGAAAAUCUGCCAAAUGUGGAGAGCAUCUAUUGCAAGCCUCUGCCCUUUCCAUGUUUGAAAAGAAAUGACUGUGGAUAGUUGCGGUUGUCUUAAAAAGCUUCCACUCUACUCCAACAGUGUAAAAGAGUGUACAAUUGUUAUUUCAUCAUUCGGAGAGUUAAUGGUGCAAUGAGAUUUGGCAGUUAACUCUCGUGGGAAGAGCUUGAAUGGGAAGACGAAGCCACUCGAAUUGCUUUUCAUUCAUGUUUCAAAUCUCUGAUUGGAUUGGAGAUUGCAUUUCGCCUCAGGUUCGUACUUUUCUUGAAUUUUUCUUGUUAACUUCAUUUGUUCAUUUAUCCAUUUUUUUUUAAAGGAAUCAGAAGGGUUAAUAAUUUUGGUUGUGUUAGGUCGACUUCUAAUCACGAGGCAGAAGGAGUUGAGAUGAAGUUUAAUUUUGGUGGAGAAAUUGUUUGAUUUAAAAAAUUUAAAUGAGUUGACCAUCAUUCUUUAGCAUAUUUGUAUGAACAGGAGUGUGUAAAUAUGCAAACUGUCCAGCUGUAUGUGUAUAGCGUAAUAAUUUUGAGGAGUUAAAACAUUGAAGAAUAUUGAUGUUUCCAUUGUCAAACCAAAUAUACUUAAUUACUUGAGGAUAAUGAUUACUGCUAAUACAUUUGCUAAUACAUUUGCAAAGAAAAAAACAUGCCUAUUGAAAAACUCAUCUUAUUAGCAACAGCAUUAUAAGUAGUAUCCAAUCAUAGUUUCAUGCAAGAUUUUGAGAUUUUUCAAAUGCUGAUUCCGGGAAUGGAGAUUAAUAGAUAAUGGAGACAGGUUGACUGCAAUGGCUAAUUGCAAGAGGGAAUUUUAGUCGUAAAAACAGACCAACUAGCAAAGCAAAUUCCAAAUCUUGGAAUGAAGUGGCAAAAAAACGAAACAAACAAAUGGCAAGAGGAAGUGACUAUACAAUAAUAACAUCGACUUGCAAUUCAACAUUUAUACAGUUUUACUCACCAAGAAAAGAGAAAAUUACAAUAGCAAUUUGGCUACUAGAAGAUGUUCAUUCAUGCUUAUGCCUGUCAUAUGGAUUUGAAACAAGGAGUAAAAGCAUUUAGAGUGGCUUCAUCCUUCCACUGCAGCUCAUUCCACCAGUGUUGCUCUCCCCUAAUAACAAGUUUGCGUUCCUUGGCGCUGUUGUAAUCGAGUGGAAGCUUCUUGAGGUUCGGGCAUCCAGAUACAAACAAUUCUAAGAGAUUUGGAAAGUGCACUUAAAUUCUUAUGAAUUGCUUAAGUAUGCAAGCAGCAGAGCAGAAAACAAACAACCUUUUCAUAUAUUAUAAUAACAUGAAUAAUCAGAUAUACACAUCCUUCACAUAUUUAUACUAAACGUGAAAAAUGGUAGCUUGCUCAAAGGGAAAACAGAAAUGAAUAAAACAAAAGAUUACAGCUGCACUAGCCAAUCAUUGGAAACAUUCUAGAAACUCCAGCUUGCAGUAUUCACGUGUAAAUAUUCUCCUGCAUAACAGUUUUGCCAGCUCAUUGAAUACACCUCAACUUCUUCAUCAGCUGGUUGCUGGAUAUGGCUGCUCAGGUGGCAUGCCAGCAUGGCCUUUGGGUCAAUUGUUGACUCAUCUUCAUAAUCUGAAUUCUCAACACCCUCUCUCAAACUUAAGGUCUUGUCGAAGACAUUAAGUUUGCUUCUAAAUUGACUGAACUUGUAAUAAGGCAAUGGCUUGGUUAAUAUGUCUGCAACUUGAUCUCUGCUGGCUACAAAACUGAUUUCCAGCUCUCCUUGAGUGACUUUGUCUCUAAUGAAAUGAAGGUCUAUCUCAAAAUGCUUUGUCUUUGAGUGAUACACUGGAUUUGUGGCUAUUGCUGCUGCACUUGUGCUAUCACUUAAGAUCAUUGGAACUCUUUGCAUCUUGAUUUCCAAUUCACCAAACAGAGAAUUUAUCCAAGUGAUUUCAGUAGUACACAAAGCUAUGGCCCUGUACUCGGACUCAGCUGUCGAUCUUGCUACCAUGCCUUGCUUUAUUGAGCUCCAAGCUACUAAAUUGUCUCCCAAAAACACACAAUAUCCACUUACUGAUCUUCUGUCAUCUGGAUCACUAGCCCAGUCAGCAUCAAUAUAGGCUAUCAAAUCUAGAUGUUCUGACUUCUGGAACUUUAAGCACAUGUUUGCAGUGCUCUUUAGGUACCUCAACACUCGUUUGCAAGCUGUCCAGUGAGAUUGUCUUGGGUCAGACAGGUAUUGGCUAAGCUUGUUCACAGAAUAUGCAAGCUCUGGUCUUGUUAGAACAGCAUAAUGUAGACUUCCUACAACACUCCUAUAAAAUGAAGGAUUGUCAAGUUUGGUGCCUUCACCCUUCUUUAGUUUCUCUGCUGUGCUGAAAGGUGACUCUAUUCCCUUGCAAUUCUCCAUCUCUGUUUUAGCUAAUAGGUCUUGAACAUAUUUAGCUUGAGAGAGCAAAAUGGAGUUCUGAUUUCUUAUAACAUGUAUCCCAAGGAAGUAGCUUAAAUUUCCAAGAUCUUUCCACUUAACUUUCCUAUCACUUCCUCAAUACCCUUGCUGUUAUUUCCAGUCACAAUUAUGUCAUCUACAUACACAAGCACAAUGAUUAUUUCAGCACUGCUUCUUUUGAAGAAUAGAGAAAUAUCACACUUGGAGUUGUUGAAUCCCCAAGAGCACAGAGCAUUCUUUAAUUUGUCAAACCAUGCUCUGGGUGCUUGUCUCAGUCCAUAAAGAGCUUUCUUGAGCUUGCAUAUGUGGUUUGGUCUUCUCCUAUCCUCAAAUCCCUCAGGUUGUGGCAUGUACACUGUCUCUGUCAAAUCUCCAUUCAGAAAUGCAUUAUUUAUGUCAACCUGCCUCAACAGCCAAUCAUUACUUACAGCCAAAGUUAAAAUGAUUCUGAUUGUUGCAGCUUUGACCACAGGGCUGAAAGUCUCAUUAAAGUCAAGUCCUGGUGUCUGCAGAAACCCCUUCAAGACAAGUCUAGCUUUGUAUCUAUUUAUGGUGCCAUCUGGAUUUUCCUUUACUUUGUACACCCAUUUGUUGCCAAUGAGUUUGUAGUUCUGGUCAUGUGGAAUUAAGGUCCAGGUUUGGUUUUUGACAAGAGCAUUAUAUUCAUCCUCCAUUGCUCUUCUCCAUUUAGGAUCUUUCAGUGCCACAGUGGAGUCAGGGGGUAAGGAAGUUUGAGAUUGAGUGGAUAUUUGAUAAACCUUUGGCUUGCAAAUCCCUGCUUUUGACCUUGUGAUCAUGGGAUGUAAGGAGGCUUGAGUGUUUGGUUAUGUUAUGAGAGGCAAGGUGCAAUUUUCUACUGAGGUGUUUGGUGAGAGUUCAACAGGUGAGUGGUUGUCUGAUAUAGAGUUGAAGCUCAAAUUCUAACAAGCUCCAUCUUAACUAAAACUUGGGAGCUGUUCUGAGUUUCCAGCAGUGGCCUGAGAUUAACUAUGAGCUGCAUUUUGCUGUGUUGACUCAGGGGGAACAGUAGUGGAGAAAGAUACAACUUGAAAUUUUUCUAGAACUGUGGGGGAAUCAUUUUGGUCAGUGAGCCUUUGCUUGCAGAAAUUUGAGUCAUUUUGAAAAGGGAAUGAAUGAUCAUUAAAUUGACACUGGCUGAAAUGUAGAUCCUCCCAGAAUGAUGCAUGCAAAUGUAACCUUUGUGACUGAUGCUAAUGCCUAGUAGUGUGCACUUGAAAGUGUGAAAAUCAAACUUAUGCUUGUUGUAGGGUCUUAAGUAUGGAUAGCAUUCACAACCGAAAACUUUAAUUUGGGAAUAAUCUGGUUUGGUGAGAUAUAACAGCUCAAAUGGAGUUUUAUUUUCAAGAAUAGGUGAGGUUAAUCUGUUUAUGAUGUAGGUGGCAUAGCUGAAAGCUUCUUGCCAAUAUCUCAAAGGCAUUUUUGCUUGGGCUAGUAAUGUUAGGCCAGUUUCCACAAUGUGUCUGUGCUUUCUCUCCACCUUUCCAUUUUGUUCAUGUAAAUAAGGGCAUGAGUGUCUUAAGGCUAUUCCUUCUUUCUUGAGAAAGGGUUCGAAAGUUUUAAACUCCCCACCCAUGUCUGUUUGUAAAGCCUUGAUUCUUAAAUUUAGCUGAUUUUCUACUUGGUUUUUAAACACAAUGAAUGUGUCAAGGGCCUGUGAUUUUGUUGUUAAGGGAAACAACCAUGUGUAUCUUGUCUUGUCAUCCACAAAUGAUAUGUAAUAUCUGUGUCCAUGGGUAGAUGGAAUAGGUGCUGGUCCCCAGAGAUCACUAUGUAUUUGUUCUAAGGCUGUGCUGGUCUUGGUUUCAAUGCUUUUAAAGUUUAGUUUUGAUUGCUUUCCAUACUGACAAGCAUUACAGAAUGAGGGAAAUAUAUUUUUAUUUAAGUUGAGCUGAUUACAAGAUAAUAGAGUAUUUUUCAGAACUGACUCAUUUGGAUGCCUCAGCCUAUGGUGCCAGAGAUCUAUUUCAUUUGUUCUAAGAUCCCUACUGCUUGUAUCAGCUCUACUGGACUCGACAACACUGGCACCAACACUGGCACCUAAAGACUCAUUACUACUGAAAUUGAAACAUGCCAUUGACAUUGGAUUGCUAAUGCAACUUAUUGACUUGGGUAUUGGAAAUGAAGAUAACUCAGCAGCAUAAGUAACCUUGUUGCCACUCAAAUGAGUUGGCAUGCAUAGCAGCUCAUAUAGUCCAUCUCUAGCCACUCCUUUCACCAGAAUUCUCCCUUGGCUCUUGUCCUUGAUGAAGCAAACAGAUUUUUGAAACUCAACAUCAAUAUCAUUAUCAUGAAGCAAUUUGGAAACACUAAUGAGAUUUUUGGUAAUAUCAGGUACAAACAAAAUAUGAUUUAAUUUGAUGUGUUUGUGUGGACUGUAAGUGGGCAAUAUAGAAUAACCAAUGUGAGAGAUAUGAAGUUUGUUACCAUUACCAACAGUGAGCUUGUCAUUACCUUGGUACUCUGAGUUCAGGUUCAUGUUUCCAAUAGCAUUGGUCACAUGAUUUGUGGCACCACUGUCAAGGUACCAGGCAUUGCUGUUUUGUCCUUCUGUUGUGGCCAUGUAGGCUCCUCUCCUCCUAUUUAGCUGUGGCACAUAAUUUUUCUUAAACCUAUGCCAGCAUUCAACAGCUGUGUGCCCCAUUUUGAAGCAGAUUUGGCAUGGACCCUUUGAUUCAGAACCUUCACCUUCUGCAGCAGCUUUGCCUUUGCCUUUGUCUUGAAUAUUUUGAUUUCCCUGACCAUGACCACCAUUGCCACCAUUUCCAGUGCCACCACCAGGAUUUCUGAAGACUAUCCCAGGUUGUUGCUGACUGCCAAAUCUUUCACCAUUGCCCCAGUUCCUCCUGCCAUUUCUCAUCUGUGUGAAGUUAGCCUCAAGAAUCCCUGGGCUGAGAUUUUGCUCAGUCCUGGUUUCUUGGCUGAGGAGCAUGCUGUAGACCUCUGACAAUGAAGGAGUUUCUGGCAUAGAGUUAAUGUUAGUGACAACAGAGUCAUAUUCAGAUCAUACUCCAGCUAAGACACACAUAAUAAAGUCCUCAUCACUCAUGUUAUUUCCAGCUGCUCUGAGUGUAUUUAGGAUAGUUUUCAUCAUGGAGUAAUAAUCAUGGAUUGUAAGAGAGCCCUUUUUAGUGGUUUGAAUCUGUGUCCUCAAAUAUAGGAUUCUAGCUCUUGUUCUUGCACCAUACUGAUUGGUAAGAGUUGUCCAAACUUCAUGUGAAGUAGAACAAUCCACCACAGUGCCGAGGACACCCUCACUGAGAGAUGAGAGCAACCAGCUCAAAAGAAUGUGGUCCUGUUUCUUCCAGAUUUGAUAUUCUGGAUUUUGGUGGGUAACGGUAGCUUGGUUAGGUCCAGGACUGGUGAAAUAUCUGGGGGGACAGGUAUAGCUUCCAUUUAUGAAGCCUUCAAGCUCAUUUGCUCGUAUGCUGGAGACCACUUGUGAUCUCCAGAGCAUGAAAUUGUUCUGUGUUAACUUGAUGGGAGUGGUGAACACAUAUGUGUUGCUGGUGAUAUGUUGGGUAGGAGAUGGGUUCAUUAUGGUCACAUUUCUUGUGUUAUUAUCUGGAUUCUGAUUGUCGAUAUUUUCAGGUUGGUUUUGAUUCAAAUCAUUUGGUUGAUCAUCUGGAUUUUCCAGAGUUUGAUUCAUGUUUGUUUGUGAAUUUCUGCUGCUUUCCAUAGCUCAAAAGUUGCUCUGAUACCAACUUAAAUUCUUAUGAAUUGCUUAAGUAUGCAAGCAGAAGAGCAGAAAAAAAAUAACCUUUUCAUAUAUUAUAAUAACAUGAAUAAUCAGAUAUACACAUCCUUCACAUAUUUAUACUAAACGUGAAAAAUGGUAGCUUGCUCAAAGGGAAAACAGAAAUGAAUAAAACAAAAGAUUACAGCUGCACUAGCCAAUCAUUGGAAACAUUCUAGAAACUCCAGCUUGCAGUAUUCACGUGUAAAUAUUCUCCUGCAUAACAGUUUUGCCAGCUCAUUGAAUACACCUCAACUUCUUCAUCAGCUGGCUGCUGGAUAUGGCUGCUCAGGUGGCAUGCCAACAUGGCCUUGGGGUCAAUUGUUGACUCAUCUUCAUAAUCUGAAUUCUCAACAAUGCAUUCAAACAGAUCUUCUUCAAAUUUCUUAGAACUUGCAACCGAAGAUAUUGGAGUUUCGCAAAAGGUUUUAGCCCUGUAACUUCUUCCACUUUCCAAACACUGAUUAUUUCUUCCAUCUCAUAACAACGUUCUACAUGGACCAUCUUCAGAUUUGGGGCAAAAACAAGCCAUGUCAUCUCCCUCAAUUUACUGCAAUAGUCUAUGGUAACACUUUGAAGGCUGUUGAAACCAUAAGUUCUCUUGUUGUUUGAACUUCUGCAUAGUCAACCUUUAGCUCUUCCAAACUUGUACAAUACACAAAAUCUAGUUUGUCAAGAUACUUGAGAUCUGCUAUGGACAAAAUAUUCCAUGACCUUGAAUCCUCACAGCGUCGAAGCUCUAAAGCAUAUUUACAACUCUUGUACUGUUGGCAGCUCAAAAGUCUUCGUAGAGCAUAAAAACUUCUUAACGUGACGCUUAAUACAUUUAAAUGUUCCAAAGUAAUCAACUCCUCUACCAAAAUUUCACUACCACCAAAUAGAACGCUAUCUUCUGGUACUGUAUUAGCAGAGCCACAAUCUAGCAUCCUCAACACCUUUAACCCAGAAAAAUUACAAAGCAGUUGCCGUGGAAUCGUAUGGAGAUAACGCAUGUACUCCAAGUUCAAACACUUUAGAUUUUUCAAGGCUUUUAAUUCAUGUGGUAACUCUUUGAUGAAAGUUUCUGAAAGAUUAAGAUAUUGUAGUGAAACCAAUUUUGAAAUUCCUGAAGGCAAUUGACUCAAGGAGCGAUUCUUUGAUAGGUUUAAAACUUUAAGAGAAGGCAUAAAAUCGAAGAAAUCACUAGGGAUAGUAUCUAACAUAUUAAUGCCGAGGAACAAAGUUAUAAGAUGAGGGCAUAUUGGAGUUAUUGGUAAAAUCACAAUUUUAUUUCUCAUCAACGAUAUCCUUCUCUUAUCUUCCCAUUGUUUAACCUCGGGUGGUUCAGUUAAUUCAAUACCGGCAGAAACCAAAAAGUUUUCAUUCUCCACUUCACAGGCUAUCCACAAGGUCAUAUCACGAAUCACAUCAUGCAAUUUUACAUAAUCUGAUCCUGCUUCUUCCAAUAGGCAUGCAUGAACAAGAACACCAAUAAUGUAGUAUCCUUGGUUAUGUACUCCAUUAAUUCCUUCAUAUUCCUUCAGAAAACCCUCACCAAUCCAACACCCUAUCAAUUCAAUUUUGCUAAUUUGAUAAUCCUCAGGAAAUAAACUACAGUAUAACAGACAAGAUCUAAGGACGUCACUAGACAAACUAUCAUAACUGAAUUUUAAAAGACGAAACACCUCUUUCUCCAUACCUGGAAAUUCAUAAGCUGAUCUCCUUAACAUCUGAAUUGCAUAGCUCCAUUCUUCGGGUGUCUUCUUGCUGCUCAUGGCACGACCGGUGGUAAUAAGUGCAAGUGGCAAACCACUACACUCCUUUGCCACAGUUUUGGCUAACUCCGGAAUAUCGGGAUGACUUUCAAGAGUCUCUUCUCCGACCUUCUUUAGGAACAAUUCCCAAGCAUCUUGAUCUGCCAAACACUCCACCUUGAACUUUUUUUGAGCUUCCAUGAGGCCACAGACGUCCACAAGACGAGUCGUAAAUGUUGAAAGUCAUGGCUGGCGCCGGCCAUCUAGAUGGCCGGUGCCAACCAUUCAACAUUCAACACGGCCCGCCAUUAUUGGUGGUGCCGUGUUGAAUGACUCCAUAAAAAAAAAAAAAAAAAAAAAGAGCCAAAAUUUUGGCUAUAUAAAGAGGGCUUCCCACCCUCAUUUAUAAUCCAAUCUUGAGAGAGCAAUUUAGGGAGUUGAGAGAGAGUUUAAGAGCUUGCAUUUAUAAGCUCUUAUUUUAGUGAUUUGAGAGUUUGGGUGUAUUGGGGUUUUGGGUAGUGAGCUAAAAUACUACAAUACUUGUAACUCCUUUUCACUAGUAAAAUAUUUCCUUCUGUCUUUGCCCAUGGACGUAGGCUAAAAGCCGAACCACGUAAUUUCUGGUGUCCUCUAUUGUGCUUGUUCUUUAUUUUAUUUCCAAUUUCAUUUUAGCUGCGGUCCUGCUUCACCCACCAAUUUCCUAACAGUGGUAUCAGAGCUAUUGGUUGUAUUUUUGGAGUCGGGAACUGUUCACGUAAGGGGUACUAUUCACGUAUACGACACUAUUCACGUAUACUGUACUGUUCACGUAUACGGGUUUGUUCACAUAUACGGUACUGUUCACGUAUACGAUACUAUUCACGUAUACGGUACUAUUCACGUGAAACGGGGAAGCGAUCCAAGAAUUUUCCGGUGCAAAGCAGGGAAUAGUAGUGUGAGAAAAGCAACUGUGGUUUUGUACAUGUCUAGGAAAGUUCUGUCACAAAGGCGAUAAGAGCUUAAGGAGUCUGGGUUUUAAGUGGGACCAUUGUGACCCCUCCAGUCUUUCCUGGGAACUUUCCUGGUGUGCAUUCUCACACAUACUCACAACUAUUCAAGGUGGUAUACUAGCUUGUGUGCAGUAUUUAUCAACAAAAUGGCGGCAAAGUAUGAAAUUGAGAAGUUGAACGGAAAUAAUUUUUCGUUGUGGAAAAUGAAGAUGAAAGCUGUAUUGAGGAAAAAUAAUUGUUUGGCAGCAAUUGGAGAAAGGCCCAUGGAGAUAACUGAUGACAAGUGGAACGAGGUAGACGGUAACGCCAUUUCUGAUCUACACUUGGCACUUGCGGAUGGUGUAUUAUCUAGUGUGGCAGAGAAAAAUACGGCGAAGGAAAUAUGGGAUACUCUCACAAAAUUGUACGAGGCCAAGUCACUACACAACAAAAUCUUCUUGAAGAGAAAACUAUAUACUCUUCGAAUGGCGGAAUCUACAAUGGUGACCGACCACAUCAACACUUUGAAGACUCUAUUUUCACAACUCACAACGUUGGGUCAUAAUAUAGAGGAGAAUGAACGUGCAGAGCUUCUACUUCAAAGUCUACCAGAUUCGUAUGAUCAACUCAUCAUCAACCUGAUGAACAACAAUCCAGUGGAAAGUCUAGUUUUCGACAAUGUUGCAGCCUCCGUAUUAAAUGAGGAGAGCAGACGGAAAAAUAAGGAAAACAGACAAGCAAGUUCGCAGCAAGCAGAGGCGCUAUCGGUGACGAGAGGGAGAUCAACGGAACGUGGCCCCAGUGGGAGUCAAAGUUAUGGUAGAUCAAAAUCCAGAAGUAAGAAAAAUGUUAAAUGCUACAACUGUGGCAAGAAAGGGCACGUCAAGAAAGAGUGUUGGAGUAACCAGAAGAGAAGAGAGGGUAAAGAACCUGAGUCAUCAAAUGCUCAGGGGUGUGUAGCAAGUACCUCGGAUGAUGGCGAAAUUCUCUACAGUGAGGCAACAACUGUUUCAGAAGGCAGAAAACGACUUUCUGAUGUCUGGCUUAUAGACUCAGGAGCUACCUGGCACAUGACCUCUAGGAGAGAAUGGUUCUACACAUAUGAACCUAUCUCAGGAGGAUCUGUAUAUAUGGGUAACGAUCAUGCCUUGGAGAUCGCUGGUAUUGGUACUAUCAAAAUAAAAAUGUUUGAUGGUACAAUUCGCACAAUUGGGGAGGUACGACAUGUCAACGGCCUAAAGAAAAAUCUAUUGUCUUUAGGACAAAUGGAUAGUCAUGGGUACAAAACUCAUGUGGAGAAUGGAAUUAUGAAGAUCGUUAAAGGCGCGCUUGUAUUAAUGAAGGCAGAAAAGAUCAGUGCUAAUCUAUUCAUGCUUAAAGGAGAAACACUACAGGAGGCUGAUGCGUGUGUCGCGUCAAAUGGAGAAGAAUCAACGAUGAUGUGGCAUCUCAAACUCGGCCACAUGUCAGAACAAGGCUUGAAGAUUCUCUCUGAGCGAAAAUUGCUUCCGGGGCUCAAAUCAGUAAGUUUACCAUUUUGCGAGCAUUGUGUUAUAAGUAAGCAGUAUAGAUUAAAAUUCAGUAGAUCUAUUGCUAGAAGUAAAUGCAUUCUAGACUUGAUUCAUUCUGAUGUUUGGGAAUCACCGGAUAUAUCCAUGGGAGGUGCAAAGUACAUGGUGACUUUCAUUGAUGAUUAUUCCAGAAGAUGUUGGGUGUAUCCAAUUAAGAAAAAGUCAGAUGUAUUUCCUGUGUUUAAAGAAUACAAAGCGCGGGUGGAACUUGAAUCUGGUAAAAAGAUCAAGUGCUUAAGGACAGAUAAUGGUGGAGAAUAUACAUACGACGAGUUUCUUGCUUUCUGUAAGCAAGAAGGUAUUCAGAGGCAAUUCACGGUGGCAUACACUCCUCAACAAAACGGAGUAGCAGAGCGGAUGAACAGAACUCUUACAGAAAGAAUAAGAGCUAUGUUGAGGACUGCUGGUUUACCCAAUUCAUUCUGGGCAGAAGCAGCCAAAACCGCCUGUUAUAUAGUAAAUCGGUCGCCAUCUACAGCUAUUGGGUUGAAGACAGCGAUGGAGAUGUGGACUGGAAAGCCAGCUGAUUAUUCCUACCUACAUGCAUUUGGAUGUCCUGUGUACGUGAUGUACAAUGCCCAAGAAAGAACAAAGCUGGAUGCAAAAUCUAGAAGAUGUAUCUUCUUGGGGUAUGCUGAUGGAGUAAAGGGGUAUCGUCUGUGGGACCCCACUGCCCAUAAGAUCGUCAUCAGCAGAGAUGUUAUCUUUGUAGAAGAUCAACUACAAAGAAAAGAUGGAGAUGAUGGCACUGUAAAAGAAAAGUCAGAGACUGUACCAGUAUAUGUCGAAAAUAAUCUAGAAGAUUCAGAUUCUUCUGAAGCAGCACCAGAGCACGAGGAACAAGAACCAGUCGAGUCUGAGGCUCCAGAAGUUCGUCGGUCAACUCGUGAGAGACGACCACCGGCGUGGCACUCGGAGUAUGUCACAGAGAUCAACGUUGCAUACUGUCUUCUAACAGAGGAUGGAGAGCCUUCAACUUUCCAUGAAGCUUUAAACAACUUAGAUGUUGCUUUGUGGAUGACAGCAAUGCAGGAAGAAAUUGAAGCUCUACACAAGAACAAGACAUGGGAACUUGUACCACUACCACACGGAAGAAAAGCCAUUGGAAACAAAUGGGUCUACAAGAUCAAACGUGAUGGCAAUGACCAAGUGGACCGGUAUCGUGCAAGAUUGGUGGUGAAAGGAUAUGCUCAGAAAGAAGGUAUUGACUUCAACGAGAUAUUUUCUCCGGUGGUUCGACUCACAACAGUCAGAAUAGUCUUGGAGAUGUGUGCUACAUUUGAUCUACAUCUUGAGCAGUUAGAUGUUAAAACUGCAUUUCUUCAUGGAGAACUUGAAGAAGAAAUAUAUAUGCUCCAACCAGAAGGUUUUGCAGAAACAGGAAAGGAGAACUUGGUUUGCAGGUUGAACAAAUCUCUAUACGGUCUCAAACAGGCGCCGAGGUGUUGGUAUAAGAGAUUUGAUUCCUUCAUCAUGAGCCUUGGAUACAACAGACUCAGUUCAGACCAUUGUGCAUAUUACAAGAGGUUUGAAGAUAAUGAUUUCAUCAUUUUACUGUUGUACGUGGAUGACAUGUUGGUAGCAGGCCCCAACAAAGAUCAAGUCCAAGAAUUGAAGGCACAAUUGGCUAAGGAGUUUGAAAUGAAGGACUUGGGACCAGCAAACAAGAUUCUAGGGAUGCAAAUUCACCGAGACAAAAAUAACAGGAAGAUUUGGCUUUCACAGAAGAAUUACUUGAAGAAAAUCUUGCGGCGCUUCAACAUGUAAGAUUGUAAGUCAAUUUCUACCCCACUUCCUGUUAAUUUCAAAUUAUCCUCAAGUAUGUGUCCUAGCAAUGAAGUGGAGAGGAAGGAGAUGUCUCGAGUACCGUAUGCAUCAGCAGUGGGAAGUUUAAUGUUCGCUAUGAUAUGUACUAGACCAGACAUUGCACAAGCAGUGGGAGCAGUCAGUCGAUACAUGGCGAAUCCUGGUGGAGAGCAUUGGAUAGCUGUAAAGAGGAUUCUGAGAUACAUCAGAGGAACCUCAGAUGUUGCAUUAUGUUACGGAGGAUCAGAGUUUACUAUCAGGGGCUAUGUGGAUUCAGAUUUUGCAGGAGAUCUUGAUAAAAGAAAAUCCACUACUGGUUAUGUGUUUACACUUGCAGGAGCAGCUGUAAGCUGGGUUUCGAAACUGCAGAUCGUUGUGGCUUUANNNNNNNNNNNNNNNNNNNNNNNNNNNNNNNNNNNNNNNNNNNNNNNNNNNNNNNNNNNNNNNNNNNNNNNNNNNNNNNNNNNNNNNNNNNNNNNNNNNNAUAUUCUUGAUUAAUCCAUUUUCUGAAAUUUUUUAUUUUGUAUGGUCAAUUAUACCUUCAUACUAAAAAUUUCUGAUGUUAUGGGGUUGUUGGAUGUGUUUUGGAUAUUUGCAGCUAAGUUUGAGUUUAUAUCUCAACUUAAAAUUUGUAGUUUUCACUUGAAAAAAUUCAGUUAAAAAUUGAUUGGUAGAAUUGUGAAGAAGUUUAAAUUUUUAGUUCAACCCGAUUGCAUAUUUAAGAACAUCUCAAAUGAAUUGCUUACUGCUAUCAUCAUCAUAAUUGUCAGAGAUGGUUAAUUGAUAGACUAUGUGCCUGGGUCGAGCACUGGAAGCCUGCAAUGCAGACUGAUUGAUUUAUCAGUUUAACGUGUGCCAGGAAUGAAGAACUGGAAUAUCACCGUCAAGCAAGCACCCUGUGGAGCAAUACCAAAGAAUGCACAAUCCGGCUUUGCAAGGUGACACUGGAGGCUUUUUGAAAAGUGCUUCACGCUCACUUGCACAGAUUGAGCAUCCCCUCUGGAUAUUGCCCUCUCUGAUCGAGUCUGAGCACUCAAAUUUUGGUCCUCAGAGGGAGCUACAGUUUUCUCUCCAAUAACCAACAAUUUUCUAAACUCAGCACCUAGUGUGAUCAGAGUUGUUGAUAUUUAUAAAUGGAGAUCCCCAUAUUUGCAAGUGGAGACAUUUAACAAUUCACCAACAUGCUUCAUCCGGUGUACAAAAUUCUGCAGCUGAUUCAAAUCCGGAACCUGAACCAGAGUCGGAGGUAUAUCUUGAGCCAUAUCUAAAGUAGUUUGAAGUUCAAGACCUUGAGCCCUUGACAAUGGUUUUGAAAUUGGAACAUCUUGGAUUACUGCAGACUUGUACCCCUUGGUUUCAAAGGUAAGGAAAGGCAUUGCUUGAGUACAAUUUGGAGGCAGCUUCUUCACCAAUUUUAUUUGGAGGCGAUUGGCAGCGGAUCCAGCAGCACCAAUUUCAGAGCAAAUACUGACACUACUUCGAACAGCACACUGAAGAAGUGAUAUGUCUACGGCAAAGGCAAUGCAGUCCUCAUUUUGGCUUGAGAUGCAGUAAUCAUCGAAGAGAGUUUCCUUGUGAAACUGGGCAACACAUUGAAUCCCUUCGCCACUGAGAAGGUUGUGGAGGAAGUAAGCUUUCUCUCUAGUGAGGCAGAGGUGGCAUACCUUCCCCAUUUUGUCGAGGGCAGGUAGGAAUCUUUUUUCUAAGAGAUUUACUUCAUUCUCUGUGAGAAAUGCUUUGAACUUCAUCCCUCUGUCUCUAUCCUCACUUAUCAGGAAAUAAGUUGAAAGCACUACGAAGAGAGAGAGAGAGAGAGAGAGAGAAUUAAGAUAUAUAGACAAGAAAAAUAUUAGACGUUGAUCUUACAAACUAAUACUUCAAGCAGUAUCCUGGAAAGCUAAAAACUGCAAGAUGGCUUGAAAUUUGAAAAGAGCACGUGCUUUUCCUCCUUAACUUGAGAAAAUGUUUAAUAUAGUGCACCUUAUGGAAGCAUUUAAGCAAUUAGAACUUUGCACAAAAACAUCAAGAAGACUAAACAAGUCAGAUGCAGUGUAUUUGUCCAAGCACAAAUUGCAUUUUGUCCUCAACUUUAAUAUUUAUUGAUGAGAAUCAAUACAGGUCCCUCAUUUGUUAUAGAAAGCUUUCUUUCUUGUAGUCUCACCAGUUAAUUCACAGGUCUAUAAUCAUCUUGCAAAGUUAAGGGCAUUUCUUUUGAUCUAAAGUCUUUGCAUCACCACCUCAUCACACGCCAAGCCAAUAUUCCAUUUACCUCUACAACAAAAAGUUUUAAUUAAACAAUCCUAAUGCACGCAGCCAAAUAAAAUGCAGUAAGAAUAUUCAACUUAAAAAUCUGAAAGCCAACUUGGUGAAUUGCCUCCUUAGGUGAAGUUCCAUGCUUUACUAUAGUUGACAGAACUCAGCAAAAGCUUCCAUACAACAGAUUUUGAAAAUGAUGAUGCCAACAGAUACUCAUUCAAUCCAUUGAAACUCCAAAGGUUCAUUGUUCAUAGAAGUUUACAAAGUUUUGGUCAUCAAAUAGCUCAGACCUAAUCCCAAACAAAAAAAGAGUGAAAAUUAGAUCACGAGCAGCUAAUUGUAAAUUCUAACUUAACUCUUCAUCUCCUUUGUAAACAAGAAACAAAAUGGAGACACGCAAAAUGAAUAUGGAGAAAAUUUGAACUCAAAUGAAAUGAGGGCACGAAAGCAAACAAAUGGCAUGCACAAAAAAACCAAGCCUCAAUCAAAAACUAAUUAACCAUUAAGAAAAAAAUUGGUCAGACAAUGAACUCCAAAUUCAGGAGUCAAGCAAGAAGCUUUCAUUAUUUCAGAAGCUCCUGUACAAAUUAAUAAGUUAUGCUCUUUGGAAGCAAAACCAAAUUCCAAGAGAAACAGAACCCAAAAAAUUUGCAAUUAUUCGCAAAGGAAGUGAAGCACAGGAUUCUAUCACACAUAGGAAUUUUAUAACAAGAGAUCGAUAUAUCGAAUUAGAAAACUCAAUUCGAAUUUGUGUGAAAAAUCAAAAUUAGAAGAUUUCACAUUUCGAGAGGAACAAGCAACAGAUGAGUUUAAUUUCAGCCAUAACAUGCUAAAAAUGCUACACUUAACGGUUCCUUGUCAGCUAUUGAUGCGUUCGCUCANNNNNNNNNNNNNNNNNNNNNNNNNNNNNNNNNNNNNNNNNNNNNNNNNNNNNNNNNNNNNNNNNNNNNNNNNNNNNNNNNNNNNNNNNNNNNNNNNNNNAAGGGUCAUGUUCAAGCAGGAAAACUUCUAGAACAGGUAAGGAUUCCAUCUACAGACAUCCAUUGACAGCAGAUAUAUUUCAUUAAGCAGACACUGUUAGCAUUCAAGAUGCUGGCAGAUUCACUUGAUUCUUAUUAGUUUGUUUAGUGGCAAGGCAUAUAACCUGUAUUUCAAAGCCAAGUUGUGCUAUUGAUUAUGUUAACUUUAUUGUUAACAUUAAGUGAUUUGGAGGACAUAAUCAAUGUAGGAAAAUUAGGUGAAGAGAUGAUGUCAAAUCUUGAACCUCUUACAAAGCUCCAAGUUCUUUACUUGAAGAAGCUGCCAAAUUUGAAGAGCGUCUACUGGAAGGCAUUUCCAUUCCCAGAUGUAUGCAGAAUUUUUGUAUUAAUGCCCAGUUCUUAAGAAGCUGCCACUGGAUUUUCAUGGGGCGGGCCAAGGUAAAAUUCUUAUCAAGGGAAAGGAAGAUUGGUGGAAAGAACUUCAAUGGGAGGAUCAAGCAACUCAGAAUGCAUUGCUUCCAUUUUUCAAAUCAACUGACAAGUGAUUGAAGGGGGCAUCAUCAACAGAGAUGGAGAGAUUCUGGAGCAGAUCAGCAGGGUUUGUAUAUGAUCUUUGGUGGUUGCUUUCUUUUGUGAUUUUUUUUUUCUCAUUUUUUUACCUUCCUGUCAUUUUAUCAUUUCUUUGUCUCUUUUUCUAUUGCUGAUGUUAGUGUAUGCUUACUGUUGCUUGACAAAGUUUGCUUGCUUCUUGUUUAUUAAAUUUUUUAUGGUCACAAAAUAUUACUUGUUCUAUUUGAGAGUGAUGUGAAUCAAUUUUCAAUUAUAUAUUUUUUGGUCAAUGUGAAUUCAAUUUCAUUUGUCUCCUGCAAUUAUUAAAAAAAUGCAGUCUCAUAAUAUGGAAAAGUCGACCGGCAAAAAUUUUGUGAAAGCUUCGGAGUGAAACAGGGAAUUCACUUACUACUAAGGACAAUUGGUGGCGAGCUAUUCCAUUCAUUUUAUGUCCCUACAUCUAUUUAAUUAUUAAAGAUAAGUGGUCCAUUUGUAAAUUUCAGAUUGUGUCUCUCUGAAAAUAACAAUAUUUAAAAUGUCUCUUAAAUUAUUAUAAAUUUUAAUUCACUCUCGAUUUAAAAUGGAACAUGCUGAUGAAAAUUUUUUUCUUCUCAAUAUUCAAUAAAAUUGAAAUAAAUUGUGUUUGCAGUAUUUUGAAAUAUUUUAAAGAUUAUUAUUUUAUAAGAGAGUAAUAUGAAAUGAAAUUUACUCUUCAUGCGUGAAAUGUUGAAAAGGACAAAGGAAAGUGUCACUGCUUUUAUUUUAUUUCAAAGUGGAGUCAUCUCACAUACUUUACCUCUAUCAUUACAAUUUUUCACGUUACAUUUUGAUUUAUUUAUUUCUUUUAACACAUGCAUGUGGGUUACUUUUCCGUAAGCUCCUUAAUAUAUGUUUAACACAAAUCAUGGAAGAGAUGGGAGUAUAUCAAGAUGAUCAAAGCAUGAGACAAAAAUAUUUAAGAAGUAAAACACUGAAAAUAGAGGAGAGAUGCAAGCAAAAGAUAUUCCAAAGAAAAGCAAUCUAUCCCCUUUCGAGGGCAAACUUAAUCAGGUUUAAGAAAAGUACAUGUUUUGGAUUGGUAGUUGCAGCCUUGCAGGAUAAUUGUUUUUGCCAUUAUAUUAGUUGGAGGAGUUGAACCCAGCGAAGAAUGUUAUGGAAGAGCAAAUUAAUGAUAUUUCUGAUAGAGUCUAUUUGAUUAUGUAGCCUGAAUGGAUGUCUUGUUGAAAGAUAUCUCAGUGCAUUAGUUCAUCCUUGUCUGUCAAUGUGUUUUUAAUGGUUUUUCCAAUUGUUUAUUAUUAUAGAUUGAUUGUAAAUUUAUAUGAAAAUUUGAUAUGAAUUUAAUGUUGAAAUGUUUUCUCUUUAGUGGAAUGAAUUUAAAUUGAUUGAUUGUAAAUUGAUAUGAAUUUAAUGUUGCAAUGUUUUCUCUUUAGUGAAAUGAACUUAAAAGUGUAAAAGAUUAUUGCACACAUAGAAAUAAACAUAUAUGCUUUAUAGUAUAACUUUAGCAAUCGAUUCUUUUACGGCUGGAAACAGAGAUGAUGAUUAUCAUAGGGGUGAAGAAAAGGACAAAAAAUAUUAAUAAAUGAUCUUAAUGUUCCACAAAAGCAAAUCGUAAUAUUCCACAAGAAAAAGCAAGAUCUUAAUGUUCCACAAAAGCGUUAUUUAUUUUUUUUGGUGAGCCACGUGGAGCUCAAUUAUCAUUGUCUUUACUUUAAAAACGUUAUUUUAUUUUAUUUUCUUACAAAUUAAUGCUAACAAGAAAAAGCAAGAUAUAAUAUUCCACAAAAGCAAAUCGUAAUAUUCCACAGAGGAAUAAGAUCCACAAAAGCAAACAACUAGCUGGAUUCUUUUAUUAAACUACAAAUUAAAGUGGAAUCGUUUACUAAACAACAAAUUAAAGUUCAAAUAUUUAAAUAGUAGUGCGUUAGACGAUUAGGCUCUUUUAUUAAAGUCAAGUAUAAAGUAGUCCAGAAUCGAACAUCUCUAUUGUCUAGUCUUUUUUUUUUUUAAUUCUUCUUUUAUUAUUUUUCAGAAUAUGUUUUGGUGAUUACUAUUGGGUUAUUAUUCAGAGUUAUUGUUAUCUUCCGGGGCAGUUUCUGUUCAUCGAAAUCGUUAAUUAAAAUUUUAAAACUCUUAUCGGAAGAAUGUUUUUCCGUUAUUUUUUUAUAUUCUAAUUUCAAUUGUAAGAAGUAGUCAUUUUAGAAUUUGGGUCUUGAAUCGAAUUUCAAUGCAUGAAUUAAUAUUUUAAAAAAAUUUACUACAUGCAGUUUAGGUUACAAACUAUUUUUUGCAAAGUUGACUAUGAAAUUGGAGAAAUUAAGUAAUUUAUAAUGUUUGCAAAGAAAGAGACCAACAUACUUCCAAUUACACUAUAUCUCAAUUAUCAUAAUGUUAAGAUUAAACUAACUUAAAAUAAAAUUUAUUUAAAAAGUUUAUCAAACGCAGUCUAAUUUUAUUAACUUGAAGAGAUAAUAGUUAUAGAAAUUAUUAUUCUAACUUAAUUAGUAAAAGUGGUAUAAAGGUUAAGUGUGCACUAAAUCUAUUUAAAUUUUUUUCCAGUAUAACUAACAGAGGUCAUUACUAGAAUUAUAUUACUAGUCUAUUAGAUAGAAAAAAUUAUUUAUAUUGUUUUAUAUUUAUUAAAAAAAUUUAAAGUCAAUCUUUUUAAUUACUAUUUAAAGGAUAUUAUAAUUAAAAAAAUUUUAAUGUCUUCAUUAAAAAUUUAAAAUUUUAUAUGACCGUUAUCUAAAUAUUUAAAGUGUAACUGUCAUUUUCUCAUAUAUAUAUAUAAUUUCAUCAACCCCUUAUACUUUAUGUUAUUUAUAUUUUAUUCAUGAAUAUUAUAAAUUUUUUGAAAUAUAAAAUUUCGUUUAACCCUUUAUACUCAAUUUUAUUUUAUUAAAACCCUAGAGUAUGAAUUCGUCCCUAUAAUAUUAAAUUCUCAAAAUAACUUCCAUUUAAUUAAAAAAUAUAAUUAUUAUUAAAUGAAUUAUAAUUAUUAUUAUUAUGUUAUUAUAAUCAUAAAAAGCGAGAUCAUAUUCCACAAAAGCAUAAGUGACAAAACAACCAACUGGAUUCUUUUAUUAAUCAACAAAUUGUAUAGUCUUUUUCAAAUUGUUAUAAAUUGGUGGCCCCUACAAUCCUCAAUAAUUGUACCGAAAUUCACAAGUUGGUGGGCCCUACAAUUCUGUUCCGAUAAUUUAACUGUGCAAGUGCUCAUUCACAAUCUUCCAGGUCAUGCUCUUAACAAUUGUUUUUUCUUUUCUGCACGCCCUUUCAUGCUCUUAAUAAUUGAAGAGCAUACUUUUCAAAUGUGAAGCCGCAUCUAAUGUCGCUAAUUUAAUUUGGGAUUAAAUUACGGGACUAUUAUAUUGCAGUGUGCACUAAUUUUUAUGUUUAUCUAAACUCUUCAAAUUUAAAACAUAUUAUGGCAUAAAUAAGAAUGUAACAAUAACAAAAGAGUAAGAAAGUGUAGAGAAAAUCUUGCAGAAAUAUAAAUAAUAUUUAUUUUUAAAAUAAUAUUAAUAUUUAAAAUAAUUUUUAAUAUUUUAUGGUCCAUUAGAUAUAUUUUAUUAUAUUAAAAUAAAUUUUAUAAUAAAUAAAAACAUACUAUUAAAAUGAAUAUAUAUAGAAAAUUUAGAGUAUUUUAAGUAUUAUAUAAAAUAAUUUUAAUAAAAUAUGUGAGAUAUUCAUAUUUUAUUAAUUUAAGAUACCAUUUAACCUAAAGAUUUAUUUAUGAUAAAUUAAUAAUUAUAUUUUUGAAAUUACUUCAAAUAUUAAAAAAAUUAAUAUUACUAAUAUAUUAGAUAGAUUAAAUUAUAUAUAUUAUUUUUACUUAUUAAAAAAAUUUUAAAAUUAUUUUUAAUUACUAUUCAAAAAACGUAUUCAAAAAACAUAAUGAUAAAAAAAUCUUAACAUCUUUAUUAAAAAAUUAAAAACUUAUAUGAUAAAUUCUCUAAAUAUUUACGGUAUAUGUGAACCACGGUGGAUAAGCUUUAUUUAAUAUUAUUGAUUUAAAUAAUAUGUCAAUUAAAAAUGUACAGAGAAGAAAUUUCGGUGGGUAUUUUAGUCUUUUAAGCAAUUAUCAUGAUCAGAUCAGCCUUUAGCCUUCAAACGUCGGUCAGAAAAGUUUUAAAAUUAAUGCUAAAUUGUUUUUCACUUUUAACGUUGGUGGCCUUGAAAUUGCUUGUAUUUUAUUAAAAAUUAAUGCUAACAAGAAAAAGCUAGGUCAUAUUCCACAAAAUCAAAAGUGACAAAACAACCAGCUGGUUUCUUUUACUAAACUACAAAUUAAAAUAAAUUUUUUCGAUAAAUUACAAAUUAAAGUGGAUUCUUUUGAAUACAAAUGGGACAGACGAUUAGGCUCUUUUUAUUAGAGGCAAGUAAAAACUAGUCAAGAAUCGAACAGUCUUUUUCCAAUUCUUGUUUUAUUAUUUUUCAAAACUAGUUUUUGGUAAUUACAACCGGGUCAUUAAUCAUUAUUCAGAGUUACUGUUAUCUUCGGGGGCAGUGGGUAAAAGAUAAUUACUAACUGUUUUUCCUUCAAAAGUUAGCGGCUCAUGUUUGCAAGUGUGAAUGUGCGAUGCUCUUUUCUUAAAGGCCAUUACAGUGGGGCCCGAAUCAGACGUGCCUAAAUCUUUUUAAAAUUUUUGCCGUAUAACGAACAGAGGUCAUUACUAAAAUUUCUCUUCCACAGCCUACAGCAGCUUCAGUUUAUCAAACUCCAUCAAUUUUCUUUCUUAACAAAAUUCCAAAGAUGUGUAGCAUUUUUCAGAUCACAUGCGAUGGUGCUCUUUUCAAUCGUUGCUUGGAUUGCUUUCUUGGAAAAGCAGCAUACAUACGUAACCUCCAAGAUAAUCUUGAUGCCUUGGACACUGAACUGGGAAGACUAAUCGCUAAAAAGAACGAUGUGAUGAGGAGGGUUGUCGACGCUGAACGACAACAAAUGAGAAGGCUGGACGGAGUGCAAGUGUGGGUUUCGAGGGUGGAUGCUGUUAAAACUGGAGCCGAUGAACUUAUCACAGACGGCUCUGAAGAAAUUGGCAAAUUAUGUGUUGGAGGCUACUGUUCCAAGAACUGCAGGUCAAGCUACAAGUUCGGAAAACAAGUGGCUAAAAAGCUACAAGAUGUGAAGACUUUAAUCGCCGAGGGAGUUUUUGAGGCGGUGGCUACUGAGGUGGUGCCCGAGAGAGCUCCGGAACCUGUAGCAGAUAAAAGACCCAUUGAGCCAACAAUAGUAGGCUUGCAAUCACAGCUUGAACAAGUUUGGAGAUGUCUUGUAGAAGAAUCAGUGGGAAUCAUUGGCCUAUAUGGUAUGGGCGGUGUUGGUAAAACCACACUAUUGACCCGUAUCAACAAUAAAUUUCUUGAGAGUCAAAACAACUUUGAUUGUGUGAUUUGGGUCGUAGUUUCAAAAGACCUGCGGCUUGAAAAAAUUCAAGACGAUAUUGGGAAGAAGAUAGGUCUGUCUGAUGAUUCAUGGAAGAAUAAAAGUUUUGAAGAGAAAGCUGUGGACAUCCUGCGGAGAUUAGGAGAGAAGAGAUUUGUAUUGUUGUUAGAUGAUUUAUGGGAGCGGGUUGAUUUAACAAAAGUGGGCGUUCCACUUCCCAGCGCACAAAAUACUACCUCAAAAGUCGUAUUCACAACCCGUUCCAUUGGUGUUUGUGGCAGCAUGAGAGCUAGGCCGGUUAAAGUGGCAUGCCUAUCAGAAAAGCAAGCUUGGGAACUGUUCCGCGAAAAUGUUGGGGAAGAAACUCUUGAGAGUGAUCAUGAGAUCGUUGAGCUAGCCCAAACUGUGGCCAAAGAGUGUGGUGGUUUGCCACUCGCACUUAUUACUAUUGGUCGAGCUAUGGCCUUCAAAAAGACAGCCGAGGAGUGGAGUCAUGCAAUUGAUGUGCUAAGAACAUCAGCUUCUGAGUUUGCAGGUUUGGGAGAGAAGGUGUAUCGUCUUUUAAAGUUUAGCUAUGAUAGUUUGCAGAAUGAGACCAUUAGAUCUUGUUUCUUAUAUUGUUGUUUAUAUCCCGAGGAUUAUGGCAUUCUUAAAUGGGACUUGAUUGAUUGUUGGAUUGGUGAGGGAUUCUUGGAGGAAUCUGACAGGUUUAGUGCAGAAAACCAAGGAUACUACAUUGUGGGCACUCUUGUUCAUGCGUGUUUGCUAGAAGAGAUGGAAGAUGAUAAAGUAAAAAUGCAUGACGUUGUUCGUGAUAUGGCUCUAUGGAUAGCUUGUGAAAUUGAGAAGGAGAAGAGAAACUUUUUGGUUUGUGCAGGUGCUGGAUUAAAAGAGGCACCGGAUGUUAAAGGAUGGGAAAAUGUGAGAAGAUUGUCAUUGAUGCAAAACCAAAUUAAAACUCUGUCAGAGGUUCCCACAUGCCCUCAUCUCCAUACUUUAUUUCUUGCCUCUAAUAUGGAGUUGGAGAUGAUCGCGGAUGGCUUCUUCCAAUUUAUGCCUUCUCUCAAAGUUUUGAAGAUGUCACGCUGCUGGAAUUUUCAAUUACCUGUUGGGAUGUCAGAUUUGGGUUCAUCACUAGAACUUCUUGAUAUUUCACAUACCACCAUAAGAGAGUUACCCGAAGAGUUAAAGUUGCUGGUAAAUCUGAAAUGUUUGAAUUUGAGGUGGACAGGUGCGUUAAUUAGAAUUCCACGGGGACUAAUAUCAAAAUUUUCAAGGUUACGUGUGUUGAGAAUGUUGGGUACUGGCGGGUUCAUUUUUUAUGAAGCACCAGAAGACAGCGUUUUAUUUGGUGGGGGUGAAGUUUUGAUACAGGAAUUGCUCGGUUUGAAAUAUUUAGAGGUAUUGGAGUUGACCUUGGGAAGUUAUCAUGCUCUCCAAAUUCUUUUGAGCUCAAAUAAGUUAAAAAGUUGUAUUCGAUCUCUUUACCUCUAUUUGACCGGAGAUAAAAAGUCGAUUAUUGAUGCUACGGCUUUCACAGACCUAAACCACCUCAAUGAAUUAUGGAUUGAUAAUGGAAUUGAGUUGGAAGAAUUGAAGAUUGAUUAUACGGAGAUAGUACGAAAAAGGCGGGAACCUUUUGUUUUCCACAGCCUUCACCUUGUUACGAUAUAUAGUUGCCAUAAAUUGAAAGAUUCGACAUUCCUCGCUUUUGCUCCAAACCUCAAGUCUCUUUCGCUAUUCAAAUGCCGUGCUAUGGAAGAAAUAAUCAGCGUCGGAAAAAUUGCUGAGAAUCCUGAGAUGAUGGGACAUANNNNNNNNNNNNNNNNNNNNNNNNNNNNNNNNNNNNNNNNNNNNNNNNNNNNNNNNNNNNNNNNNNNNNNNNNNNNNNNNNNNNNNNNNNNNNNNNNNNNNNNNNNNNNNNNNNNNNNNNNNNNNNNNNNNNNNNNNNNNNNNNNNNNNNNNNNNNNNNNNNNNNNNNNNNNNNNNNNNNNNNNNNNNNNNNNNNNNNNNNNNNNNNNNNNNNNNNNNNNNNNNNNNNNNNNNNNNNNNNNNNNNNNNNNNNNNNNNNNNNNNNNNNNNNNNNNNNNNNNNNNNNNNNNNNNNNNNNNNNNNNNNNNNNNNNNNNNNNNNNNNNNNNNNNNNNNNNNNNNNNNNNNNNNNNNCACUGUUUUUAUUUCAGUCUCUCUCUCUCUCUUUGUCUCUGCUAAUCACAAUUAAAUGUGAAUUAAUGGAAUUAAUGCUUCAUAAAUUUGCCGGCACUGCCAUUACUUUUUUUUUUUUAAUACAAAUUGAUACUUUAUUUAUAUCUUCUUAGCGAUUUAAUUUCCUGUCAAUUGACGAACGAGAAGAACAUAUGACUUGAACCAAUGCUCGCAUAAACUUGCUGUAAAAAGAUAUAAUCUCACUGAAAUGCACACGCCUAGAAUGAAUAGAAUUAAAACAGGGAAAAUAUUAAGUAUAUUAGCCCUCUUUACCGAAAAUCAAAUGACAAUAAAUUUUUUGAAGUUUUGAUUUUCUAUGGUCAAUUCCACCUUUUGCAAUUUCUUCUGUUCUAACAAAAACCAAUUUCUUUGUUCAAGUAUUUUCGUUUGGGUAUUAAUAAUUCUCCACCGAAAGAGUGAACUCUUGCUCAAGGGAUCUCUAAUCAAUAGCCGGAAGGGCGCCGAGACCUGAUCGGACCUAGGCCCAAGUUUGGUCUUAAAGCCUGGGCUUGAGCCUGGCAAUUAAAUUAAAACAGUAAUUGAUUUCUUGAAUGAAUUGUCGUGUAAUUGAUUUAUGGGGGAUGACACAUCAACAUACUUGAAAAUACACUAAUCUCAGCAUCAUCCGUUAAUAACUUUUAGAUUUAUGGGCAAUCAAUAGUUAAAUUAGUUGUCAUUAAUACUAAAUAAUUUUUACUUUUUUUGUCUCUUCUAGAGGAUCUUCUAGAAAAAUGCAUCCACAAUUAAAUUUAAUACUUUACAUAAUAAAGAAAGCAUAAAUGUUAAAUUUAAGAAACUGCAUUGUAUUUCAGCUGAAGUUGACUUUAAUAUUUAGGGUAGAAAAAAAUUAAAUCCUUAAUGUGUUUAAUUUAUAUCACUUGUGUCAUUAAAAUUUUCUAGUCACCCUAACCAAUUACAUCUCAACCCACUUUUUUUUGGAUGAUUUUAUUUUUAUACUAUUAUUUUCAACAUUUUUUUUUCCUUUUAACACCAACAUUAGUGUAUGUUACGUAACAUAAUCCAUAUUUGGAUAAUUUGAAAUUUGUUUGUGUUUUAUCUCAAAAUAGAGCUUCAAUCAAUUUGUACCUCAUAAAUUCACAAUAUCUGGCAGGGCUAAUAAGACCAAACUCUGGCAUAUUAUCAAAUGUGCUUAUCCUUUUGCUUGACAUGUCAUUUUAAAAUUGUCAUUCAAUGCCAAAAAAAUCACAUCAACUGAUGGCCGACUACUUUAAUUUGAAAGCAUGCAUGCGAUCGCCACCAAUAAUUAUAACUUAAUUGUUAUAUUGAAAUUUUUUUCUUUAUAAUUUUUAAGUUUAAUACUGCUACAUGUGCGGCACAUAAGUUGGAAAAUAUAACAUAAAAUUUGAAAAAUGUGUAGUUUUCGUUCCUUUUUUUUCUUAAAAAUGGGGAAAAAGAAUGUAAUUUUGUUUAAAUUACUGUUGUGAUAACAAUUAUUAUUUUAUUGAUUAAUUGGCAGAGAAUCGUUAUGGUUUCGCAUGGUUGUUAAAACAUUGGAAAAUCCACUACAUCAUCCGAUAAUAACUUUCAGAUUUAUGGUUAAUCAAUAGUUGAGAUUUGUUAUCAUUAAUGUUAAAUAUUUUUUUAAUAUUUUUUCUCUCUCCUAGAGGAUCAUCCACAGUUAAAAUUUAAUAUUAUAAAUAGUAAACAAAGUAUAAACGUUAAAUCGAAGAAACUGCAUUGCAUUUCAGCUGAAGCUAACUUUAAUAUUUAACAGAGAAAAGUAAUUAAGUCCUUAAUGUGCUUUAUUUACCCAUAUAUAUGGCUAAUUUUUUAAGAUAAAGGGGAAGGAUGAUGCUCAAAAAUAUAAAUUAUAGAAUUAAUUGAGCUCUCAAGUAAGUUUAAAGUUCAUUAUUUUUAAUUACAUGUUUAUAAUUUAUUUUUAUUUCGUAUUAAUCUAUAGAUCUAAAUCCACUUUGGAUUCAUAUACAUAUAUAGACAUAAUGUGUAUGUUAAUCUAUAGGUCUAAAUUCACUUUAGGUCUAUAUAGGUAUUUUGACAAAUGUACUCCAAUCAUAUUGGCAAGUUCUAACUACUAUAUUGGUAUGUCAAUAUUAUCUCUAAUUGCCCUAUACAUUCAGAAAUAAUCUAGAUAUACAAAUUAACAUAAAAUAAAAAUAAUUGGUAGAAAAUAUAAAUUAUAAACAUGUAAUUGAAAACGAUAAACUUUAAAUUUACUUAAGAGAGUAAUUAAUUUCAUAGUUAAAAUCUUUAAAUUUUACCCCUCAUCUUAACUUAAGAAAAUUAAUCACUUAUUUUAUUUAACAAAGAAGAGAUUUUUUUCCCCUAUAUUUCCCAAUUAUUUCUCUCCCUCUCGCUCCCGUAAGUUAUACAACUUGAAGUGAAAUAUGAGUGGUCUGAUUCUAGCUUAAAUAAUUUAUUGUGACAUGCUAUCUAAGGACAAUACAUUACCUAGCUCUACAUAUUUUAUUUAACCUCCGGCUCACCCUGUGCAAACUUGCCUUCCCCUACAAGACAAGAUUAAUCAAUCUAUCAAGUCUCAAAUUCAAUUUGGAAUAUGACCAUCGUACGUUCUUGUUCUUCCCUCUUUACGAGUGCAUUCCCCCCAACCUCAAGCUCCCUCUCUCGUCUUCAAUGUCACUGCCUAUAUCCUUGUGUUGUUCUAGUUUGAAAUAGUGGCUUCCACAAUUUCAGGGCCCCCAAAAAUCCAGAAACAUAGUAUUCAUCACGAUGACAAAUUUUUUGGCAGGCAGGUGCUUCCUGACUUUCACACGGUAAUUCUCAAAUUCUGAUUUCACCAUAUUUUAAUUACUGAUUAGCAUAUAUUCAAGUGCUCUCCAUUAUAAUAGAAGCCGCCGCCUCACUCGUGAUUCCAAACUUUAUCUUUUUUCCUUUUUUAAAUUAAUGCAAGUAGCCGCUGUCCUUUUUAUUAAUUAAUUAAUUAAUUCGGCCGCCCACAUUUCUUUUCCUAAUGUCUUCUACUGUCGAUUUUCUUUUAUUUUCUUUUUAUUCUUAAAAUAUGCUUAUAAUAAUAAAAUAUAAAAAUUAAAAUUAACAUAUCAAAAUAUAAUUUAACAGAAAAUUAAGAUAAAAAUAAAAAAAAUAAAUUAUGAGCAUAUCAAUCAAUAAAUGAAAAAUAAUAAUUUUUAUUUUUAUUAAAUAUAUAUUUUUCAGUAUUAAUCAAUUAUUUGAAUAAAUAAAAUCAUUUAAAAAUAAAUAAAUAAAUUAUUCUUAAAAAAAAAGAAACUUUUUAUAACACUCACUAUGCUGGUUGUAGGGUAGACGCUUUGGGAACUGAAGCCGGUAACUUCUACAAGUAGUCUGAAGUUGACUGGCAACAACUAUAUUGACAUUUAGACAUAAUGUACUCCAACCGUAUUGGUAUGUUUAAAUGUUCUUACUAUUGUAUUGGUGUGUCAAUAUUAUCUCUAACUGCCCUAUAGAUAAAAAAAUAAUCUAAAUUUAUAAUUUAACAUAAAAUAAAAUAAUUGGUAGAAAAAUAAUUAUGGUUCAUUUACUUAUCAGUAAUCAGAAUAGACUAAAAUCGAAAUGAGUUGUAUUACCGUUGAUGUGUUUAUGUUGUCCUGGAAUCGGAAUGAAUUAUUUUAAGUUACUAAAAUAUCCUUGGUUUGUUAUUCUAAUUAUUAUUUAAUAUUUAUUAUAAUAUUUGUCAUAUCAUUAAAAAGAAAUAAUAAUGAUGAUAAUAUUAUCAUUAUUGUUUGUUACAUUAUUAUUAUUCAAAAAAAUUAUUGUUAAUAAUAAUAAUUUUUUUAUUUCAAUAAUAAUAAUGAUAAAAUUAAUAAUAAAAAACAUGACAACAACAAUAAUUAUUUAUUAUGCCAAAAAAUAACAAUAAUAAUAAGAAUAAUAAUCAUCAUCAUUUUUUUGCCAAAGAAAUCAUCAAACCAGACAAGAAAUCAUCAAAAAUUGCUAUUUCAAUUUAGGAAGAAGUUCUUUCGGUGUGCUAGCGAUGGGAGAUGUUGUGGCUGCGAUUCGGGGAGCUAAUAGUUUAUUGCACUAAUAACGGCAGGUGCUGCUGCUUGAUGCGAGGUCCAUGGCCAGUUGUCAGCAGUUCGACUUUGGCAUGGGCGCUGCUGGUUCGAUUUUAGGUGUUGUCUAAUUUCAUUUUCAGGAUUUUAAUUUUAUUUUUUUCUUUUAUAUUUUCAUUAAUUAAUCAGGGCAAAGUUUGAUUUUAGAAUUUGGAAUGAAGGUAAUUUUGUUAAUCAUGGAAAUGAGAUUUUGAUUGUCGAGAAUGAACUUACACAAGCAACUGCAAAUUAAGUGAAAACAAAACGCUUUUUCUCUUUGUGUGAUUAAAACAUGAAAUAUACCAUAAAUAAAUAGGUAAAAAUUAAAUCAACACAAUCCAAAACAGUAAACCAAUUAUAAGAGGCACAAAUUUUUAUGUGAAAUACCGAAAACGGAAAAAACCACAACAUGUUAGUAUGAUAUAAUCUUCUACUAUAUUAAUGGGAUUAUAACACAAAUUCUUCCCUAUAUUACACUAGAGAUUAACAACAUCAAGAAUCUCAAUAAUCUUAACUUACAAUACAACCUAAUAUAUGUCUCUCUAAUAAAUAGAUAUCUAAAAUAACAAUCUCUAAUAAGUAAGUAUCUCAAAUAACAGUCUCUAAUAAGUAGGUAUCUCAAAUAAUAGUUAAUAAGAGGAUAAAACAAAAAUUAAGAUUAGUAGGAUGUGUAUAAGGCGAUGCUAUCAACUUAUCUUCUAAAUUUGAGAAAAAUAGUUAAAUUCACUUUUUUGAUUGUCCGACCAAAGAUGGAAACCUUGCCCCAAAACCAAAGGAGUCACCAUUGUGUUUCUCUCUCUCUCUCUCUCUCUCGUUCUUUUCUUCUACUUUUCUUAAUGUUAGCCGCCACUUGCUUUUAUUCUUUAUAGCAUUUAAAAAGUUACUUUUAAUGGUAAAUUUCAUCUAAGUCCAAAACUUAGUGAUAAUUGCACACUAAACAAUCCUUUUUGGACUAUAGACUUUUGGACCUCCAAAUGAGACGAAUACAACAAAUCUCCCCUUUUAGAUCAUGUAGGAGGCACCACAAGCCCACUCUCUGCAUAUAGCUUUUUAACUUCUCCUUGAAUAAUGACUUUGUCAUCAUACAUAACUCAUUCUCCGUUGUGUAAAUCUUCUCAAGCUAUAACCGUUCUUUCUCAAACACGUCUCGUAUCUAAUAAUACUUCACAUCAAUUUGCUUAGAUUUCGAAUGAUAUAUCAAAUUCUUUGAACGACACUCUGAUUUUCGCAGUACAUAAUAUAGUUGUCUCAUUUUAUACCUAGCUCUUGUAGGAAAUUCUUCGUCCACAGUAUUUUUUUGCAACCUUCAAUAAUUGUAAUAUCAUUUGCUUUAGUAGUAGAAAAGACAACUUAUUACUAAAGUUUAGAUUACGAUGAGACUGCUCCUCCUGCAAAAGUGAGCAAACAUUCUAGUAGGAAUUUUUCGGAAUCAACAUCUCCUACCAUAUCUAUACACUUGUAACACAGGUUUGUCACCACCAAAAUAUAAACAUGCUCUGGAAAUGCCUCUAAGAUAUCUGAGAAUUUUUCACUAUUGUCCAGUGCUCUUUACCGGGAUUGAAGAGAAACCACUAACUACACUAGUUGUAUAAGUAAUAUCUGGUCUUGUACAAAUUAUGGCGCACACCAAACUGCCAACUGCUGAAGCAUAAGGAACUCCUCUCAUGGAGAAAUGGGUUUUGCUCUUGAGAUUUUUGGGAACAUGAAGAAUAAAUAUGUAAUUUCUUGGACUGCCAUUGUUUCGAGGUAUAUAAACAGAGGACAAGUCUAUAUAGGUCGACAGUGGUUUGCUCAGAUGCCAGAACGAGAUUAUGUCUUAUGGACUGCCAUGAUUGAUGGGUACCUUCGAGUGAAUAGGUUCAAAGAGGCUUUGACGCUUUUUCAGGAGAUGCAAACUUCAAAUAUAAUGGGAGACGAGUUUACCAUUGUUAGCAUUCUUACAGCUCGUGCGAAUCUGGAAGCACUAGAUCUGGGAGAAUGGAUAAAGACUUAUGUUGAGUGUUAGAAAAUGCAUAUUUAUAAAGGAGAAAACCAUCAUUUUACAUUUCAAGUCUUACUAACAACCCUUACUUUUAUGUAUUUAACCUUCUUGUGAUUUAAUUACAUGUGUUUUAUUUUAAUUAAGUAUUUUAUGUAUUUUAGGGACAUUAUAGUCAUUUCACAAUAAAGGAGAGAUCAGACGGCAAAACAGACAUCACUUUUGAACUCAGGACGGUCAAAAACCUUAGGAGGAGCAUAAAAGGAAAAAUGGCACUAUUCACAUGUACGGUACUAUUCACGUGUACGGUACUGUCCACGUUACUGUUCACGAUACUGUUCACAUAGACAGAUCGAUGACGUGGCAUUGACUGAUGAGGUGUCACGAUCCUGUUGGGCUAAAAUUCUUAUGUACUGUUGAUGGUGACGUGGCAGCAUAUCAAUGGACGAAAAAUCUCGCAUACAGUACAUGCAUCACACAGGAUUAUUGUCAACCAAAUCGCGUUACUGUUCAUCCGGGUCAAACCGUGUUACUGUUCAUCCACGUAGUCAAACCGCGUACUGUUGACUGAUGACGUGGCGCAAUCCUGAGCGUCCAAACUGUUUUUAAUCCGAUGGCCAUGAUUUACUCCAUGUAUCUAUAAAAAGGGGGCCUCCCCCCCUAAUUUGACAACUCUGAAUCUAUUUUGGGAUCCAUUUUCUAUAAUUCCCUCUCCAUCUUGUAUUUUCUACGUAUUUUAAUAAAUUUCCAUUUUACCCUUAGUUCAAUUAUGAGUGGCUAAUUUCCUUUCAAGCUUGGGUUGAAGGUGAAGUCUCAACAUGUGUCAUGGGCUUUAUUUGGUAAAUUUAUUUUCUUUUCCCCUCUAGUUUUUGUGGAUGAUUUGACUUUUCGUCGACAAAUAAUAUUGAUCUUGUCUAGAUACCACCUUGGUUACACCGGCUCUCUAGUACAAGGUUAUUAUUAUUUGGCACGAUAAGCCCUUAGCACCAUAUUGAUUAGAGCGUGGUUCAUGAGGUGUGGAUUCCCCCCUCAUGAUUUAAUUGGCAUUAAUAAGGAUUAUAUAGCCCAUGAUGCAUGUUGAUACGGAUCUGGAUACCCAAGUGCUUCAUUUCAAUAGAUCUAUCUUCAAUUUCUUCUCGCCAUUUUAAUUUAAGUUUUAGAAUAUUCCAAAUCAUUUCCACCACAAAUCCAAUCCCCGAUUCACAAAAUUAAUUCUAUACACAAUUAAAAUCCACAUCCUCGUGGGAUCGACACUCGUCACCAUUAGUCUAUACUACAAUAGAUUCGUGCGCUUGCGAGUACAUUAAAAUUUACACAACAACUUAUAUUGACAAAAACAAAGUCAAGAAUGAUGUAUUUGCGGGGAAUGCUUUGAUAGACAUGUACUGUAAAUGCCGAGAUGUUGAGAAAGCUCAAAAGGUAUUCAGGAAGAUGCUUUGAAAGGACAAAUUCUCAUGGACGACCAUGAUUGUUGGCCUUGCCAUCAGUGGCAAUGGUGAUAAAGCUCUUGAUAUGUUUUCCCAAAUGCUUAGGGCUUCGAUCAAACCGGAUGAGGUAGCUUAUGUUGGUGUUCUGUCUGCCUGUACUAACAAUGGUAACGAAACUUUUGUGAUAAAUAGUUGCAACUUAAGGUGAGAAUUGGAGGAAAGGAAAUAGACUGAAGUUGUUCAAUCAUCGGUCGUCUCUAUUUGGUUUUCUCCGAUAUCUCAUCUUCAGUUUUGACUCAGAUUCUAUCUUACCACUUAGGGGUGGGCAAAAUCGGGUUCGGGUCAACCCGAUCGGGUUUCGGGUUGUUCGGGUUAGACAAGGAACAAUCCGAACAUAACCCGAAUUAAUGACCCGACCCGAACUUAGUUCGGGUCGGGUCAUUAAUUCGGGUUAUGUUCGGGUUGGAUUUAAAAUGGGUAGGAUUGAGUUCGGGUCAAUUUGGGUUAGUUCGGGUCAAUUCGGGUCAGUUCGGGUCAAUUCGGGUCAAUUCGGGUCGGUUGAAAUCGGGUCAGUUCGGGUCAAUUCAGGUCAGUUCGGGUCGGUUGAAAUCAGGUCAAUUCAAGUCAGUACGUUUUUUUUUUUUAAGAACCCGAUCGGGUAUUCGGGUCGGGUCGGGUUUGACCCGAACCGAUCACAACCCGAUCGGGUUUGUAAAUUUCAAACCGAUCGGGUUUCGAUCCCGACCCGAUCCGACCCGAACCCGAAAUUUAUCGGGUCGGGUCGGGUCGGGUAAAAUGCCCACCCCUAUUAAUACCACUAGUAAUUACAUAGACUUGCUGCCAAAGGUAAGAAUGAGAAUAAAUUAAAUAGAUUAUGUCGAAAACGAAAUAAAUUUACCAUUGUUCUGUUCAUUCUAUUUGUUUCCUACAGAAUAUUUCUCCAGCCUAAAAUUUUUUGAAUUAGUAAGUUUUUAUCUUAUGCAAGAAUUGUGCUGAGAGUAAUUCCAUUUCUCAGUCUCUUUAUGUUUCAAUGAAGACGUAAAACUUGUGUUCUAGUGCACCAAUGUUUAUGCUUCUUACAAUUUGACUUUAAUUUAGUUUGUAAAACUUUUGUCAAAAAGUACUAAAAAGUAGUGCACCAAACACAAACUUUAUUACAGAGAGGACUUCAGUUAAAUUUUAAGAAAACACUCAAAAGAACGAGUUAUAAAUUAUUAUCGAAAUAUUUCACAUAAAUAAAAGCCAUCCCAUGCUGCAAAGAUCUUGCUAUAAUCACCAAAAACUAUCGGGAGCUUUUAGGGUUUCCAUAAAAAUGUCAUUUCGUUCCAAAAGUCAAUGGUGGGUAGAAAGUGGUGCAAAUGAGACUCAUUGUUAAUGGUAUAAGUUUUUGCUUAAUUAUGUCUUCCCCAAAAUGAUGAUUUAAUUUCCAUUCUCAAUUAAUUUUCAAGUUUCAACACUUUUCUAUGUAGCAUGACAUUGGAAAGAUCUUGUACAGUUGUACUACUAAAAGCUAGCACCACACGUUAGUUAUUGUUAAGUUCUUUUUCAACGUGAAAUAAAGGAAGUAGUCCUUCGUUAAAACCAUUAUAGCCAAAUUUCACGUAAUUGGACAUUUACAGACUUUUAUUUCAAGUUGGAUUUUGGUCCAACAUUUCAAAGUUGGCCCAAUUAUUUUUGUCUGGUCAAGUCCUUCGCAGCUAAGCCCCUCAAUGAAUGAGGGUGAGAUUGCUAAAAAUUACGACAGGUGAUAUUUUAUUAUUAUUAUUUGUUUGAGGGAAAAAAUAGGAAAAGCAAUAGAGCGCCACGUGUCAACCAAUGGAAUGAUUCCUGCACAAUCUAAGGUACCCCACACAAUCCGAGGUACCCCAUAUAAUAUGAGGUACCCCACACAAAUAGGGGUACCCCGCGUAAUAGGAGGUACCCCAUGUAACUCGAGGUACUCGGCAAAGCGGAUGCAAGAGAAUCCUCCGAAAAUAUCCGCCAUGAGAAACGUCUCCGCCUCCUAAAAGAUAUUAUUCAAUUUUGUCAGAAUUAUGAAUAAAAAACGACGCCCUAAAAGGAGGGACAGUCGCCUGCGACCUCUGCCAAAAGUGAAGGACACUGUCCCAAGGACAGUGGUCCCCAACGCCUACCCGACAGCUACUGCAAAGGUACCCUGGACCACUCUCCAGCGCGCGCCACGUUUCCAAAAGAUGAGAUACGCCGCGAACGUGCAGAUAACUGCCCAAAAAUUAUAAAGAGGUAAAAGGACGUUAGUAAAAAAGGGUAUGCCAUGUGGCAGCUGAGGUACUCCAUAUAUAAAGGCGCCUAGGUUUCAUUCUCCAUCAUGUUCUCACUCACCAUUAACACUCGCACUCCAAAAAAUAGGUUUUCUUCAACCUUAAACCCUAAUUUACAGAGGGUUAGUCAGCUCUCUUUACCAUAAAAGCUUGAGUUUGCUAACUUGAGCGUCGAAGUGUGAACGCCGGGGUACCCCGGCUUCACCUCUAACCUCUAUUUCACUGUUUUGCAGGCGUGAAGCUCAUUUGGAAGGACACAUCUCUUAGUUCUAAACCUUUCACCAUUGUUACCACUCUCUCUCCCUUUCUCACCUCCCCUGGAUUUCAGAUACACCACACCGCACACAAUAAACUAGUGAGGUACCCCGUCUCCCAUAAAAAUACAAAUUCAUUGUUCUAGAUAGAUUUGGCUUUUUUUACCCCAAAAUCUGUUGAAAACACUAUUUUUAAUUUUGGGGGAUAAAUCCUCACCAAAGUGAGGAGAUUUUAUCAAAAUCAAAAUAAAAAUAUAACAAGAACUGAAAGUCGGGCAGCCUAAAAGCUAGAUGAACUAAAAGUCAGGCGCCUAAAAACAACCUUAUGCAAAAGAGAAGCAACAUGAGACCGAUCAAGUAAAAGAAUCCACCGCAACACCUAAAUUGGCCAAAUUAUCUGUUGGUAUUACAAGUUUCUUGUUAUAAAAGUGUAGAAUGAAGUAGGUGACAGUAGUUUUAAGUUACAGCUGCAUGCCUAAUCGCAAUAUCAAAUAAUGAUUAAAUAUCAAAUAAUGCUUAAAGUAGUUGCCUAGGCCCGCCACAAUUUAUAUUAACUCUUAAAUUUAUAAAUAAUUAAAUUUUUAAAAGUUUGGAUUUAUAUUAAAAAAUCUUCAUAUAAAUAAAUAAUAUAUGCACUUUUACAACACAGUCUUUAAAUUUAAAUUUUUCUAGAAAAAUCUUCUGUAUAUCUUUUCUAUUAAAAAAUUUCCAUAUAAAUAAAUAAUAUACCUAAUUUAAUUGGACCCAGCACAUCGCAUAUGCAUAGAACACAUUCCACAAAGCCAUGCUAUUCGGAAAUUGACGAAUGAAAAGUGAGGAGGCAGCAGUCAAUGCUAUUUGGGCUUGGCCCAAAAUUGAUUUAUCAGGUUGACGUUUGCCAGGAAUGAAGAACUGGAAUAUCACCGUCAAGCAAGCAACCUGUGGAGCAAUACCAUAGAAUGCACAAUCCAGCUUUGCAAGGUGACACUGGAGGCUUUUUGAAAAGUGCUUCACGCUCACUUGCACAGAUUGAGCAUCCCCUCUGGAUAUUGCCCUCUCUGAUCGAGUCUGAGCACUCAAAUUUCGGUCCUCAGAUGGAGCUACAGCUUUCUCUCCAAUAACCAACAAUUUUCUAAACUCAGCACCUAGUGUGAUCAGAGUUGUUGAUAUUUGUAAAUGGAGAUCCCUGUAUUUGCAAAUGGAGACAUUUACCAAAUCACCAACAUGCUUCAUCCAGUCUACGAAAUUCUGCAGCUGAUUCAAAUCCGGAACCUGAACCAGAGUCGGAGGUAAAUCUUGAGCCAUGUCUAAAGCAGUCUGAAGUUCAAGUACUUGAGCCCUUGACAAAGGUUUUGAAAUUGGAACAUCUUGGAUUACUGCAGACUUGUACCCCUUGGUUUCAAAGGUAAGGAAAGGCAUUGCUUGAGUACAAUUUGGAGGCAGCUUCUUCACCAAUUUUAUUUGGAGGCAAUUGGCAGCGGAUCCAGCUGCACCAAUUUCAGAGCAAAUACUGACACUACUUCAAACAGCACGCUGAAGAAGAGAUAUGUCUAUGGCAAAGGCAAUGCAGUCCUCAAUUUGACUUGAGAUGCGGUAAUCACCAAAGAGAGUUUCCUUAUGAAACUGGGCAACACAUUGAAUCCCUUCACCACUGAGAAGGUUGGGGAGGAAGUAAGCUUUCUCUCUCGUAAGGAAGAGGUGGCAUACCUUCCCCAUUUUGUCUAGGACAGGUAGGAAUCUUUUUUCUAAGAGAUUUACUCCAUUCUCUGUGAGAAAUGCUUUGAACUUCAUCCCUCUGUCUCUAGCCUCACUUAUCAGUAAAAUAGUUGAAAGCGCUACAAGGAGAGAAAAGAAGAGUAUUAAGAUAUAUAUAGACAAGAAAAACAUUAGAUGUCGAUCUUACAAGCUAAUACUUCAAACAGUAUCCUAGAAAGCUAAAAACUGCAAAAUGGCUUGAAAUUUGAAAAGAACACAUGCUUUUCCUCCUUAACUUGAGAAAAUGUUUAAUAUAGUGCACCUUACAGAAACAUUUAAACAAUUAGAACUUUGCACAAAAACAUUCAAGAAGACUAAACAAAUCAGAUGCAGUGUAUUUCUCCAAGCACAAAUGGCAUUGCAUUUUUUCCUCAACUGUAAUAUUUAUUGAUGAAAAUCAGUACAGGUCCCUCAUUUGUUAUGGAAAGCUUUCUUGUAGUCUGACCGGUUAAUUCACGGGUCUAUAAUCAUCUUGCAAAGUUACAGGCAUUUCUUUCGAUUUAAAGUCUUUGCAUCACCACCUCAUCACACACCAAGCCAAUAUUCCGUCUACCUCUACAACAAAAAGUUUUAAGUAAACGAUCCUAAUGCAUGCAGCCAAAUAAAAUGCAGUAAGAAUAUUCAACUUAAAACUCUGAAAGCCAUCUUGGUGAAUUGCCUCCUUAGGGGAAGUUCCAUGCUUUACUAUACUUGACAGGACUGAGCAAAAGCUUACAUACAACAGAUUUUGAAAAUGAUGAUGCCAAUAGAUACUCAUACAAUCCAUUGAAACUCCUAAGGUCCAUUGUUCACAGAGGUUUACAGAGUUUUGGUCAUCAAAUAGCUCAGACCUUAAUCCCAAACAAAAAACGAGUGAAAAUUAGAUCACCAGCAGCUAAUUGUAAAUUCUAACUUAACUCUUCAUCUCCUUUGUAAACAGGAGACAAAAUGGAGACACGCAAAAUGAAUAAGGAGAACAUUUGAACUCAAAUGAAAUGAGGGCACGAAAGCAAACAAAUGGCAUGCGCAAACAAACCAAGCCUCAAUCAAAAACUAAUUAACCAUUAAAAAAAAAAAAGUGGUCAGAGAAUGAACUCCAAAUUCGGGAGUGAAGCAAGAAGCUUUCAUUAUUUCAGAAGCUCCUGUACAAAUUAAUAAGUUAUGCUCUUUGGAAACAAACCUAAAUUCCAAGAGAAAGAGAACUCAAAAAAUUUGCAAUUAUACGCAAAGGAAGUGAAGCACAGCAUUCUAUCACACGUACAAAUUGUAUAACAAGAGAUCGACACAUCGAAUCAGAAGAACUCAAUUCAAAUUUGUCUCAAAAAUCAAAAUUAGAAGAUUUCACAUUUCGAGAGGAACAAGCGACAGGUCAGAUGCAAAAUUUUCAGCCACAACAUGCCACAAUUAACAGUUUAUUUCCAUGGAUUUAGAGAGCUGACUGACCUUUUGGCUUUUGGAAUUGAGAAGAUCGCGGGCCAAAAUGGAAGAGGGAAAGCGAAAGUGCGGGUUUUAAUAGGGUAUUGGAUUAGCAAAUUUAAUUAGUUUGCGAGGGUAAAAUAGGAAAGAGAUAUCACUAUUAACUUUUUUUUUUAUAAGAAAAAAGAAUAAUAAAGAAUAUUUUAUUGUCAUUUGCAGCCUGCAAAUGACAAUAAAUCAAAUACGUCAUACAGAAGCUUAAAGCUGAAUCUAAAAAAUCUAGAGCUCUCAACUACAAAAAUUACACUUGAUGAUCCUCUACAAGAUGAAGCUUGUUCAAUAUCUUAUCCAAAGUUUAUAAAGUAACCUUGUAACGAUCUUGAGAUUGCCUGCCUUCCUCGACGACCUGCACGAUGCGUUUGUACAAAUCAUCAUACCUGUGCACCGGAUUUUUAAUAUCAACGCCACUGCAGCUGUGAUCAAGAACAUAAGAGCGUUUAACAUCUUUUCUCCAUCGAGAAAGAAUGUAGUGAGAUGGGAUCUCCUGCAUGCCACUCUGGUUUAGAACACAAAGAAUGUGUCUGGAUAAAUAUCCUCUGAAAUUGAACAACCCACAAACACAAAGCACCUCCAAGUCGGAGGCAUUGUACAAAACAUCGAAAGCCCUUGAAUCUUUCUCGUUGCUACCAACCUCAAAUUCUUCCUUCACUAUGUAUGUUAUAGGUCCAUCAGCACUGACAUGUUUUGUGCUAUAGCAAGAGUACAUAGCCUCCACCUCCGUCUGAAACUUCCUUCACAUUUCAUUUGUGUACAGUUUUGAGAGUUGAAAUUCAUAGUCACAUCUUGGUUUCUGGAUACAACUUGAAUUUCUUGAAUCCAUAUCUGCCAAGGCUUCCGGUUGAUAAUUCGCCUGCAGUGCUUGAUCAUACUUGUGUAAGAAUUCUUUCAAAGGAGUACGCUUAUCAAGAUAUCCUUCAAAGUAUGAAGUAGAAACCUCAUUCUGCAGGAAUGAAAACACUCCUGAUAAAAAUGCUUCCUUCAAAUAAACAGGAGCCCACCUUUUACGAUCUUCAUAUAAAGUUUGAAUCCAUCCGUGAUCCUUUAUUCCAUGACGUUGAAUCAUGUCUUCCCAAGCUGCUUCAAAUUCCUCAGGCCUGAGAGAGUGAUAAAUUGCUCUAUGUAAUGCACCUCUAAUAGCUUCAUAUUCAAACAAUCCUUGGAGUUUCUCUGGAAUUUUUUGCAAGAUGCAUGACAAUGAAAAGCAAUGAUAAGCUCUUGGGAAAACAUCGCCAACAGCAAUUUGCAAGAUUCUACAUUGGUCAGUGAUGAUUGUUUGUGGAGAGCGUCCUAACAUACAUGUAAGCCACACCCUAAACAACCAUGUAUAUGAUUCUAUGGUCUCCCUGGCAAGUAAACCACAACCCAACAACACUGAUUGUCCAUGAUGAUUCACCCCAAUGAAUGAAACCAGUGGUACAUCAUAUCUUUCAGUCAAGCACGUAGUAUCAAUUAAGACUACAUCACCAAAGUACCUAUAUGCAACUCUUGACCUGGUAUCAGUCCAGAACAGGUUUCUCAAGCAUCCCUUUUCAUUUAGAUCCACUACAUUAAAAAAGUUUGGAUCUGUCAACUGCAAACGACAAAAGAAACUCUGGACAGCUUGUGCAUCUCCUGGUUUAAGCUUCAAUUGAUUUGAGCUAUUAACAUUAUUUCCAAAUACUCCAUUAACAUCUACAUUACCAUUUCCCUCGGUAUCGAUGAUAAGAGUUCGAAACAGUCUAAUUUUUUGAACGUCUUCAGCACUAUCUAAUUGCAAUGUUCUUUUGGUUCCAAUACCUAUGUGCUUAUGUGACUUGUAAAACUUUCCGCUUCUUGGGCUUAACAAGUGGUUAUGCUCAAGCUCGACUUCAAUGAUUCUCCACCUUUUGGUUUCCAUCAACCUAAACUUUAUCAUUGCUGGACAGCCAGUUCUUGUUUCUGGUCUUGGGCGGUUUGCCUCGCUUUUCUUCUUGAAGCCUGCACUACUACAGCUCAGCUUUCCUCUAUACUUUUCUCUACUCUUUCGGUACCAUGUAUUGCUAACUCUAACACCAAAACCCUGUUCCUUGGCAUAGCAAUUGUAAAAGUAAUAAACAUCAUCAUACGUCUCAAACUCCAUUCCAACAGCAGGAGCCAAUGGAUUUUGGAUUAUCCCAGUUUGUCCAACAUAUUCAGUCAUUGCACAAUCUCCUACGACCUCAAAAUCAUCAGCAUCAUCAUCACCUACUGGUUCAGUAUUCAGAGAAACUUCAUCCAUCUACAAUAGAUGUUUAAUGAAGUGAACUUUAAGGAGAAAAAGCAAAAUCAGUUCAAGGAAUGAUAAUAUAACCAUACAGUUACUUUCACAAAGCUGCGUAUUUCAUCAAUACCUUAACAACAUACAACUGCCUGAGAACGUAUAGACAUGUCAUAGACGCUUGAAUUAAGUAUUGGUACAAAUUCAUGUGGGACACAAUUUCAGUCACUAAACCCAAUGCCUUUUUUUUUCACAUCAUACCAAGGAACGGAUUAAACCCAAUACCUUCUUUUACGCCAUACCAAAGAACAGAUUAAAUCAUCAAUGAAAAAUUAAUCACAUAAUAAUUUAACUAGACAAAUAAAGAGCUCGAAACAGCACAAAACUUGAAUAUGAUUAUGAUAAUUGUUGAGUCAUUGUAUCUACAGCUUUCCUUCAACAAGAAGAUUAUGAACAUAAACUACACACAAAAAAUUUAUUUUAAACUGACAUAAAUUUAUUCAGUUACAUUGAAACCCAAAAAAGGAAGCAGGAGCUGGAGAAAAACAACAGCAGAGAAACUUAUUUCCAGAAGGUUUACGAAAUAAGGAAUUUAUUAAGACACAAAAUUUGAGGUCAACAAUAAGAAUUUGGUUCUCAUUCUCUUUUUCUUCAUUUUUCACUUAUUGAUGGAGUUACCAUACAAUCCUAAAUGAUAAAACCCCAUCUCCAUCUUUUUGAAAUAGAGUUAAAGCAAAGCUUUUUAAGAUGUUUUUCCCUAAAAGACUCAAUAGUACAAUGUUUUUCAAUAUUAAAUACACAACUCAAUCUUCCCCUAAUUUACUCUAAUAAUCUCUUAACUAAGGAAGAUUAAGCUCCACUUGUAAGCUAAAACAAGUUUCUUAAAUCAAGCCCCAAUGCUCUAUGCUAUUCAACAAGGCCUCAUAAAUGAUAAAACUACCUCUACAAAGAUACCCAUUUUAAUUUCGCAAACUAAAAUCGAACUCCUGAAACGUAACGAGCAUUAAAACAAACAAGUCCGAACAAGAACUGAAAAAUGAUACGUAAACCCGUUUCGACAAACAGUUUCCAAUCAAUGAGCAAAAAAGUUAAUGGAAAACAUGAAAUUCAAACGAAACAUACCUUAGGUUGAUAAAUUAGUAGCGCAAAAGAAAUUUUAGCGAGAUAUGGGAUCAGGGAUUUUGCCACGGUGAUGUUAAUUGCGACAUUCGGGUGACUCAGCAGCCUUCGAGGCUGAAACUUUGAUUGACCAAAAGCUUCCCGUUCGUUGAUUCUCUAAUUGCAGAAACGAAACUGGCAGUGUACAGAAGACGUACGCUGAUUUGAUAAUUCUGUGAAAAUCAUUGUUUUUUUUCAGAUUUUUAAUGUGUUCGAUAAAAUAUCAAAAUCUCAAAAACUUUUGUCUUUCAUUUUGGGGGGGAAAAACCCAUUGAGAUCCUUAUGUUUUUUCUUAUAUAAUCUGGCUUAAUAAUUUGCAAAGUCUAUUACUUAGCACCCAUGCAUGCUGCGUUCCAAUUUACAAAAUUGUACGUGAGUGCAUCCAGCUAAAAUUUGUAAAAAGAAAAUAGCAAUAACAUGUUAAAAAUGUGAUUAUUAUGAAGAAAUUUUAAUUUAGUUAAAUAGGUGACGAUGGAUAGGUAUAAAAUCUGAGAUCUUUUAUAAGGUUAAUAAAUAUGUUGAGUUUGGAUUAGUUCAAUUUUGAAAUAAUAAUAUUCAAAAUAUCUCUUAAAUCAUUAUAAACCUCAAAUCUAUUUUAAUUUUAUUUAAAAGAUAAAAGAAAAAUAGGUUAUGUUGGUGAUUUUUUAUUAUCUUUUUAAUAAAAAUGAAAUAAAUUGAUGUUUAUAAUUAUUUAAAGUAUUUUAAAGACUGCCAUUUUAUGAGAGAAAAAUAUUUCACUUUUUUUUAGUGUGAAAGGCCGAAAAAGGACAAAGCAAGUUUCCCUAGUUUUUAUUUAUUUGAAAUUGGUCAUCUCAUAUACUUCACCCUUCAACACUAUAAUUUUUUUGGUUAUAAUUUUAUUAUUUUUUCUCUUUUACACAUGCAUGUGAAUUACUUUUCUUUAAGCUCCUGAAUAUUUAAGAUAAAUCAUGGAAGAGAUGAGAGUAUAACAAGAUGACCAAAAUAUGUAACAAAAAAAUUUUAUAAGUGAAAAAUAUGUUAGAGACUUACAGUGGAAGUAAAACUCUGAGGUGAUGUUUGAUUUGAAGAAAAUGGAGGAAAUGAAAAGACUGGAAUGUAGAGGAAAAGAGAGAAAAGGAGAGGAGAGGAGAGUGAAAUUUUUUUCUAAUGUUUGGUUUGUCACAUAAUUAUACAAAGAAAGGAAAUCUCUAAUUUUUUAUUUAGACAAUUUUAACCUUAAUAAGUAUUAAGUUUUCAAUAUUUAUCAUGUGUAUAAUUAAAAAAAAAAGAAGUAAAUGGUAGAAAGCGGUUUCUGAUUCCGGCCACAUCGCCCGCAAUGGAAGGUACUUAUCAGAACAUCAAGAGCCAGCCAUCAUUCCCUAGCCAUCACUGCUGUCGGAACACUGCCGGAAAGCUGCCGAUUGAACCGCGAAAAGUCGUGGAAAUCGCUGCCUCAAAUCGGUGAGUUUCGCCCUUUUCUGGUCACGCCGUCGCCAUGGCUUUGUCCAUCAAGCCUGCCACUUCCAUUUUCAACCAUCCAUAGCCACUAUUAAUUGCCAAAUCACCGCCGAUCAGCGGGAUCUGUGGAAGUUAAAAAGUUUCUAAAUUUUUUUAACUGGAUUUGAACAACAUACGACCAUUUUUUUAUCUCGAUAACGACGUAGUAAUGUUGAUCGUUGGUCGGCAAGUCGUAUGGUAGUGGCAGUGAGUAACACGCGCCAAUCACAUCGGCGGCGGCGGCGGCACUAUCCGGCGACUGUUAAAAUAAUAUUUUAUAUUUUCAGAUUAAAUAAAUUUAUUUUAUUAAAAUUUUUAAAUCAUUAUUUAAAUUUAAUUAAUUUAAAAUUAUCUAUAAUGUUGAAUUGAUAAAAUAAAUUUAUAAAUAAUAAUUAUGUGAUUACAUUAAAUAAGUUAAAAAGUUGAAGGGUUAGUUUUGGAAGAUUUAGUUUCCAACACAAAGGGAAUUUGAAUUCUUCACUUCUUAGUGUGGAAUUCAAAUUCUAUAUUGUAAUAGAUAUUAAAUUUCAAUAAAAAUUAAAUUCUUAUAAGUUAUGUCAAACCAAACAACGAAAAUAAAAAAGAAAUUUAAAUUAUUUUUCUUUCCUCCACCCUCUCCUUCCAACUAAAUACAUCCUGAAAAUAGAGAUAUUGAUUAAUUUAGAAGAGAUUCAAGCAAAAAAUAUUCCAAAAAAAAAAGCAAUAUGUCCCUUUGGAGGGCAAACUUGUCAGUUUCAAAAAAGUACAUGCUUUGUAUUGAUAGUUGUAGGAUAUUUGUUUUGUCACUAUGUAUUAGUUGGAGAAGUCCAGCCUUGUGGAGAAUGUUAUGAAAGAGCAAAGGAUAUUCCUGAUAGCUGAUAGAGCUCUAUCUGAUUAUGUAUCCAGUGAAUGGAUGUGUUGUUGGAAGAUAUCUGAGUGCAUUAGUUCAUAUGUGUCUGUCAAUGUGCUUUUAAUGAUUUUUCCACCUGUUUGUUGUAAAAGAUUAUUGUAAAUUGAAAUGAACUUGAUGUUUUAAUAUUUUCUUCCGUAAAUUGAAAUGAACUUGAAUUAAAUCUCGUUGAAUUUAAUAUUAUCUCCUUAGUGGAAUUUCACCUAGUAUGUAUUCAGUUGUGUUGUCUAUAAUUUUGCAUUCGAGUAAGUUUCACCUAAAACAUUAGCAUGAGUAGUGGCCCUUGAACCUUUGGUCAAAAUUAUUGUUAUUAUUUCUGACUAGAUGUAAAUUUUGUAUUAAAUCUCGUUAACACAAUUCUUAAUUAAAAGUAUAGGUUAGUGUUGGUGCAAGAUUUGCCACACCAAAUUCUGCCUAGCUGUCAAAAGUGCAAAAUAAAUGAAGAGAAAGCACAAAUACACGACUUGAAUAAGGAUACAACGAAACUUAAAUUCAAGAGAAAAUGAUAGCUAUAUCCCAAGAUUUGAAAAAGUAGUCAUGUAGGUUUUUAAGAUUUCAAUAAGCGACUGAGAUUCAAAUAAUAUCCUUUAAUUCUAUUAAUAAAAAACAAAGACUCAAAUAUUUUAUGAUAAAUAAAAAUAUAAUAUUAAAAUAUAUGUGAUAAUAUACACAUUUUAAAUACUUUCAAUCCAAAAAAAUAGUUAUGUUUUACAAUCUAUUAGACAUAUUUUAUUAAAUUAAUAUAAAUUUUCUAUAAAAUAAGAAUAUAAUAUUAAAACAAAUUCACAGAAAUUUAAAGAAUUUUGAAUGUAAAAUAAUUUUAAUAUAUUAAUACGUGAGUUUUUUUAUUAAUAUAAAAAUUAUUUAACUUUAAGAUUUUUUAAAAUCUUUACAAUAAGUAUAACUAUAUUAUUUACAUUUAAAAAUAUUUAAAUAUUAUUAACCUACAAUUAUAUUUGCAUUUGUUAGAAAUUUUUAAAGUCAAAUAUUUUGCACUUCUAUAUUAUUAGAAUUAUUGCACACAAAGAAAGAAACAUAUACGUUUAGAAAUUGUUUUCUUUUAAAAUAGAGAUGAUGAUUAGUAUAAGGAUCAAAAAAAGGAUAAAGAAUAUUAAUGAUUAACGAAAACUCUAUACAAAUUGAUUUUAGUAGGAAAAGAGUGAGAUGAAUGAUUUCUUUUACAGUUAGAAAAAUAGAUGAUGAUUAUUAUAACGAAGAAGAAAAGAUAAAGAAUAUUAAUUAUUAAUGGAAUCUCUAUGCAAAUUGAUUUCAGUAGGAAAAAAAAUGAGUUAAAUGAUUUAGAGUGCGUUUGGAAUUGAGAUUGGACAGCCAUAGAUUUUAAGUUACAACACUGAAGUGUUUGGUAAAUACUAGCUGCUGCAGAUUGAAAGUUAUGUUGAUAUGAUUUUUCACAUGUAUCAUAGAAAAUAUAUUACAUCUUUAAUAAUUUUUUUAAAAUUUGUAUUUGCUAUAUAUUGUUUUUUUUAUAUAGUUAUAACUUUUUUUUUUUCCACAGCAGCUGUAGCUUAAAAGCUACAGCACCUCAAUCUCAAACAAGUCCUUAGACAUUCAUAGUGUGUUUAUUUUUUGGAUUGGUGAAUCAAAAUUAUUGACAACGCUAACUUCAUCUUCACCGUUCGCAAUCCAACAGCAGCAAUUGUCGCCAAUAAUGAUAUCGCCGAUGAUGAUGACAAUAAUAAUAAUAAUAAUAAUAAUAAUAAUAAUAAUAAUAAUAAUAAUAAUUAUUAUUAUUAUUAUUAAUAAUUAAUAUAUUAAUAUAUUAAUGUUAAUAUUAUUAUUAUUAAGAUUAACAAUAAUUAUUAGUAAUACAAUUUUUUGAAUAAAAAUAAUCACAAUAAUUAAAAUACAAAUUAACAAUUAUGACAAUAGUUAAUUAAUGUCUUUUUAGUAAUUUGUAAUAAUCUAACUCAUUUUAAUUCUGAUUAUUACAGUUUAAGUAAAUAAAUUAUUAUGAUUCCUAUUCUCCUUUUCUAUUUUAACUCACUUCGAUUCCAGUCUAUUCUGAUUUUUGUUUAAUAAACGCACCAUUAGUGCUAAAGUAAUAUUUCAUACAUAGAAAAGUAAAAACUACACCUAAGGUUAAGGGAAAGGACUUCAAAACUCUCUUUUGAUCAUAAUACAUUUUGUACUAAUUAACUUAAAGAUUUUGAAUCUAAUAUUUUAUAAUAAAUAAAAAUAUAUUCCUAAAAUAAAUAUAAUAUCAAUAUUUAAAAUAUGUUUUAAUAUUUUACACAUUUUAUUAUAUUAAAGUAGAUUUUAUAAUAAAUACAAACGUCCUAUUAAAAUGAAUAUAUAAAAAAUUUAGAAAAUUUAGAAUAUUAUAUAAAAUAAUUUUAAUAUAAUGCGUGAGAUAUAUUUUAUUAAUUUAAAAUGUUAUUUUACCUAAAAAAUAUGAUAAAUUAAUAAUUACAUAUUUGAAGUUAUUUCAAAUAUUAAAAAAAUUUAAUAUUAUUAGUCUUUUAGAUAGAUUAAAUUAUUUUUUUUAUAAGAGAUAGAUUAAAUUAUUUUAAAAUGCCUUAAUUAUUUUUACUUUUAACGUUACCGGCCUUUCUUUUAUUUUAUUGCAAAUUAAUGCUAACAAGAAAAAGCUAGAUCAUAUUCCACAAAAGCAAAAGUGACAAACACAACCAGCUGGAAUCUUUUAUAAAACUACAAAUUAAAAUGGAUUUUUUUUUUGAUAAAUUACACAUGAAAGUGGAUUCUUUUGAAUAUAAGUGGAGUAGGCUCUUUUAUUUUAUUUUUGAAUAUUGUAUAACGGGACUGUAGACUCUUUUAUUAAACUACAAAUUGUAUAGUCUUUUUAAAAUUGUUAUAAAUUAAUGGCCCCCACAAUCCUCAACAAUUGUACCGAUAUUCACAAGUUGGUGGCCCCUACAAUUCUGUUCCGAUAAUUUAACUGUGCAAGUGCUCAUUCACAAUCUUCCAGGUCAUGCUCUCAAUAAUUGUUUUUUUUUCCUGCAUUCCCUUUGGGAAAUUUACGAAAAUAAUCAUUAAUAUUUUAUUAUUUUUACAAUUAACCGUCUUAAUUUUUUUCUAUCAACAUUAGCCAAAUACAAGUCUUUCUUCCCAAAUUACCCUUCUUUACAGAACAAAACCAACAUUGUUUCUCCCAUAUCGCCAAACCAAAAGCAGCUUUUUAUUCUUAAAUCAUCAGCCAACGGCGACCGCAAAAGACAACGGUAAAAGUGAUAUCCGAUCAUAAUCUAUCCGGAUCCAACACAAAUCUACAUCACUCAGUGGUAUGAAUUAUUUUUUGAACUUACUGAACUCAGUCGGGUGAAUCUGAGUCUGGCGACAGGCUGCCUGUCGCAGUAAAACUUGGUGCGACAGGCAACCUGUCGUACCAAACCUUGGUGCGACGGGCACCCUUGGAGAUUUAUUAAAAAUGUAUUAUUUUAAUAGGACUCAAAUAAUUUUUUUUUAUAAUUUCAGGCUUAAUGGAUUCAGUUGUACUUGAAUUGUGUUACGAUGGUUGGUGGGAGACAUUAGAGAAUGGCUGUAUGGAGUACGUGAAUGGUAAAAAUCGAGCUUUUUUGGUUGGAAAAAAUUACUUGUUUGAUCAGUUAUUGGCAAGAGUAUACGAGGUAUUAAAAAUAAACCCUAAUGACUAUAGUAUCACAAUGAAGACAACUUUGAGGUCUAGUAACACAUUAUAUCGUAUAUGUGCAAUGCCCAUGGAUAUAUGUGAUGAUGAAAUGGUGAGGGUUGUGUUGCAUAUGGCAUCUGACGUAGCUAAUUUUGGAUGCAUUCCUAUAUUCGUGACCACAUCACCUCGACUUCCGAGCGAAGGUAUUGAGCCACAUGUCGAUAUAGAAACUUCGUUUAGAGCAAAUAUGUCUGGCCCCGAUAAUGAUGAAGAGGUGUUGCCAAGGACAAUAUCGCUGCAGCAAUAUUACUCUCCAAUCCACGACAAUUAUGAUAACAUUGAUGAUAAUAGCGUUACGUUACAGGAUGUUGGAGCAACGGUAUUUCCAAUAACAACGUCGUUGGAGCAACGAUAUUCUCCGUAUCACAACAAUGAUUUUCGGGACAAUGAUGAUUUUCAUAAUGAGACAGAGGAGGAUAAUGUUUGUGCAGAACCUUCUAAUAAUACGAGGCGGGGCACUCGUUUCAAUAAUGAUGGUGAUGAUGGAGGAGUCGGUCAUUCGAAUGUUCCGUCGUUUCAGCAUGAGGAUGAGUGUGAAGACAAUACUCCUGUGAAUAACAGAGGCAAUAGACCUAUUCCUUCUAUGGUUCGAUCGAGAAGGAGAAUUGACCCCCUUACAAGUCUUGCUCCAACUUUACCUUCGAACAUGGUUGCUCCAAGCUUUGUUAGCAGUUGUGACUCAGAUGAUAUCAGCGUGGGUAAGCUAUUUGUUGAGAAGAAUGAGCUUAUAUUACAACUACGCAAGGUGGCCUUUAGAGAUAAGUUUGAUUUCAAGAUUGCACGGUCUACUACGACACGUUUCGAGGCUCACUGUUGUUCAGAAUCAUGUAAAUGGCAUAUUCGAGCAACUAGAAGUUCGAACGAGCAAAAUGUUCCUUGGGUGGUGAAGAGAAUUGAUAAUGUACACACUUGUCAUAAUGAGGUAUUGAUUGAUGGACGUCAUCAAGUAAGGAGCCGGGUUGUCGGUCAUAUUAUCGCAGAAAAAUAUAUUCAAGAUAAGAGGAUUUAUACUCCCAAUGACAUAAGAGCAGAUAUGCAACAGGAAUACGGUGUUCAGUUAACAUACCAGCAGGCAUAUAGGGCGAGAGAAGUUGGUCUUGAAAUAGUUCACGGCAACCCUGCAGAGUCAUACAACUUGCUCCCUAAAUACUCUCACGUACUAACUACAACGAAUGAGGGUACAGUCACUCACCUCGAGCAGGAUGGAGAUGGUAAUUUCUUGUACUAUUUUGUAGCACUCGGAUAUUCCAUCAAGGGGUUUAUGCAGUACAUUCGGCCUGUCAUUGCUGUAGAUGGUACUCAUCUAAAGAGAUUAUAUCGUGGAAGCAUGUUCGUGGCAACAUGUCUUGAUGGUAACAAUCAAUUGUAUCCGUUAGCCAUUGGGAUCAUGGAUUCAGAAAAUAAUGAUGCUUGGGAAUGGUUUAUGAUGAAGUUACACGGAGUGAUUGGUGAUAGACCUGAGUUGGUAAUUAUCUCUGAUCGAUGCACUGCCAUAAGGAGAGCCGUUCUUAAAGUAUUUCACAAUGCAACUCAUGGCGUUUGUUUUUACCACGUCAAAGGUAACAUUAAGUCACAAUUUAGAAUGUCCAAAGCUCUUUGGGAUGAAUUUGAGCAUGCCUUUAUUAAUGCAGCAAAAGCAUAUGGCCACGAGGAAUUUAAGAGACAACUUGAAGGGUUGUGGAUGAUCCACUCGGGUGCGGCUGAUUACUUAGAAAAUAAUGUCGGCACGUGUAAUUGGGCAAGGUCUCAGUUUCAAGGUAGGAGGUACAACAUUCUUACCACCAACAUCGCGGAGAGUGUUAAUGCUUUCAUGAGGGAACCUCGAAAAUUUCCUGUUACUCAUCUUGUUGAUCACUUCAGGAAAACAUUGCAGCAAUUGUUUUAUGAUAGAAAAAUUGUGGCUGAAUCAAUGACUACUCGGCUAACAACAUGGGCGGAUGAAAUAGUCACUGAGAGGAGAACUAUAGCUGAAAGAAUGAUAGUUCGGCCGGUGUCUCCGCAUCGCUUUCAAGUUAUAGGCGGUGGGCUUAAGGAAGGGUUGGUUGACUUGCAAAAGAGAACUUGCUCCUGCAGAGUGUUUCAGCUUGAUCAGCAUGUGUGUGCUCAUGCAAUUGCGGCGUGUCUAACACACCGGGUGGAUUUUAUUAACCUUUGCUCGGACUUUUACACUACAGAAUCGUUGGCGAUGGCUUAUGCACAACCAGUGGAGCCAGUUGGUGAUGUGGCUGAUUGGGAAGUUCCAGAUGAAAUUCAGGAGAUGCAGGUAUACCCACCAGUUGAGGCACCACUACCUGGCCGUCGUAAAGAGCUCAGAAUACCCUCGACUGGCGAGGACGUUGACCGGCGGACUGUAAGAUGCGGCCGGUGUCAUGAACUAGGCCAUAAUCGUAAGCGAUGUAAGAAUCCUAUUGCGUCGACUCGAAGUUAGUUGUAUUUUGUGUGUUAUUCGUUGGUUAAAACUAUUAUUGUUUUUGUGUUACAUUGGUUAAAACUGUUAUUGUUUUUUGUAUUUCGUUGGUUAAAACUGUUAUUGUUUUUUGUGUAUUGUACACUUAUAUUCAUAAAACUUUAUUUUAUUUUAAAGUUCAAAAUGUGAGGCAUUAAAAUUAUAUAAACUUAAGUGCGGAAAUUAAAAAAAAUGCAAAUUUCAACAUUGAAAUUACUACAUAGGUCUACAAUAUAAUAUCGUCAUUAAAUAUAUCAACCGCAAUCUUCUUUCUAAAGUACUCGACAUGACUAGCGUUAAACUCCAAUCUAAGCCCGAACAUUAAAUACAUCGUAACCAUCAAUACAAAAACACUGCAAUCGCUAGUUCCGGGCUCUUGUUGUGGUGCGCUCUUAACUGCGAUAACUUUCCACGGGUCUUCACUCCGCAACUCAGGUCGGAUAUUGUAGAAGCCAACAUAUUCCAACCAUCGAGGGAAUAUAACUUCAAGUGGCUUGAAUUUCAACUUGUACUUUUUGUCGUCGCGAAAUGUGAGUAAUGAGUCAUAAAUCCAGACUUUAUUUUUCCGAAAGUCAACUCGUGCUAGUACCCAAUGCGCGCCGUCCAAGUUAACAGGGAUGAGUAACUGCAUAUAAAAAUUAAAAAAACAUGUUCGUUAUAUAUGAAAUUGAAAUACAACAAAGAAAAAGCAACAACUCGAAUAUUUUCAUUAUAGAGCAUGUGAAAUGUAAUAAAAUACACACCAUAUCGACAUCCGUCAUUAAUUUUGACAUUGUGUGCUGUCGCCCACAAAGAUAACUAUUCAAGCGGUCGUCGAAUACCAUUGAAUCAACUGCACAAUUCCUGUUAUUCCAUAACUGAUUCAAGAACACCUAGUACAUAGAUAACCAAGAAAUGCAUAAAUUAAUAAAACUUAAAGGCAAUAAUUAAACAAAUUAAAUAGUAUUUAUAAGUUUUGUCGGCACGUUACCCAAAAAAAUGUGUCAGUAUGUGUGACACGUUGGAGUAAGGCAUUUGGAUACUGCCGUUGUUUCUCGCUAAUCAAGCGGAGAUACUCGUGAAUAUGCUGUAGAGAAACAAAAAUAUUACGAUUUAAAAAAAAAUUAUACACAAAUCCACAACAGUAUACACCACGAGGAAAAUAUAAAUACCUCAUCGCCUAGCCAUCCCAUCGAAGCUGUCCCCAAAAUUAUUUGAAAGAAUGACCGCAGGUGCUGGACUCUCCGGCGGACUCUGCUAUCACCAGUGAACCAUCGAUCAAACUCAGCAAACAAACUAGAGUCCUCCAAUCCUCUCAGUGGAUUUACAUCCACACUCGUACUCAUGUCAAUCGCAUGCUCCAUCAUUUGGGGUCGAGGUAACCUCCGGACGUUCUGUCCACGCCUGACCGGAGGAAUCAUGUAAGGACUGUUAUAAACAUACGACGGUAUGUACGCGCGGCCGAACUUACUAACGCCCGGAGGCACCUCUGUGAACACCUGCAUGCUCUCCCCACUAACAUCCCCGUAUAAACUAUAAAAUGACGUGGGCGUAGACAAAUUUUCAUUGCCCACGUCAGUAUACACUCCAUAGUCAUCCGGGGCCUGUACAUUCGCCAAAAAGAACAUAUUAAAUAAUUAUCAAAUUAAAAGUUAAACGAACAUAAUUAUUUAAUUUAAAUUAGCUUACCGCAUACGAGCGUGCAGUGGGAGAAUCCUUAUUUGGAUGUUUAGAAAAUGUGUCGAUGAAGCCAACAACGGUUUCUUUAAAAUCUUUUAAUUCUGACUUUAUUUCAUACACAUUACGAUCAAUCUUAUCCAGCCGUCGUCGUACGUAAUCAUUAAACUGCUUUGUCCUCGACUAUUACAAAAGAAAAAAAUAAAACUUUAGAAUAACAAUAAAAAAAUAAUAAUUUAUAAAGGAAAAAUAUCGUAUAUUAUUUAUAACCUCAGAAUCCCGUGCGUCAUCAGAGUUGUCUGUUUGCUGCUGGUGGUCAUCAACAGCCACCUCAUCCUCAAAAGUGUCAAGACGCUGCUCUGGUAUUGGGUUUAGUAUGUCGUCAUGAUCAUCAUGCUCGUCCGAUUGUCUUGUAACCGACGGCAUCGCGUUGAUUGAGGGUUGGUGCUGUAUAAAGUAUCAUUUAAAAUUACUAAAUGAAAAGUCAAAAAUUUCGAUAAAAAAAUUUUUAGUACUUACAGUAUACCGACCUUAUGAAUCCAAUCUGGAAUGCUUGGCAAGUAAUCCUUCACAGAGAGUCAAUAUUUUCUGCUACUCUCUUUUGAAUUUGGCUCAAGAGUUUGUAAAAUGUCCGUCUGCCAUAAAUUCAAUUGAAAAAUUUAAGUAAGUAUACCCAACUUAAAUUUAGUAAAGUUAAAAAAUAAGUAAUACAUAUUACUUACAAGACGAGAUUCGUCGUUGAAGAACGAAUAAACCUCCGCAAAGUUGAUUCUCGAAGACGUCAUGGGCUUCCAUUGCAGAAUGCGGGGAAUCUUACUCUUCGUUUUGACGACCCAUGUUGAUGGCAACCCUCCGAUUGCUUCGUAAAUCCAAGCCUACAACAAACCAAAGUGAAAAAUCAAAUAAAACAACUAUCAAAUAUUUAAUACUAUAAAACUUAUUAAUAAACAAAAAAAAGCACCUGCACCCCAGACGUAAAGCCGUAAAGAUUAUAUUUUUCAAUAUUAUGAUCUGAAUUUUUCAACCGAGUCUUCUUAAAUUUCUCGUCUUUCUCGAACAGUGCAUUGUCAAGACUCUCGUAAAUCAUUUCCCACGACAAUAGACCCCAUGGCGCUUUCGGAAGUACUGUAUAUCAUCAACUUGGUCAAGCCAAUCGAAAUUAAUUUGACAGUGAUUUUUUCUUGCAUUUAGUACUCUGUCCGCAAAAUAAAACAGCGCAAUCUUUAAUGCGUCCAUAUCGUCCAUUUCCUCGAAAUUCAACUCCUUAAAUACUGCAUCAAAUUGCUUCACAUUAAUCUUACGAUGCACACCACCAAAAUACGUAUUCCGUAGCCUCUGCUCCAUUUCAUCAUUUUUUUCAUUGGUAUCAACACCAAAUGAAAGUCCAGUAACCAAGCACCAUUCGAUAAUUGACAAGCGAAUCAAAUGCUUACCAAUUUGAAACCAUAACUGAUCCUCACAGCUAUCUUCUUCAUGGGCCACUUGCCGCAGUAAACGAUUGUGCAAAAUUACCCCACUAAAUGGAAAACUUCGGCACUCCAAGAAAUGCCCAAAUAUAUCCUUUUUGAACAUACUCAACUGCCGCUUUGUUAAUUUUUCCUCGAUGGCUUUUACGACCGAAGAUAACAUACACAUGCUCGAAAUUCGACCAGGAAAGUGAUCAGCAUAACGAAAAUACAUCUUGCCUACUUCAAUAUCCGGUGAUUCUGAUUUCGCCAUGUAUCUGUAAUAUUUAUAAAAUUAUUACAUUACAUUUACAAAAUUAUUACCAAACUCUAAUUUUUUGGUGCGACAGGCGCCUGUCGCUCCAAAAAACUGCCUGUCGCACCACAGCUGGUGCUCCAAAAUCGAAAACAAUACUCCCAAACACUACCAACUACCACAAACAUCAUCACCACCACUAUUAAUCUCAAGCUAUAACUAUUAUUAUUCUAAAAUCUCAUUUUAAAUUAAUGAAAAUAAGAAAAAUGACUAACCUAGGUUUUGUUGAAGGUUGUAGAUCGUAGAUCGGAUGCCGGUGAGAGAUGGAGCCGCCGCCGACGAGGGUUGAUGUCGCCGCCGAUGAUGGGAGUUGGAUCGGUUUGGGAGAGAUGAGUGAAAAAGGGAGUGUUGGGGAAGAGAUGAGGGAUGGGUAUUUUGGUCUCAAAUGUUGUUUUAUGGCUAAUGUUGAUAGAAAUAUUUUUGGGGGGUUAAGAUGAAAAAAAACAAAUUUGUUUUGGUUAUUACUGUAAAUUUCCCAUUCCCUUUCAUGCUCUUAAUAAUUGAAGAGCAUACUUUUCAUUUUCAAAUGUGGAGCCGCAUCUAAUGUCGCUAAUUUAAUUUGGGAUUAAAUUAGGGGACCAUUAUAUUGCAGUGUGUACUAAUUUUUGUGUUUAUCUAAACUCCUUAAGUUUAAGACAUAUUAUGGCAUAAAUAAGAAUAUAACAAUAACAAAAGAGAUGCCGGAGCAGAUCAGCAGGGUUUGAAUAUGACCUUUGGCGGUUGCUUUUUUUUUGUGAUUUUUUUCAUUUUUUCCUUCCUGUCAUUUUAUCAUUUAUUUGGCUCUGUUUCUAUUGCGGGUGUUACUGCAUGCUUACUGUUGCUUGACAAAGUUUGCUAGCUUUUUGUUUGCAGUGCUGCUAUUCACCCCGAGUCAAGCUCCGAAAAUUUAUUAAACAACGCCGUUUCGAUAGUAACAAUUUUUUUCUUUUCCCUUUGUCUGUCUCUUUCAUCUGCUGUUUCUCUAUCACUUUUCAUUUUUUAUUUCCUUACUUCCCAGCUGCCCCUAAAUUGUUAUUCUAGCAAUAUACUUUCUCAUCUUUGAAUUUUCAUCCUUGAGUACUCCCACAGCCGUAAUUUCAUCAUUAUAGACUUCACUUGGAAUGCUGUAUUUUUUCGAUUCUUAAGCUACUUCAAUUACAUCUCCCAGUAUAGGAUCCUCAUCUUCCUUUAUUUCUUCAUCUUAUGAGGUAACAAAUGGAUUUCACAACUCAUCUACUUUUAAGCAAUUACAUAUUAUACCUUGAAUGAUUCAACUGUUCCGACAGUUAAAGAUUUUAUGCUCAACCUGCAGUGCUACGAACAUUGUCCAUGAAAGAUGAGUUUCAGCAUAUAAAAUGAAAUAUAGAUGUUUAAUCUAAAAUAACCCUUCACUGCCAAGAAACCUAGGUCACAAAAUUCACAGAUAAUGAUAAAGAGCUAAAAAAUUUGAAAAACUCUACAGAUCACACAUCAAGCAAGAUAUCAUGUUUUUUUCCCUCAUUCGGUGGUGAUUGAUUCGCUUUUUGAUGAUGGAUAUGGUAUAAAAGUUUUGACCCAAUUUCAAGCAAACACAAAUAGAAACACAAAUAGAAACACAAACACAAUCAGGACUAGAGUUGUGGGCGAUUAUCUUAGGUGUACAAGUGAAACGGUGGUGGCUGUCGAUGGUGGUAGUGGGGUGGUUGGGUAUGCGUGAUGGCUAGAUUUUAGGACAAUAAUGGUUGGAGUUGACCUCGAUCAACGAAGGAAAGUGACAACAAUUUUGACAUCAAACGGUGCAUUUUUUAGCUUAGUAAAAUGGAGCCGUUUCGAAUUUGGGGUUUAAUCCGGGGUUUGACUCGGCGCAAGUAUCAUUUUCCUUUUGUUUAUUAAAUUUUUUAUGGUCACAAAGUAUUACUCGUUCUAUUUGAGAGUGAUGUGAAUCAAUUUUUCAAUUUUAUAUUUUGUGGUCAAUGUGAAUUUAAUUUCAUUUGUCUCCUGCAAUUAUGAAAAAAUUGCAGUCAUAAUAUGGAAAAGUACACCGGCAAAAACUUUGUAAAAGCUUCGGAGUGAUACGGGGAAUUUACUUACUACUGAGGACAAUUGGUGGCAAAGCUAUUCCAUUCAUUUUAUGUCCAUCCAUCUAUUUAGCUAUUGAAGAUUAGUGGUCCAUUUGUAAAUUUCAGAUUGUCUCUCUCUCUCUCUCCCACUUGAAAUAACAAUAUUUAAUAUAUCUCUUAAAUUAUUAUAAAUUUUAAUUUACUCUCGAUUUAAAAUGGAGCAUGUCGAUAAAAAAUUUUUCUUCUUAAUAAAAUUGACGUAAGUUGUGUGUUACAGUAGUUUGAAGUUUGAAAUAUUUUAAAGAUUAUUAUUCUAUAAGGGAGUAAUAUGAAAUGAUAUUUACUUUUCAUGUGUGAAAUGAAAAAGGACGAAGCAAGUGUCCCUGCUUUUAUUUUAUUUCAAGGAGGAGUCAUCUCACAUACUUUAGCUCUUAACAUUACAUUUUUUCUGGUUACAUUUUUUAUUUAUUUAUUUUUUUUUUUUUACACAUGCGUGUGGGUUGCUUUUCUGUAAGCUCCUUAAUAUAUAUUUAAGACAAAUCAUGGAAGAGAUGGGAUUAUAUCAAGAUGAUCAAAGCAUGUAAAAAAAGAAAAAAGAAAAAAAAAAAUUAAGAAGUAAGACACUGAAAAUGGAGAAGAGAUGGAAGCAAAAGAUAUUCCAAAACAAAGCAAUCUAUCCCCUUUCGAGGGCAGACUUAUCAGGUUUAAAAAAGUACAUGCUUUGGAUUGGUAGUUGCAAUCAAGGGAAAAUAAAUAGGAUCCAAUGAAAUUUAAAUCUCGGAGAAAAUAAAUAAUCAUGCAGAUUUUCAAGAUUUUAAUAAGGGAUACUAAUAUCUUAUUUUGAUUAAUAACAUUCUUUUAUUGUGUUAACUCAAAAAAAAUAUUAUAAUGCUUUACAAUAAAUACAAAUGUCCUAUUAAAUGAAUAUAUAAAAAAUUUAGAAAAUUUAGAAUAUUAUAUAAAAUAAUUUUAAUAUAAUGCGUGAGAUAUAUUUUAUUAAUUUAAAAUGUCAUUUUACCUAAAAAAUAUGAUAAAUUAAUAAUUACAUAUUUGAAGUUAUUUCAAAUAUUACUUAAUUGUUUUUACUUUAAACAUUACCGGCCUUUCUUUUAUUUUAUUGCAAAUUAAUGCUAACAAGAAAAAGCUAGAUCAUAUUCCACAAAAGCAAAAGUGACAAACACAACCAGCUGGAAUCUUUUAUAAAACUACAAAUUAAAAUGGAGUUUUUUUAAAAAAAUUGUUAUAAAUUGGUGGCCCCUACAAUCCUCAAUAAUUGCACCGAUAUUCACAAGUUGGUGGCCCCUACAAUUCUGUUCCGAUAAUAAUUGUUUUUAUUUUUCUGCAUUCCCUUUCAUGCUCUUAAUAAUUGAAGAGCAUACUUUUCAAAUGUGGAGCCACAGCUAAUGUCGCUAAUUUAAUUUGGGAUUAAAUUAGGGGACCAUUAUAUUACAGUGUGCACUAAUUUUUGUGUUUAUCUAAACUCCUUAAAUUUAAGAUAUAUUAUGGCAUAAAUAAGAAUAUAACAAUAACAAAAGAGUAAAAAAGUGUAGAGAAGAUCUUGCAGAAAUAUAAAUAAUAUCUAUUUUAAAAUAAUUUUUAAUAUUUUAUGAUCCAUUAGAUAUAUUUAUUAUAUUAAAGUAAAUUUUAUAAUAAAUAAAAACAUACUAUUAAAAUGAAUAUAUAGAAAAUUUAGAGUAUUUUAAAUAUUAUAUAAAAAAUUUUUAAUAAAAUAUGUGAGAUAUUCAUAUUUUAUUAAUUUAAAAUACCAUUUAACCUAAAGAUUUAUUUAUGAUAAAUUAAUAAUUAUAUUUUUGAAAUUACUUCAAAUAUUAAAAAAUUAAUAUUACUAAUCUGUUAGAUAGAUUAAAUUAUAUAUAUUAUUUUCUAUUUAUUAAAAAAUUAAAAUUAUUUUUAAUUACUAUUCAAAAAAUAUAAUGAAAAAACAUAAUGAUAAAAAAAUCUUAACAUCUUUAUUAAAAAAUUAAAAACUUAUAUGAUAAAUUCUCUAAAUAUUUACGGUAUAUGUGAACCACGGUGGAUAAGCUUUAUUUAAUAUUAUUGAUUUAAAUAAUAUGUCAAUUAAAAAUGUACAGAGAAGAAAUUUCGGUGGGUAUUUUAGUCUUUUAAGCAAUUAUCAUGAUCAGAUCAGCCUUUAGCCUUCAAACGUCGGUCAGAAAAGUUUUAAAAUUAAUGCUAAAUUGUUUUUCACUUUUAACGUUGGUGGCCUUGAAAUUGCUUGUAUUUUAUUAAAAAUUAAUGCUAACAAGAAAAAGCUAGGUCAUAUUCCACAAAAUCAAAAGUGACAAAACAACCAGCUGGUUUCUUUUACUAAACUACAAAUUAAAAUAAAUUUUUUCGAUAAAUUACAAAUUAAAGUGGAUUCUUUUGAAUACAAAUGGGACAGACGAUUAGGCUCUUUUUAUUAGAGGCAAGUAAAAACUAGUCAAGAAUCGAACAGUCUUUUUCCAAUUCUUGUUUUAUUAUUUUUCAAAACUAGUUUUUGGUAAUUACAACCGGGUCAUUAAUCAUUAUUCAGAGUUACUGUUAUCUUCGGGGGCAGUGGGUAAAAGAUAAUUACUAACUGUUUUUCCUUCAAAAGUUAGCGGCUCAUGUUUGCAAGUGUGAAUGUGCGAUGCUCUUUUCUUAAAGGCCAUUACAGUGGGGCCCGAAUCAGACGUGCCUAAAUCUUUUUAAAAUUUUUGCCGUAUAACGAACAGAGGUCAUUACUAAAAUUUCUCUUCCACAGCCUACAGCAGCUUCAGUUUAUCAAACUCCAUCAAUUUUCUUUCUUAACAAAAUUCCAAAGAUGUGUAGCAUUUUUCAGAUCACAUGCGAUGGUGCUCUUUUCAAUCGUUGCUUGGAUUGCUUUCUUGGAAAAGCAGCAUACAUACGUAACCUCCAAGAUAAUCUUGUAGCCUUGGAGACUGAACUGGGAAGACUAAUCGCAGCAAAGAACGAUGUGAUGAUGAGGGUUGUCAAUGCUGAACGGCAACAAAUGAGAAGGCUGGACGGAGUGCAAGUGUGGGUUUCGAGGGUGGAUUCUGUUAAAACUGGAGCCGACGAACUUAUCACAGACGGCUCUGAAGAAAUUGGCAAAUUAUGUGUUGGAGGCUACUGUUCCAAGAACUGCAGGUCAAGCUACAAAUCGAAAACAAGUGGCUAGAAAGCUACGACAUGUGAAGACUUUAAUCGCCGAGGGAGUUUUUGAGGCGGUGGCCACUGAGGUGGUGCCCGAGAGAGCUCCGGAACCUGUAGCAGAUAAAAGACCCACUGAGCCAACAAUAGUAGGCUUGCAAUCACAGCUUGAACAAGUUUGGAGAUGUCUUGUAGAAGAAUCAGUGGGAAUCAUUGGCCUAUAUGGUAUGGGCGGUGUUGGUAAAACCACACUAUUGACCCAUAUCAACAAUAAAUUUCUUGAGAGUCCCACAAACUUUGAUUGUGUGAUUUGGGUCGUAGUUUCAAAAGACCUGCGACUUGAAAAAAUUCAAGAAGAUAUUGGGAAGAAGAUAGGUCUGUCUGAUGAUUCAUGGAAGAAUAAAAGUUUUGAAGAGAAAGCUGUGGACAUCCUGCCGAGAUUAGGAGAGAAGAGAUUUGUAUUGUUGUUAGAUGAUUUAUGGGAGCGGGUUGAUUUAACAGAAGUGGGCGUUCCACUUCCCAGCGCACAAAAUACUACCUCAAAAGUCGUAUUCACAACCCGUUCCAUUGGUGUUUGUGGCAGCAUGAGAGCUAGGCCGGUUAAAGUGGCAUGCCUAUCAGAAAAGCAAGCUUGGGAACUGUUCCGCGAAAAUGUUGGGGAAGAAACUCUUGAGAGUGAUCAUGAGAUCGUUGAGCUAGCCCAAACUGUGGCCAAAGAGUGUGAUGGUUUGCCACUCGCACUUAUUACUAUUGGUCGAGCUAUGGCCUACAGAAAGACAGCCGAGGAGUGGAGUCAUGCAAUUGAUGUGCUAAGAACAUCAGCUUCUGAGUUUGCAGGUUUGGGAGAGAAGGUGUAUCGUCUUUUAAAGUUUAGCUAUGAUAGUUUGCAGAAUGAUACGGUUAGAUCUUGUUUCUUGUACUGUUGUUUAUAUCCUGAAGAUUAUGGCAUUCUUAAAUGGGACUUGAUUGAUUGUUGGUUUGGCGAGGGAUUUUUUGGGGAAUCUGACAGGUCUGGUGCAGAAAACCAAGGAUAUGACAUUUUGGACACUCUUGUUCGUGCAUGUUUAUUAGAAGCGGUGGAAGAUGGUGAAGUAAAAAUGCAUGACGUUAUUCGUGAUAUGGCUAUAUGGAUAACUUGUGAAAUUGAGAAGGAGAAGAGAAACUUUUUGGUUCGUGCAGGUGCUGGAUUAAAAGAGGCACCGGAUGUUAAAGGAUGGGAAAAUGUGAGAAGAUUGUCAUUGAUGCAAAACCAAAUUGAAACUGUGUCAGAGGUUCCCACAUGCCCUCAUCUCCUCACUUUAUUUCUUGACUUUAAUCAGGAGUUGGAGAUGAUCGCGGAUGGCUUCUUCCAACUUAUGCCUUCUCUCAAAGUUUUGAAGAUGUCAAACUGUGGACAGAGGAGGUUGAAAUUACCUGUUGGGAUGUCAGUGUUGGGUUCAUCACUAGAACUUCUCGAUAUUUCAUGUACUGGCAUAACAGAGUUACCAGAGGAGUUAAAGAAGUUGGUAAAUCUGAAAUGUUUGAAUUUGAGGUGGACAGGUGCGUUAAUUAGAAUUCCACGGCAACUAAUAUCAAAAUUUUCAAGGUUACGUGUGUUGAGAAUGUUCGCUAUUGGCUAUGAUCGUUUUCAUGAAGCACCAGAAGACAGCGUUUUAUUUGGUGGGGGUGAAGUUUUGAUACAGGAAUUGCUCGGUUUGAAAUAUUUAGAGGUAUUGGAGUUGAGCUUGGGAAGUUAUCAUGCUCUCCAAAUUCUUUUGAGCUCAAAUAAGUUAAAAAGUUGUAUUCGAUCUCUUUGCCUCGAGUUCGCCGGAGAUACAGCGUCAAUUAUUGAUGCUACGGCUUUCGCAGAUCUAAACUACCUCAAUGAAUUAAAUAUUUAUAGUGGUUUUGAGUUGGAAGAGUUGAAGAUUGAUUAUACAGAGAUAGUACGAAAAAGGCGGGAACCUUUUGUUUUCCGCAACCUUCACCGUGUUACUAUACAUAGCUGCCAGAAGUUGAAAGAUUUGACAUUCCUCGUUUUUGCUCCAAACCUCAAGUCUGUUCAGCUACUCGAUUGCUAUGCUAUGGAAGAAAUAAUCAGCGUCGGAAAAUUUGCUGAGACUCCUGAGAUGAUGGGACAUAUAAGCCCUUUUGAAAAUCUCCAAAUGCUUGAUUUAGAAGAUUUGCCACAUUUGAAGAGCAUCUUCUGGAAGCCAUUGCCUUUCACUCAUCUGAAAGAAAUGGCGGUAAGUGGGUGUGAUCAGCUUGAAAAGCUUCCACUCGAUUCCAACAGUGCAAAGGAGCGUAAAUUUGUAAUUCGUGGAGAAGAAGACUGGUGGAACCGACUUCAAUGGGAGGAUGAAGCCACUCAAAUUGCUUUUCGUUCCUGUUUCCAACCUUAUUCCUGAGCGGUGGUCGCAAAUUUUGAUUCUCUGUUUUUAUUUCUGGUUAGUUUCUCUCUCUCUCUUUCUCUCUCGCUCUCUCUCUUUUUGUCUUCUGCAAAUCACAAUUAAAUGUUGAAUUAAUGGAAUUAAUGCUUCAUAAAUUUGCCGGCACAGCCACUACUUUUUUUUGGGGGGGGGGGGGGGGGGGGUCGAAUUGGUGCUCUGGUUUUUGACUUUUUGUUAGCGAUUUAAUUUCCUGUCAAAAGACGAGCGAGAAGAACAUAUAUAUGACGUAAACCAAUUGAUACUUUAUUUAUGUGCAUUGUAUGUAAUAAAUAUUAAGUAUACUUUAUUUUUGCCCUGUUCUCUGUUUUUAUUUCAGUCUCUCUCUCUCUCUCUCUGCUGUCUCCUGUCUCCUGCAAAUCACAAUUAAAUGUUGAAUUAUAUGGAAUUAAUCCUUCAUAAAUCUGCCUGCGCUGGCUUUUUUUUUUUUUUUGUGGGGGUCGAAUUGAUGCUCUGGUUUUCGACUACUUUUUGUUGUCAAAAUUUUCUCUGUUUUUUCAAAUUGAUGCUUUAUUGAUAUCUUCUUCGUGAAAAGUGAUUUAAUUUCCUGCCAAAAGACGAACGAGAAGAACAUUAGAGUCAAACUAAUGCUCACAUAAAUUUCCCGUAAGAAUAUAUAAUUAUUAAGAUAGAUCUGCUCUUUCAUUAAAUAUAUAUUCCUUUUUCACAUAUUAAUUGACCUUUAUUUAAUUUGUUUAAAAAGUUUAAUUAAUUGUUGUUUGCAGAGAAUCAUCUACGCCGCUCGCCGAUAAAAGUUGAGGUGUUCGAGCAGGUGCUUGCCUUUUUUUUUUUCUUUUUCUUUUUUCCCUGUUUUAAUAUUUCUUUAAAUUUUGAAAUUGUUUAAUUAUUCUUCUGGUUUGGAAUGUUGAUAAUAGUGUUGUGAAAUUAAUUUUUACAGGAUAAAAGGUUGUGGGACAUUUAUUAUCCAUGUCCUAUGUAUCUCAAGCUUAAAGGUCUCAGUGGUCCUCUAUUGGAAAAAGCAAGUUUAAUAUAUAUUAAUUGGAUAUCGUCGCCUGUAUAUAUAUGUAUAUACAUACAUACACAGCCACUCAUCGAUUAUAGACUUAAUUAUUUAAUUGAUUAUGUAAUCUCUCGUAGUUUCUUUGUGCAUUUUUAGUUAAUUUAAUGAAUAAACUCAAAUACAUUGUAAAUAAAACCAAAUUAAAUGUUCCCUAAAAUAUACGUAUAUGCCUCUCGAUGGCACACAAGGUUAAAUGUCAGCCCAUCGCGGGUAAUAUUAUUUCUAGCCGCCUUCAUUACGAGUUAAGAGUCAAUUAUUACUAAACUAAACUAGUCAAAACUCGUAAGUGCUAGAAAGUAGAAACGUUUGAUUCUAUAUAAAUGACUUCAAUUCAAUAUGUACCAAAGAGUAUCGAUAAUUGAACCCCAAAAAACUUUAAAAAAGAUUGACAAAAUUAAUUAUAUUAUUGUGUGUUUUUAGAAGAAAAAAUAAAAUAAUUAAUUAAUGUUAUAACACUAUGUUAGGUGAAAAGUCAGCUGUCUGGAAGAGAACAAACUUACUAAGAUAAGAGCCUUCUUCAGUAAUCAACCGAACGAAAAAGUCAUCUCUUUUCUUAUUUAUUUAGUAAAAAUAAGUAAAGGCCGAAAAUUUCCUAAAAUAUCUAAAUCCCUCUCUUUAAAAGAACACCAUAUGCUGCAUAACAUGCAAAUUAAUUUCCCAUAUGUGAUGCAAUUUUCUCCUCAACAUAUGCGCAAUUCUUUCCAUUCCGGCAUUUACACUCAAAUUUUCCUUCCUUUCUCUUUGUGGUUGAAUCUUACACCACAACUCAUGUGAUGCAAUCUCCUCUCGCUGCCUAAAUUGCACUCUCAGCAAAGCAGCAUAUGUAAGCAAGCUUGAAGAUAAUCUUGCUGCUCUGCGGAAGAACGGCAAAAGUUAAUCGAAGCAAGGACUGAUGUAUCAGAAAAAUUUUGGUGGAGAAUUCAGCACAAACAUAUUUCGGAUGAUCAGAAUCAAUAAAACAUGGUGGUUGCGCCAUAUAAACAUCUUCGGAAAGCUGGCCUUGAAGAAAGGCGUUUAUUGAUAUCCAAUUGACGAAGAGGCCAGCCAUGACUAACAUCAAUACUAAGAACAAGCCGUACUGUGGUGGGCUUAACAACUGGACUGAAAGUGUCAUAAUAGUCCACACCAGGCCGUUGAUUGAACCCUUUGGCAAUAAGACGAGCUUUGAACCUGUCAACAGAACCGUUGGAAUGUCUUUUAAUACAAAAAUCCAUUUGCAGCCAACAAUAUUGGAAAGGAUGGGAGGUGGAACAAGCUUCCAUGUCCCGUUAAGAACAAGAGCAUCAUACUCUUCUGACAUAGAUUGACGCCAGUGAGGAUUUUUGAUAGCUUGCGUCACAGUUGUAGGUUCACAAUCAGAAGGAGGGCUAAAAUGAGCACAGAGGUUAAGUUUUUGUAACGGCUUGUGAAUGUUAUUUUUAGCUCCGGUAGUCAUAUCAUGAUGAUUUGUGGGGCAACGAUCUAGUGGAGUUUGGGAAGAUGAUUGAACAGGAAGUGAAGAAGUGCUUUGUGUAGAGGUAGAAAUAGGUUGGGAGGAUUGCUGCGGAGAUGUUACCGGUAGAGAAGAAGGAGCAGUACACGGUGGCAACUCCAAAGGGCCCACAAUAGAUGGAGUAGGUGCCGACGAUGGAGUACUAGGAAAUGAAACAGUAAGAAUUGGUGGAACACUUGCGUAAUUAGGAGUUGUAGAUGAGCUUGUAAUGAUUUGUAUGGAAAAACAAACUCUACAAAUUUAACGUGACGUGAAAUAAAAAUUUGAAAGGUGGAUGGGUCAAAACAUAAAUAAGCACUUUGAGAUAAAGGAAUAUCCUAGAAAAACACAAGGCUUAGAGGGUGGUUCGAGUUUAUGUGAUGAAACACAAACAUUCAAAAUUUUUUAAGUUUAUAUUAAUUAGGAGUGGUACCAAAAAUUAAUUGGCUAUCGGGUUGUUGGAUGUGUUUUGGAUAUUUACAGCUAAGUUUGAGUAUCUCAACUUAAAAUUUGUAGCUUUCACUUGAAAAAAUUCAGUUAAAAUUUGCAAUGCAGACUGAUUGAUUUAUCAGUUUAACGUGUGCCAGGAAUGAAGAACUGGAAUAUCACCGUCAAGCAAGCACCCUGUGGAGCAAUACCAAACAAUGUACAAUCCGGCUUUGCUAGGUGACACUGGAGGCUUUUUGAAAAGUGCUUCACGCUCACUUGCACAGAUUGAGCAUCCCCUCUGGAUAUUGCCCUCUCUGAUCGAGUCUGAGCACUCAAAUUUUGGUCCUCAGAGGGAGCUACAGUUUUCUCUCCACUAACCAACAAUUUUCUAAACUCAGCACCUAGUGUGAUCUUGAGCCAUAUCUAAAGCAGUUUGAAGUUCAAGUACUUGAGCCCUUGACAAUGGUUUUAAAAUUGGAACAUCUUGGAUUACUGCAGACUUGUACCCCUUGGUUUCAAAGUAAGGAAAGGUAUUGCUUGAGUACAAUUUGGAGGCAGCUUCUUCACCAAUUUUAUUUGGAGGCGAUUGGCAGCGGAUCCAGCUGCACGAAGACUAAACAAGUCAGAUGCAGUUUAUUUGUCCAAGCACAAAUUGCAUUUUGUCCUCAACUUUAAUAUUUAUUGAUGAGAAUCAAUACAGGUCCCUCAUUUGUUAUAGAAAGCUUUAUUGUAGUCUCACCAGUUAAUUCACAGGUCUAUAAUCAUCUUGCAAAGUUAAGGGCAUUUCUUUCGAUCUAAAGUCUUUGCAUCACCACCUCAUCACACGCCAAGCCAAUAUUCCAUUUACCUCUGCAACAAAAAGUUUUAAGUAAACAAUCCUAAUGCACGCAGCCAAAUAAAAUGCAGUAAGAAUAUUCAACUUAAAAAUCUGAAAGCCAACUUGGUGAAUUGCCUCCUUAGGUGAAGUUCCAUGCUUUACUAUAGUUGACAGAACUCAGCAAAAGCUUCCAUACAACAGAUUUUGAAAAUGAUGAUGCCAAUAGAUACUCAUUCAAUCCAUUGAAAAUCCAAAGGUUCAUUGUUAAUAGAAGUUUACAGAGUUUUGGUCAUCAAAUAGCUCAGACCUAAUCCCAAACAAAAAACGAGUGAAAAUUAGAUCACGAGCAGCUAAUUGUAAAUUCUAACUUAACUCUUCAUCUCCUUUGUAAACAAGAAACAAAAUGGAGACACGCAAAAUGAAUAUGGAGAAAAUUUGAACUCAAAUGAAAUGAGGGCACGAAAGCAAACAAAUGGCAUGCACAAAAAAACCAAGCCUCAAUCAAAAACUAAUUAACCAUUAAGAAAAAAAUUGGUCAGAGAAUGAACUCCAAAUUCAGGAGUCAAGCAAGAAGCUUUCAUCAUUUCAGAAGCUCCUGUACAAAAAAACCAAGCCUCAAUCAAAAGCUUUCAUUAAUAAGUUAUGCUCUUUGGAAGCAAACCUAAAUUCCAAGAGAAACAGAAGCCAAAAAAUUUGCAAUUAUACGCAAAGGAAGUGAAGCACAGGAUUCUAUCACACAUAGGAAUUGUAUAACAAGAGAUCGAUAUAUCGAAUUAGAAAACUCAAUUCGAAUUUGUGUGAAAAAUCAAAAUUAGAAGAUUUCACAUUUCGAGAGGAACAAGCAACAGAUGACGUUCAAAAUUUCAGCCAUAACAUGCUAAAAAUGCUACACUUAACGGUUCAUUUUCAUGGAUUUUCUCGGGAAACAAACAGAAAAUUACGGUUCAGAGAGUUGACUGACCUUUUGGCUUUUGAAAUUGAGAAGAUCGCGCGCCAAAUUGGAAGAGGGAAAGUGAAAGUGCGAGUUUUAAUAUGGGUAGAUAAGGAAAUUUUAUUAGGUUGCGAGGGUAAAAAAGGAAAGAGAUAUCAUUAUUUUAUCAUCGAUAAUUAUUAAAUUUUUUUCCAAAAAAAAGAACAAGCAAGGAUAUUUUAUUGUCAUUACUAAGUUAAAAAAAAUUGUUUCAAAAUUACUUGAGUCAUAUCCAAUGGACCAACAAAGUAAUCGUUUUUAUUUUUAUUGAUUUUUGCAGGAAAUUAAUAACUUAAAAAUACUGAAAGCUAUUGUAAAAAUUUUUAUUAUCAACCUCAUAGUUUUUUUUUUUUGGGGGAAGAGAAUUCAAACAUUUUUUUUUUAAAUUUCCAAGAAUUCUUGACACCCGUCUUAAUUAAAAGCUAUAUUUUUAUUCAAGAGUCAUGCUAUUCAUUCACUCACAGACCAAAGGCUUUCCGCAGCAAUAUUAUUAUUUAAAUUACAACAAAGGGGAAAUCAAAUACGUCAUACAGAAGCUUAAAGCUGAAUCAACAAAAUCUAGAGCUCUCAACUACAAAAAUUACACUUGAUGAUCCUCUACAAGAUGAAGCUUGUUCAAUAUCUUAUCCAAAGCUUGUAAAGUAACCUUGUAACGAUCUUGAGAUUGCCUGCCUUCCUCGACGACCUGCACGAUGCGUUUGUACAAAUCAUCAUACCUGUGCACCGGAUUUUUAAUAUCAACGCCACUGCAGCUGUGAUUAAGAAAAUAAGAGCGUUUAACAUCUUUUCUCCAUCGAGAAAGAAUGUACUGAGAUGGGAUCUCCUGCACGCCACUCUGGUUUAGAACACAAAGAAUGUGUCUGCAUAAAUAUCCUCUGAAAUUGAACAACCCACAAACGCAAAGCACCUCCAAGUUGGAGGCAUUGUACAAAACAUCGAAAGCCCUUGAGUCUUUCUCAUUGCUACCAACCUCGAAUUCUUCCUUCACUAUGUAUGUUAUAGGUCCAUCAGCACUAACAUGUUUUGUGCUAUAGCAAGAGUACAUAGCCUCCACCUCCGUCUGAAACUUCCUUAACAUUUCAUUUGUGUACAGUUUUGAGAGUUGAAAUUCAUAGUAACAUCUUGGUUUCUGGAUACAACUUGAAUUUCUUGAAUCCAUAUCUGCCAAGGCUUCCAGUUGAUAAUUCGCCCGCAGUGCUUGAUCAUACUUGUCUAAGAAUUCUUUCAAAGGAGUAUUCUUAUCAAGAUAUCCUUCAAAGUAUGAAGUAGAAACCUCAUUCUGCGGGAACGAAAACACUCCUGAUAAAAAAGCUUCCUUCAAAUAAAUAGGAGCCCACCUUUUACGAUCUUCAUAUAAAGUUUGAAUCCAUCCGUGAUCCUUUAUUCCAUGACGUUGAAUCAUGUCUUUCCAAGCUGCUUCAAAUUUCUCAGGCCUGAGAGAGUGAUAAAUUGCUCUAUGUAAUGCAGCUUUAAUAGCUUCAUAUUCAAACAAUCCUUGGAGUUUCACUGGAAUUUUUUGCAUGAUGCAUGACAAUGAAAAGCAACGAUAAGCUCUUGGGAAAACAUCGCCAACAGCAAUUUGCAAGAUUCUACAUUGGUCAGUGAUGAUUGUUUGUGGAGAGCGCCCUAACAUACAUGUAAGCCACGCCCUAAACAACCAUGUAUAUGAUUCUAUGGUCUCACUGGCAAGUAAACCACAACCCAACAACACUGAUUGUCCAUAAUGAUUCACCCCAAUGAAUGAAACCAGUGGUACAUCAUAUCUUUCAAUCAAGCACGUAGUAUCAAUUAAGACUACAUCACCAAAGUACCUAUAUGCAACUCUUGACCUGGUAUCAGUCCAGAACAGGUUUCUCAAGCAUCCCUUUUCAUUUAGAUCCACUACAUUAAAAAAGUUUGGAUCUGUCAACUGCAAACGACAAAAGAAACUCUGGACAGCUUGUGCAUCACCUGGUUUAAGCUUCAAUUGAUUUGAGCUAUUAACAUUAUUUCCAAAUACUCCAUUAACAUCUACAUUACCAUUUCCCUAGGCAUCAAUGAUAAGAGUUCGAAACAGUUUAAUUUUUUGAACUUCUUCAGCACUAUCUAAAUGCAAUGUUCUUUUGGUUCCAAUACCUAUGUGCUUAUGUGACUUGCAAAACUUUCCACUUCUUGGGCUUAACAAGUGGUUAUGCUCAAGCUCGACUUCAAUGAUUCUCCACCUUUUGGUUUCCAUCAACCUAAACUUUAUCAUUGCUGGACAGCCAGCUCUUGUUUCUGGUCUUGGACGGUUUGCCUCACUUUUCUUCUUGAAGCUUGCACUACUACAGCUCAGCUUUCCUCUAUACUUUUCUCUACUCUUUCAGUACCAGGUAUUGCUAACUCUAACACCAAAACCCUGUUCCUUGGCAUAGCAAUUGUAAAAGUAAUAUACAUCAUCGUACAUCUCAAACUCCAUUCCAACAGCAGGAGGCAAGGGAUUUUGGAUUAUCCCAGUUUGUCCAACAUAUUCAGUCAUCGCACAAUCUCCUACGACCUCAAAAUCAUCAGUGUCAUCAUCACCUAUUGGUUCGGUGUUGAGAGAAACUUCAUCCAUCUACAAUGGAUGUUCAAUGAAGUGAGCUUUAAGGAGAAAAAGCAAAAUCAGUUCAAGGAAUCAUAGUAUAAUCAUACAGUUACUUUCACAAAGCUUCAUAUUUCAUCACUGCUUUACCAACAUGCAACUGCCAGAGAACAAACAGACAUGUCAUAGACGCUUGAAUUAAGUAUUGGUACAAAUGAGCACACAUCAUGUGGGACAAAAUUUCAGUCACUAAACCCAAUACCACUUUUUACAUCAUACCAAGGAACAGAUUAAACCCGACACCUUCUUUUAAACCAUACCAAGGAACAGAUUAAAUCAUCAAUGAAAAAUUAAUCACAUAAUAACUUAACCAGACAAAUGAAGAGCCUGAAACAGCACAAAACUUGAAUCUGAUUAUGAUAAUUGUUGAGUCCUUGUAUCUACAGCUUUCCUUCAAUGAUAAGACAAUGAACAUAAACGAGACACAAAAAAUUUAUUUUAAACUGACAGCCCAUGAUAUAAAUCAAACAAAAUCAACUCCUUUUUUUACACAUCACAUCUCAUAUUCAUUUACAUUGAAACACAAAAAGGAAGCGGGAGUGGGAAAAAAACAACAGCAGAGGAACUUAUUUCCAUAAGGUUUACGAAAUAAGGAAUCUAUUAAAACCCAAAACUUGAGGUCACCACAAAGAAUUUGGUUCUCAUUAUUUUUUUCUUCAUUUUUCACCAAUUGAUGAACUUAAAAUACAAUCAUAAAUGAUAAAACCCCAUCUCAAUCUUUUUGAACUAGAGCUAAAGCAAAGCAUUUUAAGAUGUUUCAUCAUUUUUUUUUUAAAAAAAACCUCAAUAGUACAAUGUUUUUACUCUAAUAAUCUCUUAAUUAAGGAAGAUUAAGCUUCAGUUGUAAGCUAAAACAAAUUUCUUAAAUCAAGCCCCAAUGCUUUAUGCUAUUCAACAAGGGCUCAUAAAUGAUAAAACUACUUCUACAAAGAUACCCAUUUUCUAAAUUAAUUUCAAAAACUGAAAUCAAACUCCUGAAACGUAACGAGCAUUAAUAUAAUCAAACCCGAACAAGAAUUGAAAAAUGACACAUAAACUCGUUUACACAUUUCGACAGACACUUUGCAAUCAAUGAGCAAAAAAUUAAUGGAGAAGAUAAAAUUCAAACGAAACAUGCCUUACAUUGAUCAAUUAGAAGGGCAAAAGAAAUUUUAGUACGAUAUGGGAUCAGGGUCUUGCCACGGUGAUGUUAUUUGUGAUGUUCGAGCGACUCAGCGGCCUUCGAGGUUGAAAAUUUGAUUGACCAAAAGCUUCCCGUUUGUUGAUUCUCUAAUAGCAGAAACGAGACUGGCAGUAAACACAACAACUUCGCUGAUUUUAAAUUCCGUUGUUUGAGAUGGAAAACUUUUUGAAAAAAUUAAUGUGUUCGAUGAAUAUCAAAAUCUAAAAAACUUUUUGUUUUUCAUUUUUUUGGAAAAAACCAUUGAGAUCCUUACUAUUUUUUCUUAUAUCAUCUUGCUUAAUAAUUUGCAAAGUCUAUCGCAUAGCACCCAUGCAUGAUGUAUGCUGCGUAACUGCGUUGUAAUUUACAAAAUUGUAAAUUUGUUAAAAGAAAAUAAUAAUAACAAGUUAAAACUUUAAAAUUUUUAUCAUUCGAAGAAAUUUUAAUUUAGUUAAGUAGGUGACAUGAUAAUAAAUAGAUACGUAUAAUGUCCGAGAUUUUUUAUAAGAUUAAUAAAUAUGAUAAAUUUGGAUUAGUUCAAUUUUGACGUAAUUCAGAAUAAACACAUCUUCCUAAUCUAAAAAUAAUUACAAACAAUUUAAUUUGUGUUGUUUCUCUAAAAGUUUGAGACACAAAUGUUAUUGCAAAUUGAAACGCCAUGCACUAGUAGAAGGUAAGAGAAACCAAGGUUGAAGUUACUGUUCAUUUAUUUUUAUUUAUGAUUUUUUGUAAAAUGUAAGAAAUAUGUAGAAAUGUUGCCAGCAAUGAUUUUGGAACUUUGCAUAAAAUUUUUAUCAUUAUUGUUUUUGGUAUUAAGAAAUCCGAGGCGGUGAUUAGUCGUAUGUUGCAACAAUUAAGAAAUUUCUUAUUGGAGAUAAUUUGGUAGGUUGCAACAAUUAGAGAAUAAUUUUCCUGUCAGUUAAUCAAUCAAUAAUAAAUUUCAAAUUGCAGAAAAUAAAAUAAUACUGUCGCACUUAGAAUCAUCUUUUCUAUUUCUUUCAAUUGUGACAAUCAUUUGUAACAAAUAAAUCAAUUUGAUGCACAUCAUUUCCCCAAUUCAAAGUUCAAGUCACUGCUCAAUUGCAGGGUAGUUAGUAGACAUGCAUGCAUGUUUAAUUAAGUACUGCAUUGUAAUAUAGAAAAUCAUAACAUCUCACCAAGCCCGGAAGCAUAGCUCUUUAUCUUGUAAAUGUUGAAAUCUUAUGCAAACUAUGGGAAACAUGAUCUCACUCUCAGUGCCACUUGAUUCCAUUUUCUUUGUUGGGAAUGCUACGAAGUCUAAGCUUGAAGAUAAUCUCGAUGCCUUGCGGACUGCAAUGGAAAAAUAAGCGGAAACGAGAAAUGAUGUGAUAAAUUGUGAGCCAACAAUAGUGGGCAUGGUGUCGACUUUUGAGAAAGCCUGGAGAUGCCUUGAAGAAGAAUCAGUUGGAAUUAUUGGCCUGUAUGUUAAUGGGGGAGUUGGAAAAUAUUUACUCAAAUCAACAACAAGUUCCUUGAUGGUCCAAAUAAUUUUGAUGUUGCGAUCUGGGUAGUGGUCUGCCAAGAUUUACAACCCCAGAAGUUUCGGGAAAAGAUUGGGAAAAAGAAAGGCUUGUUCGAUGAGUCAUGGAAGAACUGAAGUUUUGAAGAGAAAGCACUCGACAUAUUCAAGAAUUUAAGCAAGACGAAGUUUGUAUUACUGCUGGAUGAUAUAUGGGAGCAGGUUGAUUUAAUUAAAAUUGGUGUCCCUCUUCCAAGCACAAAAAUUACAUUCAAGAUAGUCUUCACAACUCGUUUUAUUGACAUUUGUGGCCUCAUGGAAGCUCACAACAAGAUUAAAGUGGAGUGUUUAAAUGACGAAGAAGCAUGGGAAUUAUUCUGCAAGAAGGUUGGAGAAGAUGUGGCGACUCUGUCCAAGUGCUAAGGAGAUCAGCCUCAGAAUUUCUAGGUAUGUAAAAAUGAGUAUAUAUAUCCACUUUUGAAAUUCAGUUAUGAUAAUUUACCUAGCGAUAAAAUUAGAUCGAGUCUGUUAUACUGUAGUUUGUUUCUGGAAGACUUUCCAAUUAGCAAAACGGAAUUGAUACAUUGUUGGAUAAGCGAGGGCCUUUUGGAUGAAACUAAUAGUUCUGAGAUAUGAAAUCAAGGAUACUACAUUAUUGGUGUUCUUGUUCCUUUAUGUUUAUUGGAAGAAGAGGCUCCACUAUAUGUAAAAGUGCAUGAUGUGAUACGCGAUAUGCUUCUGUGGAUCGCAUGUGAAGUUUUUUUUUUCUUUUUGAUAGGGAUAGCAUGUGAAGUUGAGAAGGAGAAAGAGAAUUUUUUGGUUCGUGCAGGUGCAAGGAUUAACUGAAGUGCCAGACAUUUGGAAAUGGGAAGGGUUGAGAAGGGUGUCUUUCAUGAGCAACAAAACUGAGAAGUUAUCAGAAAUUCCUUCAGAUCCCCAUCUACCGACUUUGUUGCUUCAACGUAAUUAUUUAGAGAUGAUCAAUAAUGACUUCUUCCAAUCUAUGAAUUCCCUUAGAGUUUUGAACUUAUCAUGUAAUCAUUCUCUAAUUGAUAAUUUCAAAGUUAGUUUCCCUACAACAUCUUAAUUUAUCAAUGACUAACAUACGAGAGUUGCCGAAUGAGUUAAAGUUUGUAGUGAAUCUAAAGUUUUUGAAUGUGGAGUAUGCACGGUUUCUUCAUUCAAUUCCAGGGCAAGUGAUAUCCAGUUUUACGAUGUUACACGGUUUGAAGAUGUUUGGUUGUGGGAGGUCAUCUUCUGAUCAUGAGCCACACUAGAAGAUAGAGUUUUAUUUGAAGGCUGUAAACUUUUGAUUGUGGAGUUGUUUGGUUUGAGAGACAUCUAGAUGUGUUGACCAUCAUCCUAACAAGUUCCCUUGCUCUGAAAAGAUUUUUGAGCUACAACAAACUUCAAAGUCGUACUCAAUCUCUCUAUCUUAAAUGCUUUGAUUCAAAUCUUCUUGUUUUUUCCAUAAAACAUUGCCAUGAUAUGGAGGAAAUACUCAGUGUCGGAAAAUUAGGUGAAGAGAUGAUGUCAAAUCUGGAACCUCUUACAAAACUCCAAGUUCGUUGCUUGAAGAAGCUACCAAAUUUGAAGAGCGUCUACUGGAAGGCCUUGCCCUUGCCCAAUGUAUGCAUAAUUUUUGUAUCUAAAUGCCCAGAACUUAAGAAGCUGCCGCUGGAUUUUGAAAGGGCGGGCGAAGGUAAAAUUCUUAUCAAGUGAAAGGAAAAUCGAUGGAAACGACUUCAAUGGGAGGAUCAAGCAACUCAGAAUGCAUUGCUUCUGUUUUUCAAAUCUAGUGAUUGAAGGGGGCAACAUCAACAUCAUCAGCCUGGAUGGGGAGAUUCUGGAGCAGAUCAGUAGGGUUUGAAUCUACAUCAUUAACAUCAUCAGGGUCUGUAUUUCUAUUGCUGGUCUUAAUGCUUGCUUACUGUUGCUUGACAAAGUGAGCCAGUUUUUUGUUUAUUAAAUUUUGUCUUGUAGAGACAGUCACAAAGUAUGGGUUGUUCUAUGUGAGAGUGAUGUGAAUCAAUUUUUCAAUUAUAUAUUCUGUGGUCAUUGUGAAUUUUGUUUAGAGAUGCAAACUUAGAAUAUGGAAAAGUUCAUCGGCAAACAUUUUGUAAAAGCUUCCAACUGAAGUUUUCAUAAUUAAAUAAUAAAAAAAUAGGAAGUGACGAAAAAAUUAUCCUAGGUGUUACGAAAAAACAUGAGCUCCGAAAAUAUUGGAAGUGACGAAAACUUAGGGCUAGGGUUUGAGAACUCUAACCCGCCACCACUGCAAGAGGACAGGACGACUAAGAAGGCCCGGUUUCGGGCUGAGGGAAUUGAUGCUGAUAAUCCUCAUAAACCCUCUUGGAGAGAUAAGGCUAUGGAGGCAGUCACGGUGAUGGCAGGUCAGACAGGAAGGAUUGGAGAGUUGGGUUACGGCAGUGUAUGCUAGCCCUAUUCCAACAGUCCUGCGUGAAUUAUGGUAUCACCUUGCAAGUAUUGCUUCUCAAAUGUUGGAUCCGUGGUUGGUGGGCGGAGAUUUCAAUGCUAUCUUAUACGCACAUGAGAAGAAAGGGGGCUCGAACCGAAUAAGUGGCACUUGCAAUUUAUUUAAUCAUUGGUUUCAUUCUUGCAGGAUGCUUGAUCUAAAGUUCUCCGGCCCUCGCUUCACUUGGUCUAGGGGAAACCUUUCUAAACGAUUGGAUAGAGCGGUUUGCAAUAAUGGAUGGCUAAUAAAACAUGCAAAUAGUAGUGUCAUGCAUCUUCCAAAAAUUGAUUCCGAUCAUCGGCCUAUUCUAGUCAAGUUCCAGAACAUGGAUUCCAAGCAUGGGGGCCCGAGGCCAUUUCGAUUUUUGGCUGCAUGGCUCACAGAUGAGAGAUUUGGGAGUUUUAUGAAUGAUAGCUGGAAUAAGGGAGAGAAUUUUCUUGAGGCAGUGGCUGAUUUUACUCAACAAACUAGGUGGUGGAAUAAGGAAAUUUUUGAAAAUAUUAUUUAUCGGAAGCGGAAAUUGUUGGCUAGAAUAGGUGGGAUCCAAUGAAUUUUGGAAGCCAAGCCUAACCAUAGCCUUACUAGACUUGAAGUUAAGCUUCAGAAGGAGCUCGAAGAGGUUCUCACUCAGGAAGAAUUAUUGUGGCUUCAGAAAUCCAGGAGAGAUUGGACUUUGUAUGGUGACCGCAACACUGCUUAUUUCCAUAAAAAAAUGCUAACCAGGCAUCGCCAGAAUCGGAUUACUGCAAUUCAAAAUGAUACUGGGCAGUGGAUACACGACGUCGAGAUCAUUAAGCAACGUGCAGUCAAUUUCUUUUUGGAAUUAUACACGCCUGAACAAGGGGUGCAUAGAACAUAUAAUGUCAGGGGGUGUUUCCCUGAGACGUCAGAUGAUAUUUGUUUAAGUUUGAUGUCUGCGGUAACAGAUGAGGAAAUCAGACAUACUAUUUUCAGUAUGAGUCCUUUUAAAGCUCCUGGAGUUGAUGGCUUUCAUGCUAGUUUUUACCAAGCGCAAUGGAAUACAGUUGGUAUGUCUUUGAGCUCUUUAAUCAAAAAUAUUUUUAAUUCUAAUCAUAUCCCUGCAGAGAUCAACAGAACCUUGCUGGUGCUCAUUCCUAAAGUGUAUCAUCCAACAAGCCUCAAGAUGUUUCGGCCGAUCAGCCUUUGCACAAUUCCGUAUAAAACGGUGACGAAAAUUAUUGCAAAUAGGUUACAGGUUUUUCUUCCAGAUCUCAUUGGACCCCAACAAACCAGUUUUGUACCGGGUCGGCAUAUUACAGAGAAUAUUGUUAUUGCUCAAGAGGUAAUCCAUACAAUGAAGAAAAAUGUGGGGGGUAAAAGAAUGAUGGCGGUUAAAGUGGACUUGGAAAAGGCUUAUAACCGGUUGAGUUGGCGAUUUGUUCAGGAAACUUUACAGGAAGUUGGGCUACCGGAGCGAUUUAUUCACCUCAUAAUGGAGUGUUUGUCCACAGCCCAAAUGAAUGUUUUGUGGAAUGGAGAAAUGACUGAAGAUUUUCGGCCAGGGAGAGAAAUUCGACAAGGAGACCCUCUUUCGCCUUAUAUUUUUGUGCUUUGUAUUGAAAGAUUAAGUCAUGGGAUUAUCCAGGCGGUUAAUCAAGGUAGAUGGAAACACAUUUGACUGACUCGAACUGGCACUCCUCUAAGUCAUUUAUUUUUUGCGGAUGAUCUGCUUCUCUUUUUGGAAGCAAGUUACGGCCAAGUUGAUGUAUUGAAUGAUGUGGUGGAGAAUUUCUGUAGGAGCUCGGGCGCUAGAGUUAGUAAUCAAAAGACCCAAGUCUUCUUCUCCAAAAAUGUCCCGGUCACUUUAGCCAAUGGAAUUGGCAAGGCUUUAGGCUUCUCGGUUACAAAUAAUUUGGGAAGAUAUCUUGGCAUGCCUCUUCUUCACGAUCGGGUUUCUAAGAAAACGUAUCAGAGUAUCAUUGACAAAAUUGAUCAGCGGCUAUCAGGAUGGGCAGCAAAGCAAUUGUCUCUGGCAGGGAGAGUUACUCUCACUCAAUCGGUGCUUCAGGCAAUCCCGAUUUACGCUAUGCAAACCACGUACCUCCCAUCUAGUGUCAGAGUUAAAAUUGAUCAAUUAUGUAGAAGAUUCAUUUGGAGUGGGGCUGGUUCUCAACGCAAGUUAAGUUUGGUUAGCUGGGACAACAUUUGUAGGCCUAAGAGCAAUGGAGGGCUCGGUUUCAAGGACAUGGAACUUAUGAACAAAGCCUUACUAAUGAAAGUGGCUUGGGAUUUAUUCAUAAAUCCUAGCAAGCUGUGCUCCCAGGUUUUAAUUUCUAAUUAUGUUGCGCCUUGUGAUAUGAUUACUACUGAUGCUUCAUUUAAAAAUGGUUCCUAUUUAUGGCGCUCUAUGGGUAAGAUUUGGAAAGACUUCCAGAAGGGUUUGCGUUGGAGUAUUGGAAAUGGCCAACGGGUGAAGUUUUGGGAUGAUAUUUGGGCUACAAAUGGUGAUCCCUUAAUCAACUAUACGGUGGCUUCAAUUCCGGAUAGCAUGCGAAAUAUGUUGGUGGCGGAUUGUGUGGAUCAAAAUGGGAAUUGGUUGUGGAACAUAUUCAACUCUUUUUUGAAUAACCAUGCUGUUUUAAGGAUUGCUUCCAUGGCUCCUCCGUCGUCAAUGAGAGGCGAGGAUAGGAUGUAUUGAGGUGCAUCAAAUACUGGCAAUUUUACAGUCCAAUCAGCUUACCAAGUGCUUACGAAUUUUUGCCCCGCUGAAGACUGUCAAGACUGGCAACAUUUGUGGAAAUGGAAGAGGCCUCAAAGCGUAAGAAUUUUUCUAUGGUUAUUAUGCCAUGAUCAAUUGAAGACGGGAUGUGAGCUUGCUAGAAGGCAUCUGGACGUCGAGGCUUUAUGUGGGAGGUGCCAUGCAGACGUUUAGAAUUCUUUGCAUGCAAUUCGAGAUUGUGAUUAUUCGAGAGGUGUUUGGCGGAAGCUUGUUCCCGCGCUUAGACAACAUGACUUUUUUAGUUAUCCUCUUUGGCAAUGGAUCAUGACAAAUCUUAGGAGAAGAGUCUGUGAUAUGGGGAGCUUAUUUUGGCCGAUUAUGUUUGGUAUUGCGGCUUGGAGAAUUUGGUAUUGGAGGAACCAGGUGAUGUUCAACAACAAGAGCUGGAAUGGUGAUUUGAUCGUUCGAGAUAUUAAGGCAAGGACUGAGAGUAUUUGUUCUACUCUUUCAAGCAUAGGCUAUCGAAGAAAUGAAAGGAUUCAGAAAUGGAUUCGUUGGGCUCCUCCACCAUGGCCUUUCUUGUGCUUAAAUACGGAUGGUGCAAGGAAAGGAAAUGGAGAGGCGAGUGCAGGUGGGCUGCUGCGGGACUGUCAUGGUAAUUUUAUUCAUGGUUUCAGCGCACAUCUCGGAGUUUGUUCAGUUCUAAAGGCUGAACUUUGGGGUGUCUUGCAUGGGUUAAGAAUGGCAUGGGAUCUUGGCUAUAGACGUAUCCAAGUUGGAGUAGACAACUGUAGUGUGGUGCAAAUUAUAAGGGAAAAUAAUGCUCAUGUCAACGAAAUUUCGAAUAUAAUCGAGAUGAUUAGAGAACUCAUGAGGAGGGAUUGGAGGAUUCAAAUUGAUCACAUCUACCGCGAAGCAAACUCGGCAGCUGAUUUCCUUUCUACGCAUGCUUUGAGUUUACUUGUUGGAGUACAUUUUCUUCAUUCUGCACCUUUAGGUUUGAGAUCUAUUUUAUAUUUGGAUAUGUAUGGGGUGGCACACUCCCGGUUUGUGCCCCUUUAGCUCUUCUCUUUUAGAGCCUUUUGUUUAUCAAAAAAAAAAAAAAAGCUUCCAACUGAAAUAGGGAAUGCACUUACUACUAAGGACAGUUGGUGGCCACCUAAUGCAUUCAUUUUAUAUCAAUUCAUCAUUUUAAUUAUUGAAAACAAGUGGCUCAUCGCUUUUACUUUAGGUAAAAUUCGGAUAAUCUCUAUUAUGAAAUGAUAAUAUUCUCUUAAAUUAUUAUAAACCUCAGCCAAUCUUAAUUUUAUUUAAAAGAUAAAAGAAAAAUAGGUUAUGUUGGUGACUUUUUUCUUAUCUUUUUAAUAAAAAUAAAAUAAAUUGAUGUUUAUAAUUGUUUAAAAUACUUUAAAGAUUGUUAUUUUAUGAGAGAGUAAUAUUUUACUUUUUUAUUGUGAAAUGCUAAAAAGGACAAAGCAAGUGUCCCUGGUUUUUAUUUUAUUUGAAAUUGGUCAUCUCAUAUACUUUACGUUUCAACACUACAAUUUUUUUGGUUAUAUUUUUAUUAUUUUUUUCUUUCUUACACAUGCACGUAAAUUUUCUUUCUUUAAGCUCCUGAAUAUUUAAGACAAAUCAUGGAAGAGAUGAAAGUAUAACAAGAUGAUCAAAAUACGUAACAAAAAAUUUACAAGUGAAACAUACGUUAGAGUCGAAGUAAAACUCUGAAAAUAGAGAUAUUGAUUAAUUUAGAAGAGAUGCAAGCAAAAGAUUUUCUUAAAAAAAAGAAAAGCAAUUUGUCCCUUUCCAGGGCAAACUUGUUAGUCUCAAAAAGGUACAUUCUUUGAAUUGAUAGUUGCAGGAUUUUUGUCUUGUUUUUGUUGUUGUGCAUUAGUUGGAGAAGUCAAGCCUAGUGAAAAAUGUUAUGAAAGAGCAAAGGAUAUUUCUGACAGCUUUAUUUAAUUAUGUAUUCAUUUAAUGGAUGUAUUGUUAGAAGAUAUUUAAGUGCAUUAGUUCAUCCGUGUCUGUUGAUGUGCUUUUAGUGAUUUUUCCAGCUGUUUGUUGUAAAAGAUGAUUGUAAAUUGAAAUGAACUUGAUGUUGUAAUAUUUUCUCUUUUGUGGAAUCUCAGUUGUGUUGUCUAUAAUUUUAGUCAAAAUUAUUGUUAUUAUUUCUUACUAGAGGUAAAUUUUUUAUUAAACCUCAUUAACACAAUUCUUAAUUAAAAGUAUAGGUUAGUGUCGGUGCAGGAUUUGCAGCACCAGAUCCUGCCUAGCUACGUGUCAAAAAUACAAAAUAAAUGAAGAGAAAGCACAAAUACAUGACUUGGAUUAGGAUAGAAGGAAACUUAAAUCUUAAAGAAAAUGAUAGCUAUAUCCCACUAUUUGAAAAAAUGGUCAUGUAGAUUUUUAAGAUUUAAAUAAGGGACGGAGAUCUUCUUUUGACAAAUAAUAUCUUUUAGCUCUCUCAAGUAAAAAAAAAAUUAAAUAUUUUAUAAUAAAUAAAAAUAUAAUAUUAAAAUAUACGUGAUAAUAUAUACAUUUUAAAUAAUUUCAAUCCAAAAAAAUAGUUAUGUUUUAUCGAAUCUACCUAUGUUACAAUAGUAGUAUGGUACCACAAUAUUUGUUCUUAUCCAAUGUAAUCAUUGGAUGAUUUAGAGCUUAAUCUAACGGCUUAAAUUAUUUUUCUGAAUAUUUGAAGCAACAACUUGCAACCGUUGGAGCCGGUUGCAUAUUAAUUUAAUAUCAUUUGGGGAAGCGUACGGUCAGGAAGUUUCUUAGUAUGCCACCAAUGGAAUUUGAUUUCAUCUCAAAUCGAUCUGCAGGCAGCAAUUGGGAAAUUACACUCACGGUCUUCCUCUUCUUCACUUCCUCUCUACUCUUCACUUUUCUCACUCUCGCGAUGUUUACAGCAUGAUAAGUACAAUUACAAACCAGGAAAUGCCAUUAACAAUUUUCAUUUGUCUUAGUCGUUUUUUUUUUUUUUAGUAGAAAGCCAAAAAAGAAAACGGGUGGGAGGUUGGGGCGUCGUGAUGAAAUGGUUUUGAGUUUUUGACGGAAUGUUUGUUUUUGUGAUUCAUUUAGGGUUUGAAUUCAGGCUUGUACGAACUCGGAUCUAUUCGAGAUCCGUAUUGGCGCUGAAAUCAGAUCCUUUGAAGCCUUGGUUUGAAUUCAACCUUGAGAACUCCAAGCUUGUUAGAAUCUUCAUUGAUCUCUCCAGAAAUUACACGGAUCUUAUUACUAAACCCUACAUAUAGGGCUGCAAUGGAGUCCGAUUCUCUCACAAUUGAUGAAUCAAUAUUGAGACAGUUCGAAAAGGAAGUAAAAAAGAGAAUCAACUUGACUGGCUAAAUAAUUGCGGAGGCCAAAGAGUCUUUUGAUAAUCAAUUGAAGAUUUAGAAGUUAAAAGACACUAUUUUUACUAUGAACGAACAAUUGACUAAGGCGAAAAAGCAAGGAGCUUUUUUGAGUUUGAUUGCUGCGAAAUCGAUGCCUUAGAGUUUGCAUUGUUUGGCCAUGAGGUUGAUGAAAGAGCGAGUUGUUCAUCCGGAGAACUAUAAUGAAGAAGGGAAGCCCACACAUGCAGAAUUCGAGGAUCCCAAACUUUAUCAUAAUGCUAUUUUUUCUGGGUAAUAUGCUUGCAGCUUCGGUGGUGGUGAUUGGUGAAUUUAGCUGUUAAGAACUCGAAGGAGCCUUGGAAACAUGUGUUUCAUGUUGUGAUGGAUCAAAUGUUUAAAUUGAAGGAUUAUAAUGGAGCACAUUUAGGCACGAAGGCUGUUGAGGAUUAUAAGUUUUUGAAUUCUCACAUGUCCCUGUGUUAAGGCAGCCGGGGUUUGCUAAUUUGCAAAGGUUUUACUUCGGGAAGUAGCUUGAGAAUGCUACGAAAGAUGCUACUAACAUGAAGUUUAGGAAUCCCAAUUACUUGUUGAUACUGUAUCAUUUGAGGUUCUGGAUAAGAUUUCAAUGAUGGCCGCUUAAAACAAAUAAUAAAAAAAAAGAACUUGUACUGUAUUUGGAUCUUUACUUAUUUGAUAUAGUUUUCUGCAAUCUCUCCAUGCAACCGGUUACUUUAAUUAUCCACUAACUCAUCUCAACCGUUUGAUGGACUCACUUUAUAUCCAACGGCAGUUUUAAAUGAAGACAAAAAGUGUGGUAUGUUGCAAUUGUUGCAACAUAUGUGAGUCUUGUUUUACAAUCUAUUUAACAUAUUUUAUUAAAUUAAUAUAUUUCUAUGAUAUAGGAACAUAAUAUUAAAAUAAAUUUACAAAAAUUUAAAGAAUUUUGAAUGUAAAACAAUUUCAAUAUAUUAAUAAUGAGAUUUUUUUAUUAUUAUAAAAAUUAUUUAACCCAUAGAUUUUUUUAAAUCUUUACAAUAAGUAUAAAUAUAUUAUCUUCACUUAAAAAUAUUUAAAUAUUAUUAACCUAUAAUUAGGUUUGCAUUUAUUAGAAAAUUUUAAAGUCAAAUAUAUUGCACUUUUGCAUUAUUAGAAUCAUCACAGAGAAAGGAGCAUAUAUACUUUAUAACUUUAAAAAUUGGUUUCUUCUGGAAACAGAGAUGAUGAUUAUUAUAAGGAUGAAAAAAAAAAGAUAAAGAAUAUUAAUGAUUAACGAAAUCUCUAUGCAAAUUGAUUUUAGUAGGGAAAGAGUGAGAUGAAUAACUUCUUUUACAGCUAAAAACAGAGAUGAUGAUUAUUAUAAGGUUGAAAAAAAAAGAUAAAGAAUAUUAAUUAUUAAUGGAAUCUCUAUGCAAAUUGAUUUUAUAGGAAAAAAGCGAGCUAAAUGAUUUAGACAUUCAUAGUGUAUUUAUUUUUGAAUUGGUGAAUAAGAAUUAUUGACAACGCUAACUUCAUCUUCACCGUUGGCUAUCCAAUAGCGGCAAUUGUCGCCGAUUAUGAUAUCUCCAAUGAUGAUGACGGUUUUUUUAUUAUUAUUAUUGGUGACCCCUUGGAAAGUUAACUGCAACUGCCAAUCAGAGAAAAGUCGUCAUGCACAAUCCUCAAUCGAACCAAUCAUCUACGUUACAGAAUCUGAAACGUACACACUGUUAACAUAUAUGUUUCCAUAAUGUUGAUUUUGAUGAUAACAAACAAGAUUAAGAAUGAUUAAUCUUUUAAGCUCAAAUUAUUUUUAUGCAUUUUAAAUAAAUCAUUAUUUUUACAUUAUAAAGGUUCUAUAUUUAAUGGAAAAAUGAUUUUAUGAAAUUGAUUGUUUUUUAUUCUUUUUAAAUAAAUCAUUAUUUUCACAUUAUAAAUGUUUCAUAUUCAAUGGAAAAAUGAUUUUAUGAAAUUGGUUGUUUUUCAAAGUUUAUGGUUUAAUUGAAAGAAUUUUGAAAACUUUGAAAUAAACAAGUAUUGCUUGAAAUUUCAGAUUUGGACUUAUUUGAAACUAUUUAAAUGUUUUUAGGCUAUUCUAUAAUUUCACAAAGUUUGGGCGAAAUUAUAAUUUCAGAACGUUGUGGGAUUGACAAAGUAUUAUUCUAAAAUUCUGAAAUUGGACUUAUUUGUAAAUUUUCAUAACGUUUUGGGUUAUAGUAUAGUUUUAUAAAGUUUUGGGGUCAAAUUAUAAUUUCAGAAAAUAGUGCACUGUGCAGGUUACUGUGGCAUCCGGCUUACCGGAUAUAAAAAUCGGAAAACCGGAUACGGGGCAGAAUGUAUCCAGAAUGUAAACGGCUUACCGGAUUUCGUAACCAGCAAGCCGGAUAGGCAAAAUUCAAAUUUUUGCCUUAACGGUAACAUAAAUCCAGCUUAUCGGAUUCCAUAAAUGGCAAACCGGAUACGCCCAGAAUGUGAGUAACGGCUAGUUUUUGAGUUCAAACUAUAUAAACUCAAAACCAAUUCAUUUUUGGUAAUCCAAGCAAGAAAGAACAAGUGCACAUAACAUAUAUUGAGCUUCAAUUUCGUAACUCAUCAUUUAUUAAAUCAUCUUUGUUUUUCAAUUUGUAUAUCCACUCUUAAAGAGAGAUUCAUUGUUGUAUUUUUCAUUUCUCAUCAAAUUGUGAGUGUACAAGUGUGAGAAACACUUGGGGUGAAGAGAUUGGAGAGAUAAUCUCUUGUUGUAAAGGUUCAUUAACACAUUGAAGUCAAUUGUAAACGUUUGAAGCCUUGGAAAUGCUUGGAUAGUGAAAUCCUCAAGCCCGGUGUGCUUGGAAGCGUGGACGUAGGCGGAGAUUACCGAACCACGUAAAAAUCCUUGAGUUUGCUUUCUCUUCCCUUACUCUUUAAUUAUUGUGCUUUGAUUGAACUUAUUGCUUUCAAUUUUUAUUAAGACAUUAGAUUAAAUUGUUGUGUGGUUUGCCUAGGAUAAUUUUUAAAAUCUCAAUUCACCCCCCUCUUGAGUUGCCUAGUUAGUAUUUCACACACCCAAUGGGAAGCAGCACACGUGUUCUGAGGAGAGAGAGAAAAAACCGUGCAAAUGCAAGCAAUAGGUAUUGGCUACAGUUGGAUCUGUAAGUUACAGAAUCUGUAACUUAGCCAACUCCCUCAAUGAUCAAUAUUGUUUCCGAUAUUUAUAAAUUGGUGGCCCCUUGGAAAUUUAACUGGAAGUUUGCAAGUGUCAAUCAGAAAAAAAUCGUCAUCCAUUGUUUUUUUUUUUCUGCAUUCCCUUUCAUGUUCUUAAUAAUUGAGGACAGGUUGUUCAUAACAUUUAUACUUUUCAAAUGUGGAGCUGCAUUUAAUGUCGCUAUUUUAAUUUGGGAUUAAAUUAGGGGAACACUAACUUUUAUAUUUAUCUAAACUCCUUAAAUUUAAGACAGAUUAUGGCGUAAAUAAGAAUAUAAUAAUAACAAAGGAAUUAAAAAGUAUAAUGACGAUCUUGCAGAAAUAUAAAUAUUAGCGUUGAAUUAAAUAACAUAGAACACAUGAAUUGAAUAGUGAUUAUCAAGACGGUGUUACUUGCACUCCUAUUUAUAAAAAAUCUUGGUUCUGUUCCAUUAGAUUUUUUAUCUUCAAAAUCUUGCAAAGUUUUGACAACCCAAAGGCUCAGUUUGGUUGUUCUAUAUUUGUAUGAUAUGAAUUCAAAUUUUUGUGUUCUGUUUUUCUUAAUUCUGAACACGGAUUCUUCUCUUCUCGUGCAAACCAGAAAGAAAUGUUGUCUUACAAAAAAAAAAGGGGAAUAACUUCAUGAGAACAAAAAUUCAGAAAAAUAAUAUAAAGUUUAUAUUUAGACUUUUGUGGUAUAUUUUAAUUUUCAACAAUGAGUUAAAGAAAAUAAUAAAUAAAGUAAAUAAAAGUUUAGAGAUUCAAAUUUUUAGUAUUGGAUUCUUUAAUUCAAAUACCUCUCAUUAAUUAACACUUAAAAGAGAGUUCACUAUUAUAAUUUUAAGUUUUUUGAUUUAUUAUUGAUAUAUAAAUUAGGAGUUUAAGCUUACUUUUUUAUUUUUCCAUUUUUUUUCAAAUUUGAAAUUAUUAUUUAAAUUUAUAAUUUUUUUUAAAAAAAUAGAGGGCUUGAGCCUGGCUUGGGUAUUGUUUCCUAAACCCUUAUCCGGCCCUGGCUUUUUUGCCAGCCCCAAUGAUGAUGAUGAUGAUUAUUUUAUUAUUAUUAUUAAUGAUGAAAAGUAUUAUAAUUAAUUAAUAUAUUAUUGUAUUGUUAUUAAGAUUAACAAUAAUUAUUAAUGAUAACAAUUUUUUGAAUAAAAAUAAUCACAAUAAUUAAAAUAUAAAUUAAUAAUUAUAACAAUAGUUAAUUAAUGUAUUUUUAACAAUUUGUAAUAAUUUAACUCAUUCUAAUUUCGAUUAUUAUAGUUAAGUAAACAACUUAUUAUAAUUUUCAUUCUCCAUUUUAAUUUCAGCUCAUUUCGAUUUCAGUCUAUUCCAAUUUUCAUUUAAUAAACGUUCCAUUAAUGCUAUAGUAAUAUUUCAUAUAGAAAAAAAUAAAAGCUACAACUAAGGUUAAGGGAAAGGACUUCAAAACUCUCUUUUUGUCAUAAUACAUUUUUUCCUAAUUAACUUAAAGAGUUUGAAUCUAAUAUUUUAUAAUAAAUAAAAAUAUAUUCCAAAAGUAAAUAUAAUAUAUCUAUUUUAAACUAAUCUCAAUAUUUAAAAUAUAUUUAAUAUUUUACAAUCUAUUAGACAUAUUUUAUUAUAUUAAAAUAAAUUUUAUAAUAAAUAUGAACAUACUGUUAAAAUGAAUAUAUAAAAAACUUAGAGUAUUUUGAAUAUUAUAUAAAAUAAUUUUAGUAGAAUACGUGAGAUAUAUUUUAUUAAUGUAAAAUGCUAUUUAAUCUAAAGAUUCAUUUAUGAUAAAUUAAUAAUUAUAUUUUUAAAAUUAUUUUAAAAAUUAAAUUUUUUUAAUAUUAUUAAUCUAUUAGACAGAUAAAAUUAUUUAUAUUAUUUUGUAUUUAUUAAAAAAAUUUAAAGUCAAUUUUUUUAAUUACUAUUCAAAGGAUAUAAUAAUUAAAAAAAUCUUAGCGUUUUCAUUAAAAAUUUAAAAAUUUACAUGACUAUUUCUGUAAAUAUUUAAGGUAUAUAUGAACUACGGUAGAGAAGCUUCAUUUAAUAUUAUUGAUUUAAAUAAUAUCUCAAUUAAAAAUGUACAGAGAAUAUAUUUCGGUGGGUAUUUUAAUCUUUUUAGCAAUUAUCAUGGUUAGCCCUUGGCCUUGAAACGUCUGUCAGAAAGGUUUUCAAAUGCUUUAAUUGUUCUUAUUAAAAAAAAAAUCUUUAAUUGUUUUUUCACUUUUAACGUCAGCGGCCUUGAAAGUGCUUUUACUUUAUAACAAAUUAAUUAAUGCUGACGAGAAAAUAUCUCUUCCACAGCCCACAGCAGCUUCUGUUAAUCAAACUCAACCAAUUUUCUCUCUUAACAAAAUUCCAAAGAUGGGUAGCAUUUUUCAGAUCACAUGCGACGGCGCUUUUUUCAAUCGUUGCUUUGGAUUGCUUUCUUGGAAAAGCAGCAUACAUAAGCAACAUCCAAGAUAAUCUUGUAGCCUUGGAGACUGAACUGGGAAGACUAAUCGCAGCAAAGAACGAUGUGAUGAUGAGGGUUGUCAAUGCUGAACGACAACAAAUGAAAAGGCUGGGCCAAGUGGAAUGGUGCGUUUCGAGGGUGGAUGCUGUUAAAAUUGAAGCUGAUGAACUUAUCAGAGACGGCUCUCAAGAAAUUGACAAAUUAUGUGUUGGAGGCUACUGUUCUAAGAACUGCACGUCAAGCUACAAGUUCGGGAAACAAGUGGCUAAAAAGCUACGAGAUGUGGAGACUUUAAUCGCCGAAGGAGUUUUUGAGGCGGUGGCUACCGAGGUGGUGCCUGAGAGAGCUCCAGAGCCUGUAGCAGAUGAAAGACCUACCGAGCGAACAGUAGUAGGCUUGCAAUCACAACUUGAACAAGUCUGGAGAUGUCUUGCAGAAGAAUCAGUGGGAAUCAUUGGCCUAUAUGGUAUGGGCGGUGUUGGUAAAACUACAUUACUGACCCAUAUCAACAAUAAAUUUCUCGAGAGUCCAACCAACUUUGAUUGUGUGAUUUGGGUAGUAGUUUCAAAAGACCUGCGACUUGAAAAAAUUCAAGAAGAUAUUGGAAAAAAGAUAGGUUUGGUUGGUGAUUCGUGGAAGAGUAAAAGUGUAGAGGAGAAAGCUGUCGACAUCUUCCGGAGUUUAAGAGAGAAGAGAUUUGUAUUGUUGUUAGAUGAUAUAUGGGAGCGGGUUGAUUUAACAAAGGUGGGCGUUCCACUUCCCGGACCAAAAAAUACUACCUCAAAAGUUGUAUUCACAACCCGUUUCAUCGAUGUUUGUGGUAGCAUGGAAGCUGACAGGAAGUUCCAAGUGGCGUGCUUAUCAGAAAAGGAUGCUUGGGAACUGUUUCGAGAAAAAGUUGGGGAAGAAACUCUUCAGAGUCAUCAUGAUAUCGUUGAGCUAGCCCAAAUUGUGGCCAAAGAGUGUGGUGGUUUGCCACUCGCACUUAUUACUAUUGGUCGAGCUAUGGCCUGCAAAAGGACAGCCGAGGAGUGGAGACAAGCAGUUGAAGUGCUAAGAAGAUCAGCUUCUGAGUUUGCAGGUUUGGGAAAAGAGGUGUAUCCUCUUUUAAAGUUUAGCUAUGAUAGUUUGCAGAAUGAGACGAUUAGAUCUUGUUUCUUAUAUUGUUGUUUAUAUCCCGAAGAUUAUGGAAUUCUUAAAUGGGACUUGAUUGAUUGUUGGAUUGGUGAGGGAUUCUUAGAGGAAUCUGACAGGUUUAGUGCAGAAAACCAAGGAUACUACAUUGUGGGCACUCUUGUUCAAGCAUGUUUAUUAGAAGAGUUAGAAGAUGAUAAAGUAAAAAUGCAUGACGUUAUUCGUGAUAUGGCUCUAUGGAUAACCAUUGAAAUUGAGAAGCAGAAGAGAAACUUUUUGGUUCGUGCAGGUGCUGGAUUAAAAGAGGCACCGGCUGUUAAAGAAUGGGAAAAUGUGAGAAGAUUGUCAUUGAUGCAAAACCAAAUUAAAACUCUGUCAGAGGUUCCUUCAUGCCCUCAUCUCCAUACUCUAUUUCUUGCCUCUAAUGAUAAUUUGAGGAUGAUCACGGAUGGCUUCUUUCAAUUUAUGCCUUCUCUCAAAGUUUUGAAGAUGUCAAACUGUGUGGAUUGGCCAGUUUCGAAAUUACCUUUGGCGAUGUCAAAGUUGGGUUCACUACAACUUCUUGAUAUUUCACAUACCGGCAUAGAANNNNNNNNNNNNNNNNNNNNNNNNNNNNNNNNNNNNNNNNNNNNNNNNNNNNNNNNNNNNNNNNNNNNNNNNNNNNNNNNNNNNNNNNNNNNNNNNNNNNGAAGAGUUGAAGUUGUUGGUAAAUCUGAAAUGUUUGAAUUUGAGGUGGACAUUUGAGUUAAAUAAAAUUCCAUGGCAACUAAUAUCAAAAUUUUCAAGGUUACGUGUGUUGAGAAUGUUCGCUACUGGCUUUGCACGUUUUGAUGAAGCAUCAGAAGACAGCGUUUUAUUUGGUGGGGGUGAAGUUUUAGUACAGGAAUUGGUCGGUCUGAAAUAUUUAGAGGUAUUGGAGUUGACCUUGGGAUGUCAUCAUGCUCUCCAAAUUUUUUUGAGCUCAAAUAAGUUAAAAAGUUGUAUUCGAUCUCUUCUCCUCCAGUUGGCCGGAGAUACAACGUCGAUUAUUGAUGCUACGGCUUUCGCAGAUCUAAACCACCUCAAUGAAUUAUGCAUUGAUAGGGCUAAGGAGUUGGAAGAAUUGAAGAUUGAUUGUAAAGAAAUAGUACAAAAAAGGCGGGAACCUUUUGUUUUCCGCAGCCCUCACCGUGUUACUAUACAUAGCUGCCAGAAGUUGAAAGAUUUGACAUUCCUCGUUUUUGCUCCAAACCUCAAGUCUCUCGAUCUAGACCGUUGCGAUGCUAUGGAAGAAAUAAUCAGCGUCGGAAAAUUUGCUGAGACUCCUGAGAUGAUGGGACAUAUAAGCCCUUUUGAAAAUCUCCAAAUGCUUGAUUUAGAAGAUUUGCCUCAUUUGAAGAGCAUCUUCUGGAAGCCAUUGCCUUUCACUCAUCUGAAAGAAAUAUCUGUGGGUUAUUGCCGUAAUCUUAAAAUGCUUCCACUCGAUUCCAACAGUGCAAAGGAGCGUAAAUUUAUUAUUCGUGGAGAAGAAGACUGGUGGAACCGACUUCAAUGGGAGGAUGAAGCCACUCAAAUUGCUUUUCGUUCCUGUUUCCAAUCUCUUUUUGAUUAACUCUUAUACAUUUUCUCGUCGUUUGCUUCAUGCAAAAGACUACGUCUUUUGUUCUCUGUUUUUAUUUCAGUUUCGUUUUGUCUCCUGCAAAUCACAAUUAAAUGUUGAAUUAUAUGGAAGUAAUGCUUUAUAAAUUUGCCGGCACUGCCAUUUAUUUUUCCUCUUUUUUUUUUUGGGUCGAAUUGAUGCUCUGGCUUUUUUAUUUUUUGUCAUCGAAUUUUGCUCUGUUUUUCAAAUUGAUGCUUGAAUAUGUGAAUUCAAUUAAUGCUCACAUAAUUUUGUUUAGUUGCCGUAAAAGAAUAUAAUUAGACUGAAAUUCGCACUCCCAGAAUGAAUAGAAUCACAACAGAGAAAAUAUUAAGUAUGCUAGCCCUCUUUACAGAAAAUCAAAUGAAAAUAAAAUUUUUUGGAUAUUUGAUUUUCUAUGGUCUACUAUAUACACUUUAUAAAUUCUUCUGUUCUAAGGAUAACCAAGUAGGGGAUUGAUGAAGGCUCCUUUUUGGGAUUCUUCUUUUUCUAGGCUGCAAUUAGGAUAUGUACAUGAUAGACAAUCUUUUGUUGGUUUAGCAUAUCUUCGCUGAUUUUGUCUUUUAUUCCCCAAUUUUAUAAUUACACACCAUGAAUGUUGGGUGAUUGUAUAGAAAAUUUGUGUUAUAACAAAAACAUUGUGAAGGAGUUUCCGUGCUAAUAGUUAGUGGCUUCUGUUUUAUUGGUAUUGAUUGGGUAGAUUUCGUGUUACAGUGAUUCAAUUUGUGUUCCAAACUUUGCUUUAAUUUUCUGUUUUCCCCAACUAUUUAUGUCAAAUUUAAAUCCAGAAGCAUGUACUGAUUUUUUCUUUUUGUAUUAAUCUGUGAAGUUUACUUGGAAUGGAAGUAACUGGGUCGGGUCUAAUGGAUUAAAUUAUGACAUUGAGGGGAAGGCACUAAAAGGGUUUGCUUGACACAUUUGGUUCUGUAUUUACUCUGCAAGAAAUAGCUUUUGCUUAUUGCAAUGCAGGGGGAAAUCCCGAUUUGGCUGGUGAAUUUCUCUGCAACAAACAGGCAAACGCCUCAACCUCUUCUGUCCAUACUUCUGCUGGGGAGGCAAGGGGUAAAGAGUCUUCAAAAUCAUCAAAUAGUAACAUCUCUGAGAAUUCAUUUUAUGGAAAUGGAAAAUCUAGAGCUUCUAAUACAAAAUGGCAUCUGGUAUCAGGACGUACCGUUUCAAGUUUUCUUGGUAAAGAUUAUGUUAAACCUGCACAGCCAGCUAAUGGCACUGUUCUGGCAUCAAAGCCAUUGAAGUUGGAUCCAAGGGAGUUUCGCAUUUCUGCACUUUCAGAGUAGAAACUAAACCAAAACAAUCAAAGGAUGACCAUUUGCAGAAGGAUAUGGAAGAUUUUCUGUUUAAAUUGCUAGGAGAAGGGUUCCAGCUGUACAGGGAUGUGAUUCAGGAGGUUCAUGGAAACGUCUUAAAUAUAUUGAUGCCAAUUUAAUACAUAUUGUCCUUUUCAAUGUUCUUUCUUUCUUUCUCCUCUUUUUAUUCUUCUUCUUCUUCUUUUUUCUUUUCGUGUGCAUGUGAUCACUAAUUUGGUAUUAUUCUUAACUUGCAGAUAGUUGUGGAUAUGAUAUGCAAAAUAUCUUCUUGAUGCUGGCAGAUUCACUUGAUUCUUAUUAGUUUGUUUAGUGGCAAGGCAUAUAACCUGUAUUUCAAAGCCAAGUUGUGCUAUUGAUUAUGUUAACUUUAUUGUUAACAUAAAGUGAUAUGGAGGACAUAAUCAAUGUAGGAAAAUUAGGUGAAGAGAUGAUGUCAAAUCUUGAACCUCUUACAAAGCUCCAAGUUCUUUACUUGAAGAAGCUGCCAAAUUUGAAGAGCGUCUACUGGAAGGCAUUUCCAUUCCCAGAUGUAUGCAGAAUUUUUGUAUUAAUGCCCAGUUCUUAAGAAGCUGCCACUGGAUUUUCAAAGGGCGGGCCAAGGUGAAAUUCUUAUCAAGGGAAAGGAAGAUUGGUGGAAAGAACUUCAAUGGGAGGAUCAAGCAACUCAGAAUGCAUUGCUUCCAUUUUUCAAAUCAACUGACAAGUGAUUGAAGGGGGCAUCAUCAACAGAGAUGGAGAGAUUCUGGAGCAGAUCAACAGGGUUUGUAUAUGAUCUUUGGUGGUUGCUUUCUUUUGUGAUUUUUUUUUCUCAUUUUUUUUCCUUCCUGUCAUUUUAUCAUUUCUUUGUCUCUUUUUCUAUUGCUGAUGUUAGUGUAUGCUUACUGUUGCUUGACAAAGUUUGCUUGCUUCUUGUUUAUUAAAUUUUUUAUGGUCACAAAAUAUUACUUGUUCUAUUUGAGAGUGAUGUGAAUCAAUUUUCAAUUAUAUAUUUUGUGGUCAAUGUGAAUUCAAUUUCAUUUGUCUCCUGCAAUUAUGAAAAAAAUGCAGAGUCAUAAUAUGGAAAAGUCGACCGGCAAAAACUUUGUGAAAGCUUCGGAGUGAAACAGGGAAUUCACUUACUACUAAGGACAAUUGGUGGCGAGCUAUUCCAUUCAUUUUAUGUCCAUACAUCUAUUUAAUUAUUGAAGAUAAGUGGUCCAUUUGUAAAUUUCAGAUUGUCCCUCUCUCUUGAAAUAACGAUAUUUAAAAUAUUUCUUAAAUUAUUAUAAAUUUUAAUUUACUCUGGAUUUAAAAUGGAACAUGAUGAAAAUUUUUUUUUCUUCUUAAUAAAAUUGAAAUAAAUUGUGUUUGCAGUAGUUUGAAAUAUUUUAAAGAUUAUUAUUUUAUAAGGGAGUAAUAUGAAAUGAAAUUUACUUUUCAUGCGUGAAAUGUUGAAAAAGGACAAAGCAAGUGUCCCUGUUUUUAUUUUAUUUCAAAGUGGAGUCAUCUCACGUACUUUAGCUCUUAACAUUAUAAUUUUUCUGGUUACAUUUUUAUUAUUAUUUUUUUUUUUUACACAUGCAUGUGGGUUACUUUUCCGUAAGCUCCUUAAUAUAUAUUUAACACAAAUCAUGGAAGAGAUGGGAGUAUAUCAAGAUGAUCAAAGCAUGAAACAAAAAUAUUUAAGAAGUAAAACACUGAAAAUGGAGAAGAGAUGCAAGCAAAAGAUAUUCCAAAGAAAAGCAAUCUAUCCCCCUUUCGAGGGCAAACUUAUCAGGUUUAAGAAAAGUACAUGCUUUGGAUUGGUAGUUGCAGCCUUGCAGGAUAAUUGUUUUUGCCACUAUAUUAGUUGGAGGAGUUGAACCCAGCGAAGAAUGUUAUGGAAGAGCAAAGGAUUAUGUAGCCUGAAUGGAUGUCUUGUUGAAAGAUAUCUCAGUGCAUUAGUUCAUCCUUGUCUGUCAAUGUGUUUUUAAUGGUUUUUCCAAUUGUUUAUUAUUAUAGAUUGAUUGUAAAUUGAUAUGAAUUUAAUGUUGAAAUAUUUUCUCUUUAGUGGAAUGAAUUUAAAAGUGCAAAAGCUUAUUGCACACAGAGAAAUAAACAUAUAUGCUUUAUAGUAUAACUUUAGCAAUCGAUUCUUUUACAGCUGGAAACAGAGAUGGUGAUUAUCAUAGGGGUGAAGAAAAGGACAAAAAAUGUUAAUGAUUAACGAAAUUUCUAUGCAAAUUGAUUUUAGCAGGAAAAAAAGUGAGCUAAAUGAUCUUAAUGUUCCACAAAAGCAAAUCGUAAUAUUCCACAAGAAAAAGCAAGAUCUUAAUGUUCCACAAAAGCGUUAUUUUUUUUUUGGUGAGCCACGUGGAGCUCAAUUAUCAUUGUCUUUACUUUAAAAACGUUAUUUUAUUUUAUUUUAUUACAAAUUAAUGCUAAACAAGAAAAAGCAAGAUAUAAUAUUCCACAAAAGCAAAUCGUAAUAUUCCACAGAGGAAUAAGAUCCACAAAAGCAAACAACUAGCUGGAUUCUUUUACUGAAUUACAAAUUAAAGUGGAAUCUUUUAUUAAACAAUAAAUUAAAGUUCGAAUAUUUAAGUAGUAGUGCGUUAGAUGAUUAGGCUCUCUUAUUAAAGGCAAGUAUAAGGUAGUCCAGAAUCGAACAUCUCUAUUGUCUAGUCAUUUUUUUCAAUUCUUCUUUUAUUAUUUUUCAGAAUAGGUUUUGGUGAUUACUAUUGGGUUAUUAGUCAGAGUUAUUCUUAUCUUCCGGGGCAGUUUCUGUUCAUCGGAAUUGUUAAUUAAAAGAGUAAUGAUAUAGUCACAAACUCUUGUAUAAACUUAUUUUGUACAAACUGAUGUGGCAUGAUAAGAUUAGUUGAAUUAAAUAUCACUUAGGCCACAUGAUUUAUUUUUAUUAUUUUAUAUUUUCAUUCAACCAAUGAAUUAAUGCCACGUCAGUUUGUACAAGAGUUUGUGGCUGUAUCAUUACUCUAAUUAAAAUUUUAGAACUCUUGUGGGAAGAAUGUUUUUCUGUUAUCUUUUUUACAUUCUAAUUUCAACAAUAAGAAGGAGUCAUUUUAGAAUUCGGGUCUUGAAUCGAAUUUCAAUGCAUGAAUUAAUAUUUUAAAAAAAAAUUACUACACGCAGUUUAGGUUACAAACUAUUUUUUGCAAAGUUGACUAUGAAAUUGGAGAAAUUAAGUAAUUUAUAAUGUUUGCAAAGGAAGAGACUAACAUACUUCCAAUUACACUAUAUCUCUAUUAUCAUAAUGUUAAGACUAAACUAACUUAAAAUAAAUUUUAUUUGAAAAGUUAUAUCAAACACAGUCUAAUUUUAUUAACUUGAAGAGAUAAUAGUUAUAGAAAUGAUUGUUCUAACUUAAUUAGUACAAGUGGUAUAAAGGUUAAGUGUGCACUAAAUUUGUUUAAAUUUUUUCCAGAAUAACUAACAGAGGUCAUUAUUAGAAUUAUAAUUACUAGUCUAUUAGAUAGAAAAAAUUAUAUAUAUUGUUUUAUAUUUAUUAAAAAAAUUUAAAGUCAAUCUUUUUAAUUAUUAUUUAAAGGAUAUUAUAAUUUAAAAAAAUUUAAUGUCUUUAUUAAAAAUUUAAAAAUUUACAUGACCGUUCUAUAAAUAUUUAAAGUGUAACUGUCAUUUUCUCAUGUAUAUAUAUAUAAACCACGGUGGUGAAGCUUUAUUUAAUAUUAUUGAUUUAAAUAACAAUAUCGCAAUUAAAAAUGUAGAGAGAAGAAAUUUUGGUGGGUAUAUUAGUCUUUUACAAUUAUCAUGAUUAGCCCUUCCUCUUGUAACGUUGGUCAGAAAAGUUUUAAAAUGCCUUGAUUUCUUUUACUUUUAACGUUAGCGGCCUUCCUUAUAUUUUAUUACAAAUUAGUCCUAACAAGAAAAAGCGAGAUCAUAUUCCAAAAAAGCAAAAGUGACAAAAAAACCAGCUGUAUUCUUUUAUUAAACUACAAUUUAAAAUGAUUUUAAAGUGGAUUCUUUUGAAUACAGGUGGGGUAGUCGAAUAGUCUUUUUCAAAUUCUUGUUUUAUUAUUUUUCAAAACUAGUUUUUGGUAAUUACAAUCGGGUCAUUCAUUAGUCAUUAUUCAGAGUUAUUGUUAUCUUCGGGGGCAGUGGGUAAAAGGCUAAAUGAUAAUUACUAAGUGUUUUUCCUUCAAAAGUUAGUGGCUCGUGUUUUGCAAGUGUGUACGUGCGAUGCUCUUUGUCUAAAGGCAAUUACAGUGGGUCCCGAAUCGGACGUGCCUAAUAAAUCUUUUAAAAUUUUUUCUAAUAAAUAUUCCUAAAAUUUCUCUUCCACAGGCAAUUACAGCAGCUUCAGUUAAUCAAACUCAAUCAAUUUUCUUUCUUAACAAAAUUCCAAAGAUGUUUGGCUGUUUUCAGAUCACAUGCGAUGGUGCUCUUUUCAAUCGUUGCUUGGAUUGCUUUCUGGGAAAAACAGUAUACAUACGUAACCUCCCAGAUAAUCUUGUUGCCUUGGAGACUGAAUUGGGAAAUCUAAUCGCAGCAAAGAACGAUGUGACGAGGAGGGUUGACAAUGCUGAACGGCAACAAAUGAGAAGGCUGGACCGAGUGCAACGAUGGAUUUCGAGAGUGGAAGUUGUUGAAACUGAAGCCGAUGAAUUGAUAAGACAUGGCUCUCGAGAAAUUGAAAAAUUAUGUGUUGGAGGCUACUGUUCCAAGAACUGCAUGUCAAGCUACAAGUUCGGAAAACAAGUGGCUAAAAAGCUACGGGAUGUGCGGACUUUAAUCAGUGAAGGAGUUUUUGAGGUGGUGGCUGACAGAGCUCCAGAGCCUGUAGCAGAUGAAAGACCUACUGAGCCAACAAUAGUAGGCUUGCAAUCACAACUUGAACAAGUUUGGAGAUGUCUUGUAGUAGAAGAAUCAGUGGGAAUCAUUGGCCUAUAUGGUAUGGGCGGUGUUGGUAAAACCACACUAUUGACCCAUAUCAACAAUAAAUUUCUUGAGAAUCCAAUCAACUUUGAUUGUGUGAUUUGGGUUGUAGUUUCAAAAGACCUGCGACUUGAAAAAAUUCAAGAAGAUAUUGGGAAAAAGAUAGGUCUGUUUGAUGAUUCAUGGAAGAGUAAAAGUGUAGAGGAGAAAGCUGUCGACAUCUUCCGGAGUUUAAGAGAGAAGAGAUUUGUAUUGUUGUUAGAUGAUAUAUGGGAGCGGGUUGAUUUAACAAAGGUGGGCGUUCCACUUCCCGGACCACAAAAUACUACCUCAAAAGUCGUAUUCACAACCCGUUCCAUCGAUGUUUGUGGCAGCAUGGAAAGUCACAGGAAGUUCCCAGUAGCAUGCUUAUCAGAAGAGGAUGCUUGGGAGCUGUUUCGAGAAAAAGUAGGGCAAGAAACUCUUGAGAGUCAUCAUGAUAUCGUUGAGCUAGCCCAAACUGUGGCCAGAGAGUGUGAUGGUUUGCCACUCGCACUUCUUACUAUUGGUCGAGCUAUGGCCUGCAAAAGGACAGCAGAGGAGUGGAGACACGCAGUUGAAGUGCUAAGAAGAUCAGCUUCUGAGUUUGCAGGUUUGGGAGAAAAGGUGUACUCUCUUUUAAAAUUCAGCUAUGAUAGUUUGCAGAAUGAGACGAUUAAAUCUUGUUUCUUAUAUUGUUGUUUAUAUCCCGAAGAUUAUGGAAUUCUUAAAUGGGACUUGAUUGAUUGUUGGAUUGGUGAGGGAUUCUUAGAGCAAUCUGACAGGCUUAGUGCAGAAUACCAAGGAUACUACAUUGUGGGCACUCUUGUUCAAGCAUGUUUAUUAGAAGAGUUAGAAGAUGAUAAAGUAAAAAUGCAUGACGUUAUUCGUGAUAUGGCUCUAUGGAUAACCAGUGAAAUUGAGAAGGAGAAGAGAAACUUUUUGGUUCGUGCAGGUGCUGGAUUAAAAGAGGCACCGGCUGUUAAAGGAUGGGAAAAUGUGAGAAGAUUGUCACUGAUGCAAAACCAAAUUGAAACUCUGUCAGAGGUUCCUACAUGCCCUCAUCUCCUCACUUUAUUUCUUGACUUUAAUCAGGAGUUGGAGAUGAUCGCGGAUGGUUUCUUCCAAUUUAUGCCUUCUCUCAAAGUUUUGAAGAUAUCAAACUGUGGAAACAUUUUUCAAUUACCUGUUGGGAUGUCAAAGUUGGGUUCACUAGAACUUCUUGAUAUUUCACAUACCUUCAUAAAAGAGUUACCAGAAGAGUUAAAGAAGUUGGUAAAUCUGAAAUGUUUGAAUUUGAGGUGGACAAGGGAGUUAAAUAAAAUUCCACGGCAACUAAUAUCAAAUUCUUCAAGGUUACGUGUGUUGAGAAUGUUCGCUACUGGCUACAUACGAUUCGAUGAUGCACCAGAAGACGGCGUUUUAUUUGGUGGGGGUGAAGUUUUGAUACAGGAAUUGCUCGGUUUGAAAUAUUUAGAGGUAUUGGAGUUGACCUUGGGAAGUUAUCAUGCUCUCCAAAUUCUUUUGAGCUCAAAUAAGUUAAAAAGUUGUAUUCGAUCUCUUUACCUCGAGUUGACCGGAGAUACAACGUCAAUUAUUGAUGCUACGGCUUUCGCAGAUCUAAACCACCUCAAUGAAUUAUAUAUUAAUAAUGGUAUUGAGUUGGAAGAAUUGAAGAUUGAUUAUACGCAGAUAGUACGAAAAAGGCGGGAACCUUUUGUUUUCCGCAGCCUUCACCGUGUUACUGUUAUGGAUUGCCAUAAAUUGAAAGAUGUGACAUUCCUCGUUUUUGCUCCAAACCUCAAGUCUCUUACGCUAUUCGAUUGCGGUGCUAUGGAAGAAAUAAUCAGCGUCGGAAAAUUUGCUGAGACUCCUGAGAUGAUGGGACAUAUAAGCCCUUUUGAAAAUCUCCAAUUGCUUGAUUUAGAUAAUUUGCCACAUUUGAAGAGCAUCUUCUGGAAGCCAUUGCCUUUCACUCAUCUCAAAAAAAUGGUGGUGGUACAGAGGUGCGAUCAGCUUGAAAAGCUUCCACUCGAUUCCAACAGUGCAAAAGAGCGUAAAUUUGUUAUUCGUGGAUACACAGGGUGGUGGAACCGACUUCAAUGGGAGGAUGAAGCCACUCAAAUUGCUUUUCGUUCCUGUUUCCAACCAAUGGGAGUACUGAGCGGUGGUCGCAAAAUUUGAUUUCUGGUGAGUGCGUUUGUCUUUUAAAAGAAGAAUUUAAAAGAAAUUUAUUCUUGUCGUUUGUUUUCUUCUCUGUUUUUAUUUCAGUUUCUCUCUCUCUUUGUCUUCUGCAAAUCACAAUUAAAUGUUGAAUUAAUGGAAUUAAUGCUUCAUAAAUUUGCCGGCACUGCCAUUACUUUUUUUUUUUUUAAAUACAAAUUGAUACUUUAUUUAUAUCUUCUUAGCGAUUUAAUUUCCUGUCAAAAGAGGAACGAGAAGAACAUAUGACUUAAACCAAUGCUCGCAUAAACUUGCUGUAAAAAGAUAUAAUCUCACUGAAAUGCACACGUCUAGAAUGAAUAGAAUUAAAACAGAGAAAAUAUUAAGUAUAUUAGCCCUCUUUACCGAAAAUGAAAUGACAAUAAAUUUUUUGAAGUUUUGAUUUUCUAUGGUCAAUUCCACCUUUUGCAAUUUCUUCUGUUCUAACAAAAACCAAUUUCUUUGUUCAAGUAUUUUCGUUUGGGUAUCAAGGAUCUCUAAUCAAUAGCUGGAAGCAAUUCAGAGGGCGCCGAGACCCGAUCGGACCUAGGCCCAAGUUUGGUCUUAAAGCCUGGGCUUGAGCCUGACAAUUAAAUUAAAACAUUAAUUGAUUUAUUGAUUGAAUUGUCGUGCAAUUGAUUUAUGGAGGAUGAAAAAUCAACAUACUUGAAAAUACACUAAUCUUAGCAUCAUCGGUUAAUAACUUUUAGAUUUAUGGGUAAUCAAUAGUUAAGAUCAGUUGUCAUUUAUUUUUUGAAAUGUCCAUAUUCAGUGUACAUUUGAAAAAGACCCAAUAAUUUCUCAUAAAUUUCAAUUAAAAAUAUUCAAUUUGUUAUUUCAGUUCUUUUAUUUUUUAUUUUUUCCAACAUGAAAGCGACUUAAUGUUACUAAAUUGCUUUUAUGGUCUUUGGAUUUUCAUGACCCAAUAAUUGGAACAUAACAAUUUUCUCAAGCGCUCUCCCGCAACAUUUUAUAAUUGAAGCCGCUGGCCCGCCUGUGGUUCCAAACUUUUAUCUUCCUCCUCCUUUAGAUUAAUGCGAGCAGCCUCCGUCCUUGACUAGUUGACUUCUUUUCUUCUUUUUUAAUUAAUUAAUUAAUUAAUUCAGCCGCCCACCUUUCUUUUCCCAAUGUCUUCUACUUUCGAUUUCCUUUAAUUUUUUCUUUAUUUUUAAAAUAUGAUUAUAGUAAUAAUAAAAAAUAAAAAUAAAAAUAAAAAUGAGCAUAUUGUUAGAGUGCAAUUUAUGCACUAGUUUUGUAUUGUUUACUUCCCUUAAUAUCGAUGUUUUGCACUUAAUAAUAAUGUUUUACUUGUGUUUUACUUUUGUAGGUGCAAUUCUAUUGAUUGAUGAUAAAAUUGAGCUAAAAGAUGAUGUUUAAGGAGGAUUGUUCUCUUGGAAAAAUUUCUGAGCGUCAGAAGAACUUUGUUGAUAAGGCGUGGGCGCGUGCUGUCAACUGCGGACCUGCAGUUUUUAGUUUAACGUGUUUUGUAUUUUUGGUUAUUUUUGUAAUUACGAAUUUAAUAUUUCAGAUAUUAGUAUUUUAUUUUAAAUAGAAUUCUAAAAGAGAAGAGAGAGAGAGUAUUUAAGAGAGGAAUCUAUUGUGAAAAAGGGGGGAUUUUGGAUUGAAGAAAAAGAAACCCUAGAUCUAAUUUUUCUCUUCUCUCUAUGAAGAGCUAAACCUAUUUUUCUGGUUGAAGGAUAACGAAGCUUUGAUUCAUCACUACUGUGAGAUCUUUCUUAUGCUUUAAUUGUUUUAUUACUUUUUGGGUAUUUGUUUAUUCUCUGAAUUAGUUUUAUGAUUAUGUUUGUUAAUUAGGUAAUUGGCCACUAUUUAAUUAUCAACUUAAUCUAUUAUCAAUUAAAGGAUUCAUCGUAUGAAGAAUUUAAUGUUUGUGACAAAUAACAUAGCAGAGAGUUGUGUUGUGAGAAUAAACAAUCUAAUUUAAAUGAAUCAUCAUAUGUGUUGAUUAGGAUUUGGGUCUCUCUGGUUUUUCAGGCUGUCAAUUGAUUAAAUUCUAUGAUCGUAUCUAGGGUUGUCUAUUGAUUAGGGAAAUAACCAACGGUCGUACCUUGGUUAUCAACUAAUUAAGGAGAGAUUGGCUAUUAGAGGGUCUCAGUAGCUAUAACCGGUCUAUUCAUAAGUAAUAAUAAUAUAUAUUUGAAUCAAUGAUCAGUAGUCGAAUCAAGCUGAGUUAAUUCCUUCAACCAGAGCUUUCUCCAAUUUGAAUUACAACUUUAAUUUGCAUUCUUGUUAUUUUAAUUUGAUUUUUAUUAUUGUCAACAAUUCCCCCAUUUUACGUUUUACGUUUCAAAAGGAUUUAAAUAAUUACCGAUCUCUGUGGACACGACCCUGCUCAAUCACUAUACACAAUUUAUUUAGAGUAGGAAUUUAUUUUUGUUGGCUUCGACACCCAUCAAAUUUUGGCGCCGUUGCCGGGGAUUGGUGUCAUUUAUUUAAUCCUUUUUACGUUUUACUUGGUGUAUGGUUCGUUCUUCUCGUACAGGUACACUUUCGUUUGAUCCUGAAAUUGAGAAGACAGCUCGCCAGCUGAGACAGCAGACUAAGCGAGCUAAGCAACGAUCCUUGUCGCCUUUGCUUUCUGAAAUAGAUACAGUACCUGAUUUAGUUGAAUCAUCUAGCGAUUCAGAAGAACAAGUGAUGGAUAGAUCUGCACCUGUAGAAAGAACUCUUAGAGAGUUAGCUGAACCAGACUUGAAUCAACAACCACUCUGCAUUCAAUAUGCAGAUUUGGAGGUAAAUUUUGAAUUAAAGUCUGGUCUUAUUCAUUUAUUACCCAAGUUUCAUGGUUUUGCAGGUGAAGAUCCUCAUAAACAUCUUAAGGAGUUUCAUGUUGUGUGCUCAAGUAUGAGGCCACAAGGCGUGACUGAAGAGCAGAUUAAGCUGCGUGCUUUUCCGUUCUCUGUAGAUGGGCUAGCUAAAGAUUGGUUAUACUACUUGCCUCCUGGAUCGAUUACAACGUGGAAUGGUUUGAAGAAGCAGUUCCUUGAGAAGUACUUUCCUGCUUCAAGAGCUGCCAACAUCAGAAAAGAUAUUUGUGGGAUCAGACAACUUCCUGAGGAGACUUUGUAUGAGUAUUGGGAGCGAUUCAAACAAUUGUGUGCCAGCUGUCCUCAGCAUCAGAUUUCUGAUCAACUUCUUAUUCAAUAUUUUUACGAAGGACUGUCAUUGAUGGAUAGGAGUAUGAUAGAUGCUGCUAGUGGAGGCGUGUUGGUGAACAAGACCCCUACUCAAGCAAGGGAGUUGAUCUCAAAUAUGGCUGCCAACGCACAACAAUUUGGCAGCAGACAAGAUGCCACUUCAAGAACGGUGAAUGAGGUAAAUAUUUCUUCUGUUGAACAACGUUUAGAUAAACUUACUUCUCUUGUGGAAAAGUUUGUUGUAGGUAAUGUGCAACAGGUGAAGACUUGUGGCAUUUGUUACAAUAUGGGUCAUUCAACUGAUAUGUGUCCUACAUUUCAAGAAGAACCCGCUGAACAAGCCAAUGCAGUUGGAGGAUUUCCAGGCAUGCCUCAGAGGAGGUAUGAUCCUUAUGCACAAACAUACAAUCCGGGAUGGAAGGAUCAUCCCAACUUCAGCUAUGAAGUUAGGCCGUCAGGAUUCCCACAACAGUAUCCACCAAGACAACCAACACCUCCACAGUCAAAUUCUAAGUCAGGUAUAUCUCUUGAAGAAAUUGUUAAAUCACUUGCAACUAACACUCAACAAUUUCAGCAGGCAACUACAGUAAGCAUUCAGAACUUGGAGAACCAAAUGAGUCAAUUGGCGACUACAGUGAGCCGUCUGGAGUCUCAAGUAUUAGGGAGAUUGCCUUCACAAUCUGAGGUGAAUCCAAAGCAAAACGUUAGUGCUGUCAUCGUUAGAAGUGGGACGGAGUUGCAAGAGCCUAGUAAGAAAGUGACAAAGCAUGUAGAGGAUGAGCUUGAGAAGAAUGAAUUGAUGCCUAAAUCUCAAGAUGCACAACCCACCAGAGCGAAACCCCUACCUAUUGUGAUACCUCCUCCUUUUCCAAGCCGGUUUACAAAAUCCAAGAAGGAGGAACAAGAGAAAGACAUCCUUGAGACAUUUCGCAAGGUUGAGGUAAAUAUUCCUUUAUUAGAUGCUAUAAAACAAAUACCUCGAUAUGCUAAAGUCCUUAAAGAACUGUGCACCUCCAAAAGAAAAUUAAGAGGAGAUGAAAAAGUUCACAUGGGGGAGAAUGUUUCAGCAGUUCUCCAAAAGAAACUACCUCCUAAGUGCAAGGAUCCAGGUAUGUUUACUAUCCCUUGUAAAAUUGGUAGUGUUAGAGUUGAAAAGGCUAUGUUAGAUCUAGGAGCUUCUAUUAAUGUCAUGCCUCGUUCCAUUUAUUCAUCUUUGAAUGUUGGUCCAUUAAAAGAAACUGGCGUGAUAAUUCAACUAGCUGAUAGGUCUAAUGCAUAUCCUGAUGGGGUAUUAGAAGAUGUCUUAGUACAAGUUAAUGAGUUGGUUUUUCCUGCUGAUUUUUAUGUACUUGAUAUGGAAGAUGAUAACUCCUCUAAUUCUGUCCCAAUUUUGCUAGGAAGGCCUUUUCUUAAGACUGCUAGGACUAAAAUGGAUGUACAUAAAGGGACUCUCACUAUGGAAUUUGAUGAAGAGGUUAUAGAAUUCAAUAUGAAUGAUGCCAUGAAAUAUCCUAGUGAGGAACAUUCAGUAUUUUCUGUGGAUGUUAUUAACCCUAUAGUGCAGGAAGUUUGUUACAAGGAAAAAACGAAGACAUUUCAUGAUAGAAUGAUUUUGAGAAAAGAGUUCUCUGUUGGUCAAAAAGUUCUUCUUUUUCAUUCUAAGCUUAAACUUUUUCCGGGUAAAUUACGAUCUUGCUGGGUUGGACCUUUUAUUGUUACUAAUGUUUUUCCUCAUGGUGCAGUUGAGAUUCGGAGUCCGACCUCUGAAAAAGUUUUUAAGGUUAACGGUCAUCGCUUAAAACCUUUUUAUGAAGGUUUUUCGGUAAAUAUUGUGGAGGAUGUGGCUCUUGAGAGUCCCAAUUAUGGAGAUUGAUGCAUAAAUGUGUCUAGCCAAAGACAUAAAACAAAGGCGCUUUUUGGGAGGCAACCCAAAUGAUUUGUUUAUUUUGGUUUUUGUUAUAUCUUCUUUUAAUUUUGAUUCAAAAAAAAAAAGAAAAAUUUUGCUUAUUUUGGUCAGAAGAAAAUUUUUGAUAAGGCGUGCCCACGUCUUAGCUAAUAAGUACUUCUGUAAUUUUUAAAGUAACAUAGUUUUAAGGCGUGCCCACGUACUUAAUAGAAAAGUACUUUUGAAAUUUAAUGUGUUUGCUUAUUUUGGUCAGAAGAAAAUUUUUUAUAAGGCGUGCCCACGUACUUAUUAGAAAAGUACUUCUGAAAUUUUUAGUGUCUCAAAGUGAUUCAUCACUAAAAAAAAAAAAAAAAAAAAAAUUUUUUUCUUUUUUCUUUUUUCGUUCCUUUCUUUCUUUUUAUUUUUUUAUUUAUUUAAAAAAAAAAACCAAAAAUCGAAAAUCACUGUUCACUAUUCACUGUUCACAAAAUCCCUAAUUUUCCAGAACUUGUUUUCUUCUCCAGCCGCUUGCAGCACACCAGCAGCAAACCAGCCGGCCGGAAAACGCACCAUCCCGUGAGCGCAGCACCAGCAUCCCGUGUCUCGCAGCCCAGCAGCGCGCAACGAAGUCCCACCAGCGAAAGCAGCCGCGCGCAACGCAGCAAGCCCCAGCCAUCACCAUCGUGCGAAAUCAGCAGCAACCGUGCAUGCAACACAUCCCGCGAAGCAGUAGCAGUAACGCCCCGCAACGCAGAUCCUCAGCUCCAGCCCGCGCGCACAGCGCAAAUCAAUCCAGCAAUCACCCUCGUGAAGCAGCAGCAGCAACGCCUCGCAACACAGCCACGCACCAGCAUCCCGCACGCAACCAGCGAUGUGCAACUAGCAACCAACAUCCACAGCCCACGCAUCAGCAGCAGCCGCGCGCAACGCAACGCAGCACCAGCAUCCCGCGCGCAGCAAGCUCCAGCCAUCACCAUCGCGCAGCGCAGCAGUCCCAACGCGCGCGCGCAACACAAUCAGUGCCAUCCCGCGUCCAUCAAGCAAGCUCCAGCCGAGCAGCAAUCGCAACGCAACCAGCCUACGACCUGCAUUCCAGGCGCGUGAAUCGAAAUCCGUGACAAGAUGGAGCAGAAUUUGGCCGCAUACUUCAAGAGUGUGGGAUUUAUCCCACCAUUCCCGCCAAACCCAUAGACGUUAUGAGGAUCAAAGCUCACAAUUCAGGGAAGUUUCUUUUUGCCCUUAAUCUUUUAUCCUUACGCUUUAAUUUUUAUGUGAGCUUUGAUUAUCUUACAUUGGGGACAAUGUAAGUUCUUGGUGUGGGGGAGGGAUUUUUGCAUUAUUGAUGUCUGGAAUUAUUGUUUUCACUCUACUCAUCUAUUUUCACUCUACUCAUCCUUAAAUGAUUUUGGAGUUAGUAUGCUUCAUAUAUUAUUAUUCUUCUUUUCUUUUCUUUCUCACUACUUUUUUCCCAUCUAUCUCAAACUAUUCAUAUCUAUUUUUAUUUUACCAUACUCUUUCAUCACUCACAUUUUAUCUUUCACUUUUCAUAUUACUACAUACAUCUUUCUCACUUCUUAUCAUUUUUACCUUUUCUUUUAUAUAUCACUCAUACUUUCUUCUCAUUCUACACCACUAUUGAUGGUUGAUUCAUUUGAAGAGUGUACAUGAUUUGAUGGCAAAUUUACCAACUUUGUGAGGAUUUGAGCCUAUGAGCAACCACUUUGCUAUAAUAUUUUUGUUAUGUGAAUAUCAAUCUUAGUUUGUUUAUUCGAGAACUUGCUUUGUUAUGCAUGUUGAAGCCGCAUUACGAGAUUUUAUGCAUUAAAAUGAUAAGGGCAAACCCUUUUCCAUUUUUCUAUUCUCGCAUUUUUUUUUCUCUACCCGAAGACCUUUAUUUGCUAUCUUUGUUUGAGCCUUAACCAUUACCCAUCUAAUUUUCUCCGUCUACUUAACCAUUUUUCUUCUUUUUGAGCCUCAAUUUAAGGAGAUUUUUGGACUCAUUGUGUGGAUAUAUUUUGUUGCUUUUUCUACCUUGUAAUAAAGUUUCUCAAUUAGAUCAACAAGCAUUAUGCUUGAAUUAAAUUGUGCAAGGUUCAUUUCCUUGUUUUGAUUCAAAAAAAAAAACAAAACAAAAAAAAAGAAAAAGAAAAAAAAGAGGAAAAAGAAAAAAAAAGAAAAAAAAAGAAAAAUCGAAAAAAAAGAAAAAAAAUGUUUACAUUCUUGGUGACUUGAGUAGAAAUAAGCAUUUUGAUAUCAUAAGUUCAUUCAAUGAGUUCAUUCUUCUCAUUUUGAUCUCUUUUUCUUUCGUAAACCUUUCUUUUUCAUUCAACCUAUUUAACCCCAUUACAACCCUUUUAAGACCCUUAGAUUUUUGCAAUUUUAUUCAUGUUUUGUGGAUUGAGAUGUGAUAUAUGAGCAAGCUUAUGGUAAUAGCAUUCUUUGAUUUGAUUUGAGUGAAUAAAUGACACCCUAAACACUUUGAGUGCAUAGAGUGAAGUUAUUGAGAGGGCUAUUACAUCUUGUUGCACUUGAAUUUUGAAUGGAUCUUCUUGGUGGUUGAAUGUUCUUAUUCUAUCUUAUGAGAUUCUAUGCUUUAAAAUCCUUGUCUCUCGAAUGUUGAUCGACUUAAUUUCUUGAGGUAUGCUUGCUUAAAAUUAUUUUUGGAUGAGUUGAGAUGAGAAUUGAGUGGAGAUUUGGGAUUAAUCUUGAGUUAUAUGCUUGAGGACAAGCAUCAUCUUGGUGUGGGGGAAUUUGUUAGAGUGCAAUUUAUGCACUAGUUUUGCAUUGUUUACUUCCCUUAAUAUCGAUGUUUUGCACUUAAUAAUAAUGUUUUACUUGUGUUUUACUUUUGUAGGUGCAAUUCUAUUGAUUGAUGAUAAAAUUGAGCUAAAAGAUGAUGUUUAAGGAGGAUUGUUCUCUUGGAGAAAUUUCUGAGCGUCAGAAGAACUUUGUUGAUAAGGCGUGGGCGCGUGCUGUCAACUGCGGACCUGCAGUUUUUAGUUUAACGUGUUUUGUAUUUUUGGUUAUUUUUGUAAUUACGAAUUUAAUAUUUCAGAUAUUAGUAUUUUAUUUUAAAUAGAAUUCUAAAAGAGAAGAGAGAGAGAGUAUUUAAGAGAGGAAUCUAUUGUGAAAAAGGGGGGAUUUUGGAUUGAAGAAAAAGAAACCCUAGAUCUAAUUUUUCUCUUCUCUCUAUGAAGAGCUAAACCUAUUUUUCUGGUUGAAGGAUAACGAAGCUUUGAUUCAUCACUACUGUGAGAUCUUUCUUAUGCUUUAAUUGUUUUAUUACUUUUUGGGUAUUUGUUUAUUCUCUGAAUUAGUUUUAUGAUUAUGUUUGUUAAUUAGGUAAUUGGCCACUAUUUAAUUAUCAACUUAAUCUAUUGUCAAUUAAAGGAUUCAUCGUAUGAAGAAUUUAAUGUUUGUGACAAAUAACAUAGCAGAGAGUUGUGUUGUGAGAAUAAACAAUCUAAUUUAAAUGAAUCAUCAUAUGUGUUGAUUAGGAUUUGGGUCUCUCUGAUUUUUCAGGCUGUCAAUUGAUUAAAUCCUAUGAUCGUAUCUAGGGUUGUCUAUUGAUUAGGGAAAUAUCCAACGGUCGUACUUUGGUUAUCAACUAAUUAAGGAGAGAUUGGCUAUUAGAGGGUCUCAGUAGGUAUAACCGGUCUAUUCAUAAGUAAUAAUAAUAUAUAUUUGAAUCAAUGAUCAGUAGUCGAAUCAAGCUGAGUUAAUUCCUUCAACCAGAGCUUUCUCCAAUUUGAAUUACAACUUUAAUUUGCAUUCUUGUUAUUUUAAUUUGAUUUUUAUUAUUGUCAACAAUUCCCCCAUUUUACGUUUUACGUUUCAAAAGGAUUUAAAUAAUUACCGAUCUCUGUGGACACGACCCUGCUCAAUCACUAUACACAAUUUAUUUAGAGUAGGAAUUUAUUUUUGUUGGCUUCGACACCCAUCACAUAUUAAAAUAUAAUUUAUCAGAAAACCAAGAUAAAGAAAUAUUAUAAGCACAUCAAUCAAAAAGUGAAAAAAAAAACAAUUUUAAUUUACAUUAAAUAUAAACUUUUAGUGUUAAUCAAUUUUCUAAAUAACUGAAAUUAUUUAAAAAUAAAAAUAAAUUAUUCUUCCCAAAAAAAAAAAAAAAUUACACCCACUCACUGGGCUGUCUGUUAAGAGUCGCUUUAAGGACUGAAGUUGGUAACUUUUUGCAAGUAGUCUUAAGUUGAAUGGCAGCCGCCCACGCUUUAUGUUUGCUAGCCUAGACCUGAUCGGGUCUAGGCCCAAGUUUAGUCUUAAAGUCCAGGCUUGAGCCCGAAAACUAAAUUAAAAAAUUAAUUGAUUUAAUCGUUGUGUAAUUGAUUUAUAGGGGAUGAAUCAGCAGCAUCAUCGGUUAAUCGCUUUCAGAUUUAUGGUUAAUCAAUAGUUGAGAGUUGUUAUCGCCCUGUAUUUUCUUAAUGUUUUUUUUCUCUCUUCCACAGCAUCUUCUAGGAAAGUGCAUCCAUUACUAAAAUUUAGUAUUGUAAAUAAUAAACCAAGUAUAAACAUUAAAUCUAAGAAAUUGUAUUGCAUUUAAUAUUCAAGGGAGAAAAAGAACUAUGGUGCAUUUAUUAACCAGUAAUGAGAAAAGACUAGAAUCAGAAUAUAUUAGAAUUAUAAUGAACCGUAUUAUGUGUUUAUUUUAUUUUAGACUCGAAAUUAAUUAUUUUAAGUUAUUGAAAUACCCUUGAUUUGUUAUCCUAAUUAUUAUUAUUUAAUAUUUAUUGUAAUAUUUUUCAUAUUACUAAAAAGUAGUAAUAAUAAUGAUAAUAUUGGAAUUGUUGUUUUUUAUAUUAUUAUUAUUCAAAACACUUCUUGUUAGCCCAUUCAUACGUGCAGACCAAAACCAAAUCUCUUCUUCUCCUUCUUUUCUUAUAGUGCAGGAUGUGUGUGCUCGGACUUCUCUCUCAUUCUUUUUUCUUUUUAGAUUUUGAAAACCUAAAAAAAAAAGAGUGUAGGAGUUUUUAUUUUCUUAAAACAAGACUUUUUGAAUUAUCCAAUUAAGUUAAAUUCGGUGGCAUCUGGUAUUUACAUUUCUUGUUUUUUUCGCAAGUUAUUAUUGCCUAAUGCUAUGUCAACUCUAACAUUAGCAUUUUUUUUUUUUGGUCCUCUUUUAACACCAAACAUUAGUAUAGGUUAAGUAACAUAAUCAGUACUGGGACAAUUUGAAAUCCCUUUGUGUUUUAUUCACAGUAUCUAUGAGGGCUUAUCCUUUUGCUAGAACAAACUCUAGCAAAUUGUCAAAUGUGCUUAUCUUUUCCCUUGACGACUCAUUUUAAAAUUGUCUUUCAAUGUACAAACACAUACAUAACCGCCGACAUCGAGCACCAAGUUUGGAAUUUAAUUGAUAAGCAUACAUUUGAUAAAUUAAUGAAAAGUUUGGGAGAGUAGUUUUGAUCACCCUCGAUUAGGGUGGUAUCACGGAAAAGAUGAAAAAAAAACAUCGUCUCUUCUUCAACAAAAAUAAAUAUUUUCCGUUGGAAUCUAAAUACAAAAUAAUUGUUUUUUAUUUUUUGAAUUAAAAUUUAAUUAAAUACACAAAUAAUUUAUAUAUUUUUUAAAAAAAAUUUACACCCAGUCACAAGGCUGGCUAUUAAACUUAAAGGGUGGAAGCUUCGGAGACUAAAGUUGGUAACUUCUCCAAGUGGUCUUAUGUUGACUGGAACUACCCAGAAUUUAUGUUUGGUAACCUAGACCUGAUCGGACCUAGGCCCAAGUUUGGUCUUAAAGUCCACAAUUAAAUUUUAAAAAAAUUAAUUGAUUUGUAAUUGGUUUAUGGGAAAUGAAUCAGCAUACCUAAAAUAACACUAAUCUUGACAUAAUGACAUCAUCGGUUAAAAACGUUCAGAUUUAUGGUUAACCAAUGGUUUGAGAUUUGUUAUCAUUAAUGCUAAAUAUUUUUUAACAUUUUUUCUAUCUCUCUCUCCUUAAGGAUUUUCUAGGAAAAUGCAUCCACAACAAAAAUUUUAAAUUGUGAACAAUAAACAAAGUAUAAACGUUAAAUCUAAGGAACUGCGUUGCAUUUCAGUUGAAGCUAACUUUAAUAUUUUACGGAGAAAAAUAAUUAAGUUUUUAAUGUGAUUUAUUUAUUAAUAUAUAUGACUAAUUUUUUAAAAUAAGAUGAAGGGUGAAGCUUAAAAAUAUAAAUUAUAGAAUUAAUUUCUCUCUUCAAUAAAUCUAAAGUUUAUUUUUUUAUUACAUGCUUCUAUUUUAUUUUUAUUCCAUGUUAAUGAAUGGAGAUUUAAAUCCAUUUUGGAUUUAUAAAGAUGUUUAGAUAUUUAAAUCCACGUGUGAUUCCAAACUUCAACCUUUUUUUUUUUCUAAUUAAUGCAAACAGCCGCCUCUUUGACUGCUUUUCUUCUUUGUUUAUUAAUUAAUUAAUUCAGCUGCCCACCUUUCUUUUCCUAAUGUUUUCUAAACUCAAAUUUUUUUUAAGGACAAGGCUACGUUGCAGACGCUUAGCCAGCUUCACAAAGGGUGCAUUUGGUAGGCAAUUUUUCUUUCCUGUGCAUAUGUGUCCUUCCACCAUUAGGUGUGUACGUAACAGAUAAUGUACCGUAACAAGCUCCUAUUUUUAAAUAUGUUUAUAAUGAUAAAAUAUAAAAAUUAAGAUUAAAAUGUAAUGUAAUAUAAAAUUAAAGGUGGAAGAGUAUUAAAAUAAUGUAUAAGAUAUGAAUAAACAAGUCAAUAAGAAAACCAACAAACGGCAAGAGAAAAGGAAUGGUCAUGCAGAUUUCAAAGGUGGCAGUGACAAUGAGAUCUCAUUUUAACCGAUCAAGUCUUUUGACUCUGUCAACUCAAAAAAAUAGAUUCAAAUGUUUUGUAAUAAAUAAAAAUAUAAUAUUAAAAUAAAUGUGAUAACAUAUAUUUUAAAUAAUUUCAAUACAAAAAACAUUUGAAUGUUUUAUAAUUUAUUAGACAUAUUUUAUUAUAUUAAUAUAAAUUUUCUAAGAAAUAUGGACAUAAUAUUAAAAUAAAUUUAUGAAAAUUUAAAUCAUUUUGAAUGUAAAAUAAUUUUAAUGUUUUAUAAUUUAUUAGACAUAUUUUGUUAUAUUAAUAUAAAUUUUCUAAGAAAUAUGGACAUAAUAUUAAAAUAAAUUUAUGAAAAUUUAAAUUAUUUUGAAUGUAAAAUAAUUUUAAUAUUAUUAAUCCAUUAGGUAUUAAUUAUAAAAAUUAUUUAACCCAAAGAUUUUUUAUGUCCUUACAAUAAAUAUAAAUAUAUUAUUUGCAUUUAAAAAUUUAAAAAUAUUUAAAUAAUAUUAAUCUACAAUUAUAUUUUCAUUUAUUAUAAAUAUUUAAAGUCAAAUCUUUUGCACUUCUAUUUUAUUACAAUUAUGGCGCACACAGAAAGAGCCAUAUAUGCUUUAUAGCGUUAGAAAUUGGUUUAUUUUAAAGCUGGAAACAGAGAGGAUGAUUAUUAUAAGGAGAAAAGAAAAAGGGGUAAAGAAUAUUAAUGAUUAACAAAAUCUCUUUGCAAAUUGAUUGCAGUAGAAAAAAAGUGAGCUGAGCAAUCUAAUUUAGUGGUAGAGUGAUAUUUCAUUAGUAGCAAAGUAAGGUUAAGGGAAAGACUUAAGAUCUCGCUUUUGAUUAUAAUAUUUUUUUUAAAAAAAAUUAAUUUUAAUAUUUUAUAAUAAAUAAAAAUAUAAUCUUAAAAUAAAUAUAAUAGUACAUAUUUUAAAAUAAUCUCAUUAUUUAAAAUUGUUUUAAUAUUUUGUAAUUUGCCAGACAAAUUUUAUUAUUUUCAAGUAAAUUUUAUAAUAAAUACAAACACACUAUUAAGAUAAAUAUAUGAAAAAAUUAAAGUAUUUUGAAUAUUAUACAAAAUAAUUUUAAUAUUGUUAAUAGUGAGAUAAUUCUAUUAAUUUAAAAUGCUACUUAACCUUAAGAUUUAUUUAUGAUAAAUUAAUAAUUAUAUUUUUAAAUUAUUUCAAAUAUUAAAAAUAUUUUAAUAUUACUAAUCUAUUAGAUAGACUAAAUUAUUUUGUAUAAAUUAAUUACUAUUUAAAGGAUAUUAUGAUAAAAAGAUCUUAGUGUUUUUAUUAAAAAUUUAAAAUUUACAUGACUAUUUCUUUAAAUAUUUAGGGCAUAUAUGAACCACGGAGGAGAAAAGCUUUAUUUAAUAUUUUAGAAUAGUUUUUGAUCAGUACAAUUGGGUCCUUAUUCAGAAUUAUUGUUCUCUUCCGCAACAGUUUUUGUUUAUCAAAGUCGUCAAUUAAAAUUUUAGAAUUCUUAUCAUCAGAAGUAGUCGUUUUAGAAGUUGGGUCUUGGAUCAAAUUUCUACGAGUGCAUGAAUUAACAAUAAAAAAAAUUUCAUUACACACGGUUUAAGCUACAAAACUACUAUUUGCACAGUUGACUAUAAAACUUACCUCCAAUUACACUAAACCUCUCUAUUUGGUAACGUUGAGACUAAAUUAAUUUUAUUAGCAUGAAAAGAUAAUAGAAAUAUUAUCAUAAAUAUUAUUGUUGUUAAUCAAUUAGUACAUGUGAUAUAAAGGUUAAAUGUGCACUAUAUUUAAUAAUUAAUUAAUUGAACAUGUUAAACAAAAUGUUAAUGUAUAUUUAUAUAGUGUUAGGAAUAUGCAAAGUCAAGUCCUCAAUUUGCAUUAUCCUGUAUAGAAUAUUACUCUAAAAAUGUUUUACUAUAAUUGGCUUAGAACAUUUGUAAAGAAAAUAAUAAUAGUAAUAAUAAAUAACAUACACCGUCACAUAGCAUCUAGACAGUGAUAGAAAAUUGUUAAAGAGAGUGCAAACAAUUAAUUAGAGAUUUUUAUGAUAACUUUUAAUAUUCAUGAUAAUAACAAAUAAAUACAUGUACCACUUUUUUAAAAUAUUAAAUUUGACGUGCUCCAUUAAUAAAUUAUUAUUGUAAUUCAGACUCUAUCUAUAUAUCCUUGCACUAAGAAUAAUUCAGUCAUAAUAAAAAUUUUCGUAACUACAUCUUGUUUCUUCCUCAUAAUAAUAAUAAUUAGAUUGGUUCGAAUAUUAUAACUAUAUAGAUUUAGGUGGCGUUUGUUUUUUUGUCUGAAAUCUGAAUAGACCUGAAUUAGUCUGAAUUCUGAAUAGAUCUGAAUGUUUGAAUCUGAAUAAUAUGUUUGUUUUUUCGUCUGAAUCUCAAAAAAUAAGUAUUAAGUUGUUUGUUUUUUUCAACUUAAAAAGUUAAAAAUAUGUACUUUUACAUUUGUAUCCUUUUAAAUUUGAAUGUCAAAUAAAUAAUAUAUUAAAUACCACAAUAUUUUAACAUUUAUAAGUAAAACUAUAUUCAAGUGAAUACAUAAUUAUUUUGGAAUUUUAAUAUAUAAAAUACCAUAAAAUUUAAAUUUUAUCAUAUAUAAUAUAAGAAAGAAAAAACAAUGAUAUUUUUAUGUGGGGUAAAUGUCUAUGGGUGAGUUUGAGAUAGACCUGAAAAAUAAAUUUAUAAAGCCAGGAUAUUUUUUACAUUACUAAGAAAUUGACUUUAAUUCCGAUUUUUCCCUUAAAUACAAAGCCCAAAAAUUGACUUAUUUUAUUAAGUCNNNNNNNNNNNNNNNNNNNNNNNNNNNNNNNNNNNNNNNNNNNNNNNNNNNNNNNNNNNNNNNNNNNNNNNNNNNNNNNNNNNNNNNNNNNNNNNNNNNNNNNNNNNNNNNNNNNNNNNNNNNNNNNNNNNNNNNNNNNNNNNNNNNNNNNNNNNNNNNNNNNNNNNNNNNNNNNNNNNNNNNNNNNNNNNNNNNNNNNNNNNNNNNNNNNNNNNNNNNNNNNNNNNNNNNNNNNNNNNNNNNNNNNNNNNNNNNNNNNNNNNNNNNNNNNNNNNNNNNNNNNNNNNNNNNNNNNNNNNNNNNNNNNNNNNNNNNNNNNNNNNNNNNNNNNNNNNNNNNNNNNNNNNNNNNNNNNNNNNNNNNNNNNNNNNNNNNNNNNNNNNNNNNNNNNNNNNNNNNNNNNNNNNNNNNNNNNNNNNNNNNNNNNNNNNNNNNNNNNNNNNNNNNNNNNNNNNNNNNNNNNNNNNNNNNNNNNNNNNNNNNNNNNNNNNNNNNNNNNNNNNNNNNNNNNNNNNNNNNNNNNNNNNNNNNNNNNNNNNNNNNNNNNNNNNNNNNNNNNNNNNNNNNNNNNNNNNNNNNNNNNNNNNNNNNNNNNNNNNNNNNNNNNNNNNNNNNNNNNNNNNNNNNNNNNNNNNNNNNNNNNNNNNNNNNNNNNNNNNNNNNNNNNNNNNNNNNNNNNNNNNNNNNNNNNNNNNNNNNNNNNNNNNNNNNNNNNNNNNNNNNNNNNNNNNNNNNNNNNNNNNNNNNNNNNNNNNNNNNNNNNNNNNNNNNNNNNNNNNNNNNNNNNNNNNNNNNNNNNNNNNNNNNNNNNNNNNNNNNNNNNNNNNNNNNNNNNNNNNNNNNNNNNNNNNNNNNNNNNNNNNNNNNNNNNNNNNNNNNNNNNNNNNNNNNNNNNNNNNNNNNNNNNNNNNNNNNNNNNNNNNNNNNNNNNNNNNNNNNNNNNNNNNNNNNNNNNNNNNNNNNNNNNNNNNNNNNNNNNNNNNNNNNNNNNNNNNNNNNNNNNNNNNNNNNNNNNNNNNNNNNNNNNNNNNNNNNNNNNNNNNNNNNNNNNNNNNNNNNNNNNNNNNNNNNNNNNNNNNNNNNNNNNNNNNNNNNNNNNNNNNNNNNNNNNNNNNNNNNNNNNNNNNNNNNNNNNNNNNNNNNNNNNNNNNNNNNNNNNNNNNNNNNNNNNNNNNNNNNNNNNNNNNNNNNNNNNNNNNNNNNNNNNNNNNNNNNNNNNNNNNNNNNNNNNNNNNNNNNNNNNNNNNNNNNNNNNNNNNNNNNNNNNNNNNNNNNNNNNNNNNNNNNNNNNNNNNNNNNNNNNNNNNNNNNNNNNNNNNNNNNNNNNNNNNNNNNNNNNNNNNNNNNNNNNNNNNNNNNNNNNNNNNNNNNNNNNNNNNNNNNNNNNNNNNNNNNNNNNNNNNNNNNNNNNNNNNNNNNNNNNNNNNNNNNNNNNNNNNNNNNNNNNNNNNNNNNNNNNNNNNNNNNNNNNNNNNNNNNNNNNNNNNNNNNNNNNNNNNNNNNNNNNNNNNNNNNNNNNNNNNNNNNNNNNNNNNNNNNNNNNNNNNNNNNNNNNNNNNNNNNNNNNNNNNNNNNNNNNNNNNNNNNNNNNNNNNNNNNNNNNNNNNNNNNNNNNNNNNNNNNNNNNNNNNNNNNNNNNNNNNNNNNNNNNNNNNNNNNNNNNNNNNNNNNNNNNNNNNNNNNNNNNNNNNNNNNNNNNNNNNNNNNNNNNNNNNNNNNNNNNNNNNNNNNNNNNNNNNNNNNNNNNNNNNNNNNNNNNNNNNNNNNNNNNNNNNNNNNNNNNNNNNNNNNNNNNNNNNNNNNNNNNNNNNNNNNNNNNNNNNNNNNNNNNNNNNNNNNNNNNNNNNNNNNNNNNNNNNNNNNNNNNNNNNNNNNNNNNNNNNNNNNNNNNNNNNNNNNNNNNNNNNNNNNNNNNNNNNNNNNNNNNNNNNNNNNNNNNNNNNNNNNNNNNNNNNNNNNNNNNNNNNNNNNNNNNNNNNNNNNNNNNNNNNNNNNNNNNNNNNNNNNNNNNNNNNNNNNNNNNNNNNNNNNNNNNNNNNNNNNNNNNNNNNNNNNNNNNNNNNNNNNNNNNNNNNNNNNNNNNNNNNNNNNNNNNNNNNNNNNNNNNNNNNNNNNNNNNNNNNNNNNNNNNNNNNNNNNNNNNNNNNNNNNNNNNNNNNNNNNNNNNNNNNNNNNNNNNNNNNNNNNNNNNNNNNNNNNNNNNNNNNNNNNNNNNNNNNNNNNNNNNNNNNNNNNNNNNNNNNNNNNNNNNNNNNNNNNNNNNNNNNNNNNNNNNNNNNNNNNNNNNNNNNNNNNNNNNNNNNNNNNNNNNNNNNNNNNNNNNNNNNNNNNNNNNNNNNNNNNNNNNNNNNNNNNNNNNNNNNNNNNNNNNNNNNNNNNNNNNNNNNNNNNNNNNNNNNNNNNNNNNNNNNNNNNNNNNNNNNNNNNNNNNNNNNNNNNNNNNNNNNNNNNNNNNNNNNNNNNNNNNNNNNNNNNNNNNNNNNNNNNNNNNNNNNNNNNNNNNNNNNNNNNNNNNNNNNNNNNNNNNNNNNNNNNNNNNNNNNNNNNNNNNNNNNNNNNNNNNNNNNNNNNNNNNNNNNNNNNNNNNNNNNNNNNNNNNNNNNNNNNNNNNNNNNNNNNNNNNNNNNNNNNNNNNNNNNNNNNNNNNNNNNNNNNNNNNNNNNNNNNNNNNNNNNNNNNNNNNNNNNNNNNNNNNNNNNNNNNNNNNNNNNNNNNNNNNNNNNNNNNNNNNNNNNNNNNNNNNNNNNNNNNNNNNNNNNNNNNNNNNNNNNNNNNNNNNNNNNNNNNNNNNNNNNNNNNNNNNNNNNNNNNNNNNNNNNNNNNNNNNNNNNNNNNNNNNNNNNNNNNNNNNNNNNNNNNNNNNNNNNNNNNNNNNNNNNNNNNNNNNNNNNNNNNNNNNNNNNNNNNNNNNNNNNNNNNNNNNNNNNNNNNNNNNNNNNNNNNNNNNNNNNNNNNNNNNNNNNNNNNNNNNNNNNNNNNNNNNNNNNNNNNNNNNNNNNNNNNNNNNNNNNNNNNNNNNNNNNNNNNNNNNNNNNNNNNNNNNNNNNNNNNNNNNNNNNNNNNNNNNNNNNNNNNNNNNNNNNNNNNNNNNNNNNNNNNNNNNNNNNNNNNNNNNNNNNNNNNNNNNNNNNNNNNNNNNNNNNNNNNNNNNNNNNNNNNNNNNNNNNNNNNNNNNNNNNNNNNNNNNNNNNNNNNNNNNNNNNNNNNNNNNNNNNNNNNNNNNNNNNNNNNNNNNNNNNNNNNNNNNNNNNNNNNNNNNNNNNNNNNNNNNNNNNNNNNNNNNNNNNNNNNNNNNNNNNNNNNNNNNNNNNNNNNNNNNNNNNNNNNNNNNNNNNNNNNNNNNNNNNNNNNNNNNNNNNNNNNNNNNNNNNNNNNNNNNNNNNNNNNNNNNNNNNNNNNNNNNNNNNNNNNNNNNNNNNNNNNNNNNNNNNNNNNNNNNNNNNNNNNNNNNNNNNNNNNNNNNNNNNNNNNNNNNNNNNNNNNNNNNNNNNNNNNNNNNNNNNNNNNNNNNNNNNNNNNNNNNNNNNNNNNNNNNNNNNNNNNNNNNNNNNNNNNNNNNNNNNNNNNNNNNNNNNNNNNNNNNNNNNNNNNNNNNNNNNNNNNNNNNNNNNNNNNNNNNNNNNNNNNNNNNNNNNNNNNNNNNNNNNNNNNNNNNNNNNNNNNNNNNNNNNNNNNNNNNNNNNNNNNNNNNNNNNNNNNNNNNNNNNNNNNNNNNNNNNNNNNNNNNNNNNNNNNNNNNNNNNNNNNNNNNNNNNNNNNNNNNNNNNNNNNNNNNNNNNNNNNNNNNNNNNNNNNNNNNNNNNNNNNNNNNNNNNNNNNNNNNNNNNNNNNNNNNNNNNNNNNNNNNNNNNNNNNNNNNNNNNNNNNNNNNNNNNNNNNNNNNNNNNNNNNNNNNNNNNNNNNNNNNNNNNNNNNNNNNNNNNNNNNNNNNNNNNNNNNNNNNNNNNNNNNNNNNNNNNNNNNNNNNNNNNNNNNNNNNNNNNNNNNNNNNNNNNNNNNNNNNNNNNNNNNNNNNNNNNNNNNNNNNNNNNNNNNNNNNNNNNNNNNNNNNNNNNNNNNNNNNNNNNNNNNNNNNNNNNNNNNNNNNNNNNNNNNNNNNNNNNNNNNNNNNNNNNNNNNNNNNNNNNNNNNNNNNNNNNNNNNNNNNNNNNNNNNNNNNNNNNNNNNNNNNNNNNNNNNNNNNNNNNNNNNNNNNNNNNNNNNNNNNNNNNNNNNNNNNNNNNNNNNNNNNNNNNNNNNNNNNNNNNNNNNNNNNNNNNNNNNNNNNNNNNNNNNNNNNNNNNNNNNNNNNNNNNNNNNNNNNNNNNNNNNNNNNNNNNNNNNNNNNNNNNNNNNNNNNNNNNNNNNNNNNNNNNNNNNNNNNNNNNNNNNNNNNNNNNNNNNNNNNNNNNNNNNNNNNNNNNNNNNNNNNNNNNNNNNNNNNNNNNNNNNNNNNNNNNNNNNNNNNNNNNNNNNNNNNNNNNNNNNNNNNNNNNNNNNNNNNNNNNNNNNNNNNNNNNNNNNNNNNNNNNNNNNNNNNNNNNNNNNNNNNNNNNNNNNNNNNNNNNNNNNNNNNNNNNNNNNNNNNNNNNNNNNNNNNNNNNNNNNNNNNNNNNNNNNNNNNNNNNNNNNNNNNNNNNNNNNNNNNNNNNNNNNNNNNNNNNNNNNNNNNNNNNNNNNNNNNNNNNNNNNNNNNNNNNNNNNNNNNNNNNNNNNNNNNNNNNNNNNNNNNNNNNNNNNNNNNNNNNNNNNNNNNNNNNNNNNNNNNNNNNNNNNNNNNNNNNNNNNNNNNNNNNNNNNNNNNNNNNNNNNNNNNNNNNNNNNNNNNNNNNNNNNNNNNNNNNNNNNNNNNNNNNNNNNNNNNNNNNNNNNNNNNNNNNNNNNNNNNNNNNNNNNNNNNNNNNNNNNNNNNNNNNNNNNNNNNNNNNNNNNNNNNNNNNNNNNNNNNNNNNNNNNNNNNNNNNNNNNNNNNNNNNNNNNNNNNNNNNNNNNNNNNNNNNNNNNNNNNNNNNNNNNNNNNNNNNNNNNNNNNNNNNNNNNNNNNNNNNNNNNNNNNNNNNNNNNNNNNNNNNNNNNNNNNNNNNNNNNNNNNNNNNNNNNNNNNNNNNNNNNNNNNNNNNNNNNNNNNNNNNNNNNNNNNNNNNNNNNNNNNNNNNNNNNNNNNNNNNNNNNNNNNNNNNNNNNNNNNNNNNNNNNNNNNNNNNNNNNNNNNNNNNNNNNNNNNNNNNNNNNNNNNNNNNNNNNNNNNNNNNNNNNNNNNNNNNNNNNNNNNNNNNNNNNNNNNNNNNNNNNNNNNNNNNNNNNNNNNNNNNNNNNNNNNNNNNNNNNNNNNNNNNNNNNNNNNNNNNNNNNNNNNNNNNNNNNNNNNNNNNNNNNNNNNNNNNNNNNNNNNNNNNNNNNNNNNNNNNNNNNNNNNNNNNNNNNNNNNNNNNNNNNNNNNNNNNNNNNNNNNNNNNNNNNNNNNNNNNNNNNNNNNNNNNNNNNNNNNNNNNNNNNNNNNNNNNNNNNNNNNNNNNNNNNNNNNNNNNNNNNNNNNNNNNNNNNNNNNNNNNNNNNNNNNNNNNNNNNNNNNNNNNNNNNNNNNNNNNNNNNNNNNNNNNNNNNNNNNNNNNNNNNNNNNNNNNNNNNNNNNNNNNNNNNNNNNNNNNNNNNNNNNNNNNNNNNNNNNNNNNNNNNNNNNNNNNNNNNNNNNNNNNNNNNNNNNNNNNNNNNNNNNNNNNNNNNNNNNNNNNNNNNNNNNNNNNNNNNNNNNNNNNNNNNNNNNNNNNNNNNNNNNNNNNNNNNNNNNNNNNNNNNNNNNNNNNNNNNNNNNNNNNNNNNNNNNNNNNNNNNNNNNNNNNNNNNNNNNNNNNNNNNNNNNNNNNNNNNNNNNNNNNNNNNNNNNNNNNNNNNNNNNNNNNNNNNNNNNNNNNNNNNNNNNNNNNNNNNNNNNNNNNNNNNNNNNNNNNNNNNNNNNNNNNNNNNNNNNNNNNNNNNNNNNNNNNNNNNNNNNNNNNNNNNNNNNNNNNNNNNNNNNNNNNNNNNNNNNNNNNNNNNNNNNNNNNNNNNNNNNNNNNNNNNNNNNNNNNNNNNNNNNNNNNNNNNNNNNNNNNNNNNNNNNNNNNNNNNNNNNNNNNNNNNNNNNNNNNNNNNNNNNNNNNNNNNNNNNNNNNNNNNNNNNNNNNNNNNNNNNNNNNNNNNNNNNNNNNNNNNNNNNNNNNNNNNNNNNNNNNNNNNNNNNNNNNNNNNNNNNNNNNNNNNNNNNNNNNNNNNNNNNNNNNNNNNNNNNNNNNNNNNNNNNNNNNNNNNNNNNNNNNNNNNNNNNNNNNNNNNNNNNNNNNNNNNNNNNNNNNNNNNNNNNNNNNNNNNNNNNNNNNNNNNNNNNNNNNNNNNNNNNNNNNNNNNNNNNNNNNNNNNNNNNNNNNNNNNNNNNNNCAUCCAAUUUAAAUAUUGACCCAAUUGGGAUGGUCCCCAAAAAAAAAAUUCGUUAAAGGAUAAUUCUAAUUAUUUUUACUUCUCAAACGUUAGUGGGACGUUUGUAUUAGUGCACUCGUAAGCCAAGUGGUCAAAUAUUUAUAUUAAACUACAAUUGCUGACAAGAAAAAUCAAGAUCGUGUUACGCAAGUGGGUCCCGAAUAGGACGUGCCUAAAUCUCUCGUAAGCCAAGUUGUCAAAUAUUUAUAUUAAACUACAAUUGCUGACUAGAAAAAUCAAGAUCGUAUUACAAGUGGGUCCCGAAUUGGGACGUGCCUAAAUCUUUUUAUAAUUUUCCCAGUGUAGCGGACAGAGGUCAUUACUAAAUUUCUCUUCCACACGCCACAGCAGCUUCGGUUAAUCAAACUCAAUCAAUUUUCUUGGCUUCUCCGCUUAUCAAUAUUACAAGGUAUGGGUAGCAUUUUUCAAAUCACAUGCGAUGGUACUAUUUUCAAUCGUUGCUUAGAUUGCUUUCUUGGAAAAGCAGCAUACAUAAGUAACCUCCAAGAUAAUCUCGUUGCCUUGGAGACUGAACUAAGGAAACUAAUCGCAGCAAAGAACGAUGUGAUGACGGCGGUUGUCAAUGCUGAACGGCAACAAAUGAGAAGGCUGGACCAAGUGCAAGUGUGGGUUUCGAGGGCGGAUGCUGUUAAAACUGAAGCUGAUGAACUUAUCAGAGGCGGCUCUCAAGAAAUUGAAAAAUUAUGUCUUAGAGGGUUCUGUUCCAGGAACUGCACGUCAAGCUACAAGUUCGGAAAACAAGUGGCUAAAAAGCUACGAGCUGUGGAGACUUUAAUCGCCGAAGGAGUUUUUGAGGCGGUGGCUGCGGAGGUGGUGCCUGAGAGAGCUCCAGAGCCUGUAGCAGAUGAAAGACCUACCGAGCGAACAGUAGUAGGCUUGCAAUCACAACUUGAACAAGUCUGGAGAUGUCUUGCAGAAGAAUCAGCGGGAAUCAUUGGCCUAUAUGGUAUGGGCGGUGUUGGUAAAACUACACUAUUGAUCCAUAUCAACAAUAAAUUUCUCGAGAGUCCAACCAACUUUGAUUGUGUGAUUUGGGUAGUAGUUUCAAAAGACCUGCGACUUGAAAAAAUUCAAGAAAAUAUUGGGAAAAAGAUCGGUUUGGUUGAUGAUUCAUGGAAGAGUAAAAGUGUAGAGGAGAAAGCUCUCGACAUCUUCCGGAGUUUAAGAGAGAAGAGAAUUGUAUUGCUGUUAGAUGAUAUAUGGGAGCGGGUUGAUUUAACAAAAGUGGGCGUUCCACUUCCAGGACCACAAAAUACUACCUCAAAAGCCGUAUUCACAACCCGUUUGAUCGAUGUUUGUGGUAGCAUGGAAGCUGACAGGAAGUUCAAAGUAGCAUGCUUAUCAGAAAAGGAUGCUUGGGAACUGUUUCGAAAAAAAGUUGGGGAAGAAACUCUUGGAAGUCAUCAUGAUAUCGUUGAGCUAGCCCAGACUGUGGCCAAAGAGUGUGGUGGUUUGCCACUCGCACUUAUUACUAUUGGUCGAGCUAUGGCCUUCAAAAAGACAGCCGAGGAGUGGAGUCAUGCAAUUGAUGUGCUAAGAACAUCAGCUUCUGAGUUUGCAGGUUUGGGAGAAAAGGUGUAUCGUCUUCUAAAGUUUAGCUAUGAUAGUUUGCAGAAUGAGACGAUUAGAUCUUGUUUCUUAUAUUGUUGUUUAUAUCCCGAGGAUUAUGGCAUUCUUAAAUGGGACUUGAUUGAUUGUUGGAUUGGUGAGGGAUUCUUAGAGGAAUCUGACAGGUUUAGUGCAGAAAACCAAGGAUACUACAUUGUGGGCACUCUUGUUCAUGCGUGUUUACUAGAAGAGAUAGAAGAUGAUAAAGUAAAAAUGCAUGACGUUGUUCGUGAUAUGGCUUUAUGGAUAGCUUGUGAAAUUGAGAAGGAGAAGAGAAACUUUUUGGUUUGUGCAGGUGCUGGAUUAGAAGAGGCACCGGAUGUUAAAGAAUGGGAAAAUGUGAGAAGAUUGUCAUUGAUGCAAAACCAAAUUGAAACUCUGUCACAGAUUCCCGCAUGCCCUCAUCUCCAUACUCUAUUUCUUGCCUCUAAUAGGAAUUUGACGAUGAUCACGGAUGGUUUCUUUCAAUUUAUGCCUUCUCUCAAAGUUUUGAAGAUGUCACUCUGCGAUAACUCAACUUUGAAAUUACCUUUGGGGAUGUCAAAGUUAGGUUCACUAGAACUUCUUGAUAUUUCAGAUACCAGCAUAAGACAGUUACCAGAAGAGUUAAAGUUGUUGGUAAGUCUGAAAUGUUUGAAUUUGAGGUGGACAGGUGCGUUAAUUAGAAUUCCACGGCAACUAAUAUCAAAUUCUUCAAGGUUACGUGUGUUGAGAUUGUUCGCUACUGGCUAUUUGUGUCUUCAGGGAGCAUCAGAAGACAGCGUUUUAUUUGGCGGGGGUGAAGUUUUGAUACAGGAAUUGCUUGGUUUGAAAUAUUUAAAGGUAUUGGAGUUGACCUUGCGAAGUUGUCAUGCUCUCCAAUUUUUUUUGAGCUCAAAUAAGUUAAAAAGUUGUAUUCGAUCUCUUUUCCUCCAAUUGAUCAGAGAUAAAAAGUCGAUUAUUGAUGCUACGGCUUUCGCUGAUCUAAAGCACCUCAAUGAAUUAUGGAUCGAUAGAGCUAAGGAGUUGGAAGAAUUUAAGAUUGAUUAUACAGGUAUAGUUCGAAAAAGGCGGGAACCUUUUGUUUUCCGCAGCCUUCACUAUGUGACCAUAUAUAGGUGCUAUAAAUUGAAAGAUUUGACAUUCCUCGUUUUUGCUCCAAGCCUCAAGUCUCUUUUGCUAACCUGUUCCUAUGUUAUGGAAGAAUUAAUCAGCGUUGGAAAAUUUGUUGAGGUUCCGGAGAUGAUGGGACAUAUAAGCCCUUUUGAAAAUCUCCAAAGGCUUGAAUUAUGGGAUUUGCCAGCUUUGAAGAGCAUCUACUGGAAGCCAUUGCCUUUUACUCAUCUGAAAGAAAUGGAGGUAAGUGGGUGUGAUCAGCUUAAAAAGCUUCCACUCGAUUCCAACAGUGCGAAAGAGAGUAAAUUUGUUAUUCGUGGAGAAGCACACUGGUGGAACCGUCUUCAAUGGGAGGAUGGAGCCACUCAAAUUGCUUUUCGUUCCUGUUUCCAAUCUCUUUAAUAUAAAUUCCUAAGCGGUGGUUGCAAAAUUUGAUUUCUGGUGAGUGCUAUUUCCUUAACUUUAACAUUUAUUCUCGUCGUUUGCUCCGUGCAAAAUACUAGGUCUUUUGUUCUCUGUCUUUAUUUCUUUUUUGGGUCUUCUGCAAAUCACAAUCAAAUGUUGAAUUAUAAAUUUGCCAGCAUCGCCUUUUUUUUUUUUGGGCCGGGGUUGGUGUCGAAUUGAUGCUCCGGUUUUUGACUUUUUGUUGUCAAAUUUUACUCUGUUUUUUCAAAUUGAUGCUUGAAUAGUUGAAUCAAAUUAAUGCUCACGUAAAUUUGUCCAGUUGCCGUAAAAAGAUAUAAUUACACUGAAAUGCACACCUCUAGAAUGAAUAGAAUUAAUCAGAGAAAACAUUAAUAAGUGCAGAGUUAGAAUAUGGAAAAGUUCACUGGCAAAUACUUUGUAAAACUUCGGAGUGAAACAGGGAAUGCACUUGCAACUAAGGACAAAUUGGUGGCCAGCUAAUGCCUUCAUUUUAUUUACAUUCAUCUUUUUAAUUAUUGAAGAUAAGUGGUUCGUUGCUUUUGUUGUAGAUAAAAUUCAGACGACCUCAAUUGUGACAUGACAAUAUUUAAAAUAUCUCUUAAAUUAUUAUAAACUUUAAUUUAUCUUAAUUUUAUUUAAAAGAUAAAAGAAAAAUGUGGUAUAUGGAUUAAAAUUUUUUUUAUCUUCUUAAUCAAAUGAAAUAAAUUACAAUUUACAAUAAUUUAAAAUAUUUUAAAAAUUAUUAUUUCAUAAGAGAUUAAUAUGAAAUUAAUCGUUUUUACUUUUUGAAUGUGAAAGGACAAGAAAAGAGAAAGCAGGUGUCCCUGCUUUUUAUUUUAUUUGAAAUCGGAGUUAUCCCAUAUACUUUACUAAUUUAGCUCCAACAUUACAAUGUUUUUAGGCUACACUUUUAUUUUUCUUUUACCCCCUUUUUUUAUACAUGCAUGUGGAUUACUUUUCUCUAAGCUCCUUAAUAUUUAAGACAAAUCAUAAAAGCGAUUGAAGUAUAACAAGAUGAUCAAAACAUUUAACCCAAAAAAAAAAAGAAAUAAAGAAAUAAAACACUGAAAAUGGAGAUGUUGAUUAAUUUAGAAAAGAUACAAGCAAAAGAUAUUCCCAAAAAAAAGAAAAAAAGAAAAAAGCAACGUUAGUUCAUCCAUGUCUGUCAAUAUGUUUUUUAUGGUUUUUUUCCAGUUGUUUGUUGUUAUAGAUUGAUUGUAAAUUGAUAUGAACUUGGUGUUGUAAUAUGUUCGUUUUUGUGGAAUUAAAUUUGAAUAUUCAAGAUUAUUCAAGUCUUAUCUAGUAUGUGUUCAGUUGUGUUGUCGAUAAUUUUGCAUUCGAAUAAGUUUUCACCUAAAAUAUUAGCAUGAGUAGUAGUCCUUGAAAUUUUGGUCAAAAUUAUUGUUAUCGUUUGUUUUAGAGGAAAUUUUUUUAUUAAAGCCUCGUUAACACUAUUCCUUAUUAAGAUUAUAAGUUAGUGUCGGUGCAGGAUUUGCAGCAACAAAUCUUGUCUAGCCACGUGUCAAAAAGUACAAAUAAAUCAAGGGAAAGCACAUGACAUGGAUUAGGAUCCAAUAAAAUUUAAAUCCCAAGGAAAAAGGACAACUGUAUCCUAAAGUUUCAAUAAGAGAUACUAAGAUAUCUUUUGACUAAUGUUAUUUUUUGGCUUUAUUAAUAAAAAGAUCGAAUAGUUUAUAACAAAUAAAAAUAUAGUAUUAAGCUAAAUGUGAUAAUUUACACAUUUUACAUAAUUUCAAUAAAAAAAAUAUUUUAAUGUUUUACAAUCUAUCAGACAUAUUUUAUUAAAUUAAUAAGAAUUUUCUUAUAAAUAGCAACAUAAUAUUAAAAUAAAUUUAUAAAGAUUUAAAUGUAAAAUAAUUUUAGUAUAAUUAAUACGUGGGAUAUAUUUUGUAAAUUAUAAAAUUACUUAACCCAAUGAUUUUUAAAAAUCUUUAAAAUAAAUAAAAAUAAAUUAUUCACAUUUUGAUGUAAAUAUUUAAAACAUUUUUAUACAUUAGUCCACAAUUAUUUAUGUUAUAUUUGUAUUUAUUAGAAAAUUUGAAAGUCAAAUGUUUUUCACCUCUAUCUUAUUAGAAUUAUUGCACACAGAGAAAGAGCCAUAUAUGCUUUAUAGCUUUAAAAUCGAUUUGUUUUAUAGCUGGGAACAGAGAUGAUCAUUAUUAUAAGGAUUAAAAAAAAGAUAAAGAAUGUUAAUGAUUAGCGAAAUCUCUAUGGAAAUUGAAUUUAGUAAGAAAAAAUUGAGCUGAUUUUAGUGGUAUAGUAAUAUUUUAUAUAGAGAAAAGUAAAAGCUGCACCCCAAGGUUAAGAGAAAUGGUCAAAACUCUUUUUUAAUCAUAAUACCCUUUUUUCCUAGAUAAUUUAAAAAUUUUACUCUAAUAUUUUAUAAUAAAUAAAAACAUAUAAUCCUAAAAUAAAUAAAAUAAUAUAUAUUUUAAAAUAAUCUCAAUAUUUAAAAUAUAUUUUAACAUUUUAUAAUCUAUCAAAUAUAUUUUAUUAUAUUAAAGUAAAUUUUAUAAUAAAUACAAAACAUACUAUUAAAAUAGAUAUAAAAAUUUUAAAGUAUUUUGAAUAUUAUAUAAAAUAACUUUAAUAUUGUUAAUGCGUGAGAUGCAUUUUAUUAAUUAAAAAUUCUAUUUAACCCAAAGAUUUAUUUAUAAUAAAUUAAUAAUCAUAUUUUUGAAAUUAUUUUAAAUAUUAAAAAAUAUUUUAAUAUUACUAACUAUUAGAUAGACUAAACUAUUUAUAUUAUUUUCUAUUUAUUAUAAAAUUUCAAAGUUAAUCUUUUUAACUACUAUUCAAAAGAUAUUAUGAUAAAAACAGAAUUUUUCUGUUUUAUUAAAAAUUUAGAGUUUACACCUAUUUUUUCAAAUAUUCGGGGUGUAACUGUUUUAUUUAAAUAAAAUCUCAGUUAAAAAUGUACAGAGAAGAAAUUUCUGUUGGUAUUUUAGUCUUUUACCAAUUAUCACGAUUAGGCCUUGGCCUUGAAACAUUAAUUGUUUCACUUUUAGCGCUAGUGGCGUUGAAAGUUGUCAAGAAAAAGCAAGACCAUAUUCCACAAAAGCAGCUCUUUUAUUAAAGGCAAAGUAUAAAGUAGUCAAGAAUCGAAUAUCCUGUCGUCUACUCUUUUUUAAAUUCUUCUUUUAUUAUCUUUUAGAAUAGUUUUUGGUAAUUACAAUCAUUAUUCAGAGUUAUUGUUAUCUUCUGGGGCAGUCUCUGUUCAUCGAAGUCGUUACCUUUUUUUCAUGGAUCAGUUCCAGUGCCAAGCAGUAAUUUUCUUAGAACUCGGAUCUUUAAUUCGAGUUUCUUUGUGAAUUAAUAAUAAAAAAUUUUCAUUACACGCAAUUUAAGCUACGAAUUACUUUUUGCAAAGUUGAAUAUGAAAUUGGAGAAAUUAAAUAAUUUAGAAUGUUGGUAAAAAUUGACUAACAUAUCCCCAAUUACAGUAAAACCUCUCUACAGUCAUAACAUUAUAACAAAAUUAAUUUUAUUACUAUGUUGAGGUAAUAUAGGUUUAGUUACAAAAUUAUUGUUUUAAUAUGGUUAGUGUCAAGUGAUAUAAAGGUUAAGUAUGCAGUACAUUGAUAAUUAAAUAAUGAAGCGUGUCAAAUCUAACGUAUAUAUAUUAAUGAUAUAGAUAGACAUAGUUUUAAAAAACUAAUUAAUGUAUAUUUAUGUAGUGUUAUGAAUAUGGAAAGUCAAGCCUACACUUUACAUUAUCCUUAAUUUUUUCUGUCAGUUAAAUUCUACAAAUAUUGUACAAUGAUUGGGUAAGAACUCUAAAUUAAGAAUAAAUUAUUGUCACAAAUAAUUUUAAAAAAUAUUUUAUUUCAUCUUAAACCUUUAAUGUAAGUAAAUAUAUAUAUAUAUAUGUGUGUGUGUGUGUGUGUGCAUAUUUUGCAACGUAUAGAUAAUUGUUAGUAUAUGGAGACAAGUCUUUUAAGGUAGGACCUAGGAAAAUUUAUAACUUACUACACUGGGGAGUUUUUAUUCCUUUUUAUAAUUGUCUCAUAUUGAUACAUUCUUACACAAAAUAUUACCAUUGACAUAUGUUGAUGCGAGAUUCUGGUUACCCUCUUCCUACGACCAGGAUAUCUGCUCGACCAACUUCACCUCUAUCAGGAUCUCUCCUCGUAUGCUUUUUUCUCCAAAUAUUCCUGCGUCCACAGAAACAAGUCAGAGCACGCCGGUUGUUUUCCCGGCGUAAACCCUCUGACGCUCAAGUCAGAUAUGAAGGCUCUGGGAAUGCUUGCCACAGAUCUUAUGGUUUUUCUGUAGUUUCUAUUCUUUAGAGUUUCAUUUAUCUCUGAAUAUAAUCUCAAAAAUGCUAACCCUUUUACCUUCCUUGGCUACCUUUUUAUAGGCUUCCUCUGAAUCCCGGUCUUCCGUAGUCCACGCCCGUUAUUCUCCCCACCCUCGGAUGUGGAUGCCCCAUUAUCGCCAUUGUGGGCGAAUGGAGAUGGACUUCGUGCCUUGAUUCUCGGAUAGGAAUGCACGUCUUGCCAACUGUCGUUGACUGGGUCUCCUCGCCUCUCGACCUCUAGCCGGAAUGGCCUUAUGCCUCUAACAAGAGUUCGACCUCGUGAAUGGCAUACUCGCGGACGAGCCGAAUAUUUCUGCUCAUGUUCCCCUGCUACCUGGCUCUUACAGGACAUACCUGUUCGCAGAACUCCGCCAUCAAAUAUCUGCUCAUCACGUCUGGUCUCGUUGAAGUAUUUCCCUCAAACAACAUAUUUUACUACAAUUAGUUUAGAACAUUUGUUAGGAAAAAAAAAGAAAAGAAAACAUUCCUUGGAUGUAGCUCUCCUGACUAUUUAAAUCUUUUAAGGAAAAAAAGAAAAAAGAAAAACUGACACAUUCAAAUCUUGAAGCAAUUACAUUAAAACCUCUCCAUAAUGAUAGGAAUAAUCUCCAUUUAGUAAUAAAAAAUUUUGUUCGCAAUCUAGGCAGAGUUAUAAAUAAGAAUAAAAUCCUCAUUGUAAUAAGUUGUAUUUAUUAUGGAUCCCAUCCUAAGGAACUUGUCUCUAUAUAGUAAUAAUUAUUUGCAUAUUAUAAAUAUAUAUGUUGCAUUAGAUUAAAUGAACUUGUCUCCACAUACUACUUAGACAAUGAGAGAAAGUUAUUAAAGAGAACACAAAUAUUUAGAGAUUUUUAAGAUUACUUUGCAUGUUUAUAACAAUAAUACAUUGAUAUAUGUAUUAGUUUUUUGAUAUAUUAGAUUUGACAUGCUCUAUUAAUAAAUUAUUAAUACGAUGCAAACUUCAUCUCUCUAUCCUUGCAAUAAAAGUAACUAAGUUAUAACAAUAAUUAUUAAUAAAUUAUUAAUACGAUGCGUACUUCAUCUCUAUAUCCUUGCAAUAAAAGUAACUAAGUUAUAACGAUAAUUUUUGUAACUACAUGCUUAUUAGGUUUUAACUACUUCAUAAUAAUAAAUUAGUUUCGUUCUAAUAUUAUAAGGGAGCGCCUAAGUUGCGAUCAAUGUACCUUACGUUUUUUGUUUUAUUCUUCUUGGUAGUUUUCAUUUGAGUCCCUUGAUGUUUCUUUAUUUGAAAGAAUUUUAUUUGAAAGAAUUUGCAAAUACAUGUUAUUUGAAAGAAAAAUUUUAUUUUUCUUUAAAAGAAAAAUUAUUAUAUUUUUUAUAUCUCUUUUCUUUAUUAUAAGAUUUUCUUCGUUUUUUAUGGGGUACAUAACAUCCCCAUUGGGUAGGCAUAUCUGUCUUUUCACAACAUAUUUUUGUUAUAUUUUUACUCUUUUUUAUUAAACUUCUUUGGAUACAAAUUUCACUUAAUCUGUUAUUUAAAAAUCUAAUCCUAGAUCCUAAUGUAUCUGGGAUUCUACUAUCGCUUUUAUUAGUAUGUUUUUCAUAUUCAUUUAUAAAAUAUCCAUUCCAUGGAUAAGGUAAUUUAGAAUAAUAUAAAUUUUUAUAAAUGUUCUGGUCUUCAUGACUCAUGAAUUGUGUAUAAUAAUAUUUACUAAAUUCACAUGUAUAUUCUUUUACAAAACACAUAUUACAGAUUGUCAGGUUUAUUAAUUUCAUUCUAGCAUUUAAUUUAUCAUUUUUUGCUUCAUUUUCUGUAUUUUGUAACCAAUCUUCUCCUAAGAAUUCACUAGCAAUAUAUUCGAUUAUUCUUUCUAUUCCUAAUCCCUUAUCUUUUCCUAAUGCUAUUUUGGUUGAAUCUCUUAUUAAUUUUUGUGUAUCUUCACUUAAUCCUUUCCACCAAUUAAAUACAUUUCCUGUAAAACUUGCUAUUAGAAUAUCUGUUAAUAUAUUUAUUUUUUCUUCUUCAGUGUCUACAUUCCAAUCAUCUUUAGAUCCAUUGAAUAUAAAAAAUAACUUCAUUUGCAUUCCCCAUUCUACUAAAGCUUUUCGGGGGUCUAUUUUGCAAUCUAAGUCUAAAAAUGUACCUGCAUUGCUUAUUGGCAUCAAAUGGUCAUUAUUAGGUUGGUAAUCUUUUUUCCAAGGGGUAUUUUUAAUGGGUGGAUAGUAUUCAUAAAAAGGUCUAUUUUUCUUUUUAUUUGUUUCAUAUCUGUGGCUGGGUUCUCCAAUAUCAGGUUUCAAUUCUGGACCUCCAGCGAAAUUCAUCUUUAUUUGAUAUUCUUUUUCAAAUUCUUCUAAAUCACUAAGGUUAAUAUCACUAAAUUUUUCUGUUAAUUCUUCUAAUGUAUUUUCCAUUAUUCUGUGUCACUAGGUGUACUUUCUUUUAUCUCUAAUUUUUCUUUUCCCUUUUCUUCUCUUUUUAAUUCUGCUUUUAACUUUUCUGAUUCCUCUAAUAUUUUUGGAUACUGGGUUUUUAUAAACCAGUCAUCAUAGCUUCCUGGUUGAGGUUUUGUCAUAUGUUUUUCAAUGCUCGUCCCUAUUAUUCCUGAUUUUAUUAUUUCAAGUUUCUCAACUUUUUUAUUUUUCUUUCGACUUAUCUGAAUUGUUGAUAAUUCUAUUUUUAUUUUUCCUAUUUCCUGUUUUAUUUCUCUCAUUUCCUCUUUAAGAUUUAAAAGUAUUUCUUUUAAUUCAAUUAAUGUAGUUUCCAUAAAAUGUAGGGGUACUAACAGCUAUUUUUACCUUUGAGUGUAUGUUACAUCCAAUCGUAACAUAGGGUUAGCCAUAUUAUAAUUAUGUAGAGUUGUAGUGUAUAGACACACCCAAUUUAAAUAGUAAAUCAAAUAAAAUUGUCCCCACAAAAAAGAAAAAAGGGGUAAAGGAUUGUUAUUUCUUCAAACAUUAGGAGCACGUUUGUUCAAGUGCGAUGCCUUUCUUUUGAAGGCAACGUCAGUGGGUACCCAAUAGGACGUGUGUAAAUCUUUCCAAAAUUUCUCCGGUAUAACGGACAGAGAUCAUUACUUUUCUCUUCCAUAGACCACAGCAGCUUCAGUUAAUCAGACUCAAUCAAUUUUCUUGGUGUCUUCGCUUAUCAAAAUUCCAAAAUAUGGGUAGCAUAUUUCAAAUCACAUGCGAUGGUGCUUUUUUCAAUCGUUGCUUGGAUUGCUUUCUUGGAAAAGUAGCAAACACAAGUAAGCUCCAAGAUAACCUUGUUGCCUUGGAGACUGAAUUGGGAAAACUAAUCGCAGCAAAGAACGAUGUGAUGAUGAGGGUUGUCAAUGCUGAACGGCAACAACUGCGAACGCUGGACCAAGUGCAAGUGUGGCUUUCGAGGGUGGAAGCUGUUAAAACUGAAGCUGAUGAAUUGAUAAGACACGGCUCUCAAGAAAUUGACAAAUUAUGUGUUGGAGGCUACUAUUCCAAGCACUGCGCGUCAAGCUACAAGUUCGGGAAACAAGUGGCUAAAAAGCUACGGGAUGUGCAGACUUUAAUCGGCGAAGGAGUUUUUGCGGCGGUGGCUACUGAAGUGGUGCCUGAGAGAGCUCCAGAACCUGUAGCAGAUGAAAGACCCACUGAGCCAACAAUAGUAGGCUUGCAAUCACAACUUGAACAAGUUUGGAGAUGUCUUGUAGAAGAAUCAGUGGGAAUCAUUGGCCUAUAUGGUAUGGGCGGUGUUGGUAAAACUACACUAUUGACCCAUAUCAACAAUAAAUUUCUUGAGAGUCCAACCAGUUUUGAUUGUGUGAUUUGGGCCGUAGUUUCAAAGGACUUGCAACUCGAAAAAAUUCAAGAAGAUAUUGGGAAAAAGAUCGGUUUGGUUGAUGAUUCAUGGA
RNAcentral lists this long non-coding RNA (552137 nucleotides) under Citrus x clementina. RNAcentral's name for it is "Citrus clementina (C. clementina) long non-coding RNA (CCLE_LNC001436)". Lineage: Eukaryota; Viridiplantae; Streptophyta; Magnoliopsida; Sapindales; Rutaceae. The record is from RNAcentral.